GUGGUGAUUUAGUGGCGUGAGGGACGAUUAGUGAUGAGAUGUUAGCUGGGAAAGAAGCGAAAGAAGAUGGUGAAGGAGGUGGUGGAGAUGAAGGGUAUAAAGGGAAGAAAGGAGAAGCGUUUGGGUCUGUUGAUGGUGGUGGAGUUGUUGAAGAGAAUGGUAGUUUAGGUUGCGGUGGUGGUGAUGGUGGUGACGGUGGUGGUGAAUCUACUGGAAAGAAUGGUUCGUGGAGUAUACGACGGUCGUCGGCGAGGAUAAGAUCUAAAGAUGAGAAGUGAAACAAGAACAAGAACAAGAACAAGAAGAGCAUUGUUGUUGUUUCUUCUUCUUGUUGUUGUUGUUCAAGAUCUGAGAGAUGGAGAUGGAGAUGAGGAGGAGGAAGAGUGAUGAAUCCAGCUAAGAUUCUUCUGGUAAUGGUUUCGAUGUUUUGAUUAACUUUUUUAACAUCUUCUGGUGAUGGUGGUGAGAGAGUAGAGAGAGAUGAGAGAGUGGUUAAGUUAGAUUAUUCGGGUUUACGUAGAGAGUAGUGGGGGGACCAAAGUUUUUCAGACAAGAACAUAUGGGAUUGUGACACGUAGGAAAAGACGUGGACUUUGUAAUAGUCCGUGUUUAAGUGUGUUUACACACACUGUGUGUUUUGCAUUGCACCGUACUAGGCACAAUGUUGAGAGAAUAUUUUAAAAUGCGAUUUUUUUUUUUUUUUUUGGUUAAAGUUUUUUUUUGGGAAAGUGAGACCAAAAAUAAAUAUUUAUUAUUACGGCGGUUUGACGAAGACUGUAUUAAAUAAAGAAGUAUGGAAAAAAAGGUAUUAAAAAAUGGUUGAGAUUUAAGGAAGUGGUGGGUGUGUUGUGGGAGAAUUGGUUUUUUUUUUUCUUUUUUUUUUGUGUACCGACACUGUCGAAGAAAGUGUAAAUGGUCGGUCCAUGUGUUUUCUCAUUUUUUCACUGGAUGCGGAACGUGAAUUUGGAUUUUCAGGUAUAACUGGUGGAGAGAUUAAAAGGAGCAAAUAAUAUAAUGAGAAUAAGAGAAAAUUAUAUAUGUAAGAGAGGAAAUUAAACUUGAUUGAAUGGAAGCAAAAUAAAUUGUCCUUUAAAACCACUUUUAUGUUUUAAGUGAAAAAAAUGUUCAACAAAAGCUAGAAAUAUAUGGACUUUAUUUUUGAAAAAAAAAACAGCAAUUUGGAGUUUAAAAAAAAAAAUAGUAUACUCAUUUCUUUUAGUUUUAAAGAUAUUUUUUUACUUGCACUAAAAAAGAAUAGUCCUUUUGUUUCAUUAUAAAGUGAUGUUUAAGGUUUUGAUACACUAAAUAAUAAAACAUAUAACUUACCUAUUUUCCAUAAAAACAUCAUUAACUAAUAUAAAUUCAACCAAUAAAAAAAUAUGAUAUAAAAUAUAAUUAGUUUAAAAAUAUUAAAUACAUUAAAUUUUUGUAUAGGAAAUUGAAAACAUCACUUAUACUGAAAAAAAUUUGACUAAAACAUCACUUAUAAUGAAACAGAUGGAAUAUAAAACUAAAUUAUAAAAAAUAUAUUAUGUGUACCAAACAAAUCUGAAUUAUAAAAACGGUUAGGUUAACAAAUACUUUCAUGAAAUUUUGUUUUUGACAUCUAAAACAAUUUCAUGAGAAUCUAAAUCUGUAAAUUAAAUUUAGAAUAAAACUCCAUAAUGCAAUAUGUUAAACUAUUUCACUCAAUUCGUAAAGCUCCGUAAAAUAUAAAUAAAAAUUUUCAAUAUUUAGUUUAAAUUAUCUCAAACAUAAAAUAAAAAUAAAAGGGUGGACUGUGAAUCUUCCUCAGUAGAAUGUUAACCGAGAAACUUGUCCGUAAAGAGUAAUCAUUCCUUAAAUUAAAUAAAUAAUAAAAACGGUAGAUUGUGAAUCUUUCUCAAUAUAUAGUAUAUUAAAAUAGUUUGUAAAGAGUAACAUGUCCUUAAAUUUUUACUCUUUACAAUCACUAUAUGUCUUCAGAUCAAACUUGUGUAUAUUGGUUAUUUAUUGGUAAAUUAGGGCAAGAUCCAUCAUUAACAAACUGUUUACUUAUUGUUUUGGGAUUACUUAUGAUUUGUAAGAAAAAUAAACUAAAUUUAAGAUUUUAUGCUAUCAUGAAUUCACCAACUAAAUUAAUUUUAAACAAGAUAAUUAAUAUAAAAAAUCAACCAAAUAUAUAUAUAAAAAAAGCAGGCAACAUAAAUGUAGAAGUAAACUCUAAACCAUUAUAUUGUACUGCAAACAAUUAUAAUAAAGACAAGAUAUUUAACCCAAAAAAGGAGAUGCAUAAGCCAGUUCUAUUGAAUAUGAUACAAAACAUGUGAAUAUUGAAAGUGUAUAAAUUGUACAAAGGAGAUGCUAAAAUAACAUGUCAAUAUUAACGUGUUUAGUUUCCAAGAUCAUUUAGCUGUUUAUGUUCAAAAUGUAAUAAUACCACUACUCAUCAAUCAGUUGGAAAAAGUUGUCACACUAUCAUUUGAUCGUUGCAAUUUUUAAUGUGGUAUAGUAACAUUGUCAAACUGAAUUUGUGAUGUGUAUAUCAUAUUCAAAGAUCAUAUACAUUAUAUAGAAUCUCUAUAAAAUUCAAUUAAAAUGUGAUGAUACUUAGUGGUUUGGUCAUUGUGUAAUUUGGACUUAUACGUCACAUACUAGUCUUUUUCUAGAUGGUAUUUACUAGAUUACUAAUAACUAUGUGUUCCAAUUGGUUCACAUGAACUAAGCUUAUUAGGCAAUUUAUUCCUAUGUUGAACAAUCCGUUGAAUGUAAAGUGUGUUUAAAGCGCACUGAAGUGAUUAAAAUUAUUGUCUCAUCUGAUGAAAAAAAAAGAUUAAAUAGAUAAUAUUAAAACAAAAAACUAUUCAGACGAAACUAUUAAAUUAACAAUAUAUAGUUUGAUAUGCAACUGUCGAUUCUAACAAUCCUCGUUUUUUUGGGGCGAAAGUUCAUAACCAUAUAAACAUAUUGGUAUUGUUUGUAUUUGAUGGAUUUCACAAUCAUAAAAUAGGGUACUACACAUAAUCUUAAUAGUUCUAAAGCAUUUUUUUUUUUGGCGACAGAAAGACAAAGCACUAGAAAAUGAUAAUAUUGAAAAUGACAUAAAUAAUGAAUUUACCAGUACUCCAAAAUCUACCAAAAAUGUAAUGAAAAUACUUUUUUGAUUUCUUAUAAUAUUUCGUGGGCCUAUGAAUUUUUAGGAAAAUCUAUAAAGUAAGAUAAUUAUAAAAGUUAAAAUAAAAUGAGUAAUUUGGAUUUGGACUAAGAAAAGUAGUAAAAUAGUUUGGGGGUCACGUGGGAAAGGUACUGAAAAAUGCAAGAGUACGAGAGUAUCAGGUAAACCACCGACACACUCGAAUUUGGAAUUUAUACUUUACAUUUUUUUGUUACACUUUUAUGCAAAAGACCUUAUAAUAAGUACACUCUCUUUAGUCUUUCAAGAAAAUUACUUAGACAAAAAAAAAAAUGAAAAAUGUUUGAUUAAUGGCGAUUUUUUGUGUGUGGAAAAUGAAUAAAAAGAUAAGGAUGCUACAUAUGGCUGUAUUGUUGUUAUUUUAGUUUAAUGAUUUAGUGAGUGUAUGAUAACAAAAUAAACAAAUAUAGAAGUACAAUAUGGUGUUAUGAUUGUAGUGUUACAUAUCAAACUCGCUUGAUAUAGCAUUUCAAACAAUUCCAUGGGAAUGGUGGUUCAAGUCUUCAAGAUGGUUAAAGAUUCGGGGACAUCAACUCAGUUUGUAUAAACACUUAAUCUUGGAAAACUCGAGGCACCAACACAUGCUUAAGACGUCCUCAUAUACAUUCACACCUAAAAUCCACUUUAAACCUUAUGUUGAAACCAUUAGGCCUAUUAGAGAACUACUAGUCGAGUCAUAAGUUGUAGUAGUUUAAUCUGGUAAGAGUUUUCCGCCCUUAGUUAUACAAUGUUUGGUCCGAAGCUUAGAUCCAUCGUUAGUACACUUUGAGCAAAGCAUAAGUGGAUCAAGAGCAAUGAACGGUUAAGGGUAGAAUUUUGCUUUCUCAACAACAAAACCAAAGUGAGUACCAAAACAUGUGUUGAUGAAUUUAUGCAUAAGUUUAUAUAUUAGUACUUAGUAUGGAUUGUAUUUGUACAUAAAUUAGCAACCUAAUUUGAUGAAAAUCUCCUAUACUUUUUUAUAUGCACAACUCUUGCAAAUGAGUUCUCAUUCCCAUUUACAAAAGCAUCAAACCCCCAAGAGACUUUGAGGGGACAGCCGGGUAAAAUAGAGUAUAUGAUUGUCGGUAGCAAAAGCAAAUAGUUUUUUUUUUGCAUUCAUUUGGAGAAUGUUUCACUCUUGAGAUAUUUUUCAGAACUAUUCUCUUAAAAAUAAUUUAUUAUAUUUAGCUUUUAAUUCUUGGGUAGUGAUUUUUAUUCUGUUACUGUCUCAUGCAUUUGAUGCAUCUAUUCGAAUGUUUCCUAACUUGAACGUUUGAUUGGUCAUGUCCACAUAUUAUCUCAUCACUUCCCCCACCUUUAACACUUCGAACCCUCAUGAUCAGCGCUCGAAGAUGCAAAAAUUAAAAGCUAAUUAAAUUAUAGUUAAAUUAAAUUAUAGUUAAUUAAAAAAAAACUAUAGCAGUUGAUAAAAAAAAAACUAUAGCUAAAUUAAAAAUACAUAAUGUAAUAAAAAGCUAAGUUUAACAUAUAUUAUUCGUUGUCAGAAGGAGAGUAUCACAAAUCCACAAUCAUCUUCACAAUAUGAUAAAUAUAUAUAUAUAUAUAUAUAUAUAUAACAAUAAUCAUAACAACAAAAAGUUGCAAUGCAAAAUUAUUAAAACAAGAAAUAACACUACAAGCUAAUUAUUGUUUUACUUAUCAGAAUUGAAAAUUCUACUCUUAAGAUUCUUGUAGAGCACAUUGAAAAGAACACUAACAAAACCAAUAUUAUUUGUAAUUUUCUGCUCCCUUUUUUCCUUUUAUAAUUGUAAACUGCAAUGAUGCAAAAUUAUUAUGAUGGUAAAGAAAUAAUUACACUUUAUCUAUGUCACAUCGAUCAUAUAUGUAAACUUUAUUUUUUAUGAUCGUUAUCUUUACUCAAUACGAAUUACUCAAAAUACUAAUUAAAGGUGAGAAUAGUGAAAUUAAAAAAUGGAAUUAGGACCCUAUGAGUAAAAUAUUUAUGAUCAUUUCUUUAUUUUGUCACGUUUGCUUGCGGGUUAUACAAAAACCUCUAAUUAAAGAGUAAAGAGUUAUAUAUAUAAUCAAAUAAUAACAAAAGUAUAGAAGCAUCUACAGUGUUCAUUAUAGUUAACACUCUGACUAAAAUACAAGUUGUUGAAUUUAUUAGAGUAAUAAUUAGAAAGAAACAACAAAAAUAAACAACGAGGAUGGUUUCUAAAUCAUAUGCCAUAUAAAACAUAAUGAUGGAUCGUUUUCUCGUUAAUAUAUAAUUUGGUUAAUCAAACAUUAGUGGACAAACAAGUUUGACGUUUUGGGGUGAGAUCUCGUUAAGUGUUACCAUCAUUAUGUUUUGAUUAAAAACUACGAUUAUAUAAUUAGCAUGUGGCCACCUGUAAACACAACAUUUGAUGAACUCUACAUUGCAUGAGUUGCAAUAUUUUUAUAUGCAUAACGUAGUGUGUAUACACUAGUAAUAGACAUAUGAGUAUGUGCAUUUUGUCGUAUUAUUGAACAAUAAUUGUGUAUGCUGAUUUAUUUUGCUAUAUUUAUACUUUUUUGUUUUUAUAUAUGGUUAUUAACAUUUCUUUUUUCCAUAAUCGCUACGUCCAAAGAACAAGCCUCGAAGCUCGAGAUUCCACUGAACUUCUGACGUAUUGGAUUAAUAAUACAGAGAUAUGACAUUACUAGAAAUGAUGAAUUUUUUGAUUUAAUUUUUUUACUACUCAAUUCUUAGAACUUUCAAUGGUAAUUAUAUUUUUUUACUACGGAAGAAAUAUGAUACGGUUCAAAUAAUAACAAAAAUACAUAAAUAUAAAUAUAUAUACAAAUAUUUUGAUAAUGUUAUAAUACUGUUGCGGUUCGAUUUUAUAAUGCGAUAUGAUUACCAUUCGAAACCUAAUUUGUAUGAUUAUUUUUUCAUAUCAUUGCUACUUUGAGUCGUCUGCUUUUAUUAAUUUUUAUUGACGUGAGUUAUUAAAAAAUACAACAUAGAAAUUUUGUAACUCUUUUUGUAUUUCUUGUACCAUAACACAACAUUUGAGAUUCUAGUAAAGGUGAUUUGGACGUUAGGUACGUAGCUUACGAAACUAAAGCGUUAAGCCAGCAAAAGCUUUUGCGCAUGCAUUUGUUGUCUUCUCCCUAAAGGUGUAUUGCUGUUGAGACUGUAAACACCUAUGUUUUGGUCUUAUGCAUGUUAUCCUUUGACGAUUUCUAGAUCGUCUCGUAUGUGACGUGCCUAGGGUUUGUUUUAUGGUGAUAAUGAAAAGAAAAAUAAAACAUUUUUUUUGCCCAAGAGGUGGUGGGCUAGUGGUAGGGGAGCUUGGAGGAAGGGUGCAACUUCCACAACCUGGGUUUGCUGUUAACACCAUCUUUGUGGGAAGUCUGUCAGUUGGGCUUAGCUCCAAUUGGUUUAUCUGAUAAUCAGAAAUACAAGCGGCCUGAUUAUUCCCGGGCAUUAGUCGGAAAGCGUUAAUCUGGAUUCAAGCGAUGUGGUAGCCCAACACCUAGGUAUUGGCGACGAGUCCACAUUGUAGCACUUCGGUGUGAUACUCCCAGAUCUGACCGGAUCAACCGAUCGAGUUUAUCAAAAAAAAAAAAUAAACACAUAAAAUACAUCUUUUACCAAAAUAGAGGCCCUUUUAAUUACAUAACAUUAUGGGGCAUAUAAGGUAAUCAAAUGCCUUGUAUUUUUGUCGUUAAGGACUCAAUUUUAUUUUCUUUGGCUGAUUAAUUAGCUCUCAUCAUCAUCAACAACAAGAUGCAUGUGUUAUAUAUGUUGUCACACGUUUGCUCGUUGGAGUUUUAUGUCAUUGACAAAUUUGUAGAAUAAAGGGUUGCUAUAUUCUUUGGAUAACUUGUUAAGCCCACAUCUGCAUCCAAAGAACAAGUCUCGAAGCUUGAGAUUCCACUGAACUUCUGACAUAUUAAAAAUAGGAUACUACUAGCUAGAGGUGAUUUGUAUAUAAAAUCAUACUAGUCCUAAUCAAUUUGUUUAUAUGAAAAUUUUAAAUUCAUGACUAGCUACUCCGAGUUUACUUUGACGUUCUUUAUUAAAUAAAUAAAAAGUGGAAUCCACCACGACAUAGCGCAAUAGCAUAACUCUUUUUGCAUUCUCUUGUAUCUUUAGCAUCACUCUUUUAUUGUGAUAAAAGAAAUGUAAGAAAAUAAGAAGCAAAAUAAUUAUGAUAAUCUAAUGUUUUGAUCAUUUGUCUCUAUGGUUCUCCGUCGACUUGUGUUUCAAAGUUUGUCUCAGAUCUUCAAGGUAAGACUAGUGUGGAUGUUACUUGUGUGGAUGAUGCGUUCUCUAGCUUCUUUGUUCAGCAGUUUCCAGUCAAAACUUGAACUGUGAAAGGAGCAAUCUAAGUCUCUUUUGAGACUCUACAAUUUUAUGCAUCUAAAUCAUAGAUGUAUUUUGGAAACGUGAAUCUUGAGUUAUUAAUUCGAUUAAGCUGCCAUAACAAUACAUUAAUGCAAAAGUUUGCUUAGUUCAGAUUCUCUAUAUUUAUGUUUUGUUGAGAGUAUCAAAUUGAUGUUGGUAGGAAGAGCCUUUAGCUUUGAGCAUCCUUUUAAAGUCACAUUUUGCAGUUUAUGAAGGUUUACGAUAGAGUUGGGCAGCUCCACUAGACCGGUGCACCUACAAAGGUGCAAUUUCUGGAGAUUAAUAGCAUUUCCAAUUGAGUAGGGCAGCUCCACCAAACUUGAGCAUCCACAAAGAAUCAAUGUUUGAAGGUUAGUGGCAGUUGAGAAAUCAGGUAGCUCCUUUAAGUUUUUUGAAUGGAACAAAUUCAUCCUCUUGAGAUUCACGAGUGGCUGUACAAACAAACAAAGGAAACAUAAGAAACAAAAUUCAAGAAAACUUGAAACAAUAGUGUUAAAAUCACAUUUUUUAUAAUCUAAAGGUUUAAAGUCAAAUUAAGAGAAACAUAUCACAAUUUCGUACCAUAUGUCCUUCCCACAUCUUCUCAAGUUUGCUGUGUUGCAAGCUUAGUUCGACAAUGUACUUCGCACAAAACUUGGAAGGCAAACAUGUCAUUGGAAAAUGAUCCCAUUCUAGUAAUCUAAGUUUUUGAGAUAAAUAUUUUAAACCUUGCGGUAAAUACACUUUUUCACUCCGGCCGCACUUGAUUCUUAAGAAUUGGAGGUUAGACAUUCCUUUGAAAGCUUUCUCACUUAUAAUUAAUUCGCCUAACAACUCAGAUGAGUUUAAAUGUAUGCCUAUAAUAUUUCUACUAUCCUAUAAAACACCGCAAAGAAAAUGUAAAGGUAAGUUAUAAAAUGAAUUUAAUUUGUAAGGAGCAAGGGAAUUGAAGAGUUAUAAUAGAAUAACUAACCGUGUGAUCAGUGAGUACUUCACAAAUAUCAAUACCAUCAACCAAAAAUUGACGCUUUCCAGGCUCACGAAUGAAUCCUGACUCAUAACGAACAAUUUCUCUACCCAACUGCUCUAGCAAAUUAUGCAUCUUUAUCCAUCCUUCUUCAAUAGAUAUGAGAGAUUUCUCAGCUAAUACAUGAAAUCCUUGCUUCACAUCCAACAACUUAUGCGCAAGAUAUUCUUCCACGUUCUCAAUCCUUUUAUUGUUGAAAAGGCAUGCUAUAUGAAGAAAUAAAUCUUGAUCUUCAUCACAUAAUGCGUCGUAACUAAACUUUAAAAUGCUUUGAAUAUUAGAAUCAAGGUGAGUCCUUAACCUUGGCAUUGCAUUUAUCCACUCCUGCUUUGACAUUCCCCGAAAAUGGGAACCCAUAACUCUUAGUCCUAAUGGUAGGUUACCUAAAAUAUUUGUUACUUCUAAUGCGAGUUCCUGGUAUUCAACUUCAGGGAACUUUUGACCAAAAGCAGACAUACAAAAUAUUUGACAAGCUUCAUGUGUUGAUGGAAAAUCCACCUUGUAAAUAUGGUUGAUGCCAUGUGCCUUCAAAAUUUUGUGGUCUUGUGUUGUGAUGAUAAUCCGACUGCCAUGACCAAACCACCGAGUUUCUUUUGCGAUAGCAUCUAGUUGCAUUGACUGAUCGAUAUUAUCUAGGACAACAAGCACUUUUUUGUCAUUCAACCUAAUUUCCGCAACUCCUAAAUGAGGAACCUCAAUAUCCAUGUGGUUCGUUAUCUUGGACAUAAAAUGGCUCUGUAAGUGUAACUUUGCAUUGUAGUCAUCAGAACACAUUGGUCUUGUGUACAUGAGCUCUUGAAUAUUCUCCAUAAAAGCGCUUAGUUCAAAACUGUCAGAAAACUGACUAAAUAAGAAUCUGGCAAUGAUGGUCUUACCAAUCCCGGAUGGUCCCCAUAUCCCUACCAUCCUGACUUCAUCAGCGUCUAGACAUAACAAUUGUUCCAUCAUUUCCAUAUGAGCUCCCAUCCCGACUAAUUCGUCGAUAUCUCUAGAUGGUGUGAAAUUAUUCAAUAAGUUGGAAACAUCACUUGCUAUUUUUUCAAUCAUGAUUGCCUCAUUGUCCCUAAUAGAGGAAGAUCCCAUCCAUUAGAUAGUCAAAAAAAUUGACAUACACAUUCAAAUUUUUUAACGUACAUGAAAAAAUUAAGAACAAGAAAUGGAAAAUUAUAAAGACAAACCAGUUAUUUGAAACGUAACCAGCAAGUGUUGCUACUUUCGCUAGAGCUUGUAUCCAUCUUCCAAUGUCCUCCUUUGUUUUACCUGCACAUGCUUUUCUGAAGGCACUCCCAAAAUCACCAGUCAACUUCUUUACAUCAGAUGGGUCUACUUUCUUGAAAACAACCAUCACAGUUUGACCAAACUCUUCUCUACAUUUGAUAAUUUCCGCCAAUUCAUCAAGACACCAAGACGAAGAAGCGUAGUUCCUAGAGAGUAAGAUGAUUGCAAUCUUAGAACUUCUGAUCGCUUGUACAAGUUCAGGAGUUAUGGAUUCUCCUCUCUUGAUACCAUUAUCACUGAAAAGAGUGAUUCCUUUCGUCCGAAACUCCUUCUGAAUAUGACUAAGAAAGUCUCUGCGGAUAUCUUCUCCGCGAAAGCUUGGAAAGACUUGGUGUCUCCAGCUAUGAGAUGAAGAAGAUGGAGGAACCGGUGAUAAAGGAGAUAAAGAAGGAGAAUCAUUUUCUUUGUUUUCUUGGUGGAAUAAUCUGAAUUUUUUGAAAAGCAUGAAGAAGCCUAUUGUAGCUGUAAUCGUGCUAAGUACAAAAGAAGAGUUCAUUAUGUGGUUGUAGAGAAGUGAAUGAAGGAUUAAGAGAGAGACUUUGUAUGUAUGGGAUAGACACAAGUGACGCAUAAGCCUUAGGGAUAUUUUUGCUUACGGAAGUAAAACAAAGAAUAUGUCACAACAAUUCAAAAACCCUCACCUACCCAAUUUCUAAAGUUGAUUGAAUUUUCAUACAAAUAAGAGCACAUAGAAUGUGAAUAAGUGGGGGUUAGGUAUGAAUAUUCCAUGAGACUCGGUUCUAUUAAUCUUGCAAGAGGACUAAUCGUCACUAGUAAUUUUGCUGAUAAAGAGGUUUCCAAUGGAUCUUAAUAUAUUAAUUGGUAAGAUGUAAGAAAUACAAAUAAUCUCAUAGAUGAUCAGCUGGUUUGUUUGAUACUUACUAGUUAGUACCAAAUUCUAACAUUUGGUUAUGUAGUAGAGCUUCCGAGUUCGACAAGUUCAUACGACAUGGCAGAUUAUUCAUUACAUGGAAAGUAAGACAGUUCCAAUACACUGUAAGAGCUCCAAGCACAAGAGAAUGAAGAACUACGUACACGAAGAGAAGGAUGACUAUGACCAAGAAUAGACAGGUAGAACAGUUAGAAGUUAACUUUUAAGAUCAUGGACCAAUCUUAGAGGACAAGACAUAACAUCAAACUACUAACAUGGCAGCUUAAUGAAGAUGAUAAUGGGGAUAAUAAGAUGAUAAAUUCUUAAUAGAAAAUGUAUCCUCAAAAUCAAAAUCCUCGAACACAAUUAAAAUGUGAAGACAAAAGCUGAGUGUUGUAGUCUUAAAACAGAAAAAUUUAGGCAUUAAGCUCAAAAGAUAAAAAGCUACAAGAGACGCGAGAUAAAGAAAGCUGGACUGAUUUACUCUUCAUCAUCCUCAUCAUCAUCAUCACCACCUGCUCCAUUCAAUGCCUUGACUCUCUCGAUCAACUUGUUCUUCCUCUCUUCGUAUGUCAAUUUCUUCAAGUUGUACCUGUUUUGUUUAUAACACAACCAAGUCAAAAAUCAAAUAAGACAAGCAUGCACAAUACACCAACAAGCCAAGAGUCUAAUAAAAUUUGUUUUGUUUCUUUACCUCUUGUGUUCCUUGGGAGCAGAUUUCACAGUUUUCUUGUGGUUGGGCUCUGCACGAAUAGCUGCAUGUACCUUCUUGUACAUCUCUUCAAUACCCUCGGCUUCAACUCCUUUCUUGAUGUAACCACUGAAGUGAGUUUGAAGCUUCUCUGGCUCAUCUUCUGCCAACAUCUUCAUGUAGUUUGAGACGUGGCCACCAUAGAUGUAGUUCCUGUGGAUUGCAGCAUCAAGUUGCUUGUUCUCUUUGUUGAAACCAGCAAAUCUCUUGUCACUGUGGGGGAUAUCAAGACCUCCAUCCAAAGCACCCUGUAGUUUUAUGAACCAAACCAAAAAGUGUGUUAAAGAAUAGCCAGUAACAUCAUUUGCUCAAUAAGAAAAGAACUCUGCCAACAAAUUAUAUCUGAGAACAACAAUUCAGUACCUUGAGAGCACCAAACACACGGUUUCCUGUUGUGGUCCUGAUAAGUCCAACAUCAAGAAGAGCACGGAAAGGUCUCCUUGAAUCAGUUGGCUCAACUGAGAAGUCCUCACCGGUGGCCUGUUUCAUUGUGUAAUUUGAGCUAUUAACAAGACACAAAAACUCAACUUUAUAUUUUAAAAAAUAAACCAAGCCAACAGCUUACCUCUAGGUUGCCCUCAUACUCGUCAUCCAUUUCCAGCAUCUUCAGAACACGGCGAGCCAAAAGAAGCCCAGUACAGUAUGCUGAUGCCAAAAAUAUAUUACAUAUUAGUAAAGCAUAGACACAGAAUCAUACCUCUAAAACUGGAAUAGACAAAAAGCACAGAACUGAUUCAAUACCUGCAGCGUAGUUUGUAAGGCCAACAGUGAGACCAUACUGAGGAAGCUCAUGUGCGUAAGCAGAAGCUUUCACAAUGUCACCAGCAAUGCUAGCAGAGACAAUUUGUGCCACGAUGUCUUUGUUGGUAAACCUCACAACAAAACGAUACUUGGGUGUGUUAUACUUGUUCUUAUCUUGGUUGAUAAGACGGAUCCUUGCCCUGUAAUCAGUCUUACCAGCUACAAAAUAAAAAGUGAAAUAGCUUUCAGUAUCAGUCUGAAAAAAAGAGUGACCAGACAAUAUCAUCAGGUAAACGAAAUCAAGAAUCUAUACCUCUUCUUCUCCUGAACUUCACUUGGUACCUUUUGAAGUACGCAUUUGACUUGUCAGACUUGACAAACACCUAAUAAAAAACCAAAUUAUCCUAUUUCAUUAGUCUAAGAUCCAACAACAUAAACUGUUCUUUCGUGGGUAACAAAGAUCUAAAGUGCAAAACACCAUUAAAACGCAUCACCUCUAAACCAGAACAAAAACAUGUAAAGUUUCAAACUUUUCCUAUUUCAAUUCCCAAGCGAGUUACAAAACCAAAAACCCAUGAAGAAACACAUCUAAAAAGCUGAAAAAACCAUAGUUCUCGUUACCAUAUCUAACCAAAGUAAAAAUGCAGGAGGUUUCUAUGAGAAAUGAAGAUAAAAAUCUGAUUCUUUGAGGAGAAAACCAAGAAGAAACAGUAAAGAAAUGAGAAGAGAUAGAGAGAAGAAAGCUAAGGUUUACCAUUGUUUGAUUCCUCCUCUAGCUACGAGAGGCUUUUCUCUGAGAGAGAUGAGAGUGACGAGAAGACAAGAGGCGGAAUGACCUAAAUGCGACAUCUUAUAAGACAAAACCCUAGGAAACUCCUCUUGGGCUUAAAAAGAUUUAAUGGGCCUUAUGGGCUUUGUCCAAAUAAAAUUAGUCAAACAGCAUUUAUCACUAGUAUCUUGAAAUGAUCAUAAACAAAGCCUCAAAUUAGUUAUUCCCCAAAUGGUCGUGUAUCUCAAGCAAGCCUCAAAUUCUAAUCGUUAAGUUUUGAUAUGAAGUUUGAGAAAUUUCAGAAACUUCUUCGGACCAUUUGCUUGUUUUACGGACAUAAACAAUACUGAAGUUGUGGUUAUAUGUAUGUUAGUGUUGUAAUUUUUGUUUGCAUCUUUGGUUUAGAUGUAAACAAUGGUGCAUUUGAUUAGCUUAAACAAGUGUUUGCAUUUGCGUCUAGAUAAAGCGAGGUCAAAUGCAUUGUGGUUAAGACUUUUUAUUGUGUGAAGGAUUAAAAUGUGUUUUGGCCAAAUGAGUACAUCUCUAUUUGGGAAGAUAACAAUCAUUUCAGUAACUAAGCCAUUCCCCAAAUAAGUGGAUUUUUGUUUUGGACAGUUUGCUAUUCCCGGGAGAAUUUUAUAGCUUCAAUCACAGCAGAGAAGUCGAGAUCUCCAAGUCCCAAGCUUCUCGCUUUCUUAAAAGCCUGUCGAAAACAAAAAAAAAAUAUGUCUUCAGAUUCAUGCUAAGAAGACAAUCCCAGGGGAGAAUCAAUAUGUUCUUCUCGCUGAGUAACUAACCUCAUUUGCAGCUGCGGCUACAGGCAUGGAAACAGCAUUUUCGUCGCCAAGAGCAAGAGCUAGUCUCAUGUCUUUCUGCUGAUGUUUCAGUGGAAAUGCUGGUGGGUAACUGCUUUUAUUCAUGGAAGGUCCUUUGCCCUUGAACAUCGGGUUGGUCAUUGCGCCAAGAUCCUGCCCAUAGCAAAACCCGAUUCAACCAACACCAUUAAUCAGAAAUUGAAAAGUUUGAUCAUCUCACCAGGAUAUCCAGAAGAGUGUUAGAGCUAAGUCCACUCUUGUCAGCUAAUACAAGCCCCUCGGAGAACGCGUUCAUCAUGCUGUCUCAGAUGAAAAACAAUUGUGUCAUAAAGCCAUGUUCCAUUUGUACUACCAAUGAUAGUAAACUUAAAAGAGACGGACAUUUACCUUCCCAUGAUCAUAUUCACUAUUAGUUUCAUUUUAGCUCCAUUACCAACUUGUCCCAGGAAAAACGACUUCUUCCCCAAGACGUCAAAAGCUGGGAUUGAUUCCUCGAAGAGUGCCUUUAAACAAAAACAAAUUAUAUCAGCUUGAGAGACAAUCUGAAUGUGGAAUUAGUUCUAGUUCCUAAGCUCCUACUAAUUUCAAAACUACAACAGUUCCUGAGAUCAACCAGUCCAUCUAGAAGUAUAGUUUGAGUUGUACCUUGUCACCAGCAGCAAGGAUAAUGAGUUGGCCAUCUUCUGCUGGCUUUUUGCUACCGGAAACAGGGCCUUCUACAAACCGACCACCCUUCCCGGUGAUUGCCUGCCAACAUCCAACACAGCUAAAUUAAACUAAUCAAUUUUGUUUCAAUCUAAAUAUCAUCCAAAUCCAAAAGUAAAUAGCUUCAACCUCAUUGAUCUUUACAGAAGUCUCUGCAUCAACUGUUGACAUAUCUAUAUAACCUUUUCCUUCACAGAUUUGCUCCAAAACACCGUCUUUGUCGAAAACAACCUAAUUAAAAAACCGGAAACUGUAACUAUUUCUAUAGCUCAUCAUCUCAUAUCAUCAUCAAUGCUAAAAACACACAUUAAGAAGCAAAAAAAGGAGUCAAUUCAAAUACCGAAAGAGCAGCAGAAGGAUCAGAGAGCAUAGCAAUAGUGUAUUUGCAUUUCUUGAUUACUUCAGCUGGAGUCUCACAUACUGAAGCUCCAUGCUCCACAAGUUCAUCACACUGUUCAAAAUCAAUCAACACACCACAAAUUACAGCAAAAUCAAUCAAAGUUUCCAACUUUAUCAGAUCUGAACAACCAAACACUAAAUCAUACUAACCAAUCCGUUGAAACCCUUUUCAAUUACAGUAAUGAAAAUCUCCAAAACACAAUCAAAAUCAGAUUUUUUACCUUGGAGAGUGUUCUGUUCCAUACAGUCACUUUGAAUCCAUUCUUCAAUAGAUUCAUUGACAUGGCCUUUCCCAUGAUACCCAAACCCAGGAACCCUACUUCCAUUUUUCUCACUCUUCUACUUCUCUCUCUCUCUCUCUCUCUCUCUGCGAUUAUAGUGCUCAGUGAUGGUUGGUCUGAGAAUGUGACAAAGCCGGAGCGUUUUCUAAUCAGAGAACCAUUAUCAUCCUUAAAAUUAAAGUAUUUACAAUUUUGCUCCCUAAAGUUUGAUUCAUUUUGCAUCUCUAAGUAAAUAGAGAAAGAACGAACAAGAUUUUGCCACGUGGAGAAACUUGGCUAUUCUCCAGUGUUGUAGGAAUCUUUAGUUUUCGAAUCAGUGUUCAGUAUCUACUCACGUGCGAAGCUCUUAAUCAUACUUAUUUGCUGAGUUCCACCCUAUUGUUAAAGUAAAUUGAACAUUUGGUCUAAUGGUUUAUGAAGUUUCAGUUUAGUCCAAUCUUGUGUAAUGUAAUGGCUUCUUUUAUAGUAGAGAAGCAAAUCGAAAAUUCAAUGGAUACCAUAUUAACACUAAUGUAUAUACGAAAAACACUCCGUGGUAACAAUAUUAAUACUAAAUUUAUAUACAAUAAAUCAUAAUUAGCAAAGUUAUACGUUGUUUACAGAUUAUAGAAAAUAAUAAAUAUAAAUCACAUAUAAGAAUAGAAGGGAUGAAUGUUACGGAUCUUUGACCGCUAAGUAACUUGCUUUAAAGAGAUAUUAAGGACUCUCUAACAAAUCUUCCUUAGCUUUUUUGGGUUAAUUGAAUUGAUUUUUGAUCUUAUCAACGAAAUAUAUGAAUACCCAACAAUAUUGUUGGAUGGACGUAUUUUAAUUUUAUGAUCGUAUAUAGUUUAUUUAACUUGGAAAUAAGAAAUUGUGCUUAGAGGUUAGAUGAAAUUUUUAUUUAUAGUCAAAGAUUUAUGUCUAAAAUCAUUGCCACAGUUUUAAGAAUUUUAAUGUUUUGAGAAAUUUUUAUAAAGUAUUUUCUCACUUCUAUUAAAAUGUGCUCACUUUUUUUUCCCUCAAGAUUAAGACACCAAUUAAUAUUUUUUCCAUUAUGCACACCAAAUUUUAAAUGGUACAAGUUUAACCUCCGAUCAAGCUAACGUCAUUACUUCUCUUAUAUCUUAAUAAAAAAAAAUAGUUUGUUAACUUAAUAAACUUUACUAAAUUUUUUUAAAAAAAAAUCUAGAGAUCCAAUUAAAAUUUAAGACUAAUAAAUAAAAACAUAAAAAUUAUAUUAAAUUUAUAUUUUAAUGUAAAUUUGAGGAAAAUAUAUAAGAUAAAUUUUUUUGUUUUGGUCACCAUAUAUAAGAUAAACUAUGUUAUAUAUAAAAUUAUAUUUCUUGAUACACAAAACUAUAUCUCUUGAUACAAAUUUCUUAUGAAAAAGAGUAAAAUGAAUAGACUUCUAAAGGUAAAUUUUUGUUUUAGAAAACUUUUGGAAAAAAAGAGAAUUUUUGAGAAAUGCCCCUUUUGCUAUACCCCUCUUUUGUAUCCAUUUUCAAAAAUACCCCUUUUUAAAUAUGAAAAAUUAUAAACUUUUAUAUGUUUGAUAAGAUACAUCAAGAUCAUCAUUACUACUGGGAGUCUAAAUCCAAAUAUUUAUAAGGUUUUAAAAGGUUUUAAACGGCAUUUAUAAGGUUUUUAUAAGGUUUUUAAAAGGUAUUCAUACGGUAUUUAUGAAAUAUAUAUGUAAAUUUACACACAUAGAAAGAUAAUUUGUGUCUUUAAAUAUAAGCUUACACAUAGUUUUUUGAUAAAUUUCAAAAUUUAUAGUAAUUUUUUGAUAAAAUUAGAAAAAAGAUAUUUUUAAAAAAUGGUAUUGGAAAAGGAAUAUUUUUGAAAUACCCAAAAAAAAAAAAAAAACUAUUGUUGGAAGUAUUUUAUGCAAAGAUUUUAUUUUUGUUUUUAAAAAAAUAUGUUAUAUCCCAUUUUUUUGGUGUGUGUGGUUGGCAACUCUUCGGCUCAGCCAUUUUCACAUUUGUCUCUCUUCUCCUACUCUCUCUUCUCUCCUUUUUCUUUGCUCCACUAAAAAAAUAAAAUCAAGUGUUUACUCGGAGCCAGAAGAGAAGAUGGAGAGAAACUAAGAUUUGAUAACUACAAAUCUUGUUACUGAUCAAGAAUCUCAAUUACAGUUUCAGUUUCUUCUUUAACAUGGCAUCAAUAGCAGGAGGAUCAUUUAGAGUCCCUAGCACUCGUAUCUCUAUAACCACUCCAACUCUAUCUUCCUCUUCUUUGUUUCCACCACUAACAUUGGUAUGUCAUGUUUUCACAUUUACAUCUCAUUUGUAUUGAAGCAGUAUGGUUUUCAGAUUCUGUCUUGUCUCUUUUGCAGCAAUCAAGUAAUAAAAAAGACAACCAAUUGCUGCGGUGUGCCGUCCAAGAAUCAUCCACUACUUCUGCUGGUAAGUUUCGGAUUGAGUAAAAACAGAAUGUUCUGUUCAAGAACACAAGAAGAGAGUAACUUUUCUUGUUCUUUCUUUACUAGUUGCUACUGAAAAGAAAGAUAAAGAAAAAGAAGAGUCAUCAACAGCGGCGGUUCCAGCGAAGAAACCUAAACCCGCAGCUGCGAAAGCCGCUGCAGUGGCGAAACCGCUGAAACAGAUGAUGGAAGAAGACGUGAUUCCUCCUUUGCUAGCCAUUCUUGAAGCUCAAGAUGAUAUCUCUGAGAUAGAUUUAUCUUUCCAAGAAGAUAACAAGGUUUCUUGAUUCUUACUUCUAAGACGAUUAUCAUCAUCAUCAUCGAAACAUCGGUCAUCUCUUAUUAACUUGUGUCUUGUUACUGAGACAGCUUGAAGGUUUUUUCUUGAAGAAAGGUAUUCCAUAUUCCUUUUGGGCCUUCUUCCCCACUGGAAACCUCACAGGUGACUAAACUUAGGGCCUGUUCGUUUGCUUAAGAUGAUUCUUUAGCUGAUGAUGUCCUUUUGGUUUGUUGCUUAUAAAACAGGAGCAAAAGGAUUUUCAAUCUCCUCGCACGGGUCAGGUCCGAGCACCGUGGAACCUUUUCUAGUCGACGAGAGGAAACCAACUGCGAACCACGUCGUCUUUUGGGUCGAGAAACGCCUCGCUGCACAAGGGAUUAUUCCCGUUUGGAACCAAUGAUGUCUUUUAUUCACUUGUAACCAUUACAUUGCAAAUAUUUUGUAUACCAAAAAAUAUGAUGAAAUCAUUAGAUCUCUCUCUCUUAUUAAAACUUGAUUAGGGAACACACUUCGUUUUAUGCUAAUUCAUUUUCAGUUGAGACUAUUCUUUUCCUAGCCUUCUCAGCCUGCAAAAUAAUAGAAUCAAAGCAUUAGGACAACAAAUGUAGAAGUGUACCAAGCUCAAAUGUUACCAAUGUAGAACUAAAGUUUCUUACCUGUUCCUUCCAGUUCAUGGAAGCUGUAACAAUAGCUAGUACAGUGGCUUGCACAGUGGAUCCAACCACAACACCACACCAAAGUCCUUUUCCUUUAAGAUCAUGACUGAAAGCUAAGUAAAUUCCAACAGGAGCUCCUACAAGGUAAUAAGAAACAAUAUUGUUCCAAGCACCAAUGUGUUGCCAACCACUUCCUCUAGCAACACCAUUAAGAACUGCAGUGAAGCCGUCGAGAAUAAAGGAGAGACAGAGCAAUGGAGAUAGGUCAGCCACAUAGUCUACAACUUCUUUGCUGUUGCUGAAUGUGUAGCCUACGAUGUUCCUACAGGUGAAGAGAAGUAUGCUAAAGAAAGCUGACUCUACUAGCCAGAGACAAAGCCCUGCUAAUACUGAAACCCUAGCAACUUGAGGGUUUCCAGCUCCCAAACUGUUUGAUACACGUGUGCUGCAAGAAACCAAUCACUAAUGAUUACAAAAUGAAGGUAUACAGCGGAACUUGAAUAUGUUAUUUAAAGAUUGAGAAUUGAGAUCGUAUCAUCGUACCUCACAGCUGCCGCGACUCCGGAUGAAAUUACAUAGUGUAAAGUUUCUGUUGUAAGACUGAUCGACAAGAAGGAAACAUGAUUAACACUUUUUAAUAUAAAGAGAACACAAAAGAUACAAAGUGUUACUAUAUUACUUACCAUAUCGAAAGAACAGAGGUCUCGAGUUUCGGGUUAGGGAGAAGACCUGAGCAGAGUAGGAGUAGUUCAAAUAGCCACCAUUCUAGGCUAUUACAAGAAGAUAAAGAAAAUGUAAACGAAAUAAGAAGAAUUAGUCUAGUAUAUGUAACUUGAUAGACAAACAACCUAAAAAGACUUACCAAAUCAUUGCAGCUGAUGGGAUUCCGUAUUGGAAGAACUGCUUAACACAAGACACAAAAUCUUCAGACACAAAUCCGCGAGUCUUCUCACAAGAACUGGAGAAUCUCACAUAACAUGAUAGCAUCAUAGCAUAAAACCAGAAAGACACACUAGUAGCCAUGGCAGGUCCAUUGCCUCCCAGAACAAACACGAAAACCAAAGCCCAACAAACCAAAACGUGGAACAAAAGUGUGGUUACGGCAGUGUAGAGCAAAGGGAGAACCAACCCUUGUGUCAGCAGAAACCUGGUCAGCGGUAUGACAAUCGCUUGGGCGUACAAAACCGGUAUGAGCCAAAAAGCGUAAGAGCCAGCGAUUCUUGAUAUGUCAGGGUCUUGUCCGAGAGAAAUCAAGAUCUUCUCGAUGUAAAUCCAUAGAAUUGAUAUGAGGAAACAAAUAGGUAUGUUGGAAGCAAUUGCUGAGUAUGCGUAAGUUCCUAUUUUUUCAUAUUGCUUGGCUCCAUAAGCUUGGCCACAAAGAGUUUCUAGUGCACCCACUAAUCCAUACUGUACAAAGAAUACUUUAGAGAGUUGAUUUGAUUCUUGAAUUGAAAGAUGUAGUAAGAGUCAUAACAUAAAAUACCAUAAUACUAAAACCAGUAACGUUUGUGAAGGAUGUGGCAAGAGCAACACCGGAGAGCUGGAGCUCGCCGUUGUGACCAGCAACCAUGACUGAGAUAACAGGCAAUAAGUACUGAGCAAUAGUCACAGUAGCCAUAGGAGCAGCCAAGCGACUCACUCUCUUCAGCUCGGCCGUGAGCUGACCACUUGGCCAUGUGGCCUUAGUGGUGACCAGCUCCUCUCGCUGAAGAAAUGGCUCUUCCAUUGUCUUCUCUCUAAUGCUGAAGGCCUUGUCUUUGAUUUGAGAUAACUGUUCUGUUCUAUCUUUUUAUAGACCAAACGACACGAAUGUUAAUGAUGACUGAUGACUUUUUUUGUAUAGAAUAUUUAAUUUAGAUAUACCAAUAAAAUUAUUUUAUCUUUCCAAGACUGUUCUGAUUUGAACUUUCAUAUCAUUUUAUAGUAAACAAACAUUAAAGGUUCUUUACAAAUUGAAAAAAAUAUGGGAGAAUUUUAUAGACUAUAACCAUCACUUUUGAUUUAUGUGACACCGCCUGAUAAAAAAUGAAAUACAUGAGGAUAAUGCACUUGGGGAUCACGUAGACACGUUCCGACUUNNNNNNNNNNNNNNNNNNNNNNNNNNNNNNNNNNNNNNNNNNNNNNNNNNNNNNNNNNNNNNNNNNNNNNNNNNNNNNNNNNNNNNNNNNNNNNNNNNNNNNNNNNNNNNNNNNNNNNNNNNNNNNNNNNNNNNNNNNNNNNNNNNNNNNNNNNNNNNNNNNNNNNNNNNNNNNNNNNNNNNNNNNNNNNNNNNNNNNNNNNNNNNNNNNNNNNNNNNNNNNNNNNNNNNNNNNNNNNNNNNNNNNNNNNNNNNNNNNNNNNNNNNNNNNNNNNNNNNNNNNNNNNNNNNNNNNNNNNNNNNNNNNNNNNNNNNNNNNNNNNNNNNNNNNNNNNNNNNNNNNNNNNNNNNNNNNNNNNNNNNNNNNNNNNNNNNNNNNNNNNNNNNNNNNNNNNNNNNNNNNNNNNNNNNNNNNNNNNNNNNNNNNNNNNNNNNNNNNNNNNNNNNNNNNNNNNNNNNNNNNNNNNNNNNNNNNNNNNNNNNNNNNNNNNNNNNNNNNNNNNNNNNNNNNNNNNNNNNNNNNNNNNNNNNNNNNNNNNNNNNNNNNNNNNNNNNNNNNNNNNNNNNNNNNNNNNNNNNNNNNNNNNNNNNNNNNNNNNNNNNNNNNNNNNNNNNNNNNNNNNNNNNNNNNNNNNNNNNNNNNNNNNNNNNNNNNNNNNNNNNNNNNNNNNNNNNNNNNNNNNNNNNNNNNNNNNNNNNNNNNNNNNNNNNNNNNNNNNNNNNNNNNNNNNNNNNNNNNNNNNNNNNNNNNNNNNNNNNNNNNNNNNNNNNNNNNNNNNNNNNNNNNNNNNNNNNNNNNNNNNNNNNNNNNNNNNNNNNNNNNNNNNNNNNNNNNNNNNNNNNNNNNNNNNNNNNNNNNNNNNNNNNNNNNNNNNNNNNNNNNNNNNNNNNNNNNNNNNNNNNNNNNNNNNNNNNNNNNNNNNNNNNNNNNNNNNNNNNNNNNNNNNNNNNNNNNNNNNNNNNNNNNNNNNNNNNNNNNNNNNNNNNNNNNNNNNNNNNNNNNNNNNNNNNNNNNNNNNNNNNNNNNNNNNNNNNNNNNNNNNNNNNNNNNNNNNNNNNNNNNNNNNNNNNNNNNNNNNNNNNNNNNNNNNNNNNNNNNNNNNNNNNNNNNNNNNNNNNNNNNNNNNNNNNNNNNNNNNNNNNNNNNNNNNNNNNNNNNNNNNNNNNNNNNNNNNNNNNNNNNNNNNNNNNNNNNNNNNNNNNNNNNNNNNNNNNNNNNNNNNNNNNNNNNNNNNNNNNNNNNNNNNNNNNNNNNNNNNNNNNNNNNNNNNNNNNNNNNNNNNNNNNNNNNNNNNNNNNNNNNNNNNNNNNNNNNNNNNNNNNNNNNNNNNNNNNNNNNNNNNNNNNNNNNNNNNNNNNNNNNNNNNNNNNNNNNNNNNNNNNNNNNNNNNNNNNNNNNNNNNNNNNNNNNNNNNNNNNNNNNNNNNNNNNNNNNNNNNNNNNNNNNNNNNNNNNNNNNNNNNNNNNNNNNNNNNNNNNNNNNNNNNNNNNNNNNNNNNNNNNNNNNNNNNNNNNNNNNNNNNNNNNNNNNNNNNNNNNNNNNNNNNNNNNNNNNNNNNNNNNNNNNNNNNNNNNNNNNNNNNNNNNNNNNNNNNNNNNNNNNNNNNNNNNNNNNNNNNNNNNNNNNNNNNNNNNNNNNNNNNNNNNNNNNNNNNNNNNNNNNNNNNNNNNNNNNNNNNNNNNNNNNNNNNNNNNNNNNNNNNNNNNNNNNNNNNNNNNNNNNNNNNNNNNNNNNNNNNNNNNNNNNNNNNNNNNNNNNNNNNNNNNNNNNNNNNNNNNNNNNNNNNNNNNNNNNNNNNNNNNNNNNNNNNNNNNNNNNNNNNNNNNNNNNNNNNNNNNNNNNNNNNNNNNNNNNNNNNNNNNNNNNNNNNNNNNNNNNNNNNNNNNNNNNNNNNNNNNNNNNNNNNNNNNNNNNNNNNNNNNNNNNNNNNNNNNNNNNNNNNNNNNNNNNNNNNNNNNNNNNNNNNNNNNNNNNNNNNNNNNNNNNNNNNNNNNNNNNNNNNNNNNNNNNNNNNNNNNNNNNNNNNNNNNNNNNNNNNNNNNNNNNNNNNNNNNNNNNNNNNNNNNNNNNNNNNNNNNNNNNNNNNNNNNNNNNNNNNNNNNNNNNNNNNNNNNNNNNNNNNNNNNNNNNNNNNNNNNNNNNNNNNNNNNNNNNNNNNNNNNNNNNNNNNNNNNNNNNNNNNNNNNNNNNNNNNNNNNNNNNNNNNNNNNNNNNNNNNNNNNNNNNNNNNNNNNNNNNNNNNNNNNNNNNNNNNNNNNNNNNNNNNNNNNNNNNNNNNNNNNNNNNNNNNNNNNNNNNNNNNNNNNNNNNNNNNNNNNNNNNNNNNNNNNNNNNNNNNNNNNNNNNNNNNNNNNNNNNNNNNNNNNNNNNNNNNNNNNNNNNNNNNNNNNNNNNNNNNNNNNNNNNNNNNNNNNNNNNNNNNNNNNNNNNNNNNNNNNNNNNNNNNNNNNNNNNNNNNNNNNNNNNNNNNNNNNNNNNNNNNNNNNNNNNNNNNNNNNNNNNNNNNNNNNNNNNNNNNNNNNNNNNNNNNNNNNNNNNNNNNNNNNNNNNNNNNNNNNNNNNNNNNNNNNNNNNNNNNNNNNNNNNNNNNNNNNNNNNNNNNNNNNNNNNNNNNNNNNNNNNNNNNNNNNNNNNNNNNNNNNNNNNNNNNNNNNNNNNNNNNNNNNNNNNNNNNNNNNNNNNNNNNNNNNNNNNNNNNNNNNNNNNNNNNNNNNNNNNNNNNNNNNNNNNNNNNNNNNNNNNNNNNNNNNNNNNNNNNNNNNNNNNNNNNNNNNNNNNNNNNNNNNNNNNNNNNNNNNNNNNNNNNNNNNNNNNNNNNNNNNNNNNNNNNNNNNNNNNNNNNNNNNNNNNNNNNNNNNNNNNNNNNNNNNNNNNNNNNNNNNNNNNNNNNNNNNNNNNNNNNNNNNNNNNNNNNNNNNNNNNNNNNNNNNNNNNNNNNNNNNNNNNNNNNNNNNNNNNNNNNNNNNNNNNNNNNNNNNNNNNNNNNNNNNNNNNNNNNNNNNNNNNNNNNNNNNNNNNNNNNNNNNNNNNNNNNNNNNNNNNNNNNNNNNNNNNNNNNNNNNNNNNNNNNNNNNNNNNNNNNNNNNNNNNNNNNNNNNNNNNNNNNNNNNNNNNNNNNNNNNNNNNNNNNNNNNNNNNNNNNNNNNNNNNNNNNNNNNNNNNNNNNNNNNNNNNNNNNNNNNNNNNNNNNNNNNNNNNNNNNNNNNNNNNNNNNNNNNNNNNNNNNNNNNNNNNNNNNNNNNNNNNNNNNNNNNNNNNNNNNNNNNNNNNNNNNNNNNNNNNNNNNNNNNNNNNNNNNNNNNNNNNNNNNNNNNNNNNNNNNNNNNNNNNNNNNNNNNNNNNNNNNNNNNNNNNNNNNNNNNNNNNNNNNNNNNNNNNNNNNNNNNNNNNNNNNNNNNNNNNNNNNNNNNNNNNNNNNNNNNNNNNNNNNNNNNNNNNNNNNNNNNNNNNNNNNNNNNNNNNNNNNNNNNNNNNNNNNNNNNNNNNNNNNNNNNNNNNNNNNNNNNNNNNNNNNNNNNNNNNNNNNNNNNNNNNNNNNNNNNNNNNNNNNNNNNNNNNNNNNNNNNNNNNNNNNNNNNNNNNNNNNNNNNNNNNNNNNNNNNNNNNNNNNNNNNNNNNNNNNNNNNNNNNNNNNNNNNNNNNNNNNNNNNNNNNNNNNNNNNNNNNNNNNNNNNNNNNNNNNNNNNNNNNNNNNNNNNNNNNNNNNNNNNNNNNNNNNNNNNNNNNNNNNNNNNNNNNNNNNNNNNNNNNNNNNNNNNNNNNNNNNNNNNNNNNNNNNNNNNNNNNNNNNNNNNNNNNNNNNNNNNNNNNNNNNNNNNNNNNNNNNNNNNNNNNNNNNNNNNNNNNNNNNNNNNNNNNNNNNNNNNNNNNNNNNNNNNNNNNNNNNNNNNNNNNNNNNNNNNNNNNNNNNNNNNNNNNNNNNNNNNNNNNNNNNNNNNNNNNNNNNNNNNNNNNNNNNNNNNNNNNNNNNNNNNNNNNNNNNNNNNNNNNNNNNNNNNNNNNNNNNNNNNNNNNNNNNNNNNNNNNNNNNNNNNNNNNNNNNNNNNNNNNNNNNNNNNNNNNNNNNNNNNNNNNNNNNNNNNNNNNNNNNNNNNNNNNNNNNNNNNNNNNNNNNNNNNNNNNNNNNNNNNNNNNNNNNNNNNNNNNNNNNNNNNNNNNNNNNNNNNNNNNNNNNNNNNNNNNNNNNNNNNNNNNNNNNNNNNNNNNNNNNNNNNNNNNNNNNNNNNNNNNNNNNNNNNNNNNNNNNNNNNNNNNNNNNNNNNNNNNNNNNNNNNNNNNNNNNNNNNNNNNNNNNNNNNNNNNNNNNNNNNNNNNNNNNNNNNNNNNNNNNNNNNNNNNNNNNNNNNNNNNNNNNNNNNNNNNNNNNNNNNNNNNNNNNNNNNNNNNNNNNNNNNNNNNNNNNNNNNNNNNNNNNNNNNNNNNNNNNNNNNNNNNNNNNNNNNNNNNNNNNNNNNNNNNNNNNNNNNNNNNNNNNNNNNNNNNNNNNNNNNNNNNNNNNNNNNNNNNNNNNNNNNNNNNNNNNNNNNNNNNNNNNNNNNNNNNNNNNNNNNNNNNNNNNNNNNNNNNNNNNNNNNNNNNNNNNNNNNNNNNNNNNNNNNNNNNNNNNNNNNNNNNNNNNNNNNNNNNNNNNNNNNNNNNNNNNNNNNNNNNNNNNNNNNNNNNNNNNNNNNNNNNNNNNNNNNNNNNNNNNNNNNNNNNNNNNNNNNNNNNNNNNNNNNNNNNNNNNNNNNNNNNNNNNNNNNNNNNNNNNNNNNNNNNNNNNNNNNNNNNNNNNNNNNNNNNNNNNNNNNNNNNNNNNNNNNNNNNNNNNNNNNNNNNNNNNNNNNNNNNNNNNNNNNNNNNNNNNNNNNNNNNNNNNNNNNNNNNNNNNNNNNNNNNNNNNNNNNNNNNNNNNNNNNNNNNNNNNNNNNNNNNNNNNNNNNNNNNNNNNNNNNNNNNNNNNNNNNNNNNNNNNNNNNNNNNNNNNNNNNNNNNNNNNNNNNNNNNNNNNNNNNNNNNNNNNNNNNNNNNNNNNNNNNNNNNNNNNNNNNNNNNNNNNNNNNNNNNNNNNNNNNNNNNNNNNNNNNNNNNNNNNNNNNNNNNNNNNNNNNNNNNNNNNNNNNNNNNNNNNNNNNNNNNNNNNNNNNNNNNNNNNNNNNNNNNNNNNNNNNNNNNNNNNNNNNNNNNNNNNNNNNNNNNNNNNNNNNNNNNNNNNNNNNNNNNNNNNNNNNNNNNNNNNNNNNNNNNNNNNNNNNNNNNNNNNNNNNNNNNNNNNNNNNNNNNNNNNNNNNNNNNNNNNNNNNNNNNNNNNNNNNNNNNNNNNNNNNNNNNNNNNNNNNNNNNNNNNNNNNNNNNNNNNNNNNNNNNNNNNNNNNNNNNNNNNNNNNNNNNNNNNNNNNNNNNNNNNNNNNNNNNNNNNNNNNNNNNNNNNNNNNNNNNNNNNNNNNNNNNNNNNNNNNNNNNNNNNNNNNNNNNNNNNNNNNNNNNNNNNNNNNNNNNNNNNNNNNNNNNNNNNNNNNNNNNNNNNNNNNNNNNNNNNNNNNNNNNNNNNNNNNNNNNNNNNNNNNNNNNNNNNNNNNNNNNNNNNNNNNNNNNNNNNNNNNNNNNNNNNNNNNNNNNNNNNNNNNNNNNNNNNNNNNNNNNNNNNNNNNNNNNNNNNNNNNNNNNNNNNNNNNNNNNNNNNNNNNNNNNNNNNNNNNNNNNNNNNNNNNNNNNNNNNNNNNNNNNNNNNNNNNNNNNNNNNNNNNNNNNNNNNNNNNNNNNNNNNNNNNNNNNNNNNNNNNNNNNNNNNNNNNNNNNNNNNNNNNNNNNNNNNNNNNNNNNNNNNNNNNNNNNNNNNNNNNNNNNNNNNNNNNNNNNNNNNNNNNNNNNNNNNNNNNNNNNNNNNNNNNNNNNNNNNNNNNNNNNNNNNNNNNNNNNNNNNNNNNNNNNNNNNNNNNNNNNNNNNNNNNNNNNNNNNNNNNNNNNNNNNNNNNNNNNNNNNNNNNNNNNNNNNNNNNNNNNNNNNNNNNNNNNNNNNNNNNNNNNNNNNNNNNNNNNNNNNNNNNNNNNNNNNNNNNNNNNNNNNNNNNNNNNNNNNNNNNNNNNNNNNNNNNNNNNNNNNNNNNNNNNNNNNNNNNNNNNNNNNNNNNNNNNNNNNNNNNNNNNNNNNNNNNNNNNNNNNNNNNNNNNNNNNNNNNNNNNNNNNNNNNNNNNNNNNNNNNNNNNNNNNNNNNNNNNNNNNNNNNNNNNNNNNNNNNNNNNNNNNNNNNNNNNNNNNNNNNNNNNNNNNNNNNNNNNNNNNNNNNNNNNNNNNNNNNNNNNNNNNNNNNNNNNNNNNNNNNNNNNNNNNNNNNNNNNNNNNNNNNNNNNNNNNNNNNNNNNNNNNNNNNNNNNNNNNNNNNNNNNNNNNNNNNNNNNNNNNNNNNNNNNNNNNNNNNNNNNNNNNNNNNNNNNNNNNNNNNNNNNNNNNNNNNNNNNNNNNNNNNNNNNNNNNNNNNNNNNNNNNNNNNNNNNNNNNNNNNNNNNNNNNNNNNNNNNNNNNNNNNNNNNNNNNNNNNNNNNNNNNNNNNNNNNNNNNNNNNNNNNNNNNNNNNNNNNNNNNNNNNNNNNNNNNNNNNNNNNNNNNNNNNNNNNNNNNNNNNNNNNNNNNNNNNNNNNNNNNNNNNNNNNNNNNNNNNNNNNNNNNNNNNNNNNNNNNNNNNNNNNNNNNNNNNNNNNNNNNNNNNNNNNNNNNNNNNNNNNNNNNNNNNNNNNNNNNNNNNNNNNNNNNNNNNNNNNNNNNNNNNNNNNNNNNNNNNNNNNNNNNNNNNNNNNNNNNNNNNNNNNNNNNNNNNNNNNNNNNNNNNNNNNNNNNNNNNNNNNNNNNNNNNNNNNNNNNNNNNNNNNNNNNNNNNNNNNNNNNNNNNNNNNNNNNNNNNNNNNNNNNNNNNNNNNNNNNNNNNNNNNNNNNNNNNNNNNNNNNNNNNNNNNNNNNNNNNNNNNNNNNNNNNNNNNNNNNNNNNNNNNNNNNNNNNNNNNNNNNNNNNNNNNNNNNNNNNNNNNNNNNNNNNNNNNNNNNNNNNNNNNNNNNNNNNNNNNNNNNNNNNNNNNNNNNNNNNNNNNNNNNNNNNNNNNNNNNNNNNNNNNNNNNNNNNNNNNNNNNNNNNNNNNNNNNNNNNNNNNNNNNNNNNNNNNNNNNNNNNNNNNNNNNNNNNNNNNNNNNNNNNNNNNNNNNNNNNNNNNNNNNNNNNNNNNNNNNNNNNNNNNNNNNNNNNNNNNNNNNNNNNNNNNNNNNNNNNNNNNNNNNNNNNNNNNNNNNNNNNNNNNNNNNNNNNNNNNNNNNNNNNNNNNNNNNNNNNNNNNNNNNNNNNNNNNNNNNNNNNNNNNNNNNNNNNNNNNNNNNNNNNNNNNNNNNNNNNNNNNNNNNNNNNNNNNNNNNNNNNNNNNNNNNNNNNNNNNNNNNNNNNNNNNNNNNNNNNNNNNNNNNNNNNNNNNNNNNNNNNNNNNNNNNNNNNNNNNNNNNNNNNNNNNNNNNNNNNNNNNNNNNNNNNNNNNNNNNNNNNNNNNNNNNNNNNNNNNNNNNNNNNNNNNNNNNNNNNNNNNNNNNNNNNNNNNNNNNNNNNNNNNNNNNNNNNNNNNNNNNNNNNNNNNNNNNNNNNNNNNNNNNNNNNNNNNNNNNNNNNNNNNNNNNNNNNNNNNNNNNNNNNNNNNNNNNNNNNNNNNNNNNNNNNNNNNNNNNNNNNNNNNNNNNNNNNNNNNNNNNNNNNNNNNNNNNNNNNNNNNNNNNNNNNNNNNNNNNNNNNNNNNNNNNNNNNNNNNNNNNNNNNNNNNNNNNNNNNNNNNNNNNNNNNNNNNNNNNNNNNNNNNNNNNNNNNNNNNNNNNNNNNNNNNNNNNNNNNNNNNNNNNNNNNNNNNNNNNNNNNNNNNNNNNNNNNNNNNNNNNNNNNNNNNNNNNNNNNNNNNNNNNNNNNNNNNNNNNNNNNNNNNNNNNNNNNNNNNNNNNNNNNNNNNNNNNNNNNNNNNNNNNNNNNNNNNNNNNNNNNNNNNNNNNNNNNNNNNNNNNNNNNNNNNNNNNNNNNNNNNNNNNNNNNNNNNNNNNNNNNNNNNNNNNNNNNNNNNNNNNNNNNNNNNNNNNNNNNNNNNNNNNNNNNNNNNNNNNNNNNNNNNNNNNNNNNNNNNNNNNNNNNNNNNNNNNNNNNNNNNNNNNNNNNNNNNNNNNNNNNNNNNNNNNNNNNNNNNNNNNNNNNNNNNNNNNNNNNNNNNNNNNNNNNNNNNNNNNNNNNNNNNNNNNNNNNNNNNNNNNNNNNNNNNNNNNNNNNNNNNNNNNNNNNNNNNNNNNNNNNNNNNNNNNNNNNNNNNNNNNNNNNNNNNNNNNNNNNNNNNNNNNNNNNNNNNNNNNNNNNNNNNNNNNNNNNNNNNNNNNNNNNNNNNNNNNNNNNNNNNNNNNNNNNNNNNNNNNNNNNNNNNNNNNNNNNNNNNNNNNNNNNNNNNNNNNNNNNNNNNNNNNNNNNNNNNNNNNNNNNNNNNNNNNNNNNNNNNNNNNNNNNNNNNNNNNNNNNNNNNNNNNNNNNNNNNNNNNNNNNNNNNNNNNNNNNNNNNNNNNNNNNNNNNNNNNNNNNNNNNNNNNNNNNNNNNNNNNNNNNNNNNNNNNNNNNNNNNNNNNNNNNNNNNNNNNNNNNNNNNNNNNNNNNNNNNNNNNNNNNNNNNNNNNNNNNNNNNNNNNNNNNNNNNNNNNNNNNNNNNNNNNNNNNNNNNNNNNNNNNNNNNNNNNNNNNNNNNNNNNNNNNNNNNNNNNNNNNNNNNNNNNNNNNNNNNNNNNNNNNNNNNNNNNNNNNNNNNNNNNNNNNNNNNNNNNNNNNNNNNNNNNNNNNNNNNNNNNNNNNNNNNNNNNNNNNNNNNNNNNNNNNNNNNNNNNNNNNNNNNNNNNNNNNNNNNNNNNNNNNNNNNNNNNNNNNNNNNNNNNNNNNNNNNNNNNNNNNNNNNNNNNNNNNNNNNNNNNNNNNNNNNNNNNNNNNNNNNNNNNNNNNNNNNNNNNNNNNNNNNNNNNNNNNNNNNNNNNNNNNNNNNNNNNNNNNNNNNNNNNNNNNNNNNNNNNNNNNNNNNNNNNNNNNNNNNNNNNNNNNNNNNNNNNNNNNNNNNNNNNNNNNNNNNNNNNNNNNNNNNNNNNNNNNNNNNNNNNNNNNNNNNNNNNNNNNNNNNNNNNNNNNNNNNNNNNNNNNNNNNNNNNNNNNNNNNNNNNNNNNNNNNNNNNNNNNNNNNNNNNNNNNNNNNNNNNNNNNNNNNNNNNNNNNNNNNNNNNNNNNNNNNNNNNNNNNNNNNNNNNNNNNNNNNNNNNNNNNNNNNNNNNNNNNNNNNNNNNNNNNNNNNNNNNNNNNNNNNNNNNNNNNNNNNNNNNNNNNNNNNNNNNNNNNNNNNNNNNNNNNNNNNNNNNNNNNNNNNNNNNNNNNNNNNNNNNNNNNNNNNNNNNNNNNNNNNNNNNNNNNNNNNNNNNNNNNNNNNNNNNNNNNNNNNNNNNNNNNNNNNNNNNNNNNNNNNNNNNNNNNNNNNNNNNNNNNNNNNNNNNNNNNNNNNNNNNNNNNNNNNNNNNNNNNNNNNNNNNNNNNNNNNNNNNNNNNNNNNNNNNNNNNNNNNNNNNNNNNNNNNNNNNNNNNNNNNNNNNNNNNNNNNNNNNNNNNNNNNNNNNNNNNNNNNNNNNNNNNNNNNNNNNNNNNNNNNNNNNNNNNNNNNNNNNNNNNNNNNNNNNNNNNNNNNNNNNNNNNNNNNNNNNNNNNNNNNNNNNNNNNNNNNNNNNNNNNNNNNNNNNNNNNNNNNNNNNNNNNNNNNNNNNNNNNNNNNNNNNNNNNNNNNNNNNNNNNNNNNNNNNNNNNNNNNNNNNNNNNNNNNNNNNNNNNNNNNNNNNNNNNNNNNNNNNNNNNNNNNNNNNNNNNNNNNNNNNNNNNNNNNNNNNNNNNNNNNNNNNNNNNNNNNNNNNNNNNNNNNNNNNNNNNNNNNNNNNNNNNNNNNNNNNNNNNNNNNNNNNNNNNNNNNNNNNNNNNNNNNNNNNNNNNNNNNNNNNNNNNNNGAGGAUUCUAAUGUUGCAUCCAUGGAAGUUUCUGUACGCCGUUCAACAGCCUAAUAAUUAACGGUAUUGGUUUUUAAUGUUGUUAAUUACACGCUAUAUAAUGUUAUUUUUUUUUAAAACAUGUAAAUGAUGCCAUUCAUAUAUAUAUAUAUAAUAUAUGAUUUUAUUUUAGAGGGAAAGAACGGGUUACAAAAAGGAAACAGGUAAUUCAAAAAAAAAAAAAAACUAUUUCUCAUCAAAAACAAGACGAUAUAAAAAAUUUGGAAAAUUAUAUUGAAUUUUAAAUUUCAAAUAUCAAAUGACGGGUAUGAUACAUGAAUAUGAAAUUUAAAUAGCAAAAGUAAAUUUUAAAUUACUUAAAUAUUUCAAAUAUCGGGACAAAAAAAAUGGAUACAGAAAGAUAACGGGUAAUUUAAUUAGUUAAUUAUGUACAAGCUUUAUAAUGUUGUUUUUAAAAAACACAUGUAACUGAUUUCAUUUAUAUAUAAAAAUUACGAUCAUAUCUUAGAGGGAAAUAACGGGUAUAAAAAGGGAACAGGUAAUUAAAAAAAAAAGUGUCUAAACUAUUUCUCAUCAAAAACAAGAUGAUAUAAAAAAAUUGGAAAUUUAAAUUCAAUUUUAUCAUUCAAAUAUCAAAUGACAGGUAUGAUACAAGAAUAUGAAAUUUAAAUAGCAAAAGUAAGUUUCAAAUUACUUAAAACUUUCAAAUAUCGGGACAAGAAAUAGCGGAUAUGAAAAGAGAACGGACGAGUAAUUUAAUUAGUUAAUUACAGGCUAUAUAAUGUUAUUUUUAAAACNNNNNNNNNNNNNNNNNNNNNNNNNNNNNNNNNNNNNNNNNNNNNNNNNNNNNNNNNNNNNNNNNNNNNNNNNNNNNNNNNNNNNNNNNNNNNNNNNNNNNNNNNNNNNNNNNNNNNNNNNNNNNNNNNNNNNNNNNNNNNNNNNNNNNNNNNNNNNNNNNNNNNNNNNNNNNNNNNNNNNNNNNNNNNNNNNNNNNNNNNNNNNNNNNNNNNNNNNNNNGUUUCAAAUUACUUAAAUAUUUCAAAUAUCGGGACAAGAAUAACGGAUACGGAAAGAUAACGGUAAUUUAGAAAAUAAAAAUUAUUAUCUUAACUAAGUCUAAUAUUAUACAGAGAGAAUUAUGGGUAACAUUCAAGAAGACAUAUUACUUAUUCAUAUGGGUGGGCCAAAAUAUUUUACUUUGUUGCACGACAUGUAUAGUGAACGGGUUUGACUCUCUUGACAUCUAUAUUUAUGUUAUUUUAUUCAAAAGUUUUAAUGUUUUCUAUUGUUUUUAUGUGAUGUAAUAGUUCGCAAAUUUAAUUGAUUUCUAACUUAUCAUUAAUUUGAUUCACACUCGAUCCGGAUUUCUUAUCAUGUCGGUCCGAAUAUUGCAAACUUUAUGAUAAAUUUAAAUUUUGCAAUCAUCCCCGCACGUACGUGCGGGUCCAUCCCUAGUUCAUAUUAAUAACUAACGCAGAUUUUUGAAAAAAAAAAAAACUAUAACCCAUAUUCUAUUUUAGUCAGCUAAACUAUCUAUAUUAACAUUUUUGAAAUACUUUUUGGAAAGUAACAUUUUAUUUUAUAAUAUUUAUAUAAUUAAUAAAAUGUUUCUAUAAUUAAACCCUUAUCAUUUGAAUAAAUAACAAAAUUUUAAGGUAAAUUUUGUAAUUAAAUCAUAAUAAAAUUGCAUUUCAUAAAUCAACACGAUUAUAGAAACAUAAUUAUGUUUAUGAAAUGAUGUCCAUGAUUUUGAAUUACGUUAUCAUAUUCAAUACAAAUUUCAAAGUGUGAAAUUCUCAUAUUUCAGGUUCGGUUAUCCUUUUUUGUUGUUAACAACAUUUUGUCGGAAUAUCUGUUAAUUGGAUCAUGCCCAAUUGAUUUAUCUGUUAGUCAGAAUUGCAGAUAGUUUUCUUAUCUUCGAGCUUGGAUAGUAUUCAAAAUUUGGGAUUAGGCAGUAUAAUAAUCCAACUAGCUAGAUAUUGACAACAAUUACAUAUCAUAGCACUUCGUUGCGUUUCCCUUUGGUCUGAGCUCCACCAUAGUUAACACGUUUAAGGCACUAUAUAUAUUACUGAUGUAUAUCAGUAUAUGGGAACUGUUUCUGAUAAGUAAGCACAACAUUUGUUUUGAAGCUAUUCAUAUUUUGUAAUUAAAAACUACUUUUCACAUUAGUGUUAUCUCGUCUGCAUGGACAGUUUCAUAAAUGGACUUGUUGGUCUUCAGUCCUAUCCUUAUUAAAAAGAAGACCCCAUAUUUGACAUAAUUGUCCCAAAUAAAUUCACUUUCCAAACCACCACAAGUUUGGUAACAUUAUUAACUUACGAUUAUUGUUUAAGACUAAUUUAGAAAUAUGGUCACUUCAAAUUCAUGGUCAUGUUGUUUGAGCUCACAAAUGCUUGAACCUCGUUCGUGAUGUUUAUAUAUAUGGAGUUUGAAUUAUGUGUUUCAGAAAAUGUAAAGACGAUCAUAUGGUAUGAUAGAUGUUCAUUACCGAUCGAUCGAUGAUAUCGAGAUGUUCAAUGGUAUGACUUUGAAUACAUUUGUGUCACCAGUCACGUGUAACAAGGACCGUUCCAUAAAUGGACUUGAUUGUCGUCUCGUCAGUUUCUGCACUUGAUUACUUAACCCACAUGACUAGAUUGUUGUCAAAUCUUUAUUGGUCCGAUUGUACAAUUCAAGUUUGAAAUAUUUUCCGACUAAUAUUAGUUUUAUAACCUAAAGGCCAAAUGUUAUAGUGGUUUCGUUAAAGGAUUUGCAGCAUAUUAGACUAUCAAACACCAAUAUCUUUCAUUCACAUUACUGAAAACAAAUUAAAAAUCAGACAAUUGAAAUCAAACAAUACCUAAAUUUGUUAAAGGUAAUGACAAUGCUGUAAGUACUCAAUUGUUAUUACAUACUAUUACAACAAAAUUAGUCAUUAAUUUUUUCAAAAUUUAUGUUAUAAUAACGUCAACAUAAAUAUUUCAUCUUUAGAAAAUAUAUAAACCGGAUACAAGAUACUAAAAAAUGUGCUACCUCUUACAUUUUCACUCCAAUGUUCUCUAGCGAUAUAUUGAGUAAAACAAAAUCUAUGUCACUAUGUGACUAUCUCAAAAAAUGGGAAAUAAAGAAUCCUUCAAGCUAAUCCACUAUCAAACGAAGAAGUCCUUACAACUAUCCUCUUUCUUGCUUUGGCAGCCUGCAAUGUCAAAACGACGGCAGCAAGUAACUUCAGGACAGGAGACAAAAAAAGAUUCAUCAAGUGUCAAAAAAGAAGAAGUAAAGAGGUAGCAACUGAGUACUGACCUGCUCAUUCCAGCUCAUGCAAGCAGUGACUAUAGCUAGUAUGAUUCCUUGCGCCGUAGAGCCAACAACCACACCAAUCCAUAGUCCUUUACCGUUCAUGUGACACCAAAAUCCUAAUAAAAUUCCAACCGGACCUCCUAAGAGAUAGUAAGCCACCACAUUUGCCCAAGCUCCUAUAUGUUGCCACCCACUUCCCCUAGCAACCCCUAAAAACCAAAGCAUGUAAAACAUAUUUUGAGUCUAAUAUGAUAGAUGAAGUUUUUGAAUUUUUUAUUACCACCAAGUACUGCCGAGAAUCCAUCGACCAUAAAUGAGAGACAAAGCAAAGGAGAUAGCUCAGUGACAUAGUCCACAACUUCUUUACUGUUGCUGAAGGCGUAACCAAAGAUGUUCCUACAAGUGAAGAGGAGUGUACUACAAAUGGUAGCCUCUAGGAACCAAAGGAAAAUACCGGCAAAUACUGCCAGUCUAGCAACCUCAGGAUUCCCCGCUCCUAACUCGUUUGAAAUCCGUGUGCUGCCAAAGUAAACAUUGUGACUAAUCUAUCUAAACAUUCCGAAACAAAACAUCGAAUCGGUUUUAUCGAUAUCAUCAUACCUUCCAGCAGCCCCAAUACCCAUUGGAAUGACAUAGUGGAGAGAUCCUGUUGUGAGACUGUUAUUGACACAACAACAACCAAGAAGAUUACACUAAAAUAUAUAAUGAAAUGAAGAGUAAAUAUUGGUUUAUAUGAAUUCGACAAAAUGAAAUUUAAACUUAACCAAUAUAUACUCAUUAGACCUAUGUAUUUAGGACACAAGUCUUCCUCAUACUAGAUCUGUAAAAAAGGGGAAACAGAGUUUUCUAGAGAGAAUCAUAGAUUACCAAAUCGAAAGAACCGAGGUCUCGAGUUUCGGGUUAGGGAGGAGUCCUGAGGACAAUACAAGGAACUCAAACAAGGACCAUUCUAUGCUGUACAUAGAAAAAAAAAAGAUCAAACAAUCAAAAAUCAAAAUCAAGAGAGAAGAAAGAAGAGAAUCCACCAAUGAUGAAGAAGAUAAAAUGUUAUUUACCAAGCCAUUGCUGCUGAUGGUAUCCCAUAUUGAAAAAACUGCUUGGCGCUGGACACAAAAUCAUCAGACACAAAGCCACGAGUCUCCACACAAGAGCUUGAAAAUCUCACAUACAAAGCAAGAAUCAACACAUUGAACCAGUAAGACAAACUAAUAGCCAAGGCAGCUCCAUUGCUUCCAAGACCAAACUUGUAGACCAGAACCAAACAAACAGGUAUAUGGAACAAAAGCGUGGUUACGGCACAGUAGAGAAGAGGAAGAACCAAACCCUGAGUCUGAAGAAACCUAGUCAAAGGUUGUUGCACCGCUUGAGAGAACAAAGCAGGUAUAAGACAAACCGCAUAAGAACCAGCUACCCUAGAGAUGUCAGGAUCUUGUCCGAUCGAAACCAAAAGCUUGUCCAUGUAAAACCAGAGAAUCGAUAUGAGUAGACAAAAGGGUACGUUCGAGACUAUUGCAGAGUAAGUAUAAGUCCCGAGUUUAGUGUAUUGCUUAGCUCCAUAAGCUUGACCACAUAGAGUUUCAAGUGCACCCACUAAACCAUACUGCAAAAAAAAGAAGUUUCAAGACUUUGAGAUUAGAUCGGAUCUUGAAACUGGUCAAAACAGAGUAAGCUAGAUAAAUAGUUACCAUGAUGCUAAAGCCGGAGACGUUUGUGAAAGCAGUAGCAAGAGCGACACCAGAGAGCUGGAGUUCGCCACGGUGGCCGGCGACCAUGACUGAGAUAACAGGCAAAAGAUACUGAGCAACGGUCACGGUGGACAUAGGCGCCGCCAUGAGGCUGACGUUCUUUAACUCCGCCGUGAAACUCUUUCUCCAUGUCGGCGUCGACGGCUUAAGACUUCCGGUGUUGGUUACUUGAUCGUCUCCUAGUAAAAGUGGAUCUUCCAUGAUCUUCUUGAAGAAUCUUUAGUUCUUGUCGUCGACCGUGUCUUUACCUAGGAACUUGUGAGAUGAGAGUGCACGAGUUCAGAGAACACAGACAUCUUUAUAUGAAUUAAAAACAGAACACAAUAAACGAGUGGAGUUAAGUAUUUUGUUGGAAGAAAAAGUCAACGCUAUGUGAAUACAUGAUUAAGGGGAGGUGUUCUUGGCUUUAAUAGUUUAAUUAAUUUGGUGGGGAUUUUAGUAGGUGAAUGAAUUAUAAAGAUCUAUAAAUGAAAAAAAAUAUUAUAAAACAAUAACAUUCGGCAGACUGUUUUGCUCGUUCUUCUACGUCACUUGAUUUGUAAGUUUUUUUUUUAAACGAUUGGAACAAUAUUUUAAUAAAUGUUUGGUUGAAAAAAAUAAAAAAAAAAUAACAUUCUACUAUUGGUGAUUUGGUUUAAUUUUAAGAGGAUUUUGGAGUAAUUAGUUGUGAUAAAGUAGUAUCCUAGUAAGAUUUAAAAAAUAUGAAAUGGUCUAUAGGUAACAUUUUGACUAAAUAAUUAAUUCAAGAGUAUAUGUUUGACUUUGAUUCAUGAUUUUUAUUUUUGGUAGUCAUUUAUCCAACAUUUCCACAAAUAAAGAUCAUGACAACUAGCAGAAGAGAGCAAGAGAGACUAAUGCCACACUCACACAUAUACAUAUGAUAUUAUGAUUCAUCAUAGAUUUGUGCCAAGAAUAUGUAUAUCAUAGCUAAUAAAUCAAUCCAUCUUCUUUGGUUUAAAAUAGUGUGGUAAACUAAUGUAACAUGUACCAAUAAACCUUCUUGAUGCUUUUCAUUAUGAUGAUAUUGAUUAGUACUUGUCUUCUUUUCUUGUCUUUUGGCUUUUGCUUUUCAUUCCUAAUUUAAGUUUAACUAAUAGAUUGAUAAACUAAUGAAUACUCCAAAUAUUCUAAUUAAAAACAAGGAAAAUUAUUGAAAUAAAAAUUAAGAAUAUUUGAACUACUUGAAAACAAAAUUUUCGAUCAAAACAUAAUUACCACUGUUAGGAAAAAAAAUUAAUUUCUAAUAAACCAAAGAAAAAUGGUAAAAUUUGAAAUUAAUUAUUAGAUUUUGUAGUAAAUUUAUAGGCAAGUAAAUGAGAAAACUUGAUAAAUACCCCUUUUGGUGUACCCCUUUUCAAAAAUGUUCAUUUCAUCUUUCCCUUUUUAAAAAUACCCUUUUUAAAUCUGAAAAUAUAAAGUUUUAUAUGGUUUAUAAGGUACUUUUAGAUAAUAACUACUAUUGUAAAACUCGAUCCAAAUAUUUAUAAAAUUUUAAAAGGUUUUAAAAUGUUUUUAUAAGGUUUUUAAAAGGCUUACAAGAUCUUUAGAAGUUUUUAAAUGACUGUUAAAAGGUUUUUUUUUUGUAAGUAUUUAUAAAAUAUGUAUAUAAUUUUACGUUACAUAUAAAUGUAAUUUACGUAUAUUUUAUAAACUUACGGACGUAUUUAGAUAAAUUUCAAAAGGUUAGCGGUUUUUUAAAUAAAAUUUAGAAGAUGGAGUAUUUUUAAAAAGUGAUAUUGAAAAGAAUUCUCCCAAGUAAAUUCGUCUCUAACCUUAGAUUUUCAUGAUCCAAUUUGUUAGAACAUUUGGUUUAUGAACAUUUGGGGUCGAGCUAUAAUGUAGAAACGUUCAUUUAUUUGGUUUCAUCUUAUUGGUCAACCAUACUUUUCGACAAUGAACUUUCUUCUGACCAAAAGCUUAACUGGUUCACGUUCAUGUUUAAAUUUAGCUAAAUCCAUAAAUAGAUUAUUUACUAAUCAAAAAUUUAACAUAUAAAUAUCCCACAUUCAUGGCUUUAUUACUCAAAAAAAUUAACUUAGAUUUAAAAAAAAAAGAAAAAAAUGAAUCAACUCAUAGUUUUUGCUUUAGUUAUUGCGUUACAUGUUUCGUUAAAUGAAGCAUGCAACAAAGUAAACAUCGUAGAGAUUCAUAACAACCUCGCUCCCGGUAGAGUUCUCAUGCAUCAUUGUACUGGUAGUAUCAACGAGCAAGACAAAGGUGUUCAAUAUUUAAAGUUCAACGAAGUUUUUCGCAUUGAGUUUUCGGAUGUUUCCAACAGACGUGAAAGGACAGAGUGGAAUUGCUUAUUGAGGCAUGGAGAUAAAUUGGAGUAUCAAUUUAAAGUUCAAGUAUACAGAGCUGCUGCUCUUGAACGAUGUGAUCAGUACCGUUCAUGGACAGCCAAAAACGAUGGGAUUUGGUUUAGAAGAGAUCGUACUAAACCAUCAGGGCAUGUAUUAAACUGGAAAAAGACUUGAUAAGUUUUGUGUUUUUUAUAUAUAUAUAUUUAUUUCGCAUCUUAUAAAUCUAUGCGUAAAAUAAGAGUCACAACAUUUGAUGUUUGGAUAUAUAUAGCAAAGUAUUGUAAUAAAACAUGUGUUUAGUGAUAUAUUGUAUUUGUAUCAAUGUUUUAAAUAAUAACACAUUAUCUUAAUUGAUUGUUCGAGUAAUUAAUUACUCGAUAGACUUAAUUGAAAGGUAGUAUAUGCGAGGUCGAUCCACCUGGAAUAAAAAACAUAUGCUCUAUCACAUUUAUAUUUGAUUCAAUUAAAUUUAAGAACAUAGAUUAGGAGUGAAGUGACCUUAAUCUAGUGGCAAAUGAUAAUUUCACUGAUGGACAGACACCAUCACACCAGAGAUCGAGUCCUGCUCCCUAUAUAUUUGUAGGGAUUAGGCAAAUGUACCAGCCAGUUGUGGCUCAAUAAUGACAGAAAAAAAAAACCUAGAUUAAGAUAGUUUCAUGUAUCCAAAAUUCUAAAGAUGGAUAAGGUCUUGUAAAAAAAAUGUUAUUAUAUAAUUUAAUCCAAGAAAUUAACAUAUGGUUGAUCUGUGCCAUUAUUAAAUCUUAUGAUCAGCACAACAUUACACAAUUGAAGAAUGAUAAACCAAACCACUACGCCAUUCCUUUGUAAGCCUUAAAUUCAAACACAAGCAACUAGGUUUCUUAAAACACAUAUAUAUCAUCAUUGGCACUACUACAUAUCUAGUUAGUCCCUUUUAUGGAUAUAGAUACUUGGAUUUUAGAAAAAUUCAGAGCUUUACUACAAUGGGACUUCUCACACGGUGCUUCUUGUCUGACCAAACCAAUUCUCCAAACACAUAGUCCUUAGCCACAUUCCCUUUAACCUUCACAAGUGUCACUUUAAACGUCUUUUGCUCUCCAACUUUGGUAAAGUUCAAGCUCGUGGGCUUCACCGCGACAUAAACACCUUGUGGGUUAGUCACCCGGACGGUAUAAGUAGAAGGUCGUCCAACGUUUUUUACUGUCCUUGAGAUGGUGAUUUUGCUUGAUGUUAAGUUUGGAACUGUGAUGGAAGGAUAGUUAAGGUUGACAAGACUGGUUUUGGGGCUUGAACAAGUAAAGUUGUUUCCCGAGAAGACCGCGAUUUGUGAUGCAUUGUAUCCUAGGGAGCAUAAGAAGUUGAGGUAAUCUUUGACGCCUGAAUCAUAUACCAAACCGGGGUUCACGGCUAGAUUUGGUUGGACGUGUCCUGCUCCAAAACUGAAAGGUGUUGCCUUCAUGUUGGUUGCAUUUUGGAUAGGUCCAGGGAUGUCAUCCAUUGUUGUUGCUGCAAGGGAAAUAACAAAACACAAGGUAUGAUAAAAUCCAUUUCCAACAAAACCAAGAAAACAGAACAUGGCCUUGGAAGAAACAAGAUUUGGUUACAAGUCAAUGGUGUUAUAUAUAUUCCACAAUAGUAGAAGUUAAUGUGUUUUAAGUGUUAAAGUAUUAGACUUUAAUCUUUUUCAGCAAUGUGUUAGCUCAAGAAUCGAAUACAUUCUUACCGGUAGUCAUGAUGGCAGAGCGGAUAGCUGCGGGGCUCCAAGACGGAUAACGGGUUUUGAGAAGUCCAGCAAUGCCAGAGACAUGAGGACAAGACAUGGAGGUUCCUGAAACAGCAUUGUACAAAAGUCUUCGCGGAUCAAACUGUUCGUUUGUUGGAGAGACCGCACCAGUGUAAGCAGCGAUCACACUCACACCAGGAGCAGUUAUGUCAGGCUUUAGAAUCUCAGGAGCCACAGUGCUUGGACCUUUAGAAGAAAAAGAAGCCAUCACAGGUGCUGGUUUUAAUCCUAAAUCUGUCCUCGAAGGAGUAAUGUGCGCUAUCGGGUUCCUACAUCGACAAAUAAAGCUUUCUUUUAGAACUUGAAACAAGUUAAGUUUUAGUUAAAAGUGACUAUAGAAUCCUACUUGGUUUGGCUAAUGUAUCUUGACACAGCAAGACUGUCCGUAGAAGUGAGCUGUGUGGCUGGAAGGACAUGCGGAUCAGCGAUUAGAUCAUUCCCGGUAACAUUAGUGUUUUCAAGAACCAUCCCUACACCACCGGCUAAAGCCACAGCUCGACCCUUUUCUACCCUCCCGUUCUGUCCUCUAAGACACACCAAUAUCUUCCCCUUGGCCUUUUUAGGGUCAAGCGAUCCAAUUUUGCAUAAUUGUCUACACCAACAGAGAUAUACAAAGUUAAAACUCUUAUCACUUAAAAAAAAAGAACAUAAACCAAAUAAGUAACAAGAUUAGCCAAACUCACGCAUCCAAGGCUGAAGCAUUCUUAGCUUUUGCUCUUAUAGAUGACAUUAUUGGAUAGAACUUAGCAUGUGGCAACACUGUGGAUGACAAACUUUGUCCCUAUGAAUACAUAAGAUUCAAACCUCAAUAUCAAGAUUUGAGAAUUUUGAUAUGAUUCGAUAUUUUUUUUGGACUUUUAAUCAUAAGUCUAACCUUAUAAUGCUUUCCAUUACCAAGCACAAGGUUGCUAGCAAAAACACGGUCCAUGGUACUAGCACCAACGGUGAUCUGCCACGGCGCGACGUUCGAAACCGAACCAUCGACCGGACCAGAGUUUCCGGCCGAGCAAACAACAACAAUCCGCUUCUUAGCUGCAUGAAACGAACCAAUAGCUACACUGUCGUUAAAAAACGAUGUAGCCUCGCCGCCUAAGGAAACAGAGAUGACGUCAGCUCCGUCGUGUAUGGCGGCGUCGAAAGCUGCGAGGACGUCAGCGUCGUAGCACUCGUUGCCUUUGACCGGUGGCCAACAGACUUUGUAAGCGGCGACUCUAGCACGUGGUGAGCCACCUUUGGCUGUGCCGUUGCCUUGGCUGAAAACGCUGACUCCGGGGACGAAAGCUCCGGCGGCGGUGGAGAGAGUGUGGGAGCCGUGACCGUCGAGAUCACGUGGAGACUCGAAGGUUGAGUUGAGAGGUCCAACGGCAGCUGCGUAGCCUUUGUGGAAGUAUCUUGCUCCUAUCAGUUUCCUUCAUUCACAUUUGUUAUGUAUUAGCUUAAUUAACAUUUAAGUGUUAUAUUACUUUACAAUUAUACAAGUUUUACUUUAAAAAUGUUUUAAUGCUUUUUUUACUAUAGCAAAGUAUAUUUUAAUUUUUUACAGGUUUUUAUAAAAUAAAUAAUAAAAAAUAAAAGUAAUAUAUUACAGAGUAUCAAUUUAGUUUUUUUUUUCCAUGUAAUUUAAAGGGAAUCAUAUAUGAAUAUUUUUGUUUCUUUUUUCUUUUUGGGAUUCCAUUUCUAUCUUUCACCAAGAAAAACAGAUAAAAAAGAAAAGUUCAGAAUCAAAUGUCUAAGAUAAGUAAAGAUUCUACAAAAGUGUUCGAUACUUUUAACAACAACAAAAAAUAAAAUAAUAUAUAUGGUCGAUAACUAUAUCCUAAGUGUUAAGUAAGAAAUUGAUGGGAAAAAAUAGUGUUAUUUAUUUAAUUUACAUGUUAUUUUAUUUUAAUUAUAUUUCUUAAAAAAAAUGUUCUUCAAUAUUAAAAAUUGGUAUCUAGAAAUAUAUAUAUUUUUUUCUUAUUUAAAGGUAAUAAUAUAUAGUCUUAUCACUCAAGGUUGCCCAUCAAGAGAUGAUUUAUCGAAAGUUCCAAAAAAUGAGUUCUAUUUUUGAUGACUUCUUUAUAACUACAAGUCUACAACACGUGUCUUCUUAUUGUUUAAUGAGAAUUGUGAAUUCUUCGAUUUGUCCCAUUACUUAAUUCAACCACUAGGUGUAGUCAAACUCCUAAAAGUUGUGAACAGAUAAUUCCAGAAUUUGUUUAGUAUCUUAUGAUAAUGAUAAUUCUACUUAACGUGAAAAUGAUUGAACAACCAAUUUGAAAGAACAAAAAGAGAAAAAGAGAGAAAGGAACCUAUUGCAAUGGAAAGUGGCAUCUUUUUGGUUUUGACAUAUUCCUUUCCAUCUUGAAGGUAUUGGUCCCAAGCCUUCAUCUCUAAAGCUCUUUGAUUCUGGCCACACACCUUUUAUACACACAACACAAUUGAUUCUUAUUAAUACAUAGACAAUUAGUGUGGGAUUAAGUUAUCAAAAAUGUAUUAUGGUGUCUCAUACUAAUCACACAACCAAUCAUUUGGUUAUGUGGCAACUUUGAUUGCUUUUAUGAAUCAAUAUGAAAAUGUUCUAGUUCUCAUGCAUAUCCCAACUUUUGAAGUCCAAAGCAUUUUGUAUUCUUUAAACACUUUUGAAAGUACAGAUUCGGUAAGAGAAAAUACGUUUCUCGAACUAGAAACUCCAAUUAUUAACCUAAUAAUAGAAAGUGUUUCUUUACUAAACACACUUGAAAAAUCAUCUAGCUAAAAGCCUAAAACCGAAUUAAUGAUUAUGAAAAGCUAAAUUACAAAAUCUUUAAUUAGAUCACAUGCGCUAGCUAAGUUGAAUAGUUGGUUCAUCAUCUACAAAAAUGGUAAUUUAGAUUAUUGUAACUUUUUUACUUCUUUGAUCGAUUAGGAAAUUAUGGAAACACUUAGGUCCAUAGUCUUUUUCGUCCAGGACCAUGUGAUUUAUACAUUUCUUUCAAACAAGGUUCAAAUUAGAGUAGAUAGAUAGAGCAAUCUCCUUCAUUAAUUGAUGCUAAGACCACUAGACUACCCACUUGUUACAUAACUUUUUUUGAUAUUUUGAAAAAACUCAAGUCAUUAGUCAUAACUACUAUAUUUAGAUUGCGUUAACUUUAUGUUAAAAGACAAUUGCCUCGUGCCAAAACACAUUACUUGUACGAUGAGUUCUUCACUAACUUUUCUACUCCCUAAAUUUGUAUAGAUGGAAAGGUUUCUAUUUAUAUAUCUGAUAUUUUGUUAAUUCAUUUGCAUAGCUUAUUGUGAAUAAUAAUAAGUCAAACUAUACGAUACAUUCAACAUAUAUAAUAUUAAAGAUGAUAGAGAUGCAUAAGCCUAGUUGAAGAGAAGAGAAUAUGAAUAUUAAUGAAUAUGCAUAUGCGCACAUGCGUGCAUAUAUAUAUAUGGCUGAUUUGAUUCUUGCUGACAUCUAGAGAUCAUUAACUACUACUAAUACUAGCUUAAUCAAAUUCACAAACGAAUAUAUAUUUCUUGUAAUGCAAGUUUGAAAAUAUAUAUAUUUUUUAAAGUAAGGUACGUAUCUUCCCAAAAACCCAUCUAAAGUCUCCCGAAGUUGCAAAGGUUGACUAAGAAAAAAAAAUAGAAAUAUUAAAAAAGAAACAAACCCGUAUCGAGAUUUGCGAUGAUGGUAUCUUCUCCGAAUCUAGCUUUUUUCCAAAUGGAAGAGGAAGGGACGUAAGAGUUGUGUUCUAAACCUAAGAAGUCCCAUGAUCUUGUCGUGUGGAGCUUCAAGGCUUUGUUUGGGAAGACAGACACAACUUCGGGGUGUUCUUGAUGUAUAAUCAAGAAAAGAGAAAACAGAGUUAACUCUUUAAGCACAAACAGAGAAAAAGACAAAAGAAUGUAAUGUUUUUGUAUACUUACUUGAGAUUGCAUAUGCGAGGUCGUGGUCUAGAUGAGCAGCAAACCCGUUGAUGUGUUUUGUGUACGAGUAGAAAAUGUCGUUCGUAGCUUUCUCAAGGCUGUUUCAACAGAACCAAGAGUUAGUUAAGUCAGUGAAAAUGGGUAAUAGAUUAAUAAUGUGUUGUUUGGUUUUAAAAGGAACCUUCCGGUGAAGGAACCAAGAAAGUCAUAGUGUGUUUCUUUGACACGAUCCAUGGCAUCUUCUGUUAUCUCUCCGACAUGAGAGUGAGCUCCAAAGUACACCACAUAUGAAGAUGAGGACUGAAAUCAAACAAAACACUAGUUAAGAGAUGAAUGUGGAAUAAAAGAGUGUGUUAUAUAGUGUAAAUGGGUAAUGAAAUGUACAUCUUUAGAAGCAAGGAUGGGGUUUGAAGCUAGAUGGAGAAGAACAAGAAGAGAGGGAAGAAAAAAUAGCUUCAUUCUUCUUCUUCUUCUGAUACUCUCACAAUGUAUUUUUUUGUUGGACUUUUUAAGUUUGGGUUGUGCAUUGUGUGUUGCUUGCUUCUUUAUAAAGAGAGUUAGUUUUUUAUUUUCCAUUUUUAUUGUUUUUGUAAACUAUUUUGGUUGUGCCGUGUUAUGUAAAACUAAAAGUAAAGAAACAAUGAAACCCUUUUUAGAACUUAAAAAAAAAACAAUACGUUAUAUAAUACUCAGUUCCUAAAAGAUAAUUUUUCUAAUUUUUUAUACAUAUUAAAAAAACAUCUAAAGUUGAUAAAAAAUUGUAUCAUUUUUUGUGAUUCACGGAUUUUUUAGAACUCUAAACCAAUAAUAUUUUGUUAUUUAUCUUCAAAUUGAUAAGUUCUAAUCAAUAACGCAUUGAAAACUUAAAACAAUAAUCUUUUUGAAACAAUUUUUUUUAAUAUCUUUUAGGAAUAAAAGGAAUAUCUUUUUAAAUAAGUGAUAUUAUGAUAUCGUUUUCUAUUCGAAAUAAUCAAAUACUAUAGUUUUAUAUGAAUAUGAAUUUGUUGCUGAAAAAAGGGGAAGCUUAGGGGUAAUAAGGUGGUUUUGGAAUAAAAAUGAUAAGGUGCUCAAGUGGUCACAUUGCGUCACAAAUAAUGGAGUUUCCAUUGAUGCUAUAUUUGGCAGCUAAAAACUGAUAACUUGUGACUUGUUGGUUGGUUCUAAUCUAAUCAUUUGUCUUCUCUAUACUUAAAAGAAGAAAACCUUAUGGCUAAAAGAAAUUGUACUCUAUUGAUAGUAAAAAUAGGGAAUAGCUAGCACAACACAACAAUAGAUGGGCUAAAACAAAGGGUUAUGAAGUGACAAGGAAAAAUUGGAAAACUAGAUGAGUAAAAAAGAUGAACUGUGCUAGCAAAAAAAUCACUUAAUUAAAUAUUUGAAAAUUGUAUCAUUAGAGUUGAAUAUUGCUAUAUAAAGUUUUUAAAACAUAUAUAUCUGUCUAAAACAUGUGGAUAAUCUGAACUACGUACAUAUUGUUUAUAAUUAUUUUUAAAUAUGUAAUGGUUAAUUUAAUUAGAGUAUAUUAAGGUAGUAAAUCAUUUUUCUGCUAUUAGACUUUACUUCCUAUGUUCCUUUUAUAGAUUGAUGGUUUGACAUUUUCACACAUAUUAAGAAAAAAAAAAAACCAUUAGAUAACAUGUCAUGUGGAGAAAACAUAAAAAGUGAAAACAUAGUUUCAGGAUUUAUAAAUAUUCAAAUUCAAUAUUUUUAGGAACAAGAAGAAAUCCCAAAAACAUCCAUCUACUAUGAACACAAGGAGUAUGAAUCUUCUCUUACUGUGAUUUUUGGCACUUUAAGCCAGAUUUAGGAUAUUUUGGAUUGAUUUUGUGUUUUGUCUAAAUGAUCCAUAGAUGAGUAAGACCACUUGUUGCUAGGCCCAUACUCAAGUAUGACACACUUGAUACAUGUGGUCAAACAUGUAGUAGUCAAACAGGGAGAAAUCUCGACCAUGAUGUUCAAGUCAUGGAUUUUUUAAAAAUUUGUAUGUUUUUAAGUGUUAAAUGUUUGAAGGUUGUGGUCGUGAAUAUAGUUUUAUAAGGGUAUAUAUACGAUCAUGGACAUGAGACUGAUUAGGAGUGAUAGCUGCAUGAAGUCUACGAACCACAUGGAUCGAAGAGUCGAUCGCACAUGACGAAGAGGGAGUUUGUGAUUGAUGAUUCAGAAUUUCAUCGUUGACGGCUCAGUCUUGAACCUCCGGCGAAUGCAUUCUAAAACUAUAUUUGGUCGUAAAUAGGUGUUUUAUAUUCUGCAUUUGUCUUUCUUCUUUUACAACUUAUCUGGCAAGGACAAUAAAAAACGUCAUCGUUUCAUGUUAUUCCCGCAGAUUCAUUGCUUGGUUAAAUGGAUGGACCAAAAAAUUGGUUUAACUACCUUUUAUGCUUCCAUGAUUUUAUCUUUUUACCAUAUAACCAUAUUUAUAGGUUUCUAAUCUUUGAUUGUAACCUAAACUAUUUUCAUUAUCUAUGAAAUAUUUACGAUUUUACAAAAAAAAAAAACAAAAAAUCUGCAAACCACAUGAUUCUCUAAAAAAAACGUUUUAAACUCAUAACAAUUUCUUACAUUUGUAGCAUAUUAACUCGCAUUAGUCGUUGAUCUAUUCCAUGACCACGAUUGUUUAUUUUGCAUGUUUAUCGACUCCCCUAGUCAAACCUGACUAUUAAGUUUCGGCUACACUAAAUACAAUAAGUUAAAGGACCACCAUACCAGUUUUAAUAAUCAUAGUGUACUUACAUGUGACUUAAUCAUGCUUUAUUUUCAUUUGAUAAUAAACCAUAUUUUAUAAAAUGAAAAUUAUGCUAAUUAUAUAAAAAUCAAAAUUUACUAAAUCACUUCGUUUACUCAACUGAAAUUGUUUCAUGCUCAUCUAAAAAAACAUGCAAAAAUGCGAAAACUUCUUUUUUACAACUAUUUUGCCAUAUUGAUAAUUUUUGAAAACCCCUACUAUUAAUAUAGCACUUAUAAUAAUUAUACCAAAUAUCAUAGGAAAAAUAUGAUUUGAUGACCGAAAGCAAUAUUAUUCCAUUAAUAUUCUUUUAAAAAUGAAAAGAUAGAAGAAUCUAUGAUCCGGUAAGGUCGAAAUUGCACACGCGAACAUGAAGAUAACGUAAUGGACCAAUGAUUAUUAUUAUUACUUUUAUUUUCAUUUCUUUUUUUGUCAUCACAAAGACCAAAUGAUAACAUGACAAGUUAGCUAACUAGACAACAUCCUUAGUGUUGUUGUUAUAUGAUUCCUCAAAUGGACCACCCGUAUAUACUUUUCUGUAUGUUUGGAAUGUGUCUUUUGCUACCAACACUUUGCAUACGCGUGCGUGCGUGGAAGGUACUUUGCUUGUUUUGGAUGCUAACUUAAAGGUAAAUUUUUUGAGAAUUUGAUAUCCCGAACCAAUGUCUUAACGGUAUGAGUAAGAAUAAGUCAUUCAAAAUGUUAUCUUUAUUGAAGUUAAUUAGCCAGUUCUAUAUAUCUCCACACAAAGUUUUGAUUAAGUUCACAAUCUUAUCAAACUUGAUCCUUGGAUGCUAGCUACUUGAUCCUCGGAUUCUAGUCGGAAACAUCGAUAAAUACACACACACAAAAUCUAAACUCUUUUUUUUGCUUUCAUAUCGCAUGUGUGCCAAGAUUGAACCAAAAAUAUAUAUUACAUAUGCGCGCGGUAGUAUAGAUGGGAUCGAAUCCACAAAGAGCAUGGGAUUAUGUGACAACUAUAUAAAGUUGAAUCCAUAUGAAAUUGUAAUAUGUUUAGGGGUUUUUCAAAAUGUAACAAAAACAAGUGCAAUUUUUUUGUGUGACAACAAAAGGUAUUAUGUACUACGUCAAGACAAUAAAGAAAUCAAGAACCCUUUAGUCCUAACUGUGUUUUGUCGGGUAAAUUCUUUGUAAUACUCAUUAAUCAAUAACUCUUAUAAAUUCUUUAAGAAUAUGAACCCAACUAACUAUUGUGUUGCUAUUUUAAGUAUAUUAAAAAACAUCUGUCAUUUAGGCAAAACCAAUUGGAUUUAUUUUGGUUAUAAUGUUAGAAUAGGUUAUUACCAAAACAAAAAAUAGAAAGAACAAACGGAUAUGGCAAAACAAAUACAGUUUAUGUUUGUUGAGAUGAAACAUCCUUCAACGUCCUUACGCGUUAUCUUCAUCCUUACAUGGAGGUUUCUCUUCUUGAUCUCCCAAUCAUUCUUCCUUAAUCUAUUUUCCCCUUUAGAUUUAUCUCUAUCCAAAAUCUCCUGACAAUUCUCCUCCAAACCUAUCUUCUCUAGUUUGAUCUCUAUUGCUCGUUUUGUUACCUCUCUCACGUUCUUGAAUCUAAAGAAGUCACUAGGAGAUUUGUUCACGAGCCUUUGAGAGAAGUUUGGCACCAUUGGUUGAUAUGUAAAACCCGUUUAUGUUAGAAUUUGUUAUCUUUUGUGUGUAAAACGUUGAGAAGCGAUCGAUCAUGUCGUUUAGAUCACAAUCAACGGGAAGUAGUCAAUUCGCAGAGAAGAUAACAGAGGAUCCUGUAACGUAUAAGACGGCGCAAAGCACCGUGACUUGCAUCUACCAAGCGCAUAUAUCCGGAUUUUGGAGGAAUGUGACGGUAUUGUGGUCCAAGAAUCUUAUGAAUCAUUCGCUUAUGGUCAUGGUGACUAGCGUGGAAGGCGAUAUGAAUUAUUGUUGCAAGGUUGAUCUCAAGCCUUGGCAUUUUUGGAACAAGAAAGGCUACAAGUCGUUUGAGGUGGAAGGUAACCCGGUAGAGGUUUAUUGGGAUUUUAGGUCUGCGAAAUUCAUGAGUAGCCCCGAGCCAAGCUCGGAUUUCUACGUGGCUUUAGUCUCGGAGGAAGAGGUUGUUUUGUUGGUGGGUGAUUACAAGAAGAAAGCUUUCAAGAGAACAAAGUCAAGACCAGCUUUGGUCGAGGCUGCCUUGUUCUGCAAGAAAGAAAACGUGUUUGGCAAGAAAUGUUUUACCACCAGGGCUAAGUUUUACGACAAGAAAAAAGAGCACGAGAUCAACGUGGAAAGCUCGACCUCGGGGUCUAAAGAGCCAGAGAUGUGGAUAAGCAUAGAUGGAAUUGUGUUGGUACAAGUCAAAAAUCUACAAUGGAAGUUUAGAGGGAACGAGACCGUACUUGUAGAUAAACAACCUGUUCAAGUGUUUUGGGAUGUGUAUGAUUGGUUGUUCAGUACGCCAGGGACAGGCCAUGGUAUGUUUAUAUUCAAACCCGGGAACGCUGAAGAUAUCGACAUGGAAGGAAGUGGUCACGGUGGUGGUGGUGGUGAGAGCGAUACAAGUACAGCGAACAAGAACUAUUCGACCAAGAGUAGUAACCCUUGGCCGCCUGAGUUUUGCCUUUUUCUUCAUGCUUGGAAACUGGAGUAGUAGUACUAUUGCGAACACAAGAAGCUCUUGUGCCUAUUCACUUAUUGUUGUGUCCUGUGUGGGUGUAAAUUAUAUCUAUCUUUUCCUCAUAUGUUAUUAUAAGAUGGAAACAACACAAUCACGACAAUGUUAUGUGGUAGAAAUAUUUGUAAUGCUCCGAUCCAAAUGCCCUCUAACGACACACUUUUUCUACAACAAGGUUUUUCUCUUAUAUGUCUUUCUUCUAUUAUUAAAGAGUUUUCUACAAUAUAGUGUUCGGUAAGAAACUUAAAUGUAGUAUUGUUAAGUCAUAUUAUAGCGUUUACAUGUGUAUUUAAUACACAUGUAUGAUGCUAUUAAAACCCAAUAUUUUGUAGUGAAUUAUAUAUAUAGUUUUAAAAUGUAUUAAUCUAUCUUAUUAUAUAAACCUUGGUUUUCAAAGUCAGCCAUUAACAAGAUCGUGACACGUGUCAAUUAUAAACGAUAAGAUGUUGACACGUGUCGUAACUAAUUUUGUUAAUAUUUGGAUAAAAUAGAAAUAUUAUUAACUGUAUCGAAAAAGGAAAUAUAUAAAAUAAAUACUAUAAAAAUUAUAUAUUAAAAAUUAUUAGUAAAAUUAAAUAAAUAACCUAAUUUUAGUUAUGUCAAUUUGGUUUAUUAAUAAGAUAGUGAUUUAAAAUUUAUAAUUAACAAGAAUAUAUGGCGAUUUUUGUUUACAGAAGAGAAUUAAGGUUUAAACUUUAAUUUUACAAUUAAAUCAUGUUAUUUGUUGGUUUGGGUAUAUAAAUAAUAAAAACAUAUAAAAACUUUUUAAACCUUAUAAAAACCGUAUAAAAGUCUUAUAAAUGCCGUUUACAACCUUUUUAAAACUUUAUAAAUAUUUGUAUUGAGUCUCCCAAAAGUAAUGCUGAUCUAGAUGUACCUUAUAAACUAUAUACAAGUUUAAAAAUUUUCAUAUCUGAAAAGGAAUAUUUUUAAAAUGGAUAGAAAAUUGGUGUAUUUUUAAAAAGGGGUACACCAAAACGGGUAUUUCUCAAAAAUUAUCUUUCAACUAUUAACCUAAUUUUUGGUUUUGCCAGUUGUAGGUUUUACAAUUAUAAUGGUUAGAUGUUGAGUUUAUAAAUCUGCAUUAUAAUUUAGAUUUUAUAAUUAAACGAGAUCAUUUAUCGGUUUGGGUUUAUUAAAGAGGAGUGAGAUUUAGGUUUUACAAUUAAACAAGCUUAUUUAUCAGUUUGGGUUCAUAAAGGAGAAUUAGGAUUUAUAGUUUACAAAUAAAUUAGAUUUCAUUGUCUAAAACAUAAGGGUGAAUAAAAGAUUUUCAAAAAUAAUAUUUUUAGCUUAAAUUAAAGAUAAUAAAGUUCAAUAUCAAUCGUAAUAUAGUAAUUUUAAAAUAUUUUUAAAGAAAAUAUGUAGUUUUUUUAUAAUUCUUAUUUGAAAGAUUUUUUAAUGUUUUCCUCAACGAUGCUAUAUUUAUUUUAGAAUCUUUAUGUUUAUUUGCGUUGUUUAUAUGAAUUUAUUUACAAAUGACUGUAUUUGUAUUUAACAUCAUAUUUUAGAUUGAUGUUAAUUUGAAAGAACUUUACCAUCAUAUUAAAUAAUAAUUAAUUAAUUUUCAUAGUCUGAGAAUGAUUUUUUGAAAAAUUGAAAGUUAAGAAAUAAUUUUUUUUACAAANNNNNNNNNNNNNNNNNNNNNNNNNNNNNNNNNNNNNNNNNNNNNNNNNNNNNNNNNNNNNNNNNNNNNNNNNNNNNNNNNNNNNNNNNNNNNNNNNNNNGAGGAUAAUUGCUAAAUUAAGAUUUUUAAAAAUAUUUUAUCAAUAUUAUGAGUAAUGGUGAAUAGCUCCCAAAUAGCUCCCAAAUGUUUUGGUGAUUGUCAAUUUGACAUUACUAGAUUUUUAUAAUUAAUGUUUAGUAACGAAUUUUAAGAGAUAUAGUUAUAUAUACACGUUUAUUUGAUACUUCAAACCAAAUAAAAUCUCUUUUCAAAAUUUUUUUUUGAAAAUUGUUUUCUUUAUAAGUUAUAAUAAAUUUUCAUUUUAAUUUAAUUUUAAAUAAAGAUAACCCGUCCAUCGGACGGGUACUAAACUAGUUCUCUAUAAUUCAACGUACGGUGGUGAUUGUAUGAUGAAUUGAUAAUGAUGGUAUGAUAGUAUAUAAUGAUGAUAUAUGAUGAUCAUAAUUAUUUAUUUAUUAAUAAAAAUAUUUAAUUAAUUAACUAUUAACAUUAAUGAGUCAACUCAUUUAACGAUUUCACUCAUGAGAUUAAAUGAGUUUAUGGGUUGACUCAAAUUAUUUAAACAAAUGAGUUGAAUCAACACAUUACCCAUUUAACUCUAAACUCAUUAGGUAAUGGAGUUGAGUUGGGUUAUCCAUUUUGACACUCCUAAUCGUACAUAUUGCUUUAACUCUUGUGAAUUAAGAAUUCGUGCUAUUUUACGAAUUAGGAUUAAAAUUUGAUAAGAUAAAAUUUUACCAGUUGACAAAAAAAAAUGUCAUUACAAAUUUUAAUAGUAAAAAAAGGAAAUGUAUAGUCAACAUUUAAUUUCCUAAAAAGUAUGUCAAAAGAUUUAAUAUGAUGCACAAUAGUGAAAGGAGUAAAAGGAAUGUGAUCAAUAUAUUUUUUUUUUGGUCAACAAAAUGGUCAAUAUAUUUAUAGCAUUAAUUAUUAAUAGAAUUAUUGGGUAAAUCAUUAUUUUGGUAUAUUGACUACUACCACAAAUUUGUAUUAUUCUUCUAUAUAUUUGGAAGUAAAUUCAAUUUUUAUGUGCAAAGAGUUAAAGUCCAUAGAACACCACAACCAUAUAGAGAUUGUGGCUCAAUCCAGUUUUUAGUAUUGGUCUAUAUUAGUUUGACCAGCACUAAUGUUGAAGAUCUUAUCUCUUUACCUAAGCUCUAUUUAAAUAAAUCUGUUCAUUAUAUUUUCUCCACAAACACAGCAAAAAAAAAAAGAGAGAAAUCAAAAUCAAAGAGUGACCAUGACAAGAAAAGCGAUAAAACUUGCAUGGAUAGAAAAUGCCAACGCAAGAACAAUAUGUUUGAAGAGAAGGAAGGAAGGGUUAGUGAAAAAACUAAAAGAGCUAACAAUAUUGUGUAGUAUAAAUGUAUGCAUGAUCAUGUUCAGCCCUAACGAGGCUGAGCCAAUGGUGUGGCCAUCUGCUGAGAAGGCUCGUGGCCUCCUAGCCGAUUUCAAUGCCUUGUCGGAGGUCGAGAAGACGAAGAAACAAACAAGUCUCGAGUCAUUCAUGAAGGAGAAGAUAAAGAAGGUCCAUGAACAAAUCAUGAAGACUCGUAAGAAGAACAUUAGUUAUGCCAUUGAUCACUUGAUGGUGAAACUACAUCGUGGAGGUGGUAUUCAUGAUCUUAACUUAAGUGAGAUCUAUGAUUUGAUAUCUUUCUUAAGGGAUAAUAUCAUACUUUAUAGGAAAAUGCUAGGUUUCGCGCAAUAUCCUCUGCUUCAAGAUCCACCGGUGCAACCACAAUUUGAGGAGUUUACGACCACCACCACCACAAAUGAUGUUUUUGUAAGAAGCGGUCAAGAAGAUGAGAGAGCUUGGAAGACUGAUGAAGCUGAGAAUAUGAUUAGCAUUGGUAAUGCAAUAAAGGAGAAUCAAAGUCAUUACUUGAUAGAUCAAUGGUUUUUCCCAUCUCCUCAACAGCCAAAUCCAAGAAUCCACCAACAAAUCCAGAUGGGUGCAGUAUGUUACAACAAUAGUAUCAGUGAAACCGCUAAUAUGGAGAUGGAGCCUGUUGGAACCUCGAUGAUAACUUUCCAUGGUUUGUUUGGGUCAGUCUCUCAACCUUUACAAAACCAUAACGUAGAUGAUAAUGCAGCUGUGGCUAUAAGUCAACCAAUCCAAAACCCUUUUAAUUUCAUGAGUCAUGAAGAGCUGCCACCACCUAAUGAGGAAGAUAAUGAUGAUGUGACGCUGUUUGAUAUGAAUAAGGUUUGGCCACACAUCAACAAUAAUCAUAUGUAGACUUCUUGGUGUUACUACAUGUUUAAGUUUUAGUAUUAAGUUUUUGAGGUUAUGUUUGUUUGUCUGGUUAAGAAAUUAUGGACCUUGUUAUUUUUUUUUAAGUUUGUGUUUCUUUGUUUUUGAAUUUAUGUUAAAUCAUUUUAUCUAAUCAUUUUGGUUUACAUUGAUGUUUAGUUUUGUAAUUUCAGUUGAGGUGUCUUUGAUAAAACUCAAAUUAUCAUAUCGGUAGAUUUAUGAGAAUUUUUGAGAAAUAUCACUUUCGGUGUAUCCCUUUUGGUGAAUCCCUUUUCAAAAAUACUCAUUUUAUGUAUCCAUUUUUAAAAAUACUCUUGUUUAAAUAUGAAAAAUUAUAAAGUUUUAUAUGGUUUAUAAGGUACUUCUAUAUAAGAACUACUACUAAGAGUUUCGGUACAAAUAUUUUAUAAUGUUUUAAAAGGUUUUAAAUCGUUUUUACAAGUUUUACAAGGUUUUAAUUUUUUUUAAAGGGUUUAUAAGGUUUUAAAAAUUUAUUUUUUGCUAUAUAUGAAAGAUAUAUAAAAAUUUUGACACAUACAAAAGUAAUUGUAUAUCUAUAAGCUUACAAACAUAUUUGGAUAAAUUUCAACAGUUUUAGUGGUUUUUUUGAUAAAGUUUGAAAAUGAGGUAUUUUUAAAAAGUGGUAUUUGAAAAGGGAUAUUUUUUUGAAAAUUUCCCUAGAUUUAUUCAUUUUUAAUUUAAAUAAAUUAUAAUAAUUUUGAAGUAGUUAAAAAUAAAAAUGAAUUGCUCGGAUUCGCUAGUGUGAGUAGCCACCUCUGCAUGUUCCUUAAACAUAAGAUAAAGCAAAAAUUAUGAUAAAGAGACACAAAUAAUAAAAGCUAACUAGAUUUUAACCCGCGAUAAGAUAUUUUCAAAUAUUUUUUUUGUUAUUAAUUUGGUUGGUUAUAUAAGAUUGUACUAUAGGCAAGCUGACAAAAAAACAUUGUAUUACUGUAUUUUGAUUGUUAAUUAUAUGAUUUAACCCGUGUAACAUUUCAUGACAAUUUGUUUUUUUCCUUUUUCUUUUCUAAUAAUAGUCAUUUGAUCAACCUAACUAAAUAAGUCCAAUAUUCAAAAUAAUGAAAUAAUGUUGGCAUAACAUGACAUGACCCGCUACAUCACAUGACCCGCUACAUCACAUGACCCGUGCUACACAAUUAUCAAUAAUAUUUUAGUACAUACAUUUUUGUAUCGUUUAAGUAAUAUACGUCCGUUUUCAAAAAUUCAAAUUGCAAUAUAUUCAAAAAUGUUAAUAUAGAUGACAUAUUACAAAAAAACAAAAAACAUUCAUAAGAUGAAAUUGUUAUAUAUAUACUGUAUGUGAAUAAAAUUUGGAUAACAUCUUGAUUUUUUUUUUUGGUCAGAAACGGUUAAUGCCGGAGUCAACACUGGUCAACUGAUUCACCGGUCAACGCAAAAAUCAGUUGACCGGUGUACCAGAAUUUAAUGUCUAUGGUUGACUACAUGUCGUUAUAAAGUUGAUGCAUGUGGUCAUGCAAUACAUCUAAUUCGUGUAGCUGAAUGUACAAUAGGAUAUUUGGCAUGUGUGACCAUGCAUUCUUCUAUAGCCAUCUUUUUUCCAAAUAAAAACCCAAUUGGCAGUACACAUUAUGGAAAUAGAAGUCCAAAUCCUCCAACAUUUACAACUUUAUUAAAAACAAAGCCCACUUAUCCUACCUAAUUUAAGAUAAGGACAAGAGAUUAAAGUGCCACAUGAGUAUACGUGUCCACACGUGAUAAGGAGGAGAGAUAACACGAACAACACCGACCAAAUCCACAAUCAAGCGCAGCUCCGCCGCCGGACUUCAGAUCCACCACCACACAGAUAACACGAACAACACCGACCAAAUCCACAAUCAAGCGCAGCUCCGCCGCCGGACUUCAGAUCCACCACCACACUUCUUCUACAACUUCAACCGUUGCUACUCUGAGAGAAAGUCAAUGAUUCCGUCUUGAAUAUCUUUAAGAAGAUUUUGCAAAUCUUCUAUAUCUCAAACAGAUUUUAUAGAAGUAAGGUUCGCCUCGGACCUAAAUCAUAGGCCUUUCGUGUCUUUUAUUCAUGACAAUCGGUGGAUAUAUUAAUCCUACUUACAAGAAGAGUUGAGCUAAUGGAUAAACAAAGAAAAUAUGUCAAAUAGCCCCGAGAUUGAAAUUUAAACAUGUAGAAGAAGAGAGAAACAUAUCUGAACAAGUCGGAAACUUAUUAUCCGAACAAAUACAAAAGAUAAUCAACAUUAAGUCCUUGAAACCCAAGCCAAAAAUCUUAGAUUUGAUUCGGAAAGACAAAAAAACAAAACACUAUAAUACAAUCUGAUCAAAAUCGGAAGAGAAGCUCUCUCUGUCUAAAAGAUACGAGAGAGUUAAGCGAGAGAGAGCUUUCCCCUAGUAUAAAUUUGGCGUUUAUAUACAUGACGCAAAUUGGUACCAUUAUUUCUUCUAACAAGUGAGAUAAUUUUUGUAAUAGUAUAACAUUUUAAAAUGGUCACAUUUACAUCACCAAACACAUAGGAAUUUAUAGUACAUUAAAAUACUCGAUAUUUAUUUUAAUAUUAAAAUAAAUUAAAAUAUUAGAUAUAUUUUAGCUUUUAGUCAAGUAAAAUGUUCAUAUAACUUUUUAAGAAAAAUUAAACUUAAAAAUAUUCACAAUAAUGAAAUUUUAAAAUAUUCAAAAUAAUGAAAUUUUUAAAUAUUUUAUAUUUAAGUAUUACUUUCUCCGUUUUUAAAUAAGUGUUAUUUUAGAACCAAAUUUUUUUUUUUGAAAUAAAUGUCAGUCUACAUCAACUAAGAUGAUAAAGAUCCCAUAUAUUUGAAUCUUAGAGAAAAAAAAAACAUAUUUACCAAAAAUUAAUAUUAUGCUAUAUUAAAUACAAAUUUUUUUUUUGUUUCAAUUUGAUUCACAAACAAUUUUAAAAAAAACAAAAAUAUCUGCAAUUUCCCGCACAAUAAUAUUUCAGAAAAUAAUUUCAAUUUUCAAAAACCCUAAAAUUCGAAACUUUCCCCAAAUCCUUUCUACCCAAUGGCGUCGGGAAAGCCUGAAGAUCCGAUGAACAACACGGCCGGAAUGGGAACGGACGAGGAGUCUAUAGCACAGCGCCGGAAGCGACUACGGCGAGUUAGCUUCGCCGACCGGGAAAUUACUUCCGUCCACAUUUUCAACCGGGACGAAGAUUACGAGACGCCGCCAAACGCCGCCGCCGCGGAACAGCAGAACGGUGAACGAGCUGAUACGUCAGAGUCUGAGGAUAAAGUAAUUAGGUUUUUCGGCGAAUUAUCUGACCGCGAAGACACUGAAGGAGAUGGUGAUGGUGAAGAUGAGCCUAUUUUGCAGAAAUCGUUCUUGAGGCCGAAGUUCUCGCCAUCUUCGGGAGGUAGCACUGUUGGGUCUGCUACUAGUGAUGAUGGUACGCUUCAAUUUCAUUCUCCAUUACUUUGAUUUUGAAUGUUGCAAUUGAAGAGAAGAUAAAGUUUUGUACUUUGUGAAUUUAGGGAUUCGUUGUUGUUACUCAUGUAGCUGAAUCGAUUUGGUAUUUUUUUUAUAUAUAUCAGAGGAUAGUUUCUUUGGCCCUGUGUCUUCCCAAUUUAUCAAUCCUGGAAGAUUGUCAAAUACUCCUAUCUCUGAAGACCACCAUGAUAUUACGAUGGACUCUACAGCAUUUUCAAUGCAUUUUCGGAGUCUUGCGAGGUCAGACUUUGGAGAUGCAAGGACACCAACAAGCAGUCAUCUUCCAGUAGAAGAAAAAACACCAACUGAGGUUACCUCCAGGUCUGAUACAGGAAGUGCAAUGGUGUUGUUGACAAAAUCUAAGAAGCUAUUCCUGAAGUCUCCUCUACCUGCUGAGAAAGAAAGUGGUGGUAGAGACUCGAAUGAUAUGAGUAUCGUGGGUGAAAAUUCUCGAAAAUAUGAUUUUGGGUAUAUAUCUCCUACAUUAGAAGCUCUAUUGGCAAAAAGCAAGGAAUUGCUUCCUGAAGACUGUACUGUGGAAGCAAGAUCGCCCAUCCAUGAUUUUUCCUUGUCCCCUCAAAAUGGACAUAUUCCCGUAGUUCAAGCUAAUAAAGACUCACAUGGUAUAGAUAGCAGUGGUGCUUGUCAAAUCCUGUCACCUUCUGGUUCUGGCUGUCGCCCUCAAAUAGUGCUGCAGGAACCAGAAAGCCAACAUUACACAAAAGAUGGUUCUCUUUCCUCGUCAACUGUUAGAAGGCAAAGUGCGUUUUCAGUUGGUAUAUUGCCCCAGUCCGUAUCUUGUGUUACUCCUUCCCCUAAACAGGGUGGAAGCUUUAUGAGCAAAGAAACUCGGGCACUAGUUGAGAGCUUGUCAACUAUUCAGAAAAGCAAAUCGAGACUUGGAUUAAUUCCACCCUCCCCUGGUUCUGCUCUUUCUCAAAGAAUUGAGAAAUCAAAGCUUCAAUUAUCCGGACACCGUUCUAUGACUACACCAUCAACUUUUGGCAGGGAAGUAGGUGUUCACACGAAAAUUAAUGCAGAUAUACCCAUUACCAAUUUGGAGGGUUUGUUAUCUAAACAUGAUAAUAGAACACCAAUUUCUGAGAAGAAAGGCAUGCCAAAUAAAUGCGGUAGUGGUGCACUGAGCCCUGUUGUCGACACUGGCGAUAAUAAUAGAACACCAGUUUCAGAAAAGAAAGGCAUGCCAGAUCAAUGCAGUAGUGGUGCAUUGAGCCCUGUUAUCGACACUGUCGAUGACAAUAGAACACGAGUUUCAGAAAAGAAAGGCAUGCCAGAUAAAUGCAGUAGUGGUGCGUUGAGCCCUGUCGUCGAUACUGGUGAUGAUAAUAGAACACCACUUUCAGAAAAGAAGGGCAUGUCAGAUCAAUGCCGUAGUGGUGCAUCGAGCCCUGUUGUCGACACUGGCGAUGAUAAUAGAACAUCAGUUUCAGAAAAGAAAGGCAUGCCAGAUAAAUGCAGUAGUGGUGCAUUGAGCCCUGUUGUCGACACUGGUGAUGAUAAUAGAACACCACUUUCAGAAAAGAAGGGCAUGCCAGAUCAAUGCAGUAAUGGUGCACUGAGCCCUGUUGUCGACCCUGGCGAUGACAAUAGAACACCAGUUUUAGAAGAGAAGGGCACGCCAGAUCAGUGCAGUAGCGAUGCACUGAGACCUGCUGUUGACACUAGGGGUGAUAAUAGAAUACCAGUUUCAGAAAAGAAAGUCAUGCUAGAUCAAUGCAGUAGUGGUGCAUUAAGCCCUGCUGCUGACACUAGCGAUGAUAGAACACCAAUUUCUGAAAGGAAAGGCGUACCAGAUCAAUAUGGUUGUGGUGCAUUGAAGUCUGCUGCCGACAUAAGUAAUGUGUUUGCAAGCAGAAGUCCAAAAGGAAAUACUAAUUCUGAGGUAGAAGGUUCAUUCUUCAAACAACAGAAAAGAAAUCAGACAGCCAGCACCCCUGGGAAGUUUGUGUCAUCUCUAACAAAUUCAUCAAAUGUAAUGACGUCAGCAUCAAAGAAUUUUGUCACUCUUCAAGAUCAAGAGCAGCACAGUAAAGCCACCGAAAAAUCUGAGAUUGGGGAUGGAAAUGUGACCAAGGAAUAUGCUAGUAAUAAUUCUUUGAAUACCUUAUCCGGCAAAGUUGAUUCACUGCUUGUAGAAUCUGGCGUAUUACUUAGUGAGACAGGCUUCUUGAAUGGCUCUGCUAAACAAAAUGAGAAGGACAGUAUGCUGAAUAAAAAUCAAAACAGAACCAACAUAAGUGCUGCCCAGUUCCUUCUGAAGGAUGAUAAUCACUUUACAGUCCAUUGUGAAACAGAAGUGAUCUCAGCUGAGGAUGUUCCUUCUGUAGUUACAGAAACCCCUCCUAAUAUCCCUGGCUCUUCAUCUACGGACAAUAGCAAGAAUGAGGCUUUGCAUGUUAAGGUAUAAUUCUAGACCCAUGUACAUGUUUUGAAGAACUAUCUAUCCACGGUUUAAAUGCAUUACUCCAUUUUUCAAUGUGAAAAGAUAUUCUUGAUCCUUGAAAUGGUUGUAAAUUUCUAAAUUGGCUUUUUACUCUAACAGCUGAACCAGGUCAUUCAGAUUAAAUGUUUUAACUCAGAUACAUCAUAGAUCUUGAGAAAUUAAAUGCUGGAGAAAAACUAUCAUAUUUCGAAGCUAUCCAAAGGGUAUGAUGAUAUAAUUUGAUGUUUAGCCAGAUUUCUGAACUAUAUUAAUUUACAGGGAUCAUCCAGAUUGAAAAGGAAAACAGAAGAUGUUGAUUGUGCAGCUAGAAAUUGUAGCCCCAAAGUCAGGAGAAGUACACACUAUAUUUCAAAUACAGUGAUGGACCACCCAGAUGGAAACAUCAAUGCUAAUAAUUGCGGCAGAAUUCGUAGACAAGUGAUGAACCGGGUAGAAGUAAGUAUUUGUGAUAACCUAUUAUGCUAUUAGAUGUAGUUAGUUCCACUUUUCUUCAUACAAAUAAGUUAGUGUUCCACUACCUUGCAGAUUCCAGGAAAAGUAUCAGAAGAAAUCAAUCAAAUGCUUGAUCCAUUGGCUGUUAAGCUGAACCCAAGAAUGGUAUAUUAUUUCUCUCUUUAUGGAAACCCAAGCUGGUUACUGAGGCUGUUUCCUUCUAACUUUUAUAGUUUCAGUACUAAUGUUCCAAAAUUGCAGAUAUGUAAGCUGGAAGAUAUAUUAACACACAUGAAGAAGGUUCAUUUGUGUGAGAUGCUUUGUCUUCAAAUUCAAUCUCAGGUUAGCCUAUAAGAAAACUUCUGCGAUCAUUCUUUCGACAUAAUUGUACACUGAUUAUCUUGUUCUAAUUGUAGAAAGUAUCUGACGACUUGAGUGGUGCCAAGAUAAAGAGGUUCUCCCUGUACUGCCUUUAUAUAUUUUUCAGAGUAAAUUAGUGCCAAGUGUAUAACAUUCAUUGUGAUUAUUAUUGCAGGCAUGCUGAGAGUAGAUCAUUACUCUGCAAGUUAGCAUACGAAAAAGCCAAACUUGAGUUGCUGCACCUCAAGAAAGAGAUAAUGAUGGUAGUUAAUUACUUAAUGUGUUCCUCUAUUUCAAACUUUCUAUUGAUUCUGCUUGCUUGAUCAAAUUUCACUUAUAUGGUAUGCAGAAAAAGUUUCAAGCAGUGAGCAAUGGUGUACAGACAUCCGAAACACUGAGGUUGAAUUGUGCCAACUUUCUACGUCAACAUGGUUUCCGUUCUACUGGCUUGUUAAAUCCUAACCACGCUGAUGAGGUAACUAGACCAGUUUGAAAUACCCAUUACAGAAAUGUGUUGGUGUGUCUAGUCUUCCCAAUUUCAAUAAUUAGGACAUGUUAACUCUUUCACAGGCUCAAAUUGUUUUUUUAGUACGCAUGGAACAUUUUUCAGGGUGAUGACCCUUUCACUCUAAUGGCAGAAAAAAAUAUUUUGUUAGUUCGCAGAUAUAAUGUUCUGUCCACAGGGUCUCAUGAUAUUUUGUAGAUAAGAGAUGUAUCCUAUGCUUUAUCUUAUUAGUAACGCUAUUUUCGUGUAUUUGAAACUCGUUUUAAUCCAAGUAAAUAAUAGACUCGUUAUCUGUCGACAUUUUUCUAGGCUAUGAUUACUAGUAAACGGGGAGAGAUAACACAGGAGAUCAAAGAAUUGGACUCAAAAAUAAAGAAUUUGGUUCAAUGUUUUACGACGUUCGACACAAUGACAGAAGAACCGGCAUAUGCAGACAUUAUUAUGAUUGCUGAAGAUACUUUAAAAAAGAGAACGAGUUGCAGAUCCAUACGUCAGGAUAUUCUGGUAUAUACUGUCUUAUAUUUAUAGACAUGGGGAUCUAAAACGAAAUGUGUUUCUUAACUUAAAUUACCCUUCUGCUCUCGGCAGGUCUGGAAAGUUGACAGUUUGGGUGAAUGGAAUGAUUGUCAAAGCAUUGUUCUAAACUAUAGUGGCCUUUUCAACCAAAGGUUGGUCCUAUUGGUUUUAUCUUUCCAUAAGUUUUUUGAUUAAUCUGUUUCCACACUUUGCUACAUACAUGAGUGCUAUUGGAUUUUAUUGAAAAAUUUCUUGGAUACGCAGGCUCACAUUAAAGCCUGGCCAUCCUUCAUGUGUACUAGUUUCAAACAGUUUGAGUGAUACACUUGUUAAGGUAAGGGUAACCAAGCUGUUUUCCUUCCAUUUAUACAUCAUCUUUCUUUUGUUUCUAAUCAAGGCAUUCUUCUUCAGCAUUUCCCAGAGACGAAUGUUUCAAUUGCAUUAAACUCUUUGUUUAAAGCUGAAGACUCCCAAAAGUGCAUUGGUUGCUCCAAUAUAUUGUUGGAGAUUACACAGGUGUGUUUCUGUCUCAACCAUCUCCUUUUGUUGCUAUGGUUCUCUUAAUACUAUCAUAGCAUCUUAGGUAUUUUUCUAUCUUAUUGAGAAUUUUGUUGCAAGUCAUGUUUGCUUUCUCCUUAGUGUUGUAAGUUCCUUUAUAAGAAUCACUUUCUCUGGAUUUAUUUUGUGCUAGACUAGACCUCUGAAAUUUGUCUCAUUUUGCUCUGAGAAUGCAGAAAACCAGUUUGCUCCUACACAAUCUGCUAGAUGUGGCUGAGGAAUUUCAUUUAGCUCAAAUGAAUAUACCAAAUUUGGUCCAAGGACACUUUAAUUCUCCAUCAGGUAACUUAUUUCCUCCUCUCAAUUCCCUGUUGGUCAUACUAGUUUAACAACUAGUGGCCAACACAUGCACAAUCAUCUAAUGAUUAGGUCUAUCUGAGAUACGAACACUAGUGUCUUAUUGAUUGCAGCGGAGCAGCUUCAGUUGCAGAUUAGCUUUCUUGACUGCACAAACGUGAGAAAACUAAUUGUGGUUCUCGAUUUGGCAUGUUUGAUCCAGUAAGUAAAUAAGCAGCGCAGUAAACUAUCAAGUUUUAAAGGCUUUUCGGUUAUGAAAUUGUGUGUGUUCUCUAUGUAACAGUGGGAAGUAUCCUAGUGACGUAGUUCCUUGCGAGUUACGUGAAGGAGAUGUCGUUGCGUCGAAAGAACUGAAGAACGAGAUAGAAUCUGCAAUGGACGAUGUUGGAUUGGGAUAUCCUCGGAUAUUGAGACUCUGCCGUUGCAUUUCCAAAGUGUUGCAAUCACAAAGGAGAUGAUGUCUAUCUAAUUUCAUAACACUUCACAUUUUGCUGGUUUUGUUUUUUUUUUUUGUAAAUAUGGCACAAGGGCUACUACUUCUAGUACUAGUAGUAGUCUAGUAACCUUUUGCCCUUUUAAAUCUUUUAACCAAAGUCUUGAGUUUUGUAUACACUGUCGUCCAAGGUAGCAGUUGAUUUCUGUGCCUUAAUCCUUUUGGGUGCCAUGUGACUCCCUCUUUGGAGGCUAUGAAGAACAUCAAAUCCGAGGAUGAAGUCUAUGUAACGUCAAGCAGUCUUCCUCGUCUUGAGUCUUAACGUACAGGUUACCUAACAUUAGUUUGGUCUCACACAUUAGUUGAUUAGUUGAUGUGUGAUUGUCAUAUAAACUAUGAUUGUUUGAUUUGUUUCUCUGUUUGUGUGUUAAUGUAUCAAAAGUAUUGGCUAUUUAUCAAUCGACAAAUCAUUUACUAAAGGACACUUAUGAGUCCCAAAAAUUGAGUUGGUAAAUUGUGCGACACCUGUGACACAAUGUAAACAGGUGAAAGUGGUGUAGGCCACUCUUAUCCCAUCUUUUAUAAAUAUCUUACAUUGAACCUACCUAUUCUAGAUCUUGGUCAUGGGACCUUAUUGACUAUGUAGACUAAUGUAGUAAUGUUCUUAUCUUAUCUUUCCCAAUUUGCAAGACAAGUCCUUAGGAAAAAUUAUUGUCUUUGUCAAAUAUGAUUUCAGUUACACAACACCUUCAAAUCUCACGAGUAUACAUGGUUCAAACCUUUUCGAACUUACGUCAACUUAGGAUAUCUCUACAAAUUUACGUCCAACAUUCUCGAACAUGGAAACCCUUACAAAUUUACGCCAUGAAACUGGGAAACCUUUACAAAUUUACACAUAAAAUCUGAAAAUUCUUACAAAUUUACGUCACAAAAUCUGGAAAUUUGGAAAUCCUUACAAAUUUUCUUACAAAUUUACGUCACAUAAUCUGGAAUUUGGAAAUCCUUACAAAUUUACGCCUUGAAACAGAGAAAUCUCAACAAAUUUACACCCUGAAAACUGUAAACCCUUUGAAAUUAUAUUUUACAAAUCGACUUCAAUUUCUCUAUCAAGAAAAAAUCAAACGAUGGAAUGAACCAAUGUUCAUUAAAGAAGGAUUUACUUCUCAAAUUACUAGAUUAUAGAAUAAGAAAUAGUUUAAACUACAAUGAGGAAAUAACCAAAAGAAUUCACAGAGAAAUCUCAAAACUAACAGAGAACAAAUGAAGAAUCAUAAGAUAACAUAUUUAACACAAAUCACAUGAAUGAUCCAUACAUGUUUGCUUUCAUUUCACAAGAUUCUUCACGACCUUUGAGCUCCAUAUGAUUUCCACUACUGAUCGCAACUUCUAUUUCCCACCCUCCACGCAUUCAUCACUUCUUAACCCUUCUUUUACUAUAUCAAAUUUACGCCAUGAAAUAGGGAGAUCCAUAUAUAUUUUUCUUUCUUGUGAAAAGAUUCUUCACUGCCUUUAAACUCCAGAUGAUCUCCACUGUUGAUCGUAACUUCUAUUCUCCACCCUCCACGUGUCCAUCACUUCUUAACCCUUCUUUUUCUAUAUCAAUUUACGGCAUGAAAUAAUGAGAUCCAUAUAUUUUUUUCUUUCUUUCACAAGAUUCUUCACUGCCUUUGAGCUCCAGAUGAUCUCCACUGUUGAUCGUAACUUCUAUUCUCCACCCUCCACGUGUCCAUCACCUCUUAACCCUUAUUUUUCUAUAUCAAUUUACGCCAUGAAAUAGGGAGAUCUAUAUGUUUUUUUUUCUUUCAUUCACAAGAUUCUUCACUGCCUUUGAGCUCCAUAUGAUCUCCACUGUUGAUCGUAACUUCUAUUCUCCACCCUCCACGUGUCCAUCACUUCUUAACCCUUAUUUUUCUAUAUCAAUUUACGCCAUGAAAUACGGAGAUCCAUAUACUUUUUUUUCUUUCACAAGAUUUUUCACUGCUUUUGAGCUACAGAUGAUCUCCACUGUUGAUCGUAACUUCUAUUCUCCACCCUCCACGUGUCCAUUACUUCUUAACCCUUAUUUUUCUAUAUCAAUUUACGCCAUGAAAUAGGGAGAUCCAUAUAUUUUUUCUUUCUUUCACAAGAUUCUUCACUGCCUUUGAGCUCCAUAUGAUCUCGACUAUUGAUCGUAACUUCUAUUCUCCACCCUCCACCCUCCACGUGUCCUUUACUUCUUAACCCUUAUUUUUCUAUAUCAAUUUACGCCAUGAAAUAGGGAGAUCCAUAUAUUUUUUUCUUUCUUUCACAAGAUUCUUCACUAUCUGUGAGCUCCAGAUGAUCUCCACUAUUAAUCGUAACUUCUAUUUUCCACCCUCCACGUGUCCAUCACUUCUUAACCCUUCUUUUUCUAUAUCAAUUUAUGCCAUGAAAUAAGGAGAUCCAUAUAUAUUUUUUCUUUUUUUCACAAAAUUCUUCACUGCAUUUGAGCUUUAGAUGAUCUCCACUGUUGAUCGUAACUUCUAUUCUCCACCCUCCACGUGUCCAUCACCUCUUAACCCUUAUUUUUCUAUUUCAAUUUACGCCAUGAAAUAAAGAGAUCCAUAUGUUUUUUUCUUUCUUUCACAAGAUUCUUUACUGCCUUUGAGCUUCAGAUGAUCUCCACUGUUGAUCGUAACUUCUAUUCUCCACCCUCCACGUGUCCAUCACUUCUUAACCCUUAUUUUUCUAUAUCAAUUUACGCCAUGAAAUAUGGAGAUCCAUAUACUUUUUUUCUUUCUUUCACAAGAUUCUUCACUGCUUUUGAGCUCCAGAUGAUCUCCACUGUUGAUCGUAACUUCUAUUCUCCACCCUCCACGUGUCCAUCACCUCUUAACCCUUAUUUUCAAUAUAAAUUUACGCCAUGAAAUAGGGAGAUCCAUAUAUAUAUUUUUUUCUUUCACAAGAUUUUUCACUGCCUUUGAGCUCCAUAUGAUCUCCACUAUUGAUCGUAACUUCUAUUCUCCACCCUCCACGUGACCAUUACUUCUUAACCCUUAUUUUUCUAUAUCAAUUUACGCCAUGAAAUAGGGAGAUCCAUAUAUUUUUUCUUUCUUUCACAAGAUUCUUCACUGCCUUUGAGCUCUAGAUGAUCUCCACUUUUGAUCGUAACUUCUAUUCUCCACCCUCCAUGUGUCCAUCACUUCUUAACACUUAUUUUUCUAUAUCAAUUUACACCAUGAAAUAGGGAGAUCCAUAUAUUUUUUUCUUUUUUUCACAAGAUUCUUCACUGCCUUUGAGCUCCAGAUUAUCUUCACUGUUGAUUGUAACUUCUAUUCUCCACCCUCCACGUGUCCAUCAUUUCUUAACCUUUUUUUUACUAUAUCAAUUUACGUCAUGAAAUAGGAAGAUCCAAAUAUUUUUUUCUUUCUUUCACAAGAUUCUUCACUGCCUUUGAGCUUCAGAUGAUCUCCACUGUUGAUCGUAACUUCUAUUCUCCACCCCCACGUGUCCAUCACUUCUUAACCCUCCUUUUACUAUAUUAAUUUAGACCAUGAAAUAGGGAGAUCUAUAUAUAUAUAUUUAUGUUUUCCUUUUUCACCAUUCUCCAUUAUCUUUGAGCUCUACAUGAUAUCCACGACUAAUCGCAACUUCUAUUUCUCAUCUUCCACGCUUUCAUCACUUCUUAACCCUCCUUAUACUAUAUCAACACCAUGAAUUAGGUAGAUCCAUAUAUGUAUUGCUUUCUUUUCACACGAUUCUUCACUACCUUUGAGAUCCAUUGUUGAUCGCAACUUCUAUUCUCUAUCAUCCAAGUGUCCAUCAUUUCUUAACCCUUCUCUUACAAUAUAAAUUUAGGCCAUGAAAUAGAAGGAUCCAUAUACGUUAUGCUUUCUUUUUACACGAUUCUUCAUUGCCUUUGAGCUCCAAAUGAUCUUCACUGUUAAUUGCAACUUCUAUUAUCCACCCUACACACGUCCAUCACUUUUUAACCCUCUUUUUACUAUAUCAAUUUAAGCCAUGAAAUAGGGAAAAAUUCACUUUUUAACCCUUCUUUUACUAUAUCAAUUUAGGCCAUGAAACAAGGAAAACUCUACAAAUUUACGCCCCGAAACCCGGGUCAUCCUCCACCCCACCACCACAUGCAUAUUCAAAAUAACUCUCUUUCUUGCACUUUUGUACCUUUUUUGGUUUGAAGAAUGUAACUUAUAAAAGAGACUAUAAUCCAAUCUUACUAUUUGAAUAGCUUAAUUGCUCAUAUGAGUUUGUAAACAUGAGUUCUCAAUCCACACAUACACAUAGAUUCAUGAAAAUUAUGUUCAAACAAGAGCUCCAUUACACAUGGGUAUAUAUAUAACUCACAGGAUAUGUACAUAAGAUUACCCAUCCCCGGUCGAGAAUCAACCGUGACGCAAGCCUAAUUCAUAGUAAAAUAGCUGUACACAUCAAACACACCCAAACAAACAAAAACCCUCUAUACAGUGAAAAGCAGUCACCAAACAGUAGAAGGAGAAAGCUGGUGGUCUUCUGCUACAACAACAAGAGGAGUCCUACACAAUGGGCAAGUGAUGUUCCAAUAGUCUAUCCAUUUCUCCAAGCAUGUUUUGUGAAACAAGUGGCCACACUUUAGCUUGUUGAUCUCUGAAUCCCCUUCGAAUUUCGAAAGGCACACCGAGCACUCGUUGUCCGCCUGUUUCUUGCACCUGCACAAGCUCUCAAACCUCAGUGUAGGAGUCUUGUUCCUGAAUUCCUCAAGGAAACUCUCUGGCUGGCAGACCCGGAAAUCAAAAGGCUCUGAAGUUGGAUUCUCUAAAGACGUCGUCACAGAGGAAGGCGAGGACGAAGGAGGCGAGAGACGGAUUCCUACUAUGCCAAGGACUGAUCGGACAAUGCCUUUGACAAUGGAGAUUGAUAAUGCUGUGUUAACUAAUAUCACACAGAGCAUUCCUUCUGAUGGACCAGGAAGACUUGAUAGACCCAUCUUUCGAUUCUUGAACUGCUAACAACAGGUUUGCUCUGGAUUCGAUGUAAAUCUUGAUCCAAUCUUUGUCGGUCCAAGGUAUAUGAUCUGUAAAAACACCAUUAUGGACAAAUCAGCACACACCAGAAGAAGACUCAUGAUAUAAACUGAAAAUCUAAGGCAUUCCAACUAAAGCACAUAGAUUUCAAUGUCAAUCAAUGCUUAGUAUCAGCAAGCAAGACAGUUAAAGGUCUCAUAUAAUGAUCUUGAUCCAGAAACAGACUUAACUCUAAAUCUUAAACCAAAAACCAAAACCAAAGCACAAAGCUUUAUCAAGUUGAUUGACUAAAAUCUUUCGAGGUGGCCUCAAACCCAGAAAACACAAAUCAGUCUCAAAAGGGUUCAAGAAUCUUCGUUCAAUUAGUUCCACAGACGAGUCUACCUCAUACCACACACAAUAUCUUGACCUUAAAUCAAGAAACAAAGAUCAAAAACCUCUUAAAGAUUCAAACUUUAUGAAAGAAACAAGAACAAUUUGAAAUCUUUACAACUCUAAAACAUCAAUCAAAACCAUAAACAACCAAUCAAAGGUUGGGUAAAAAUCGAAACUUUAGUGAAAAGAGAUGAAACUACGAACCUCAAGAGUCAAGUAAGAGAAGGCGAUGAUCAAGAAUUCAGAGUAAAGAUGGAGUCUUUUGUGAGUUUUCUCUGGUGUGAAAAAGUAGUGAUGGAAUCUGAGAGAAAGUGUUGUGUGUUUUUGAUACAAGAGGAGGUUCCAAUUGUUGUUUAAUAUAUAGCAAAGCAAAUAUCAAAAGACUUUUAACCAGAGAAGCAUUUAACUAUGGUUAGUCAAUCUAGUUUAAGUCUAUCUCAGCCUUUUCAGGUUCUUGAGUUAACCAUGGUUACUUUAUAUCAACAAUUGUACUUGCUUCCAAUAUUUUUUUUUUUAUAUUCCAUUUUGUUUAAUCAUACACACUGCCAAAAUAAUAAUAAUAAUCCAAUGUUUAUAAGCAAAGAUAUUAGUAAGUGUAAGGUGUUUUCAUUUGUUAUAUGUAAUGCUUGGCACUAACUUUUGUUUUUGGGUGUGUAUACUUGAAUACUUCUUUACACUCAAGAAUUUUAUAUGAAUAAACAUUGUUACAAUAUUAAUCUUAUUUUUGACUUAUAUUAAUACUUCAUCUCCAAAAAUUUACAUUGUAUUUUGCGUUUUAUUUACAUUACAAUAUUAUAUUCACUAUAUUUUUUUGUAAAGAUAGAAGAUCAAUAAUAUACUAAUUAUCAUGUUUUAAAAUCUAAAAUACCAUUUAUUACUAUUUAAAAUAUUAAAUAAAUUUUCACAUUUUGGAAAAGUGUUUCCGCUUUUACCAAUAUCGUAUUAAUUAUAAUCUAAUUGGAAAAUACAAAACAUCAUUAAUCUACUAAAAUUAGUUUUUUAGCGUUUUAUAUUUUUUUGAAAUUUUUCUUCAAUUUUUUUUUUCGCUAACAAUUAUUCACACGACAUAUAUCCAUAUCGACUAAUAGAACAUACAAUUACAAAUAAUAAAUAGAAACCAAAGAUUCGAAAAAAAUAUAUAAAUUAUAUACCAAAAAUUUUCAUAAAAUAAGGCGAUAGAUAAUAUGGAUAUUAGGUUAAACACAAGCAAUUAAAAUUUAAUUACCUGAUACUUUCACUAUAAAUUAAAAAGUUUUAUUGAGAAUAUAAUUUUUUUUUAACCUAAAAUAUACACGUUUAAAUUGUUCUCAUCAGUCCAAUUUUAAACCACAUCAAGCCUCUUAUGUAUGUAUGCAUUCGAAACGUUUAGAAUUACAAGUUUUAUGAGUUAGGUGGUCACUACUUUUUGUUAGGUUGUUUAUAUAAUUGGAGGAUAUAAUAGUAGUAGUAGGUAUCAUGGAGAGCUAUUGCUAUAGCUUUCUAUAUAAAUACGAUGAGACAAUUCACACAAAGAUACGAACCAUAAAUUUAAUACUACUACUAGCCUAGUAUUAUUAUACUACUACACAACCUUUAAACUAAUUUAACACUUGAUUUACAAAAAAAAUUUGUCGUUCAAAAACCCGACAUAAGGAUUAUAAUCGAAUUGAUUCCAAAGAAAAGAAAAUAAAAAAUUUGAUUUGUCGUUAUCGCAAUCUGAAAUAUAAAACAUGUCACGACACAUUUUUGUUACGUUGUAAUGUAUUGAGUAAACUUCACGUUGGCCAUGUGUCCUCUCUCACGGACCCUCACAGGACCUUGCGGCCUUCAUGUUCCAAACACUUUUGUCUUUAUUUUUACUUGUGUCCUCUUCUGAUCUCUUUUGAAUUAUUUGGAUGUGUGUACAAGCGAAUUGUUAGAAUACUCCAAAGGCUCUCACAUGGUCCGACCCUUAUCGAUAGGACAAAGAUUUAGAAAAAAAAAAAGAAAAAUCGAAUGAGAGCUAAUGAAAAUGUUUGAACAAACUAUAAUGUAACUUAGGUAUAGGUGGCACUAAAACGUAUAGGGAAGCAACCAAUAAACAACUUAGUGUUGAAAUCUAGAUUUACUUAAGUGUGUCAUUGGUAUUUUAAAUUGAGUAGAAUAGGUAAGCUCUUGAUAAUUUGAACUGCAAUAAUUGGUUUCAAAAAAUUGCAAUGGAUAUAAUUAGUAUAUAACGUGUAAAACUUCAACACGGAAUGAUAAUUUUUUUUCUUUCUCUUUUUGGAAGUUUUUAGUUUUAUCGAAAUGAAAUUUUUGCAGUUUUUAGGUUUAUCAAGUGAAAUUACUUUUACAGUUUCUAGUGUAAAAUUUCAACACAGAAUGAUAAUUUUUUUAAUAUGUAGAGAUUUAUGUUAUCUAACUUACAUCGUGAAAGUGCAUUUAGUAAGGAAAUGUGUUCAAACAUCUCGUGACGAUGCUUGAGGAUAUGCGGACACGAAAAUCUCGUGAAAGUGUAUUCAGUGCGGAUAUGUCCAAAUAAACUUUUAGUGCGAGAAUACGGAGGAAAGAGAUAAACAGACUGACAGAAAACCGUUUUAGUUGAAACGUUACAACUUUCUUUAAUCGCAUAACAUGCCAAGAAAAACAAAUUAUUCUAGACUUUCAUAAUAUGAUAUCGAAGAUCACCUCUAAUAAUUAAGAGUAUUUAACUUAAUAUAAAAGUAUAUUUUUUAAUUUAUUUCGUUAUUUAAUUAAAUUAUAAAUGAUAAAUAAAAACUAAAAUUUUUUAACAAGACAUAUGGUAUUUUAGGUUCUAAAUAUAAAAAUUAUGGAUUCACAAUGUAAAUACUAUAGAACCCAUCUCUAUUUUCUCUCUUUCAUUUUAGUUUUUUUUUGCUUGAAAAACUCAUUUAGAAUCCUCUAUUGGAGGUGCUCUAAGUAAAGCAACUUGCAUGGCGGGUCGAUCUAACCAUUUGUUCAACUCAUGUAUCCCUCAGUUAUAGUGUUAAAACAUAUUUAUAUCACCUGCAUUUUUAGUGAUAAAAGUUUAGACAUAGAGAUUUAUAUCACCUACAUUUUUAGUGAUAAAAUUUUAAGCGUAGAGAUUUAUAUCACCUACAUUGUGAAAGUGCAUUUAGUGCAGAAAUAUGUUCAAACAUCUCGUGACGAUGCUUUGAAUGAGGAUAUGCGGACACGAAUAUCUUGUGAAGGUGUAUUCAAUGCGGAUAUGUCCAAAUAACCUUUUAGUGUGAGAAUACGGAGGAAAGAGAUAGACAGACUUACAGAUAUCCGUGUUUUAGUGGAAACGUUUCAACUAUCUUUAAUAGCAUAUCAUGCAAAAACAAAACAAAUUAUACCUUGAAUAGAGUUUCAUAAUAUUAUAUCCAAGAUUACCUCCAAUAAUUAGGAGUAUUUAACUCAUUAUAAAAAUAUAUAUUUUUAAUUUAUUUUGUUAUUUAAUUAAAUUGUAAAUGAUAAAUAAAAAACUAACAAAUUAUAACAAGACAUAUGGUAUUUUUAGGUUCUAAAUAUAAAAACUAUAGAUGCUAAAUGUAAAUACUAUAGAACCCAUCUCUAUUUUCUCUCUUUCAUUUUAGUUUUUUUGUUAAAAGCUCAUUUAGAAUCUUCUAUUAGUGGUGUUCUAAGUAAAGCAACUUGCAUGGCAAGUCGAUCUAACUGUUUGUUCAACUCAUGGAUCCCUUAGUUAUAGUGUUGAAACAUAUUUAUAUCACCUCCAUUUUUUGUGAUAAAAGCUUAGACAUACAGAUUUAUAUCACCUACAUUUUUAGUGAUUAAAUUUUAGACGUAAAGAUUUAUAUCACCUAUAUUGUGAAAGUGCAUUUAGUGCAGAAAUAAGUUCAAACAUCUCGUGACGAUGCUUUUAAUAAGGUUAUGCCGACACAAAAAACUUGUGAAGGUGUAUUCAGUGCGAAUAUGUCCAAAUAACCUUUUAGUGCGAGAAUACAGAUGAAACAGAUAGACAUAUUGAUAGAAAAUGUGUUUUAGCGGAAAUGUUUCAACUAUCUUCAAUAGCAUAUCAAGCCAAGAAAAACAAAUUAUACCUUGAAUAGAGUUUCACAAUGUACGAUAUUCAAGAUCACCUCAAAUAAUUAGGAGUAUAUAACUCAAUAUAAAAGUAUAUUUUUUUAAUUUAUUUUGUUAUUUAAUUAAUUUUUAAUGAUAAAAAAAAAUAACAAAUUAUAACAAGAAAUAUGGUAUUUUAGGUUCUAAAUAUAAAAACUAUUGAUUCUAAAUGUAAAUACUAUAGAACCCAUCUCUAUUUUCUCUUUUUCAUUUUAGUUUUUUUUUUUGCUUUAAAAACUCAUUUAGAGUCCUCUAUUGGAUGUGCUCUAAGUAAAGCAACUUGCAUGGCAGAUUGAUCUAACCGUUUGUUCAACUCAUGUAUCCCUUAGUUAUAGUGUUGAAACAUAUUUAUAUCACCUGCAUUUGUAGUAAUAAAAGUUUAGACGUAGAGACUUAUAUCACCUACAUUUUUAGUGAUAAAAGUUUAGACGUAGAGAUUUAUAUCACCUACAUCAAAGUGCAUUUAGUGCAGAAAUAUGUUAAAACAUCUCGUGACGAUGCUUUUAAUGAGGAUAUGCGUACACGAGAAUUUUGUGAAUAUUCAGUGCGGAUAUGUCCAAAUAACCUUUUAGUGCGAGAAUACGGAGGAAAGAGAUAGACAGACUGACAGAAAACCGUGUUUUAGUAGACACGUUUCAAGUAUCAUUAAUAGCAUAUCAUGCCAAGAAAAACAAAUUAUACUUUGAAUAGAGUUUCAUAAUACGAUAUCCAAGAUCACCUCCAAUAAUUAGGAGUAUUCAACUCAAUAUAAAAGUAUAUUUUUAAUUUAUUUUGUUAUUUAAUUAAAUUAUAAAUGAUAAAUAAAAACUAACAAAUUUUAACAAGACAUAUGGUAUUUUAGGUUCUAAAUUUAAAAAUUAUGGAUGCUAAAUGUAAAUACUAUAGAACCCAUAUCUAUUUUCUCUCUUUCAUUUUAGUUUUUUUUGUUUAAAAAACUCAUUUAGAACCCUCUAUUUGGGGGUGCUCUAAGUAAAGCAAGUGGCAUGGCAGAUCGAUCUAACCGUUUGUUUAACUCAUGGAUCCCUUAGUUAUAGUGUUGAAACAUAUUUAUAUCACUUACAUUUUUAGUGAUAAAAGUUUAGACGUAGAGAUUUAUAUCCCCUGCAUUGUGAAAGUGCAUUUAGUGCAGAAAUAUGUUCAAACAUCUCGUGAUGAUGCUUUUAAUGAGAAAAGAGGCAGACACGAAAAUCUCGUGAAGGUGCAUUCAGUGCGGAUCUGUCAAACUAUCUUUUUAGUGCGAGAAUACGAAGAAACAGAUGGACAGGCUCACAGAACACCGUGUUUUCGUGAAAACGUUCCAACUAUCUUUAAUAGCAUGUCAUGCCAAAAUGAAUAUUUUUACCCUGUUAGAGUGUCACAAUAUGAUACCUAAGUAAAGCAAGUGGCAUGGUAAGUCUAUCUAACCAUUUUUUCAACUCGUGGAUCCCUUAGUUAUAAUGUUAAAACCUUUUUUUUUUUUCUUUUAACGAAACCUAGUUGUUUUGACUACCUUAUGUGAAUAUACAACUCAUGAAUUUUGUGUUAAUAUACAUUUUUUGUUGUAGAUCUUCUAUGUGUGCCCACUCAUUUCUAGAGUCAUAUAUAUGAAAGUAUUUGCAAGGAAGAGUAUAGUUAGUUUCACUCAAAAUGAUGUUAAGAUAACCAAAGAUUGACAUUGUGAAUGGAGCACUCGAUAGAGGAAGCAAUAUAUCUCCAAUAGUUCAAAGUUGCGAAUGAGAGUUGCUAUUGUAGAUCUGGAAAGACUGUCUUUCACACGCCAAUGCUACGACAAAUCCUCAUGUUUAUACAAAAAAAUUUAUGUUAGCUACUUCAAGAAUCUACAAAUUGUUAUGUUCUUGAUCACAUAGUUUUUUCAAAGCAGAUAACACAUUCAGAUCGAGAAGACUCCACACAUGAAUAUGAUUCUACUAAGACCAAAACAAAGCUUUACACAGUUCAAAUUACUAGCCACUUUGCUGCAGGAAUAGUCAAUAGGGCACUUUGUGAUUACUUGGCUGCUUAAGACCAUCAUUUGUAGAGUAACCCUUGUGGGAUACUUAAAAUAAAAUAAAUAAUAUAAUUAACAUUAAAUUAAUCAAAUCAAUCCAUUAAUAACUUUAAACAAAUCAAACGAUUUGAAUUCGAAAGAAUGAUGUUGAAUAUUGUUUAACUUCGCGGGAUUAACUUCGCGGGAUCUACAUGAAUAUUGUUUCUGCCUUUCGCCGGUUGAAGGAGAGAAAAAAGUGACAGAGUCGUGUUGGGGAGAAAGAAAGAAAAUGGGGGAAACUAAUUUUUUUCCCCUUUUCUAUUUUCUUCAUCUUCCAAUCACACUGAGCCACGUGGCGGUUCUUAUGCGAUUCUUCCAACGCAUGAAGAAGCAAGGAUUCUCUUUUUUUAUAGGCCAUUCUUCUUUGUUUUUCAAUCAAUCUUGGCCCACUUUAAAAUUAAGCAACCCAUUGGAUCUCCACAGUAAUGCUGGUGUAACAAAUUAUACACUAGUAGUAUAUAUAUAUCUUCUGUGAAUCGUCAUAAACUCAUAGUGAUAUGUUACAUAUGAAAAUGUUUAAGUUUAAGUAACAAUAGUUCUCAUCAGUACAAAGAAAGAGACAAAUUACAUAUAACCAAACCAGCUUAAACGUGCCCUUCACGGCAUCUUUACCAAAUCCUAACUUAGGACACAAGUCAAACUCUUUUCUUCGAUAUCUUUCGAUGAGAAGCUGUUGGCAAUUCGAAAGACGAAAAUUCCUAUACCAUUUAGUAGCCGAGUUCACCACGACACUCGGUUUGUAGAUACAAACUAAUCCGUCACAGCUACCGUAACAGAACAUGCUUCCGGUAACAGGAAACGUGGCUGUGGUAAUGAAUCCACAAUAGAGCAGGGACGAUGCCUUAUCAAUAUAUUGUAGGUAUUGUCUUGUCAUUGUCUUUUCAACCACAUUGCCUUGUCUCUCUAAUCGAUAUCAAGAGACUACAGAGGAGAAGAGGCUUUACCAAAUAUAUAUAUACACACACACGGAAAGAAAAAAGGAAAACAGUCUCAGCCCAAUUAAGUAAGAUAUGGAAAAUAUAAGAAUCAGGGAAUUAGGUUACGUGUUGGAGAAAUUGGAAAAAAAAGAGAUCAGAUUAAAAAUUUAAAAUAAAACAUUCAUAUAUUGUGUCUAAUUAGUUUAGAAUUCUUAAACCUCAUCUGAACUGAGAAAUAUAGAUGUUAUAAAUCUGAGAAAUUAAAUAAUAUAUUUUGAGCUAUCAACAGUUCAUUUGAUAUGUAAUAGAUAUUGAAAAACAAAAACAAACUAUUCAAUACCGCUUUGAUAUCUUUUGAGAUUUGGUGAGAAGGUAAAAAUUUCAAACUCUAUAAAUAAGAAGAUUAACAAAAAAUUAUUUUACCUUUUUUCCAGGAAAAACACUUAUACUCCUUUAUUUAUCUUCUAUAAAGGAUUUGUAAAUGAGGCAUUACAAAGAAGGUGAAGUUUGUAGUAAUUGAUGCCCCUCUGAUCUACAACGCUAUCUUGGGAUCUCCAUGGAUAUAUUCCAUGCGAGCCGUUCCGUCGACCUACCACCUCUCUGUGUCAAGUUCCCAACCGCUUCCGGGAUCUAUACCCUAUAUGGUGACUAGAAAAAUGUCAAGAACCUGCUGCGACAUUGAAAAGAAGCAACAGCAGGAGGAGUCAGCAUAGCAAUUACAGGACGAAAAAUGCAAACCUGUUUGCUAAAGCAUUCUUUUACUACACUCUCCUAAAAUCUCUCUAAACUCUACUAAAUCCAAAAACUUUCAACAUUUACAAUCCUAAAAAUCUGCUACCUUCCGAUCCCAUAAACAGUUUCCUUCUCAUUUGCUAUUUGAUGUAUUAAUCAAUAAUCACCAGAUUCGCCUCAAAAACUAUUUAACCCCAAAAAAUCGAAACCAUAAAUAAUAUUACCGAAUAUAUAUAAUAAACUUUAAAAGAUUAUAAUUAAAAUAGUUAAUCUUAAUAAAAAGUCUGAAUUAUGAAUUCAUAGUCUAAAUUGUGAAUCUUAAUAAAUAUUUAAAUAUUAAACUAUUUAAACAUAUUAAAAAUUUUAAGUAAUAUGGGAAAAUAGUAUGAUGACACAAGUUUGAAUCGAUAUUACUAAAACUUAAAUUAUCCCUAAUUUGAUACUUAAACAUGGGUUAAAUAUUUUUUCAAAACAAUACAGUUAUAUAAAAUCUUGAUAAUUAUUAAAUAAACUCCAAUAAAAUCAGUAAGUUUUAAAAAUAAAUAAAUAAAACCUUGCCCCAUGGUGUACCGCAGGUUAAAAUCUAAUAAUUGAUGUAUAUUAACAAAGAAGUUUCAUUUCCAAUAAAUUAGGUUACAAAUUUAAUACCUUUAAAAUAUUUUAUUUUACUAUACAAAAAAAAAUAUUUUUAAUUUACUUGAUUUUAUGUUAUUAUGAUAUGCUAAUAAUUAUUUCAUUUAAAAAUAUUUUAGUAAAUUUAGAAUUAACAUGUGUCAACAUUUAAUCGGGAUAAUUGACACGUGGCACAAUCUUGUUAAUGACUAACUUUGAAAAGUAAAUUUUGUGUUAAAAAACUCUUAUUUUAUUUUAGAUAUUUUUGUGCAUAUGCUAAUAAUUAUUUCAUUUAAAUAUAUUUUAGUAAAUUUAGAAUUAACAUGUGUCUAAAUUUAAUCGGGAUAAUUGACACGUGACACAAUCUUGUUAAUGACUAACUUUGAAAACCAAAUUUUGUAUUAAAAAAUUCUUUUUUUAUUUUAGAUAUUUUUUGUGGAUUAUACUAUUUUUUGUAGAAGCCAAUAAAUAUCAUUAAGGUUUAGCUUAGUUUGAGUUUUUUUUUUAAUAAAUUUAUUUCUUUCUUCUUUAUUGUAUGUGACACUUUUCCAAUGAGAGGAACUCUCAAAUUAUAUUAUGAAUAUCUUAAUAGUUAAUAAAUUCAAUUGUUUGUGAUUUUUAUUUUCUUUCUUCAUAAAGCAAAUAAAUAUUAAAAGUUGGCUAGGUUUCUCUUUAUGUUCACCAAUCCAAACUCUUUAUAACCCCAUAUAAACACAUACUCUUCUAAACCAAAGCAUUUCAUCAUCUUCCUUGUUGCUUAAGCUAUGGCUUCUCUCUUUAACCAAGUCCCUUCUAUAUCCACAGUUUUCGCCCUCUACACAUCUUUAUCUGCAACCACUUUGAUCCUCCGUAAAAUCCUCAACGAUAUUGUGCCUAAACCAUUACGAGAUUACAUCACUAAGAAAUUUGCAGAAUUGUUCUCUUCUCACUUCCAGUCGAAUUUCACGUUUGUGAUUGACAAAACAUGGGACUUUUGUGAAAAUCAGACUUUCCGUGCGGCCGAAGUUUACUUAAAAUCGCGCGUCGCGGGACUCUCCACUAGAGAACUCCCUGUGGGUUCGAGUGAUCUCAAGAAUCCGGACGCUGAGAUAAAUUUUGGAGUCCCUGUCAACACAAAGAUCUUUGAUGAGUUUGAAGGGAUUCAUCUUGAGUGGAUUAUGCACAAUGUUGAGUCGAACAAUCAUAAGUAUGUGAAACAGUACUCGUUAUCUUGAUCUUUGUCUUCUCCUUGAUCUUUAAUCUUAAAUCUUCUUUUGUUCUUACAAUGUUGGUCUUUUGUGUUGUUUCAUGUUUUCAGGUACUUUCGUCUGACUUGUAAGAAGGAGUUUCGUGAGAAGAUAAUGAAAGAUUACUUCCCUCACUUUGCGAAAUCAGCAGCGAAGAUCAUGAGACAACGCGAAAAUCUCUACAUCUACACUUACAACCAAAUGCGGUCAGCAUGGGAACCAGCUAUUUUCAAGCACCACACGACCUUCGAAACCUUAGCUAUGGAGCCGAAACUUAAGACGACCAUAAUCGAAGAUCUUGAUGCUUUUGCUAAAGGAAAAGACUUCUUCAAGGGCGUUGGACGCGCUUGGAAACGUGGAUAUCUUCUUUACGGUCCACCGGGAACAGGGAAAUCCUCUAUGGUGGCUGCAAUAGCUAAUCACAUGAACUACAAUAUCUAUGAUCUACAGAUUCAGAGUGUUAGAGAUGAUGGUGAGCUGCGGAAGAUUCUUACUGCUACCAAGAACAAGUCAAUUCUUCUCAUUGAAGACAUUGAUUGUGGAACUGAUGUGUCUCAUAGACGCCAGACUACAAAGGAAGAAGAUGUUAAGCUCCAAAAAGAUAAAAAGAAGGAUGACUUUGGGGUAUAAGUUAGAAAAAUUUCCUCUGUUUUUGUUAACCUCUCUGUUUUUUCGAACCUAAAUCUUCUUUCUUGUGGACAGAUAUCUUUGUCUGGUCUAUUAAACUUUGUAGAUGGGCUUUGGUCGAGCUGCGGAGAAGAAAGGAUUAUAAUUUUCACUACCAAUCACAAGGAGAUGAUCGACCCGGCAUUGAUAAGGCCGGGAAGAAUGGAUGUUCACAUUCUUAUGGACUAUUGCACCCCAUAUGUCUUGAAGAAGCUUGUGGCUAUGUACCUCAAGAUUGAUGACCAUGUUCUAUUUGAUCCCAUUGAGAAGCUUGUCCUUGAGGUGAGUGUAACUCCUGCUGAAGUCGCACAGCAGAUCAUGGCGACUAAGAACGCUGAUAUCGCGGUCAAUGGUCUCCUCGAGUUCCUCGGAAACAAGAAGAUGGAGAAAGGAGAUGGCAAAGUAGAGAAAGAGGGAGAGCUUGAAUAUGCUGACACUAAAGAAGCUUAAACAUAAGUAGACCUCUGCUGCUAUUGAGAAAGUUAUCAUUCUAGUGGAUAUGCAUACUGUAUAUUGAAAAUAAUUAAAAUAUCUAAACAUUUUGUGGUCAUGUUGAAGAACAUUACCUUUUUUCAUAUAUUAUUGUGGCGAAAAUAAAUGGUUUCUAAGUGGAAUUAAUUAGAUUAUAUAUGUGUGUUUAAUAUUUUUUUUUUUUUACCAUUUCUAUAUUAUUAAAUUUUAACCAUUUUUGUUUUUUGUUCAUCUAAUCAUUAUUCUUUUUUUUUUGAACACCAGUCUAGACAUUAUUCAAUUUUUGUUUCUUGCAUAUUUCUUUAUGUUGUAAUUUAUUGUUUCAUUAGUAUUACUACAUUUUAGCUAGUUUGCAUUAUAAUCUAUAUAUGUAUGUAUAUAUUUUAAUAUAAUUAAAUCAUUAAAAUAAAAUUUAAUCAGAUUUUUUUUCAGUUAACAGUAUUAACUAUUAAGUGAUACUUUCCUGUGAGAAAAUUAUUCUUUAAUUAAUUUUAAGAGUAAAUAAAAAGUUUUAUACUAAGAAUAAUUUCACCAUUUAAAAACUCUUGUAAAUUUCUUUAAAAACUCUUGUAAAACCUUUAAAAUACCUUUUAAAAAUCCUUGUAAAAAAUUAUGCCGGAAAAUUUUGUAAAAAUAUUUUUUUUUGCCGGAAAUUGUUUUGGCGGAAAAAGUUUUGGCGAGAAAUUUUUGGGGAGAAAAUUUUUGGAAAGAAUAUUCCUUCCUAUGGGAAAUAAUAUUCUUUCAAAUAGGGUAAAAUGGCCCUUAAAAUUUAGCAGAGGACAAACAUGAAAAUGGCAAAAUAAGAGGGUAGUUUUGCAAAAAGGUAUCAUAAAAAGAUUAUUAGUAAUUAUUUCUCUAAAAUCUAAUGAUUUGAUCUAUAUUAGCAAAGAAGUUUCAUUUCCAAUAAAUUAGGUUACAAAUUUAAUACUUGUAAAAUAUUUUAUUUUACUAUACAAAAGGAAUAUUUUUAUUUUUACUUGAUUUUCUUUUUUUAUGAUAUGCUAAUAAUUAUUUCAUUUUAAAAUACUUUAGUAAAUUUAGAAUUAACAUGUGUCAACAUUUAACAGGGACAAUUGACAUGAGGCACAAUCUUCUUAAUAACUAACUUUGAAAACAAAAAUUAAUAUAAAAAAAUUCAUAUUUUAUUUUAGAUAUUUUUUUGUGCUUUAUACUCUUUUUGUAGAAGACAAUAAAUAUCAUUAAGGUUUAGCUUAGUUUAUUUUUUUUUAAAAAUUAUUGCUUUCUUCUUAAUAGUAUGUGACACUUUUCCAAUGAGAGGAACUCUCAAAUUAUAUUAUGAAUAUCUUGAUAGUUAAUAAAUUCUAUUGUUUGUAAUUUUUAUUUUCUUUCUUUAUUAAGCAUUUAAAUAUUAAAAGUUGGCUAGGUUUCUCUUUAUAACCCCAAAUAAACACAUACUCUUCUAAACAAAAGCUCUUCACCAUCUUCCUUGUUGCUUAAGCUAUGGCUUCUCUCUUUAACCAAGUCCCUUCUAUAUCCACAGUUUUCGGCCUCUACACAUCUUUAUCUGCAACCACUUUGAUCCUCCGUAAAAUCCUCAACGACGUUGUGCCUAAACCAUUACGAGAUUACAUCACUAAGAAAUUUGCAGAACUGUUCUCUUCUCACUUCCAGUCGAAUUUCACGUUUGUGAUUGACAAAACAUGUGAGUUUUGUGAAAAUCAGACUUUCCGUGGGGCCGAAGUUUACUUAAAAUCGCGUCUCGCGGGACUUUACCCCCUACUGUACUGCACAUCCUUUUUGCCCUCACAAUCAUUGAUUUUGUCUCCAUACCUCAUUCCUAUUCAAGAAUCCAUCUUAUAAAAUCAGAUCCUCUUACGUAAGUUUGGCGGAAAAACUUGACUACGAAGAUUUGAUAGAUGAAUUUGCAAGUAGAAAUGCAAGAAGAAUCAUAUUCAGAAAAAGAAAAUUUUUAUUGAUAUGUGAUGUUUUAGAACUUUUAAUGCUUUUGUUAACCAUAUCAGUUUUAUGUUUACUUUGAUCAAUUUUUUUUUAAUUAUGAAUAUGAAGAAAGUGGUCUUUUUUUUUGUCCGGCUUGUAGUCGUAUUAAGUGUAGGGACGGCUCUGUAUGUACCUCAAGAUUGAUGACCAUGUCCUAUUUGAUCCCAUUGAGAAGCUUGUCCUUGAGGUGAGUUUAACUCCUGCUGAAGUCGCACAGCAGCUCAUGGCGAGUAAGAAUGCUGAUAUCGCGGUCAAUGGUCUCCUCGAGUUCCUCGAAAACAAGAAGAUGGAGAAAGGAGAUGGCAAAGUAGAGAAAGAGGGAGAGCUUGAAUAUGCUGACACUAAAGAAGCUUAAAUAUAAGUAGACCUCUGCUGCUAUUGAGAAAGUUAUCAUUUUUAUGUGAAUAAACCAUUCUAGUGGAUAUGCAUAUAUUGAAAAUAAUUAAAAUAUCUAAACAUUUUCUGGUCGAAUUAUGAGUAUUCGUUAAAAUUAUAAAAUUUAACUAAUCUAUGUUGAAGAACAUUACCUUUUUCAUAUAUUAUUGUGGCGCAAAUAAAUGGUUUCUAAGUGGAAUUAAUUGAAUUAUAUAUGUGUGUUUAAAUUUUUUUUUUUUUUUACCAUUUCUAUAUUUUUAAAUUUUAACCAUUUUUGUUUUUGUUUAUCUAAUCAUUAUUAUUUUCCUUUUUUUCUUGCAUAUUUCCUUUUGUUGUAAUUUAUUAUUUCAUUAGUAUUACUACAUUUUAGCUUGUUUGCAUUAUAAUCUGUGAAAGACAGUAAAUAUAUAUAUUUUAAUAUAAUUAAGUCAUUAAAAUAAAAUUUAAUCAGAUUGCUUUUUUUUUUCAGUUAACAGUAUUAACUAUUAAGUGAUACUUUCCUAUGAGAAAAUUAUUCUUUAAUUAAUUUUAUGAAUAAAUAAAAAGUUUUAUACUAAGAAUAAAUUCACUGAUACAUUAGGACUUUUCAAUUUGUCCAUAUUUUUUGUGUAAGUUUCCUACACUUACCCUAAAUAUGCAAACUUUCUUGUUCACUACGCUUUAGUACAACACAACCUCUUUAUAAACCCUAAAGUACAAACUUCUUCACCAAAGCUCUUCUUCGCUUUAAAGCUAUGGCUUCUCUCUUUAACCAAGUCCCUUCUGUAUCCGCAGUUUUCGCUCUCUACACAUCUUUAUCUGCACUUACUUUGGUUCUACGUAACAUCUUCAACGAGAUUGUACCUAAGAAACUCCGUGAUUACGUAACUGCGAAAUUUUUAGACUUGUUCUCUUCUUACUUCCAAUCAAAUUUCACGUUUGUGAUUGAACAAAAAUGGGAUUAUUGCGGUAAUACUACUUUCACUGCGGCCAAUGUUUACUUAACGACACGUUUGCCCGGAUCCUCGACCGGAAAAAUCCUCGUUGGUUCGAAUGAUCUCAAGAAUCCAGCAGCUGAGCCAAAUCUUGGAGUCCCUGUCAAUACAAAGAUCGUUGAUGAGUUUGAAGGGAUUCAUCUUGAGUGGACUCUACACUACGUUGAGUCCAAGAAUAAUUCAUAUGAGAAAAAGUACUAAGCUUCUCUCUUCGAUCUUGUCUUGAUAAGAAGUUUUCAUAUCUUUUUGUUGUUCUUACAGUUAUUGUUUUAUGUUUUCAGGUACUUUCAUCUGACUUGUAAGAAGGAGUUUCGUGAGAAGAUAAUGAAAGAUUACUUCCCUCACUUUGCGAAAUCAGCAGCGAAGAUUAUGAGACAUCGCCAAGAUCUCUACAUCUACACUUACGAUCGCGAGGAGCUAUCAUGGGAAUCUGCUAUUUUCGACCACCACACGACCUUCGAGACCUUAGCUAUCGAGCCGGAACUUAAGACCACUAUGAUCGAGGAUCUUGAUUCUUUUGCUAAAGGAAAAGACUUUUUCAAAAGAGUAGGACGCGCUUGGAAACGUGGAUAUCUUCUUUACGGUCCACCGGGAACAGGGAAAUCCUCUAUGGUUGCUGCAAUAGCUAAUCAUAUGAAGUACAAUAUCUAUGAUCUACAGAUUCAAAGUGUUAGAGAUGAUGGUGAGUUGCGGAAGAUUCUUACCGCUACCAAGAACAGGUCGAUUCUUCUCAUUGAAGACAUUGAUUGUGGAGCUGAUUCGUCUCAUAGACGUGAGACUUCAAAGGAAGAAGAUGUUAAGCUCCAAAAGAAUAAAAAGAAGCGUGACCUUGGGGUAAGUUAGAAAAAAUCCUCUGUUUUUGUUAACUCCUCUGUUUUUUACUAAUUGCUCUGUUUUUGAAACUUAUUAUGUAUCUUCUUCCUUGUGGACAGAUAUCUUUGUCUGGUCUACUGAACUUUGUAGAUGGGCUUUGGUCGAGCUGCGGAGAAGAACGAAUCAUAAUUUUCACUACCAAUCACAAGGAGAAGCUCGACCCGGCAUUGCUGAGGCCAGGAAGAAUGGAUCUUCAUAUUCUUAUGGACUACUGCACCCCCUUUGCGUUGAAGAAGCUUGUGGUUAUGUACCUCGAAAUUGAUGACCAUGUCCUGUUUGAUCCCAUUGAAAAGCUUGUCCUUGAGGUGAGUGUAACUCCUGCUGAAGUCGCACAGCAGCUCAUGGCGAGUAAGAACAUUGAUAUCGCGGUUAACGGCCUCCUCGAAUUCAUGGAAAACAAGAAGGUAAAGAAGGAAGAAAAUACCAAAGUUGAGGAAAAGGGUGAGAUUAAAGAUGCUGAGACUAAAGAAUAAAAGAUGCUCUCAAACAUAAGUCCACCUCUGGUGCUAUUAGUUAUCUUCAAGACUUAUUAGAAGUAAUUGUCUAUUUCAGUUCUACUUCUUUACACUACAUGUUCGUUGUAUAUGAAGAAUCAGAGGGAGACAGGAGACUGAGUCUUAAAAUUAUAUAUACUAUAGUUUAUAUAAUCCGGAACAUGGAACAUGGAAAGCAAAGACAAGAACUGAGAGAAAAAUGGAUUUUCAAAACUAACCACAAGUGUAAAAGCAUAUGUUUUGAGAUCAUGCAAGCUAACCAUAGUCAAUUGCUAGCAAACCAAUUAUGUGUGAAUUUUAUUCUACUAGUUAUAAAAAUCGUUAGAUCUACUAUCUUAUAAAUAUUAAAAAGAAAAAUUGUGAUUUUUUAUUUAUUUUUACGUGUUAUUUUUAGGUAAACUAAUUAGUUUUUUUUUUAGUUUAGUUUUGAAAUUAUCGAAACUAACUAAUUAUAAAAAUUAAUGCAUUGAAUAUAUAUACAAAAUAUUUUAUAUUGAAUAUUGUAUAUAUAUUUUUAAUUACACAAUAUUAUAAAUGAUUCAAUAACAUAAUUUUCUAAAUAUUAAAAAACUAAAAAUAUUCUUUUUUUUUGAAUAUUUAUGUUGGUCAACGCCGGUCAAACUGGUCAAUGCCAGAUUCCGGCGAAAAGUGUACCGGGAAAAAAAUGUUCGUGAUGUUGACGACAUGACUACAUAUAAUUCGUAUAUGUGAGCAUGCGAUGCAUAUAGUUUGUGUAGUUAGGGAUACAUUUUUAAAUUUCGUUUGUGUUGCCAUGUAUUAUAGCAUAAUUCGUGUAGCUAGGUAUUUUUUUUGUUUUUUCUUUUUUAAUUACCGUAACAUCUCCAUGCAUGACUUACCGUAUCAAGCUGAACGAACACUUGCCGAUAAACCAUAUUCAAGUACAUGACAACUUAAGACAGCUAAACGAACAUGACGUUUCUGUCUAUUUGCUUAGAAACUACGAUAUUUGGAAUCUUAUAUAUGUCUUAUCAUAAUUCAGUGAACAACAACCAGAAAAUUUCAAUAUCCAUCUUUUAUACAAAAAGUCUUCUAGGAAAGGAAGCCCAUUUCUCUCUCUUUUCUCAUAUACUAUAUGUAAACUUCUAGUUGUGUAGUGCUGAUUUACUUAUCCUAAAACUCUUGGUGAUCUCUUCUCUCUAGCUACUUUCUCCCAUGGAGGCUUGUUCUUUUGGCAGCUAUAGAUACGACGUUUUCCCAAGCUUCAGUGGGGUAGAUGUUCGCAAGACGUUCCUUAGCCAUCUUCUCAAGGCUCUCGACGCCAAAUCGAUCAAUACAUUCAUGGAUAAUGGUAUUGAGAGCAGCAACCAAAUCGGCCUUUCGCUUUUAACUGCGAUAAAAGAAGCGAGGAUCUCAAUCGUCAUCUUCUCUAAGAACUAUGCGACUUCCACGUGGUGCUUAAAUGAAUUGGUUGAGAUUCACAAGUGCUAUAAGGAAUUGGGUCAAAUGGUGAUUCCCGUUUUCUACAACGUUGAUCCUUCGGAAGUUGGAAAACAGACGGGUGAUUUUGGUAAGUUAUUUGAAGAGACAUGCGUGGUCAGCAAGGAAAAACAACCAGAGGGUCAGAAACAAAGAUGGAUGGAAGCUCUCACAGAUAUAGCAAAAAUAGCCGGAGAGGAUCUUCUGAACGGGUAUGUUGUUUUGAUUCCAUUAUUUCUAUUAAAAUAUUAUUUUUCUCUACAUAGACUUCGAAUGUGCAUUUCUGGGUGCCUCUUUUUUUGUUGACAAAAGUACUCAAUAUUGUUAUUAGGUCUAGUGAAGCAGCCAUGGUUGAAAAGAUAGCUAAUGAUGUUUCGAAUAAACUUACCUCAUCCACGAAUUGUUUUGAUGGAUUCGUCGGGAUCGAAGCUCGUUUAAAGGAAAUGGAACCAUUAUUGUCCUUGAAAUCCAAGGAAGCUAGAAUGAUCGGGAUUUGGGGGCCUUCCGGGAUUGGUAAGAGUACCAUUGGAAAAGCUCUAUAUAAUCAACUCAUUAGCGAAUUCUACUUUCACGCUUUCAUACCUCAUGUCUAUAGCAUCAAGUCUGAAUGGGAGAAAAAAUUUCUGUCAGAAAUUUUAGGUAAAGAUAUAAAGAUAAGAGAGAAAUUCGGUGUAGUGGAGCGAAUGUUAAAUAAGAAGAAAGUUCUUGCGGUUCUUGAUGAUGUGGAUGAUCCAGAGUUUCUUAAGACCUUGGUGGGGAAAACUAAAUGGUUUGGACCCGGAAGCAGAAUUAUUGUGAUUUCUGAAGAUAAGCGAAUUUUUGAUCAGGUUCAUGAUGUUGACCAUUUAUACGAGGUGAAGUUCCCAUCUCAAGAUAUUGCUCUUAAGAUGUUAUGUCAGACUGCUUUUGGGAAGAACUCUCCACCUCAUGAUUUUAAGGAAGUAGCCGUUAGAGCUGCAAAGCUUGCCUAUAAUCUUCCUUUGGGUCUCAGUAUCUUGGGUUCGUCUUUAAGGAAAAGGGGGGAAAAAGAGUGGAUGAAAAUCAUGCCUCAACUCCAAAAUGAUUUGGAUGAAAAAAUUGAGAAAAAAUUAAGAAUCAGGUUCGACAGGUUAAGUGAAAAAGAUCGAGAGUUAUUUCUGUACGUUGCAUGUUUUUUCAAUGGUUGUAGAGUCCGUUACUUCGAAGAUUUCCUUCGCAAUAAUUUUGGGCUACAAUCGUUGAUUGAUAAGUCCCUCGUACGUAUUACACCAGAAGGAUAUAUAGAGAUGCACAAUUUUGUAGAGAAGUUGGGUAUUAAAAUUGAUCGCGCAGAGUGUAAAGGUAAUCCUGGAAAAUCUCGAUUUCUGAAGAAUGCUGAGGAAAUUCUAGAAGUAUUUACUCAUAAAACCGUAAGUUUAAUAAUUUACUUCCGGUAUAAACUAUAAUCGUUUAAACUUUUGACACACAUAUUAAAAGGAAAAAAAAGCUGUUUUACAUUUUUAUUAUUAUACUGUACAUUAGAUUAGUAAAAAUAAAUUGUUGCUAUGGCUAAACUAAUAGUUGUUCUCUUGCGAUAAUUUUUUUGCAGGGAACGGAAACUGUAGUUGGAAUAUUCUUCAAAGCAUCAGAACUUAGUAAUGAAUUUAUUUCAAUUGAUGGAGACUCCUUCAAAGGCAUGGCUAAUCUCCAAUUUCUAAAAAUUCAUAACUAUUCCUUGUGGUCAUCGACUGAAACCUGUAUAGUGCAUCUACCUAAAGGCCUCGAUUACUGGCCACGUAAACUCAAAUGGCUAGAGUGGAAUAGUUUUCCAUUGAAGUAUUUGCAUCGUAGUUUUAAUACUGAGCAUCUAGUUGAACUCAGCAUGGAGGACAGUAAGCUUACGAGGCUAUGGGAUGGAACUCAGGUAACAAUCAUGCAUUGUAUUAGUUGUCAGUAUAUUACUAUAUUUAGUAACAUGCAUGUUUUAAAAGUUAAAUGAAAUCUUUUUCAAAAAUGUUUUAUGAACGUGUGUGUUUUUUCUCUUUUCCCCUAUUUUGUUUUCAGCCACUUGGAAGCCUCAAGACGAUGGAUUUAAGUCGCUCCAAAUAUUUGAAAGAAGUUCCAAAUCUUUCUAAGGCAAAAAACCUUGAGGAAUUACAUCUUCAGGGAUGCAUAUCUUUGGUAGAGCUUACUCGCUCCAUUCAGGUUGCCGUUAAACUGAGAAAGUUAAAUAUGUGUGGUUGCAUAGAGCUAAAGAGAUUUCCAACGCAUCUCAACUUGAAAUCUCUCCACGACCUCGAUCUCACUUGUUGUCAUAAUUUGACAAAUUUUCCUCUAAUUAAAAUGGAGAAUUCAAUCAAUAUGCCAUAUCAAGUUGAGAUCCGUGUAGAUGAUUGUUUAUGGAACAGGAAUCUUUAUGACACAAUGUGGAACAGAGAUCUCUAUGGACUCGACUAUCUCGGCUGCCUUAGAACAUGUAUACCAUGUCAAUUUCGCCCGGAAUAUCUCGUUCGUCUCAUAGUGAUAGGCAACAAAAACCUUAAGAAGCUAUGGGAAGGCGUCCAGGUAACAUUAUUUUUGUUAUAGCAUUCACUGAUUCUCGUUUAACCUCUGUGUACGUUAUAACUAAUAAGUAAAUAUAACCGAAAUUUUCAAUAGCUUGUGAGCCACGGUUUAAUUUUACAUACAUACAUACUAGUCUUUAACAUGAAAUUAGGUAUAGAAUUAAUUAUGAUUACAUAACUCAUGAAAAUCGAAGAAUAACAAUGUUUUUUUUUAAUAUAUAUAAAUUUCAGCCCCUUGGAAGUCUCACAGAGAUCGAUCUGUCAGAAUGCACAAAGUUGACAGAAAUUCCAGAUCUUUCAAAGGCCAUCAAUCUGUGGAGUUUGAAACUCAACAAAUGUGAAAGUUUGGUGACUUUACCUUCUAAAAUUGGGAAUCUCCAAAAUUUAGUGAGGUUGGAAAUGAGAUGGUGCAUACUGCUGGAGGUUCUUCCAAUCGAUGUCACCUUGUUAGAUCCCGAAAUCCUCGAUCUUACUGGUUGCAAAAGUUUAAGAAAUCCCUCGGAUUUCAUGGCGUAUCAAAAAGCUCUAUAAGGAAAACACCGCCAUUGACGAAGUUCCUUGUUGCAUUGACAAAUUCUCGAGGCUCAUUUGUUGAAAAGCGGAACCAGUUGAAGAUGGUCCGUAAGAGAAAAGCAAGCUCGACAUCUGUGAGAUUGUCGUGAGCACUGCACCAUUUUCCGAGGAGAGAGCUUAUGAAUACACGCCACAAACUGCUGUUGUUUUUUCCUUACUAUAAUUUAUUAAGAAAAAAGAUACCUAACUACACGAAAUAUACUACGUUACAUAGCCACAUAUCCGAAGUUUAAAAAUGUAUCUUUAAUUACACAAACUAUAUGCAUCGCAUGCCCAUACAUACGAACUAUAUGUAGUCAUAUCGCCAACAUCACGAACAUUUUUUUCCGGUACACUUUUCGCCGGAAUCCGACAUUGACCAAUUGGACCGGCGUUGACCAACAUAAAUAUUCAAAAUUUUUGUUUUUUUGUUUUUUAAUAUUUAGAAAAUUAUGUUAUUGAAUCAUUUAUAAAUUGUAUAAAUAAAAAUAUAUAUACAAUAUUCAAUAUAAAAAUAUUUUGUAUAUAUAUUCAGUGCAUUGAUUUUUAUAAUUAGUUUGUUUCGAUAAUUUCAAAACUAAACUUAAAAAAAAACCAAUUAGGUAAAAUAAUUGUAAAUAAAAAUAACACGUAAAAAUAAAAAAAAAUUACAAUGUUUCUUUUUAAUAUUUAUAAGAUAGAAUAUCUAACGAGUUUUAUAACUAGUAGAAUAAAAUUCACACAUAAAUGGUUUGAUUCUAAUGCUUUAAUAUUUAAAAUUCACAUAUUAUAUAUUAAAUAUAAACCAAAUGGUACUUGUGUCCGAAUAUUUUUAAAAAUAGGAAAAUUUUCUGUUUACAAUUAUUUUUCCUAAUUGUUUUUUUUAGUUUAGUUUUGAAAUUAUCGAAACUAACUAAUUAUAAAAAUCAAUGCAUUGAAUAUAUAUAUACAAAAUGUUUUUAUAUUAAAAAUUGUAUAUAUAUUUUUAAUUAUAAAAUAUUAUAAAUGAUUCAAUAACAUAAUUUUUAAAAUAUUAAAAAACUAAAAAAAUUUUUUUUUUUUGAAUAUUUAUGUUGGUCAACGUCGGAUUCCGCCAAAAAGUGUAUCGGAAAAAAUGUUCGUGAUGUUGGUGACAUAAUUACAUAUAGUUCGUAUAUGUAGGCAUGCGAUACAUAUAGUUUUGUAGUUAGAGAUACAUUUUAAACUUCGUAUGUGUUGUCAUGUAUUGUAGCAUAUUUCGUGUAACUAGGUUUAUUUUUUCCUUUUUUUUAACAUGGAGAACUCGUCCGUUAGGGCUGGAACUGAAUUAAUGGGCUUAAAGUAGACUAAAAGCCUAAUUAAUAACUGUUAUUGGGCUUUAGAGAAUCGCACACGUGUGAUACUGCACGUGCCACAGCAAGGCGCCAAAGCCAAAGAAGGACACACACCAUAUCCUUCCGUUAUCGUCAUCUUCUUCAUGUCCUCGGAAUCCCAAAUUCUUAAGCUUUCCUCAAAAAAGCAGAGCUUUUUACACUUCUUUUGGCUUCGGCUCUCUCCCUCUUCAGCACCUUAGAAACUGGCGCUUCUAAUUCCGCUCGUAUCGUCCACCCGGGUCAGUGUGUUGGUGAGCUCAUCAUAGCAACUCAGUAGUACAAUGGAUGUUGCUGAAGUCCCAUGGCGUCGUCUUCCUCAAUUUUCAGUUUCUUCACGAGCCUCGUGGAGUUUUACUUCUGGGUUUCCUGUUUCUUCGUAAGUUGUUUCAUUGGGGCAUUUUAUCAUACACUUUGUCUGUGGCUUGUUCUAAUUGAAAUAAAAAUUGAAGCUUUAUGAUUUAAUGAAUACAUUGUGGAGAUGGGUUUCUUAUAUGGUGUUGUUAGAGCUUAAAGUGAGAGUUUAAUUUUGGGAAAGAUGAUGAAUUGUCCCUGAACUUAGCUUUUGAUGACUUAAGACAUAACAAGAUUGGAGGGGAAAAAUUUGUACAUGGAUGAACCUGAAAGAGAAUUGUAAUAGCAAAUUUGUGAAUAGGAAAUUUCACUUUGUACUAACUUGGAAUCUCUGUUAUACAACAGAUAUAUGUUCUCUCAUGUUGAGCGUGGGAAGACGUUUAGGCUCACUUUGUGCUUUGGGGUCGCUCGAGUUCGUGCAAGGUCUGCUAUUGUAAGUGGAAAGCAAGGUCAGUUUAUCUUUUAACUUUCAUGCCUCAAAUUUCAAGAUUUCUGUAUUUGCAUUUUAACUGCUGGAAUUUUGGUUUUCUGCAUUCUCAGAACAGUCAGCUAGUCUGCGGAAAGGAUUAUGCGAGGUUGUUUGGAUUGUAGAAGCUGAUUUGGCACCAAAUGAAGAUCUCUACGUUACUGGAGAUCCUUCUGCUUUAGGUAGCUGGGAGCCAGACUGUGCGAUCUCAAUGUCGCCUACUGAAAAUGAAAAUGAAUGGGAAGUUAAAGUCAAGGUAAUACAUUCACUUGUUUCACUUAAGCCUUAGCUAACAUAAGUAGAGAUUUAUCAGCAUAAGGAACCAAACUCUUUUCUUGAAAGCUAGUUCAUAUGUCUUGUUUGCUUAUAACUUAAUAUGCUUGGCAGAUUGCUUCUGGUGUAAAUUUCAGGUAUAAUUAUUUGUUAAAAGCUGGAUACGGAUCUUCAUCUGAUGUCAUCUGGAGACCAGGGCCACAAUUUUCGUUGUCAGUUCCUUCUUCUGUCAGUCGAGAGAGAAAAAUAAUUGUAAGGGAUUCAUGGAUGAGUGCUUCCUCAAAAUCAGAAGAAUCCUACGACUGGGGGUCUUGGGUUGAUGAUGCCUACCUUUUUUCAAAUUCUGUUACCGCAGCUCAAAGAAAAGGUAACAUUUCUGUGGUUCCUCCUCUUUCCGUCUCUUUCCAUCCUUUGCAAAAUGUUUGAAAACUCAAAUGCUUCCAGUGGUUUGGCAGAUGAAUGUAAUUCCGCUGAUAGUGCUAUAGAAGUCCCGAGACUACUUUUGAAUGAUAAGCAAGUGACAGAUGAAUCUUUCUUCUGUGACGAGCUUGCAGCUUCUUCAUCAGGAAACUCAAGCUUCAAUGCGUUCAGUUCCGACAAUUAUCAGCCUAUAGAGGAACCAUGGUUUCUUCAAGAAUCUAUUACCUUGCAACAUGAAAGGAAUAUGCAGACUGAUAGCGAACAAGAAGUUGAAAACUGUGAUGAAAUUGAAAACGCCUUAGAUACUGAUGAACAACAUCACGAGCUGACUGAUACUCUCUUACCUGAUGAUGGAUUUUUUAAACCAGAAUCCAUUUCAACUACGAUACUGAUCAAUUCUUCUAUAUGUACUGUGCAAAGGAUUGCUGUAUUGGAAGGUGAAAAGCUGGUCGAGUUAUUGUUGGAACCAGUUAAGACCAAUGUGCAGUGUGAUAGUGUUUACCUGGGCGUAGUCACUAAGUUUGUGCCCCACAUGGGUGGUGCAUUUGUGAAUAUCGGAAGUGCUAGACAUUCUUUCAUGGACAUUAAGUCAAAUAGGGAACCAUUCAUAUUCGCUCCAUUCUGUGAUGGAUCAAAGAAGCAAGCAGCUGAUAGUUCUCCAAUCCUCUCUAUAAAUGAUAUUCCAGCUCCCCAUGAAAUCGAACAUGCUUCCUAUGACUUUGAAGCCAGUAGUUUAUUAGACAUUGAUUCCAAUGACCCUGGGGAAUCGUUUCAUGAUGAUGACGAUGAGCAUGAUAAUGAUGAAUAUCAUGUCUCAGAUGCUCUAGCUGGACUAGUUAAUGGAAAUGUAGUGAACCAUGGCGCUGUGGAAGUUGGAUCUGAGAAUGGCUUUAUUCCUCUGGCUAGAGAACACUCUGCAGAUUCUCUCGUUCCAAAUUCAGCAGUUGCAAAAACUUCUAAGGAUAUGUCGGCUAAGGAUGAUAAGUGGAUUCAAGUUCGGAAAGGCACCAAGAUAAUUGUGCAAGUUGUUAAAGAGGGCCUCGGUACGAAAGGUCCAACUCUUACUGCUUACCCGAAACUGAGAAGUAGAUUCUGGGUAUGACAUGUCUUUUUUACCUUGACUCUUUUCCUUUCGUUUCUGAUAUGAUUCUAUUGUCUGAAAUAAAUUUUGUCCUUAUAGGUAUUACUGACUCGUUGCAAACGAAUUGGAGUCUCAAAAAAAAUAUCAGGAGUUGAGAGAACCCGGUUAAAAGUUAUAGCAAAAACAUUGCAGCCUCAGGGUUUUGGUCUGACGGUAAGGACUGUAGCUGCUGGCCAUUCUCUCGAAGAACUGCAGAAAGACUUAGAAGGUCUGCUUUUAACCUGGAAGAACAUUACAGAUGAAGCAAAAUCAUCAGCCCUUGCUGCAGAUGAAGGUGUGGAAGGAGCCAUUCCAGCGCUGCUACAUAGAGCAAUGGGUCAAACCCUCUCAGUUGUUCAGGACUAUUUCAAUGACAAGGUAGUUAGGCCAAUUUCCAUAUUUUUCUCCUCCAUUGGCCCCUCUAGAUUCUAUGUGUUGACAUGUCAAGUGACAGUAAUAUCUUGAUUUUUGCCAGGUUGAGAAGAUGGUGGUUGACUCUCCAAGGACAUACCAUGAGGUAAAUUUCCCUUAGUUUGCUCAAUUUCAUCCUUCAUAAUAGUAAUGAAUAGUGUUUUGAAAGAGACUUAUCCUGUCAUGAACGAUGAUCUUUUACCUAUAUACAAUUAUUGAUUUACAUCAUAUUUUGAGUGUUAUGUUCAAAUGCUUAAAGUAUAAGCUCCAGUUACAUAUGCCAUUUCUUCUCUUUUUAAACCUACUCUUGCACUUGCAGAUAACUAAACUGUACCGUAAUCUCGAUCACCCAAUAGAGUAGAUACUGUAUCCAAAUUAUUUCACUAACUGGUAUUAGCUUACAGGUCACACACUACCUGCAGGAUAUGGCACCUGAUCUUUGUAAUCGAGUGGAAUUGCAUGACAAGGGUAUCCCUCUUUUUGAUUUAUACGACAUUGAGGAGGAAAUCGAAGGUAUUCUCAGUAAAAGGUAAGAAGUGGCUAACACUACACCGUCAGGAGUUUUGAUCCACCUUUUCCUUCCCAUAUAUAUAUAUAUGUAAUUUAUCUUUUGCCUCUGGCAGAGUUCCACUUUCCAAUGGAGGUUCUUUAGUGAUAGAACAAACUGAGGCGUUGGUCUCUAUUGAUGUGAACGGAGGACAUGGAAUGUUUGGUCAGGGUAAUUCACAGGAGAAAGCUAUUCUAGAAGUUAAUCUUACUGCUGCCAGACAAGUAUGUGAUACGUUUUGGCUGCUAGAUUACAUAUUGAUCCGUCAACCUUUUGCGCCAGAAAUUCUACCUCUGUAUAGUACCUUAGUAGUUAUUCUAAUAGAGUGUCAUGAGGUCAGAUACUAACAUAUUUAUGGGUAUAUGAUUAGUGAAUGCCUUAGGAAAAUUUAAUAGGUAGAAAGAGUAACUGUGUGAGGCCUGCUUGACUUGUGCAAUUCUCCUUGAAGUCUACUCGAGUUUUACAAUAUGCUGAUCUUGAAAAUUAUUUACUAAGUAAUACUCGAUGCAUCAUGAUUCAGAUUGCAAGGGAGAUUCGGCUGAGAGAUAUUGGCGGUAUCAUUGUGGUAGAUUUUAUUGACAUGGCAGAUGAAUGUGAGUUAGAUUGUCAUUGUUAUUCAUACAGUCACAUAAAAUUCUAGAUGUGCAAACCUCUUUCUUGAAUGAUGGAUAUCUUGUAUAUUCUUGUUUAAUUUUUUCUUUUUUUGGGUUUCAGCAAAUAAGAGACUCGUUUAUGAAGAGGUCAAGAAAGCAGUGGAGAGAGAUAGGUCACUGGUAAAAGUAUCAGAGCUGUCUAGACACGGACUUAUGGAAAUAACAAGGAAAAGGGUAUAGUCUCAACGUGUGGAUGUUUUACUCUUUCUAUAGAACUUCUAAUCAAAUUAUUUGGCAUAGCACGUCAACUAUAUACUGUCACAGGUUAGGACGUUCCCCUGAAAGAACUGAACCCUUGAGUUAUACUUAUUGCAGUGAAUCAUUUUUUUAACAGGUUCGACCAAGUGUAACAUUCAUGAUCAGUGAACCGUGUUCUUGCUGUCACGCAACUGGUAGAGUGGAGGCACUGGAGACUUCCUUUUCAAAAAUUGAGCAAGAGAUUUGUCGGCAGCUCGUGAGUGUUACAAUCUAAGACUCUUUUAUGUUACUUCUCUUUCCAACAACCAAAUGAAGAACAGCUAAAAUAAGUCAUAAGAACAUCUAGAAUAAGUGAUUGUUGUUGUUCUUCUUCUCCAUUUAUUCAAACGUGUAGAUCAUCCUUCAAUUAUGUUUUUGUUCAUGUCAUGAUGAUCUAAAUUUUUCAGGCAAAGAUGGAUAAAAGAGGAGACCUGGAGAACCCCAAGUCAUGGCCAAGAUUCAUAUUGCGGGUGGACAGUCAUAUGUCAAGCUUCUUGACUACGGGGAAGAGGACGCGGCUUGCAGUCCUCAGUAGUUCCUUGAAAGUAUGGAUUCUCUUAAAGGUACCCACACUCUUCCUCCUUUCAUGCGAUUAGCGAUAGCCAGAAGUUUCCAUGAUGAAGGUUGUGUCUUAUUAAUUUUUCUGACACAACUGAGGAAUAAACUGUCUUUUGUAGGUUGCUAGACAUUUCACCAGAGGAACCUUUGAGGUUAAACCGUACAUGGACGAGAAGACGGUAAAUGAAAGACAGCAUCAAGUUGCCAUUUCACUGCUCAGGAAAGCUGACGCCAUAACAGACUCAUCAAGCAAGAAGAAGCUCACCCUUAUUCCAAUUAAGAAGGAGAAGUCCAGUGGUAAACGAAGACGAUGAAACAAUUGUUCUCUUUUUUUGAUUAAGUUCACAUCAUUUUGUUAGUUGUCUCAAGUAAUAAUACCCUAUGUAAAAACAUAAAAACUGUUAUUAGAAGAUCAGACUUAUUCACAACAAAAAAAAUUACUAUUCCACACUAGAUUUAAAAUUCAACAAUAGAAAAUAUAAACUACAGAUUAUAUAAAACAAUAGAAAAAUAUAUAUUGUUCUCUUAUCUAUGUCAUAAUCUAUUGGACUAAAAUAUACAAUUUCAAAUGUGUAAAUUAUUAUUAAAAUCACGGUUAUGAGAUACUAAUAUGCCCAUUGAAAGGUUAGUUUUUGCUUGAUGCUUUUUUUGGAGUUGGGCUAAUGGUUUAGACUGAGAGAGAGAGAGAGAAGAUCCUGUUUCUGGUUAUGAUGUUGGGUUUAGUUGAUUAAUCAAGUCGUUUUCGUUUUUUUUUGGUUGAUUUAAUUAGGUCUAGCCAGCUUUGAUGUAAGGCCAUCUUUGGUCGAUAUAUGUAUCAAAAUCCUAAUUAAAAAACAUUGAUCAUGUUACAAUUAUCAAACGGAGUUGAAUUGCAUCUCCUGAAUAGAGUCCUACCGCACUGUUCUAUUGACCAAAUCAAAAGGAUUGUAGACAGUGAUGAUUAACUUAGUUACAUAUGCUCACAUACUGUUGUGGUUUUUGGUGUUUCUUCUAACAUAUGCUAAAAAUAUUGGUUAGUAAUAUUCAUUGUCUUCAAAAUUUUAAUUUUAUUUAAUAAAAGUAUUGGUUAGUAGUCUUCACAAAUGAAAUAUUACUAACCAAUUUUUUUCUAUUCAAAUAAAAUUAAAAUUAAUUUCAUGUCAUUUAUGCAUUAAUAAUUAAUAGAAAUGAAUAAGGGUAAAAUUGAAAUAUUUUUUUUUGUUAAGUGAUCGCAAGUAUGAAAAUGUCAAAAUUUAUUUUUUCAAGUAUUAAAUUAUACGUUUUUAAUAAUAUAAGUAUUAUUCUUCCAACAAAAAAAAGACCAGAUAUUAAAUAUCCAAAUGAAAAUUAGAUAAGAUAUUUUUUAGCUUUUUCCCAAAAAAUGUAAAAUAGUCAACAUAAACAUUUAAAAGAAAUUCUAAAAAUUAUUUUAAAUAUUAGAGUUGUUUUAAUUAAUGGUAUAUUUGGAAAUUUGUGUAAUGUGUGCUAUAAUUGUGCAUAAAACAUAAUUUAAUGCUAUUUGAGGCUAUUUCUCUUAAAAAAAAAAAACUAAAGAAGUCCUACAUGAAUGAAGGAACACGUAAAGUCUUUCUUAUAUCUCUUUCUUUUAUGAGAAUAAUGAGAUCUAGAGGCUAAUUUUUUUUUUUUUUGUUUUUUUGUUAGGGAGACUAAGUCAUCAACCGCAAGCUAGUGAGCAAUAUUUUAGAGUCCUUAUGAGAGUUUCCGAACCUGCCAGCUAUAGAUUCUUCCUGGCAAAUUAGACGACUCUCAUUUUCUCAGCUUUUGACCAAACCAACGGACAUAGUUGCACAACAUUCUUCGUUACGAAUCAAGCCAAACAAGAUAUAUGUGUAGUCAAGAUUGUCUCGAUCAGUCGCAAAAGAUGCUUCAAGCUUUUCCUAGUUUGCCGGAAAAAUAAAUUUGAUUUGUUUGGUAAAAACAAGAUAACAAAAGUCAUGAAAGACUUGUCAUGCUGAAAUUACAAUUCUACCAGACUUUGAUUCAGAAGAUCGAAUCUUACUUGUCUAGGUAGCAAAUAAUCCCUGACAUUUUCUAUAAUUAGUAUAAAACCUAUAAAACGUAUUUAGUCUUUUGCUGUGUUUGACAAGUCCUUGGGCCUGUCUCGCCAAGUACAUAAGCCGAAGUGUCUCUCCUUCCCCUUUGCAUGGAUUUUUUUGAUGGGUCCUGUAAGGUUCAGAUUCUUAUGAAGAAAUCAAUGAUUUUUCUUGAUAAAGAUUUUCGAUUUGGUCGAUGGUGAGUACCUUAUGAAUGUGAUAAUAAAGAACUAUGAGAUCAGUUAUUUGUUUUACCUUUGGUUUUAUUAGGUACUUACAUGUUCUUAUAUCCUUACAGAUAUACCAUACAUGCAUUGAACAGUGCCUUCAGACAAUUUGUUUCUCGGUUGAGAAAGAACUGCUACAAAUAAGUAGAUUGUCAGGUUUUGUGACUUUCAGAGAACACAUGUCCUCAUUUUCAAAGUGAUUGGGUUGGCAGUAUAAUCAAAAAUCUUAUGAACAUGAUAGUUUGACAAAUGGUCUGAUUAAACUACCUAUACGAUGCAUUGGAAACGGAUUGGAUUUAUAAUAAUAGAACCAAACUAGAAGGGCCAAAAGGGCAAAUAUUAGUCUAAAAGUCACGAGAGACGAAACAACAGUAAUAGAAAGUACAAAACUAUAUUCUACAAGACAAAACUGGAAACAAGAUGAUGAUUCAUACAACAAAAACAAAUGAGGAAUUUGAAAGAGAGAUCAGGAAGUUGCAGCAUUGCAGGUCCCAACUCCAUCUUUGCAGUCGUUUGUAAGAUCGUUGAAUGUUUCAAUCUGCUUCUUGCCUCUCAAGAAUACUUCUGUGUCAACAGAUGCUCUCAUGUAACCAUCAAACUCCACCGGGUUACCUCCAUUAAGCUUUGUAGUCUCUGAAUACCACUCGCUGCUCUCGUCCCACAGAUCUUUAUAGUCAUAAAGAAAAUGAGUGGCGUACCUGUCUUUCAAAGGGUUGAACAAGGAUAAUCCUUCUUCAUUUGUUGCAAUGUAGAGAUUCCUUCCUUCUUCUACUUUGUCCUGCAAGGUCGACAAGAGAGCGCUUGGGGAAGUAUCUGCUUCUAGAUUAGGCCAAAGCUCCUUGUUUCUUGCUUUCUCUCCUCUCUCGAUGUGUACUGCAUCGUAGUCCCAGUUUAACCUCGAUGCAAUCGCAGAGACAAUUUCCAUCAACCUUCUUGAUUUCCAUAACAGAUGCCAAGGUCUUUUAACAGCAGAUUCUGCAUCUCCUUCACAAACUCUGUACCAGUAAUUGUCAGGUUCUACUGAUCCAAACUUCCUCAUUAUCAAUGUAUCUUUUACAUCAGCAAGCCUCAUCGGCGUGACCCUAAAAUCCUCCACGAGAUGAAGGUUCAAUCUAUUCUUCUUCUUAUGCAAUUUCUUCCACUCCGCCCAAAACUGAACUUCAUCCAACACAGAAGCCGCUUCUUUCAAAUGCUCGAAAUCAAAGUAAAACCGGAAGUCCUUCCCUUCCUCGUUCUGGCCAGACGACGUGUAGAUAGAAGACAGACACAAUGUCAAAUCCAUCACCAAAGUCCGGUUCAAAUACUGAGCUUCCCCAAGUGCACACAAGAAACUCCACAGAAAAUGAUUCAUACUCUUACACCUAUCUCCUCCACCUACGUAAACCAAGUACUUCCCGCUUUUAAACGCAUUAUCAGACUCAACCAUAGGAAGAGAAUCAUUCACUACCUCACCAACCACAGGCAAAGAGAAAUCAUCUUUCUUCCCACCAGUCUUCUCAAACCCAGCUUUCUGAUUCUUCUUCCGCUUCCUCGCAUUCAAACCCGAAUGAUACUCCCCAAUCCCAACCACACUCAAACUACAAUUCUCAGACUUUCCAAUCACAAACCUCCUAUAAUCCUUAUAGAAAGCAGCACUCUUUCCAUCUCUAGGCCUAUACCUCCACGCCAUGUCACAAGAAUUCACACCUUCCCCAACCGCAGGCUUACCAAACUUAUAAAAGUGAAUAUCUUUAAACUUCUCAAUGGUAGCUUUCAUCAUAAGAUGAAACACUUCUUGAUCUUUACAAUCAAUGGGAGCAUUCACAUCACAUUCCAACUGAUUAGCCUCUUCCUCAUUUUUCUCAAUGGUAUCACUAGUGGCUUCAACAUCAGUUAUGUUGAUGAAAGCUGCAAACGCGGUUUGAUUCGCCACCAUGAAAUCUUCGCCGGUUCUAACAACAGAGUCAUCGGAUCUCAAUGUAGCGUUUGAUGUGGAAGUGAGGAAAGUUGUGAUUUUGUCAGAUGGGUGGAAGAGAGGAUCUUCUGGUUCGUAAGUUGCGGCGAUGAUGGUGAAGAUUAGUACUCCGAAGACGAAGAGUGAGAAGCCUAUGUUCCCGAUUAAGUUUAGUGCGUUUUGCCCUAAGUUCUCAGGACGGAACCCUCCGGUUCUUGGAAUCGCAGAUCGACCAAACAUUUCUUCUUCUUCCGAUCCAGAUCCGAGAAUGAAGAAUGGAGAAGAAGACCCUCCUCAGUGGUAUAGUACUGUGUUUCCUUGGGAAGUCGAUGAAGCUCGAGUGAAGUGAAAGAUCCACCGACAAUGGCAGAAGUGUAAUUUUAGUGUAUUUAUUUCCCUAUGUAUUCUUUAUUGCAUUGGAUAAGUAAAGGAUCAAACUUUGGUUGACCACCAAUGCUCAGUAUUGAGUAAAUGAAUAAUUGAAAGAAUAAGAGCUGUACAUUGUAGUCUUCUUACUGAAGAUCUAAACAUCAGAACAAGGAUGUAUAUGACUUAGUGUUUGUUCACAUGAAGAAGCGUGAAAAGAAAGUAAAAAGAAGAAACUCAAGAGAGUGAAGUUGGUUGUUUGGUUUAGACUUUAGAGCCUAAGGUAGCCUCUUCUUUCUUGGACUAUGUUUGGUCUCUUCUGGAACGAUCUUCUGUUAAAAGACCAGCUUCUUUUCAUAUCUCUCAUACUCCACCAAGAAGCUAUACGACUAUAUAAAGCAGGGAAACCGAAGCAGGAGAGCACUAGAACCAGCAUUAUAAGACAGAUGUACAUUACAUUUCUGAAUCCGUCUCCUAGCUCUGGUUUGUCUUGUCCAGUCCAAGGAACUCCUCCGACGUUCAUCCCAAAAACUGGUAAGAAAAGAGGUUAGAUAGUGAUAUGAAUGGGAAGAGAAGGUUGGCUUUUUGGUGCUUUUCUUUUACCUCCGGUUAUAAUCGAUAGAGGAAGGAAUAUGAUGGAAAGAAAGGAGAGGUAGUAGAGCUUUCGGUUGAUUUGCUCGGCUUGCCAGCUAUCCAAACCAGCUUGGAUUGCAGUCACACGGUUCGCAAUGAAGCCUACAUUCUCUUUUAAACGUCUUAACCGCCCAAUCAACUCUUCCAAGGAGUUGAUGUCUUCUGCCAGAAACCAAGGCUUCGUGGAACAUUUUUCUUUCACUCUUGGAAAUACUUGUUCUCCAUGUGCAAUCACCUGAGAUGCAUGCCAAUGUUUAACUCAGAUUGGAUACAAAAAUCAUGUUCUUAGAACAAAAAUGUGCUGCAAAGACAUGAAAUCACAUAAAACAAUGUUGUGAAGUAAACGUAAGGUCUGGUGAUAUAUAGCUCUACCUGCAAAAGACGCUGCAAGUUGAGAUGCAAUUUGGGAAACCUUCUAUCAUUUAACAUCUGCUUCUUCAUAGCAAAUCCACCUAUCAUCAAAAUCGAUUAUUACAUAUGAUUCCAACAAACAACAACACAAAAGCCCUCUGAAAAGAAGUUGCAAAAGUGCAUGGACUUGAAAAGAAGUAAUCAAAUGGUGCGCAAAACAAAUGGCAAAUGCCUUUUUAAUUUGAGUCAUUUAAGGUUUAAGUAGCUAACCUCUAUCCAUUUCGAGUUCCACGGCAUCCAAAUCGAUCUCAAGUUUGGUAACAACAUCUUGCAGUUGAUCAACAUGUGUAUCAAUGAUAUGCACAACAAGAUUCGAAACAGAAGUUGGCACAGGGUUAUCAGCUUCCUCAGAGUGGUUCAUAGUCAGCAAGAAUUCAAGAACAUGCUCCUCAAUCACAAUCCCGCUUCUUUCCUUCCUCUCACCACGAUAAUACAAAGGAGAAUCCACACUAGGGACUUCCGAAAGAAGCGACUGACCCAUAGGCGAGAAUCCUAAUCUAGGAACUCGUCCUAAAGACACAGUGAUCACAGAAUGCUCAGUAAUCCUAGCAGCAAUCUUAAACGUAAAGUUACUUGAAGCAGGACCAGGUGAAUUAACUCUAAAAACAAGUGCUCCAUCAACAUGCCCACAAAAGGGUCCAUUACUAACAAGAGAAAGAAUGUCUUGAAGCUUCAAUGGUGGACAUAAAGAAUCAAUAAGUUGCUGAGCUGAUUGAGAAAGUUUCUGAUUCCCUUUAGGUAACUCUACAUGAUACCAACAAAACUCUUUCCCUGUUCCUUCAGCAAGAUCCCACUCUUUGUUAUAGUAUUUACCAUCACCAUCAAAUAUAUAUCCUCUCUGUCUCACCAUUCCUGAGUACUGAUGAGACCUAAACCUAUUAUGAGCGUCACUACGAGGAGCACUACUUGUAAAAGACUCAAGAUCUGUCUCAUCUACUUCAUCACCAAUUCGAUCCUGCUGCUGCAUCAUUGACAAAUCUUGAACCUUUCUCACACAAUUUGAAAUCAACCCACAAAGAAAAAUAGAAUCUUUAUCAUCAAACUCUCGAAUUCACUUCCUGAAACGAAUUGGGUAGAUGCAAAAUCACAUGAUCAGCAAACAACAACAUUGUAAAAUCCGAUUAAGGCACAAAUUGGGAUCAAAAGGGGUAAAACUUACAUGCAGGUUUGGGUGAGAUCUAAGUGAAGCUAGAUCACCGGAGCUAAUCAGAGGAAGAAGAAGAAGCUGAGAAUUUAGUUUUCUCAAUGAGGAGACUCGACGCGUAAAGAAGGAUGAAACAGUGAAAUUGAAUCUGGGCGUUGACAAGAGAAACAAGUAGGAAUCUGUCAGAGCAAAUUUUUAAUGGCACAGAUUGGAUCAUACGAAUCUUUAUUUACUAUUUUCCAACUCUUAUAAAUGAAAAACAUAUUUAAAUUAAGAAUAAUUUUGUUAGUCAAUUUAUAUAUAUAUAUAUAUAUCUUAUUAUAUAAACCUUGGUUUUCAAAGUUAGCCAUUAACAAGAUCGUGACACGUGUCAAUUAUAAACGAUAAGAUGUUGACACGUGGCAUAACUAAUUUUGUUAAUAUUUGGAUAAAAUAGAAAUAUUAUUGACCCUAUCGAAAAAAGGAAAUAUAUAAAUAAAUAUUAUAAAGAAUUAUAUAUUAAAAAUUAUUAAUAAAAUUAAACAAAUAACCUAAUUUCAGUUAUGUCAAUUUGGUUUAUUAAUAAGAUAGGGAUUUAAAAUUUAUAAUUAACAGAAUAUAUGACGGUUUUUGUUUACUGAAGAGGAUUAAGGUUUAAACUUUAAUUUUACAAUUAAAUCAUGUUAUUUGUUGGUUUGGGUAUAUAAAUGAUAAAUAAGAAUUAUGGUUUAUUUUUAUAAAUUAAAAUUAUGGUUUAAGCUUAACAAUUAAAUGAGCUUAUAUGUCGAAACUUGGUUUUUAAAUUUAAUAACUCACGUGAUCAUGAUAAGUGUUAAGUAAAAACAUAAGAUGUCUCAUGUCGCAACAUGUUAUAUCUAAUUUUAUUAAUAUUAAGAUAAAAAUAGAAUUUUUAAACAACAUUAAAAAAAUAAUCAUAAAAAAUUAAAGAGAAUUUUUGAGAAAUACCCCUUUUGGUGUACCCCUUUUCAAAAAUACCUCCUUUAUCUAUCCAUUUUCAAAAAUAUCCAUGUUUAAAUAUGAAAAAUUAUAAAGUUUUAUAUGGUUUAUAAGGUACUUCUAUAUAAUAACUACUACUUGGAAAUUUGAUACAAAUAUUUUAUAAUAUUUUAAAAGGUUUUAAAUCGUUUUCACAAGUUUUAUAAGGUUUUUAAGUGGUUUUUAAAAGGAUUUAUAAGGUUUUUAAAAGGUAUUUAUAAGUUAUUUUACACUAUUUAUGAAAGAUAUAUAAAAAUUAAACAUAUUUAAAGGUAUUUUGUGUGUAUAUUUAUAAGUUUUCACACAUAUUUGGAUAAAUUUCAACAUUUAAAGUGGUUUUUUAUAAAGCUUGAAAUAGGGGUAUUUUAAAAAAGUGGUAUGGAAAAGGGUAUUUUUGAUAUUUAAAAGUAAAAAAAUUGAUAUUUAUAAAAAAUAAAUGUGUAAGCUUAUAUAUUUAGACACACAUUAUCUUUCUAUGUGUGUAAAUUUAAAUACCAUAUAUAUACCUUUUAAAAACGUUCUAAAAAUUAUUUAAAAAACAUAUAAAAACUUUUUAAACCUUAUAAAAACCUUAUAAAAUUCUUAUAAAUGCCGUUUAGAACCUUUUUAAAACUUUAUAAAUAUUUGUAUUGAGUCUCCCAAUAGUAAUGAUGAUCUAGAUGUACCUUAUAAACUAUAUAUAAGUUUACAAUUUUUCAUAUUUGAAAAGGGAUAUUUUUAAAAUGGAUAGAAAAUUGGUGUAAAUUUAAAAAGGGGUAUACCAAAAGGGGUAUUUCUCAAAAAAUCUCUUUCAACUAUAACCUAAUUUUUGGUUUUGCCAAUUAGAAGGGUUAUAUGUUGAGUUUAUAAAUCUGCAUUAUAGUUUAGAUUUUAUAAUUAAACAAGAUUAUUUAUCAGUUUGGGUUUAGUAAAGAGGAGUGAGAUUUAGGUUUUGCAAUUAAACAAGGUUAUUUAUCAGUUUGGGUUCAUAAACGAGAAUUAGGAUUUACAAUUUACAAAUAAAUUAGAUUUUGAGUUUAACUAAAUUCAUGAUUUUAAUUUUAUAAUAUGUUAUAUUUGUUUAAUUUUCAAUUUAUGUAUGAAUAUAUUAUGCCAUUGAGCAAUUUCAUUGUCUAAAACAUAAGGGUGAAUAAAAUAUUUUCGAAAAUAAUAUUUUUAGCUUAAAUUAAAGAUAACAAAGUUCAAUAUAAAUCGUAAUAUAGUAAUUUUAAAAUAUUUUUACAGAAAAUAUGUAAUUUUUAAUAAUUCGUAUUUGAAAGAUUUUUAAUGUUUUCCUCAACGAUGCUAUAAUUUAUUCUAGAAUCUUUAUGUUUAUUCGCGUUGUUUAUAUGAAUUUAUUUACAAAUGACUAUAUUUGUAUUUAACAUCAUAUUUUAGAUUGAUGUUAAUUUGAAAAAACUUUACCAUCAUAUUAAAUAAUAAUUAAUUAAUUUUCAUAGUCUGAGAAUGAUUUUUUGAAAUUUUAANNNNNNNNNNNNNNNNNNNNNNNNNNNNNNNNNNNNNNNNNNNNNNNNNNNNNNNNNNNNNNNNNNNNNNNNNNNNNNNNNNNNNNNNNNNNNNNNNNNNUUUUUUUACAAAAUGGUAUAAACAUGUUUUAGAGGAUAAUUGUUAAAUUAAGAUUUCUAAAAAUAUUUUAGCAAUAUUAUGAGUAAUGGUGAAUAGCUCCCAAAUAUAACCUCUAUAAAUUAAUACUCGAUAAAUUAAUAUUCUCUAUAAAUUAAUAAAUUUCUCUGGUCCCAACUCGGACCAGUAUAAUUUUAAUCACAUUUUGAUAAAAUNNNNNNNNNNNNNNNNNNNNNNNNNNNNNNNNNNNNNNNNNNNNNNNNNNNNNNNNNNNNNNNNNNNNNNNNNNNNNNNNNNNNNNNNNNNNNNNNNNNNUUAUAAAUUAAUAAUUAGGUAAAAAUUUCAAAAUAUAUGUAUAUAUAGACACUUUAGUUUUUGUUAGAUUUUAUUUUAAAUUUUUUUUGAAAAAACUUUCCAAAUUAGGAAAAUCUCUAUAUAAAUUAAUAAUAAUUAAUUUAUCGAUAAAUUAAAACCUCUAUAAAUUAAUAGAUUUUCAUGGUCCCAAUAUUAUUAAUUUAUAGAGGUUUGACUGUAGCUCCCAAAUGUUUUGGUGAUUGUCAAUUUGACAUUACUAGAUUUUUAUAAUUAAAAUUAAUAACGAAUUUUAAGAGAUAUAUAUAUAUAUAUAUAUAUAUUAUAUGAAAUUUCUAAAUGAAAUUUCUAGAUACUUCAAACCAAAAAAAAUCUCUUUCUAAAUGAAUUAAUUUCUCUUUUUUCAAAAAAAAAAAUUGGAAAUUAUUUUUUUAUAAGUUAUAAUAAAUUUUAAUUUUAAUUUAAUUUUAAAUAAAUGUAACCCGUCCAUCGGACGGGUACUAAACUAGUAUAUAUAUAUAUAAUUUCCUAAAAUUUUGUGUGUCAAAUGAAGAGAUAAAUACUUUCCGACUAGGCAUGUCAAUUAGGGCUAAAGCCUGCGGGCUAGUCCGGCCCGGCCCUAAAAAACAUCGGGCUCGAACUUAAAUAUAUAUGAAAAUUGGGCUUGUUCGGCUAAGCCCAUUCGGGCUAAAGGGUUUUCUGGGCUUAACCCGGUCGGGUUCGGACUGGCCCGAAAAGCCUUUAAAUAAAUAUAUUUUUAUUUUUGUAAAUAUUGUAGUUUGAAUAGAAGAUUUGAUUAAUGAAUUAAUUUUUCAUAUUUACUUACUAGCCUUACUUAAUACUUUUAAAAUCAUUAUCUAUCAUAUUUUCUAUUAUUUAUAUCUGUCAAAACUGAACAAAGCUAAAAUUAUAUAUAGAUAUUGACUCUAUCAUCUACUUUAAAGUAUUUUAGUUCAAUGUUUUAUUGGGCUGAAGUGUAAAUAAUUUAUUUAGUUUUCAUUUUUUUCUCUUAAAUUAAGUUAGUUUUAAUGAAUAUUGAUAUGUUAUUUAAAUUUUGAUACAUUAUUUUUAUAGUAUACUUUUAAAUAUAUUUUUUAAAGUUGAUUUUUUAUCGUUAACUAAAGCCCAAAAAAGACCGAAAAGCCCUGUAGCCCUGUUAGGACUGGACCGGACUUUGAAAUAUAGACCCGAAUAUUUUUCGGGCCGAGCUCAAAUAUAUGAAGGCUUUACGGGUUUUGGGCCGGGCCGGGCCGGGAUAGCCCGAUUGACAUGCCUAAUUAUGACUAGGAAAAUUAAUUUCUGUAAGGAAAAAAAAUCAAUGCAUUUUUAAACUCAACAAACUUCAAAUACUAUAAUUAAGCAUAAAACAAAUGAUAAUAGCAUCAUUUUUUUUUUGGUAGAAAUGAUAAUUGCAUCAUUAACAACAAAAUAAGAUACUUAUCCAAGAAUUGGCAAAAAUGGGUUGCAUGAGUAUGUGAUCUUUGUCCAACUACUUUUUUAUAGCCAUCUUUUGAGGGUAAAAAUAGGCCACAAGAGUCACUUUCAAAGGCAUAAGAUUGUCCACACAAAACUUGGCUUAGAGUUAUUGCAAUUGUGUGCAAACACUUCUGUUUCUUGACAAAGUCACAAAACUAUAGGUAAGAGACUAAGAAGAGUAUAGGUUGGUUCAAAACCAUGACAAUACCUAACUCAUCUUCAUUCUUCCAAAUUACAUAUUUUGUGUCUUCUUUAAAAUAAUAAGUCAAGCCAAGAAAAAAAGUUUCAUCUCAUCAUCACCAAGCAUCAACAAGAAUUUGACAAAAUUGGUGAAUAUAAAUUCAGUGAGGAACACCCUUUUUUUUUUGGAAGUCCAAGAGUAAGUCAUAUGAAUAUUUUUAUAAAUCAACCUUUUUUUUCAAUAGAGUGUCUUCUAAUAAAUCUUAUUUUUUUGUUUAAAUUAAAAUAUAAUUUUCUAAUCAGUAAUUCUUUAGAAGUAUAUAUUAAUUAAUAACAAAAAUCGUAAAUAUAUAUACAUUUUUAUAUAUAAUUGUAUAAAUACAUAUAAACAUAAUAAAAUUAUGAUAAAAUUUCACACAAUCACAAAGAACUGAUUUAAAAUAUGUAUGAUAACACUCUUAUACAACAAUUGAUGUCGCAAAAUAGACUGUAAAUUGUUUUUUUCAAUUGUAAAUAAUUUGAAAAAAAAUUAGACUGUAAAUUGUUAUAGUAAUAUUUUUGAUUUUUUCUUUUUAACUAUAGAUUAGUAGUAGAUUAUAUUUUUAUUAAAUUAUUCGCGCAAAGGCUUUAGUCCGUCUUUGUGCUAUGUCAUCAGAAGAAACGAUUUGUUCUUAUUUCUGAACAUUAGAGAUUUAGGACCUUUGAUUGAUUAAAGGAAGAAGAAGAAGAAGACGACUUGGGCGAUCAAAACAGUCUCUCUCUUGAUCUGGUACGUUUACAUCUGCAAUCUCCUCAUCUUCUAAACUUUCUCCACUUAAGAGUUUUAAGCAUCGAGCAAAUUUAUUCUGAAUGAGGUUUCAUUGAUCUGUUUGGAGAAUGAUCUUUCUGGGUUUGUAGCAAAUUGUUUCCAGGAACCUAUCUCGAUUUCCUUUUAUUCCUUGUUGCAAAAAUGUCGAGUCUUUUGUAUUUCUAAUGUUGAGGAAAAAGCUGCACACAAAGUGUUCGUUAAAAUGCCACAACGAAACUUUAUUAACGUUCUAGAUUUGAUUAUAAUUUUUUUACAUCUAGUAUUGCGUAUGGAUUUACCGAUCAGUGUUAUCUUGUUACCUAAGUUGGAUUAGUUCUUGAAAAUUUGUGGUUCUUUAGUUUGAACAUGCCACUCAAUUCUUGUAGCAUAGUUCAGCUUCAGUGGUGAUAUCUGAAGUUUUUUUUGCUGAGGUCAUUAUAAGAGAGAGGUGUGUUCUUGUGAGAACGCGUCUGUUAAAAUAAAAAGAGAGACUUUAAGUUUUUCGCCCAAAUGAGCAUAUAUCUGUUGCAACUUUCUUUUUCUGAUUAAACAAAAGAUGCAAAUAUGCCCAUUGAAAAGUUAGUUUCUGCUUGAUACUUGUGUUGGAGUUGGGCUAAUGGUUCCAUUGUUUUCAUUGAUUCCAAUUUGGCUAAACUGUGUUUUACUAUCCUUUGACAGAGAGAGAGAAGAUCCCUGUUUCUGGUUGUGAUGUCUCGGCAGAGUCAGUUAUUUACAUUGCUUAAGAGAAGGUUUCAUACACCGUCUCAUGAUGCCCCAACAGAAACCUUAAGAAAGAAGUUAGCUGAUUUGCAAAAAAGUAAGAAGCGAAGGAAUCCAACAAAGAACCAGUUUCUAGUUGAAGUUCCUGAGUCAAGAUCGUAUUUGGACACAGCAACGAUGCCUAUGUUCCUCGCCGUUGUUGGAAUUGCAUUGUUUGCAAAGGUGUUAAUGAUGGUAAGCUUUCUUAUAUCUAUUGAGUGCGUCUUCCUUGUUCAUGACUUAGCAGCUGUUAAGUAGAUGUGGCUUCAUAUUUGAGCUGCUACACUGCUUUAUAAUUUCUUUGUGCAAUUGAGCGAUUAGAUAAGGAUAAAUCCAGAGGAAAUUGCUGUUUCUCAUUAUUGGUUUAUUGUUAGAUCGAUGAUUCGAAAUCGCAAGAAAUGAUUGAACGCAAGAUAAAGAAUGCACCACCGGGGCAAGGCACAGUACGAAUGAUCGAACGUGAGGAGUGGGAUGAGUUUAGAGAAGUAAGACCAAGAACACCUUUUGAGUCCAAGCUUGCUCGCCCAAAUGCACAAAUAAGAACUGGAGAACCAGUGCGCAAGGUAAAACAAAAGCCUCUAUCCACUCUAUCAAACCUUACUGUACUUUGCCAUAUCAUUCAAUGAUCAUACUUCUUGCUUGUUUCCUUUAUUCAUUAGGAUGACUUAAAGAACUGGACCAUAGACGUGCUAACAGAUGCACUUGCACGAACCGAAGAAAGUGUUCGUCGUGGUUCCAGUUAGAUUUUCUUGAGUUCUCUUCUAUUCAAUGGGAGUUUCCUGGUUAAUACAUAGAUAUCUUGAUGAUGUUAGUAGUCAAUGAGAGUUUCCUUAGUUAAUAAUCACAAAACUGGAAACAACUCUUCUUUUGUAACGCUAUUUUACAACGAUCGGAAAAAUUAAACUACAGAGUAAAUCACGAUCGCGUUUUGGUAAAGAGACGUUUCUAGUUGCUUCUGAUUUGAAAAAUCUGCGUUUUCACACAUUAUUCAAUUGGAGAAUCUUUAGAACUCAGACGAAGCAGCUUCUCCGGAAUUUUAGGUGAACGUGGCAAGAAAAGGCCAAAAGAGAAAGCAUCCACGUGUCCUUCCAUUUACCGAAUGCCACGUGUCCAUCACAGUACCGACGAAUCAUUCCUUAACCAUGGCUGCCUGAAAAAAGACAGAGUCCACAAGCUUCGGAUUGUUCAGAAGUUUUCAAACAGCGUAAAGGUUUGAACUUUUGCUUUUUUUUUUUGAGAAUACGAUUCGAAGAACUCAUCAAGAAGCUUCCUUUCACUGAUCUCUCGAUCCAUUCUUAGGUAACCCACAAUUCCAAAAAACGUUUUUUUUCUUUCGAUUCCUUAGCUUUGGAUUAUGCUCUGAUCCGCUGAUUUUGCUUUUGCUUAAUCGAUCAUCGGAUCUGUUGUUGUAGUUUUCGCUAGUAUGGAAGAUUCUGGGGUGAAUCCAAUAGGUUCACCGUCUAAAAGCAGUGGAUUUGGAGUUUAUGGGAUCAUUGGAGGUGGAAUUGUGGCUUUACUUGUACCUGUAUUGCUCUCAGUGGUGUUGAAUGGAAGCAAAAAGGGGAAAAAGAGAGGUGUUCCGAUCAAAGUAGGUGGCGAGGAAGGUUACACGAUGCGUCAUGCUCGUGCUUCUGAUUUGGUUGAUGUUCCUUGGGAAGGAGCUACAACUAUGCCUGCUUUGUUUGAGCAGGCUUGUAAGAAGCAUUCGAGUAAUCGGUUACUUGGGACUAGAGAGUUUAUUGAUAAGGAGUUUGUUACGGCUAGUGAUGGGAGGAAGUUUGAGAAGUUUCAUUUAGGAGAGUAUAAGUGGCAAAGUUAUAAGGAGGUCUUUGAUCGUGUUUGUAACUUUGCAUCGGGUUUAGUUAAUGUUGGACAUAAUGUUGAUACUCGUGUUGCUAUCUUUUCUGAUACUCGAGCAGAGUGGUUUAUCGCGUUUCAGGUUCGUUCACCAGCUAAUGGUUGCAGUUUGUUGUGUGGGUUUUGCUUGAAUUUGUUUGAUGAAAUUGGUUUUGGUGUUGCUAUAUUUUUCAGGGAUGUUUCAGGCAGAGUGUAACCGUUGUUACUAUUUAUGCUUCUUUAGGAGAAGAAGCUUUGAUUUACUCACUCAAUGAGGUUGGUAGGGGAUGUUUUGGAUGUGUAUGUUUUUUUAUUACUAAACUUUGUUGUUGGAUCUCUAAAUCUUGGUAUCUGUAUUGUUGACAGACUCAAGUAUCCACCUUAAUAUGUGACUCAAAACAACUUAAAAAGUUGUCUUCGAUACAAUCAAGCUUGAAAACUGUGAAGAAUAUUAUUUACAUUGAAGAAGAUGGAGUAGAUGUUGCUUCUAGUGACUUCGAUAGUAUGGGUGGCAUAACUGUUUCGUCGAUCUCUGAAGUUGAGAAACUGGGGCAGAAGAACCCUGUUCAACCGAUCUUACCUUCGAAGAAUGGAGUCGCUGUUAUAAUGUUUACCAGUGGUAGUACUGGUCUACCAAAGGUGUGUGUUGUACUGUUACUUCUCUCUUAGUUAUGUGGUUUGUUUCAAGUGCCAUCUAGUUUUGUUUACCUGAAUUCUUGAAUGGCAUACUAAUGAUUUGGGAAACCAUAUUUAUUUUCUUCUAGCAAAUAUAUCUCUGCAAUUUGUUCUAACCUUAUACUGUGCCCAUCCACUCAGGGAGUUAUGAUUACCCAUGGCAAUCUUGUCGCAACUGCUGCAGGUGUUAUGAAGGUGAUUCCAAAGCUGGAUAAGAAUGACACAUAUAUUGCAUACUUACCUUUGGCUCAUGUGUUUGAACUGGAAGCUGAGGUAUGUUACUGUGUUCUUUCUCUCUCUCUUUUGACAUACACUACCUUAUUGUCUUACACUUUCUUACCAAAUCAUGGUUUCUUUUUCAGAUUGUGGUCUUUACCUCAGGUUGUGCCAUCGGUUAUGGCUCAGCAAUGACUUUAACUGACACUUCUAAUAAAAUUAAGAAAGGAACCAAAGGAGAUGUUACAGUUCUAAAGCCAACUAUUAUGACUGCUGUUCCUGCUAUUCUUGAUCGUGUUCGAGAAGGAGUUCUGAAAAAGGUACCAUCUUAGUGACAAUAAUGUUGUGUGUACUUUUUGGAGUUACUUACUAGAUCAGUUAUAUUUGUGUACUUAAUAAUCUAGGUUGAGGAAAAGGGAGGGAUGGCGAAGACCCUUUUUGACUUUUCAUACAAGCGUCGGUUAGCAGCUGUGGAUGGAAGCUGGUUUGGUGCCUGGGGUUUGGAGAAAAUGAUUUGGGAAACUCUAGUCUUUAAGAAAAUACGCGCUGUACUUGGAGGACACAUCCGGUUUAUGCUCUGUGGAGGGGCUCCUCUAUCACCUGAUUCACAACGCUUCAUCAAUAUCUGCAUGGGGUAAGAAAAUCCCCUGUGGUCUCACUUUUUACAUUUUCAUACGAGUCUUGUCCCAUGUUAGGUUAGGAAAAUGCCAUUGAAAUCGUUUGGAUUGUGUUCACAUCAAUACUGACGUUGGUAUGCUUGAACUUGAAUCCGCUGAUUCUUGUAUGCUGACACUCAUGUAGUUUGUGCUUGUCUGUAUUCUUCAUGCAACUUCACAAUGCUGGGGCUUAGAUUUUUUCCUGUUAUUAAUGCAUUUUUUCUGUUAGAGCGCCCAUCGGUCAAGGAUAUGGAUUGACUGAAACGUGUGCUGGAGCUACGUUUUCUGAGUGGGACGACCCUGCAGUUGGCCGUGUAGGGCCUCCACUUCCAUGCGGCUAUGUUAAGGUUUGCAAACAAUCUUUAAUCAAUACAAUACGUUGACAAUGUGUAGAUCUUUGUAAUCAUGAGUAACAAAAUUUCAUCUUACAGCUCGUUUCUUGGGAAGAAGGUGGCUACAGAAUUUCAGACAAACCAAUGCCUCGAGGGGAGAUUGUGGUAGGUGGUAACAGUGUAACAGCAGGUUACUUCAACAAUCAAGAAAAAACUGAUGAGGUUUACAAGGUAAAGCACAGUGUUGCAUAUUCCGGGAGUUUAGUUAUUGGCUUGUUAUAUAGAUUUCUGAUGGUCAUCAUGACAAAUUCAGGUUGAUGAGAAGGGCACAAGAUGGUUUUACACCGGAGAUAUUGGGAGAUUCCACCCUGAUGGAUGUCUUGAAGUUAUUGACAGAAAGAAAGAUAUUGUUAAGCUUCAACAUGGGGAAUACGUAUCUCUCGGAAAGGUUUACCCAUAAAACUUAAAUUAUUCGAAUGAGGAUGGUAUGAUAUUAUCCCCUAAUGCUUUUUCAUUUCAUUGUCUGAAUCAAAAUUCACAGGUGGAGGCAGCUUUAGGUUCGAGCAAUUACGUUGAUAACAUCAUGGUACACGCAGACCCAAUGAACAGCUACUGUGUAGCUCUUGUCGUUACAUCACAAGGAGCAUUAGAGAAAUGGGCAGAAGAAGCCGGAGUUAAGCACAGUGACUUCGCUGAGCUAUGCGAGAACAGUGAAGCAGUCAAGGAGGUUCAACAAUCUCUUACCAAGGUUUGUAUUUCACUAGCUGUAUCAAGUUUCUCAUACUUACACCAGAGUAACAAAUGUAUUUACAAACUGUUAUCAUUUCAGGCCGGAAAAGCCGCAAAACUCGAAAAGUUUGAACUUCCAGCAAAGAUCAAGUUGCUGUCAGAGCCGUGGACACCAGAGUCAGGAUUAGUCACAGCUGCUCUCAAGAUAAAAAGGGAGCAAAUAAAGGCCAAAUUCAAAGAUGAACUCAGCAAGUUGUAUGCCUAAAAACUUUUCUUUGACUUUGUGAUAAACUCCAUAUAUUUUCAGUUUGGCUUUCCACUUUUCCUUAUAUCUACAUUAAUAAAUAUGGAGUUUUUCUCUUCUUGUCAAUGAAAUAUUAGUAUGAAUACAUUUUCCAUCAGUAAUGGUGGAUUAGAAGAGAGUAAAUCACUGUGGUACUGAAUCCAAAGAUAUGCAAGGAGCUGAAGUAAAUUUUUUCUGAUAGAAUAGAAUCAUAUCAUUAAAACAAUGAAUAAACUUCUCUAUAUAGUACAACAGAAAUCCUCCGUAUGAUCUAGAAUUAGUUUCCCUCUGUGAGCUAUCAUGUUCACUAACCGUAUCAUCAGCAUUCAUGCAUCAGAAAUUUGACUGUCUCUGAGAAACCUUCCUCGGCUUUUGGACAAUCCGUGACAAGCGUCUUGUCAUCGAGUGAAACCGUGCAUGUUGUUAUUGAUUUGGUUCAGAUGAUGUAGAAUCUUUGGGAGCUGUUGUCUCUGACAAUGCUGGUCGUAGGAGAAUAUACAAAGAAGGUCCCAAGAAUGGCACCACUGAUACCGGUAAAAGCCAACUGCCUUUAUCAAACCUGAAAAAGAAGCACUGUGUUCAUACAUAUGGAAAGGGUUCUAAGUAAACGCUGUAUAUAGCUUUAUUUAGAACUCACCAUUUUCGGCUGGUCAUGUCAUUGUAAACCCAAAACGGAGCAAAUGCAGAAAGUAAACAGAAAUCAAGACUCGUAACAUGAAUCUGCAGUUUAGAAGGCAAGUUCUUUUACGUCAAAUCUCAACAAAAAGAUUGAUUUGCAUAUCCGGAAAAAACAAGCUUAUCGAACUUACGAAUUUGCUCUCUCGAAAAUACUGAUAGAACUCUGUCCAAUCACCGGCAUUACCAACUACUGAAUAAAGGAUUAUACCUAAUCCUGCAACAAGAGUUACCUGAUGCAUAACCAUGUCAACUCCAAGUACUGAUAACCAAAAAGGCCAGACAUGAAUCAAGAUUACCAAAGAAGGAGAGAUCUUUUUACCCCAGCAGUUAUUUUUGAUUCAAGAACAUUCAAAGGCCAUUGUCUUAGUUCAGUCUCUGAAACAGGAGGAGAAGGAGGAUUCCACAGGGCAAAAUAAGGUAACAAAGCGUAUACACCACCGAAAAACGAAAGCGCAACAAAAGGCCACGCCGGGGUUUUACUGUCCAACAAAGGCAUCUAUCAGUUAGCUACACAAUAUGAAAUGGAUUCACUUGAACAAACUCUAAUAUGGUAUUCAUAGAAUCACAAAAACUCAUAACUGUCUUUCAAUUUUGGUCAGAAGAAGCCAUAAAAAUGAUACCUUCGACCAGUGGGAAGCAAGAGCAUGCCAUAUACCAAAGGCCACAAACCCAUUAUAUACCAUAACCCAACAAGUAUCUGAUUCAUCCUAAAACCAUCAUCACUCUUCAAAUUCAAUAGCUUUUUCAAAAAGUACAAGUCUUGCGUCUGCAAAACACAAAAAAAAACCCAAAAUUUGAACAAUCUGAGAGCUCAAUGUGAAGUUUUCACCAUAAAGGCCUUAGCUUGGUUUGCGUACCGGUGUCUGAUCAGGAGCGAGAUUGAAGCAAUAGUACAAAAGCGCACCCCAAAGCGCAAAAAGCAAAAUUGAGCUAGACCAGUCUCGUCCUUCAUCUUGAACUUGAGAUUUCUCUGGUUCUGGGUUGUUUAAAGAGCUUUUGCAGAGAUGGAAGAAUGUGUCUUUCCUCUCGUAUUUGGGGAGAAGGGAGAUUCUAUAGGAUUUUGGAAAUGGUGAAGAAGAUUUUGAUUGUAGAAGAAGAAGGUUAAGGUUUGGGGAUUGGGUUAAGGUGUGAGGCCGUGUGGAAGAGGGUUUCAGAGGAGGAAGACGAGUGAAGUUGCAGGAGAUGAGGCUAAUGCUUUCCAACAUUUUUUUAGACAAAAAUGAUGGAUUUAUGAUGAUCACUCAUAGAGUCAUCAUAGUCAUAGGUGUGUGUAUUUAUAUAAAUUUUUGUGUAAAAUUUUUAUAUAUUGAUUAAAAAUAUAUUGUUAAAAAAUUACAUUACAUGAUUUACAUCUAUCUAAAUUAGGGGUUUUAUUGAACAUCAGAAUUUAAUUGAAUACAGUAUGAAAAAAAAAAAAAUCAAAUGCUGAUGUUAUUUUAAUUGAUUGAUUUUUUUUUUGUUUUAAUAAAAUUAAUUUUAUUCAAUAUGGUUUUGAUAAUAAUAUCAUUUGGGGGAAAAAGUUAAAAUCAUUAGGAACCAAUACCUAGAUUUUAUGCCCUAAUUUGGGUAGAAUUAGUUGUAAAUUACUGUUUCAUUUAAUUCUUCUAAUUUACCUUAAAGAUUUAUUUAAAUUUAAUGUAGUUGAAUUUAAUAUUUAUAUAUAAGCAUUCGGUUUACUAGUCGUAAAGUAUGUAGACCUCGAACGGUAAUUCUUUUUGGGUGCAAUUGCGAUUUGAGUGUAGAAACGAAAUGAUUAGGGAACAAUUCAAUAUAUAUAUGUGUGUGUGUGUUUAGAUAGCAUAAUUGGAAUUUCAUAGGAUAAACAAAUCGAUGUAUGCAAAACAUCUUAUACUCCUUCCGUUUCAAAUUAAGUGUCAUUCUAAACUUCAUGUUUUGUUUUAAAAUAUGUGUCGGUUUGCAUGUUCAAUGCAAAUGUUUUUGAUAAUAUUUCCAGAUUUAUCUUUAUUAUUUAAUGUAUUGUCCAAUGAAAAAUUUUGUAUGAUAAAUUAAUAUGGGAUAAAAUAUAAUAUUUAAUGGCUUUCUUAAGAAAUGUGAAAAAAACAUAGAGUGACACUUAAAUUGAAAAGGAGUAUUAAACUUAGUCAUGUCGGUCCCGGACACGAGCCCAUUAAUUUGGGUUUGGGACACUGUAUUUAAUUGUUAUAUGGCACUAUUUUUAUACUCUCUAAGUGUUUUUUUUUUUUUUUUUUUUUUUUUUUUUUGCUUAUAAUUCAGUAGAGAUCAAACUUAUCUCCAUUAAUCUGCAGAAAUAUUAACAAAUCAUGCUUUCUGGAGUUCGAGCCCCAUACCUAUUGGUAUAUUAUUAAACCCUUGAUCAACAUCAUUGGACCAAGGGAGCUUCUAUACUAUCUAUGUUCUUUAAUAGAUGAUUUUUUUUUACUAUUGCAUACUAAUUAAGACAUUGUUUACUUUUCUUAUAUUUUAAACAAAAAAUUAUUUAAUAUCUACCUAAACAAUAUUCAACCAAUAAAAAUAACGUGUAUAAUAUAAAUUGUUUAAACAAACAAAAAGCUGAUUAAAUUUACAUAGAUUUUUUAGAAAGCAAUAUAUUUUAUAGAAAAAAACAAGCCUAUAAAAUCAACUAUUAAAGACCAGAGGGAGUAUACAAAUAAUUUUGUCAAGUUUCACGAAGACUUGAAUAUCAUAAUUCUCAGUUUAUAACUUUUGAAAAUAAUUUUAUCAAAAUUAAAUCUAACAAAUUAUCUAUGUUUCGAACACAACAUUUUAGCAAAAUAAAGAUCCUUCAAUGAUAUUGCAACUUUCUAACAUUGUCGAAUCUGAAUAUGGACGAACACUUGACUUGACCAUAUUCAAGUGUUCCGCUUUCAUACAAGCAACCUAUCAAUGAUCUCCAAAGGGGAAUCAAAAUUAUUGACUGCACAAGUUUUCUGCAAUUCAAAUGUUUUGAAAUACUAAACUAUCAUCGAUAAAAACAGUCCGCUCUCGAGUUUAUAACUUGUGAAUAUUAGUUUAUUGAGAAGGAUUGUAUACUUCCCUGGAGCCACUAAAUGAUCAAAGUUUUCAUAUUAUCAGUUAAAAUGAAUUAAACUGUUCGAGUAGUAUUUCUCGUUGUUUUUUUCUAAAAGAUCUCGUCAAAAGUAUAAUCAAUUAUCUUGUCAUAUAACAUGAUUGAUAUUUUGUUCCACGCCAAAAUAUCAAGUUUUGAUUAUGCCGAUUCAUUUUUUCCUCAUACUCUACCUUAGAGAGAGUUACUUGAAAUUAUUUAUAUCACAAUCCUUAAUAAUUCGAAAAAUAUCUGAGAAUCUCAGAGAAAGACUUUUGACAUCCCAUUCCUUAGCGGCUAGUUCGACAAAUUCGGUACACAUGUUUCCAAUCACAUCCAGAAACAUAUGAUGUCCCUCAAAAGUUUAAUGAAAGCACUAAAAAUAUUUAGUUUCAAUUAAAAUGAGCAAAAAUAAAAUCAAAAUGUUGACAUAAAUAUAUAUAUAUAUAUAUAUACAUAUAAUACACCGUAAGUUUAAAUCAUUAUCUUAAUAUUGAAAUUUUGAGGAAAAAAAAUUAUAAUAUUGAAAUUGUUUUAGUUAUGCUGAUAAAUAAUUAUAAUAAUGAGAAUAAUCUUCUUAGUUAUUUGGCGAUCUUUGGUUAUAAAUUUUGUUUAUUCUUCUUGAUUUUUUUCUCCUUGAACUUGUUGUUUUAAAAAUUGAUCUAUCUGAUACCAAGUUCGAAAUACUUAUGGGGAACUUUAUUAUAUAUUUGGCAUUAAAUAUCUAACAUUGUCCAGAAAAAUAAUGUUAAAUAAACUGAAAAGUGUACCAUAAUUGUAUUAAAAAGUGCAUCAUGUUCCUAACCGUCUGUUUUAAUAGUUUGUAGCAAAUAUGUGAUCAUUGUACAAAUUGGUUGUAUUUCAAUAACUGGCUCGAGAAUUAGAGGUUUCAAAACUAACCUUAUGGUAGAGCCUCGAUACUGUUUUUGACCUUUGCGAGUUUCUCUAGUCUAGUGUGUUCUUUACAUGAUAUGGAGACAUCUCUCCUUCAUUAGGGCAUUUUUUUAUUGCUUUACCACAUGAGCAUUCUCUUCCUCGUUGGCAUGGUAGUUUCUAAAUGGUUAGUCCAAAGACAAACAUGUUCCUUACUCAAAUUAUCCUUCAUUCCUCAACCAAGAACUUAAUAUCGCAAGAAUCCUUAGGAUCCCUAUACAUAUACAAAAUUUGGCUAGGACUCUUGCCAAUACAUAUACAAAAUUUGGUUAAGACUUCACCUGCCAAGAUUCUGACCAGAGAAGAGAAGUCUUACCAACCUAAAUAGUGUAGUAGAAUAGUAAAACAACAAAGCCUACGACUAGACCAGUCUCUGCUUAUACUUUGUUUUCACCAACCACUUGCAAGAAAAAAAAACUCAGCCGUCUUAAUUACGUUGGUGAUCUUAUUAGCCACACGUGCUAAUCACACCAACAACCAAAAAAUAGUCAAUAAUCCAAAUUCUUGACUUGCUUCUAUAAAAACUUUAACUUUGACCAUAAAUUACAAAACCCAUUUGAAUUUUUCCUUCUUGUGUCUGUUCUUGAUUUUUUUGGUUUCAAAGUUCGAAACUUUUUUUUGUUUCUCGGCAAUGGAGGGAUUAGUACCGGUACAGAGACUUCCGGUUAGAGUGGCUUCACCUUCUCUGUAUCGGUGUGGUAACGUUUCUGUCUCAAUCAAACGUUCACUUUCAGGUUUCGCCAUGGACAGAAGGAUCAGGUUCACGGCUCCGUCGCAGUUCUCGAUCCGGGCUCAACAGGUGCGUCCAAAUUUGUUCCCUUUCUCGAUUUCUAUGAACACCCUUAAAUAAAGUUUGAGUCUUUCGUUUGAUUCUGUGUGAUUUGUGGCAUUUGAUGUUGUCUACUGUCUAGAUUGAACCCUAGCUGGAAUACAAAUUGGGUUUUUUCUGAUUCUAUCAAUCUGUUGCUGAAAGGUUUUGCCUUUUUUUGUUGUAGUCGGAUUUGAAGGAAAGCUUAGUUGUGUCUUCUUCUUCUUCAGUAGAGGACAAAGGAAAUGCUCUUAGGAUCAAGGAAUGGGAAGUAGAGAUGUAUCAGGAUGAAGUAGCAAUUAGCCAAGGUAUUAGGAUAAGGAGAAAACCACCAACCAAGGCUCCUUUGGGGUAUACUGGACCAUUUGAGUUGAGAUUGCAUAACAAUGAUGCUGAUUCUCCUCGUAAUAUCUUGGAGGAGAUUACAUGGUACAAAGAUGUAGAAGUUUCUCGGGUAUAGAUUUUUCUCCUUACAAGACUUUUCUUUUCAGAGAGGAGAUUACAUGGUUCUUAAUGUGAUUGUUGUCUUUUCGCUUUUCAGAUGAAGGAGCUAAACCCACUUGAUGCGUUGAAGAAAGCUGUUGAGAAUGCUCCUCCAACCAGGGAUUUUGUUGGGGCUCUUAGGAUGGCUCAGGAAAGAACUGGGUUGCCUGGCUUGAUAGCUGAGGUUAAGAAGGCUUCACCAAGUAGAGGGGUCUUAAAAGAAAAUUUUGACCCGGUAUGUGAUGGUGGUUUCUGUUUCUUUCUGUAAUGUCAUUAGAUCUUGAUCUCGAAUUGAGUUUUUGAACUUUGAUUAAGCGAGUAAGGUUGAGUCUUUUCAAUAAAUAAAAGGAUUGCAGCAUUAUUAAAAUUUGCAGUUUGGCCUUGGGAAGUAGAUCAACAUUUUUUCUUUUGAAUGUUUCCAAUAUGAUUUGCUAUUAUAUUUCUAAUCUAGACCUGUCAGGUCUUCAUGAUUCCUCCGGCUGUGUUGCUAAUGCUUAUGGUUUUACAGGUUGAGAUUGCUCAAGCUUAUGAAAAAGGUGGAGCAGCAUGCCUCAGCGUUUUAACAGACCAGAAGUAUUUCCAGGUUUACUUGUGUAUUCAGUUGUAGAUAUCUUAUCCACAUUUGCAAAAAGUUUUUAACAUUUGUAGUUCUUAUCUCGAUGUUGUUCAAUAGGGAGGCUUUGAAAACCUGGAAGCAAUAAGGAACGCUGGUGUGAAGGUAUUUUCUUAGCAACUUCUGAUGUGUUUAGUACUUGAUAAUCAACACAUUGUGUAACCAAUGCUUUUCAAUUAUUGCAGUGUCCACUAUUAUGCAAAGAGUUUGUCGUAGAUCCAUGGCAGAUCUACUAUGCUCGGACUAAAGGUGCGGAUGCAGUAUUGCUUAUUGCUGCUGUAUUGACUGACCUAGAAAUAACCUACUUGCUUAAGAUUUGCAAGAAUCUUGGUUUGGCUGCCCUUGUUGAGGUAUCUUUCCCUGCUUUGGUUAAAUGUUGAUUGCUUGACAUAAUUAUGCGUCUUUAAAGUUCGUAUUAUUUUUGUUUUUCUCCUAAUAUGGUUGUCCAUAAAACAGGUACAUGAUGAGAGAGAGAUGGGCCGUGUGCUUGGAAUAGAAGGGAUCGAGCUCGUUGGCAUCAAUAACCGAAGUCUUGGUAAUGCAGCUUUUGUACAUAUUGCUAGUUCUGAUAUCUUUUCUCAUAGACCGAGUUCACGUAGAUUUGAUUCAUAUUGUCAAAAGUUUUGUUCAGUUGAGGAGUCUCACAAAUAAAAGUUUUUUGUGUUUCAGAAACAUUUAAAGUAGACAUCAGUAAUACAAAGAAUCUUCUUGAAGGAGAACAUGGUAGACAAAUUCGUGAGAAAGACAUGAUUGUAAGUACUUCCACUUUCCAUUCCUGAAUUGGUGUCUGUCAAUUGCUCAAACAUAAUCCUGACUCCUGUUCUGUACGUUAAGGUGGUUGGCGAGUCCGGUUUGUUUACACCUGAUGACAUUGCUUAUGUACAAGCUGCCGGAGUUAAAGCGGUAAGCUUUGACAAUUAUAUAUUAAAACAUUUGGCUGCUUGGAAAACCUCCCCAAGCAUUAAUCAGAUGAACAAUUCGCUUAAAUACUGAAUUACGAGCUUUCAGGUUUUGGUUGGCGAGUCCAUUGUGAAGCAGAGCGAUCCUGAGAAAGGAAUAGCUGGACUUUUUGGCAGGAACAUCUCUCAUUCUUAGAAACCACAUCUCCAAAUAUGUUUACUAGUACAUUUGUUUGUAUCUUGUUCUGUGGGGAUUGAGAGUAAAGACUAGAAAGGCUUUGUAUCUUGUUCUAAUGUUUCAGACAUUUUCAAUAACCAUCAAUCAAAUAAGUUGAAUAAAGAUUGAUCUAAGCCAUGGAACCCCAAGCCAACAGAGAAAUAGCAAUAUUAUGUUGUCAUAACUCACAAGUGAAGAAUACAACCCAUCACACCAAUACAUAGAAACGAUAUUGUUGUUAUCUAAAUACAUUCAUCCUUGCAAAACAACCGGAGUCACUAAAUACACCACUCCAAACAUUUCCGACCAGAAUCCAAAAGUGACUGUCAUGGCUUCUCAGACAAGCUCCAGUCUUCUUGAUGCAGUAUGAUUUUUAGAUAUAGAUAAACGACCUUCCAAAGGCAAACACUUGUCCACUUAUUCUGCGCCAGUGGAUUUUAUACAGCAAAACCAUUUCUUCUGCAAAUUAUGCAAUAAACAGCAUCAAUCAUAUAUCCAUACAAUAAGAUGAUUAAGAGAAGAAAAAAGAUGACCAGAGAGGCUGCGGCUUACGGCGGGUUUCUCAAGAACCUCCCCGUUUUUAUUAUAUCCAGGUUCAUCUCUCCCUGGUGAGUCGGAUUUACCACCUCCCUUUUUCUCGUUUCUAGCUUUGUUGAAGAUAACAGUGAAUCCCUCAGCUGAUGAAGGGUCAUUUACAUCCCAUUCGCCAAACUUUGGCAACGGGCGGCCCUUGUCCUACACACAAUCCAAACGUCAAAACAUUUUCAGUCAUCCGAAUGUUCAAGACAAUGAGUUCUAAACGCCAACACUCGCACCAAAAUCCAUUGAAAAAAGUCUUCAUUACUACUUAUAUGUUGUCUAGAUGGUUAACUCAUAUGAUAUAAGUUUUCGAUCGAAAAGUAAACAGUACACAAGCCUCUAUGCCCAACACGACAACUCGUAAACACACAAAAAAGAGGCAAAAGCUUCAGUAAAGUAAUCUAUAAGCAAAGUAUAUUGAAAUCAAGAAAAUGAUAUGCACAUACAACAAAGUCAUUCAUCUGAUCAUCUCAUUAACCCUAUGCACUGUUCAAGAUAUGGUUGCAAAGAUCAUACAAAGACUUUCUCUUUCUCUAUUCACUAAUCUAGAAUAGUAAAUUAUAAGACCAGAGAUAUUAUGACACAUAAAAAAAACCAAUACUUUCUCACCACCAAAAUCUGCAGAAGACACAACAAAGUAUUGAUUUUUUUCGAACAGUAACUUCAAAUCCAUACAAAAGUUUUAAACUUUUGUAAGAUCAAGACAAGAAAGGUCCAUCUCCAACAAGCAAAAACCAUUGUUAUAGAAUCAAAGAGUCCAAAGGUAAAUCUCAAAAAACAAAUCCAUGAGAACAAUCAGAAUAAAAAAGUAUCAAACUUUUUUAACAAUUCCAUCAAAAAGCAAAAAAAAAAAAACAAGAAAUCACAAGAACAUCAAAACCAAAAGAUGUGAGGCCUCAGAAACAAGAAAUCUCAUAGAUUAAGAAUAUCGAAAAAGAAAAGAGAUGGAGAAAGAUCGUACUGCCAUGGAUUAAAAGAAGAGCUGAGCUGAGAUGCGUUGUGGUGGUGGUCGUCUCCUUCCUUCCUCUGGUUCUCCCUUUCAACUUUUGUUUUAUCUUUUCUGGUGAAAGCUUUGAGGAUGAGGCGAAAAAGAAGGAGCCAUAGAAUCUUGGGCCUUCGUAGGCCCAUUAUGUCGUCUCAUCUCAACACUCAACAGACACAUUUUUUAAUUGCACUGAAUCAAUUUUUAAGCUUAACCAAUUACAUAGAAGUCCAAAUUGGUAAGAAGAAGUGGGAGAAUUUAUUUAUUUUUAUUUUUUUCUAGUCUCUUAUUUCAUUGAUGCGUAGUAGGAAACUUAUGUUAUUUAUGGAUUUUGUGGUUAUUAUAGAAAGACUGAAAUAUAAAAAAAUGUUCAAAGGAAUUUAAUUAAAGCCAUUAGAUAUCAUCAAUCAAUCAAUUUUUUUUUUUUUGACAUUGUCAAUCAAUUUCUUAAUGAAUAAGUAUUAUGGGAAGAAUCUCAAUUUGAUGCCUCGUUACCUUUGAAACCUUAUCUUCCUUUUUUCCUAACUAUUCAUUGUCGAAUUGAUGGUUCGUGAAAAGCUUCAAAUCUAUUUACAGGUUUAGGUUGGUAGUAAUGUCAUAAACGAAGUCCAUCCCCCUUCACUUGGAGAUGAAAACUUUAUUAUACAUUAUUUCGUUAAUAAUUUUCUUUACUUAAUACAAUAUUUUGUUAUACAAAUCUUUAUUAUACAAUCAUUUGCAAUCACUUUCUUUAUUGUACAAUAUUUUGUUAAUACAAACUUUUAUUAUAUAAUAAUUAAAAUAUGGGUAGUAGAAAAAUUCUUGAAUAGGACAUUUAAAUGAGUUUUAUUUAUGUGUUAAAUUAACACGAUGAUAUUUUUGAUGUGAGACGUAUUAAUUAACUUUUUUAUCGUUCAUAUUCGAUUUAUGUUUUUUUGUGUAUACCAACAACAAAUAAGUAAUUUGAUUAGUGUAAGACUAGAAAUAUAUUGUGGAUCAUCAUAAUUAAAUAUAUUUUAUUUCAUACUUUAAAAAGUAAAAUUUGACAUCAAAAAUUAUUAUUAUCUAGAAAAUAGGAGAAACCAUAUUUUUAUGCUAAACAACAACAUUCAACACCACCAACUAAAUAUCUUUCUAAACAUUUUCCCUCUAAGAAAUGUUGUUCUAUGCAAUAUGCAUUGCACUUCUCUGUUGUUGUACAAUCCAUCCCAGUACAAUGUUUGAUUAGUCUUUCCCUAUUGGUUUCUCCUAUUUGAUUCAUAAACAAAAUUAAACAUGUUAUAAAUAAAUAUAUAACAAUGGCUCAAGUGAUAAUUUUAUAGUAAUUCAAAAAUAAUCGAAUGUAUUAUUAAUUACCUGCAUUUACGGGAUUAGAGAUGAGCAAAAACAUCAUCAUCAACGAUAGUAAUAGAAGAGAUGAACACUUGGUGAUGGCCAUUAGAUCAAAGACUAGGAAAACAAAAAAAAAAAACAAGAUUCAUAAUCAAUAAUAUAAGAUGAACAUAUAUUCGACAUUUCUUAUAAAAUUGGAUAUAUUUAGGAUUUACCUUCGUGUUUAUGAUACUCUAAUGUUUAUUGUGAAUGUUUUGUAUUGGUCUUGUGUGUGCAUUUAUAUAGAUAUAGAUAUAUACUUACACACAUACAUAUAUAGUUUAAUAGGUCUUCCAUAUAUAAUAUGUAUUGAAAUCAUCUUUUUAUUAAUAGAAUUUUCCAUAUCAAAAAGAGUUGAAUUAAUAAUUUAUUUUACUAAAAUUAUAUAUGUUCCCACAAAAUAUUGGAGUCAUAAAUUUUAAAAAUUGGUAUCUUGACACUAUUACAAUAUUGUAUGAUUUUGUAUUCAAUGUUUUUAACAAUUCUUAUAAAACUGAAUGAUUUACCUUUAAUAUUCAGAAUGAUUUAGAUUUCUCUUAUGUGUACAUUUAUAUAGAUAUAAUAUAUACUUACACACCUAUACACACAUACAUAUUAUUUAAUAGGUGUCCAUAUUAUGUAUAUAUUGACUAAUAUUUCUUAUAGAAUUUUCCAUAUCAAAAAUUUGAGUUGAUAGUUUUCUUUUUCAUUAGUGAAAUGAUUUGUUCCCAAAAAAUGGUUAAAAUUAAUGACUUGAUUUUAAUUUGCUUGACUUCUUUGUUGAUAAAACCGUAUCCUCUAUCAAGUCUAAACGUUGCUUGAUUGAUGCUUUGGGGAUCCACGUUUAUUGAGAAAACAUCAUAUCAUGCGAUCUUGAGAAUCUUGAUACACUUUAUUGUCGAACUUUAUUGGAAUUGAAUCAUCAAGAAAACAUAUAUCACACGAAUCCAACAAUCAAACCCUAGAAAAUUCCAUGAUUCAUUGACAACCCCAUGCAAAGAGUCUGGAUCAAGAAAGAUAUAAAUUAAAUAGAGUGAACUUCACUCAUUCUUGGCCAAGAUUCUCAAGCUACCAAAACUACUAACAAGAGUCUCGCAUGCAAGAAUAUUUUCAUGAAAGACUUUAACUGUAACACCAUCACUGCAACACUCUAAUCAAAACUGAUAUAUUGAAACAUAUAAAUAUCUAGCUACAUUCAAGAUGUGUGGAUGUGUGUUGAUGUCUUCUCCUACAUGCCUAGCAUGCUAAUUAAUGCUUCCAUUGAGAUCAGUUCUUUGUGUUAAAGAAGAACUGAGAGGUAACAAGUUAAUAACUUCUUCUUAUCUUGGUUCACCUUAUCUUGGAGCAGUUAGGGAAGUACAAUAAGAGUCUGAUGUGAGUAUUAAGGCCAAAAAAAAAAAUAUCUAGCUUCAUGUUUAUAUAACGAAAACUGUGAUAUAUUUACUAUGUGAGUUGCAAUCAACUUUUGAAAUCAAGAAACAAGACUCAAAGAUCUUGAAUGCUAAGGUUAUGCUCUCUUCUUGUGGGUUUUUUCUAAGUGGAUGUCAAUUGAGGAUUUGUAACAACCCAUCCCUUGCCUAAUACCAUCGCCGAGAUGAUAUAAAGAUUAACGCCUAACUAACACCUGUUAAUUGCUUGUUAUCGGACUUACGACAUGUUGUUUUUGGCUUGGUCAACUUUGUUUCAUGUUUUAAACAGUAAGUUAAUGUCUAUGUAUUAUUUAAAUAGUCUGCCUGGAAGUUGCUGGUUUAAUUGGCCGAAAUGACUCGGUUCAUGUAUUUAAUGACAUUUUUCCCAUAGAGAAUCUAGAAUUUUUUAAUAUUAACCCAUAGCAUAGUAUUUUUUUUGCUAAAAUAUUUUGCAAAGCACGCACUUAUGACAUGUCAAGCUCAUAUAAUGCAUACAAAUUUCUUUUUGUUUGAUGUAAGAGUCGAUCUAAAUUUUAGAUAGUUUGCUUACUUUUUUUAAUUUCAUUUUACUCGAUGGGAUCUAAUAUUUCUAUUUUUUCGUUUACUUUGAAUAAACCUUGUUUAAUCAGACGAUGCCACCAUAAUCAACGGAUUAACUUGGACGGGAUAUUCAAGCAUGAAGAGAGCUCAAUCCAGCAAAGGAGGAUACCUACACCAUUUUCGAUUUGUUUUAUCCUUUGUCGUAGGUAUUAUGCUUUAUUUCGUCUUCACCAAAUUUCGAUAUGGCGGUCUUCCAAGAUAGAUUUUAAAAUUUGAUUUUAUCUUUUAAUAUGAAAAAAUUGAGAUUUUAAUGUAUUUCAACUUUUUAUUUCCUCGUUUUUGGUAAAUCACAUUUUUUAGAAUGUUGGAUUUCGUACGUGAGAAGAGAAAACGAUAAUAAAAGGGAGAUUAUAAGUAGUAUUUAUGGAGCAUGUUUUUUGGUGGUAAUAAAAACUAAUAUAAAACAUAUACAGUGUGUCAAAAAUAUUAGCCUUUUAGUAUGGAGAGCUUAUUGUUUUAGAACUCAUAAGAUUAAUAUACCAAUUGAUUAUUUUACGUUUAUAGAAGAUGGUAUAUUAUCUAUAUAUAUAAUAUGAGAAUUCACUCUCCAUCUAGGCUAUCCACAUCAGCAUCCACCUCAUUAAUAUUUUUUUUAAAUUAAAUAUAUUUAAAAUAUUUAUUUAAUGCAUAUUAAUGUACUCAUAAUUAAUAGAAAAAUUAAUUAAACAUAAAAGAAUUAAACUAAGAAAAGAGAAUUAAACUAAAUAAAUAAAAUUUUAAAAUCCUAAAUAUUGUUAAAAUGUUAUUAGUAAUGUUCAUAUUUUCAAUGAUUUAAUGUGUUAAUGAGUUAAUGAGAAUUAUAAUGGAAGAAAAAUAUUAAAUGCAUAGUAGAGUAAAAAUAAUGACUAUAUAUAUAAACCUUAUAAACAAGAAAAAUUUAAAGUGAAAUAUUAGUUGGAAAUAGAAACUCACCGAACAUUACGAGCCGAUAAGCGUUGUCGUUAAUAUCUCAACGUAAAAAUAUUAUUAGUUUACUUGAGCAAUUUGCAUUAUAUUACAUUUAGUUAUUUUUUAUAUGUAGCUAAUUUUGGGAUAACAAACGACCAACUUUUGUCCAAAUUUGAAUUUGGUCAUUCUUUGUUCCAAAAUUAAUGAAUGAUGUCCAUUAUUGGGUGUACUAAUCAUUAUUUUGAAUUUCAACACAUCCGAGUUUGAAUUUAGUCAUUCUUUGACAUCCAAAAUGAUGUUUAAUUUAGAUAUGAUUUAUUGGUGUAUGAAAUUUCAAUGAUAUUCUUGAAUAUAUAAAAAAGUUUUUGCACUUUUUCUGGUGCAAAAAAACUUGAAAAUUAUAGAACAUUAUAUUUCAUCUUCUAUAAACGUAAAAUAAUCAAUUGGUAUAUUAAUCUUAUGAGUGAGUUCUUUUUUUAUGAGUGAGUUCUAAAACAAUAUAUAAGCUCCUGCUCAAUAUAUGUUAAUAAUCAGGUUGUUUUUGCCACCGAUUGUGUAUUCAACAUCUUUUCAAAAGCUAUUGAUGCUAGCCUUGGUUGUGAUUACAAGUUCGAACAGGUAAAACUUCAAUUUUUUUAAUAUUAAUGGAAUCUAAAAGUCUUUCUAAAUAUCUUAUAAUAUUUGAUUGCUUUUUGUUGUAGGGUCGUGUUCGUGGAGCGAUAGGUGACUACAUCUGUUAUGUUCGAACAACGCUUUGAGGGCUUUAAAUGCCUCAUUGUGGGCAGGCUGGAACCAAAGAGUGUUGUCAACAAGUUUAGUGUAGGUGCCGUAGUAGGAUGUGAGUAAAUGUGUUGGUGCUGUUAGGAUAUAAGUAAUUGUGAAGAUAAUAUGAAAAAUCGGAAUUGUUUUCAGAAUGUUUACAAGAAUAAGAAAAAAGUGACCAAGCGAUGCUACUCAUUGGAAAGGUUUGUUUAUAAUGACUAAUGAGUACUACUUUUUUGACAGAGAUUUGUUUACACCAAUAUGAGUAGUACUUUUAUCAUAAGCAAAGUCUACCAUGAAAGACUUUGUUUAAUGAUUAAUUGGAAUAUAAGCAGAACGAUGACUUACACAUGAUGACAUGAAUGGUUAUUACAGUAGCAUGCAAUGAACACUUUGAUAAUUAGGAGGACAAAAAAUAAAAAGAUUAGAUGAGUCGUUGGUGAUAUAUGAACCAACAUACAACAUUCUUUUUGAAUAUUCUACAAGUGAAUCGUAUAUGAAGAUGAAGCUUAAUUAAUUCUCAUUUUAGUAUCAGUAUCACAAUCAUAAUAACUUGUACAAAAUUUUAACUGAUCAAGUAGGAUAUAUUAUAUGAUUUCUAUAUAAAAAAGCCAAAUUUUCCAAGCCAAAAUCAAAAUCUUUUAAUAUUAAAAUAGAUUAAUUUUAUGCUUAUUUGUCAGUCAAGUUCUCAAUUAUUCCCCAACUUUUUUUCUUUUCUCAGUUAUUUAAUUAGAAUACCUUUCUUACUAAACAAUAUUAUUUCAAUAUAUUAUAUAUUCUGAUUAUUUUAAUAGUAAUUUUCUCAAUUUUGAAACACAUAAAAAUCUUUUUUUUUGCCUACCACACAUUAACUAAAAUAUUACUCUAUGAUUGAUAGCCCAAAUAUGAGAAAAAAAGUUUACAAAAGUAACUUUCGAAACAAAGAAUCUAGAUGAACGAAUUAUAGAUUGUUCUCUUUAAAAUUACAAGAACAAAAAAUCUUAGAUAAGAAAAUUACAUAAGAAUUUGACAUACCGAACUAAUUACUUUAAUAAUUCGAAUUUUAGAUCUUACCACUUAUUAUGAACAAUUUUUAUUUAUUUAUAAGCAUCAUUAAUACAUUUAGAAAGAAAAAACACACUAAAAUUAUUUUUUCUUAGAAAAUUUUAUAAUUAAGAAAUCCAUAAAUAGAUAUUUAAUAAUCCCCCUACUAAUUAAACAUAGGAUGAAACAAAAUUGUUAAUUUUGAAUAAAAAUAAGAGAUAAUUGCACUUACAAUCACUUUUGACAAACAUAUUGUUCAGUUAGUAACUUUGGAGAUGUAGCCUAAUAAAGUUGUCAUAUUAACUAAUUGAAUUAAUGAUAAAUUUUUUAGAUAUCUUUUGUACUAUAAUUGCUAGAUUGCUUUUUGAAUAUGAAUAUUUCUUAUGUGAAAAUAAGAAAUUUAUGUGGUGUAGAAUGUUUAUUCGCAUGAUUUUAGCAAACAAAUAUUUAAUUAUUGAUUUAUUUAAAUUUGAUGAUAUGAUCAGUUAUGUAUAUAUACUAUGUAGAAUUUGAUUAGUUGAUUAUUUCAUAUGCUAACAUAUUUUUUAUCAUUUUAUUUUUUCUAAAAAAAUGUUAUCUUUGUUUUUUUAAUAUAUGAUGAUUUUGUUCUAUUAGAUUUCAUUCUAUAUAAAUUAUUAAUUUCGAAAUUAUAUUAAAAUAUUAAAUUAAUAUUAAAUAUGUUUAUGUAUAUUCAAAAUGGGGGAAUUUCAAAAAUACCCCUUUUCCAAUACCACUUUUUAAAAAUACCCCUCUUUCUAAUUUUCUCAAAAAGUCAUUAUAAAAUUUGAAAUUUUUCAAAAACAUACGUGUAAGCUUAUAUUUGUAGACAAAAAUUAUCUUUAUAUGUGUGUAAAUUUAUAUAUAUAUAUAUAUAUAUAUAUAUAUUUUAAAUACCGUUUACAUACCUUUUAAAAAUCAUUUAAAAACCUUAUAAAAACUGUGUAAACAUUUUAAAAACCUUAUAAAAACCUUAUAAAUGACGUUUAGAACCCCUUAAAACCUUAUAAAUAUUUGGAUUUAAUCUCCCAGUAGUAAUGAUGAUCUUGAUUUACCUUAUCAACCAUAUAAAAGUUUAUAAUUUUUCAUAUUUGAAAAGGGGUAUUUUUGAAAAUGGAUAAAAAAGAGGGGUAUUUUUAAAAAGAGGUACACCAAAAAAGGUAUUUCUCAAAAAUUCUCAUUCAAAAUAGAUAUGUUUACAUAUAUUUAAUUUUAAAUUUAAUUGUCCACUUUUUAUGGUAAAAUAUUAUUAUGAUUUUCAUAAAUAUAGAUAGUUUUUGUUUUUGUUUUUUUUUUUUUGCUAUCAUUAAUUCUGUUUGGCAACUGGAAUAUAUUUCAUGAAAUUUUUUUCUAAAAUUGGGGGUGUUUGGAUUCAAGUUGUCAUUCCCAAUUAAUAGUAUAGAUAAAAUAAUUACCUAUUAUAAAAUUAUCACCUAGUUUUUAAUUAUUUAAUACUUCAAAUUUGUAAAUUAUAUUAUUAAUCCCGUCUAAUACAUAACCAAAACCGAACCAGUGUCUUCAAUCUCGCCCCAUUCGAAGUUAUUACCAUGUGUUUUGGUCUGAGAGAGACUCCGUUGACGGAGCAAGAUGGUCCAACCACCGAAUCGUCUCUCAAUAGAAAAAAAACCCAUUGUUUUUGGAUUUACUCGUUCCACGAAAGUUCUAAGGGAAAGGAACUUUCAAAUCACUAUCAAAGUCUUCUUCUUUGGAUAUGUAUAUUAAAAACCCUAAUAUGUCUCCCUCCGUUCUUUCCUUACAGAUAACUCAAGUCUCUUCCAAGGUUUUUCUUAUCUCUUACUUGCAUUUCACUUUUGGUGUCUGAAUUUUGGAAUCUCGAUUUGAAUGGUCGACAUGGGUUUGACAAAAACAUUUCUUUUCUUUGUGUUUUGUUGUCAAAGAUACAACCUUUUACUUGGAUACUGCAUCAUGGACGGUGAAGCUCAGCAAAUCUCAUUACUUGAUGGGAAAGAAGACAAGUUUGAUGGUGUUGUUGUGAAUUUGAUGGAAGUGGUGUCCAUGACUGUUGACGAUUUUGAUGCAAAGCUUGAUUUUUCACUUCGUACAUGGAAGGGUCAGGUAUAAAGAAAGGUUCUUUCUUUACAAUGCUACUGAGGAUGCUGCUUAGAUCGUUUCUAAAGAUAUGGACCUCUGGAUUUAGACAGAACAUCUCUCAAGUUUGGUGUCUGUUGUGAGAGUGUCUUUAUGUUUCUGUUUAAAGUUUAUUGUUUUUUCUGUUUCUAUUGCCAAUGACUUGACGUUUGGGAGAUGGAUUUUUAGGGGAAGAAGGGGAUUUGGAUAAAGCUGCCUCGUGAGCUUUCUAGUCUUGUUGAUACGGCAAUUAAGGUUAGAAGAUGUUAGUGUUGUGUUAUGUUUUGUUUUUGUUUAGCUUUAGUGAUUGAGAUCUGUUUGGUGAUAUGUUUAGAAAGGGUUUACAUACCACCAUGCCGAGAAGGAAUACGUGAUGCUUACAUCUUGGCUCAGGGAGCCACCUAGUACUCUUCCUGCCUAUGCUUCUCAUCGUAUUGGGAUUGCUGCUUUUGUCCUAAACAAGAACGGAGAGGUAACAAGAUACUUUGUUUUAAAUUUCUCCUGGCCUAUCACUUUGAAUCUAAAUGGACUGAACCUUGAUAUACAACUUUCCAUUUCCAGAUGCUCGUGGUUCAAGAGAAUAGUGGAUAUCUCAAAGAUAAAGAUGCGUGGAAGGUGCCUACCGGUACUAUUAAAGAGGUGAGUUUAUGGGAUCUUAUCAUAUCUUUGUGUGUGUGUAAGCUUAUGUUUGUUGCCCUACAUGAAUAUUAACAAUUUCAUAAGAAGAUUUCAAAGCUUAGUAAUAGCUAAUAAUCUCUACCCUCACUAUGCUAAUGAUAACUAGAUAACUAGUUAAGAAUAAAGGGUAUACCAGAUAAUCAAAGGAACCACUGUGUUAUGUCUGUAUUCAUCGAUUACGUUAUAAAGAAUGCCUAAAUUUAAGCAUGUCAGCUUGGUACAGACUAUAAAGAUUUAGUAACACGUUGAUUCCAUUAACGAGGCUACAAGAUCUCUUGAUUUGGAUAUGUUUUUGCACUUUUCUUGGAUAUCUAGGCUAACUGAAAAUUUCAAAUCACCAGGGUGAGAGUAUAUGGGCUGGGGCAAUCAGGGAAGUGAAAGAAGAAACUCAUGUACGUAUUCGUCUCCAAAACCCGGCAAAUAGUUCAAGUUUUUGAGUUUUGUAUCGAAAGAGUAAAUCCAAUUCUGUGUUUUUUUUUUGGUCUUUUGCUUCAGAUUGAUACAAAAUUUGUAGAAGUCCUGGCUUUCAAGUAACAAAAGAUCUCUUCAAUGCUUAUUUCAUUAGGUAAACCACUGAUUAUUUGCAUCUGACAUCAUACUGGUUGUGUUCUCACAGGGAAAGCCACCAAGCAGUCUGGCAAAGAAAAACGGAUAUAUUUUUCGUGUGCGAGUUGGAAGCAAGCACGUUUGAAAUCAAGAAACAGGACUCUGAGAUCUUUGCUGCUAAGGUAAAUGUUUUAUAUAUACUUCUUGAUAAAUCUGAACCAAGCAAUGGUAUUUCUUGACCGCUCGGCUCUCUUCUUGUGUGUUUUCUUAGUGGAUGCUGGUUGAGGAAUACGUAAACCAGCCCGUUCACGCCGAGGAAGGGAAUGAGAUGUUUAUGUUAAUAGCUAACAUCCUUUUAAAGAGGUUUCAGAAGGAACACAUGGGUUUCCAAAAUGUCCACACUACAAAAUCAUUGAAGGAGAGCCUUUACAGCAGCGUCGAUCAUUCAGCCAAACAUCUGAGCGAGACGUGUGAUGAAACCUCCACUUCCACAUGUCUGAGCAAACUCUCGUCAUAGCAUGUUUUCUAUUUGGUUUGCUUGACUUCUUUGUUUAUUGAAGAGGACAAUAAAAGUUAUGAAAUCGUUUCCUCUAUCAAGUCUAAACCUUACUGCUCUUGAGAAUCUUGAUACACUUUGUCGAACAAAGAGUCUCGUAAGAAUAUUUUUCAUGAGAUAGUAUAUGUAAUGGAUUAACCAAAAAUACUGCAAUUGUAACACCAUCAUUGCAUCACAAAACUGAUAUUGAAACAUAUAAUAGCCCAAUAAGUAUUUUGCAAAUCAAGUCAAUAUUUCAAUAAAAAGAAUCAUAAAAGUUUGGAUAUACUUCUCUUCCAAUUCGAUCUAAUAAGGUUGAUGGAAAAACUUGUCAAAUAUGAAGUAAACUUCUCAUUUUUUAAUUUGAUUUCUUUGCUUUUAGGUUUCCGACGAUUAUCCGAUGACGUUUUCUGACCAAUUUCCGAUUAAAUUCCGACAAAUUUUUCCGACAACUUCCCGACUACAUCCUCCGACUAUUUUUCGACUAUAUUUUUUGACUAAUAUCCGACAACAUAUUUCCAACGGAAUUCUCGCAAAACCUUUCUGUCGGAAUGUUCCGACCAUUUUCUGACGAAAUUUUGUUUCCGACCAGGAAUUAUCGAGGAUUAUUUUUCGUUGGAAUUUUGUCGGAGUAUCCCUUUUCCGACGAUUUUGCGACUAUAUGCGUGGUCGGAAAUAGCUAUGUUUUCUUGUAGAUCCAUACGAUUGUGACACUCGUCAGAUCGCUCCGAGUACAAGAAGGGUGUUUCAUAGUUUAGGUUACUAGCCGAGUUUUAAUAUCUCAUGACAUAUCUGAUUUUUGAUUUACUGAUGACUUUGUUUGAUGCUACAACAUUUGUAGACAAAGUUGCAAGAAGUAGAGGAAGCCAACAAUACAAAAGAGGAGUAGUAAUAUAUAUAUUUCUUCUUCCUCAUCUACACGAUAAUAACGAACAAUCAAACUAAUCAAAAGUUCAAAACUAAUUAGUGUUUUCAUAUAGUUUAAACCUAACUAUUUCUAUCUUUUAUUUCGAAUUUUCAUAAUUUAACCCUAAUGUUUUCUUAGACUAAUUCAACCUACCCAAUAUUGUUUUCAGUUUCCAAUUUUUUCUCAAUAUCUUUUUAUGUAUGAUCAUGAGUCAUGACUAAACUAAAUCAUUAUUUUAUACUAUAUCAAAUUCUAGUUAUGCUACUGUAUGUAACAUAUAUAUCAAAAAUAUAUCAUGUAAAAGAAAAACUACUUUGCUUUUGAUGAAUCUGAGAGAGAUUCAAUUGCUUCGAAUAAUAAUAGUUCAGUGAUUAUAAACUCUGUAGUUCAAUUCCCUAUCUUAUAACUAUAAGGUAUCCUAAACACAUACAUGCACAAGCCUUUGCUGUAAAGUGUUUUUUUUUUUUGUCCUUAGGAUAAGAAGAAUAUGAUCUCAAGCUACCAAAAUCACUAAGCAGAAUGUGAUUACUAUUGUAUCUUAAUGAAUUUAUUUCAUAGACACUAACGAUCAAUGACAUCGUAAUGUAUAUUUAUAACUUUUAGUGAUAUAAACAAAAAUCUUUUAGUGAUAUAGGAUUAUAUAAUAUUUUAUAUAUGACCAAUGCAUGUGUUUAAAAUUGAUCUUUUAGUAUCAUAUAGUCAACCAUCAUAUCUUACUAUUUAAAGACUAAUAAAUUAAAAGUUCACAAAAUCUUCAGUAUGAAUAAGAAUAAUUCUAAAUAUAUUAGGAUAUUACAUUUAUGGAUAACAUCUCUUUAUAUAUAAAUAGAAGUGUAUGAUUUAUUUCAUUCACACACAAAAAAAAUGGUUCCAUGGUGCAAAUGUUUCUUUUAUGUGUUCUUGUGUUUGGUUGUUCUCUUGAUCGUAGGUAAGCAACAAAAGAAAUCUAUGUUUUCAAUUUAAACCUACAUGAUACACUCUGCUUUUAUAUAUUGUAUACUUAAGAUUUUGGAAUUAAUUUGUUAAAAAUAUUACAGAUGUUCCGGAAGUCGAAGGACAUUUUGUGAUAGGUUCUUGCUCGAAAAUUCCAGACUGCCACACAAAAUGUAAUGAAAUGGGAUUCCGUCACGGAAGAUGUUUUGAAGAGGAACGCGGUGCCCCGGAAAAAGCAUGUGGUUGCUAUAGAAAUAUGUAGUCACAUUUUCUAAGAUAUUGCAUUGUAGGAACAUGUAGUCUUUAUAAUAAUAGUAAUAAUAAUGAUAUUAUCUUAGGGUAACUUUAUUGUAUUUGAUGCAACCAACAAGUUUGUAGCCAAUAAUUAUUUUGCAAAUCAAGUUACUAUUUCAUAGAAAGAGUCAUACACUUCUCUUCGAAUUUGAUUUGAUUGAACAAGACAAUAAUUUGGGGAAAAUAAAGUAAGAAUUACAGAAAAUUUAAUUUUCCAAUAAACUAAUUUUCUUUUCUUUAACAUAUAUAAAAAAUAGUUCUAAAAAUAUAUGCUUAUGAAUAUGUGGUUUCAGGUUGUAAAUUUUAAUUUUGAACCGACUUAGAAUACAUAUUUACGAAAUUAAUCUUAAUGAUUUAAAAUUAAUAGUGUUUAAAACAUUGGCUUUUUGGGAAAUAAUUGGCAUAAAACGAUUUUAUUACAAAAUGUGCUUAAAAACUGUUUAUAUAGAUUUCUUUGUUCUAAUAUUAUUAUUAUAUCGGAAAAUAACGUUUUGGUAGAAAACCAAAUUAACCAACUGGAAACUAAACCAGAUUACAUAGCCAAACCGGACCAGUGUCUUCAAUCAAACGAAUUGGUACAUUGGAUAUAAUCAUAUAACACAGUAGUCAGUACCAUACAAAAAUAAAUAUGAUCAUAUAUUAUUCUAUAAAUACGUCUCCCAAUAUGUUAGAAAUUAUUUAUGGGGUGUUAUUGGAUUCUAACUUAUAAGGAAUUUAGAUGACUCUAAUAAAAUCAUAGAUUGUAUGAUUGUUUGAGAGUUUAAGUGGGUGUUAUUGGAUAAUGGAUUUUAAUAGAGUCUAACUCUAACCCAAGUCUAAUGUUAUUUAAUCAAUGAUUUUAAAUACUUUACUCAAAUCAAGUGUUAUUGGUUUUUAUAUUUGCAAAAUCUUCAUUAAAAGAGUUUAAAAUCUAGUGUUAUUGGUUCUUAUAUUUGCAAAAUCUUCAUUAAAAGAGUUUAAAAUCUAGUGUUAUUGGUUCUUAUACUUACAAUUAUUAACUAAAGUCUUAUGUUAUUCAAGUUUGGUGGAUUUUCACAAAUGAUUUCAUUUGAAAAGCUUUGAGUGAAUCUGAAACUGAUUUCAUGUGUAAAUUAUGUCAGUCCCAAAACCAACCUUCUAACAUGAGAUUUGACAAUCUAAUAAAUUAAUAAAAGUUUCAUUUAACGUAAUACACGUACGUUAUCAAUAUUUGCAAACUCAUUCACCCAUGACCCAACACAUAUGUAUCUCUCUUUAUCAUUUUUUUCCCAGUCUUUUUUUUUUAUCCCUAGUUAAUGUGUAUAUUGUUUAAACAGCUGUUGUAUGAUUCAUUUGAUCACUUUAACAAAACAAAAAAACAAUUUUCAUCUUUAAAAGAUAUGUUAAGACUUCAAUACAGAAAUUUGAAAUGGGAAAAAAAUACGUGAUGGUAAAAGUUUGGUAUAAUUUCAUUGAAAAUUGUAAAAUCAUUUGUUAUAGAAUUCAAUUCUAUUGUUCAAAACCAAAAGAUAUCAUGUGUCAGUGUAAAUACACUUCCACUGAUUUAAAGAAUGAAUAAUAAAUCAGUCUCAAUGAACCCAGAUUUUGAAAGUCUUAUGAAUUUUAAAAAUCUAAUGGAGUUGAAUUUAACUUAAACAACUAAUAACACCCCCUAAAAGAUUGUUUGAGAAUUUUCUGUAAUUUUGUUGAUUAAUUUUUCAUAUAGUCUUGAAAGUCUUUCGAACAAUCCCUCUAUUUAUAAGAUACUUUUCAUGACUUUAUUUUGUAAAGAAAAGAGUUUAAAAUCAUAAACUAAUAACACAAAUUUUUAAUUCACUAACAAAAGGAGAUUCUUUUGUUUAAAUUGAAUAACACAGAACUUUUAAUAAUUUUGUAAAACUCUGAAUCCAAUAACCCCAUAUUUAUUAAGAUUUUGAAUGACUUUUUACAAAUUAAUAACUAAUAACAUAAAACUUUAAAAGAGUUUAGUAAAAUCUUGGUUGAAUAACAACAGAUUCUACCUAACAUCUAAAAUCAUUAAAACACCAUAUAACUCCUCCUUAGUCAAGUCAACUAACAUAUCCUAGGAUACAUAGAAAUUAAAAUCUGACCAAAUUCAAAUUUUCAAUAUAAUAAUUCCAAAUAUAUCAAGAUAUGGAGGAAUCACAUCUCUGUAUUUAUAACUCUUAAGUGUUUCGAUUAUGUUUCAUUCACAAAUCAAAUAACUAAAAAAAUGUCUUUAAUAUCAUCCAAAUCUUUGUUUGUUGUGUUCUUGUGUUUGGUUGUUCUCUUGAUCCCAAGUAUUCAACAAAAGAUAUCCACUUUUUGUUAAUUUAAACCUAUAUGAUAUGCUUAUUUUCUAUAAUAGUGUAUAUAUUUUUAUGUUUUGUAGUAAUUGGUUUUAUUAUAUAUUACAGAAAUUACGGAAGCUGGCACUGAUUUACAAGGAGAGGGAUAUUUUAUCAUAGGUUCUUGCUCGACAACUCCAGAGUGCACCCAAAAAUGCAUUGAUAUGCAAAUGACAAUGCAUCACGGAAUAUGUUUUGAAGUAGUGCCUCAUGCCCGUGAAAAAGCAUGCGGUUGCUAUUAAAUAAUAACUCUAUUAAGAUACCGUGUAUGUUAUAAAAAAAAAAUACUAAUAAUAUAUACAUUUCUUUUUGUUUUAUAAAUAUUUAUAUUUUCUCAAAUCAAUAAAUUCUUAUGGAUUUUUAAAAAAAUUUCUAUGUAUUAGUCAAUUUAUUUAUUUAUUUAUUUUUUUCGAACACCUGUCAAUUUAUUUAAGAGUGAAUUACAUAUACACAUACUUUUGAUAAGAAAAUUGACAUAUAGACCUACUUUAGAGGGAUGGUAUACUUUUGUGAAGGUUUUGUUUGGUUAUUGAAUUAUCUUAGACGAUUUUGCCCUUUUUGCGUGGUUUGGUUUUAAAAAAAAACUGAUUUUUUUUAUAAGUUCUGAGCCUUUGGGUUGUAACUACGGAUCGAGAUGAGUGGCUAAUAUUUAUUCAGAUGAAUAAAGUGAAAGAAAGACAUUUUUGAUUUUUUUAAAAAAAUCGAUUUUCUCUCUCUAUUUCUCUCUUUUUCUCCUUUUUAUUUGUUGUUGUGAUUAUAAGUUCUCAUUUUAAAUAGUAACUAUAAAAAAUUAUCACUUUAUUUAUAUACAAUAGAUUAUAAUGAUAUAUUUUUUCUACAUUUUAAGAUGCAUAUUGCUAUACUUUAGAUGAAUUAUUGUAUUAUACACUAUCCAUUUGUAGUUGAACAUUUGUUCACUGAUAAAUGGAUAGUCAAUUAUAGUAUCAUUCAUGGAUACAUAGUUGUUUUGGAAAUUAAUAUAUGAGCAACUAACUCUAUCCACAUGGAUUACAAGAAGAGUCUAAACAAUAAACCCUAAACCCUAAAUAUAAAACUAUAAAUCCUAAACCUAACCACUAAAUACUAAAUCCUAAACACUAAAACCUAAACUAAGCCAUAGAAGUUUAAACCUAUAUCCAAUAACAAUAACACUAAACUCUAAACUUAAAACCCUUAAAUUUUAAACCCUAAACAUGAAACCCUAAACAGUGAAGACUUUUAAAAUCUAAAUAAUAACAUUAUCAUUAAGAAAUGCCAAUGGAUAGUAUUUAUGUGAACAAAUAUAUUAUACAUUCUUCAUUGAGUAUAUUAUAUGAUAUCCACAAAAUUUAAUCUAUCCAUACUUGAUAAUUGAAUCUAUCUAUAACGUUACUAUCAGUCUAAUUAUGUAUUUUAUAUCUUCAGCCUACAAAUUAAAAUGAUAAUUGGCAGUGCAUAUGUGAACAACUAACUAUAUCCACAUUGAUUGAAAAAAACUAUAAACAAUAAAUCAUAAACCCCAAACCCUAAACCCAACCACUAAAUUACAAACUCUAAACAUUAACGCCUAAAUACUAAACCAUUAAACGCCUAAUUACUAAACCAUCUAAAUUUAACUCUAAAACCAAAACCAAUCAUACACUAUAUCCUAACCCCUAAACCUUAAACCUUGAACCCUAAAACCAAAACUCUAGCUAACGUUAAACACUAAUCUCUAAACAUAAAUCAUGAAUCUCAAACUUUAACCAUUAUCCAAUUAAAUUUAACUCUAAAACCAAAAAACCAUAAAUCAUAAGCUACAUGCUAACCUCCAAACAUUAUAAUGAACAUCUCAUCAUAUCCACACUAUUGUAACCACAUGGAUAUAUAUGGUCAAGGUGUAAAGAAAAAGUAUUAUAAUAUGAAAAUUAAACUAACGAAAAACAUUGGAAGAUGCAAACGAAGGUAGAGUGAAAGUUAAACCAUUUGAAAAUAGUUUUAAGGACAUAUAUUGUCAAAGUAUGAACUUGCUUUACAAUUGCUAAAAAGUAUCCACACCAUGUCCAUCGAAUUGAGUCCAUAUGUUUAUAGUAACUGUGCAUUAUGUUCGAGAAAUCAAAUUGUCCAUGAUAAUUUAUGAAUCCAUUUAAACUCUUCCAUAUGGAGAUAUUUUGAAAUUUGUUCAAAAGUGUGUAAGUCGUUGUCUUUAGAGUGAGGAAAGUUUGAAAAUGAUGAUAAUAACAAAUUAUGUGUCUAACAAUUGAUGAUUAUCCAAGCGGUGUAGUCUAUUUGGUCAUGUGAAUCACGUAAUCGUUACAUAUCAAUACACAAGUUUAUAAGCAUCUAAUGGUUAUCUAUAUAGAAUAUGUGUACUGCAAAUGAGACCAUAGACAAUUACUGUGCAAGAUGUUCAAGAUAAAAAAAGUCUAAGUCCUAAGUCCUAAACCCUAAAAUCCUAGCCCUAAACAUAAAUUAUGAACUAUAAACCAUCCAAGUAAUUUUCAAUAUAUAAAUUAUUUUCUAAAUUUCUUAUAUCAAAAAUUACCGUUCAUGUGAUCGUUACCGAAAGGGGGAGAGAAAUAGAGAGAAAGAGAGAAUCUCUUGUAAAAUAUGAAAAGGGCAGAGAAAGAUAGAGAAAAUAUAACAUUAAAAAAAUGGAGCAAAAAGAAACGAGAAAACAAAGAGAGAAAGAAAACUGAGGAUUAUAUAUAUAUAUAUAUAUUUUUUUAUUGUAAUGUUAAAAGAAAAUAAAAGAAUGUGAGUAGUUAUAAGUUAGAAGAAAGAGAGUAGAAGUUGUAAGGAAUUGUUUGUCAUUUCAAGUGUAAAAAGUAUAGAGGUAGCAUAAAGUGGGUGUAUUGGUGAAUAUUUUAUGAGAAAGUGGGUGUAAAUGCUAUUUACUCUUUAUUUAAACUUAUAAUGUUAAGUUUGGCUGUGAGUGUGACACUCUACUUGUUAUAACCAAAUCCUACCAAAACCGGACCAAAGUCUUCAAUCAAAUUCAAACGUUUGGUACACUGUAUAUAAAUCCGAUUAGACCAAAAUGUUACCGGUUCAGGUUAUAACAAAACCAAACCAAACCGGUCCAGUGUUUCCUCCUCUUUGGUUCCUAAAAGUCUCCCUUUUGCGACUGCAACAUGCUCAAGAGAGCGACUGUUCCGUUGAACCCCAAAUCUAUCGAAACCCCCAAAAGCCUUAAUUUUGGAAUCUCCUCUGCAUUGAUGAGUCGGCUUCCAUGGAAGAGAGUGUGUGAAACCAAUGAGCAAUGGCACAAGCAGUGACUUCCCUUUUGUUUAGUGUUUUUGUAUUUACAUGGCAAUUCAACAAAGUUUGAAACUUUAAGUCUCUUACGACUCGAUUACAUGGCAAUUUCUUCAAAAGUCUACUCUUUUGAGUCGUCUUCUUGGCUGAUACUUUCAGAUUCUGGGUUAUAAAUCAAACCCUUGAGUUCGAAUCAGUUCAUUACCACAGAUAACUCUGUCUUCUUCAAGGUAUGCAUGUCUCUUCUUACUCGCUUUUGUGGAACAUUGAUUGGAUUCUCGACUUUGGUAACAUUUUGUUCUUUAUGUAGCAUGGCUAGUGAAGCUCAAGAGACCCCUUUACUUCAAGGGAAACCAGACGAUUAUGGAGGUGUUAAGGUGAACUUGACAGAACCAAUGACUACUGAGGAAUUUGUAGCAAAGUUGAGAGCUUCACUUGUGGUAUGGAGGAGUCAGGUAUUUUCAUUAACAGACCACUUCAGAUUUGAGCCUUAGAUUGUUUCUUCUCUAUCUAAGGGGACUCUUUAGGAAAAAGUUAUAGUCUUGUGGCAAUGAGUUUGAGACAUGGAUUUGCAGGGGAAGAAGGGAAUUUGGAUUAAGCUUGCUGAUGGCCUUGAGAAUCUUAUUGCACCUGCGAAAGCGGUAAUUAAGAUGUUAUGUUGUAAAACUAUGGUGUUUUGGAUUGAUUCUUGUGUAGUUUUGGUGAUUUGGAUCUUUUGUUUGGUGAUUUUUCAGCAAGGGUUUGUAUGUCACCAUGCUGAGAAGGAGUACACGAUGCUUACAUCUUGGCUCGACGAAGAGUCACCUAACACUCUUCCUGCCAAUGCUUCUCAUCGUAUUGGGGUUGGUGCUUUUAUCCUAAACAAGAACAGAGAGGUAACUACUUAUCCUGGCUAAUCACUUUGAACAUGAUCUAAGAAAGACUCAAUUCACUAAAAUAGGGAUUCAAGAGAAAACAUUGUUGGCAUAUUAGAUAUAAGAGCUCAUAUCAGUUAGCCUAAUCUUGCUUUGUUCUCUGGCGCUCAGUUACAUUUAUCUUUGCCAUCUUCAGGUGCUUGUGGUUCAAGAGACUAGUGGAUAUUUCAAAGAUAAAGAUGUGUGGAAGCUCCCUACAGGUGUUAUUAAAGAGGUUAGUUUUUAGGAUUGUGACACAUUUGUAUAUGUGUGUGGUAUGUAAAUCUGAUCUUUUAUUGUCCUAAAAGAAGUAAAUUAAGACCAAAAUGCUGACCAAACAAAAUAACCAAUGUUAAUGCAUGUCCAAACCAACUUUGCCUGUUUCCAUUGUUAUGUAUCUACUAGAAAAUUUCUAGAGACAUAUAGCCAUCUAAGCAUAUCAUUGAUAUUCACUUAGUAUAGAGUACUUAGUUAUCGUCGUCACAUGUUGUUGAUCCCAUUAACUAUGCUUGACAAGAUCAUUUGUGAUCUAUUAGCAAUUAAAUAGGAUCGAGUCAAUGAUUUGCUUUGUUUCUAAACAUAUCAUCAUACCUAAGCUACUUGAAAUUUCCAAAUCCAUAGGGUGAGGGUAUCGCCGAGGGAGCAAUUAGGGAAGUGGAAGAAGAAACUGGUGUAAGUAACCCUGAAUAAUAUUUUUAAGAUUUUGAGUUAUAUGUUGAUAAUGUAACCUAAGUUUGUAAUUUACUUCUGCUUCAGAUUAAGACAGAGUUUGUAGAAGUCCUAGCUUUCAGGUAACAAAAGAUCUAUUCAACCAUUAGGUAACCCACUGAACUAUAUAACCUUGACAUCAUAUAUUGUUAAUGUCUCUCUCAGGGAAGCCCACAAAGCAUUCUCUGAGUAUAGAAAGACGGAUAUAAUGUUCUUAUGUGAGUUGAAAACAAACAGUUUCGAAAUCAAGAAACAAGACUCUGAGAUCUUGGCUGCCAAGGUAAACUCUUAAUCAUAUAAUUUUGCGAUGCACCUUGAACCAACCAUGGUUUUGAGUUACGAGUCAGGUCUCUUGUUGUUGGUUUCUCUAGUGGAUGCCGAUUGAGGAAUACGUACACCAACCUUUCCACACCAAGAAAGGGAAAGAAACAUUCAUGUUAAUGGCUAAAAUCUGCUUAGAGAGGUCUGAAGUGAAGACAUUAUACGAAGGGUUCUCUUCUGUCAACUCAGUAGUUUCAGAGAAGAGGAGCCUUUACUGCAGCACCGUUCACGCCAACAGCCUCAAUAUGAGCCCUGACGACCAAGCCUUCACUUCCACCUCUACCUAAGAACAAGAUGUUGAUGUUUCUCUUUGUUUCUGCUUUUUUCCAUUUGACGUUUUAAAAUCCAUGUUUGAAUAACAUAAGAUAUAUAAUUUUUCAAUACAAAUAUUUUAAAAUUUCACUUUUAAUACACCCCUUAAGAAAAGACUCGUUCUUGAUCUUGUUCUUGUUUUGAUGUUUUGAUGAUUAGAUUGAAGAAUGGGGAAGGGAGAAUAGAAAUAAAAAUCCCAACCAAAAUUAGACAUAAUAUAUAAAAAUACUACCAAAAAAGAAAGUGGAACUUGUCGGCCACAUGCAUACGUAUUGAUUACAAAGAAACACAUUGUAUAAACUAUGAAUAACUAUUUUGAUUAACUAUGUACCUAGACCAAAGUCUUGUCUUUGAGUCGUCAUAUUGAGUUCGAAUCUAUUUAUUGGGAUAUGGAGAACCCCCAAUACUAUUCAUUACCACUAUAUAACUCAGUUUUCUUAAUCCAAGGUAUAUACAUAUGUCUCUUCUUAUUCACUUUUAACUAUAGGGACUUGAGCUUUUGUGGAACAUUGAUUUGAAUAUUGAGAGGAAGAAUAAAACAAAGGUCUCUUCUCUUGUGACCGAAGACAAGAACAGAAACUGAAAUUUUUAUUGAACUGAAACUUGUUAUUUUUACAUGAUGAUACAAUGAGUUUAAAUAGAAAACUAAUAAACACAACAACACAAAGUGUUGUGUGUUGUGUCUCUUCAUACUUGAGUCUCUUGGAUGAAACAACACAACCGUCACGACUGAAACAUUGCGACUCUUAACCAAACUCAAUUAUCAAUAAACAUUCUCGACAUUGUAACAUAUUCUUUUUUUGUCCUGCAGCAUGGAUGAUAAAGCUAAGGGAUUGAAGACAACUAUGGAGGUGUUUAUGUGAACUUGACCGAACCAAUGACUAUUGAAGAUUUUGUCCCGAAGCUAAGGGCUUCACUUGUGGAAUGGAAGAUUCAGGUACUUCACUAAACAAAUUUGAGCCUUAAGAUUGUUUCUUCUCUUUAGGAAAAAAAGUUAUUGUCUAGUGGGCAAUGAGUUGUUGAGACAUGGAUAUGUAGGAAAAGAAGGGUAUAUGGAUUAAGCUUGCUGAUGGGCUUGACAAUCUUAUUGCACCUGCCAAGACAGUAAUUAAUUAAGAUGUUAUGCCUUUUUUUUUUUGGAUUAGUUCUUGUUCACUUUUGGUGAUUUGUUGUCAGCGCAAGGUUUUGUAUGCCACCAUGCCGAGAAGGAAUACACUAUGCUUACAUCUUGGAUCUCUGAGCUACCUAAUACUCUUCCUGCCAAUGCAUCUCAUCGUAUUGUAGUUGGUGGUUAUGUCCUAAACAAGAAGACCAAAGAGGUAAAAACUAAGAACUUAUAGAGUCUCCUUUUCUUAGUCCCUUCUCUAUGAAUCAUAAUGGCUCAACAAAAGAGUCAAGUCUCAAUUAGAGCCAGUGAUUGGACUAGAGAGGUCUUUAUAUUAAGUUCUAUGUAAUGUAUAGUUCUUGUUUUUAUCUUUUAGUACCAAUGUACCAUGAUGUUUGAUUAUUUUCUGAUUAUUUUGACCUCUUGCGCGAUUAGAACAUAAUUGAACGAGAUAUUUCCCUGUGAAGGUGCUCGUGGUCCAUGAGAUUGAUGGUCCUUUCAAAGAUACUGGAGUGUGGAAACUACAUACCGGUGUUAUUGAAGAGGUGCGGUUAUGGGGAUUUUGGCACCUUGUUUUAGUGUAAUUUGAUCCUAAUUCCUCAAAGGACAUUUACAAUUACAAGAAGAGUUUAAAACAAUCUAGCUAUUAUUUGUUUGCUUAUGAUUUUACACUUACCUAUAAUAUCACAGGGUGAGAAUGUUUGGGAAGGUUCACUUAGGGAAGUGGAAGAAGUAACUGGUGUGCGUAUCUGGCUUAAAACUCCUACUAACAUGUGUCAUUUUUUCGGUUUUAUAUCGAUGUACUAGAAUCUUGAUUCGUGUUUUCUUGAGGUCUUUUGCUUCAAAUUAAGACAAAAUUUGUAGAAGUCAUAGCUUUCAGGUAACAAGAUUUCUUCAUGCCAUCUUUAUUAGCUAAUCAUGAUCGAGUUCUUGAUCGGUUUAAUCUUGACUACAUUUCUGUGAGUUAGAACCAAUCACUUUUGAAAUCAAGAAACAAGACUCUGAGAUCUUGGAUGCUAAGGUAAAAAAACCUCUUAUAUACAUAUCUUAUGAUGAAGCUGAACCAAGGAUGGUUUUAGUUGUUGAAGACCUUUUAACUCCUUUGAUCUCUUGUUUUUGGAGUUGAUCUCAGUGGAUGCCAAUUGAGGAAUAUGUAAACCAACCAUGGAACCAAAACAAAGAGUUUUUCAAGUUCUUGGCUAACAUUUGUUUAAAGAGAUCGCAAGAGAUGGAAUAUAUGGGCUUCUCUACUGUCCGCACAACGACUUCAACUGGUAGGGAAAGCUAUAUUUAUUGCAACACUGAUCAACCCAACCUUCUCAACGCAACGCGUGACCUUGCCUCCACCUCCACUCCCACCUCUCAUUGAAAAAACCUCCUCUUCAGAAUAUGUUUAUGUUUCUUUGAUUCAUGUCUCUAUUAAAAUUGUUCAAUAAAAGCAUCAUUUUAGUGUAUACAAAGACUGGAGAUUUCUCUCUUCUUACUCACAUUUUGUUUAUUUUGGAAUUGGAACCUCAACUCAUAGUUCUGAAGAUCUUGACAUGGGUUGUUCAGUUUCUUGGUAGAGUUAUCACAACCAGAUCCAUUUACUUGGACAAUGCAACAUGGACCAGUGAAACUAAACAGACCCUUUUUUACUUAGUGGGAACUAAAGACAAAACAUAUUCCUUGAAAUCAUAAUGGAAACUUCAGGUGAUGAAUAAUUGUGACAAAGGCAUAAUUCAUAAACCAAAUUAAAUUAAGAACAUACAUAUAACACAAAAACAGAGAGCACAAUGAAGUGCAAAAAAAAAAAAAAUUAUAUGAAUUUACACUCACAAGUCACUCAUGGUAAUUAUAAGAAAUCCCGCAUGGGAUAAAAAAAAGGGUGUGUAGAAAGUAUUGAAGGUAAAUGUAAUAAAUACAUCAAGCUUUGAUCUCAAACCUUGAAUACUUAAUGGAUCCGAUGGAGAUAUCGAUUUCAAUGAGGUUAUCUUCUUCGAUGAAAUCAUUGAUGAAUAGAUCAAAAAGCUUGAAAUCUUGAACUUUGUUGUUGUGGAGAUAGAUAUGGUUCUUGCUACUAGUGUAGUGGUGACCAAUGUAAUGACCACUCGGUAAAGACAGCUCUAUGAGGCUCUCAUCAUCGGGGAUUGCGUUGUCUUCAACCUCACCGUUGGUCGUUUCGAUAUUGUCCUCGGAUUUUGGUGUGAUGAUAUCUUCAUGAAUAGCAACAUAGUCUCGAUCUUGUUCUUGUUCUUGUUCUUGUUCUUGAUCUUGUUCUUGUUCUUGUUCUUGAUCUUGUUCUUGUUCUUGUUCUUGUUCUUGAACUUGUUUUGAUGCUUGGAUUGAAGGAGGAGGGAGUGAGAUUGGGAAGAAGAAUGAAGAGAAGAACAAAGCAACACAAGUAAGGAGGAGAUGUAAGAAACGAAGUCCAAGGAUGUGAAGAAGUGGAGGGGCUAGGAGAGAGAGCCAUGAGAAAGGUCUCUUCAACAAAAUUGAAGCUAAACUCAUUAAGUAGUACUCUUCUACUCUUUUCUUCUCAAGAUUCAUUUCCAAACUCUCAAAAUGAUAUUAGCUAGAUAGAUAAAACCCUAGAGUAAAAAGAAAGCAAAAACCCUAAGUGGUUUGGAUUCUUAAUCUGAAAAAGGGCUCUGUAUCUCUAUUUAGGAAUACCAUCAAAAUGGAAAGGCUAUUAAUAGUAAUACCACUUUGGGUAAUUGCAAGAUUUGAUUAUAUUAAUGUAAACUCAAAACCAGAAACCAGUCCAUUGUUUGUUUUUGGCUUCGAGAUUUGAGGAGCAACAACAGCUCCAACCUGCACUGAUCACUACUCCCAAUUUUUCCAAAAUUUCGGAGUUAUCGACUAAUUAUAUAAUUUAGUACUAUGCAUUGUAGUUGUUAUAUACCUAAAUAAAAUGCAUAUAUCUCUCCCGUUUGAUCGGUAAACUACUUAAAUCCAGAUUUAGAAAGACAUGGAUGAAAAUGAUCAAUUCAGAGAGAGAGAUAUAGGUAGAGAAGUAUGUUCAUAUUUAACAACAACCAAAAGAAAACCAUUACAUACCAACCAUGAACUGUUUUUAUUUACAAAUAAAGCAGCAGUUUAUUGUCGCCUUAAAAAUAAACCGUUGAUGAAUUUGUCUUCUUCAACCGCGGUAACUAUUUGCACAUAUAAAUUAAACUAUACUUUAGUACGAUAUCAUAGUUUUUGUAGGGAAUAGUUUUUUCCGAGUAUUUUGUUCUAUAAAAAUAAAAUAUAAGCAUGAAUAACUUUUAAUUUAAAUGUAUCUUUCAUUUCACUCUCAUAGAAAAACUGAUUUUUUUUUUUUCGUCAAAAUAUAAAUUAUAUUAAUGAAUGAAUGAAAUCAUAAUACAACUGGUCAGUUAGCCAUUGAGGCGAAUGAAACUGAUUUAUGUCCAAAAAUAUUAUAGAAAUAUUUAUGUGGACGUGUAAUUUAUCAAAUAUAAUUUUUAGAUAGGUUUAACUUUUGUAUGAAUCAUGUGAUUUUUUUGUAUAUCAUGCUAUUUAUCUAUGUCGACUUAUAAUAUCCGAAAUAUCAGAUAUAAAGUAUAAUGUUAUAUCUUUAAACUAUUCCUUAGUACAUCAAAUAUAUUUUGAUAUACAUCAAAUUAUAAGCUUACACAAAUUCUUGGAUAAAUUUCAACUUUUUAGUGGUUAUUUUGAUAAAGUUUGAAAAUGAGGUAAUUUUAAAAAGUGGCUUUCGAAAAGGGGUAUUUUUGAAAUUCCCCCAUAUAUGUAUAUAUAUAUAUAUAUAUCCCAUAAAGAUUUAAAUGAAUUUUUGAGAACCCCUUUUCAAUAAUACUCUUUUUAUCUAUCCAUUUUCAAAAAUGCAUCUGUUUAAAUAUGAAAAUUAUAAAGUUUUAUAUGGUUUAUAAGGUACUUCUAGAUAAUAACUAUUACUAGAAGAUUUGAUCCAAAUAAUAUAUAUUAUUUUAAAAGGUUUUAAAUCCUUUUUACAAGACUUAUAACGUUUUUAAAAAGGUUUAUAAGGGGUUUUAUAAGGUAUUUGUACGGUAUUUAUGAAAUUUAUAUAAAAUUUUAUACACAUGUAAAGAUAAUUUGUGUGUAUAUUUAUAAGUUUACACAUAUAUUUAGAUAAAUUUUAAUAUUUUUAGUGGCUUUGUUGAUAAAGUUUGAAAAUGAUUAUUUUUUAAAAAGUAGUAUGUGAAAAGAGGUAUUUUUAAAAUUUCCCCAAAAUUUAAACUAUAUAAAUUAAACACUUUUCUUAUAGUAGCAUGUUAAAUUUCACAUAAGACAUUUUAUAUAGCUUACAUUAUGGCUGUUUAAGUUGUUGUAUCAACUUCAAUUAAAAUUACUCUCCCUCUCUACUUAAUUAACCCAUCCAUCUAAUUAAAACAAGUACUAGAUGUGUUUAAAAUAUAUCAACCAAAUUAAAUAAAGAACCAGAAUAAUUUGAGCAUCUGAAAUUGAUUCUCUUGGAGACUUCAAAGGCCAAAACCCUUGAGCUUUGAACUUGUGUACACUGUCCAAGGCAUAGAGAGUUGGUAUGCCAUGUGCCACCAUCUGGCGUCAUCUGAUCACUUACUUUUAAACUAUAGUAUCAAAUAGAAACUUAGAUAGUAAAAUCAAAGAUAAUGUUUGUUUUUGUUUUAAACACUCCUAAACUCAUAAAAUACAAAGUGGGCUCAAGAUCGUAAUUAACCUAAUCAUCGGCUUAAGACAGUUAAGCUCUUAAGUCACCUAAUUAAUUUUCAUGGAAAGAUUAUUAUAUAGAGUAAAAGUAAAUAAUUUUACAAAGAAAAAAAAAUCACAACAUUAUGGUUUGAUGAUAUCUACUUCGAUGGUGACCAAAAAAAAAAAAAGAUAUCUACUUCGAUAAAAUUUUAUAUAAAGUCGUAUAAAAAAAGUUGUAAAAAAGUCGUAUAAACAAUAUUGUGGAACAAUUUGAAAAUUUUUUGUUUUAAAUUAGUUGUCGUUUAAAGUUUUAUGUAUAUUACUUACAAAUUUAAAUUUUCUGUUAUCUUUUGAUAAAAAGAGAAGAACAAAAAGACCUCCAUAUAUAGAAUUAUUUUUCAACUUUUCUAUAGUAACAUCAUCUAUAUGUAGUAAUAUGCACUUAUAAAAUCGAUUAUGCAUAGACAUUAAAAUAAAUCUACGGAUCAACUUACUUAAGUUGUCUAGAUUUAAAUAAAUUAAAGACUAUUGACAGCAAUUUUAUUUUAAAUAUAAAGUAGAAAAAAUCGUUUUAAAAAGUAAUAAAUUUUAUUCAAAUAGAAUAUGUAAAACACAUAACUAAAAAUAGAAAAUCGAAAGUAAAAUAAAUAAAAUAAAUAAUCCUACAAAAAAAAAGGUGCCACUUGUCGGGUAGAUGCAGACAUAUAGGAUAAGCUACAUAUUGUUUGCAAUAUAGGCUACAAAAAACCUAGAAACUAUGAAUUAAUAUUUUGAUUAACUAUACUUAUCAAACUAAUCUUUUGAUUAAUCAAAUUAACCUUUAGUUAAUUGUCUCGAAAGGAAUGUUGUUCAUCUACACGAGUAUGGCCUAAUCUUUAAUUAGAAAAUGGGGGACCAUCUCAAACCCACGAGGGCUCUCUAAUUGAUUUGAUUACACUCUAAUUUUUUUUAAUGUUAUUAUAACAUCUUUUAAAUGUGAAUAUGCACUGGCAUUCUUGGUAUAUAAUUACAUUUUAAAGUGUUUAAAAUCACCUCCAUCAAACUAAAAAAAAAACUUAAAAUAUUAUUAUUAAAUUUAACCGACCAUAGAGAUGAAGUAAGGAAAAAUUAAAAGUACACUAUCAAACUUUAAUUUAACAAAAAAAUGUUAUUAUAUAUAGUUCAAAUUUUGUUUGUCGGUUUUGUGUACAAUUCUUUUUUUUUUUUGUUGCUAAGAAUGUAAAUAUUUCAUUAAAAUGAAAAUAGUUUAGGUUUACAAUCAAAGAUUUUAAACCUACACAAAAGUUUUGUGUACAAUUACAUAUUUUUUACUUUACUAAUUACAUACCAUAGAAAAACAAAAAGAUAUAUGUAAGUUGUUUCUAUGUGUCUAGCAUUAGAAAGAUCUCCAAGGACUCUGCUAAAUUUAGAUAUUGUUUGUUACAUUAACAAUGUAAAUUCUAAGUUGUUUCUCUCAAGUGAUAAACACUACAUGAAGCCAUAUGGAUAAAAAAUUAACUAAAUCAAUUGCACCAACUUGAAUUAUCAAAUCCAUAAAAAGCAUCAAUAGAAUCUUAGAAGUUUAUUGUUUAAUUUAGGGGCAUGUCUUGCUUACGUACUUAUGUUUACAAGCUUGACUUCGCAAGUCUCUGUAUUUUUUAUCAUUUCAAGUAGAAGACAGUAUAUAAAAGCUGUAGAUAUUUAUAUAUCACAAAUAGAGUGUGUCCAAAUAAAUUAUAAAUUUCGUGAAAAAUGGGUUUGAAAAUUAUCUGUUUAUCAUCAAAAACAUUUUUAAUAAAAUAACGAAAUGGAAUUUUUAAAUGUGUAAGACAAAAAAAAAAAAAAUCAAAGACAUGUUACCAUUUUAAUUUGGUUGGUUUUUCUAUUUAAAGAUUAUGUUGCUCUAAUCAAAUUACAUACAUUUCAUGGUCCAGUUUAUAACUCUUUUAUGUAUUUAGGGUUUCCCUCCGGAUCAUUGACAUAUCCAAUAUACAACUUUGUUAGAUCAUUUCCACAAAAAGAUUUUGCUAAUUACCUUCAAAUGUCAUCGGUGUUAAGUAAUUAAUUUGGAUAUUCGGAUAUUUCGAUUCUUCAAAGCCAUUUGAUACUUUUGAAAGAACAAUUUUUGCGGACCUAUCUAGUCCUAGUUCCAUUGGUCUAAUUCAUUUGUGGGUAAUUAUGGAUUAUGUCGUCCCAAGAGAGAUUAAUGAACCCAUACAUACGUCAAUACGUCACAUACGUCAAUACGUCACAUACCCAUGAAAUCUUUUUUUUUUCAUAAUUAGAUAAGCAAAUUCUUAAUUGGGUAGCAACCUCAAUAACCUGGUUAGUUUUGUAGAUUUAGUGAUCGGACAUAUAUAUAUCUUCACUUAAUCACUUCAUUCAAACACAAGUGCCUUAAUUAGGGCAAUACUUUGUCGAAACAACCCCAAAACCAUCUAUGAUCUAUCCCAUCACUUACAUUGUCUUGUUUUGUAAUUUCAUUUUCAACUAGUCUUUGUAAUUUUCUACUUGGUGGUAUUAAUUAUUCCAAUAAACGUUGUCGAUAUCAUGUGAUUGUCUAUGUUUCUCACGUUAUUGAUCUUUAGAAAAGCCAAAGAUUUGUAGAAAAAUCUUGACGAGUGAUGACUUUGUAAAGCCAUUCAAUCACAAAAUCUUGACAAUCGAGAGCUAGUGGCUUUGCUUUGCUCUGUCUUUACGUUAGGAUCUAUUAUUUGUAAACCCAUACCUGACGGCCACGGCAUUACUAGGACACACACAAGGCCACACCCUUGUUUGAUAAUUGACAUGCAGACGUAUAAUAUCUUCUUAAAACCCUAUCAUCACUCCACGUUUUGUCGAUAAACUAUUAGAUUAUGGGUUUCCAAUCUAAUAUAUAUCAUAAGAUAUAUUAGAUUGUGAGCUUCCAACGUAAAACCAUUUUCUAUACUGGUAGGAUCCUUGUCCAGCUUCCGAUGUGUGCUAUUGUAUCUCUAAUUACGCCCCUUCGAAAUGAUAGCUCUUUUAUACAUAAAUCUCGGUAGUUUCGGGGCAAAGAUCGGUGGACCAAAAUUUUGGGUCAUAUCAAUAGUAGAUCUGGCUGAACAUACAUGGAUCGGGCUCUGAUACUAUAUUAGAUUGUGGGGUUAUAACUUAAAACCAAUUGGCAAUUAGUGGAACAAUUUAUAUAUUGUUAUGAUCCUUAUCCAGCUUUCGAUAUGGGAUAUUGUAUCCCAAAUAUAAACCAUCUUUUUCUAAAUUAGAGUUUUCUUAUGUCUUUUAAAUUGGAAACCUUAAUUAACACAUAUCUUGAUUCUUGACACACCAUUCACAUCGUUUCAUAGCCCAUUAUUAAUGAUGGCCCAAUCUAUAUCUUUCACUAAUCUUUUUUUCUUUAGAAACACGACAAUGAUUGACAUGAAACCAUAGAACAAUGACUUUUAGGAGAAAUCUGUCGAGUCAAUGGCCUUUUGUGACGUAGAAAAAAGACAUAUCCAAGUCAAUGGUCUUGUAGUUUUGGCGUUUUUAAACAUUUUUCAAAACAAAACAAAAGAGGAACCAUCCGACCAAAAAAAAUGAAAUUCAACGACUCAAGAAUUUACUUCGAAGGUAGUAUUAGCUCGAUUUGUGACCAUGUCAACUUCAAGUCGCGUUUAAAAAAAAAAACCUUUUGGCAUAAUAUGAAAAAAAAAAAAUGCUAUUUUUGAUAUCAUUUAAAAAAUAUAUAUAUAUUUCACUCUUGAAUAUAAUUUUAGAAUAUUUAAGUAGAAUUAGAAAGCUAUAAGGCGUUAAAAAAUAAAUUAGAAAGCUAUAUACCACCAUUGACCUUUUAAAUAGAUAUAUAUAUAUAUAUAUAUAUAUAUAUAUAUAUAUAUAUAUUAAUUUUCUAGUUAUUUUUUCUGCCAAUACUAAAGAAAAGUGAUCUCUCAUAUUAUUAUUCACUACAUUUUCUAAAAUAUAUAUAUUUUCUUCAUAAACGAAGCUAAGUAAUGGUUAACUUCUAGAAUUGAUAAGAAAUAAAUCAAAUAAUUUGUGUUUAUAAAAGUAAAUUGGUUUGAAUGGUUCAAAAGAGAACAUGAAUUGUUGUUAUAACAAAAAAGCAAAAAAAAAAAAAAUGGUGAAAUCAAACACAACCCCACCCACUAAUCUAUAAAAGCUUCCCCCAAACUUGUUUCUCAUUCACCAUUCUUUUUCUCAAUUCAAAGGUGAGAGACACAAAGAGAGCAAGAGAGAUCAUAUCAAAAAGAAAAAAAAAAGAUGGAAUCUCAAAAACAAGAGAGAAGCGUGAAGGAGAUGAAAAGAGUCACAAAGAUCAUAGCAUUGGCAUCAAUUUUCUCAUUUAUACUAUCUUACUGUUCUUUAAUAUCUUCUCUUCAACAAAAACUUCAGUUGCUGUCCAUGUAUACCAACCUUGUUGACAAGAAGUACAUGUUCUUGCUAUGCAAUGGGAUUGUUGGCUUUAUCCUUGGGAGUUUCCGCGGGAAUUCUGAAACAAGUCUACAUGAUAAAGCCAUUAACACCAUUGAACGAACAAGAGAAGUAAGGACCAAAGAAACAAAAGUCAAGAAAGAAACAAAAGUCGUCAAGAAAGUAGUAGUGGCACUACUUGAAGAAAAGAGUGUUGCUAAAGAAGAAGGCAGAGUUGUUUUGUUCAAAGGAGGAGAAGAAGAAGAAGAACAAGAAGUGCAAGACCUCGCUAUCGUUAGAAUAGAUGAUCAUGAUGAUGACAAUGGGAUGAGUGAUAGUUUGUUAAGUUCGGAAGAAUUGAACAAGAGAUGUGAGGAGUUCAUCAGGAAGAUGAAGGCUGAGAUUCGAGGCAAGAGAUGAAUAUAAAUCUCUUUAAGUCUUGGAUAGAUGACUUUUAAUUUCUAGAGUUUAGUUUAACUAUCUUUAGUAUUCUGUAUAAGGCAUGAGAAGUUUUUGAUUUUUUCGCUCUUUCGACGAUUCGACUCUGUAUUUUUGCUGCCCACUUCAAUUAUGUAUGUGGUCACUUUGUUUUUCUUGUAUCAUGUCUCGUGUGGAUAUGAAGCCAUGAUAUAACCAAUUCUAAUGUUAUGUAUCGGCUUCCACUAUCUAAUAGUCAUUCGAAGCUCAUGGCACAUUUGAUCUCUACAUGUUAACUCAAGAUGAAUCAACUCUGUUCUUGCUAUUGAUGAUUCAAGAUGCAAAUAAGGCUUAUCACCCCCUCAGCUUCAUUGGCAGAACCAUUUUAGAUUCAGCUUCUUACCAGCUUCCUUGAAGAGCUCUGAAGCAACAGUGACACAACUUUUUGAAUAAGUGUGAAGAAAAAUGAAAUGAUGCAACAAGAACAAGUGAACCAGCAAUAGAGAGGAUAUUGGAGAACAAAAUACAAAACAGUAAGUAUCUUGCAACAACAGUAAUGUUUUAUCACCAUACUCAGAAGUGUCAUAUGUCUCAAAUUGAAAAUACAAGCCGGAAAAACACAAGCAAAGCCUUAGAUCCUAUCGAUAUCCUCGUCCUCAAACUCAACAUAGUCAUCACCGGCAUUAUCAUCAUCUUCAUCAAGAUCACCAACAAUUCCUUCGUUGAGACGGGUGUUGUCUGGAAGCUCACCAUAAGCCUUGAGAAGCCUAGCCUCAUCAGACAUGUACUUGAGGAUAACAUCGGCUUUGUCAUCUUGGUAAUCCCUCAGACCAACAAGAACAAUAUCACCUGCCGCAAUCCAAACCUUCUUGUGCAUCUUACCACGGAUAUGGCAAAGACGUUUGGUUCCAUCGAUACACAUAGCUUCACAUCUCCCAUUACCAAGCAUACGAAGGACUUGCGCGUAUUCUUGUCCAUCUUCCUUGAAUAUAAGCUCUCUCUUCUCGUCAUCCGCUUCGUUCUUUCCUCUCUUCCUGUUCUUUCCUCCCUUUCCCUUGUUCUUCGGCAUGGUAUCUGCAUACACAGUACAGACAUAUCCUCAGUUCUAAAUUCAGUCUUUCAACAUGCAAAACAAAACUCCUAUCUCUUAUAAACCACACAAGACUCUAAAACUAAAGCCAAAGCAUAUACCAAAACAAGAACCUAAGAUUGAAUCAAACUGUUUAAAAUUGCUCAAGUUAUUGAUUCAUUACAUAUGUAUAACCAAAACUAAACCGAAACCUAAAGCUAAUUGAAGAUACCAAUCUAGGGUUUCCAAUAAAAAUCGUAACUUUGAAUCCGGAUUGAAGAAAAAUCAAAACUUUUUCAAGAAUCAUACAAUUUCUGAUAGAAACCCUAAAUAGACGGCGAUAAAGAACUUCGCCGCCGACUCAAUUAGUGAAAACCCUAAAUUUCUAAAGCUCCAGAAUCGAAAAUUACAAGUAAGAGACGAAUUGAAAUAAAAACUGAAACAGAAACGAGAAGGCUCACCACUAAGGAACGAUUCAAAAUCUGUGAUUGAGCUAGAGAAGUCUUUGUAGCGAUAGAUUCACAAAUCUGUUGAAAUUUGGGGAUCAAAAGUUUUGUAGCUUGCGGCUGCGAAAAGUUUUGUCGAAUUUUCCAGAAAUUUGGUUAUAAUAAAGGACACGUGUUUUGAUUGCCCUUGGUUUUUAGGUUUUAUUACCGAACCAUACCACUCAGUUCAAUCUGAUAUGCGGUUUGGUUUAUAUUCUUCGGUUUAAUUUUCAUUUUUUCUCAAUCGAAUAAAAAAGAAUCAUACCUAUUAUAUCCCCUAGUACAUUUUUUAUUAUAUAAAGUUUAGUUGUUAAUGUUCCUAAUUUAUAAAAUCGUGAUAUGUGUCGAAUUUAUCAAUAUGAUUUUGAUUUGUAAAAAAAAUUAUAUAAUAAUUUCUAUAUUAGUAAAAGAGAAAUACAAAAUUAAAUACGGGUAUGAUCAAAAUUAAAAAAUUAAUCCGAUUUUAACAACUUGAUACUUCAUAAUUGAAUAUAUAAUUGGGUUUUAGAUACAUAAUUUGAAUAUUUUCCAUAUCUAAUUUUAGAAUUAUAUUAUUUUCAUAACUAAUUUUAGAAUUUUCUGGUAUUUCUCUAACUAAUUUAAUAUAAUAUAUUGAAACAAUUAUUAUUCUUGUUUCACAUUUAUUUGAUCUUAUUUUUACUUUAAGAUAUUAUACUAUAUGAUUAAAAUGUUUUAUAAAAAUUUAUUUAUUUUGCAUAUGUUGUAAUUUGAAGUUUUCAAGAUGGACAUAUAAUACCCAACUACACUGGAUUAAUAUUUUGGACAAUUGUUUUAAAUAAUUAUAAUUAUGAUCAGUAUUAUAACCAAUUUUAUUUGAGCAUAUUUAAAAAUUCUUAAAAAGUUUCAAAAUAUUACAAUCAAAAGGUUCAAAUAUUAUAAUAUUGAAAUUUUUAAAGGUUCAAAUAUAUAUAAAAAUUCCAAAUUUAAAAUAUUAGAAAUAUAUUUAUGGAGAAAUAGAUGUAAUUUUGGAGACAUUAUUUUUUAUUGAUCAAAUAUAUUAUAUAUCAAACAAUGUAAAUUUUAUGUUUAGUUCACGGGUUAGUUUGUUAAACUCACAAUUAUAAUGAUAGAGCGAGUUAUGAAUAAUAUUUUUACUAAAUGAAAUCUUGUUUAUGGGUUGGUCCUUCAAAAUAUAUAUUGUAAAUAUGUAAUUUUUACGUAUAUUCCUACUUCUACUAAAAAAUGGUCAAACUAAAUAAUUUAUUGAUACAUAUUCUUUUGUGCUGUUAAAUUGUAACUGUUUUUAUUUUUCUUUAUUGUAUCAAAACACAAUAUAUUAUCAUUUACUCACUUUUUCUUUUAUUAUUUUAUUUAAAUUUAUUACACAAAUAUAUGAUUCACCGUAAUUGAUUGCAAUACAAUAAAAUUAAAAUGUAACAUAUUCUAAUCCGUUAAAAGUUAUAUAUAUACAUAUAUAUAUAUAUAUGUAAAUAUUCUUAGCGUUGUAGCGUGAGUCCGAACCUAGUAUUAUUUUAUUUUAUUUGUUCUUUUAUUUUAAUGAUUAUUAAUUUAUAGUAAAAUUACUUAUCCUUAAAAGAAAAAUUGUAAUUUACUAUCUUUUUAUUAAAGAAAAGGAAGUUAGAUGUUAAAAAGUAAUCGAUAUACAUAAAAAAGUUAUUAAAAGUAUAUAAUUAUACAAACUUUGAUGUUAUAAAAUUAGUAAUUAACGGUAUCGGGACACAUGUCAAUCGCUUGAUACACAUGUAAACCUUAUAAAUAGUCUUAAAAUUGACAUGUGUAAAAUUAACAAUUCCCAAACAUAUCACAAAAUAAUUUGGAAACCAAAUUAAAUAUUGUAUAAGAAAACUAAGAGAAUAAUAUAAGUAAAUAUUGAAUCUUCUAUUAGUGAAUGAUUUUGGUAGCGUAUUAAAUAUUAUAGUAUAUACUUACAUUGCUGAUUUAACUUUAUAUUAAACCUAAUAGUUUUUUAGAUAUCUUAUUAUAAUCAACAUAUAUUUGGAUGUAGAGACUUUGACUUUAAAAUUUUAGCUGCAGAGAAUUUGGUUGUUGAUGCUUUAGUUGUAGAAAAUUUUACAGUUAAAAUCUGACUGGUAAUGCGCCACUUUUAAAGAUGUGGCUGUUAAUUUUAUUAUUAUUAUUAAUUUAUAUUAAUAAUAAAUAUAAAUUAUGUUAGAAAUGAAUUUAUAUAUCAAUUUAAUGACUAAUCUUUUUAUUAAUGAUAAAAAUAUUUUUGAAAAUUAAAUAAAUCAUACUAUAAGGUUUAGAAAUAACUGAAGUUGUAGACAUCAGUUUAUUUAGUUAUUAUGAUUUAAAAUAAUGGAAAAAUAUAAAAACUAUCGACGACUAGCCUUAUAGCGUUAGCAAUCUCAUCACAGACACCUUCUUUGUAUUUCUCGAACUAACAUCUUCUUCUGUUACAUUUGGAAGUUCCUCCUCAUUUGGAGAACCUUCUUCUUCUAAGUCAUCAAAAUUGGGAUCUUCAAUAUGUGAGUUACGAAUAAAAUUAUGGAGGGCCAUUGUCACCACAACAAUUUUUCUCAUCGUUGCGAGAUUAUAUUUCGCGUCAUCUCUCAUGACUCGCCAUUUUCCUUUCCAUACUCCAAAUGGUGUUUUAAACCUUUUUGAAUGUAAGCAGUCAAAAAUCUAUUAAAAUUGGGAUCUUCAAUAUGUGAAUUACGAAGGGCCAUUGUCGCCACAAAAAUUUUUCUCAUCGUUGCGAGAUUAUAUUUCGCGUCAUCUUUAAUGACUCGCCAUUUUCCUUUCGAUACUCCAAAUGGUAUUUUAAACUUUUUUGAAUGUUUUUUUAUAAGCAGUCACAAAUCUAUUAAAAUUAAUUAAUGCAUUGUUUUGAAUGUUACUCCCUAUAUAAACAUAUAAACAUAAAUUUCAUAACUCUUUUACAUCAUCAUUAUUAGUGAUGAUGAAAAUAAAACUGAUUAUUAUUGAAAUGGAUCUUAAAAGAACAAGAAAAAAAUGAGAAUAAUUAAUUUAUAAAAAUAACAUAAAUUUCAUAACUCUUUUACGUUAUCAUUAUUAGUGAUGAUGAAAAUAAAAAUGAUUAUUAUCGAAAUGGAUCUUAAAAGAAGAAGAAAAAAUGAGAAUAAUUAAUUUAUAAAAAUAAAAUAUAUUUAUAAACUUAUGGAAAUAUUUUAAAUGUAAAUGGGAUGUGAAAAAAUAAAUAUUUUUUAAUUGUUUAGAAGGGAAAAAAAUAAGUGACUUUCAAUGCUUUUAAAAAAAUAAAAGCAAAAAAGUUUGAUAGUAAUUGUUGUAAAGGCUUUAAAUAUUUUUUUUAAACAGGUCUCCAGAAGAGCACCGAUUACGGAGAAGAUCACCCCAAUGCCCCGUAGACUUCAAUGUUCAUUUGAGAGAUAACAAGGAGAAAAAGAAGAAUUGGAGAAAGGCAACCACUAGCCACCAGUCUGCACUCGUCGAUAGCUGUCUCCAAUAAGUUAUAGUUGUUUUUUUGGUGGAUAUGUCGAGAAGUUGUUCAAAACUACUUAUCAAAAUUUAUCUCUAGUAGUUCCUCAUAUUAACAUAAAUGAAUAUAGAAAAUAUAAAUGCUUUACUGACAUGGCAUAUUUGACGUAAAAAAUUUCGUGAGUAUAGGCCAAAAUCAUCAUAUUAUAUUUGUAGUACAAUAUAUAAAUAUUUUUGAAUAAAAUAUGUAAACCGAGAGCAAAUCUGGUUAUCAUGAUAUAAAAAUGAGGCAAUUGGAUCUUUCAUAUACAAAUUUUGUACAUUCUACUUUUUGAUUUGGAAUAGAUCAAAUUUGGAAAAUUUUAUCCAUCGAUAAUAAGAGAAAUGGUUGUGUGAUAACCAAACAUUGUCUCUUUUUAAUAAUCAUCUACUAAUAUAUUUUAUUGAUAUUUGUUUUCUUGUCUAUAAUUCAAUAUACUUCUUUUUGUGAUCAAAUUUUACUGAACUUGUUUUUAAUUCGAAAGAUUUACAUCCCCGGUCUUUUUGAUGAAUGAAUAGAUGAUACACAUUUGCCAUCUAACUUUUUUAAGAAAUAUUUAAUUACUUUCUCUUAUAACAAUAAAAUCUUAGUUUCGUAGGAGGCUUUGUAUGGAUGAUAAAACUAAGACUUUAGUCCAAUAUUGGGAGGAAGAACUUCAAGAAGAAGGUAGGCAAGUUUGGGAAAGCAAAGAAGAAGAGCAAAAUGAUGAAACAGAAGGUUGGUUGGCUUGAAACAGAAGGUGGAUGAAGAGUCAGUAUGAGUCAUUAAGAGUCAGUAUAAGUCAGUAUGUGAUAUGAGUAUGGCCGAACAAGACCCGGAGCACGUAGUGGAGGAAGCCGUUGACGAGGAGCAGCACGAAGAUGACGAGGAGACACACGAAGACGAGGAGCAUCACGUGGACGAGGAGCAGCUCGAACGGAGGAAGCAUUAAUCAUUCCGGCGGGUCCUCUAACACGAUCAAGGCUCAAGAAAUCAGUGACCUUCUUUGGGAGUUAAACAAAAAGGAAGAAAUCCUGGCUAAAAUCUCUCUCAUAAUGGUUUUGGCUCAAGAGGUUCGGUAAAAGGUUAAGUGUUGCUUAUGCACUCUUUUUCCCUUGUCAAGUUUUGUCCCAAGGGUUUUUCUUGACAAGGUUUUUAAUGAGGCCUAAGUAACCCUUUCAAAGCCUUUUAUCAAACCAAUUUCGUUGGUCCAAGGUCCAACACUUUGCCUUAGUCCAUUUUCUAUCUUUUCUCUACAUUCUUGCAUCUAAAGUUUUUGUAAUUUCCAAGACAUUGUGCAUGAUUUUGCAUGAGUGUGGGCUUGUGCAUAUUCUUCUUCUCUUCCUCUUCUCCUUCAUUCUCCUCUCCUAUAUAAUCCCGUUGUAGUUUUUAUUUCUAACUCAUCUAUCUUUUUAUCAAAAACUCUUUUAAGUUAAAUCACUCUCUUGUCCUUUUUCUUUGGUUUGUAAUAUUCAUAUAUAGUCCAUAAUUUUAAAACACAUAAGAAAUCUAAUAUACCCGAGAGUAUACAACACAUUAGAGAAUGAAACUCGUUAUAAAAUCUAAUUUGCUUUUUUUAAAACAACAUAGUGCAAUUUUGUUACAACAUACCAAUUGAGAUUUCUUUCGAUUCAUGAGUAUCAUUCAAGAUAUUCCAAAAAGAAACCCACUUGAGUAAACACAUGUCAUGUAUGGUGAAGGAUGGCACCAUGCAUGGUGGUUUUGUGACUGAAUUUGAUAAACAAAGGACUGGAAGUAUUCCUUACUGAUUCCGGAUUGAGCCAACUAUCAUCAACCACAUCGUCAAUAAAAAUCUCUUAAAUAGAAAGGAUGUGGAAUUGGAGCUUCCAUUCUUGUUCCCUUAAACAUGUAACCAAAAAAGAUUAUUGGGCGUUUUUCUAAAAAGAAACAACAUGUAAGUUCAAUUUUGAGUAAACAAAGAUUCUUUGAUAUGAGAAGGAGCAAGUGGGCUAGUGGUUCUCAUCUCUGUUUGCCUUCUCACCAGAUCCGGGUUCGAGCCCGGUCCCUCUCAAAGAGAGAUUUAUUAUUUGUAAUGAUGUCAAAAAAAAAAAGAUUAUUUGAUCUUGAAUUUUUAAUUGUUGAAUAUAAACUUUUUUGAACAUAUAUCAAAUUAUAUUAAUUUACUAUACUUUUUUACAACCCCAAUAUAAGAUAUAUCAAAUCAAAUUGAUUUGAAUAGUUUGAAAAGUAAAUAACAGCAUAAUAGAAAAAAAUGAAUGUAAAAAUAAUAAAAAAAAAAAAGUUACAGAAAAUCUAGUUUUUGGUAUAUAUCCAAUCCAAUGCACUUUUGACAAUAAAACUUUGGUAUGGUAAUCAAUUAUUGAGUUAUGUUACAAACCGGACCGGUUCAAUUUCCAGCUCACUCAAUUUCAGUAACACCCAAAAAAAAACAAAAAAGGUCCGUUCUUUACAUUUCCUAUCUUUUCAUGUCUCAACUCUCACACUCGCGUGGCUAAGUGAAGAAGACGAAGACACGAAACCCCAAAAACCUCUGUAAAACCCUUAACCCAAAAAUGCAGCUUUCUUCAUUACCAAUCUCACCAUCCAAAAUCUUCCCUUUCAUCACCAAACACCACGGCCCUCCUCCAUUGAUUACACACCAGCUCGCCGCUCAGAUACAGAGCCACCGUGGAAGUUUCGUGAGUCCGGUCAAAGUCUCUGGCUAUUUCUCAUCUAUUAGCAGAGCAAUCGAGGAGGAAGAAGAGUAUCGGAAAGCACGCGCCGCAGUGAACCGUAAAGGUGUUGAAUUGGAGAGUUAUGCGAUUGAGGGCAUAUCUGUAGGUGGGCAUGAGACUUGUGUCAUCGUCCCUGAGCUUAAGUGUGUGUUUGAUAUUGGGAGGUGCCCUUCUCGUGCUAUUCAGCAGAAGUUUCUUUUCAUCACUCAUGCUCAUCUUGAUCAUAUUGUGAGUUUGUUUCAAGAUUGAGUCUUUAAGUUCUGUGAUUGUUGAAUGGAUUAGGAUUAGCUUUUCUUGAACCCUUUCUUUAGAUAUCGUUUAAAGUUUCGGCCUUUUGUUUGAAUUAUGUGUUUUUGGAUGAAUUUAUGAUACAGUUUGGUUCAAAAUUGAGUCUUUGUUCAGUGAUUUGAAUGGAUAAGGCUUAGCUUUUCUUGAACCCUUUCUUUAGAUUUCGUUUAAAGUUUCGGUUUUUUGAUUGAAUUAUGUGUGUUUUGGAUGAAUGGAUGAUACAGUUUGGUUCAAAAUUGAGUCUUUGUUCAGUGAUUUGAAUGGAUAAGGCUUAGCUUUUCUUAAACCCUUUCUUUAGAUUUCGUUUAAAGUUUCGGUUUUUUUAUUGAAUUAUGUGUGUUUUGGAUGAAGACGAUACAAGUUUGUUCAAAAUUGAGUCUUUGUUCAGUGAUUUGAAUGGAUAAUGAUUAGUUCUUUUGGUUUUGAUGUUUCUGCUUUGUGAUUGAAUUAUGUAUGAAUCUUGAAGCUAAUGUUAGUGUUUCCUUCAGGGAGGGCUUCCGAUGUAUGUAGCGAGCCGUGGUUUAUACAAUCUUGAGCCACCGAAAAUAUUCGUGCCACCAUCUAUAAAAGAAGAUGUUGAGAAACUUCUUGAGAUUCACAGGACUAUGGGUCAAGUAGAGUUAAAUGUAGAUAUUAUUCCACUUGAUGUAGGUAUGAAUAUAGCGAAAACUCUUGGCUAGUUUUAUCUGUUAUAGUUAAAAGACCAAUCUUGUUUAGGUAGCAAAUCUUGAGCUCUAUGUUGGUGGCAGGUGAAACUUAUGAGUUGCGCAAUGACAUUGUUGUUAGACCAUUUGCAACUCACCACGUCAUACCGAGCCAGGUAUUAUAUGUCGUGAAUUGGGGUCAUGAGAGUGUCUUGUUUUUUCACUGAUCUUUGAGUUCUGGAUUAUGGCAUCUCUCAGGGUUAUGUGAUCUACUCAGUCAGGAAGAAAUUGCAGAAGCAAUAUUCUCAUCUUAAAGGCAAACAGAUAGAAAAGAUUAAAAAAUCUGGUGUAGAGGUAUGUUUGCUUAUAUAAGCCAUAUUGCCAAGUUAUGUGAAAGGGAAAUGUUAUAUGUUGAGGUUUGAUAAAACAUAAUAUUGAACUUAAUUACAGAUUACAGACACUAUAUUAUCUCCCGAGAUAGCCUUCACUGGAGAUACAACCGCAGAGUAUAUGCUUGACCCUCGUAACGCUGAUGCGUUGAGGGCAAAAGUUCUUAUAACCGAGGUACUUAUUUGAAUCCUAUUGGCGGUACUGUAUAUCAUUCUAAAACUUGACUGGAUUAUAUUAUAGUUUCUGACCUUAAACUAUCUGGCAGGCAACUUUCUUGGAUGAAAGUUUUAGCAAUGAGCAUGCUCAGGAACUUGGUCAUACUCAUAUAUCUCAGGUAUGAUCCUAUUUAUGUUCAACCACUCGUAGAACUAACUACACUGUAAAUGAAAAUUUCUGUAAACAAAUUGCAGAUUAUUGAGAACGCAAAAUGGAUUCGGAGCAAAACUGUAUUACUGACGCAUUUUUCAUCACGUUACAAUGUAGAGGUGAAAGUCUUAAUUUGACUUUAUGUUCUUAGUAAAACUUUUAGUCCCUUAUCAUCAUCUUAUUCUUGUGGUUGCAAUGGCAGGAAAUUCGCGAAGCUGUGCUUAAGUUGCAAUCAAAAGUAUCCGCAAAAGUCAUUCCUCUUACAGAAGGUUUCAGGUCAAGAUAUUCUUAAUAGAGCUUGAAGGUUAUUGCAAGCAAAAGUAGGGAUUUGAAACUUCUUUGUCUGUAAUUUCAUAGGGAACUCGCUAAAGUAAGUUAACAUGAAGUGAAAUGAAAAAAAAAAAAAAAAGAAGUUAUUUUGCCUGAGGGAAUAAAUCUUAUAUGUAGCCAAAGUUGUUUGCACAACUUUUCGAUAGAGGCAAAGACCAAAGAUGCAAUAACAGUAUAACAUAAAAGUCUAAGGAAGUCAUCAAAUACAUACAUGAAAACAAGUUUAAAGAAACCCAAGAACAAGACACAGAAUGGAGAUAUCAGUCAUCAAGGUUGCCUUGCGCAUACUUGUAUUCGGGAAAGUACACAGCCGUCAGUUGGAUACCUCCAUAUUCUUUCAUCCAGAAUGGAUAUAUCAGUCAUCAAGGCCGGUGUUAGACGACCAGGAUGAUUUGGAUUGGGUCGCAGGGUCAAAACCUUCAGCAAGUUACCAAAUUUUAGACAUGUCUGUGUUAGAUUCUCCAUUACUACUUUGUAAUCUUCAUCGUGUUCGAGAUCAUCUUCUACAUCAAUCGCAUCACUCAAGCAGAUGAUCCUGGUGCGGUUAUCGCAUGGUUUGAGCAUAUGCAUCUGUUUUUCCGGACCCUCAAGCCCAACACUAGUAGACCCUGGAGACAAAUUGAGACUAUGGUUAGACUGGCUUGCUUCUUCUACAAGAACUCCUUGUGACAUUACCUUCCCAGUAGCCUUCUUCUGCCCCUCGUCGAUUAGGUAAGUUUUCCAAUUGCGGCGGUGCUCAUGUCGGAGAUCGUGGGGUGAAAAUCCAAGGAAGGUGAAGAAGCUCUGGACAAGAAUAAUAGUUUUGCUCAAGGAGACUCUCUCUAUAUAAAAUGCCAAAACCAAUCCUUAUUCGUUUGGUUAUACCAACACAUAGGAUUUGAUACAUAUCUGUAAUUUCAUAGGGAAUUUGCUAAUGUAAGUACAGGGUGAAAUGAAAAAGAAAGUUAUCUAUGCAACCAAAGAAAGAUCAGUUCAAAAAUCUUGAUAUCACAACUUUAGAUAGAGGAAAAGAGCAAAGAUGCAUUAGUUCCUCCAAAGCCAAACGAAUUCGAGACUGCUGUCCUAACGAGCAUCUCUCUCGAAGUAUUUAAAGGCGUGAAAUUAUGGUCGAAGAUGGGAUCUGGAUUCUUGACAUUCAGAGUCAGAGGAGCAACCCCCUACAAAGUUUUUGCAGGUUCUAUUUAGGUUACAAGAAAUUCAAUCAUCAGACAAGAACGAAACUAAGAAAUGAGAACGCUUACGUGAUGUAUAGCAAGGAUAGUGAAAAUAGCUUCCACUGCUCCAGCUGCUCCAAGAAGAUGACCAGUAGCCCCCUUCGAUCAAAAGAAGUAGAAUUCGUUUAUUGACAAGAGUUUGAGGCAAGUUUAAGCAAGUCCUGUCUCUUAAUUAUUUGCAGCACAUAGUUACUACUUACGACUCUCUGGUAACAUCAACUGACUAAGAAAAAGCACGCAUUUUUACCUUGGUGGAGGAGAAUGCCAAGGUGCCUGAAGUAGCAUGUUCCGAGAAUACAGUCUUGAUAGCUCUUGCUUCCACGGCAUCGCCUAGAAAUUGUAUAUGAUAACAGAAUCAUGAAUUCAGUUUUUGUAAAACCAAAGCCAACCAAAAAUUUCAAUCUUUUUACCUAUUGGGGUUGAUGUUGCAUGUGCGUUUAUGUAAUCAACUUGGUUUGGACACAGAACAGACUGCAAAGUCAUGGGCAUUCAACCAAAUCAUUAGAAUCCAAACUGCUAAAAAGCAAAAACAUAAAAUCAUCAACAGAAACCAUUCUAGGAGUACCAUAGCAACAACUAUGCAGUUAAUCACAGCUUACUUGUCUUAACGCACGUGUCAUUGCCAAAACAGCCCCCUUUCCAUCUUCAGGAGGUUGAGUAAUAUGGUGUGCAUCGCCUAAAUAUCAAGAAACUCACUCUUAGGUAAUUCAAAAUGACUUUUACUGGAGUAUUAUUUAUCUAUGAGUGCACAAUUUGUUUUAUUGUUAUCUAUGAGUAUAACCUGACAUCCCAUAUCCACGAAGCUCAGCAUAAAUUUUUGCUCCACGUCUUUUUGCAUGCUCAUAUUCCUUUGUUAUAACAAAAAACAAAAAACAUUCUUAGAUUAAGACCAAAAAACAGUAGGAGAUGACUUUCCAAGACUCCAGCGUUAAGGUAAAGGACAUAAAUCUCACCUCCAAUACUAUAACCCCUGAACCUUCCCCUAUCCUGCAACCAAAUCAAUAGGGAUGGAAUCAACAUCACCAAAAGAGAUUUUUUUAUAUUAACAAUGAAGAAUGUGACUCACACAAAACCAUCCCGGUCACAAUCAAAAGGUCGUGAAGCUUCUUGCGGCGAAGAAUUGAACUUAGUUGACAAAGCUCUUGAUCUAGACCAAAAAAAAAAAAUCUCUAUGCUUGUUAUAUCUGUCUAGAAUUAUAUAUAUGAAUUCUAUUGCUACAGAAUCAUUUUAGGUAUGAAAGCAUUAACAAGGGUAUUACUAAUGAGCUGAACUGGGAGCCUGUUUACACAUGAGAAAUUAAUGAUAUAGGACUUCUGUCUCCCAAAAGAAACACUUUUAUAUGAAAGCACAUGAAGCGUGUGAGAACAAGCAUCAGUUACCUAGAGAAUCCAGCAACAGACAGAGCAUCAAUGCUGGACUCAGUUCCACCUGCCACCAUAACAUCUGCAUCUCCAAAUUGAAUCAUCCUAGUGGCAUCACCUAUAGAGUGUGCACCAGUUGCGCAAGCUGUCACAGCAGCAUGGUUGGGCCCCUAUAUUCCAAAGCAUGACAGUGCUAAGCAAACAGUUUUCUACUUAAGAAUGUCAGAGGACUACUCUAGACAUGUUAUAGACUAGAAAAGUAUGUGUAAAUCCAUAUCACCCCAAUAUCACAAAUGAUACGUAAAGGAAGAGUUCCGAAAUUAAAACUCCUUUUACCAAACUGUAAGCCAACCACCAUUGAAUAGUUCAAGAUGUUGAUACAAUUUUGCAUAAAAGAAAAUUGAAAAUUUCAACAUACCUGGAAUCCAUACUUCAUGCUCACAUGACCAGAUGCCAUGUUUACUAAUAUUUUUGGGAUGAAAAAUGGACUAAGCCGCCGCAGUCUCUGCAUCACUAUAAUUUGUCAAGUCUUACAAGCAACUAAGAUGCACAAAUAGUCAAGGAAACAAUAACACACCAUCCUUAAAAUAUGUUAUUCCUAAGAAAAUGAUGUAGAGACAACAACAAUGUCAAACCUUUUCACAAAUCAGCUGCGCUGCCUCCACAAUGUCACUUAUACUUCCAAUUCCACCACCAAUUGAGACUCCCUGGUAUUCCCAAAAUUUCCAAAAUUAGAGAAAACAAACUAUAAAGCAGAAUCCCUCAUCAUUUAUAAAACAUAAGAAAAAUACUUAACAGUUCUUUCUUUAUCUUCCUCUUCAGUUGGUAACCACUCUGCAUCCCUCAAGGCUUCAUCAGCAGCACAUAACGCAUAUCCGAUAAAAUUCGCAACUGCCUCCAAGAUUCAAAAAGAACAAUAACAGAACCUUAACUUAAUCCAUAUCUAAAACAAACAAUAUCAAGCUUCCACUAGAAUGAAUGAUGCUUCUAACCAAAUUCACAACAGCAUAAUAUUUGACUGUGUUCCUAGUAACUGUGUCCUAGCCAAAAGGGAUUGAGCUUUGUAAGAUACCUUGGAGUUUAGCCAAAGGGCUUGAUCAAAUUCACCUGGGUUUGAUCCAUAAGGCACAAAGGCAGCAACUUUAGAAGGGAGCUGAUCAAAAGUAUAUAACUUUGUCUCUUCAUCAAAAGUCUUCAUCUUGAGAUCAUCAAGAGUCAAUCCUCUAAUCCCACAUUCUCCACCAAUUAAACGCUUCCAUGUUGUUUCAACGCCUCGGCCAAGUGGAGUCACCAUGCCUAGACCUACAGUCACAGUGUCUCACAUCAGAGAAAUUACAGAGAUAAGCAUAUGUAAAGACAUGGAAAUGGAGAAGGAACAAGACCAGUGACAACAACACGGCGAUGUGAAGAAGAAGAAGAUGAAGAAGUAGAGAUGAAGCGUUUCAAGCGGAUGCGACUUGAGCUUGAGCUUGAGCUCAAGUGUCUACGGAGAUAAGAGGUCGCCAUUUCACAGCGACCGCGACGGAGACGACGGCGAAAGAGAGAGGAAGAGUUUUCUGAAUCAUCAUCGGUCAGGGAUAAAAUGGUUUUGUUUGUUUUGUUAACCGAUGGUUUAGUAAAUCCAUCGGUUAAACCGGAAAUCAAUUGGAAAUUCGUUCAAAAGACUCGUUAACCAGACUGAUUAAAUCAUCAAACCGAGUACUGUACUAAAGUAGUGAAGCUCCUCCUCAAGUCAAACGAGCUGACAGCUUUAAAUAAUUUUCCAAUUUCUUCAUUGGUAUGGCCUAAGGUUUAAUCAUAAUUUUUUUUUUCAUUUAAAAUUUAUUAUAAUUAGAAAAUUUAGUUUUGUAAACGCAACGUUUUCGACCGCUGAAUCAAAUUGACGUUUAAAAUUGCUAACUGCAGAAUAUAAUGAUCGAUAUAGCGUUAAUCUAUAAUAACGAAAUGAACAACAACACAUGUGACAGUGACAGAUCCAUAAACAUACAAAAACGGUUUUUGUUUUUUUGUCUAUCAAUAUAAGUAAAUUAACUAGUUUAACUAACUAAAUUAAUAAAGAUUUGCCAUAAAAGUUCUUGUCAAUCAACUAGAUAAAUUUAUGUGGUAACAAAUUUUACAAUGUAACUAAACAAUUACUAUGUAAUUUCUUCGCAAUAUUUUCAGAUGAGUAACGUGAUAAAUCAUACUAUAUUUAACUCUAUAACUUUUUUUUGACUGAUUAAAGCCAAUGAGAAGGUCUCAAGCAGAUUUGUGUAAAAACGUACGGAUAGAAACGAACUUUGCGCGCCAAAUUUAACUCUAUAACUAUAAAUUACAAAUAAUAAUAUUUUCAAGAAACUAUUUUAUUAAAAAAUAUAAUUAACUUUAUUAGUUUUAACUUUUUCCCCUAUUUGUUGUCAAAAUUACCUUUUAACAAACCUAAUCAAAGAGUAAUGAAAUAGGCGUUAAAAACACAAAAUAUUUUGCAAUUUAACAAAAAGAUAAAAUUCAUAAAAGGAAAAAAGUCAUUGAAUAAAAAGAAAAAGAUAAAAUUUCUUUUUUCUUUUUUUUGGUAAAAUCAAGAAAAAGUGAGUAAAACGGGCAAUAAAUGUUAAGAUAACAAAUUUUGACUGAGUUAAUUUUUUACAGAACUAAAGAAACACAAGACACAAAAGUGUUUUGGAAAGAGAUUUACACCAAUCUCACUCCACGUGGCACUUAUCUAUCCCAAUCUUAUUAUUAUAAAUUUAAUAUUAAUCCCGUCGAAAUUUUUUAUUUUUUUUAUUAUUCUCUCUUCUUCUCUCUCUCUCAAAAACACAAAACUCUCAAAGUCCUCCUCCUUCUCGAUUCUUCAAUUCAAAAAAAUUUCCAAUCUUUCUCCAAACCCUAAUUCUCUGUAUCUUUCUCUGAUCAGAAAUCGGAUCUAGGUCUUUUCUUAUUUUUUAAGAGAAUUUUUAAGAGAUUAUGAGGAAGAGAGAGAGAGAGAACCCUUGUUCGAUUUGUGGGCAUUACCAUAAGUACGAGGAAGGUGAAGUUUGUGGUAUAUGUGGUCACUGUAUGCCUGUUUCUUCCGACACAGCUUCGGUUCCUCAACAAGCUGUCCACAUCAGUGCUUUUGCCUCUGAGAUCCUCCCCGAGUUUCUUUACCUCGGUAGCUACGACAACGCUUCUCGCUCUGAGCUUCUCAAGACUCAAGGGAUCUCUCGUGUUCUUAAUGUGAGUUUUUACCAAGAAUUGGUUUUGGUUUGGAUUCUUGAAUUGGUUUUUGUUUGACCCUUAAGCAAAAGAUACGAUCUUUCGAUAGUUCUUGAAGUUAUUGAAUUGGAUUAGGAUUUGCUUAUACUUUUGUUCACUUAUGGUUUCUGUUAAAGUUCCUGAUAUAGUAAUUGAGAGGGAUGUGUUUAUUUUUGGUAUUGACUCUGUUUUUUGUUUCUCUGUUUCAGACGGUACCUACGUGCCAGAAUCUAUACAGGAACUCAUUCACUUAUCAGGGUCUUGAUAAUGAAAAAGUUUUACAGUUUGAUGAUGCUAUCAAUUUCUUAGGUUUGAUGAAUCUAAUCUCAAAUCUCAAAAAAAAAAAAAAAUCCUAGUUUUAUUAACAGUUGAUUUGAUCUCUUUUUGUUUGUCUCUUACCCUUCUGUUUGAUUUGUACUGUGUAGAUCAAUGUGAGAAGGACAAGGCACGUGUUCUUGUGCACUGUAUGUCUGGGAAAAGUAGGUGAGUACAUUUAUCAUUCCUCUUACUGUUAUCUAAAAUUGCGGCUGCUUUCUUAAGAUUUGCCAUGAAUGACUUCAAGACUGAUCAGGACAUUUUCUUGCUUUCUUGUUUUAGAGAUUUAUAAUCUUUGUUGAGCAUGUCUUAGUGUUAAUCACUCUUGUGUUUUGACAGAUCACCAGCGUUUGUUAUAGCGUACUUGAUGAAACGUAAAGGGUGGAGACUUGCUGAGAGUCAUCAGUGGGUUAAACAAAGGAGACCCACCACUGACAUAAGUCCAGGCAAGUACUUACUCUGUAGGAUUAGAAACUUAUAUCCUUCUUGAAAGGAAACUGUUGCUCAUUGCUUUUUUCUUUCUGUACAGAGUUCUACCAACAACUGCAGGAGUUUGAGCAGUCGAUUUUCGGAUCAGGGAUGAUGUCGGCAAUGAAUAUUAACGAUGCUCCAACAUUCGGGUUUGGUUUCCCUAAGAUUGAUAAUCAAGCACAAGCACCUGUGUUCAAUAGCGCUCCUGCUUCUUCGAUAUUUUCAUCACCUGCAUCAAGUAUCCCUCCUCAGGAUUUCACUUUUGGAGCAACUCCACCAAAGCCAACAACAGGCGGUGAUAUUACCAUGGAUGGCUCUUAGAACCAAAUCAUCAAUACUCUGCAAAAAUAUUCACCAACAAACAUAAUGUUGUCAGAAUGUUUCUUUUUCUUUUUUCUUUUUCUUUUUUGUACAUGGAGAUUGGUGCAUUGCUUGAGAGAGUUUGGAGUUUGAGAGAUACAUGAGAUGAAUCUUUGAUCUUUGUUGCUUUGGUGUUUUGCAUCUUAUCUCUCUAUGUUUCAGGAAACAUCCUUGUCUCCUUUAACAUCUUAGCUUAGUAAAAGAAACAUUCCUUACUUGAUGAGUUGCUGUCAUGGUUAUACUCACGUUAAUUCUGAAACACAUUCCAACCUUAGACUAAAGCAAUAAUAGUGAUAACAGAGCUGGCAGGACUAAGCGUACUCUAGUAUUAAACAAGGGAGGGCCUUGUGAGUUAUGACAAUGUAUGACCCAAAAAGUUAUGCAAGCAAUAAAUAUGCUUCAUGAGAGAUUUCAACGCUUGGUAUCAUAACUAAGAAUAGUGGAAGCUGCUAGCAAGCUUGGUGUAUAUCGAUGAGAUUCCAAAUCAUCGCAAUGAAUUAUGUUACUCAAUUUGCUUUCUGGCGGAUGCAAGAGCCGUAUCAACUUUUCGGAAGCAACAACUUGUUUUUCUCUCAUCUUUUCAUCCAAGAGCAGUUUCCUACAAAUUUCAGACAACAUCUCACAUCAUCAUCAUGCUCAGUUCUUGAUAGCUGGAUAACAUAAUAUGAGUUAAUGUGGACGAAAAGAAAUAAAUAUACUCUAGUGUGACGGCGAGAUUUGAAGGGUUGCAGGCUUUAAACAAAGCUUCAGGAAUGAUUGGUGAGUCUAGGAGAAUGUUUGGGAGAGAAAUAUAAGGUAUGUUGGCUUUGUAACGGAUUAUUAACUCUGUCAAAAAAUGUGCCCGGUAAGCGACAAGGGAAGGCAGACGAGCGAGCUGCAACUCAACAGCAACUGUCCCUGAAGUGCAUAACGCAGCCUGACUUGCCUGUUAUUAUAGAACACUGUUCAAUGAGAGAAGGAAAUAGAAAAUACACCAAGAGAGUAAGAGAAAGAGUGUUUGGAGACUUACACCAAAGGCAUCAUAUUUCAGCUGAGUGGAUCCACUCGGGACUACUAUUGCUGGAACUGGCCACUCAUGAAGGGAUUCUCCAAUGUAAUGAUCAACUUGACUAUUGGGAGCGACGUGGAUGAGCGUCACUAGUUUUGGAAACGGGUCUUUGAGUAGCUUCAUUGCUUUGGAAAAUAUUGGUAGCAUUCUUUCAACUUCUUGUAAUCUGCUCCCAGGUAGCACCGAAAUGACUGUGGAGUCUUUUUCAUGAAACGUUAUGCAAUGCAGCAAGAGAACAAUGACAAGUCAACAAAAGUAUAUAUACAACCUGUAAAAAAGGUCAAUCAUUUAGAUAAACAUCACAUUACCAAAAGGAAGUGAGUAUUUGCUUAAACUCAAGCCUUCAAGCUUCAAUUCUUCUGGCUUGAACGUCCUCGCCUGCAACAGCAUAAAGAACCAUGGCAUUAAGAAAUCUGAGAGAGCACCAUAGAAACUGAAGUAAUCUAAUCCAAAAAGAAGAAGAAAAUGCAUACAAGAUAAAACUCAGAAGCAUCCUCAAGAACAGGAUGUCCAACAAAGGUUGCUUCGACCCCAUGUUCCCUACAAACGCUCUCCUCAUUUGGAAGAAUGCAGAAGAGAUGAUCAACAAAUUCAGAGAGACCUCCAAGUCUUGACUCUCCUCCUUUCCAAGCCCAAAACGACGGUGCAACAUAGUGAAAAUGUACCGGACAAUUUUCCAAGCGCUGCUGAUUGUAUCUAGCUGCAAAGCCAAAAACCAUUCCUCCAUUGUCCUACAUGAUAUAUGUGAAUCUAUUCAGGAAACUAUUUGCUCUGUAAACCCAUUUAUUAGGUUCCCAUUUCUUUUCUACACCACAGGAAAUAGUGAAAGACAUAAUCCUCCUAGAGAUUAAAGUCAGAUUAAGUAUAAAAAAGUUCCUACUAUGGAAGAAGUAGCCAUAAAUACUUGUACAAUUCAACAAAUCUUGCUUUAGAUGAUGAGUGACACAUUUAAUAGUCUAUAGUUACUAAAUCUCAACUAUUCCUAGGCAAUGCUCAAAAAUUUAGUGUUGUUUACCUCGUAACUCCUUAAGAAGACGAAAAGAGAAGCCUUUUGAAUCAACAGUCACAACAACAUGUGGCUUAAACUUAACCGCAGCAUCAAUGGUCUCUUUCAACUUCACCUGGAAUCUCAAAAACUAAAGUAGUCAAUCAAAAUGAUCUAGAGUAGCUUCAUAUCAAACCAUUUGGGUUUAAAUUAGAUUACUCACACGGAAUUUAUACAGAUGUGGCAAAAGCUCCCACAUACCCAUCACAGCCAAAUCCUCCAUAGGAAACAAACAACUCAAACCUUGCUUGCACAUCAAGGAUCUUAAACACCGUACAAAAACAUCAAUUUGUUAGAAAUUAAAGUUCCAAUUUUUAUUAAAUUUUCAACUGAGAUAUCAAAUCUUUAAAAAAUUGAGACAAAACCCAAGUGCAUACCCUCCAACUCCAUGGAAUCUAAGUGGUAAAGGAGAGAGCUUUUUGAGCGAGGACAUAAGACGAGAGCCGAUGUUAUCGCCGGAAACUUCGCCGGAGACGAUGAAAACUCUCAGCUCCCCAUCGGUUGCAGCCUUGUCGAUCACUGAUUUAGUAGAUUGAAAUGAGGAGUAUCUUUUGGUGAAUGCUGAGAGAGGGAAACAGGGUUUAUUCUUUGAAAUCGGAAACAUCAUCUUUCCGACAAGAUACAGAACACAAAAACCCUGACGUUGUUGUCGAUGAAAUGAAUGAUGAGCGGACUACGACGAUGUAUCAGUUUUUUUUUUUUUUUCUGGUGGACUCUUAUGGGCCUUUUAAGGUCACUUAUUAAAUUGUCAUCAAGGCCCAUUUAUGAUAUUGAUAUUGUCGAAGAUGAUAAAGGUCACUUUUAUGAAAGAUAAAUUUUGUUUGUUUGACCAAAAAAAAAAAAAAAAAAAGUUUGUUUUGGUGGUUUUUAAAAAGCUAAAAGUUCGUGGACAAAAUUUAUGAAAAAAAAAAAACAAGUAUAGGUGAAAAAAAUGCGGCAAACCCUUGAAAAAAAUCUCAAUUUUUGUUUUGACAAGAUAAAUCCCAAUUCUUACUGUUUUUAAUUAAAUUUAUUUAUUUUCUUGAAUUUGCCCAUGCAUAUCAUGAAAUUGACUAACAUAUAUAACAAGUUAAUGUGUUUGUUUUUAUGUUUAAAGUGUCUUUCUUAGGACAUUUGAUGAGUUUGUUUUUGUGUUAAGGACGUACACUUAAAUUAAUUGUCCAAUGGAGAUGGUCUAACGAUGUUAUUUUUGUUAAGUGAUGUUCCCUUAGUUAAUAUUGAUUGAUUAUAUAAAGAAUUAAAGAUCAUUAGGAUCUAAAGACACACCUAAAUUAUAUGUGUGAUGUAAAGAAAGCUAGUGAUGAUGACAAAGUAUUAUAGAUUUUGUUCUCUUUUCUAAAAGUAGUAUUUUAAGAUGCAUGAGUACAACAGAGACGUCCAAGUUUGGUUCGUACUUAGCUUGCUUCCAUUUUUGGGAUAUUCCAAAAAAGAACUGAAAAUAAUGUCUUUAUUGAACUUUUGAGUAAACAAAAACUGAAGAUCAUCAUCACAUCACAUGCACGCACGCAUGGUUUUGGGAUAUUCAAGAUUUAGGAAAUUAUUUAGGGUUUCUAUUUUGUUAUUUACUUUUCUCAUAAGUUUAACAUUUACGUCGUACGUGUUUAUUAUACAAGUAAGGUAAAGAUGAGAGAACAUCCAAGCUAGAGAGCUAGAGAAUUUGGAGGUUUAGAUAGGGUUUUAGGCAUCGAGAGCUUGAGGAUUUUGGGGUUCGACAAUGUGUGUUCUCUUGUGUAAGGUAGUUGUCAUAUUGGUGCAGUGGAGCUGAUCCUUGUGUAAAAUCUCUGGUUCAAAUGUUUUCAUGAUUUGCAAAUCUGAGUUGCUUCUUCUUGAGAAGAAUUAUAUUAGAUAUUUCGAUAGUGGAUUUUUUUUAUGAUAUAUUGAAAUAUAUCGUACUAAGGCCAUCAUUAAUGGAAGUAUCUUAGAGUUAAAAUUUGCAUAGGAAAAUAUUUUGUAUAAGGUACACCUUCUUCAGUUCUGUUUUUUUUUUUUCUUUUUUCUCAAUCGUAUCUAAUAUUUCUUUGUUUAAUUUGGAUGCACCUUCUUCAGGUAGGCUAUGCAGAAUCUAUGAAUUUUCCAUUGUUCAGAAGAAGAAGAUCUUCUUCAUGGUAACUAAGAUAUAUGCAUGCAUGCAUGAUCCUUGAUUCCUUAUUUGCAUGAUCAAAAGAAACUAAGAGAGUGUUUUUUUAUAUGCAGGGCUCUCUUCUUGUGUUUACUUACACUCACUCUCUGCGUUACCAAAGGAGACUCGACGACCAUCAAUGUAAAUAAACCGAAUCCACAUUCACAACACAAAAUUUUAUAUUUAUAUAUUACUAUAUAAUUAACUUUUCUUUUUCUCUUUAUUUGUAAAACCUAACAGAGUCCUGAUGGAGAUAUCAUAGAUUGCGCGGAAAUAUUAGCUCAGAAGUCGUUUAGUCAUCCUCUCCUCAUGUAUCACAAGCUCCAGGUCUUUGUUUAUUUAUAUUUUUACAUACUCAUUUACAUAUUAGUUUCAAAUAUUGUAUGUGUUUAGUUCUUAUUUCCGAAACAAAAAUAUAAUACAGGAAAUACCAAGAGAUCUUCCUAACACAGCCCAAAAUGAAGAUGAAGUUAGCGGCUGGCAGAUUUGGAACAGUCACAACGGGUUGAAAUGUCCUGAAGGGACGAUUCCUAUACGUAGAGUGGUUUCUCCAAAGAAUGAGGUUACUAAAUCUAUGGCUGAAGCUGGACUCAACCUCAAACAUGAGGUAAAUAUAAUAUGAACUAGUCCAAAGUUCAUCAUUAUUUAUGCUCAUUGUUAUAUUCUACAUUAACGUUAAUUUUUCACUCUAUAUUUGUUUUUGUAUACAUAGUAUGCUAUCGCACAAUUGAAUGACACACAUAAGAUUUAUGGAACAAAAGUCACAAUGAGUGUGGAGCACCCCAAAGUUACUCAAGUCAACGAGUUCAGCUUAAGCCAAACUUGGCUCGCCUCAGGUUCAUUUGAAAGAGGUGAUUUGAACACUAUCGAGGUUGGAUGGCAGGUAGAGAUUUUAGUUAAUAAUUUUUAUAUAUAUAUAUUUUUAAUUAAUUUAAAAAUUUAUGUAUGAAAUAUGACUAAUAUUAUAAUCGUUUUUAAAAUUUAUGUUCUAUAUAGGUUUUUCCCGGGCUAUAUUUGGACUACCAACCUAGACUUUUCAUUUUUUGGACUGUAAGUGUGUGAUAUGUUUCUUUUCUGAUCACUUCAACUUUAUUACAAUAUGUUCUCUAUAAAACGAAUAAUACAUUUUUUCCCUUUGCAGAAUAAUGCAUACAAGGGUGAUACUAGAUACAAUCUUCGAUGCCCUGGUUUUAUACAAACUAGUGGUAAUGUCCUCAUCGAAGGGGCUAUCGAACCUCACACCAAAGCUAUUACAAUCCAGAUUUGGAAGGUUAGAGAGAUAAUUUUAUCUUGUUUUAGUAUAUCAUAUGGCCGUUUUUCUAAUAUAUAAUUUACAAAAUGUAGGAUCCAAAUCUUGGACACUGGUGGUUGUCUGUUGGUCCGAACAGUGACAUUGGACUUAUGCCAGUUGGUUAUUGGCCGAACGAGAUCUUUACUUGUCUCUCUGACUAUGCAGAGGGUGUCCAGUGGGGUGGUGAAAUAGUAGACUCAUUCGUCUCCGGUCUGCACACGACAACCCAAAUGGGGUCUGGGUAUCUUCCUAGCUCCGCUAGAGCGGCCUACAUGCGUGAUCUCGAAAUUGUUGUUGACACCCAAAAGUUCCAACCGAUCUACGAUCUCACAGUAAUAAAGAUGAACUCCAACUACUACAACAUCAAGAAGACUAGCGACACGAGUUUUACUUAUGGAGGACCUAUACAUGCGGGAACGGUUCAUCAUCUUAGAGUCAAUUUAGUUGUUCUUUAUUUAUCUUUCAGCCUUCUUUUUCUCUUUUAGUUUAUGUUUUCUCUCUAUUCAUUUUGAUGAUGUCGUACAUUGAUAUAACUCGACGAUGCUUUGGUUUGUUACUUGGCAGUGAUUGCUUUUAUUUACUUGUCUCCUCAAUUCUUUUUUUUUUUAACCCUAUCGGCUGAUCCGGUUAGCCCCGGUAGAAACGCACCGAAAUACUUCAGAGUGGACUUCUCCCCAAAGGGCCACCAUACUGUCUAUCCCGAGUUUGGAAUGCUUUCCGACUAAUGUCAGGGGGUAGUCAGGCCGCCUACAUUUCUGACUAACAGGUAAACCAGUUGGGCCACAGACUUCCCAAACAACAAUGAUUUUUGUUUCCAGGGUGGAUCGAAUCUGGGUUAGUUCGUUCCAACCUUUCCCUAAUUCUCCCUUACCACUGGACCACUGCUGUGCGGGCUUUAUUUAAUUGUCUCGUCAAUUCUUUUUUUUUUUUGAUAAACCCUAAAACUCUCCUCAAUUCUCCCAAAACAGAGAGUUCAAAGUCAUGAAAAAGCUCCUCAAGGGACACAUGAACGUCUAUAUAUUUUAGUCUUUCGUUGUCAAAUAAUAUUUAUAUACAUAUACACGCACAUAAGUUGCAUACAAUACGAUUAGAUUACAUAAUUCUUGAUAUACACUAAGAUUAAUGGACUUCUUCUCAUCAUUGUCAUCAUCAUAUUCCAAGAAUCUAUAUAUCUAAGUAAGUAACAGUAGUACAAGACACAAGUUCAUAUCAAUCUACGACUUUCUCUUGAUCAUCACAAGCCACGACUUCUCUUGAUCUCAAAUAAAAGGUUCGUCAUCAGAAGAUACAAGGAGUACACAAGUGACAAGUUCAUGAAAGAUAGAUUAAAAGUAAAUUUUCUUUAUUAUUAUUUUCAUAUGGUAAGAUAUAUUUCUUUUUCAAUUUCCUUUAGUAAAUUAUUAACUUACUUAAUUUUAUAUAAAACUCAUUUAGUACCCGUUUGUUCAAAAAAAAAUUAAAAUUAAAACUUUAUUAUUACUAUCCAAAACUUUAUUUAAGAAGAUUAUCCUAGUACUAAACAUUGUUUCUAAGAAGUCAUGGUCACUCGCAAGAUUUUGGCCAUCACACCAGUAAAAUACAUUCAAAAAUUUUUUUGUGACUAUUAACAUAAAUAAACAUUGUUCAAACAAUGUUUAUUUGCUCACACGCGCGAUUCAAAAUCAUUAUGAAAUUAGGAUGGGCAAAGACUAGUUUCAAACUUAGAUUUUGAAUUUAGAAUCUGAAUGGAGAAAGCGUAUCGGGCAAAGCAGAUCGAACAUAUCAACCGUAUCAAUAAGAACGAAAACAAAUUAAGCCGAUCUAGUGAUACAACUGCGGAUUAAGUGGUUCAAACACUUUAAGAUCUAUGUUGAAUAGUAAAAAUGGAUCAGGUGGUGCAGAUAAAAUAUUUCUAGUGUAAGAGCAUUAAUUAAAAUAAAUUAUUUCAAUAAACUAUACAUACUACAACAAAACUAUAUUAAAAUAAAUUUGCAAUAUUGGUUUCAUCUAAAUAAAAUUAUUAGUUAAAUUUUGUAGAACAUAUAAAGUGUGUAGUAUACAUUAUCCAGAUUUUGUAAGAAAACAAGUACAAUGUAUAGAAUAAAUUCAGAAUAUCUGGUACACAAAAAAAAUAAAAAAAAUUCAGAAUAUGUAUUAUAAAAUUUGUCGAUUAUAUUUUAUCUAUCCAAAGCGGCAAUAAAACAACAGAUUUUCGAUGUUAUAAGGACCCUCAUGUCUUCUUUAUCAUUUUCCUAAGAAUUUAUCUUUAUUUUUUUAGAAAAAGUUGGUUGAAUCAAUUGUGUUUAGGAAAAGUUGCUAUUUGUUCAAAGAAUACAUAGAUGGACAAAUUUUAAAAUAUUUAUCCUUAAAUUCCAAUUUUCCCAAUAAAAAUGCAUUGAUUCAUUUUUUUUUGGUUAAAAUAGGGAAUUUUGUAAAAUAUAAUCAAGGGUAACAACGCUAAACUUAUAUAGACAAAGAUACAUCACCAAUACUUUCAAAUAUUAUAGACAUAUAUAUAUAUGUGACUAUUUAAAUCAAAUAUAUAUUUCAAAAGUAAAUUUGAUAAUGUGUUUUCACUCUACCAUUUUGUUAAUUAGCUUCUAAAUGAAAUUCAAGCAUUUGUUAAUUCAUAAGCUGUUGUUCCAACUUGAUUAAGACAUUUGAUUGAGAUAGAUCAAAUCUAGUGUCCUUUACGGAGUCAAGAAUCCUAAUUUCAUAAGUUAUAUCUAUUUUUUAGACAACAUAACACAAAACAUCAUUUCGAAACACUUUUCAACGCUUGAACCAACUUGAUUUAAUGUUUAUGUAGACCCUUAUCAAUUUUAAAAGAAUGAUUUUAGCUCGACAUAGUCAUGCCUUUCAAACUGAAACCUAACUAAAGAAUUAAAAUACCAAUAUUAUUUCCAAUUUGGUCGUAUCCACUAAACAUAUAGAGAGAGCCAAAGUCAAUCCAACGGUAAAAGAGAGCAGUAUUGAUUGAGCGGCAAGCGACCAAACAACGAGUCAUGCUGAAAACAAUAAUGUCUCACCAGAAUUUUUCAGCAUUAAUUGAAACACACAACAAACCUCUCCUUAUUCAAUGAAACCACAUUUUUCAAAACCUCUCUUUAUAAAGAGAGUGUGAGCCUUAUUCAUUUUCACAGCUCAUGGAAUCACACCAUCACAAAUCAAAGACCACACAUUAACACUAUGGAACAACAACACCUCAAAAGCCUCUUCACAAUUCUCUUCUUGAUAACUAUGUUUUCGUCGACAACCGCGGGUAAAGUACCGGCGAUUCUCGUGUUUGGCGACUCAUCGGUUGAUGCCGGGAACAACAACUAUAUCCCAACGGUUGCGAGAAGCAACUUCGAGCCGUAUGGACGGGAUUUCGUUGGUGGGAAGCCGACCGGACGGUUUUGUAACGGAAAAAUCGCGACCGACUUUAUGUCCGAAGCCUUAGGGCUUAAACCGAUUAUUCCGGCAUACUUGGAUCCUUCUUACAACAUUUCGGAUUUUGCAACUGGUGUCACCUUUGCUUCCGCGGCCACUGGCUAUGACAACGCCACUUCUGAUGUUCUGGUACGGUCUUUUUUCUUACCCUUGUAUUUAUUACAUGUACUAUUUGGUAUGAUACAUUAAAUAAACACUUUUAUGUACAUUAAUGUAUCACACGUCUUUAUAUAAAACAAUUCUAGACAUAAAUAGCGAUAAAUAUUGAUUAGAAAGGUUAUUUAGGGAUAUGUUUCUACAUUUAUUGAUGAUAUAUUUCGUUGAUGGUGAUUGUAGUCAGUACUACCUCUAUGGAAACAACUCGAAUACUACAAAGAAUAUCAAACAAAACUAAAAGCAUACCAAGGGAAAGACAAAGCUGCCGAUACCAUAAACGACUCUCUAUACCUCAUAAGCAUAGGGACCAACGAUUUCCUCGAAAAUUACUUCGCUUUUCCGGGCCGUCCUUCGCAGUACUCCGUAGGUCUUUACCAAGAUUUUCUAGCUGGAAUAGCCAAAGACUUUGUGAAGAAGUUACACGGACUUGGUGCUAGGAAGAUCUCACUAGGUGGAUUGCCUCCAAUGGGAUGUAUGCCUUUAGAAAGAGCCACAAACCUUGGCACGGGAGGCGAGUGCGUUGGACGCUACAACGACAUAGCGGUUCAGUUCAACGACAAGCUUGAAAAGCUGGUUGAGAAGCUUAACAAAGAGCUUCCUAGUUCCAACAUCGUUUUCUCAAAUCCUUAUGAACCAUUUAUGCGAAUCAUCAAGAACCCUUCCUCUUUUGGUAAGUGAACCGUCUUAAAUAACUUCAUUAUCUUCUUUAUUUGAUUAUGUAUUGAUUUGUUUGAAUGGUGAAAUAAAAAAUGAAAGGGUUCGAGGUGGUCGGAGCGGCAUGUUGUGCCACAGGGAUGUUCGAGAUGGGAUAUGGUUGCCAAAGGAAUAACCCAUUCACAUGUACCAACGCAGACAAGUAUGUGUUUUGGGAUUCAUUUCACCCAACACAGAAGACUAAUCAAAUCAUGGCCAAUGCUCUUAUGAAUAGCACAUUCCCUCACCUCCGCUAGAUGAUUUUUUUUUUAUAAUGUUUGUGUGUGGGAACUGGAUAUGAAUGUAAUAUCAUUAUUAGCUAGGAUAUGAUGUUUAUAUAUCCAAUAUUUUUUGGUCCUAUAAACUAUGUACUAUAUAUGUAUGUAUUUCAGUAUUUAUAUUUAACUAGAAUUUGGUUUUGUGUUAGCUAAACCUAUAUAUGUUUCUUUUUUAGUUUAUGGUGUGUGUGUGUGUGUGUGUGCCUAUGUAGCUUAUUUUAUUCUCUUUAGUUAUUCUUUUAAUAUAUCUGUUUUUUCAUUGUGAAAUUUAUGGGAGCACUUAUUAAACAUUUAUAACUUUUGCACUGGAUAUUUUUUCUAUACUAAAACCAGCACAAUUAUGCAUUUAUCAAAGUUGUAUUUUUUUGGUAUUUAAGAGAAUUCCCAAAAUUUGUUUUGGUAUUUUAGCAAAAUUAAUCUUAAAAAAACCUAUAUUUCACUUAUUAGUAACUAUUCUAACCACCAAAAGUUAAUAAUGUAGUAUACUAUGUAAAAACUAUGAUAUAUCCCAAUUUAACCUUACCAUCACCACCCCCUACUUCCUUAAUACCACCACCCCCACCUCCUUACCACCACAACCAUCUCCGGUCACCGACCACCGGUACCGCUAGUGGCCGGCCGCCAUCAACUCUGGUCACCACUCCUACCAUCACCUCCUCCUGUGACCGCCACCAUCUCCAACCAUAAUUUCUGGCCACUGGCCACCGCCACCACCAGUCACCGUCAUCACCACCAUCGGCCACCGCCACCUCCGAUCAUCGGACACCACCUUUAGUCACCGGUCACCACUUCCAGAUGCCUACCACCACUGCCGGUAACCGCUACUUCCAGCUGCUGGCCACUACAUACCACUAUUACCAAACAACAACAACACUAAAAUUGUAAUUAUUACCUCUUAUCCUAUUUUUUUCUAAUUUUUUCAAAUUAUGUGCUACAAUUUUUUAUUUUAAUAUUCCAAAUGAAUAUUCACCUCAUUCACUCAUUUAGUUUUUUUUUUAACUGUUUGAAAAAGAAAAAAAAAAUAAAAAAAGACAACAAAACCCUACGGAGAAGAGAAACAGAAACAGAGUCUCAAUCUCGCCGACGUGUUUUGUAAGAAGAAUAGAACAUAAAUCUGAUUCUUUAGCUUCGAUCAAUUUCUUACUUUAUUUCGAUGAAUUCGGAUUUGGGUUUUAGUUAAAAAUCGAUUUCUAUUAAGAAUCUGAAACUCCUCUCCAGUUUUGAGGAGUCUUAGUGUUAGUGUUAAUCAUUGUGAUGACGUUGGUUGCAAAUUCUAUGGUGAACAAGAGGUUGAUGAUGAUCGUGUAUGUGUUGUAACAGAGAAAGCUUGAACCUUUAUAUUUGGGAUUGAAUCGAACCUUAAAAAAGCUUUGAUCUUUUAUGCUUCUAUACACUCUCUUGAACUCUGUAUUUGUCCUUUUUCAUGUUUCAGGUACAACUAGUGAAGAUGGGUUCUGUCUCUAUGGGUUCAAUGGAUUGUCUUCCAGAUGAGCUUCUUAUCAAAAUCUUAUCUUCUCGUCCUACAAAAGAAGCUACUUCAACCUCAGUUCUCUCCAAGAGAUGGAGGUAGUCCUGGGCAAUCGGGUUUCGGUUCUACCCAUUCGGGUUUCGGGUAAAUCGGUAUAAGACCUAUAGAUCACAUUCGGUAAUUUACAAAAAUUGGUUUGGUACGGUUAGUAACUGGCCGGGUUCAGAGCGGUUUUCUACUCCAAUACAAAAUCCAAACUAACUCGAAAUUUUUCCGGGUUAUAAUCGGUUCGGUUUCUUUGAGUAAAAAAGUACUCAAAUAACCGAUUAAAACCCAAAAUACCCGAUUAAAAUCAGAAAUAUCCAAGUAAAUAACUAGAAAUAACCGAAUAAACCAUAACCAAUACGGUAAAGAGUUUUGGGGAUUUCGUUGAUAGUACAUUGGCUUUACAUGGUAACCGUAUCAAGUCCUUCUCAAUAAAGUUUUAAGAAACACAUGGAGAUGUUAAGAGCAUGGACGAUGUUAACCGCUGGAUAUGUAAUGCACUUGAACACAGUUUCCCUGAGCUUCAUUUACGUAUCAACUCUAAUUAUUUACCAACCGAGAUCAUCACCAGCACCAUACUGGUUAAGCUGUCAUUGGUAACACAAUGUUACAUCCCUUUUUUUCCUAAGGACAUAUCUCUCCCAGUACUAAAGGUUCUCUUUCUUUGAUUCAAUUUGGUUAGAGCCUAAUCAAUUCCAUAAUGUGUUUAUCCCUGCUUGCCGUGUACUUGAGGACUUAACCAUAUAUCAAAGACCUUAUUCAAUAGAAUUAACCAUGGUUAAGGGUUUCUGAGGUAUACCUAUUGCUCCAUUAAGCUAUGGCUUCUUGAAUAACUGUGGUGAGAGUAUACUUUUCAGUAUUCUCCAGCAAAAUUGGGAUAAUAACUCUAGUGUUUUCGGUUUCUUUGGUUUUACGAUUUAUUAGUUUUAUAAAAACAAAAUCAUACGUACGUACGUGACAAGUGAACUUAGCCAUUGUUUUUGCAUGCGACUUUGUGAAAUAAACUACACAUAUAUAUAUUAAACAAACACUACAACUUUAGGACAAAAUUAUAGAAACAAAAAAGGUCGUAGAUUGAUAAAAAGAUUGGAAAAUAGUUUUAUUAUAAGAUUAAAACAGCUAAAUAUAAUAAUGUUACGUAUCAGAACUUGGUGCGGGUGCAACCUUUGUUCUGACACAUUCACAAAAACAAAGUAAAAAUAAUAUGAACGAGACAAGUCCCCAUCCUAGAAAUAUACAGAUUAUACCCAAAUACUCCAUAUUGUCUUUUCUUCUUCUUACGAAAGUUCCUACACAAACACGAAAGAAGGUUAGGUUAUUAUACAGUGAUCUUUAUAAUAGGUGUGUAUAUAUAUAAGUCAUAUAAUUGCCUUAUCUCUACAACUUGGGAAUCUAGGUUAACAUAUGUAAUAUAUAUGCAUAAGAAAAAGAAAUGAAAGGUUAACAUAAUACAAUAAGAUGCAAAAUAUAAGCGUCAGAGAAGAAAAGGUUUUUUUCCAUUUUUUAUAGAAAUUUUUGUACAUACAAACGAGACUAUUUUUUUUAGGGUAUUUGAAGUAAUCUAAAUAAUCAACUGGUAUUUCUUAUAAUUAUUUAAAAUUUAUUAAAAUUUGAAGCUGAACGAAUAAUUAAUUUAUUAAAUAAAUAAUUAGAAAAGAAUGUGAAAUGGAGCAAUUGAAAAAAAAAAUUAAAAUGUUUAAGGAAAUAUAAAAGAAACAAAAAAAAAAUCAGCUAAUGAUAUGAGGCUUAGAUUUUGGUUUAACCAAACGGAAUCAUUUGGUUAGUUAGGUUUAACCCAAAUAACCGAAUAAUAGAACAGUUUAGGUGAACCGAACAAAAUUUAAAAUGUCGUUGAUCGGUUUAAUUAAGAGAACCGAUUCUGAACCAAAAAUAAUAAAAAAAUCUCAGUUUUGAGUUUUGAUUCAGUUUUGUUCACUCAGUAUGGUUAAAUGUCCCAGGCCUAAAUGAUAUAUAAUAUAUAUGAUUGAUUUAGUAAUUAAGAAACUCCUAAAACAGAGAAGAAGAGAAACAAAAGAUAUGUCAAAAUCUUCUUUAGACAACAAAAAGAAAAAAAACUCAAAGGUCUAAAUAAAAAUGAUUCCCAAUUAACUCCUCAAAGUCUUAUGUGAUCAAGAUGAAAUUCUAAGAAAAUUAAUUUAUUUGCAUUUAAUAAAAAAGGAAAAUGAAAAUGAAUGAAGAGUGAAGUCAACAAAGAAGAGCCCCUCGGGCGCAAUGCAUGCCGUCUUGUUUUGAUAAUUGCCGGCAAUUUCAAUCUCUACCAUUCCUUCUCUUAUUGUCUCCUCUCCUCCCAAUAAUUCAUGCAUCUGCCUAAAUUAUCUAAUCAAUUUUUUUCUUUUCUUUCUCAUUGGUAUUGUAAUAACAAAACUACAAUGGGAUGAUUCACAUUCAGAUAAAUUAAACCACUCUUUGUAUGUUUUAGUAUAAUCCUAUUUGUAUUAGAAAAAAAAAAAAUCAUUUCGAAGUUUAUGAUAUACUCUCUCGAUUUCAAAUUAGUUGUCAUUUUUUACCGAUUUUUUCAAAUUAGUUAUCGUUGUCGGUAAGUCCGAUAACAGAGCAAUUAGCAACUGUUAGUAUGUUAACAACAUGUUUUAUGAAUGGUUUGCAUUUUUAAUCUCUUUAUGAAGUAUGUACAGCUUUAUUUCAUGUUUUAAUCUGCAAGUCAAUGUGUAUGUAUGGUUUAAAUGGUUUUCGUGAAAGUUUAUGGUUUAAUUGACGUAAAUGAUUGUGUUCAUGAAUUUAAUGACAUUUUCCCUAUUAAAUUUUGAUGUUAACUUUCUAUUAAAUAUUUCCAUUUUUUUUUGUUAAAUUCUCAAGAAAUUUCUAGUAUGUUGCAUACUUUCCAUUUUAUCUACAUAUUUGUUAUAUCACGUUUCAACACCUGAAUAUUUGUCAAUAUUGGGGUUUUUUAAAUAAACUUACAAGAUGCAUUCAUUAUUUGUAUAUAUAUGUAGCGUGAACGCUCGAAACAAGGGAAGCUACGUAAUUGCUACGACACUAUAACUUUUUAUACUAGUUUUAAAUGAACUAGGAUGACAUAUGUUAUAAAUUUGCCAAUUUGAUUUGACGUUGAACCAACCAAUCUCAUAAGAAAAAAACAACUAUACAUUAAAUACAAAUAUAUAAUGUAUAGUCUUCUUAUUCACAUUACAAAACUAACUCAAAUAUGUAUAUAUUAUAAUUUAGAUUACCAAAAAACAAAAAAGUAGGAUUAAGAAGAAACAAAAGUUGUAAGUGUGAACAACAAUUAUAAUGGGUGUGUUUACAAUAUAAUCUGAACAACAAUUAUUAAAACUCGAUCAAACUAUGACUUUUUCCCUUUGACAAAUUUACAUAUUGACCUUUAGAUGAAAUAAAAACUUGAUUUUAUGAGAUUAAUAUAGAUUUCGGUUCGUGGUUAGAAGGAAAAAAGUUAUUUUAAGAGAUUAAUAUAGAUUUCGAUAUGAAAUAAAAAAUAUAUUUUAAGAGAUUAGUAUAGAUAUUCAUAUAUGACUUUUUUUGUAAAACCUAAAAAAAAAAACUUGAUUUUAGAAGAUUAGUAUAAAUUUUGGUGUGUAAUUUUGCCGGUUAGCUAGCUAGAGAACACAAAUCCAAACUAGAUUAUAAAAUGUAUGAAAAUUUUAUUUUUAUUUUUUAACAAAAUAAAAGUUACAUAUUGAAGGUAGUAGUAAUUAAAAGAGAGAAAUAAAUAAUUAAAAAAAUGCCUGGCCUUCCCAUGUACGCCGACGACGACAACGACUCAUCAAGACAACUCUUUAUUUUUCCCGGCGAAACAACGAAGUAACCUCUAAUGCAUCUCCUCGUAUAUAUGUACUAGUGGUCUCUUUGUGAUUGUGUAAGUACAUGUAAGUGAUCUUUCAUGUCUUUUGAUCUUCAUCUUCAUCAUCUUCUUGAAUCUUGAGAUCUUCUUGAAUCUUUGAGAUUUGUAUCUUUGUGAGUCUUCUUUGAGAGAAAGAGAGAGAGGAAGAGGAUGAUGAAGAACUUUGAAACUCAAACUCUUGUCUUCAUUUGGAGUUUUUGUUUUAUAGAGUACAAUAUUGUCACACGUAUGAUCUCACUAAAUAGAGGUUUAGUCAAUUAGGUGUGUGUGUGUGUGUGUGUAUUUAUAUGUUUAUUUAAUGAAACAUUGACAGAAAACAAGAAAAUUUUGACUUACGUGUUUGAGCAUCAGUGUGAACUUCUAGACAAAAACUUGUUGUCUUGUAAGAAAAAAUUCAACUUUUCUUUCUUAAAUUACGUGUCAAAUUAUUUUGGUAAAUAAAUUGGUGUUACUAAUUAAAUUGACAUUAAAAAUCUAUUUGAGCAAGAGCAUAUCCAUAUGCAUGUUAUUCUAUAACACAAGUGAAUCGUUUUGUUUAUAUCAGUUUCUAAUAGUAUUUGAUCAAGAAGGCCUAUAAGCACAAAAAAGCACCAACAACAACAAUUAACUUGCGUCUACAGUGUCAAUUGCUAUGAGUUAACAGAUUCAACCUGCAAAGUCAAAUCUUUUACUCCUGCAUCUUCUAGUAAACGUGAGACUUGCAACUUAGUAUCCAUCUUGUUUGAAUCUGCAGAUACGAGGAGAUGGAGAGUAGCUACAACGUCUGAGUUAGUGAAACUCCAUACAUGCAGCCUCUGGAUACUGCAAACACCUUUAGUCUUUAGUAUGUUCUUCAUAGCUUCUUGCAGGUCGUGUCUGUGAGCUCUAGGGACUCUUUGCAAUAGAACCUCUGCGGAGUUUCUGAGCAACGGAAUGACUGAUGCGAUGAUAAGGAUGGAGAUGAAGAUUGAGCUGGCUGGAUCAGCAACUAACCAGCCCUUGUAUUUGAUCAAGAGUGUCGAUAUCACAACUCCAACACUCCCCAUUGUGUCUGCUAAAACAUGAAGAAAGAUUCCUUCCAUGUUGUGGUCAAUGUGAUGAUCGCUUUUUUCAGGUUUGUGAUCAGAAUGAUUCUCAUGGUUGUGGCUGGGGUUAUGGGAAUGAUGAUCAUGGUUGCAGCUAUGAUGAUCCUCAUGUUUAUGGUUGUGGGAAUGCUCAUGAUGAUCCUCAUGUUUAUGGCUAUGGGAAUGUUGAUGAUGAUGGUCAUGCUCAUCAUGUUUAUGGCUAUGAGAUUCGUGUGAGUGAGAAUGCGUGCAACCAGAUCCACCAUGAGCAUGAUGAUGUUCCUCGUGGAAAAAGAUUAACCCGACAACAUUCACAAGAAGCCCUCCAACUGAAACAACCAAAAGACUAUUUGUAGAAAUCUCCUGAGGAUCCAAAAUUCUCUCAAUCGACUCAAGCACAAUCAAAGCCCCAACAAGAACAAGGAAAACCGCGUUAACAUAACCAGAAAGCACUUCAAAUCUACCUCGACCAUAGUUGUACUGAUGGUUUGCAGGAAGACGGGAGAUAUAAGACGCAUACAGCCCAAUUGCCAAAGCAGCACAAUCAAACAACAUAUGACAAGCGUCUGAGAUCAAUCCAAGACUAUUACUCAUAAACCCAGCCACAAACUCAACAACCAUAUACGCUGUAUUGAUCAAAAGAAACAGUGCAAUCUUCCUCGACUUCUUCUCGCUCAAAAUGUGACGGAUAGGCUUCAUAAACAUAGUGGAAAACGACUCAGGCGAUUCCAUCCCAAUCUCUUGGUAAUCUGAAUUCACAGAGUCCAACUCCCUAACAGCAACAUAAAGCAACAAACCACAAAGCAACAAUCCCCAAAGAGAUAGCUCAGGAAAAUAGAAGAGCUCCAAAACAAUAGUACAUAGAAACGUAACCAGAAACUCCUUCUCUGAGUCCUUCUUCUUCGAGCUCGAAAACUUAUCAUCAUUAUAAUUCUCACUCAACAAUACUCCAAAUACAACAGUGUUAGCUAAAGGCCAACCUAAAUUCCCAAUAGAGACACCAUCAUCACCACUACCAGAGAACAAGAAACUCCAAAUAGCAAGUGGGAACAACAACACAGUGGUCAUAAACAAAGAUAGUAACCGGACUCGUUUCUGAUCUAGCUGCUUGAUCUCAACCCAAUUCAUUGAAACUUUCUCAUAACAACCCAAAAACCCAGACAGAAACGGAAGCAACAAAGGCCAAAUCCUCAAGCAAUUCUCUUUAGGGUAAAUCCAAAAACCCCAACUUUGAACAGAUGAUGAAAACGGGAAACAAUCAACACGAUCCCAGCUGAUUGAUAACAACAACAACCCAGCAAACAAAACGCAAAACCCACGAACCUUAGAUGAUCUAACUCCUCCAAUUCCACUAUUAUCACCAAACAAGGCUCUAGCUGAGACGUUACCUGAGAGUUCAGCUAAGAUCAUAGCAGCAGCACUACAGUAACGAAGAGCUUGGAAACGAAGAAGGAAGACGAAAGCAAGAAGAAACGAUUUCGCGAGCAAGAGUUUGAAUUGAGACGAAGAAAGAGACGAAAAGGAACGAUUUUGAUGGCGGAGAAGAAAAGGGUCUUUCUUGGAAGGUGAAAAGGAAGAGAUGAUGGAGAAAGAGAGUGAGAAGAGGAAAGAGAGAAGAGAGACGAGGAAGGAGAAAGGGAAAAGAGAGAAAGAAGGUGAAGAACGAAGGAAAGGUAAGAGAGAGUAGAGAGAUCUAAGAGAGAAGAGGAUGAGAAAUAGAAACGAAAGUGAUGAUUUUGUGUUGUUGCUUCCAUGGAUCGAUCUACGGGUUUUGGAAGGGGUUGGAGUUGGAGUGUAAGGGAAAGAUGGGUAUGUUCUUCCGAUCGUUGGUGAUGGUAGUGAAAGACGAUUCGGUCGCUGAUGGUGGUGAUGAUGAUGAUCCGCCAUUGUUGAAGCUAUUGAGUUUUUUUUCUCCGAUAAGUCGCCGGAGGAAGUUUUCGUCAAGACAUGAUUUUUGGGAUUUGGUGGGUUUAAAAUCGGUUUUGUUUAACCGGACUAAACCGGAACCGAGUAAGAUAAAACUAUUCCCGGAAUUGACUUUUUUUUUGGCUAAGUCUAUGUAUGUGUAUCAAAAUCCCAAUGUAAUCAAUUUUAUGUGGUCACCAAAACAACAAUAACCAAAAAAAAACUUUUGUAAUUGUUUGAAUUUAAAUACUUCAUGUGUUUGCACAACAAAAAUUGCAACAAAAAAAAACUUUAUAAAUUGUAUGAAUUUUUCGGUAAUUUAUUUUCUUUUAUAGUUUAAAAGAUUUAGAGAAAAAAGUCUAUUCCACGAUCUAGUUAGAUUUUGAAUGAAAACUAAAUUGCUUUGUAUGGUGCAGUUUUCAUUGUAACGAAACAUAGAUAUUUUUGUUAAUAUUAGAACUGCACCAUAUUUUCUUUCAGUUGUUUCGCAUAUUACCAUUUAACUCUAAUUUACACCGGACGGAAAAAUAUCAUUUUUGAUAAGAUGAUAAGAUUGAUUGUUAGAAAUUUGUGUGAGUUUCUCAAACGUCAAAGUACACAAAAUAUGUCAAAUAAUUCAUUUUAUUAAUAAAAAUAAAUCUUAUUUAUUCGAUUAAACGAGAGGAUAAUACAAAAUUAUUAGCAAAUACAACGACAUAAAGGAACAAUUGGACUAGGAACACAUAUCAGUUCACACCCUUUGUUGCACCCAAGAGGCUGAAGAACUUGUCGUUUCUCAACUUGUUGCAGAGCUUCAUUAUGGUGUAAUGCAUCAACUUGAGGAGUUUCUUCAGAUAACACACGUUUUGCCUCAACAUUUACAAUACUACACAUCACUACAUAACCAAAAUAACUUGUUGUAAUUAUAAACAUAAUCAAAAAUUUGCAUGUAGAGAUUCUUAGUUUUGAUAUGAGAUUAGAAAAUUUUACCGAAUGUAAUAGCUAAGAAGGCAAUGAAAGCAAUCUUCAUUGGGGUUUUCUCCAUUUUUAAUAUUUGGUGUAUGAUGUUUGUUUUAGCUAUUGUGAAACCUGUUUUAAAGAAUGGAGAAAUGUUAUUAUUUUGUUAAGACAGAUUUGCUAAAAUCACCUCAAAUAUUAGGAAAAAACUAAAAAUAUAUAAAAAUCUAAAUAUUUGAUUCAUUUCUAUAAAUAUUUUGGUAAAAAAUUGUACCAAAAUUUGCUAUAAUGCUUACUUUGGUCAAAUGAUUAUCUUGGUAAGAAAUCAACCAAUUUGCUAAUAUACAUUUUUAGGGGUGUACUGAAUCAAACAUUUUUAAUGAUUUGAUUUUCAUUAAGCUUUAGUGAUUUUGUAUAUGAUUUCUUGCUUGACAAAAAAAAUUGUGAUUUUCUUAUAAAUUUUGCCUAGAACCAUUGGAUCUAUGUAUUUUUAAUUAAUGAAAUCCUAAAGCCACUAACAAUCAAAUCCUCAAAAUGUUUUGAAAAACAGAAAAUUAUAAAUUAAAUUUUCCAAAUCAUUAAUUUUAUAACAUUGGAUGUUAUUAAAAUUUUAUAAAUUCAUGGUUGAAUACCAUAUGAUUAGCUAUUUUCACAUAAAUAAAAAAAUAUUUCAUUGAAUAUACUAACUAUAUUGGUCCCAAUAAAUAUAUAUACAUAUUUACUUAUCUUGGUGGUCAAAUAAUAAUUUAGUUCUCAAAAUAUCUUGGUUAAAUCAAGAUGUAUUUACAAUGAUGUUGCUAAGAACAUUUAUGACUGCUUGAAGAUGUGGGGUUUAGAGAAGGUUUUUUCUAUCACUCUAGAUAAUGCUAAAGCUAAUGAUAGUAUGCUGAAGAUUAUUAAGCAUCGUCUUCAAAGUGGUAACAAGUUUUUGUGUGAUGGAAACUUUUGGAACGUGAGAUGUUUUGCACAUAUUCUCAAUCUGAUAGUGAAAGCAAGGUUGAAUGUAGCUAGUAGUUUUUUAGAGAACAAUUGAGACCGUGUUAAAUUUGUAAAAGCAACUGAGUUAAGGAUAGACUCAUUGCAACAUGCGUUGAGAGUUUAGGGAUCAAAGGUGGAGCUGGUCUGUCUUUGGAUUAAUAUUAUAAAACUGUUCCGAAAAUUGACUUUUUGGCUGAGUCCAUAUAUCUAUCAAAAUCCUAAUUUAAUCAAUUUUAUGUGAUCACAACAACAAUAACAAAAUACAACCCCCCCCCCUCCCUUUGAAUUGUUUGAAUUUUCCUAUAGUUUAAUUUCUUUUAUAAUUUUAAAAAGUUGGAGAAAAUGUCAAGGUUACAAUCUAGUUAAACUCCGAAUGGAAAUGGAAACGCAUGGUAAUGUGCGAUUCUAACAAUAACCAAAAUAUCUUCAUAUAUUUUUGUUAUUAUUAAACCGUCUCGUAUUUUUUUCGCCGUUGUUUUAACACCCGUGUUCAUGUUUUGGUCUGGUGUCGAUCGACACUAGGUAAGGAUAUCGAUCGACACCGGUUAUUUGGGUGGUUAACUGAUUCAAUUCUGUAAUUGAUUGGUUUGAUUUAAUUUUGGGAGAAACAUUAGGUUAUAUUAUGAAAAUUUUGACCAGCUUCUUCUUAUUCUCUUUAGUUGUGUUUUGUCGCUUGUGAGAACUAAGCGAGAGAGAGUUUUAGAGAUGAUCCUAAGGAUUAAGGAGGCUUAAGAAGGGUUUCUGGAGGUUUUUAUGGAUGAUUUUUGUGAGUUUUAGCAAGGAGGGGAUUGAAUUCGUGGCUGGUGGUGCAAGGAGGGUCUUGUUCUUGAUGUUUCCUCUCUUUUUCGUUCCUUCAUUCAAUCCACAUCGAGGUGAGUGCGUGACCAUGGUUUAUCUGGGCAUAUAAGACCUUAUGAUUUGUGUCUGAUUGAUUUGGGUGGCUGGAAUUGUUGUGUUUUGGCUUUUUGUGUAUUGUGGAUGUUGUUUUGUAUUUAUUGAUGGUUUAGGAUUCUCGUUUUGUAUCGGUCGACACCAAUUUCUGGAUAGUGUACAACAAUUUUCUGGACAACGAGUAGUCGGUGUCUUUUAUGCAUGGUUUGGUUUAUCUGUUUGAUCUUAUACAUGUUUAUUGGUCUUAUUAUUCAUGUGUGUAUAACCCAGUAGAUGGGAUGACCGCUUCACUGAGUAUUUGUGAUAAUACUCACGCAUCUCUUUUUUUUUGUGAUGCAGGUAAAGAUAAGAUGUGAUCGUGGAAUCAAAGCAAGGAAGAGGGCGAUGAUCUAGGGUCGUUGUUUCGGUUUUAAUGUUUUGUUAUUUUAUUUAUGGAAACACGGAUUAGAAGCAUGUUUACGAAUGCUGGUUUAAUUUGGUUUAUGGAGAUUUGUUGGUUGAUUUCUGGUUUAGUAUUCUAAUUGGAUUUAUUGGAGUUGGUUUAAUUGGUUUCCGCUGUUUGAUUGCCUGUUUGGUUUAAUUUGUCGGUUAAUAUUAAUUUAUGGGGUUAAUAUUGAUGAAUUAAAAAGUUGGAAAACAGGAUGGAUCGUUUCAGUUGUCCUGUGUAUUAUCAGUUAUCUCUAUUAAAUUAUGUAUUCACUGAUUCGUUUGAACAAAAAAUAUAAUUUAUUUUAUAAAAUAAGAUUGAUUUUCAGAAAAUAUAUAACAAAGUACACAAACAUAUGUCAAAUAAUUUAUUUUAUUAAUGAAAAUAUAUCUUAUUUACUGGAUUAAACGAGAGGAUAAUACAAAAUUAUUAGCAUAUACAACGGCAUGAAGGAUUAACUGGAUCAGGAAAACAUAUCAGUUCACACCCUUUGUCGCACCCAAGACCUUCUCGUUUCUCAACUUGUUGCAAAGCUUCAUUAUGGUGUAACACAACAACUUGAGGAGUUUCUUCGGAUAAUACACGUUUUGCCUCAACAUUUCCAACAUUUACAAUACCACACAUUACUACAUAACCAAAGUAAGUUGUUAUUAUAAACAUAAAAUUUUGCAUGUAGAGAUCUUUAGUUUUGAUAUGAGAUUAGAAAAUUUUACCUAAUGUAAUAGCUAAGAAGGCAACGAAAGCAAACCUCAUUGGUUUUUUCUCCAUUUUGAGUAUUGGUGUAUGAUGUUUGCUUUAGCUAUUGUGAAACUGUUUUUGAGGAAUGGAGAAAUGAUAUUAGUUUAUGUAGACAGAUUUGCUAAAUCCACCUCAAAUAGUAGAAAAUCCACAAAAAUAUAUAAAAAUCUAAAUAUAUAAUUCAUUUUUCUAAAAAUAUCUUGGUAAGAAGUUAUACUAAAAUUUGCUAUAAUGCUUAGUUUGGUCAAAUGAUUAUCUUGGUAAGAAAUAAACCAAAGUUUGCUAAUAUACAUUUUUAGGGGUGUAUUAAAUCUAACAUUUUUAAUGAUUUGAGUUUCAUUAACUGUGAUUUUAGGGAAAUUGUUAUGAUAUAGUAACUGUGAUUUCCUUUUAAUUUUUACUUAAAACCAGAUAAUUGGAUAUAUGUAUUUUUAAUUAAUGAAAUUCUAAAAGCACUAACAAUCAAAUCCUCAAAAUGUUUUGAAAAGCAGAAAAUUAUAAAUUGAAAUAUCCAAAUCACUUAUUUUAAUAACAUUGGAUGUCAUUAAAUUUUUAAAAAGUCAUGAUUGAAUAACAUAUGAUUAUGAUGUAAAAAAAAAUAUAACAUAUGAUUAUUAGUAGCUAUUUUCACAUAAAUAACUUAAAUUUUAGAUUUAAGAUUUGUGAUUAAAUUUUCAUAUGAUUAAAUUUAGAUUCGUGGUAUUUUUAGAAAUUGUAUUCUAGUGGUAUUUUUGGAAAAUAAAUUUCAUAAUGAUAAUUUUGGAAAAAAAUACCCAUUUUAAUGGUAUCAGAAAUUUAUCAUACAUAUGAAAACUUGCAACAUACAUAGUAACUGUUAUCAUUUGCCACCAACUUGACAUAGUCUUCCAUGAUCGAUCAUUUCAGUUCAAUACGAGCGCAAGCGAAAUUAGAAUACAUAGAUUUGCCCUUCGUCAGAUUAUCAAUCACCACCAACUUGACGUUUCCACGAGUCUUCCACAAUCAGUUCAUCAACUCCCCAUUCCUCAAAACUGAUUCAGAAUCACAACCAAGUCAACAAUGAAAAGAACAAACCCGAAGCGCGAUAAAGCGAAUAAUAUAUAAGCUUAAACAUUCUGAAACUUUUGAUAUGACUAAUGAACACAGUCUCACCUCCCAUCAGGUAGAUAUCGUCUAAUAGUGAAUGGUAUCUUCCUUUGCCUAAGCUCUUUCAUAGCAAUCUUAAAAGCCAAAUCACAAAUUAGCUUCAAAUGUUCAUACAUAUCUGACGAAUAAAACAUGUCAAGAAGAAGACAGCACCUCAAGUGGAUCAGUCUCACCCUCCAACUCAACCAUGACAGGAGCAUUCAUGCUGCAUUAGCCAACAAAACAACAUAAAGUAUCAAACUUUCUCAGCCAACUACAUAGUCAACGUUGAGACAAACUUAAAAGGGGAUAGAAGCAGACCUAAUCUGCAAAGCGCGAGUGCCGAGGAUACGUGCACGUUCAUACUUAGUCAUAAACUUAGAAGUUUUACGAGGACGUUGUACAGGUUCUGUUUCAACUUUGUCUUCUGCUUCAAUAGGUUCACCAUUGACAUCAUCAUUCUCCUUCAUAUCAGCAUCUUCCUCUACUCCUUCCUACUCACACAAAUUCUCCAAUCAGAUACAGAACAGAACCGUCUCUAUAAUACCAAAUAUCAAAAGUCUCUUCUACAAAAGAAGGAAGUGAUCUUACUUCUAUCUCAGGCUCCACUGGCUCAUCCUCGUAUCUGCAAUUUGACAAAUUUGAAAUCACCAAUGAUGUCCCAAAUGAACAAAAAGAUUCAAAUGAAGUCUCAAAAAACAGAUCUUUCUCAAUUCAAUCGACAAUGAAAUUUAGGAUUUUUCUAUCUUCAAGCUAUAUCAAUCUCAUUGCUCUCAAUCGUGUAUGAUUCGCCGAGAAGAAGAUAGAAUCUUUUGAAAUCGAUCACAAAGCGAUAAACCCUAAAAUUGAUCACAAAUCGAUCAAUACAGAUAUGGGAAGACGAGAGAGAUAGAGAGGGAUACCCCAAAUCAUCGGGUUCGUUGUAAUCCUCGUCCGCCAUUAAAGCCGAUUUGAGAAAUCGCUCUUCUCCUCUUCCACUUGAUAAACCCUAACGAUGGCAAUGCAUGAAGACGACGAUCUAAUGACGUUACCAGACCACAUUGGUAUAUUCCGAGUAAGCCCAUAGUUUCAAAGCCCAAUUUAGGCCCAUUAAGAGACUUGGUGUAAUGUUGUUUAAAUCCUUUUCUGUGUAUAUAAAACCAAAGUACAUUAUAAGGUUUACAAAUCUUCCACAGCUCCAUUGUGAACUCAAUGCAAGUAAGACUCAGUUCUGUAAUGUCUUUCUUGUGUUCCAAUUAAUAAACUUGAACAUGAUCACAAGAUUAUAUCGUCUUGAACACUGACGUUAAGAGUUUUAUUCUGAAGAACAAUGCUUCCUAUGACUGCAACUUCAUCUUCCACAGUUACAGCCUCACCUGCACAAAACCAAAUGAAUCAGAAAGUGGAAUAAUUUUUUGAAUGAACAAAAAAAAGCUUUAAAGAGAUACAAUGAAGUUACCAAGAAUUGUAAUCCCAAGCCUCUCAUUGUAAUCUCCACUAGCUUGAACUCUUGACCAUCUACCUAUAGAUGAUUUCCAUCCGAUGAUUGAGUUUAUGACAACAGCAUUGUCCUGCAUUUAACCAGAUCAGAAAGAUUUAAAAACAAAUCUUGUGGAUUUGUAACCAGAGGAACACUAAAAACACCAAAUUUAAGUUACCUUGAUUUCAACAUCGUCCAAGAUUAUGCAGUUGAUAAGCCUUGCACCAGGUCCAACACGAACGUUUGCUGAGAUCGAUACAUUUGGACCGAUCUUGUUCCAAGGAAAUUUAAGUGGGUCAUUUGCAUUUUAAAUACGACGUUUAACUAAAGUUCAUGAGAUAAGAUAAAGGAUUCACCUUUGCGGUUUGAUGCAGUUUUGCGGAUGGGUGAAUAUAAACAUCACCGAUUAUCAUCGGUCUCCUAUUAGUACCAUCUCCUGAAGCCAAAAGAUGAGGCGAUGUUUGGCGGAAUUGGGAAAGAUAUAAAGCCGAGCAUUUCAAUGAUUUCCUGUUUAAAAACAGCUUGUUAGCAUAAGGAGUUUGAUCCAAGAUUGUUUCAAACAAUUAUUAGAACCAAAAACUAAAUUCACCCAGGAGUCUUAAUCUGUUCCCAGAAAUCCUUAUUCUCAUAUGUGUAUAGUUGCUUCUUUCCAGCAAGAGGUGACAAUAUAUCUUGAUCUAAUCUCACAAAAUCCGCAGGAACAGACCUUGUAGCAGAUUGAUAGUUGCUAGCUGCCAAAUUUAAAGUGAUUAUGCAAUGAAUAAUUUGUGAAGUGACCAAAAGAAUCAUGUAAAAUGAUGAAGCAGAUCUCUGAUUGAUAAUAAUGAGAGAGGGCAAUAAUGAAUACUCACAUGUGUCUCUUAUUUGGCUAUAUACUCCUUCAAUGGCAUUGAAGAUAUCUGAGGUAAACACAUAAACACCACAGUUUAUCAAGUCACUGACCUGCAUAGAAUAGAUAACAGGGAAAAUUUAUAAGAUCAACAAAUUUCAGUACCAGUGAAGGAAAUAAAAAUAUAGUACAGUUUAGCAGAUAAUUACAAAAGUCUCAGGCUUCUCUGUAUAAUGCAGGAGUUCUUUAGUAUCAGGAUCAGCUAUCAAUUCUCCAAAUUGGCUGGCUGCUUCUGCAGAAACCUGAAACGAAAAAGUGAUAUUCAUGAAUCCUUGAUCUUUACAUGUGUUUCCUUAGUGACAUCUAAAAAACCGAUCAGAGGAACGAACCUUAAUUACUAGCAUAGUUCCGAUACCACCAUAUCUUCGAUGUGCAUCUAUGAAAAGUAGCGAAGUUACAUCAAUGUAAGAAUAUGAAAACGAUGAAGCAGAUUUAAGAUCUGAAAGUGAGAUUACCGAGUAUGCCCUGAAGAGGGAAAGAACAGCAAACAUCACAGUUCAGGAGGAAAACAUGUGACUGUUCAAGAUAGGAUGAGAGAAAAAAAAAGGGAUAUGAAUCCAGGUAACAUAUAACUGAGUGAAGCAGGAACAAAAAUUGGGAAGGUCAUCAGAAUUCAAACCGGUUUUUCUUCCAUAAUUCUAUCACGAAAGUGAUAAAGAGCACCGGCUGAGCCAUGGGGCUUAUCUUCUUUUAAGUAUCUACAUAACAACAACACACAUAAGUCAAGAAGGUUUUACAUUAGACACCAAAAUCAAAAAACACAAGUGCUAUAACUUACCGCACUGGAAUUUUCAGCUCAUUAGAUAUCGAAGAGACAUACAAAGCGAAUUCUCUUUCCUCGUAAAAUCCAAUCAGAAAGAUCUGAGCCAGAUUUGAUAUCUGUCCAUGUCAAAUACGAAAAUCUGAUAUGAGGAAUCAACAGUAGAAGUUGAGAAAUUUUCCAAGUAUUCUUUCAGGCUUAACCCAUUAUCCACAACUCGAAUCUUACGAUACCACAUUGACAAUGCAGCUGUGCUGAGGUUUCCAAAAUUCUAAGAAACAAGGAGGUGCAACACAUGGACACAUUCAUGUCUCAGACUAUGAACUAAUUGCAAAUCUGAGCUUUUCAGUCUAUAUAAGAGCUAUUCACAAUUCCAAGAUUCUAACUUUAUGAACCCUUUACUAAACCAUCUAAAAUGCUGAGAACAAACGCUUGAUUCAUGGAUCAAAUAACAAAAAACAAACCUUUUUACAAGCAGAGAUAGGAUGAUGAAUCAUAGGUUGACCAGCCAAAGGAAUCAGUGGUUUCGGUGUAUUGAACGAUAAAGGACGAAACCGAGUUCCUAAAUCCAACCCACAUUAGCAAAUCCAAAAAUCAAAUUUUGAGAAAAAUAGAAUUCGAGAUCCACAAAAAGAAAAAUGUUACCUUUCGUCGGACCACCAACCAUGAUCACAGAGACGACUUUCUCCUCCGACAUGUCGAUUCAGAAACCUAGAUUCGUUUUUGUCUUCAAAGGUGGUAUCUUUGUAUUGUAGUCGUAUGCUCUCAGGUUUUAGAACUAAAGAAACAGAGAAAUGAGAUUGUGAUAGUCAAAAGAACGUCUCACGUCUUUAUUACUAUUCCCUUUUGUUUUAUUUAUUAAACCCAAAAGCCUAAAAACCCCAAAAACAGAGCAUUAAUACCGAAAAUUCCCAAAAUCUUCAUCCCUGUAAAGUUCAGUCCUUUCUUCAUAAUGGGUUCGUUGAGACGGUGAAGUCUCUGGAAGAUUUUGCUGGGGGAAGAAGUAAUUAGGGGUUUCAGAGUGAAAAGAUGGAAACUUUAGGUUCAUCUGAUUGCAAUUUAGAGAUUUUAGAAACUCUCUCAGAGGAUGCGAUUCAAGAGAUUACUGAAAGCUACGAUGGGUUUUUCACUACUGUGGAGUCUCUCAUUGCCGGCACAGGAGAUUCCUCAGUUGAAGAUGAGUUUGUGUCUCAUGUGUAUUGUCUCUGCAAGUACGGGCUUGAGUCUCUUGUUCGUGACCAUUUCCUCAGUUCACUCGAGGUAUAUUAGCUUGUACCUACUUAGGUAGCUGAGUAGAUUGGUGUAGAGUAACAGCUAUUGAUUUUUGUGGUGACAUUGGUUUUUGUUUCAGCAAGCUUUUGAGAAGGGAGGUGCAUCGAGUUUUUGGCAUCAUUUUGAUGCUUAUAGUGAGAAGAAACUUACUGUAAGAACGCUUGGGUGAUGCUUUGUUUGGUAUUGAAUAUUUUGAAAUUGACUUCUAGUUUUGACUAAAAAUGGACGCUUUUGGGCAGAAUUGUGGAGAGGAGAUUCAGGUUGUGUUAUGCAAGGCUUUGGAAGAGAUAUCUAUUGAAAAAAAGUAUCAUGAGAAGUGUCUGUCCAUGUUGGUUCAUGCUUUGCAGUCGUUUAAAGAACAGUCAUCAGAGGAUAGACAGAACUCAGAUACAGAGAGAGCUAAUCUUUUUGUGAGAUUCCAGUCAAUGUUGUCUUCAACUUUGAUGACUACUCUUCCUCAGCAUUUUCCUGGUAUGCCCAUCUUUAGUAGCUUGUUAUUUGAUUUGCAAUGUAGUUUGGAUCCAAACCAUUUAUCAGUUUUAGCAUCUGAUUUGAUUGUGUGGAAGCAGUUUUAGAUACAUUUCCGACUUGUUUUGACCAAGUUUAGUCAUUACCCUCAUAUUUUUCCUGUCUUUAUUAUAUUCUUAGAAAUACUCCACUGGUAUUUUAAGGAAAGGCUGGAAGAGUUAAGUGCAAUCAUGGAUGGAGAUGGUGAAGAGCGAGAGGAUGAUUGCAUGGAUUUGGACGAAAAGUUGAGAUAUAAAAAUGGAGAAAUGGAUGUUGAUGAAGGUUAUGCCCAAGGGAAACGUUUGGGACAUGACAAGUUGGUAAAGAACAUUGGGAAAGUGGUCCGUGAUCUUAGAAGCAUUGGCUUUACAUCUAUGGCUGAAAAUGCUUAUGCUUCUGCCAUCUUUUUGCUUCUUAAGGUAUUUUUAUGCAUCAGAGAUUUGUCUGCCUCACUGAGAGUUAUAACUUGGUAUAAGUAGUGAGUAUACAAAUAAUUUGUACUCUUUUUCGCAAUGCUAUACUGCAGGCGAAAGUCCAUGACCUGGCUGGUGAUGAUUACAGGACUUCUGUUUUGGAAUCAAUCAAAGAAUGGAUUCAGGUAGGUUUUGCUGGUGAGAUUCUCACUGCACCAUCAGAUUAGUUUGGUAAUUUUGAGAUUCCUGAUAUUCUAAUGUCUCUUUGCAGAUAGUCCCUCUACAAUUCCUUAAUGCACUUCUUUCUUAUCUUGGUGAUUCUGUAAGUUAUGGUUCUGCAUCUUCUGACCUCACGUCCCCUCUGGCUUGUUGUCCAUCUCCAAGCUUUUCCAGAGUGGUGACUCCUUCCGAAGGAAUUGUUAGAUGGAAAUUACGGCUAGAAUAUUUUGCGUAUGAGACACUGCAAGAUUUAAGGAUAGCCAAAUUAUUUGAGAUCAUUGUUGAUUAUCCUGAGAGGUAUUUUCUUUUGUGAUAGUACUUUUGUAUUUCCCCACAUAUCUCACUGAAGACUCAAUUCAAAUAUUGCAAAAAGUUGAAUUAUCUUGCAUUUCUGAUGGAAAUUUUGUUGAUGCAACAGUUCUCCUGCCAUUGAAGACUUAAAACAGUGUCUUGAAUAUACUGGGCAGCAUUCUAAGCUAGUUGAAUCUUUUAUUUCUUCGCUGAAAUAUCGUCUGCUCACUGCUGGUGCCUCAACCAAUGAUAUAUUGCAUCAGUAUGUAUCCACUAUCAAAGCCCUUAGAGCAAUAGACCCAGCUGGUGUAUUCCUGGAAGCAGUGGGUGAACCAAUUAGAGACUAUUUACGGGGGCGGAAAGACACCAUUAAAUGUAUUGUUACUAUGCUUACUGAUGGAAGUGGAGGGAAUGCAAAUGGUUCUGGAAACCCUGGGGAUAGUCUUCUUGAAGAAUUAAUGAGGGAUGAAGAAAACCAAGAGAAUGCCGGUUUUGACGAUGAUUUUCAUACUGAUGAUAAGCAAGCCUGGAUCAAUGCUUCCCGGUAUCCUUCCUGCUGUAUAUAUUCUUGAUUAUCAUCUUGCAUCGCAUUGGAUAUGUCUGACACAUUUCUAUGUGCUUUUUCCUCAGUUGGGAACCAGACCCUGUUGAGGCUGAUCCUUUAAAAGGUAGCCUUAGUCAGAGGAAGGUAGACAUACUUGGAAUGCUUGUUGAUAUAAUUGGAUCAAAAGAGCAAUUAGUAAAUGAAUAUCGUGUUAUGCUCGCGGAAAAGCUUCUUAACAAGACUGAUUAUGACAUCGACACUGAGAUACGCACUGUCGAACUUCUCAAGGCAAGCUCCAUUUUGACACUCUUAAGUUCGACUAUCUAAAUUAUUGGAUUCCUUCUAAGUGUUGAAUCUAACUUUACCUUCUCUUUUUAUGCCAAUAGAUACAUUUUGGAGAAGCCAGUAUGCAAAGAUGUGAGAUCAUGCUGAACGACUUAAUUGAUUCUAAGAGAGUCAACACCAACAUUAAAAAGGCAACUCAAGCAGGUUGUUAUAUUUCUAAAUUGUUGUAUUUUUUACUCGUGCAAGGUAGAUCCUUGUCUGAUUCUUUUACUAAGUAUAUGUGCCAUUGCUUGUGUUUAGGCGCCGAGUUAAAAGAGAAUGAGUUAUCUGUUGAUACUCUUACCUCGACAAUACUUUCAACAAACUUCUGGCCACCAAUUCAGGUAUUCAUAUGUUCUUCCCUCUGAUUUUUCAUCCAUCUGCUCAUACGUUAUAUACACACACAUGAGGCGUAUAGAUUAUUGUGAUCGCUUCCAUUUUCUGAAUCAAAAGAGGUAUUUCAGGAUGAACCUCUAGAGCUACCAGGACCUAUUGACAAACUGCUAUCAGAUUAUGCCAAUCGGUAUCAUGAAAUCAAGACCCCUCGUAAACUACUUUGGAAGAAAAAUCUUGGCACUGUCAAGGUACUUCUAGCAUAAAUACUUAAGUGAACGAUUUGUGUUUUGGAGUAUUGGGCUAAUCAGAUACUGACGUAUGUACCCUCUCUGAAAUGGCUUUAAUGGAUUCAGUUGGAGUUGCAAUUUGAAGACAGAGCUAUGCAGUUCACGGUCUCCCCCACACAUGCAGCCAUUAUAAUGCAAUUUCAAGAAAAGAAAAGGUUAGAUUUCAAGAAUCAGUCAAUACAUACAGAUAUAUCCUCUUCCAAAUGUUUACUGAAAUCACGUAAUCUUUCAGUUGGACCUCUAAAGAUCUUGCUGCAGCCAUUGGGAUACCCAUUGAUGCAUUAACCCGAAGAGUCAACUUCUGGAUAAGCAAGGUAUAUCAAUGUAAUUGUAGUCUCCUGCUUUAAACCACUUGUUUGGAGGAAAAGCUUAAUUGCAAGUUUCCUGCACUUAGGGAGUCCUGAGAGAAUCUACAGGAGCAAACUCGAAUUCCAAAGUGUUAACGCUCGUUGAAUCCAUAGCUGAUUCUGGAAAGAACGAAGGCGAGGAGCUUCUAACAGGCGAUGAGGAGAGUGAAACAUCGAUUGCUUCUGUGGAAGAUCAGCUUCGCAAAGAAAUGACGAUAUAUGAGGUAUGUAAAUAUUUAGGAAACCUUUCCAUUCUCCAGAAAAAAUAUAGAAUCUAAAAAUUUUUAACCAUGUUUCAGAAAUUCAUCAUGGGAAUGCUCACAAAUUUUGGUACCAUGGCACUAGAACGAAUCCAUAACACUCUCAAGGUACAAUCUCAUAUCAACAACCUCACUGAUUUAACAACAUUGUUGUUGUCUUGAUCAUUUGAUCAUUGCUCUGUCUUUUUUUUUUUUUGUUUCGUAGAUGUUUUGUGUUGCUGAUCCUUCUUAUGACAAGUCCCUGCAACAGCUUCAGAGUUUUCUUUCUGGUUUGGUUUCCGAAGAGAAACUAGAGUUUAGAGACGGAAUGUAUUUGCUAAAAAAGUAGAACAACUCUUUUCAUGUGUUAAGCUAGAACUAAUUCUUUUUGUCUUUAAUUUGUAUCAAGAUCCUUGUUCCUAAAAGAAUUAGUGCUAUGUAGUUGUUGUUACCUCAGGGAUAUGUAAUGAUAUAAAUAAGGGAUUUGAAGAAAUGAUGUUCAUUUUGGCUCGGUCAAUGAAAUAUGAUGUUAUAGAAACUAAGUCAAUGACAAGUUCAUAUUUGGAAUUGCCAUAUAGAAAAUUUGUGGUUUAUAUGGCCUAAAUUUGAAUGUUCGUGAAUUAAAUAAUAUUUUUUCGUAGUUAUUUCUAUAAUUUGUUUGUUAUAUAUAUAUAGUAAAAGAUAUGUAAUAUUUAUUAUUUUCAGUUUUUCCAAAAAAAAAAAAGUUUUUCAAAUCAUUAAAUAAUAGUUUACAUGAAUAAUUAAAAUUCUGUAAUCAAAUUACAAACCACAAAAUUACAUUAGUGAAUAUGAAGAAAAAAGAAAAUUGCAUAGAAAUGUUUUGAUUAAAAAAACAAAAAAGAAGAUAAGAGAGAUCCAAAGAGAUAAGAAUAAGUAUUAAAAACGUUCAAAAACCCCUCAUGUCUCUCGCCUCUCGGUGUGGCGUAUGACAUUUAAAGUUUCUUCCUUUCUUAAGUCAUCUUUUGUCAGUUUCGUUUCAAUCAUUACACACAAACAAAAAAAAGUAUGGAACUUCAUCAAGUACGUCUUCUAGCUAGGAUCUUCUUCUUCUUCAUCUUCUUGACAACUCUACAACAUUCUUGUUCUGCUCGGAUUCUUACAACAAUCUCCAAGCCUGAUAGACAUGACUACGCUGCUAGUGCUCGUUGGCUUGUCUCUCAGAACAUCUGGGGUGUUCUUAGGUAAGAUAAAUAUCGUCUCUUUAAGCUUGCCUUGUCUUGUUUCUCAAGUUCUUAGGGUGAAACAAGUAUUGGGGAAUUGAGCAGAUUGAAUCCAAUUCUUGAUAUAGAUUCUUGAUAAAGAUUGAAUCUUUUUGAAAUUGGAAUUGAUUAGGAAUGUAUUUUACACAUAAAGUUUGUAGCUUUAUAGUUGAUUGAUGAUUUAUAUAGAUGAGCGUUGUUGGGUUCUUGAGAUUUGUUAUGGGUUUGCUUCAUCAAGUUUUGAUCUUUUUGAAACUGGGAUUGAAUUUGGGGUUUUGAUAAAGUCAGUUGUGGCAAUCUUUGAUAUUAGUAUGAAGAAACGUUGUUCUGCUAUUGCUUUACUUCACUAAGUUUGAAUCUUGAUUGAUGAAUAUAUUGAUGAACCUUGUUUGGUUCUUGAGUGGAUUCACUUCAUUGAGCUUUUGAUGCUUUUGAAACUGAAAUUGAUUUGGGAUUUGACACAAAGUCAAGUACUACAGUUACCUUGUUGGAAGAGAUUGUUGGAAGAGUCUGUGUUGAUGAAUUGUUGCAAUCUUGUUAUCAUUAAGGUAUUGUGAGUGUAACAAUUCUGGAUUACUAAUUCCUUUUAGGUGAUUGUAUUCUUCUUGCAGCACACUAUCCAUUGACCAUGAAGGUGCUCCGUUCGGGUAAUCUUGUUUUCAAUGAUUUUAAUCACAAUAUUAUGAAAGUAGUCUAAGUCUUCUCCAAUAAUCGAUGUGCUUUUGUUAAAGUCAUCGGUAUAGCUUGACAUUACUGAAAUCUUGGUCUCUCGUUGCAGGAAUGUUGUAUCGUUUAGUGAUGGUUUACCGGAGAAAGGCAGCGGUAUACCUUACUUUUACUUAACAACUCUUGAUCCAACUGCAAGAAACGCACUAAAAGACCAGAGAGCUUCACUUGCAAUCAGUGAAUCUCCCAUUGGAACUUGUAAAAGUGAUCCAAUGAAUCCUACUUGCUCUAAACUAACCCUUACCGGAAAGGUACCAUACACAUGACUGCAAAAAAGUCGAAUUUUCUUACCAACAUAACAAAUCAAGCUUUAACAUAUGCUUUUGUCUUUAUUUUGUAAUCUCUCAGUUGCUGCUAUUGGAUGAAGGAUCUAAAGAAGCAGAAGUAGCCAAAAAGGCUUUAUUCACAAAGCAUCCAGAGAUGAUGGGUAAUCAAAUCUUUCUCUCAUCUCUAAGUUACAAACUGAUGAUAAUUGUAUGAUUAUCAUGUGAUGGUUAUAUCUGUUUUUUCUUUUUGCAGAUUGGCCUAAGGAUCAUGAUUUCCGCAUCUUCAAACUCGAAAUCACAAAUAUAUUCCUCAUAAACUGGUUUGGUGGAGCUAAACCUAUCACAGUAGAUGAAUACCUUCACGCUAAGUCGUAAGUAACAAUGCGUGAACCUUUUAAAAACAUCGGUAAUCUCUGAGAAACCGAAUCGAACUACGAAAUUUCGAAUUAUACUAUCUUUUUCUUUUCGCAUUUGAUCUCAUAGUUCUUCUAAACUGUUUUCAGGAUCAAAGUCAUUUCCUCCUUAUAAUAAAAACUUACCGGAAUAUAGCAAAUGGUGAAGCAAGAAAAGUUGUAUAUUAAUGUGUGUUUGUAAUUUGGUUACAAAAGAUAUAUCAAAAGCUUUGUAAAUUACCUCAUACACACCAAGUUCAAAGGUAUCCAAAUCUUCUGCUAUGGAAAAACGUUGGUAAAUGUACAUUUUGUAGUUCAUGAUUUAAGAAUUGGUGAUAAGGUUAUGACACAAAACUGAGAAAAACCGAACCAAAUCAUAAGCCAUGACAAUUGAGAGAUUUAAACCGAUGCUCGAAUUCCGGUUAUUUCUGAUUUUGAGGACAAACGCUUCAAGUAGUUUAUUCAAUUGAACCAAAUUGGAGUCCAACUGGUAAGCAAACCAGUAUAAUGCAAUUGAACCAAACUAAAUUCAUCAGCUCGAAACAAAACCAAACUCGGUUUAUCUCACUGAACCGAAAUCAAACUCGGUAUUUUUGUUUGUUAUCUGAACUUAAUUUAACCGAAACUUUAAUUGAAUCCACCAUAUAGAAAGAAAAAAAAAAACUCAAGCAUUAACCGAUUCGAUUAUCGAAUCCCGGUUAUUUCCGGUUUGAAGAUAAGCUUUGAGAGAGUCUCCUCUGUGUUGAGUGGCGAGCAUUGGUUUCUGGAAAUUGAACACAAAAAUAUCUGAAAAAAUUCGAUUUUUAAGCAGUUAAGCUGAUAUCUGAUAGAUACAAUCAUACAAAUCCACAAUUCAAGAACACUCGGCACUAAAACCUUCGUCGAUCUUCAAAUACCCAAAAACAAAAAGCUCCAUGAAUCUUCAAGCUGUUUCUUGUAGCUUCGGAUUCGUUUCGAGUCCACUUGGCGUCACUCCAAGAACUUCGUUUCGUCGCUUCGUAAUCCGAGCGAAAAGUAAGAGUCUUUCUUCAAUCCCUAGAUCUUUUGUUUCUUCGGAGUGAUUGAAUUCGAAGUUUCAAUCUUUUUUGCAGCGGAGCCGUCGGAGAAAUCUAUAGAGAUCAUGAGAAAAUUCUCCGAGCAAUAUGCUCGUCGCUCUGGGACUUACUUCUGUGUUGAUAAAGGUGUUACUUCUGUAGUCAUUAAGGUAUAACAUUUAUUGGGUUUCUUCUUGAUUUCUCAAUUCGUAGCUAAUUUUGUGUUGAAUCGAGUCUUUGUGAACGAUCUUGUGAUUGAGGUGGCUGAGUCUUUCUAUUUGUAUGUAAACAUGCUGAGAUUUAAUGCUUAAAUCUGUGAGUUUGUUUUGUGGGAGCAGGGUUUUGUUUUUCUUGAUUUCAAUUCUUAGCUAAUUUUGUGUUGAAUCGAGUGUUUGUGAAUGAUCUUGAGAUUGAGGUAGCUGAGUCGUUUUAUUUGUAGAGGAUGAGUUUAUAAAAGAGAUUGGAGUUAAUAUGUAUGUGAACAUGUUGAGAUUUAGUGUUAAGUGUGUGAAUUUGUGUUUUUGUGGGAGCAGGGGUUAGCUGAGCAUAAAGAUUCGUAUGGAGCACCGCUUUGUCCUUGCAGGUGAGCUUUUGAUUCUUAUGGGUGAUUGUUAUUUUAAGGGUAUUUGGAAUGUUUGUGAUGAUACAGUGGUGAGGAUUACGAAAGUUUGAGACUUUUGUUGUUGAUGCAGACAUUAUGAUGAUAAAGCUGCUGAGGUUGGACAGGGCUUUUGGAAUUGUCCUUGUGUUCCAAUGAGAGAGAGGUAAGGACUAAGGACUAUCUUCAUAUAUCUUCAUGUGGGCUGUAUUAGCAUUAUGUUUGUUUGUGUCUGUGUAUGUUAUGUGUUUAGAACUGAGCAUUUUAGGUUCUUUGGGAAGUAUUGAUCUGGUAUAUGCUAAAAGGUAUCGAUUUGUCUUGAACUUGGUUGUGGACCUUGUGGUUAUUAGAGGGAUAGUAUUUAUCAGCACACUUUCCAUAGAGGUUACAGAUGCUCCUUAGUUGAAUCAAGAUUGAUUUGCUAGGCAACCUGAAGUUGAUUCACUCUAGUAGUUUGCAACAAUUGCAAAACCUAUUAAGAAAAAAGACUUAUGCUCUCUUGUUAUCUCUUGGCCUAUGUGGUACACCACAAUUUAAGAUCCUUAGUGUUUUAAUUAGACUUGGCAUCGGUUAUCGAUUGAUUCUGAUAAUAAUUGUGUACCUUCUGUAUCAUUUGGUGAUCAGGAAGGAGUGCCAUUGUAUGCUUUUCUUAACUCCUGAUAACGAUUUCGCCGGAAAGGAUCAGGUUAAAUCUCAGAUCAAUAUGCUAUACCUAGAAUGCGGGUUUCAUUGAAUAUGGGAGAUCUAAUUCUUUGCUCUUCUUGGUUUUGUGCAGACGAUUACAUCAGAUGAAAUAAAAGAGACAACAGCUAACAUGUGAGAGAACUGGCUCUUGUGUUCUCGUCAUCCUCUGUUCUUUUAGGUUAAAAGAGAUAUAUCUUUCUCCAAAUGCAGUCUGUACAUUGAUACCCCGACCAUCUUCUUCCUUCUUGUGUACAACUAUUUCACUCUCAGAUAUAUACACUUCCGUAUUCGAUCUUUUUGUUUGCAAAACUAUUACAAGCAAUAUAAAAAGGAUCUAACUUUUACACGAAAGUCUUCAAAUAAGUUGUGUUGGCUUAAAAGCAUCUAAGCAAUGUGAAAAACAGCAAAAAAAGCACUUGAAACACUAAAACUCUUUAUAUCACAAUAUCACAAAAACUUGUCUUAGGUUUAAAGCAACAAUUUAAGAACCAACAAGCAUGCUUGAAAGGUAUUGGAGACGACGAAGCACCAAGAGGUUGAUACACUUGGGCCAAGGUCUUGGUUUCUAUAUGGUAGAUCUCGAAUACCCUUCUUAGCAUGGAGUGUCCUACUUGUAUCGUAUCUAUAAUCAUUAGGCUCGUCAAUUGUAUUAACAUAGAUACAAUUUUUCAGAACUCCAUCUUUGGCUGCAACAGUUAUUCCUAAACCCAAAAUCAGUGCUUCAUCCCCUAUAGAACUGGUUCUUAUCCAGUUUAAUGAUUCAAAGAUUCGAAACUUGUAAAUUCCACUGCACCACGGGAGAAAUCAAACAUUGUGACUCGAGUAUCACUAAGCAUGUAAAGCUUGCGUUCUCUAUACACCAUAUCAAUGCAUUCUUGAUACAUUAAAGGUUGAAUUAGUUUCCAGCUAGUGUUGUCAUCUCCUUUCUUGUAAUAUGCAAAAAAGCCAUCAAAGUUACAUAUGAAACUUUCCUUCGAGAAGCUUUGUCUUGGUCAUUAAGAGUCACCCAAAAUGUAGUAUCACUCAUUCUCACAAAAUCCAUAAAUGGACUCCAAAGACGGAAGAUGAAUCUUCUCUCGAGUAAACAGAUUCAAAAGGUGAAAAUCGUAUCUAUGGUCUUACAUAAGAAACCAACGACUCGUAGCCAUAUCAAACCCUAGAUCUCUUACAGUGUAAGAACUAUUGUCACGAGGAUCCAACAACUUACAUGAUGAUGAUGAAUCAUUGUUUUUGCUGUCUGGAUUUGGAAAGAGGAUGAUCCAUGGAGUUGUUACGCUAAUGCAAGAUUUAGAAGCGUAGUACCAAGAUUGAUAUUAUUAGGUCUAGGUUAAGUCUCGGACGAUGCUUUCAUGAAUCGUCGUUAUCGUUGCCUGUCUUUACUAAGGUAUCGUUCAUCUAGGGUUUGUGUUUGGCUUCUUCGAAUAAUCAGAGUUUCGUUACUGUAACUUGUUUUGUAAUAAUUGAGAUUAAUGCAGAUGAGAAAAUAACCGGAGUAAACCGGUGGUUGACUAGGUGAAAAAGAGAGGUGUUUUUUAUUUUGGGUUAGUCAAGUCUUGAGAUCUGUUUCAUGGGCUUAUAAUAUAAACCCAACUGAUAUCUUUGUGACUUAAAAGAAAUAUAAAGAUAGGUUUGAGAAGUUAACCUAACUCACAUUUGUAGAUCUAGAACAAUGACGAAUAUGAGCAAUCUUCCAAGAAAAAUAGCAGAAGAGAUCCUCUCAAGGGUUCCGGUGAAAUGUCUUAGAGCAGUUCGAUUAACUUGUAAAAAAUGGAACACUCUAUCCAAAGAUAUGAGAUUCAUAACGAAGCACGUUGAUCGAGCAAAACAAGAAGCAGCAAAGAAAAAGGAGUUUAUGCUGAUCAUGAUGAUAAAUUUUAGGGUUUAUUUGAUGCACGUCAAUGUCCACAACAACGUUGGACCAUGUAUGAGGUGUGAAGGUAAAUUUACUAGCCUAGAUGAAUUAGUUGAUAUAAAUAGAGUUUUCCUUAGUGAUGGUUUGUUGUUAAGCAUAAGCAAAGACUGCACCAAGCUCAUGGCUUGGAACCCUUAUAGCGGAAAGAGUCGUUGGAUCGAGUUUGAGUCUAGUCCUGACCUAAUGGAGAUAUAUAUGUAUGCUCUCGGAUAUGAGAAGAGCAACGAUUCAUGCAACAGUUACAAAAUCUUGAGGUUUGUUGAGAAUCGCAGUUGCUUCGAGUACAAAAUCUAUGACUUUAACUAUGAUUCUUGGAGGGUUCUUGAUAUCAGUCUAUAUGACAAGAUUUACAAGAUAGCUCAUCAUAAACGUGGCGUCUCUCUCAAGGGAAAUACAUAUUGGUUUGGUAAAUCAAGAUAUGGAUCAGAUGUUUUCCUAGUAUGUUUUGAUUUCACAAGCGAGAGCUUUGGGCCGCCUUUGUCUCUGCCAUUUGAAUAUUCUAGUGCUUCAAGUGUUUUGAGUUUAUCUAGAGUUAGAGAAGAGCAGCUUGCGGUUAUGCUUCUUCGAUUUGGCGAAUUCACGAUGGAUAUAUGGAUUACAACUAGGAUUGAGCCAAGCGCGGUUUCGUGGAACAGUGAAGUCUUCUUAGCAGUGAAUUUGAGACAAGUCCCUUUCAAUGGCAUUCGUUUUGAAGGUGCGAGUUUCUUCAUUGAUGAGGAGGAGAGCUUUGUAGUGGUUUUUGAUAACAACAGCAUAGCUUACAUUGUUGGAGUGGAUGGAACUAUCAAGAAAGAGUAUUUCAAAUUAUCUAAAAGACUUUGUUGUCCAAUUGCGUGCUCUUAUGUUCCAAGUUUAGUGCUUUAAUUAGUUGAUCCAUUUGAUAUUUUGUAAUCUUGGGAUAUGAGGAGUAUGUUAUAAGCUGAACUCAUUUUUUAAGAAUGAGAUAGAUUUCUCGUAUUUUUUAUACACUGAAAUUUGGGUUUAGGAUUUGGAAGAUCAACCAAACCAUUGGUGUGUGUACGUACGUAUACCUCGAUGCUUGUGGUCUUAAAGACGUGAUUAUACAAAAAAAAAAUAUAACAAGCCUUAUUGUUAUGCGUGACAUGGGACAAUACUGCUAGCCCCGUGGUUUAGAUCACUCGAUCGUACGUAUUUGGACCAAUCCAGGAAACACUUACCAAAGAGUCACAGAGAUUUGAUAGAUAUGCUCUCGGACACGACAACCAUUUGAACCGUAACCAAAAAAAUCUUAAGGUAUUGAUGUCACUACGACGACCUUAGUGAUAAGAACCCAAUGGUUAGAUAAACGUUAGACACGGGUAUGUUAUUGUCAAUUGUGUUAAUAUAUUUUUGGGAUAUUUAAUCUAUUUAGUAGCUAUAUAUUGAUAUAGUAUAAAACAUUAUUAUAAUGUUUUAUAUAUUUUUUUUAAAACAUAUUAUUAAUAUUUUUUUGUAUCAUUUAUGUUAUUUACAAGCAGAAAUUAAUAAGAAUACAAUCUUAUAUGAAUAAUGGUAAUUGAAAUAUUAUAUUUUACAUAUUAGACUGUUAGUGUUGGUAUUAUAUCUAACAAACCUAAAAAAAAAUCAGUUAAAUUAUUAUUAUUGCAAACAUUUUAUCUAGAGCACACUAUAUAUUUAGAAAAUAUUAUUUAAAAUAUACCUAAAUUAAUAAUAUUGAUUAUUCUACUGAUCAAUUUGGUUGAUAAAUAAAAAUAUAAUUAAUUAUCAUUUUGUUAAAGAAUAAUAUAAUUUAAAUUACUCUUUCUUUAUUUUUUAUAAUUAUCGUAAACAUGUAAACUUUAAAAAUAUAAAAUAAAUCCUUAUUUAAAAACUUUGUGAUAAGUAUUUCUCACAGUAAAAAUAUUAGAAACAAAGAUAAUCAAUAACAAAAGAGAAUUAUUACUUUUUUGGUGAAAUUGAAACCUAAAUCACAAAAACGAAGUUUAGAAUUAGCAAAAAAAAAAAACAAAAAAAACAAAAAAAACGUAAAUGGGUUUGAUAGACAUCAACUUCACUAGUCUUGCGAUCUGUUUUAUAAUUUCAUGGGCUUAUUAUACCCAAAUGAUAUUUUUUGUGCCUUAAAAGAAAAAAAGGAAGAUUGGUUCUAGAUGAUGUUAACCUAACUAAUAUGCGUUACUUGUUCGAGAUCUAGUAUCAAAUAAUAACGAGUAUGAGCAAUCUUCCAAGGGAAAUAUCAGAAGAGAUCCUCUCUAGGGUUCCAGUGAAAUCUCUUAGAGCAGUUCGAAUCACUUGCAAAACCUGGAACACUCUGUCCAAAGAUGUAACAUUCAUUACGAAGCACGUUGGUCGAGCCAAAGAAGAAGCAGCAAAGAAAAAGGAGAUCAUGGUGAUCAUGAUGAUGAAUUUUAGGGUUUAUUUGAUGCACAUCAACCUCCACAACGACGCUGAACCAUGUAUAAAGCGUGAAGGUAAAUUUAUUACCCUAGAUGAUUCAGAUCACGUCGAUCUAUAUAGAGUCUUCCACAGCGGUGGUUUAUUGUUAAGCAUCAGCAUAGACUCCACCAAACUCGUGGCUUGGAACCCUUAUAGCGGACAAAGUCGUUGGAUCAAGAUUGAGUCUAGUCCUGACCUAAUAGAGAUAUAUAAGUAUGCUCUUGGAUACGAGAAGAGCAACAACUCGUGCCACAACCACAACCACAAAAUCUUGAGGUUUGUUGAUUACCUUCUAGUUUCCGAGUACAAAAUCUAUGACUUUAACUCUGAUUCUUGGAGGGUUCUUGAUAUCACUCCAUAUAAAAAGAAUUAUAGUGUACCUAAUCUUAGAAAUGGCGUCUCUAUCAAGGGAAAUACAUAUUGGUAUGGUGAAUCAAGACCUAGAUCAGAUGUUUUCCUAGUCUGUUUUGAUUUCACAAGAGAGAGGUUUGGGUUGUCUUUGUCUCUGCCAUUUGAAUAUUUUUCCAAUGUUUCAAGUAUUGUGACUCUAUCUAGUAUUAGAGAAGAGCAGCUUGCGGUUAUGUUUAUACGAUAUGACACAUUCACGAUGGAGAUAUGGAUUACAAAUAUGAUUGAGCCAAGCGCGGUGUCUUGGAACAGUAAAGUCUUCUUAGCAGUGGAUUUGAGACUAGCCACUUUCUAUUGCUUUUGUUUUGAGGGAGCGAGUUUCUUCAUUGAUGAGGAGAAGAACUUUGCAGUGGUUCUGGAUAACAACAACGUAGCUUACAUUGUUGGAGUGGAUGGAACCUUGAGAAAAGAGCAUUUCAGAUUAUCUGAAGAACUUUGUGAUACACAUGCGUGCUCUUAUGUUCCAAGUUUAGUACAACUUUAGUUGAUUCAUUUUAUAAAACAACCUAUAAUCUUAUUUCUUGAAUAAGUUGAGAAGCUUUUAUUUGGAAUGAAUAGUUUUUAUUGUUUCUCUUCUGCUUUUCUUUUGGUGGAGCAACUAAGUAAGGGUUGUUUUGAUCUUCCAAAUCCUAUCUUUUGAUUAACGUAUAAAGAAACUACCUUUAAAAGUGUCAGCAAUGUAUGUCAUUCUUAAACAAUGAGUUCGGACUUAAAAACUAUUUAUCUAGUGGAGGUUUUGUGCUUCUGGCCAUGCUUGUAAAGAGUCAUCCUCUGAGGAUAUGUUGUUGCCUUGUUGGUAUGAUUUGUCUACUAGAAGAAUGGAAUUAAUCUUUCUUAUCACGAGGGUCUUCAUAAGAAACAUACCAAGCUUGGUCAUGCUAAAAUCAGACAACCACUUAGUACUUUGUAAUUAGAAAUCCCAUCAAAUCUACUACAAUUUACAAUCUAGAUAACACAACAUGUUUUUGAAUCAGAAGAAGUCUCCUACUUUAAAAUCACAAACUUGGUUAAAGAAAGUGGCUCAAUAAAACAUCUCCAUUUAUUUUGUUAAAAUAAUAUUGUACGAAAUAAAACAUUCUAAUUCCUUGCAUAACCACCAGUAACAGUGUCAUAUGGGUUCGAAGUCACUAUCUUCUGGACCACUAUAUUCUCCGAUGAGAAAUAAGAUCACAUACUAAAGCUCAAGCCAAGUACAUGGUAGUGUGGGAAGUUCUAGUAUCGUAUAGGAACAUACAGUGCAGUCAAUCUAUUUAGGAAAACAAUGAAAGUUUACCUUCUUCCUCCUCUUCAUAGUCCUCUCUAUUUACUACAUGUAGUCACGAGUACCAAAUCAUAGUCCUCUCUAUGUCCCAUUACAUGUUUAGUACUACAGUGCUUAAAUAUGAAUAAAGGCAUAUCAACUUAAAAAUAGGGGUCGUUAAGCACCAUUUUAAAUAGUUGUAACUUGUUUUGUAAUAAUUGAAUUCGAUGGAGAUGAGAAAAUAACCGGGAUAACCCGGUGUCAACAAUUUGAAAAGUUUGAAAAGUUUGAGAAAAUAACCGGGAUAACUUGUUUUAAAUAGAUAUUUUUCUAAUUUGAAAAGUUUUUCAAAAAUAUAUUUAAAAAUAAACGCUAACAAAAAAUAAUGUGUCUAUAUAUACAUAUAUUUUGAAAAUUUUACCUAAUUAUUAAUUUAUAAUAUCGAUGAGACUAUAUAUUUACAAAAGAUUUUCAAAAAAAAUAUUAUCUUAUUAUUUUAUAAAAAUAUGUCUAAAAUUACAUUGGUCUCAACUUGGGACCGGAGAAAUUUAUUAAUUUAUAAAGUGUAUUAAUUUAUCAAGUAUUAAUUUAUAGAGGUUACAUUGUAGGUGAAAAUUGAAAAGAGAUGUGGAUAUAAUUUUAGAGGUGAGUACUACACUGAUCUUAUAUAAUUUUUUGAGAAUUUUUGAGAAAUGCCCUUGUUGGUGUACCUUUUUUUUAAAAUACCCUAAUUUUUUUUUAAAUUAUUUUUUACCCUUUUUAUUAUUUUUUCAAAAAAACAGUUUUCCCUACAUCUUUCUUUAUUUUCUCUAACAUAUUUCUUUAGAAAUCUAAGAAAUUAUUCUUAUUCUUUAUUUUGGAUUAAAAUGUCUUUUUAUUAUGGUUAAUUUACUUUCAAGAAUUUAAGAUUGUUGUUAAUGAUAAAAAAAAAAUCUUUUAAUGUUUUCAAUGAAAUAUCCAAGAUGUGUGAAUGCACAGUUUUCUUUAAAUAUUUUGGAAAAAAUAGUAAUUUAUGAACAUAUAUAUAUAUAUAUAUAUAUAUGUAUAUAUAUGUCAAAUUAUUAGGUGACACACUGACACAUAACAAGCUAUUGUAUAAUGUUUUUUGAGGAACCCUUCUUUGUCAAGAUACCUAAUUGAUAUUUUUGUGCCCUUAAAAGAAAAAGGAAAAAAAAAGAUAUGUAGGGUUUGGAAGUUAACCUAAUUCAUGUGCGUGACUUCUUCAAGAUCUAGAGUAUAAACAAUGACGAGUAGUAUAUGCAAUCUUCCAAGAGAUUUGGCAGAAGAGAUCCUCUCUAGGGUUCCGGUGAAAUCUCUUAAAGCAGUACGAUUCACUUGCAAAAGGUGGAACACUCUAUCCAAAGAUGUGAGCUUCAUAAAGAAGUACGUUGGUCAAGCUAAAGAAGAAGCAGCAAAGAAAAAGGAGUUUAUGGUAAUCAAGCCGAUGGAUUUUAGGGUUUAUUUAUUGCACGUCACCCUCCACAACGACGAUAAGUCAUUUAUAAGGUGUGAAGCUAAAUUUACUAGCCAAGAUGAUUCAGAUCAAGUCGAUCUAUAUAGAGUCUUCCACAGUGAUGGUUUGUUGUUAAGCAUCAGCAAAGACUGCACCAAGCUUGUGGCCUGGAACCCUUAUAGCAGAAAUAGUCGUUGGAUCGAGUUUGAGUCUAGUCCCGACCUAAUGGACGUAUAUAUGUAUGCUUUCGGAUACGAGAAGAGCAACAACUCGUGCCACAACUACAAAAUCUUGCGGUUUGUUGAGGAUUAUUGUGGCUUCGAGUGUAAAAUUUAUGACUUUAACUCUGAUUCUUGGAGGGUUCUUGAUAUCACUCCAUAUGAGGAGAUUUAUAUAGAUUAUCAUAGACGUGGUGGCGUGUCUCUCAAGGGAAAUACAUAUUUGUUGUGUCAAUCAGUACUAAGCUCACAUGUUGACCUAGUCUGUUUUGAUUUCACAAGAAAGAAGUUUUGGCUGCCUUUGUCUCUGCCAUUUGAAUAUUCUAAUCUUCCAAGUGCUUUGACUCUUUCUAGUGUUAGAGAAGAGCAGCUUCCGGUUAUGCUUCUGCGAUUUGACACAUUCACGAUGGAGAUAUGGAUUACAACUAGGAUUGAGCCAAGCGCGGUGUCGUGGAACAGUAAAGUCUUCUUAGCAGUGAAUUUGAUACAACUCACUUUCUAUUACUUUUGUUUUGAGGGUACGAGUUUCUUCAUUGAUGAGGAGAAGAACUUUGCAGUGGUUUUCGAUAACAAGAAUGUAGCUUACAUUUUUGGAGUGGAUGGAACCUUGAAAAAAGAGCAUUUCGGAUUAUCUAAAAAACUUUGUUAUACACAUGCGUGCUCUUAUGUUCCAAGUUUAGUACAACUUUAGUUGAUCCAUUUUACAAUACCUAUAAUCUAGAAUAAUUCGAGAAUUAAGCUUUUUUACAAUGAUUAUUAUCCCAAACCAUUAGUGUACAAACGUCGAUGCUUGUGGUCUUCAAGGCUUGAUUAUACGAAAAACAAAUACAACAAGCCUUAUUGUUAUGCGUCACAUAGGACAACACUAGCUAGCUUCGUGGUUUAGAACUCGUACGCUUGUUUAUGUCAAAACUUAAAACUAUGUUGAUGACUUAGGUUGUAGUUAAAGUCUUGUUUUGGUAUUCCUUUUGGAUUAUAUGUCUUCUGCUCCGGAUAAGUAAUCGAAGAUGAAUGAUCUGUUAGAAAUACAAUUACUGGUAUUAGAACUCGUACGGAUUUGGACCAAUCCAGGUGGAUUUAUCCAAGAAACACUUAACAUAGAGAGACUAGAACUCGUACAAUUGCUCUCGGAUACGACAACCAUUUCAACUGUAACCACAAAAUCUUGAGACAUUUAUGUCACUACGAUCGACAACGUUUAUGAAUGAGUUUGGUCUUUAUUAUUUUAUAUAGUUAGAUAGACUAAUUAUUUUUAAUUCAUAGAAAAACAAGAUUUGUUCUUGUCUUCUUCUUUACAAGAGAAGAGACAAAAGGUCUCUUAACCUAUUUGGGAGUCUAAUAAUUACAACAGCCAUCAUCUAGCUGGGAGCUGGUACCAUAUCUUCCACCAGCAUCACCUCGAGGAGAACGCGAAUCUCCGAUCGUGAUCCCUAGUGACUGUAAAAAUCAUGAUCCAAUGAAUUUUAAAUCACAUUGGCUGGCUUAGUCUGAUAUGAACAAGAAGGAAAAAAGAAAGGAAGAAGAAGAACGACCUCGUUCGAUAAAUCAAAAUCGCCGUUCUGAAUUUUCUCGAGGAUAUUUUCAGCAGUCUUUAUGAAAGCCUGUUGGCCAUAUAUGCGAACAAGCGAUACUAAUAAGUAAUUAAGUAGGCAAAUAUGUAUAAAUAUAUCUUAGAUGUUUUGUAAAGAAGUAAUCACCUCGUCAACGUUUUGAGAUGUUCGUGCAGACGUUUCCAAAAACAAUAGACCAUGUUGUUUAGCAAACUCUUCUCCUUCCUCUUUGCUAAUAGCUCUCUUGCGAACAAGAUCGCAUUUGUUUCCAAUUAGAAUAAUACUCAUGUUUUGAGUCACUUGUUGCUGAACAUCUUCCAACCAACUUGCUACAUGUUUAAACGUCUCUCUUCUGCCAAUCAUCAAUUUUGUAAAAACAUUGAGUUUCAUUUUUCCAAAAGUACAUCGACAAUGUCAUAGCUAGCGAAGUAACUCUCAAAUGCGUUACUGUUAAGAAAACAUGUCAAAUUUCGACAAUAUCAUAGAUAGCGAAGUAAUCUCAAAUGCGUGACAGUUAAGAAAACAUGUCAAUUUUCGACGGAAUUUGCAAAAAAAUGUAUAUCUUAUUACUAAAAUUAACUCGAAUGUUACAUACGGACAUCAGCCUUAUUAUGUAAAUGUGCAAGCUACAAUAUAAUGUAUACAAGAAAAAAGAAUGUAUCUGAACCUGGUGAUGUCGUAAACAAGUAACGCGCCCACGGCUCUUCUAUAAAAUGAUCUUGUGAUGGAUCUAAAAGUCUCUUGUCCAGCCUAGCAAAACAUCAGAAACUUGUUUAAAUCAUAAACAACAACAAAUCCAACUUUUACCCUAAAAGCUACAAAGACCAAACAUAACAACAACUCUAACUAAUACUAUCUGUUUACAUAACCUUAAGAAACAGUUUGUUAAACACAAACAAAGAAUGGUUACUAGAUAUCAUCCAAAACUGAACCAAUAGUAUCGAGAUAAAGGCGAGACGCGAGAGCCGUACGUACGUACCGUGUCCCAAAUAUGAAAUUUUAUGGACCGACCAUCGACGGUGACCACUCUAUUACCAAACUCAGCACCAAUGGUAAGAUUGUGGACAGGUUUGAAUCUCUUGUCGGUAAAUUGAAGAAGCAGACACGUUUUUCCCACACCUGAACCACGAAAAUAGCUAGGUUAAACAAAGAAUAUAUACAUACUUGGAGAAGAAGGUAUAUGAUCGACCUGUGUCUCCGAUGAUUAGGUAUUUGAAUAGGUAAUCGUAUGACAUGGUUGAUCUAUUGGAAUUAGAUAUAAUAGGUGAUAAAGGUUUUGGAAGUUUUAAUCCUCAAUAUAUACUCCGUCUGUUCCAAACUAUAAGAGGUUUUAGCUAAAAGCACAAAAAUUAAGAAAAUUGUUUAAAGUAAAUAAAUAUCAUUUAAUUAUUAACUAAAAAUAAAAUUUAACCAAUUAUUAAAAUAAAAAUACUGCAGAAUUUAAAGAGUCAAAUUAGUGUCUUAUAUUAUGGAAAAUAGGGAAUAUAAAUUAGUGUCUAUAAGUAAAUAUGUGUCCAAGAUUUUUUUUUGAAUAAAAACAUUAAAUAUCUCACAAAAACAUAAUAUAUAUUUUAUCAUUAAAAAUAACAAAAAUAUAUUAAAUUUGGAAAAAUUUAGUUCUACAAAUCCUUUACUGGAAUUUUUGAGAGGUCACAUUGGUUUAAAAUAAAAUUUGGAAUUUAAAGCUAUGCGGAUAUGAUUGAAAUUUUAUCAAAGUAAGAAGAUAAAUUUGUGUGGGAUAUAUUGUAGUUUUAUUUACAAAAGUAUAAUAUAUUUGAUUUUGACUAGGUUAAUACUUGCAUAUAAAGCCUUUGAAGCUCUUACAUAUUGAUUCGAUCGAAUGGGCUGUGGAGUAUAUGGUUCUAAAAGUAAGGUGAAAACUUUCUUUGAGGAUGAUGAUGAUGCCUAGUUUUCUUUGUUUUACUGAAACGAUUUCAUCGGUCUAUUAAAUUGUUUUGUCUUUGGUGUAAACCCAAACAAGACAUGAGCGUGAUGGCAAAGAAGAUUGCGGCGAGUGACUGUGAUUGUGUUGUUACCUCUUUCGUUUGGUUGGAAAUGAAAAUUCUACAUCUAUGAAAAGGAAAAGUAUAAUUACUAAUCGACAAAGAUGCGCAAGACAGUUCCAACAUAUCAUAUUGAGUUUCAAAAGACAAGUGCCUUGAAACCAGACUUCUCAUUCUUUUGGAGGGGUCAAACACACCACUGCCCAACCAAAAACUACUCGGUAGAUCCUAGCUUUUCAAUUAAGAGUACACAUUUUAUUGAAUAAGAAUAAGAGCAUUAAGUUUCUUUUAACCUCUCUUGAGUAUCGGCUAUUUCUUGAAUCAAUGAUUUUCAAAUUUCGUUUUUUUGUUCAACUAGAUAACCUCUUUGUUCGAUCAUUCACGAAAAAUCAACAAGCACAAGCUGGUUCUAUCAUAGUUUGUAAAACAACUCCAAAAGAAAAAUUAGAUCAUUUCUCAGUUUAUACUAAUCUUCUCUGUAUUGUUCCAAUUUAUCAGAUUUUUGCAUAGGUGACAAUUUAUAAGUCUUAACGAUGUAUAAACCUUCAACUUACUUCCAAGGUUAUCAAUGUCGGACAAAAGAGAUAUUUGAACUUAAACUUAAAAGCUUAUAAGAGACAACACAAAGACAAAACAAGUUAACACAAUGACGUCAGAGUUUACGUAAGACCUUUGGACUGAUCAAGAAGCUCUCCUUUAAUCAGAAAAAAAAUCGUUAAAUCGUUAAAAAUCUCAAAUCCGCCAUGGAAACAAAACAGUAGUUCUUCUCAUCCAGACAUCCACCACCACUUCCGUUAGGGUUUAUGUUCCAAAUCCCAAAAUGUCCUCAUCAUGGACACUUGAAUCCGACCUAGAAGAUCUCGACCUCGACCUCCAAGAUUACAAACCAUCCGUACCCUUAAAGAAAACACCAAACGGCGACGUUUUCGAAGCCUCACGUGCCGGUGACGUCGAUAGACUCCGUUACCUUCUUGAAACCGGAGUUAACGUCAACGCACGUGACCGAUGGGACUCUGUUGCUCUCUACUACGCUUGUCUCGCUGGUCACAUAGAUGCUGCGAGAUUGCUUCUAGAGAACGGUGCGAUUUGCUCUGAACAUACUUUUGAUGGUGAUCGUUGUCACUAUGCGUCUCUUAAUUUGAGGAUUCGUAAGCUUCUUAAGGCUUUUGAAGCUCGUCCUCCUCCUCUUGGUCCUUUGCAAGGUUCACUUAGAGAAACGUUUUUGGGAUGUUGUCAUAAUCGAGAUUAUCUGAAACAAGCUUCUAUUGCUAAUCUUGAUGUUUCUGGUAUGGUUCUAAAAGCUCAUUAAAUUCUCUAUUUUGUGGCUAUGGACUUGAUUUGGGUGGUUUCAUGAUACUCACUGUCCAAUUGUUAUGAAAGUUGAGUUAUUUGAAUCCAGUAUUUAUGAAAGUUGAGUUCUUUGAAUCCAAUUGUUAUGAAAGUUGAGUUCUUUGAGUCCAAUUGUUAUGAAAAUUGAGUUCUUUGAAUCCAAUUGUUUUGAAAGUUGAGUUCUUUGAAUCCAAUUGUUUUGAAAGUUGAGUUCUUUGAAUCCAAUUGUUUUGAAAGUUGAGUUCUUUGAAUCCAAUUGUUUUGAAAGUUGAGUUCUUUGAAUCCAAUUGUUAUGAAAGUUGAGUUCUUUGAGUCCAAUUGUUAUGAAAAUUGAGUUCUUUGAAUCCAGUUGUUAUGAAAGUUUAGUUCUUUUGAAUUCAGUUUUUAUGGAAAAGUUGAGUUCUUUGAAUCCAAUUGUUAUGAAAGUUGAGUUCUUUGAAUCCAAUUUUUAUGAAAGUUGCGUUCUUUGAGUUCAGUUUUUUAUGGAAAAGUUGAGUUCUUGAACUAUUUUAAUAUGCAGAGAUGUUUACUGAGGUUUAGUUGAGUUUACCAUUUUAUUCAAAAUCCAAUUUUUAUAGAAGUUGAAGUCUUUGAAUCCAAAGUUUAGGAAAGUUGCGUUCUUGAAUAGUUUCAAUAUGUAAAGAUGUGAAAAUUGAGCUCUCGAUCUGUUUCAAUAUGCAGAGAUGUUUACUGAGGUUAGUUGAGUUUACCAUUUUACUCAAAAUACAAUUUUUAUAAAAGUUGAAGUUUUAAAUCGAAUGUUUAGGACAGUUGCGUUCUUGAAUCGUUUCAAUGUGUAGAGAUGUGUGCUGAGAUAGUUAGCUAGACUUGUAAUCUACUUUUUCUAGGAAAGUUGAGUUCUUGAAUCAGUCUUGUGUCUGUUGGUAUGUGGUGUAGAGACUGAAUUUUUGCAAUCUCAGUUUCAGUAGAUUCUCCGAGUGAGUUUGGUAGUUCCAAUUACUUCCCACCGGAUGUGAUGUUCUUUGUGCAAGGUAGACCUAUUGAAGCUCACAGGGUUAUCUUAAGUGCUCGGUCUCCGUUUUUCAAGCAAAAGUUUGAGAAUGAAUGGAAAGACCGGAGAGAAGUUCGAUUUUCGAAAGAGAAGCUUUCGUAUCCUGCUCUUUGUAGCCUUAUCCACUUCUUUUACUCAGAUAGGCUGGAGAUAUCGGUUGAUGAUAUGGAAGACCUUGUUAGGAUCUGCAAAGUUUGUAAAUGUGAAUCACUGCAGAAAAUUAUUGAGAAGGAACUGAUACACCAAAGAUAUGCUGAGUACAAAACGCAUAGAGAUCUUGAUAACUCCAUGAAACGGUUCAUCUUACAGGGCAUAUCACUUCCAGAGGAAGACAGGCUUCCGGCUUCUUUGCAUAGGAUUCUUCGAGUUUCCCUUGCAAAAUCGUUUGCUGGUGAUGCAAUUGAUUCAUCUGAUGGGAAUACAGGAGUCAGUGAUUCUGUGCAUAGUCUUGCUGAUGUUUGUGUUAAAGUUGAUAAAAGAACUUUCUAUUGCCAUCAAGUUAUUCUAGCUUCGAGAUCAGAGUACUUCAGAGCACGAUUAUCCCGCGUGAAUGAUUUCAAUGAGGGAAAAAAUGGCUUGCUGGGUGAUACACUUCCAUUUCUCGAAGAACAUGAUUUGAGCGCAGAGGCUUUUGAGAAGAUGAUUGAGUAUAUGUAAGCGUUUGAGAUUGUAAAAGACCUGAAAAAAUUGUUGAAAAACUUAUUGUUGGUAGGGUAAGCUAACAUGAUAAGCAUUAUCAGGUACACUGAUGGCUUGAAGGAGAUCAGUCCGAAUCAGGUAAAAACUUGUUGCCAUUUAGAAAUAUUUACGUCUUUCUCCCUUCUGAUAAUUCAAAUCACUUUGCAGGCUGAGGAGAUCUUUGAUGUUGCAUCUCGCUACUUGCUGUUUCCUCUUAAACGUGCUGUGGCUGACGCCUUGUUACCUCACUUGGAAACAGCCACACCUGCAGAACUCUGUCAGUGGCUGGUUUUGUCAGAUAUGUAUGAUUCUUUUUAACUAAAUCUUUUUUCUAUUUGAUGGCUUACGUUGCUGCAUUUGAUGGUCGAGCUGAGUAUGUGAAGGACUAUGGUACAAAAGUUACUACAUUAAAUUUUGGUAUCUAUAGGUCUAGAAUAUCUUUACUAUGGUACAGAAGCUAAAUUUGAUGACUUAGAGUGGAUUUGAGAAUGCAGUGCUAAAAUAUUUUCUGAUAUAUGAGCUGACAAGUUUAGUUUUGAACUUGAAUGGCAUAGGUACGGCGUAUUGAAGAUAAGAGAGUACUGCCUAGACUUGGUUGCUUGUAAUUUCGAGGCAUUUGUUGAAACCCGCGAGUUCAGGGCAAUGCUAUUAACAUUGCCUCCACCAUCAGGGGACUCUUCACUUCGAACCACAGUUCCAAGUGCACCAGGCGCCAUGAUGACCACAGACCAAGGGAAUCUCCUUGAUGAUCUAAGAGAGAAAUGGCUUGAAGCAGAGGCUUUAGAGCUUGACAUGAGAGACGAGAGUGCUUUGAUUUUUGACAAGCGCCUUGCAAUGCUCGUGGAAAUGGCAGAGCGAGAGAAAUCCCAGUCAGAAGCUGAGGACUACAAAGACACCAGCGCAUGAUUAUUGUUCCUUAAACCAAGUUUUGAGUCUCCUUUUUGCUCUUACUUCGUUCUCAUAAUUUUUAUAUGAAAGCUUUUUUAAAUCUUUCUCUCUAUACACAAACGAUCAAACAUGUUGUAGAUAUUCAUAAUAAAAAUUUAUUUCUAGUACAUGCACCAUCUGCUUCACUACCAAGGUGUAGUCUCUGAUUUGAUUAUUCAUUUAUAAAAAGGUCAGACUUGUUUUACAACAUCAUCAUCUGUUGACAAGUUGGAGAUCAAUUCUGUCACAGAGCUCACAUCAGUAUCAUCAGAGACAGAAGACUCAGUGUCUGAUUGUUGCUGAAGGCUCCAAUUCAUAAUGCUAGCAGCUAAUAUAAGCAUCAUUUUCUGAUUUACCUGUUUAUAUCAUUGUUCACAUACAAAAACAUUAGCCCGGAAAGCGCAAACAAAACAGUAAGAUGUGCACAGUGGAUAUGAAGUUAUAUAUCUACCUCUAAAAUAUCCUCAGGCAACAAGAAAAUUGAGCAUCCAAGCUUCCUUGCAACACUUAUGAUGUAUGUUGCAUUCAAAUUCCUUCCCUCUUCUGCUUAAAAAUGACAAUUACAAGACAAAUCUGUAAUGCUGAUAACACCAAAAACAGACAGAACAAUGUAACAUAGUAUUGUUAUUACCUGUUUCUCCUUUAGAUACUAGACUCCAGUUUACAACUCUAGGCUCUACAGCAGUCAAAAGCUCCAAAAAGAAGAGUCCAUUUGACAGAUUCUUGUCCUAACAGAGAAACCAUAAAAACUGUUAGGUUAAAUGAAGAUAGGUUAGGGUUAGUCUCCAUGGUUUUCACUCUUUUCUUUACCUUGAAGCUCACAGCUUGUGAGGUUCUACCCGAUUUCUUGACUUUCCGAUUCGCCCAGUUUAGAAUAUCUGCCUCUGUAAUAUCUUUACCUUGCCAGUGAGAUCUCAAGUUGUUCAAGAUUUGUAGCAUUGUGUGUCUCAUCAAUUGCCACAAAAACGCUGAUACAGAACACAAGACUAUCAUUAGAGUUUAAAUGAAACUACGACGUGAAACACACUUUUUCUGCAAGAGGGCUCACCUAGAAGGAGCUUUUUAUUUCCUUGCACAAUGUCAUUACCACUUAUAUUGACAAGCGAGAACUUCAACUCUUUCCCAAUCUUGAUAACUUGGUUGCAAUUCUCAACCUUUUUGAAUGGCAUUUUGAUGGGAGGCUUAUUCGCGUGUUUCCAGUUGACUGAGCCAGGUGCUACUUUUUCAAGAACUUCAAGAAGUACCCAUCUGGCAUAUGUCAUGAUGAGGAGAGUUUUAGAUUAUCAAGCCAGAUUUUAAAACCAAUGAAACAAAGAUUCCAAAUGCUCACCCAUUUCUAACAUCCUCGAAGACAUUAUCGACAUAAGUCACUGCGCCAAGACUGUUAAUCCAGAGGCGAAAGCAUCUUUCUUCUCGAGAAGUUUCUUCAUCUUCUGUGACCAUCUCAGUAACUGAGACAGGCAUCUUUGGACUCUCUUCAGACAAUCCAUUCCUGAAACAGAGGAUUUUUCAUGUUAGUUCAAGUAUAUAACACACUAAUAAACUCAUUCUUUAUUAGCAUUCCUCAUAGUGGCUGACCUGUGGUGAAACAAUUGUGCCACAAAUGCAAGAUUAAGAUUUGCAGAGCCUUCAACUAUAUCUUUAGGAGAAAGGAACUUUUUACAGUCAAGCUUUUCUGCUUGCUCAAGGACCUUCUUAGCUCUUUCUGAAGGGUCUUUGAUCUCUAAUGUCACAUGUGUGCUAUGUUCUGGGGCUAGAGCAUUUAACAGGUAUGCAUAUGCCUCUCCAUCCUGUUAAACACCAAACGAAAUCAUGAAGCGGAUACACGAAAGGAAGCAAAAGAAAAUAAAGCAUAGCAAAAACAAGUUAGUACCUUAACAUCAGAAGAGAAAUUGGUGACUUGUUUCUCAUAACCAGCUUUCUUAAGAUGAAAAUUCAUCCAUUUCAGCAAAAGCUUUUCAGGAGCUAGUCCCAUAAGCUCCUCCACAUCCUUCAAAUCCAUUCACAGAGAAGAUUAAAGUUUAUAGCUUCAGCCUCAAAGUUCUUAUAAAAUGUACAAGAUGUAUACUUUACCUGGUUUUCUUCAACCAACUCAACAAGUUGUGGAGUUUUCUUAAGAUUAAGAUCAGCUAACAAUUGUAUCUAAACAAAAAACACAAACAUUAGUAACCAUGUCUCAUCAUCUUGUGUAAAGUAAUGUAAAGUGAUUACCUUUAUAAUCUGAAAGAUCAAGCCAAGUACAAGAUGGGGCUACAAAGACAGAGGAGCAAGAAAAAAUUAGUAAACAGAAGAUGAAACUGAACACAAAAUGAUUUUAAAAAUACUUACUGUCCCUUCAGCAAUGUCCUGAGUACCAAUGUUGACGACGGUGCAGCCUAUCGCCUUUGCAGAGUUGAGACAGAGUGAAAGGUUUUCAGUUCUUUCCCAUGGAUUGAGCUCUUUCUUCGUGUUCAUCGCUCUUUCAUCUAUCGUCCCAGGCACAGCUAUGUUUAUUAGCUUACUGUACCAACCAAAAGCAACAAGGAAAUGAACCACAACCAUUUAACAAAUUCAAUGUUAUAAGAAUAGUUAGUAGAUUUCAAAUUGAGUGUAUACCACAAAAGAACACCAUCUUUAACAUGAUCAAACAAAGCAUUUGUACUAGCAUUGAUUGGAAGAUAUCUCUUCAAGAGAGGAUCUUCUCUCAAAUAGUUAUUGAUAUGUGACACAUAAGAAGCUUUCUCGGACUCAUUUAUCGCGUGGUGGAAAGUUGUAGUUCCUGUCUUGAGAAACGAGGAAGCGCCUUUUGAUCCUCGCGAUUGCACUUUUAAAAAGGCCUGUCACAAAAUCAUAUAAUAGACAACAUUGUUAUGACUUGCAAACAUAUGCAACUCUAGAGAUCAUAUCAUAUUAUCAAACUCACCCGGAGAAAGGUCUCAAACUCGACUUCCUUAGCGCGAUUCGGAUAAGACUCAUCCAAUAUAGUUUUGAUCUUUUUUUCAUCAAACUUGCCAUUGAAUUGUUUCAACUUUGCUAACACUGAUGGUAAAUGUUUCACCGUGACACGACCAAACAGAGUUUUCGUCGAAUAAAACUACGAAAUCAAGAACCCGAAAAAGAUCAAUAUAUCGAAUGCUACUACAAAGUGUAAAGUGAUAAAUCAAAGGAUGAUGUAUAGAAGAGAAGAGACCUUGGAUUUAAGAGUACGUAACUCCACUUGUGUGAAUUGGCUCUGUAGCCAUGGAUCAGAGACAAGAACACCAACGUAACUAGACAUAUCUCUUAUGAUUUCUUGAAGAGGCGGGAGAGAGUAAUCUUUACUUUGGUUUGAUCUGAAAUGGUGACUUAACUAUGGAGUUUUGUUGUUACAUUAGUGAUUUUGAUUCAAGAGGCGUUAUAUAGAAGAUUAAUUUCUAUAAGAUUGUAAAUAUCUAAAGAUUUAAUAUUUUUAUCUAAAUAAUGCAUAUUUCUAUUAAUUUCUGUAGAUUUUUUUAGUAGAACUUGACAAAUAAUCAAAAGUACCUUUUUCUUUCCUCAAAGAUUAGAGUAAAAAAAAAUCCAACAUUACCACAAAUUGGAACUUUUGUAUCAAACCCUUCCUAAUUAGGAACCCUUCUUAAACCACACACAAGAAGAAAAAAAAAACUCUUUACAGUUUUACACAAUUUUUAUAAUGUUAAAUUUUGGUGAUAAUAUUUAAAAAAACCAACCAUAAAAUUGGUAAUUAGAGCAUUUCUCAAUCUUUAAGUUUACACAUUAUCAAGAAAACAAAAUUUGGUUAUUUGGUUUAAAUAUUUUGAUACACUGUAUUUGAUAUUACAAAUGUGUUGUCUGAAAUGAACUAUAUAUUAGCCUAUUAGGUAUAUGAUAUCUCAAUCACCACACGACACAUGAGCCACAAAUAUGCAUUUUAUGAAUCUGUCCAUUUAAAAACUCUCGGAAAUAGCAUUAAGCUGAUAAGAGUGUUCAGGUCCGGUCUAAGUGGGUUAGGAUAUAGAAGAGUGCUGGCCUAAAGGCCCAUCACUUACAAUAGAUCACAAUCUAUAACGACAUGAUGAGCCAAUGAAAAAUGCAGAGUUCCAUCAAGUCUUAGUGAGGAGAUCUUGUAAAGUAUAUAUCAGAAAACACCAUUGGCUUGAAUGGUACUCGACUAUUUUUUUGUGGUUAUAAUUUUUGAAAAUGUGAUCCCGCGGAAUAGAUACCAUUCAAAUUACAGAAAAUAUAUUGAUCGAUAAAACUUAAAAAACUAACUUUCGGAAAUUUGAUAAAAGAAGAAUUAUAACUCGACUUUUCUUAGGUUUUCAAUUUUGAAAAUGUGAUCACGCGUAAAAAUUUUAAUUUAUCAUUAGCGUUUUAAAAUUAUAUCUAAAAUUAAAGAAAUUUCGUUCGUCUACUAAAAAGUUGUUUUUUAGCUUUUCUAUGAUAAAAGAAAAUCUAUUUUCAGAUUAAGGAUUUUGUGGAUUUAUUGAUUCCUCUUACUAUUUAUAGUAAUUACUCCGUUGUUCAUUGUUAAUCUGGUAUUACCAGUCAAGCUCAAUAUAUGUAUGUGAUUAUUUGGUUCUAGCUAGUGUCUAUAAGUCUUAGUUUAUAUAUAUAUGCAACAAUGUCUGUGUGUUCUCUUAUAAUUUGCUAAAACAGCUAAGGUGGUACGAUAAUCAAACAAGUUGUAGGUGUCUUGAACAAACUUAGAUGUGAGACAGAACUUUUGGUUGCUAAACCAAAUUCGUAAAAUAAGAAAUGUAUGAUCAAAAGCUUGGAAGAAGAUCAGGUUCAUAUAAAUAUGUAAAACCAAAAACUCCACAAGUAAACAAUCAUUAAUAAAAAAAUUUGUCAAUGUGCUUUUGCAUCAUGCGUAUUGUUGUAAUGCAUGCAUGUACAACUUUCUUCUGCAUGUAUGAAGAAGAUGUCAGAAAAAACAAAUUGAUGAGAAAUAGAUUAGGUCAAAAGAGAUGAAAAGCGACUAUGUCAAAAUUGGUUUUGUAAGUAUAGUACACAACAUUUUUUUCCUUUUUUCUAAGAAUAUAAAUAUUUUGCUAAAAUUCAAAACAGUUAAGGUUUAUAAUAGAUAAAAGAUUACGUAACUAUAUAUAAAUGGUUUCAUGGCAAAAAAAACGUCAAAAUAUGAAAUCAAAAUCGCGAUCCAUCCACUCAACCAAACAACAUGAUGGAAAAGGUUAGAUUAACGCGAUGACGAUUUCGUUGUUCUUACGUUAAUACGAAAAAUCUUGCAUAUUAUGUAUUUUAUAAAAUCAUUGCACGUUCGAAGUUUGGAACCUAAAUUUUUUUCGUGUAACACAUUACUCAUCUACUUAUUUUCCCAUCAGAAAAUUCAACUAUAAGAUUUCUUUUGAUCUUACAAAUUAGGACUGGCCUAAUUUGUUUUGUUUUGGUCACACCUAACUAGGACUGGCCUACAAAGUGGUGGAUGAUUAGAGGCGGCUGUAAGAAGAUACGAUACCGUUUUAAUGAUGCACGAUUAGCUGUCUUGUCCCCAGGGUGAAGUAUGGGUUAAUGAUUAAAAGUGUUUUUGUUUGUGGUUUGGAUGAUAUAUUGUAUAGUAUCAUAUUCUUACCUACGUGGUCAUGACCUUCAACAACUUCCACUGGUGAAAAAACUAGUCUUACUUAGCUUGUCCGGCCAAGAAAACAACAUUAUCUAUAACAAGAAUGCUCAAGCUGUUCAUAUAUACUUGGACGGUGAGAUAAUAUUUAUGUUUUCGUGGCAAUGCAUGAACGUUAUACGAGGUCAAUAUUUGCAUUAUCUGAAAUUCUGAAUUGAGACAUGGUCAAGGAAAAUUCAUUUCUGUCUUUGUUCAAUAUUCCAAAAAAAAAAACAAAAAAAAAUCAUUUCUGACUUUUGAAAAAAAAGUAGUACCAUUUUUUUUUUAAAGAUGGUUGCGAUUAUAUUUUUUUACGAUUAUAUUUUAGCUGUAGUACUGUAUUUUAACUGACAAGAAAAAUUGAAUCAAGAACUUAACUACAUUGAAUUUUUGGUUGAUAUAAAAUUUUUGAAAAGCUUUAACAAAGAAAACAAAAAUAAAAAGGUAAUACCAUUUUUUUUUAUAAAGAUCGUUGCGAUUAUAUUUUACGAUUAUAUUUGAGCCAAAAUACUGUAUUUUUAACUGAUUAAAAAAAAAAUCAAUAACUGACUAUCAUUAAAAUUUUGGUUGAUAUUAACAGUUUUCGAAGACUGGAAAAUCAAAGCUAAUUGAAUUUUUGUUGGAAAUUUCCCAAAUAUUAAAUGCGUUUAAAUUGAGAAAACCAACAAUACAAAAACACUCGGAAAGUAAAAUGUCAUCAAAUAGAUGGAUACUAAAAGAGUUUAUCCCAACUGCAACUUUGGGAUUGGCUUGGGUGCAUCUCCUAAUAUUUUGGAUGUUACUAAGUGAGCUAAAUAUCAAAGUUAUAAUCAUUCAUAACCUAUAAGGCUAUAACCAAAAUCGAAAGGUCAUUUUAUUAUAUGACUGAAUAGUAUUUUUUUUUAUGUGUUGGCUUAUAACUUAAUAUAAACUUCAUGAUGGGUCAGUUAUGUAAUAGUAUUAUGUCCAAACAAACUAUAUAUGUUAUCUGGAAAUUGCUUGCCAAUUUUGUCGGUGAGAACAAAAAUUUCAGACAUAUAUAAUGGGUGUUAAAUCGAUAUCAAAUGUAUCAAAAUGAGUUAUGCCUAACAAUUAACAAUUAACAAAUAAUAUUUUAAGAAAGUAGUUAAAUCAUUUUUUGACUCACGCAAACCAAAUUUUAUUUUAUUUGGAUGAAUUUACUUAAUUUAUGUUAUUUAAUUGUUAUAGGAUGAAUGAAUGUCUAAUGUAACUCAAAUAAAUUACUAAUUUUAUUUUAGUUUCCAUCACACACGCAUAUAUAUAUAGAGAGAGGUAUUUGCAUGGAUUUGAUAUAUCACCAAUAAACUAAUGAAAAAAUAGUUAGCCGUUGCCAAUUAUUAAUCUUUUGUAAUUAUGGUUUGUUAUACUGUCAGAAUAGUUUCAAAGUUGGAUAAGGUGGUGGUUCAGUACAAAGAAAAAAAAAUGGUUAGUUGAUUAAUUUUAAAAAUUUAACAUAUUUUUGGUCAUGCAAUAUCAUGAUAAAAAUAAUUUAUUAAAGAAAAACUAAUGUAUUGUCAAAACAAAAUGAUUGUGAGUAAAGUGGCCAAAUGAUUUUCGAUUGGAUCAGUUUUAGAGGAUUUUUCAGGUAAUUUUACCAACUAUUACAUUCAUUUUAAGAUUAGUUACGCAGAAUCAAUUUUUUUCACCUAAUAUUUCAUUUGCUACAUCAGCUCAGGAGGUUAAUCUUCAGCUGAGAAUGACGACUCAUGGGAUUGGUAUAUUUUUGCAAUGUUUGAAGAAGAUCAAAUCCGAUAAAACGGAUUUAGUUUUUUUGUGUCUGAUCGUGAUUCUUCAAUUGAAACCAUGCUCUCAACAAAUUAUCGAUAUGCUUAUCAUAAAAUUUUCACUUUCCAUUUGCAAAAAAGACCUGGAACGUGUUCCCCUUUUUUAACUUGUUUACAAGAUCUUAAGAGCUACCAAAACACAAGAAAUUGAUUAUUUAUUCACUCAAAGCUUCAAUGGUGACCAGAAACUUGCAAAUGAUCUUUGGGAAGCAGAUUUUAGAAAAUGGUCAUAUGCUUAUUCUCCUUCUAACAUGUACAACAUCGUAAUAUCAAACUUAGCUGAAUCUAUUAACUCUUCGUUGAAAAAGAUUCGCGAACAUUCAAUCGUUUGCAUAUUUGAGACAAUUAGAUAUAUUUUGACUAGAUAGUUUAAUGAGCGAUGCGAGGAGAGUUUUCAAUGUUACUCUAAAUGAAAGCCUUUUAUGAUGAUUCUACUCAUUGGCUUGAAAUUUGUCGAGUAAAUCAGUCUUUAUUUUGAAGUUUUUUUUUUUGGUAGGAUCUCUAUUUUGAAGUUAAAUAAGAUCUAAAGACGCAUGUGGUGAAUUUGUGCACAUGAUGUGUGUUUGAUAUUACUAAAACAUCAUAUAUAUAUAUAUAUAUAUAAAAUAUAUAUAUACAUGAAUUCAAUUAUGAACAAAUACACAAAGCAUAAAGAAGUACAUAAUAAUAAUAAUAAUAAUAAUAAUAAUAAUGAUAAUAAUAAUAAUAANNNNNNNNNNNNNNNNNNNNNNNNNNNNNNNNNNNNNNNNNNNNNNNNNNNNNNNNNNNNNNNNNNNNNNNNNNNNNNNNNNNNNNNNNNNNNNNNNNNNUUAUUAUUAUUAUUAUUAUUAUUAUUAUUAUUAUUAUUAUUAUUAUUAUUAUUAUUAUAAGAAAAAAAAGAAGUACAAAAUAUUGAGAGAUAUGAACCCAGUUAUGAAUAAAGCUUGCAAAAUUAAACACGUUAUAUAAUUUGUAUGAAAUAAAGCUUGUACCAUAAGGUUGGUGAUGAGUCAAAAUUUAGAGAAGAAGACAAAUUAAAUAUAUAUGUGCAAAAGCCAAUGGGGUGAUUAGGAAAUCUCACCAUACAUAUACUCCAAUUUGCUUUCUAAGUUUCUUCCACAUCUCUGUUUUACUUUUACUUACAAUUCACGAAUUAUAAGAAAUUAUUUGCAAUUCAGAAUUGAAAAAAAAGUGUUCAGAUCAAAGAGUUCUACUUAAUUUUAUUUAUACAAAUUUUCAACUAAACGUAACAAUUCCUUAAAAGUAUCUCCAAGUAAUUGUUUAUAUUACAAUACAAGUUAAUUAAUAGGGAUGUUCACGCGCACCUUGUGAAAAAUAUUAAUAUAGUACUACACUAUUACAUUUCUAUAUAAUAUAUGCAAAAUAAAAUAUAACCACAUUUAUUAAAUGAACAUAUAGUAAAUAAAAACAAAUCCAAAAUUUUGGAAUUACAUUAAUUAAUUGUAAACUACAAUCUUGUAAUUUAGUAAAUAUGUGCUAUUAUUAGUUGAUAUGUCACUACCCAAACUUAAAUUACGUUUAACCAUUACAAAAAAUCCGCGGUUAACUACUCGAAAACGUUUAGUAAAAAAAUAAUUAUUUUUAACCGAUAUAUUAAUCGCAAAAAACAUUUAUAAUUUCAUAAAUUGAGUUUACACCAACCAAAAAUUUUAUGUGGAAGGAAAACACCAAAAUGAAUAAUACAACCAUUAGGCUAUAAAUCAUGUCAAGAAAAAAGAAAACAAUUUAUUAUAAAUUGUUGAAAAAAUGUAUUUAUAUAUUAAACAAGUAAUAAAACAACAAUAAAUGAUAAACAUAGAAAAAAAACACAACACUUAUGAUUGAGAGAGACACUAAAAUCAUAUAAGGUAAAAAGAUUAUGAAUAAAAACAAGAUUUAUGAUAUGUUUUUGUGUAAAGAGCAAAAACCACACGACACAAUACAACCCCGAGCCAGAACGGUGCUGCAACAACACCGCAUAGUUUUUACACAGCCUGUCUUUAAAAAACCUUCCUCUUUAAUAUUUAUAUACUCUCUUCUUCCUUUCUUUAAAUACCCUUCUUCUCUUCUUCUUCUUCUUCUGCGAGCUCUCUCUUCUUAAAGAAACACAAAGACUUUCACAUUCUUACACCAUUAUUUGCUCUCUCUGCUCAGGUCAGCUUUUUCUCCCUCUCUCUCUUCUACUUUCUUGGUACUUACAACAAUGUCAUUGAACUACUACUAUGUACACUUGUUGUCUUAAGUUUUAUGUUCUUGUCUGAUCCAAUCCAGAUCUAGUUUGUGUCUUGGGUCUUGUGAACUCUUAGCUUCUUUAUUGUCUUUAUGUCAUUGUGUCGGUUUGUUAUUCUUAUUUUCUAGUUUAAGCCUCAGUUUGUUAGUAAUGUUGAAGAAACAGUUUCAAGAUCUGAAUUGACUAACACUUAAAGAACUCAAUUCGAUUUAGUAUGAUCAAGCAGAUCCGGAUCUGAGACUUUGUUCAUUCAUUUGCUGUGUUUUCAUGAGUUCUUGAUAAAGAUUCGAUCUUUUGUUCCUUCACUUGCUUUGUAUUCAUGGGUUCUUGAUAAAGAUUUGCUUUCUUGAAAAUGCAGUGGGAGAGUCAAGAAACAAUGGCAAAGAUGCAAUUCUCAAUCUUUAUAGCUGUCUUUGCGGUUAUUGUGUGCUCUGCAUCUGCUAAAACUGCAAGCCCUCCAGCUCCAAUGCUACCACCGACACCAGCUCCAGCACCAGCUCCAGAGAAUGUGAAUCUCACAGAGCUUUUAAGUGUAGCUGGACCGUUCCACACAUUCCUUGACUACCUUCUCUCAACUGGAGUCAUUGAGACUUUCCAAAACCAAGCUAACAACACCGAGGAAGGUGUUACAAUCUUUGUCCCAAAAGAUGAUGCUUUCAAGGCUCAGAAGAAUCCUCCUUUGUCCAAUCUCACAAAGGAUCAACUCAAGCAGCUUCUUCUCUUCCACGCUUUGCCUCAUUACUACUCGCUUUCCGAAUUCAAGAACUUGAGCCAGUCUGGUCCAGUGAGUACUUUUGCUGGUGGCCAAUACUCCUUGAAGUUCACAGAUGUUUCUGGCACGGUUCGAAUCGAUUCUUUAUGGACCAGGACUAAAGUUAGCAGCAGUGUUUUCUCAACAGACCCUGUUGCUGUUUACCAAGUGAACCGUGUGCUUCUACCAGAAGCAAUCUUUGGUACUGAUGUCCCUCCAAUGCCAGCUCCAGCUCCUGCUCCUAUCGUCAGUGCUCCUUCUGAUUCGCCUUCGGCUGCUGAUUCUGAUGAAGCCAAUGCUAAAUCACCAAAGUCCGCGAAAAAGAACUCUGGACAAAAGCUGGCUCUUGCUCCAGUCGCUAUGGUUGUUUCAGGUUUGGUGGCAAUGUUCUUGUGAUCAAAUAUGGUUUUUGCAGAUUGAGUAUGUUUUAAGUUACAGUGUCAAAGAUUUGUAUUACAUCAUUCCAAUUGUCUUUUGAUUCUUGAAACCCAUUUUUUAUUAUACAUUUUUAAAAAUCAUUAUUAUUGUCGUCAUUACCAUUGUUGUGAAUUGAAAUUGUUCCUACAUUUUUACUUUUCUUUAGUUGGUUUUGCUUCAUUUGCAAGUUAAGAUGAUACAAAGGGAGUUAAAGUUCAUUCUCUUUGAUAUAAGUUCAAGAUAAGUCACAAAAGCUAUAUACUUUUUUUUGUAAUCCCUUUAGUUACAAUGGGAUGCUUUUGUUGGAAUCAUUUACAUAUGUGUUCCCUUUAAACCGAGAAAAACCGAUUCGAUAGUCGUUAAUGUAUGCUGAACCGAACCAAACCGUUACCAAAAUCUUAAAUUAAUUUUGUCAAACGGUUUGCUAAACUCUUAAAUAUCGGUAUCGAGAACCAAAUUUUUUGGUUGAUCGGUUCGGUUUGGUCGAUUUGACCGUAUGCCAAAGAUUAGGUUUAUGAGAUAAAAUUAAUACUCUUUCCGUUUUUAUUACUUGUCGUUCUAGUUUAAUUCACACAUAUUAAGAAAACGAUUAAAACUACGAGUAAAUACAAAACAACAAUUAAUAUGAAACAAAAUUUUAACUCUAAAACGACAAAAUUAAAAAAAUGGAAGGAGUAGUGAUUCUUUACUCUGGUAAGUAAAAUUUUCUUAAUUUGGUUAUAUACCUAACACCAACUCUAGUAAAGUAUACUCAAAUCAUUUUCUUAACUUUGGUUGCAAUACCUAACUAACUCUUGUAUGUUAAAAUCAGGACAGGUCAACCAUUAGAUCGAGUCAUUUGUCAGAAAAUGAAACAAAAAACGUAGAUCAGAUCCCCAGAGACAAAACACAAAAAGUCAUCUGAGUAUGAUGAAUUAAAUAAAUAAAACUUUGUACCAUUUUGUUUUAACUAUUUAUUAGUUUAUUACUAUCACGAACGCAUAUGUAUAUACGAUUCUUUUUUCAGCCACAUGCAAAUUUAGUAAUUUACUAUAUAUGUUAUCUAUAAUAUUUACUAUGUUAAUAUGAUAUUUAUAUUUUAGACUAUACAAUAAUUUUUAAUCAUAGAUAAUUAUUUUAUUUUCACGAAGUUAUCAUAUAACUAACGUUUUUAAAGAAUUUUUAUCAUAAUUUUUUUUUAAAAAUAAUUAGAAAAUGAUAUUAUCAAAAAAUAAUAUUUUCCACAAUGUAAAUGAUAUAGACAAAAACAAUUUAUUAUGAUUGAGUUACAUACAUAUAUAAAAAGGGGAAUUUACAUUUCAUAGACUCAGUUGACCGAUUAAUUAAGAAUCUAACAACUAAAUUCAAUAUUUACCUCUCUCUUUUUCCAUACGUUUCUACCCCUAUCUCUCACUCUAAAAGCCUAAGUUUAUUGCUUUGGCAAAAGAAUAUUAAAGAGUCUUUAUUUUGAUUUUUUUAGAAACUAAAAAAACAAUAUACGAUGAUACAAAGCAUACGACAUUUUUUUGGCUAUGGUCAAGAGUCCCAAUGGAUUUUUUGAGUAGCAAGAUGAUAUUUACAAACAACGGAGUUAAAAUUUGUUUUGAUUUACUUGUUUAUGAUUGUGUGUGUUGUGUUGGUGUGAAAUUGAUCCAUGGAUAGAAUGGAAAAGCGGUGAGUUCUCAAUUUUAUUGUACAGAGCAAGGUUGUUUUGGUUUUGACGAAGACAAAAUAAGCCAAAGAGUGAAUUUAGUUAACAUGUAUCAACAUAAUUAUCCAUAUUUAUAAUUAUCUAUCUAUUAUAAGUUAUUUGAUAAAGUUAUAGUUAUUUUUGUUAAUCAUAUAUUACCGGUAUAAACUAUAAGUUACUUGAUAAACACAUAAUAAUGUAGUUAAAUUAUUUAUUAUAUAUUCACAUGCAUCCCUAAAAGAAAUAAAAUUAUUUACAAAUCAGGAUAAAAUUAUCAUUUUAUAUAUAUAAAAGGAAUAAAAUUAUGUAGUUUUUCUCUUUAUUUUAAAUAGAGAAAGGUGCUUUUCAAAAUUCAAACUAAUAAAACUUAAAAUAGGGUAGUUUUCAAAAAAAUUGAUUUGAGAUGCUAAAUCAAUUUUGCUUCUGAUGUGUUUUACAAACAAAUAUUUAUUAGGAGAAUCAAAUAUGAAAGUUCCUAAAAUAUAGGGUCUCAUUUUGUAAAAUCCACCCAACUCUAUAGAAACGUCAAACGUGAAUUACAAAGUGUUUUCCUCUGUUUUAUUAUUUCUCUCAAACUCUUCUCUGCUAAGGAACAAUAAAUAUAAUAUCUAAAUGUGUUGAAUAGAUCAUUUCUCUUAUAACUUCUCGUCGUUUUCAUAAAACUCUCAAAUUUUCCCGAGAUUUUUUUCCUUUCUCGAUCGAUUCAACUCCUAAAGGUUGAACCUUUUUCUUGUGGGUUGUGUAAAGUUUCCACCUUUCGUCUUCCUCAAUCGUUUCUCUCUGAUCUGUGAGAAUGGGGCAACAGCAAUCAAAAGGGGAAUUGCUGUAUCAGCAAGUGAGCUAUGGUAACGCUGAAGGGAUUCGAACUCUUCGUCGAGAUGGUGCAGACCUUGAGGUUUCAAUUUGGUUUUUCUUAAUCGAAAAAUUAGGGCUUUUGCAGGGAUACAAUCGUGUGUUCUGGUGAUUUUGAUUUUGAGAUUGUGUGUGUUUUGGGGAUUGCAGUGGAUGGAUAGAGAAGGGAAGACUCCAUUGAUUCUGGCUUGUAUGAACUCGGAGCUUUUUGAUGUUGCUAAAACUUUGAUCGAGUUGGGUUCUAAUGUUAAUGCUUAUCGCCCUGGUAUGUUAAAAAUCUUAGCUUUUUGAUUGAACUUGUUGGUUUGUAGUUGUAUAUGUAAUAGUGGAGCUUGAGUAGCUGAGUCAAACCUAAGUUAGGAUGUCGGUGGCAUUGUGAUAGUCAUUGAGAUGUAGCUUUGUCUAGUUGCAGCUAGUGAAUGCAUUUGGAGUUUGAGACCUUGCUAGAGAUUGUGGUUUGUUCGAAACGAUGCUGGAUCGUAGAUGCUUACAGUUAGAAAGAAGGUUUUAGUUUUAAAGUGUGUUUGAGCUAAUGUGCUCAUUUUGCUUUAGGUCGCCAUGCCGGGACUCCUCUGCACCAUGCUGCAAAAAGAGGUCUAGAGACCACUGUUAAGCUACUCCUUUCGCACGGUGGUAAGUGUUUAUCCUUCCUCUCCUGGAAUUUGAUUGAUGUGAGUUAUAUAUUAAGUUAUGGUGUCUUUAUCUCAUAUGGUGUAUCCCAUUUUCUUGCAGCAAAUCCGCUUGUUCUCAAUGAUGAUUGUCAGACACCACUUGAGGUUGCUAGAGUUAAAGGGUUCAGCAAUGUCGUACGUGCAAUUGAGGUAUGCUUGAAACCUGUUUGAUUAUUCUUUGGUGGCUGACAUUUGAAAUAUACGAUUACCUUUGUGGAUUAAUAGUCUUUUAAAUUUUGGAUUCUGUAGAGUCACAUCUGCUUGUUCUCUGGCUGGAUGCGUGAAUUUUACGGCCCUACCUUUCUUGACUUAUUUGCUCCGCAGCUUCUUUCAAGAAGAGUGUGAGCAUCCAUCCAUUGAACUUCACCUUUAUCUUUCUUUCCUUUUUGUCAUGGAAAACUCGUUUCUUAUCACUGAAUUAUGAGGAAAUUUCUCUUGUGCACAUGGAUAUGAAUCUUCUUUAAACCUUGAUUUGCAGAUGGGUAGUCAUCGUACCUACUGGUUCAAGAAACCCUGGAAAACCUUUCAAGUUGGAGCUGGUUGUAUAUGCUAGUCUGCAGGUAUAAUCAUCAUUACAUAAUGACGUGUUACUUUCAAUGUUUUCAAGUUGCAUAUUUGGCUAAUCUGUCUAUAAAACUGGUCUGACGUAAUCAGGAUGCACAGCCACGCACAGUGAUGCCUUUGUGGAAAGCAAACUUGGAAGAACCAAAGACAAAGCAUUCCGAUACUUCAGUGAUGAUUGUUGACAACUCUUCAAGUAAUUUUCCAGGAACUUUUAUAUGCUGUUGACAUGCAACCUCUAGUUUUGUGGAUGUUGAUUGAAUUUUAUUCUGGUGGAUAGUCCCAAGCCGCAGGAAGAAGAAACGAAGGGCCUGCGCCUCCCACGGGAGACGUGGGCCUCAAGUAGUUAGGCGUAAGUCUACACUGUUUGGUUGCUGAAAACUGUCCUUAGUUUGUAUCAGAAUAUUUUGACCUCCAUGUUUUGAUUUGCCAAGAAAGUAUCUUAAUCGAUGUCUGUUUUAUAUGUUCUUGCAUUAUAAAUUUAUUUAUUCAGUGAAGCAGAAACAUGUAAUCUUGUCUAUUUUUUCUUACAGAAACACGGCUUAAACUCGCACCUUCGACUGAAGGUGACACACAACAGCUGAAGUGGUUCUGUGAUGCAUGUAAAGGGAUUCCACAGGUAAUGUCAAAUAUAACAUCUAUUGGAUAUAUUGAGAUUUCUUGUUUCAUUUCUUCUUUAUUUGGUUCUACAUAUUGAAACUCGCUUGGAAUAUACAUAUACAGCCGAUGCAUCCUCCGGCCUUUCUCCAAACAGCACCAUCUGCUCCACCACCACCAUUAGAAGAUGAACUAGCCAUGGCAAUGAACGCUUCACUUCAUACUAGUAUGAGUGACCCAUCAAAUCUCAGUCACCAUUCCAACAGCCAAGCAAGUUCCUCAUCCGGUGCAAGCUCAUCAACCGCACCUCCUCCUCCCUCAGGAAAAGCAAGCGCCUUUGAUCACAAUACCCAUGGAAUUGCCAUUGUCCAAGAAUCUUCACCAUCAGCUCCUCCAUUGACAGAUGAUGAUAUAUCAACUGUAGCCGAAGGUCCGAUUAUUUACCCAUCGAUCGAUUCAACACCCGUCGAUGUCCCAUCUGCUUCUUCCCUUCCAGCUUCAACAGAUGGUGGAAGGAAAGAUGAUGGGAGCACUGGAACUUGUGCGAUAUGUCUGGACGCUCCAUCUGAAGCGGUUUGUGUCCCGUGUGGACAUGUUGCAGGAUGCAUGUCUUGCUUGAAUGAGAUCAAAUCCAAGAAAUGGGGAUGCCCGGUCUGUCGCGCCAAGAUUGAUCAGGUUAUUAAGUUGUACCGUGUCUAAAAUAGACAGGUACAAACUCCAUGAAAUCGUCUCUAUCCUUCAACAUCUGUGCUGUUAACGUUUUCAACCAUUGAAACUAUCUCUAUUACACAACCAAAACCAAUACCUCAUUUCUCAUAAACAAUAUGUAUACAUUUUGAAACCUCCAAAAACAGUCCCUAUGUUCUGUAUAUAUGGUUUUGGACGCAAGGAAGAAUGUAAAGAGUGUUAAUGUAUCAUGUUCCUAUCUUGUUUUCUCAGAUUUGUAUCUAUGAGCUCAGUAACUUCAUAAAGCGAUACGUGGCUCAAUUGAAAAAGGUGGCUUGUACAAUCUAAUGUUGUAUAGAAACUAAUGUUAGGAUAAUUAAGAAAAUAUAUGUGGUACAUAAAGAAGAUAACCUUUGAACCAACAAGAAACAGAGGAACACAAUAAUGGCCUCUCGUUUCUUCACACCUUCACCAACCACCACAAGUGGUGGUGGAGACGCCGUCUAUGUAGCGGCGGUGCCACUUAAAGCGGCUCCUGGCCCGCCCCAGCUUGUUAUGUCAAUGGCUUACUCACUUAAUCUCUGGAAGCUACAGCAUUUCAUGGUCCUCAUCAAGCCUUCUUCUCCAAUUCCUCGAGAGGUUUGUUUCUAUGUAACUUUAUCACUAAAAGGCUUCAAUGAGUCAUGUUACAUGAUGAACUUAUCCUGUUCUCUGGAAUCUUUAGGUGAUUGUGUUUGAUUUCCAGCCACGUAAUCCAGAGAGCAUAGAAGCAGCAAUCUCAGUUAUGUCAGGAAGUUUGAUUCCAGGUUCUGAUUCCCAGACAAUGAUAUCUGUGAUUCAGACAAGUUUUCUCCGGAUUUCAACGAAUCUUUUAUGAACAUGGAAGUGUUUAGUGUAGAUAAAACUUUUUUUUAAAAGUGAAAAAGAGUAGGGGAAUCUUGUAAAUGUAGUCAAGAUUCUUACCAAAACUCUUUUUGGUUUGUUAGGUGUAGUUCUUGAAAGAAGGUUGAAGAAUGUUCCAAGGCAAAGAUGUUGGAUGGUUGGAUCAUCAUCUAAAGGGAAUGCUAUGGAAAUGGCUAUUGAGUUUAAUAGCUCAUGGGAGACUGAUCUUAGAGUUGGCUUUCAUGACUGUCGACAUUAUACCAAUGGUACUAUGUAUUAUUACAUAGCUCAAUCUAAUAAGACUUUGGUUUUUUUAUUUGUUUCUAAGUCUUUGUCUUUGCUUAUUUGUCUUUGGAAAACAGAACUUGUCCAACAUCUUACUGGAGAGAUACAAAUCUUGGAGAGACUCUCAAGAAGCUAAUAUGUUAAUAGUAUAGUCUCAUCAAUUCCUGAUGUGAUAACUAGUAGUUGAAAAUAAAGUUACAUUUGUAGUAUGUUUAUUAGUGAGAAAGGAUGAGUACUUUUGUAUAAAAUUUAUUUUUUCAAGUAACUAUUGAAAUUUUCUUAAUCCAAACUAGAAAGUAAUGCAAAUGAGCUCAUGACUCAUAACUUAUGGAAUUCAAAACAUAGAAGUACUCAUAAAAGAGGGGAUUCUGGUUUCGGUUCGGUUUUGGUUUUCGGUUUACCGGUUUGAUUAAAAGAACCAUAAUAAUUGUAAUUUGAUUGGUUUUUGGUUUAUUGGUUUCAUAAUAACUAAAAGUAUUUAUAAAGAAAACCACAAGUGAUUUGGUAUGAUUUGGUGUCGGAUUUUGUUUUUCAUGAUGAUUUGGUAUGAUUUGGUGUCGGAUUUUGUUUUUCAUGAAGAACAUUACCCUUAAUGAAUAUCUUUUUCAAUCUGCACCGACCAAGCGAUUGAAAUAGAGCAAAUAAUCAAAGACUAUCUCAUGUAUGUUUAGCACCACACUUCACAUAUAUAAUUGAAAUUUAGAACAUAUAUACAUCAUUAAGGAAUUGUCAAGAAAUGCUAAAGAGGUAUAUAUUGAUCAUCUUUAUAAACAAAUAAAAAACUUUUGUGAUACAAUACAUUGUAUAUAUUGAUCAAUGUUACCUAAUAAUAAAAUUAUAUAUAUAUAUAUAUAUAAUGAAACCUCUACAAAUUAAUAACUUAAGACUAUUAUAUUUUUAUUAAUAUAUAGAGAUAUAAACUUAUUGAUUUAUAAUUUGAACAAAAAACUCAAUUUUAAACCAAAAAAGAAUAUUAUUUUUGUAAAUCGAGUAUUAAUUUAUAGAGGCUAUAAAAUAUAACCGAAAACUAUAUAUAAUAAUAUAUAAUUUAAAAUUCUUUUUAACCGAAAACCGUUUCUUCUCUGAGUCAAUUUCAAUUGUUUCGUUAUUUGUGUUUAGAGAAAUUUCCUAAGAUUACAUCAUUUUUUUAGUUUUUCUUCCAAAAAUACCACAAAAAUUUUAUUUUUCCAAAAAUACCAUAAACAUAAAAAGUUGAUUUUUAAAGGUAUAAAAUUAGUUUAUUUAAUGUUUGAGUUGACUAUUUAUAUUUAGGGUAUAGUUUUUAGAGGUAAGCUUUAGUGUUUAGGAUUUUUUCAUAGCAACAUAAACAUUCUUCUGCUGCGACCAACACAAAGGUCAUAUUAGAAUAUUUGAACAAAAUAAAGGAGUCUAGGAGAUAGUCAUGAGAAAGAAAGAAAAAACAAUAAAGGAGAUUAGUCCGAUAGCUCUUCUCCAAGGCAUGGAAAUGCAUUUUCGAUGUCUUGGGACAUACCAAACAUCACUUUGUGAGAAUCCAAAAGCUGAAGAUGCAACUUUUUGUGAGCCCUUAGGUUGACUGUAACAACUAAAUUAUCUUCCAUCUCUAUCCUCACAUAUUCGGUAGAUGCUACUACAGCCUCACACAAUUGAUGGAGAUUGUGCACCGUUUGUCCGUUAACGCAAUUUACCUCCAAAUCAUCCAAUAAAGUAUAUCCCUUGUUAAUACUACUUUCCAAAACCUGAGAAAUCACAACUCCUCCAUUGAUACCUUCAGUGAAAACUAGUCCAGCUAGAAUUAAGUAGCUUGGAGCAGGAUAAUCCGAUAUUGUAUACCAAUUAUGCAUUGGAACCAAUUCCACAUUGAUGUUGUUGACUUCUCUGUUUCUCAAAAAUUUGAAAGAUACUUGUUCAAAGUGUUUCUUCAAAGCUAUAUAGCCAUUCAAAUGUAUCCAAAAUUUUUCUCAAAGAAAACUUGUCCAUCAUUUUGUACUACCAGCCCAUCAAUUUCAAGAAUCACAUCGUCCUCUUCCAAAUAUUGGAGAUUUGGUGAAAGCUCAUUGUUGGUGCAUGGUUUAGCACCAACAUCAUACCGCAUUUAACCGGACUGGGAUUUCAUAAUUGAACCGGUUUAAGCUCUUACUAAAUGUGGGCCUUCGGGAAAUCCCACCAGGUCGCCGACGUAACUUAGGCAACAAGUUCCCAGUUUAAUUAGGAAAUAUUAAUUCCUAUAUUCAUGGGAUUAGCGUAUCUUGUAAUUAGUAUAAAUAGGGGGUUGUCCUAUAUUAAGAGAUCUCGAAACAUUAAUACAAAAACCAUAUUCUCUAAUUUCAAAACCCUAGUUCGUUCUUCAAGUUCUUCAAGCAACCUAAUCUUUUUCUCCAUCGAAUAUGUUCAAAUAAACCGAUCAGAUCCCUUGUGCGAAUUUUUGUUUCCACACUCACUAACCCAUGUGACUAGAACGCCAGUCAUUUUCUUUUUCAUCUUAAAAUAGGCCCGCCUCAUGGGGUUUUCCAUAGCUUGUAAAGAAAUACCAAGUGAACCAAACCCUCUAUCAUCUCCUCUCUCUACACUAGCUAAGAAAAUCUCAAUUAUGGGAGAUGGAAUUACAUAUCUGCAAAACAUAACUUAAUUAGUAAAUGCAUUGAAAGGAAGGAGGAAAUUAUUGUUUACGAUUUAUAAAUUAGUUUUGAAUGUUAAAAAUUUUAGUUUUAGUUUUGUGGUAUUUUUGCAAAAAAAUGUAUAGUUAGUAGUAUUUUUGGAAAACAAAACUUGUAAUGAUAUUUUUGGAAAAUAUACCUAUUUUCAUGGUAUUUAAAAGAAUUCUCCUUAUUUUUAACGUUUUAUCUAUUAUACUUGUACGAUUUUUUUAGCCGUAAAUUUCGAUAUUUUUGUUAAUUUUAGCUUUUCUAUAUAUAUAUCCGCAGUCCUAACUUGAAAAAUAGUACAAAAUACUUUACACAACCCUAAAAAAUGGUCGAAUUUUCGAUAUAUCUAAUUUUCGGAUCAAAUCAAAUCUUGGAUAUUUGGUAGAUCAUUCAAACCAUCACCACUCGAACAUAGGACCACCGGGACGAGCACUCUUCAACUAGUCUUUUAUUUCUAUGUGUAAAAUCACCUUUCAAAACCUAAAAAAUACAAUAUCCCACUCAGUUUUUGUUUCUUGUACAUUUCUCUUUAAGAUAAUACCCAAGUUUAAAAUAAGACCCCAUCAUCUCUGUUAAUCAUGGGGUCACUUCCUAAAGCGAACCUCCCAAGUUUCUAUCUCCCCACUAUUUGCCUUUUCAUUUCUUUCCUAAAACUUUUCUAGUCAAAAAAAAAAAAAAAACCCAUGAUAAACUUAAGCACUACGACUACUAGAUAGAUAACAAUUAACAAAUAAACAAAAAGGAAUUUUUAUUUUCUUCCCAAUUGGCCACUUGCACUUUUUUCACCCAAUAUAUACCUCUAAGUAACCUCUCUUCUCUUUCGUCAAAAAAACUCACUUCCCCUCCUCUCUAAACUACCAAAACCUAAAGAGAAAAAAAUCAAGAAGCUAUCAAGAACUUCAAAAACAUGCUCAAGAUGUUGUCAGUAUUAAGGCGAAAAAGCCCGCGUGUCGCGGACGAAAGCGCGAUGGCGCCUUCCACGGUUAACGAGGGUGAUCAUCAAGAGGGAAGUGUGAUGAUGAAGUUCCCGUUUUCUUCGAUCAUGUCAUGUUUUGCGGUUCCACGAGUUAGCAAGACAGAUGGUGUUUGGGUGUCGGGAGAUUAUGGUAAGGUCACGUCGGAGGUUAACCAUCUCAUGGUUUGUGAUGGCAUGAGAUACGCUCUCUUGAUGUAAUUAUUUAGUUUUAUAUAUCUCUCAACUUAAUAUUAGCUACUAGUGUAAUACACAUUUGUUUUUGUGUUGAUGGCUUUUUUGUUUUAAUUAGGGUAUUUAGUGAAGAUUAUACAAAAGUCUUUUCACUUUUUUUUUUUUCGUUUCUUUUGUGUCCAUGAUGAGACUUGAAGUUAGGAAUAUUUAACUUUUUCUUUUUUGUACACAUCUGUCUUUUGAUAUUGCAAUAUGCUAGUGGUUAAUUAGAAAACUACCCACAUACACAACUUGGAGAUUCUUGAAUUUGAUAAUGACUGAUGAGUUAAUUGAUUUAUUAUGUCCACAUAGUAUUAUUAUUAAUUAGGGAAUUGUCAUCCACCAAAUAAAUGAUAGUGAUUAAUAUUGUCAAAAAAAAAAAUGGAAUAUAUAAUCCAUUAAUCAAGAAAAUACAAGUUGGGAUAAGCAACUUUUACUUAUGGUUGAUAUAACUUUACGUUAAGGUUUGGUAGUGGUGGUGAGGUUACUGGUUAGUAUUAAUAUUACAUGAUUUCACAAUUACGUUUUCCUAAUUAGAGAUUAAUAUAAGAUAUGUUAUAAUAAAAACUGAUGUGAUAUGACUGACUUGGCUGACCAUAUAUAUAUUAUUAGUCUAGUAUUUUGUUUAAACACCAAACCAAUGUUGUGUCAUAACCCCAUAUAUAAAUUUUAAAACGUGCAACUACAAUUUUAUUAGAUAAAUGAUCUCUAAUACCACAUUUAACUUUUUUGUUUUCAAAAAGAACCAAUCUUUCUUUUCUUUCCAAAAAUACGACAGAAAUUUUUUAUUUUUCUAAAAAUACUAAAAAUAUAUAAAAAUGAAUUUUGAAGAUAUAUAUAUAUAUAUAUAUAUAUAUAGAUUUUAAGUUUGAGUUGACUAUUUUAUACUAACGAUAUAGACUUUUGGGGUAGAAUUUAGUUUUUACGAUUUUAAAUUAGUUGUUAAAAAUAUAGUUUUAGUUUUUUGGAAAAAAUCUCUAUGGUAUUUUUGGAAUAUAAAACAUAAUGAUAUUUUUGGAAAAAUACAUAUUUAAGUGAUAAUUUGAAACAAUUCUCCAUUUUAUUAUAACAUAAAUGACACAAUGUAUAUUAAGCUCUAGUUAUGAAGUCAUUCUCCAUUUCGAUUUAUAUAUAAUGAAUUCAAUAAGAUAUGAUUAGAGAAUUGGUCAAAAUUUUAGUUUAGGUAACGCGUAGAGUACAAUGUGGGAAAAAACUCAUGUCCACGUUUAGUGCGACACAGCAAGAACCAACCCUUUUUAUAAUAAUCAUUGGCAUGGCCACUGCCCAAAUUUAAUUUAUAAAACAAAAUAGCAUUGUUGUGUUGUGUUAUGUCGACUAAUAAAAUUUAGGAUUAGGAUGUUUUCUUAGUGCGGUUUGCUCUAUGAAUCAUCCCAUCAUUGCGAUUGACGUUUUGGUAAAAUUUUUGUCUCUUAAAAUGAUUGGUGAAUUUAUUAGAAUCUAGAUUGUGCUCGAAGAAGCCCUUGGUGUCGAAUUUUCUACUAAUGAACCAAGACUUUUUAUUUUCUUUCGUUUCAUAGAUAAUUAUUAAAGUUAAAACUACUUAUAUAUUCGUGUAGAUUAUGAUAAGACAUGCAUACCACAAAUGAUAUAAUAAGAUAUGUAAUAACCUCAUAUUUCGUAGUGGCUAAUGGGGAACCUAAUCAUGAUAUGUAGACAAUAACAACGUUAUCUUUUGUUGCUAACAAAACCAGUCCAUGUUUUAAGUUGUAAACCACUUAUUCUUCUAAUUAGUGUAUGUUCCACAAAAAAUUAUAUAGAUGAUCUAGUUAAUUAUUUUUGAAUUGGUAUCCUUUAACAUAAGUUGCCUAAGGAAUUCAACAUGACACAUAAAGAAAAUGGGCAUUUCUUAUAUAACUGAUGAAUGUGGUCAUAUAUAUAAGUUAUAAUUUUUUGCUAAAUCGUGGGUUGAACCGAAAGAUUUGUUCCUAUAUGUCAUGAUAUCUAUGUUUGGGUUGACUAUUUGAACUUUUGAGGUAAACGAAGUCUUCAUGGUAGUCUAAAUUCACUAUAAAAACUUUAAAUUUUAAGAUGCACAGCUCAUUGAUCCAAUAAACAAGACCUUGAUUGUUUAGAGUCUUCACGAGAUUGUUAGGUAAACAAAAUAGUAGACUAAUAUAAAAAUUCAACUCUCGACUAUUGCCAGGUUGGUUUAGGCUUGAUUUUUUUCUUUAUGGAUCUUUAAAAAUGUGGAUUAAGAUCAAGUGCUAAUAUCUCAACUGGUAAAGAUCUCUGGCAAAAGCUUAGAGGUCGUCGGUUCGAGUAGCGGUUGAGACAAGAUCAUAUAACAUGUUUUGGUUUCAGGGAUGAGUGAAUGUAUGAAUUUCGGCCCAGAAGUGGAUUAAACGUUCCAUUGCAAAAGACUGAAAGAGAAGUAUAUAAUCUUAAAAAUUAUAACUUUUUACUUAUUUUUCACAAAAGAAGUUUUGUUAAUUAUUUCGUAGAACUAGAACCGAAGACAAAGAGUGGUUUGAUUAAGCAUACGAAAAAUAGUCAGUGUCAACAUAUAUAUUUCAUGGGUUAUAAAAAAACAAAUCAAUUAAACAGAACCCAGUGAUAACAUAAAAGUCUUGUAAGUUGGUACGUUCCAUAAAGCCCAAACUAUAUAAAAACUAUAUUUUUUAACCUAAUUUGCUCUCUUGUAGCAUUGAGAAGAAGUAAACGAGAAAACUUGCAUAAGAAGUAAAAAAUCCAGAGGUUUGGUCAGCUACAGCUACGACUUCAUCUCGUUAAAUCAAUCAAUGUCGCCGCUACCGGAAAUUAAGAAGAAGAAGAAGCCAUCUUCGACGCCCCAAUCAACCCUGAAAACAGCGUCACUACUUCCCCAUGAUUUGCUAUUGACCAUCCUCGCAAGAGUGCCAAGAUUGUACUAUCCGAUUCUCUCACUAGUCUCCAAGAGCUUUCGAUCUCUCGUGGCUUCACCGGAGCUUUACAACGUUAGGUCACUCUUAGGUCAAACUGAGAGUUGUCUUUAUGUGUGCUUAAGGUUGGGUUCUUCCUUUUCCUGGUUCACCCUCUCUCGGGAACCUGAUCAAACAAAGAGGAUGAAUUCAAGUGGCUAUGUUUUGGCUAAAGUACCAAUACCCUCGUGGUACGGUUCUCCUUACAUAGAUUUUUCGGGUCUUGUUGCGGUUGGUUCUGACAUCUAUAACGUUGGCGCAUGGAGAGGAACCUAUCUGUCACCCACCUCUAGAGUUUUGAUUCUAGAUUGUCGGUCUCACGAAUGGCGCGAGGGUCCAAGCUUACCGAUGGAGCUAGAGUUACUUUCUGCUAGCGUACUUGAUAAAAAGAUAUAUGUAGCAGGAUGCUAUAGAGAUAAAGAUUCUUGGAAAAACUCGUUCGAGGUGUUGAACACCAAAACACAGAUUUGGGAUCUUGAUCCCAUCCCUUGCAACGAAUUGUAUCGCCCUAGAAGCAUUUGUAUCGACGGGAAAAUCCAUGUGCUUACUUGUAGUGGUGUGAAGGUUGCUUUCAAUUCCAAGGAAGGUAGAUGGGACAUGGUUGAUGAACCAAGUAUGGUGACUGGUGGUAUUUGCGUUUCGUCUUCUUUCUGCGAGAUAGAUAACGUUUUGUACAUUCUAUCUCUUGACAGAAUUCUCAGAUGGUAUGACAGCGAGAAGAGAAGAUGGAGAGACUUGAAGGGUUUGGUAGGGCUACCUAGUUUGUCUUCUUGUUUUAGUGGUAGGUUGGCGGAUUACGGUGGAAAGAUGGCGGUUUUGUGUGCUAGGGAGAUGUCCCUUUCGAAGAUGACUACGAUCAGUUGUGUAGUGAUUGCGCUUGAAAGGCGCAAAAGUUGUGAAAUUUGGGGGAAAGUUGAGUGGUUUGAUAAUGUGCUUUCAGUCCCUGGAGCAUGUAAACUCGUUAAGGUUCUUGCUCCUACCCUUUGAUGAAUGCGUGUGGAUCGAAUCUGGGUUAGUUCCUUCCAACAUUUCCCUAAUUCUCCCUUACCACUGUACCACGGCCUUGCGGAUCCUUGCUCCAAAAUUACUUUAGUUUUUGUUUCUUUUGUUCAUUUCUUUUAAUUGUAGUAACCAUACAACUGAAGUUGUGAACACUCUUCAUAACGAGUGCAUGUAAUGUGUCUUCCACCUCACAUGAAGAGCUUAUUUAGUUUCGUAGGGUUUCUUUUAAUUAGCCGUGUUGUGUUUUGGAUUGAGGUUGGCCACUUGAGUACUUGACGAUGUUUUGAGACCAUGAAGUAAGAAAUGUUUUGAGUAUGUGUCUAUAGAUCAACAAGUGAUGAUAUGUGUCUUGAGUAUUCGAAAUGAGGCCAAAUUAGCCUAAGCGAAAAAAAAUAUAAUACAUGAACGUCUUAACAUGCACAUAAGUUCUAUUUGCAAGCCCUGGACAAUAAUACAAGAAACACGUUAGUUAGAGUACACAUGAAACAUUGAAACCGAGUGAUUCAUCAUGUUCUAUUUCCAAAGAUCUUUCGAGCACUGAUCUUUCACAUCAGCUUUGUAGACAUGACGAGUAAUAUAAAUCAAAUCAUAAACAUGUUUGUUUGACGUGCAUCCUCAGCUCUUCCACUAUUCUUCAGUUAUGAUUUUGUUUAACCUUAUUUUAAAAUUUAUUGAAUCGGACCAAACUGAGAACCGAAUGUAAUUACUUCUGCCUAUCAGCUCUAUCUUACCAACCGAAACAAAACAUAAAUAACCAAUGACUCGGUUCGGUUCGAUAAUGUGGUGAAUUUUUGCUCUAGUUUGUUAUCCAAAUGCAUCUUGUAAGCUUAUGCGACAAAUAUCUUAUUAGUUAAUUCCAGUGAUUAUUUUAAAUUCUUAAGUAUUUUUCAAAUUGUAUAGAGAGAUGUUGCCAUUGGUGCUACGGUUCAUGUUCAUGUAUCAUUUGUAGGCUAGACUGUGAAUGCUAUACAAAAAAAUACUAGUAAGGGCUUUUGUAUAUUUGAUGUUUUUUGUUAUGGCCACUAUAUAUAGUAGAAAUAAACUAAUUUGAAGAAAUAAAUAGAAAUAUUUUUUAGUUAGAGAAAUAAGAGGGGUGUGCACAAUUGUAUAAUUUUGGUUUUUUUUUUUAUUAACAUACUUGUUAUGCACUUCUCAAAAAUUUUAUUAACAACAAAAGGAGCAAGUGUAUCACUCUUGUUAUCUUCCUCACUAAAUUUGGAUUCGAACUCGAUCCCUCGCGGAAAUCAAUAGAAAAAAUUUCUUUGUGGACUUCGAGAGGCUCCGACGCCCUCUUUAACGAGAAGCGUAUAAUUUAGCUAUUGGGCCGGACCAAAACGUAAAAACAGAAAACAAAAAACAAAUUAACAACAUAAAAAAAUAAAAUGAAAACCAAAAACCCUAGUGUAGCCUUGGUAUAUAAAUUGAAAACACCCUAAAAUUGCAAAAAAAAAAAAAAAAAAAAAAAAAACCUAGUGUGAUCUGUAAAGUAGACUGAAGGAAGACAUGGGAAGCGGCUUGAUGAGAAAGAAGAAGAAGAAGAAGAAGACUAACAAUAAGAAGAAGAGACCAAAGGUGUCUAGAUAUCCCGAUUGGUCGAAGCUGUCCCCUGACGUUUUGGGCAAAAUCUUCGAAACCUUAAGUAGCCCUAUUGAUUCACACAGAGCUAAAACUGUGUGUUCGAAUUGGUACUCAGUUUGGAAAACAUGCUUGCACAAGCCCUUGUAUUCAUUGCAGAUCAUACACCAAGGUGAUUCUCCUACUGAAGAAGACCAAACAAGAAAAAUCCUAGGGUUUACUCAAAGAAGCUAUUGUAUGGCUACCUUUGGAAGCUGGCUUCUUAUGGUUGAACCUGGUCUCAAGUUCUGUAUUUUCAACUCUUUGACGUGUGAAAAGAUUGUUCUUCCAUCGAUGGAGUCACCAAUACGUGGAGGUAAAGUAACAUUCAAACAUAAUCAUAUGUAUGAUGAUGGUUACUUCUUGAGGAAUGGUUCUCGUAGGGAUGAAGUUCGUUACGAAUUUGAUUCUGUUGAAUGGAAAAACUCUGUAGCUGCUUUGUGGAUUGAUGAGGUUACGGGUGAUUAUGUUGUUGCUUGGACUUAUAUACAGCAUUACUUGUUCUCAUACAAGAAAGGAGAUAGUUCUUGGUGUAACUUGAAUCACAAUAGGAAGAGUUUGGUUUUGUUUGAUAUGGCUUGUGAUAAGUAUAAGCUUUAUCUUUACACAGCUGAUCAUAACAUUAGGUUCUUUGACUUCUCUGGAAAGUAUCCUAUAGAGAAAAAAUCCGAAAACCGGUAUUGGAAGCAUCCUUUUGAUUACGUUGAGGAAGAGUGGGAAUACGUUUGGAAGAGGAAGUUAGCUGUUCGUCCAUCAGGUGAGGUGCUGAUCAUCUUGAGCCUGAAACUAGUGUUGUCUGAGGAGACACUUUUGUUUUACAUCUUUGGAAUGAAUCUUGAGAGUUUCAAGUGGGAGAGAGUUGAUUCUAUUGGAGAUGAGAUGUUGUGUUUUGGUCAUGGGGUUACUGUACCUCUUGCUUUUAAAGAUUUGGGUGGUGGAACUAGGAGUGAUACUAUCUUUUUCGUCGACAAAGAUGUUUGGCCGGAUCAUCCAGAUCAUGAUCAUCGUGUUUCGAAUUGCGGGGUUUUCGAUAUUGUAACAGGGGUAGUAGAAUGGCCUAAGAAAUUGUACCGUUCCAUGAAUGGAACUCAGUGGUUUGUUUGGGGAGUUGUUUAUUAGUGUGGUUAUUGAAUGUAAGGAUUUAGUAGAACUUGUAUGAAAUUCAAGUUUUUAUAUGAUUCUAGUGUUGUUCAGUUUCGGAUUUCGAGUAAAUGUUUUGAUGGUUAUGUCAUUUGAAAAUAAUGUAAUAGAAUGUUGAAUGAGAAAUGUGAAGAACCAAAGAUGUUGCUUCCAAUUCUUUAAAAGGGUUUGUCAUAAGAAUACUUAUUGACAAGUCUUACAUGGUUUAAGUUACAAAAGAAUACGAAGAUAAACAAAUAAAUUCUUAACACAGAUCUGUGUGGUCUUUCUACUCUUACAUGAAAGCUACAGAGCAGUUCUGGUUUCAACAGCAAUGUUGAUUUUGUUGAUGAAGUCAUCAACAGGUAUGGUUCCAAGCUCUCCUCCAAACCUCGAUCUAACGGUAACAGUUCCAGUCUCGACUUCCUUAGGGCCAACAACCGCCAUUAACGGGAUCUUCUGUGUCUCUGCGUUCCUUAUGAGUUUUGGCAAUCUCUCCCCAUGGCACAGCUCAGCCCUUACUCCACAAGCUCUCAGUUUCUUACUCACUUCCUUGCAGAACUCCAGCUGCAAUGUCCUCAUUAAGUCAGAACUUGGUUUUUCCAAUAAAGAAAUUAAGACAAGUUUUCCAUCAAGUUAACCUGAUUGUCUGUGACGGGUAAAACCCGGACUUGAACAGGAGAGAGCCAAAGCGGGAAGUCCCCUGCAUAGUGUUCUAUAAGAACCCCGAAAAAUCUUUCUAAUGAUCCCAAGACCGCUCUGUGGAUCAUUAUAGGACGUUUCUUGUCUGAGUUUGUGUCUACAUAAGUAAUGUCAAAUCGCUGAGGAAGAUUGAAAUCAACCUGCGUGCCAACAAGAAUGUGUUAAUAAAAAUGUACCCUGGAAUUUAUAAGAGUCGAUGAAACUUUCUUACCUGAAUAGUUGAGCACUGCCAUUUUCUUCCUAAUGCAUCUUCAAUCUUAAGGUCGAUCUUUGGGCCAUAAAAGGCACCACCUCCUUCAUCAACCUCAUAGCUCCAUCCCUUAUCAUCUAAAGCAUCCCUAAGGGCACAUGUCGCCUUUUUCCAUAUAUCAUCACCUCCAACUGAUUUUUCAGGUCUAGUUGAUAAGUUGACCUCAUACUUGUCGAACCCAAACCUAGAUAAUAUCUCUUCUGUGAGAUCUAGGACACCUCUGAUCUCAUCUUUGAUCUGAUCCUCUAAACAAAAUAUGUGUGCAUCGUCCUGGCAAAGCAAAGGUUAGUUAAGUAAAUCCUAGUACUUAAUAAGAUUCAGGUUAACUAUUAGAUUAAAGAUGUUUGAAGUAACCUGCGUGAACCCUCUGACACGGAAAAGGCCAUGUAAGCUACCAGACAACUCAUAUCUGUAAACUGUGCCAAGUUCUGCAACUCUUAUGGGUAAAUCUCGAUAUGAUUGACGCUUUCUUUGGUAAAGCAAGAUGUGAUAAGGGCAGUUCAUGGGUCUGAGUUGAUAAAGCUCAUCCUCAAUCUCCAUUUGGUCAUACAUAUUCUCUCUGUAGAAGUCCAAGUGACCACUGAUCUUCCACAGAUCAGCUUUGGCGACAUGAGGGGUAUAGAUCAAAUCAUAACCAUGUUCGACAUGCAUCUUCUUCCAUGAUUCUUCAAUAAUAUUUCUAACAAUCGCACCUUUUGGAUGCCAAAACACUAAUCCUCCUCCAGCUUCAUCCUGCAGUUGAAAAGCUUAAGAAACAAAUUCCUAAAAGUAGAAUAUCAUUUUGAAACUGAAUUAAAUUAAAGCUGGCUAUACCUGGAUGGAAAACAGAUCGAGGUCUUGGCCAAUACGUCUAUGAUCUCGGCGUUUAGCUUCUUCUUUAAAAUGAAGAUAUGCUUUUAGUUGUUCUUCACUCUCCCAAGCUGUUCCGUAGAUCCUCUGAAGCAUUUGCCUCUUUUCAUCUCCUCUCCAGUAUGCACCGGCAACAGAUUCUAGUUCGACAGCUUUCUUGUUUAUCUUCCCUGUGGUCUCGACAUGAGGACCAGCACAAAGAUCCCACCAUUCAUUACCUAGAUGGGCAUUCGAACUGGCAUAAGAUGGAGACAAGCUAUUACCAAACUAAAUAUGAACAAAUUAGAGAAUUAAAAAGCAAGCAAGAAGCUACAGCGUACCAAUAUGAUAAACAGUAAUGGGUUCUUCCUUAAUACCCUCCAAAAUCUCCAUCUUAUAAGGCUCGUUUAUCGCCAAGAUCCUUUUCUGCGCUUCUUCUCUAGAUACUUCUUCUCUUAAAAGUGGUAAAUUCCGACUAAUGAUACGAUCCUACCAAAUAAUAUACCAAGAAACCAUGAAUACUAUUCUUAAUCCCUCCCUCAAUCAUCAAACACAUUAACCCCCUCAGAGACUUCAACAGAAAAACUCACCAUCUCUUUCUUGAUCCUCUUGAGGUCUUUAUCUGUUAAAGGCUCCAUAUCAAAAUCAUAGUAGAAACCGUUAUCAAUCCAAGGACCUAUCGUCACUUUUGCAUCAGGGAAGAGUUUCUGAACUGCCAUAGCCAUUACAUGUGCACACUGAAUCCACAUAAAUCACUCUAUUCAGCUCAACAAGUAGAAAUUGCUCCCAUAAGCAAUAAAACCUCAACACUUAUCCCAAAACACCAAACAAAUCUCAUGUAAAUUGAAUCAAAAUUCAAACUUGCACAAAACCAUACUUCCCUAACAACAUUACAAGUCCACCUAACUCAAAAUCCCAGAACAGAAACAGAGCUCUGCAUAAAUUUUGAUUCAAUCUCAUAGCAAAUGAAACUCACACAAGUUAAACUAUUCAGCUCAACAAGUUACUAUAUAUUUGCCAUAAAGCUUCAACCUUUAUCCCAGAAACCCAAACUUUUCAGACAUUUCUCAUGAGAUUGAAUCAAAAAAUUCAAACUUUAACAAAACCCAUCUUAGCUAAGAACAUAAAGUUAACAAAUUGAUCAAAUUUACUCAUUCUCCUAAAGUCCACUUAUCAAACUCCGACUCACAAAACAGAAACAGAGCCAAAAAUAAGUGUACCGUGUGACGAAUCUUGAGCAGCUUAUCAGAUGAUUCAUUACUAGGAAGCGGGACCUUCGCUAGCUCUGUUUUCUUAGGUCCGGUACUGGAGAUAGCCGGCUCGGUGGCGACGGCGAAGACGGUGGAGAACCCAUGUCGUUGCUGCUUUGGCCAGAAUCGCCGAGUUGGAACGUAAACGAAACGUUUUAGAGACGAAGUGAAGGAGGAGGGUUUGGAGACGAAGGAAGAAGAGAAGAGAAGAGAAUGAGAAGAGGCCAUUAGUGUGAAGAGAGCCCCGCGAGAAUGAGAAUUCACGCAGGGAGUUUUGAGAUUACGGAAGAAUCUGUGGUGGAAGUUUCUCUUUAUGUGUGGAUUGAAGUGGAGGAGAGAAAUUAAAAACACGUUUGCGUUUUGUUUACAACUGUGAUAAAUUGCGUUUUGUUUCUAAUUAUAAAGCACGUUAAAAAUAAGGAUUCAUUACUUCAUGUAUUUGUAAACAAACAAACAAUUAACCUAUUCUAAAUGGGAGAAUUACUUAGAUAAACCACAAUUGUAUGUUUAUUCCCUAAACAGCCAAAUUUUUUUUUUAUUCCUUAGAUGUUUACUGAAAUGGGUGUAAUUACAAUAAACACCCUUAUUAUGUUUUCACUUAAAAAUUGCCACGUCAGAUUCGACAUGCCACGUCACACCUGAAAUUGUCACAUCAUUAUUCUGUCUUUAAUGAUAAAAGAGGAAAAAACUGAAGAUUUUCGUCACUAUUCACAAACAAAAAAAAACUGUUUUUUUCUCCCUCGAAGCCAACGAAGAACCCAAACUCUCGCCGCUUUUCUUUCUCGUUUCUUCCGGCCGCUUAUCCUAUUAUCAGUGUGUCUCUCUCUUUCUCGUCGUUAUUAUUGUCGCAUUUCUUCUCAACUUGGAUGUAGACUUUUCGUUUUCUGACAAAAAUAACAGGGAAAUACGAAACGUCGUUUACGGCUGAGUUAUGAUACAUUACGGCUGAGUUAUGACACAUUGCGGCUGAGUUAUGGUACAUUACGGCUGAGUUAUAUUAUGACUUAUUGUAAGUUACGGCUGAGUUAUGGCGAAAAUAUUUCUACCUCGGUGAUUCCGGCGAAGAACUCUAAUUCUCGCUGCUUCUCUCUCUCUCAUCUCUUUUGGGCGCUUCGAUUCUCAACGAGUCUCUCUCUUGUCGUCAUUCCUAUCGUAUUUCUUCUCAAAUUGCGUACAUCCAACGUUCUAAGAAAAGAAAAGAGUUCUUGGUCCUCACAUGUGGUUCUGUUCAUGGUGAGAGUUGCUUUGAAGAUGACAAUAAUGAAGACGAAGAGAGUGAACAGUAAACCUAUGGCACUAACUCGUAAUCUCAUUACUGUCUUGUUAUUUUGCCACUAUAUCGAAAUCUCAUAUCCCAUUCUCGAGUUUUGUUUCAUUUGUUGCAAAAAAUGUGUCUAUGUCAGAUCGGAAUAGGCCAAGGAAAAGGCAGAAGACUAAAAGGAAUAAAAAAAAAACUAGUUACUUUCUCUCUUAAAGCCGACGAAGAACCCUAACUCUCGCCGCUUAUUUUUCUCGUCUCUUCUGGCCGCUUAUCCUAUAAUCGGUGUGUCUCUCUUUCUCGUCGUCAUUGCUGUCGCAUUUCUUCUCAACUUGGGUGGAGAUUUUUCGUUUUCCGACAAAAAAACAGGGAAAUACGAAACGUCGUUUACGGUUGAGUUAUGACACAUUGCGGCUGAGUUAUGGUACAGUACGGCUGAGUUAUAUUAUGACUUAUUGUAAGUUACGGCUGAGUUGUGAUUUUUUUUUUGUAAUUGUUCACGUACAGGAAAAAAUAUCUCUACCUCGGUGAUUCCGGCGAAUAACCCUAAUUCUCGCUGCUUCUCUCUCUCAUCUCUUUCGUCCGCUUCGACUCAUACCGACGAGUCUCUCUCUCUCUCNNNNNNNNNNNNNNNNNNNNNNNNNNNNNNNNNNNNNNNNNNNNNNNNNNNNNNNNNNNNNNNNNNNNNNNNNNNNNNNNNNNNNNNNNNNNNNNNNNNNGGUACAUUACGGCUGAGUUAUGCUACAUUACGGCUGAGUUAUGAUAUACUUUCUCGAGAUUACAAAAAGUGUUUUUCGGGAAAGACCAACAAUAAUUACGUACACAUAUUCACACGCACACGCAUAAUAAAGUCAUAGAGUAUUGUGUUUUAAAAAAUUAUUCAAAAUAAUUCAAAAUUUGAAUUCAAAUUUUAUAAACAAAAUAUUCAAAAUAAUUUAAAGUUUUUUUGUCUAAAUAUAGAAUAAUACGUCACGGCUGAGUUAUGCUACAUUGCGGCUGAGUUAUGCUACAUUACGGAUGAGUUGUGAUAUACAUUCUCGAGAUUACAAAAAGUGGUUUAUAAUACAAUUAACAAAAAUCAAUAACAGCUCUUUUCCAUUCUAUAUUUGAUCAACUAUAUAGGAAUAGAACAUAAGUAUAGGGUUUGAGGUUUAUCGUUUAGUUGGAUAAGUUUUAAAAGGUACAAACCUGAGCGAAUUUCAUGAUUUUUUAUGGAAAGUUAAUAAAAGUGUUAACUACAUAUUAUUAAAGUGUUUUUAUUACAUGAGUGCAUCAAAUAUUCACAUCUAUCUUAUUUGAGGUUUGGCCGAGUUAUGCCAACGACUUGGUUGACUUAUUGUAGAAUAAUUCGAGGUUUGGCCGAGUUAUGACAACGACAUAGCUGACUUAACAUAAAUAAAUUUGUGGUUUGGCUGAGUUAUGUCAGCGUCAUGGUUGACUUACACAGACCAUUUCGAGGUUUGGCUGAAUUAUUGUAACGAUAACAUGUAGCUCAUUGUUACAUGAUGGCUCAACUCAUUUAAUCUGUAGUCAUCGAGAACCAACUUCACAAGCUUUUCGUGUGUUCUUUCAACAUCUAUACGUUAGAUAUGGCUGAUUUAUGAUUUUGAUAUUCAACUUCGGGGUAUGGCUGAGUUAUAGUUACGUUCCGUUUGAGGUAUAACAUAACGUUACGACUGAGUUAUAUAAUGAGGUUUGGUUGACUUAUCGUAAAUUAAAUUCGUGGUUUGGCCGAGUUAAUUCCAGACGACGUCGUUUACUUCUUUCUUCUCCCUUAUAGUCAUAAUCGAGCGAUCAGAUUGGGGAUUUAGGGUUCUUAUCGAUUUCUGGGAUUCCUAUCCGAUUUCUUGGUUUAUCUUCGAUUAAAGAAUUCUACUUCUCAAUUUUAAUAUGGUGCUUACCCUGCAGAUCUUCCGACGAAUUGCGGAUGUUGGUGUGGUAACGAUAUCAUCACAUACAUAUCGAAGACAAAGGAAAACCCUUACCGUAUCUUCUAUAGAUGUCGAAUGAGUCGCAUUUCUUCAAAUGGGUUGAUGAGGCAUCGGUUGAAGAAAUUAAGAUGGUCGACGCAAAGGUACAGAGAAUAGAAGAAGAUGUGACGGACUUAAGGCAUCAACAUACUCAAAAUUUAGAUAUCCAAAUAGAAAUGUUUGACAAGCUUGAGUAAGAACUGAGUAAGAAGCUUGAAGAAAAAUUGAUGAAAAAGAUUGAGGAUGAUAUGGGUAAGACAGCUUUGAAGACAAUUUGUCUACUCUCUUUAAUAGGAAUCGCAAUUGUAUGGCUAUGGGAGAGAAUAUAAUUGUUGUUUCAUGAUGUUUAGACUGAUUAUGUUGUAAUUUGUGUUGUUUAAGAUUUCUUUUCAUGUUAAAUGAGAAAUGGGGUAUGGCUGACUUAUAAUUAUGUGACGGCUAAGUUAAUGUGUUCAAGUUACGGCUGAGUUAUGAGUAUAAUUAUAAUUUAUAAUUAGCAAUUAUAUAAGUAUAUAAUGUAUAUGGCAUAUAAUAAAUAUAUAUUACCAGCAAAUAUGCAUGUUAAGAUUGUUAAUUUUGAAAAGAAAAUGGAUAAUUUACACAAUUUAAUCCAAUUCAAAUUGUGUAGUGUUGGUUAUGACUAGAAACUUGUUCUUGUGUGAUAGUUUUCGAAAUGUUACCAACAAAGUCUAAAUUAUUGAUGAAUAAUAUGGUAACAUGAUUGUAUCAUAUUUAAACCUAAUAUUUAUGUGAUUUAAGUGAUUUCAUAACUUGAUUAUAACUAAAAAUUGAGAUAACGCAUAUUUAGGGUAUGGCUGACUUAUACUACGUUAUGGCUGAGUUAUAGAUAACAUUACGGCUGAAUUAUCAAUAACAUAAUAAUUACAUGAUUCCGUUACGGCUGAGUUAUAAUAAAGUAAUUGACAUAACGCAUAUUUAGGGUAUGGCUGACUUAUACUAUGUUAUGGCUGAGUUAUGGAUAACAUUACGGCUGAGUUAUCAAUAACCUAUUAUUUACGUGAUUCCAUUACGGCUGAGUUAUUGAUAACAUUACGACUGAGUUAUAGGUCUGUUAAAAUGACCAAAAUGAAGAAAAAUUGAUAAAAACAUGAUUCAAAAGAUAAGAUAUAUGUUUGGGAUUACAAAGAAGUUCAAAAAGAAGUUCAGAAAGAACAAACAACGGAUGAGAGAGAUAAAGGAAGAAGACGGAAAGUUGCGUUGGUUAAUGUGAUGGUUGAGUUAUCACACGGGAAACGAAGACGAAAGGUCGCGUUACGGCUGAGUUAUCUGUAAUCUAUUGGGCUGAAAUAUCAAUAACCUUAUACGGCUGAGUUAUCAGUAACAUAAAAUGAAUAUAUUCCGUAUGCUGAGUUAUGUUACGGCUGAGUUAUUAUAUUAAAGAAGACGAAAGGUCGCGUUGAUGCAGUCCGUAGUCAUCAAGAACCAAUUUCACUAGCUUCUCGUGCGUUGUUUCCGCAUCUAUUUGCACAAUUCUACAACCUCUAUCGUCAGUGUUAAAUACAUAUUUUUGUUUCUUUGCCCAGUUACCAGACACAACAAUCACUGGAACCGGAUGAUCCAUCAACGAAAAUGAAGAACAGAAGUGAAAAUGCAGAAAAGAAGUGAAGAACAGAAGUGAAAAUGAAGAACAGAAGUGAAAAUGAAAAACAGAAGUGNNNNNNNNNNNNNNNNNNNNNNNNNNNNNNNNNNNNNNNNNNNNNNNNNNNNNNNNNNNNNNNNNNNNNNNNNNNNNNNNNNNNNNNNNNNNNNNNNNNNCCCGGAGAAAGUUAAGUCAGCCGUGUCGAUAACAUAACUCAGCCAAACUUCUGAUAACUCAACCAUCGGAAUAUAACUCAGCCGUAACGGCGGCUGAGUUAUUAGACGUUUUCUCAUAACUCAACCAGAUUUUUAUAAGUCAGUCGUAACUGUUGGCUGAGUUAUGAUCCUAAGUCAACCAUUGACCCGAAACUCAGCCGUUGUCCUAGAACUCAGCCAUAACGUGAUAUAACUCAGCCGUAACGUACGUUAUGGCUGAGUUAUUGGUGGCACGCGCAUUUUUGUCUGACGUGGCAGUGGCAUUUUCCGUAAUUAGUUUUUUCCGAUAACGUGUAAAAAGGGCACGCUGGUAAUUAAAAAACAUUUAAGGAUAAAAAAAGUUUUGGAUGGUUUGCGUCAAUACACCUAAAAUGUGAUACAUCUAAGUAAUUCUUUCAUUCUAAAUGUAAAUACAUAUCAAAAAGAUAAUAUAUGAUAUUUUUCCAUACAACAUUAGAUUUGAGUUCUGCUAUAUAUAAAAUUGAUAUCAUGUUUGGUAAACAAAUUUUAAUAUUGAGAAGGGUUUGGUUUAUAUUUUAAAUAAAUAUUGCAAGAUGACAAAAAAAAAGAAAAAAAAAAAAAUAUUGCAUUUAUUUACAUUAGUAUGGUCAAGUAUUCAUAGAAUAUAUUUAGAAUGAUUUACCCUAUGACACACUUUGAAGAGUACAACUUACAAAUAAUACACUUACAAGUUUAUGGUGGGGAAUUUUGUGGACAAUGCCCUUUUCAAAACUCAAAAGUAUAAAAUUGCCAUUUUUCAUCUCUUCUUUCAAAACAUGCCAUAAUAUUUAUUGUGUGACGAUUUUGCCCUCACCUAUUUGAAGCUCAAUUAGUGGGUGAUGAUGAGAUGUUUUCCUUUGACUGGCAACAUGAUACAAUGUAUGCUAAUAUCCAGAAGACAAAUGCUUUAAUGGGUGAUAAAAUAAAAACAAAAAUAAUAAGAAAUGGCAAAAGCAUAUCUAGGUAGUGUUAAUAGAGGACAAGUAGAAAGAGAUUUUGUGUAUGUUGUGGGUGGUGAAGAAAGAGUAGCGAUUUCCGAGUUUAACAGUUUAAUUACGGUGGACAAGACAAGAUAAUCAAGGAUGUGUAGGGAUGUUCACUUGCCUAUCGACGUGCGCACUAUAGUCGAUAGACAAUCUAUAAAAUAAUGUCAAAAAGGACACAAAUAAAGUUUUAUAUGAUGGACAAAAUAUUUAAAGUAGAUCUGUUCCAUCGAAAGUUUACUUUGACGGUUCCAAGGGAUUUCUCCACUACAUGUCCUCCGACUCGGGGUGAGUAGGAUAUUGUACUGAGGCAAGGAUUGCAUAAGCUUUCUUAAACUGGUCAAGGACAAAUAAAAAUAGAUAGGUAGUAAAUGCUAUAUAUGGACAACUAUGUUUAUGGACAUGAUAUGUGCAGUAGAUUUGGUCUAUCAAUUGUGGACAUGUUUUUUUGUUCAUCUAUCUAACAUAUGUAUUAUAGACAAGUUCGUUUAUGAAAAAUUUGGACUUAGUUUGCUAUAUACGUAUGAUGGACAACAAAUUAAGAAACAAAAAUGGAUAUAUUACAUACAUCGGAUCUGGUCCACCGAAUCUAGUCCACUGAAUCUAGUCUACCGGAUCUAGUCUACCAGGUCUAGUCCUUCUCUACACAAAUGUGAUAUCCAAAGUGUAAAUCUCGAUGGAUCGUAAAUGACGUCUUCAAUAGAUGCAUUACUUGUUUCAUCCUCUAGUCAAUCAGUUGUGGUUUUAUGAGAUUUGUAGGAUGGACAAGUUUGGUCUAUCAGUUCCGGUUCACCAGACCUGGUCCAUUGAAAGAAAAAAACAAAACGUGGCUGUGAAAUUGAUUUGGUCACCAACGUGAACCACAUACCUACCUACAGUGAAAGCAUCGUUGUUCAUCGUUGUGAUCGAAACAAUUUUUUUCUCCAACCUUUUGGCCUCCAUUAGAUGUUACCAUUGGUGUGAGAUAUUCAUGAGAAAAAAUUGAAACGAGAGUGAAAGAGAUAUUAAGAGAGAGAAAAUGCAGAUAAAGUAAAUGUUGGAGGUGUGGAGAAAGAAAAAGAAACAAUAUUUAUUGUUUUUUGUGAGAAAAGGAAGAAGGGUAAGAGAGUAUUUUUACUUUAGCUUUGUGACAGGCGGGAGAAGAAGUUAAGGAAAAUGGCAAUUUAUAAAACAUUUGGUACUGUACAUGACAUAGAGUAUAAUUUUCUCUUUAUGGUGGACUUUGGCCACUGUUUGUGUCAAAAAAAGACACCUUUGUCCUAAUAAAGUAAAACGCAUUUCUACUAAAAUCAUCCGUAACGGUAUAUGCGCUUGUGUCUUAGAGUAUUAAAAAAAUUAUAAAAUAGCAAAACAGUAGUAAUAAAUGUAGCAAGCGAGUCUUCAGCAAGAUGUUUUCUGUAUGUGAUGUUAAGGAAUGUGGCAAGCAGUGAUUGGUUCCCAUUAAAAUAUAUUCUUUUUAAUAUGUUUUCCAUACUAUUUAAUACUUUAAUAUUUUUUUAAUCUAUAUUUUUUUUUUCGUCAAUAAAAUUAUAUUGAAUAAUUGUAAAAAUCAUAAUACAAUUGGUUUCUUAGCCAUGAAGCCGGAUACAAAAAAUCAGAAUAAAAAAUAAGAAGAUUACAACCAUGAGAGGCCAGAAGGUGAGCGACUUUGUUACAAUCUCUUUUACAAAAAAGAAAGGAAAUAGAAGUAAAUCUUUUGGACCAAGCAAUAAUAUCAUGGAUAACAGCUUCAAUAGUAAUAUUAUGGUGUUGUCUUUGUAACAUUUUAAUCAAAAGUUCAUUGUCUCCUUUGAAGCACACAUGCUUAACACCCCUAAUCCAAACUUGUUGGAUUGCUGCCAAUAAUGCUUUUUAAUCUAUAAAUAAUAAUUAUUUUAAUACUUUUUUCUACUAAGAUAUAUCUUUCAGUUUAUCCCUUUAAAGAUGACAUAAUGUUAUUCAGCUUUUUAGUUAAGAACGAACUUAGUUUGCAUCACGUUACGGAGGUAUAGUUCAAAUUUGUUAGUACAUAAAUUCUUUUUCUCUUUCUCCUUUUCCUUGUUCCUUUUUCUUUUGUUGUCAAUUUAUAUGUUAUCAAGAAAAUAUUUUUUCUUUAUUUUUGCACAAUACAUUGUAAUUGUAUUUUUUCUAUAUAAUGAGAUUCAUUUUGCUAUAUUUAAAGUGAAAAUAUCCAAAAACUCUCUCUCUCUUAUUAUUGUCGUCCAUGAAAUCUUGUCCACCCGAUAUACUCGACAUGAGAAGAUUUCUUCAUUAUCAUGGUUAUCCAUGAACUCUAGUCCAUCGUUUCACAUUAUUCAAGAAAAUGACAUAUUAAAGAAAAUUCAAGUCUUGGACAAAAUUAACAAGCAAACGUCCAUUAGACAAUAUCCACAAAACAGUAUAUAUUGGACAAUAUUCAUAAAACUAUACUUUUUCUCUAAAUGUGGUCACAAAAUUAUCUCCUUUAAACUUUGUUUAUGAAGUAUAAGAUGCAUGUUGGUGUUGUUGUUACAAUAUCUCAUUGGAACAUAAUUCAAGAAGAAAAAGUUGAAGAACAUGUCCACAAAAGGUUAUCCACGAAACCUUGUCCAGGAAAUCAUUUCUAUCGAAAUGAGAAGAUUUAUUCGUAAUUGAAAACUUUAACAAAUCUCUCAAACCUAAUUUCAACACAUUAUCAUUGUAAUCCACAAACCUCUUUCACUCGUUUAAUUUUAUUUAAGCAAAUGCCAUGUUUAGGCAAAUUAAAAUUUUUGAAAGAAAACAACAAACUCAAUAUCCAUUGGACAACAUCCACAAAAUUACAGCUAUUCCCGAUGAUGAUUAGAAAGAGUAGAGGCGGAACAUAUAUGAAUGGACCGUGAAAUGAAAGGGUGUCCAUUUUAGGUUCAUGAAAUGAAAGUGCGUAAAAUGAAAUGGUGUCCAUUUAUUUUGUGGAGAACAAACGUAUAUUCAGCGAUAGAUGAACACAAGAACAAGCCUAGUGGACAAAGCCAAGUUAACAUACGUGUUUGUUGGCUAAAAACGUUUUUGAACAAAUAAUUGAUUUUUUCUCUUUUUAAAACAAUAUUUUAAUACUAAUAUACAAAAAAAUGAAUAGAAUAAUAAAAGGUAGAGUGUUGAUGAGAAUGAAGGAAAGAGAAAAAGGAAAAAAAAAAACUACAGCGAGAAUAAAAAACAACACACAUAUUUUUGUUUUUAAAAGAAUAUUGAUAAGAUGGAGAAUGUUGAUAAGAAGGAGAGAGAAAUCAAAAAUGAAAAAUAAAAAGAGAAUGUUGAGGAGGAGGAAAGAGAAAUCAAAACUUUUAGUUAGGAUGGCAAUUCAGUAAAUAAGUGGAAUAAGUGAGGGUGGGAGAGUAUAAACAGUCACCCAAAGUCCAUCAUGAACUCAUAAGUGUGUCAUAGAGCAAUUAAAGUUUUGAAAGUGUGUCUAGAUGGAAAUUUCCCAUAUAUUUAUAGUGAGGCAUGAUUUAAUUGCGAUAGUAAACGAGAUAAAACCAUCUGUUUAGAAAAAGAGGUAGGAGCAAUAUAUUAACUAUUAUUAGUGUAGAUUUCAUUAAAUUUUUGGUGAAAUAUCUGAAUAAAAUUUAGAUUUUUACCCAAUUAUGUACAAUUUCCUAAAUGCCCCCCACUAAUUCAUUUUUUCUUAUUUGUUGUGAUAUCAUCAAUUAUAAUUAUUUUUCUAUACUUUAAUGAUGCACUAGGAACUAUCCAACAAACUUAGACACGCAGCUCAAGCUGAUAAGGAUGCUGAACUCAGGAACAAAAGAACUAGGGGUUAUUAUGACUAAUAAAAUGAAUUUAUUUGGCAUGACAUUUUUUUAGUGAUAAAAUAUAACAUUUAAAUUUCAAUACCAAAAAUAAUAUGUAAAUCAUAUUAAAUAAAUAUAAAUAAUACCUUGGUUAGUAUUGAAAAUUUAACAAAAAAAAAUAGUUUGUACGAAAAUUCACAAAUAACAUCACAAAAAUCAAAUAACAGUUUACCAAAGCAAUUAUCAUCAAGUAAUCAAAACUCACACACACAUAUAUCUAUAUAUAUAUAUGCUCAUUUUUCCAUCCUUAUUUUUGUGUAUUCACAUAAAAUUACAUGCAAUAAAAUCUUAAAAUAUAAACAUGCAAAACUAUAAUACUACAUAUUCUCAUCAAGUAUACAAGUUUUAACGUGCACCUCUCGCACCUCUAACAGCUUGGGCAUCAAGGUCAACUAGAUUAUGUUAUGUAUGCUUAUAUGGAAUUAGAUUAUAUCAUGUAUUUUUAUGCAUAUCAAUCUUCCCGCCUUUCGACGUGCACUUAAAAGGUUACCUAAUUUUACUUGAAUUUUGGUUGCUUUCUUUUUUGUAUUGUGAUAUUAAAUUUAACCAACUUAAACUUUCGUAUUUUCUAAAAUAUUUAUUGAUCCUCUUUCGAAAAUGAAGUUAUGAAAUGUGAGAAGGAUCAGUAAAAAUUGUAGUAUUUGGGUAAAUAAUUCAGACUAGUAUUCAAUUUUUACUCGAAUACUAAUUUUUAUAUUAAUGUAAUUUUUCUAAUGUAGGUUAGUAUUUGGGUAAAUAAUUCAGACUAAUAUUCAAAAAUUAAUGUAAUUGAUCAAAAAUAAUUGAAAUGUUAGUAAUAACAUAUACACAUUUUUAGAUUUAUCUUUGAGCCUAACAUAUUUAUUUUUUCAAUACAAUUUAAGUGUAUAUACCAUCAUAAUAAAGAUAAUUUUAUUUUUAUACAUUUUGUAUUAAUGCAUGAGAGCUAAAAAAACAUUUAUAUCAAAAUUCAAACACAAUUUAAAAUUAUUAAAUUUAUGUUCUAGUUAGAACUAAAAAAAUUAAAUUUAACAAAACACAAAUAGUAAAAAAAAAAAUUCACAAAACAAAUAAUGGAAACUAGAAUCAUUUAAGAUUUCUUCGAGAUGUCGUUAUCUCAUAAGUACUAAUUUUACCUUAUGUCAAAAAAGUUAUGCAGUUAAAAUUUAUAAAAUAAAAUCUAAACAGAGACAUACAAACAUUCUCAACAAAUAAAGGAAGAUUCAUACCCAUACAAAUAUUUUUAUUUUAUGUUUUCAUGUAUGCAUUAUAAAUACUACAUGUGUUAAAAUUCUAAAAAUUAUAACAAUAAAUAAAAUUUUAGUGUUAUUUUAUAUCAAAAAUUCAUCUCCACAAACUCAUACAUAUUUCAAUUUUUUUAUUUUUCCCCUAAUAAAUAAAAGACAAUAUAUUGCAACGAUAACUAGAAUAUCUUCUUGCUAAAUUUGGUUGUCUAUAUAGUAAUUUCUUAUGUACGGGUGUUUGUACACCUCGGUGGCUGCAGUAUCAAUUGUAUCAUGACUAUAUUAAUUCUUAAUCAAUAAAGUUAUUGGUUGAAAAAAAAUACUACAAUUUUUAUCCAAUAUAAUUGAUGUUAAAUAGUUUAUAUUUUUAUUUUGAACAUCAGUGUGCAAUGUACAUUGUCAACAUCUUAUCAAUAUACAUAACUCAUAUUCGGACCACGUUAACAUUAAUUUUUGAUUUAGCUUUAUAUAAUAAGAUUUGAUAUUUUUAAAUAAUUUCUUUAUAUACACACUACAUUUAUUUUCUACUCUUAUUUCAUUUAAUUUUUAUUUAAUAUUGUUAGUAAAUCAAAUGUAAUUAGAGGGAAAACUCUAAAUGUUGACCAUAUCUUUCUUUUGACCAAAUCUUCAUUUUAAUGGGAAAGUUUCAUUUUAUUUCUCAAUAAAUAGUUUUUUGAUUUCAGAAGUUUGACUCUUUUAUAUAUAUAGAUUUAUAUAGGACCAUUUAUAUAUAUAAGACUCAUGUUGUUCUUCUCAUUUUUAAUAUCUUCACACACCCAAAAACAACAAAACUUGGAUUAUUUCAAAAGUUUAUAUCAUUCAAACGAAAUGAUUCUGUCAAAGUUUCAACUUGCAACAGUACUUCUCAUCAUAUGUUCACUCCUAGUUACUUCCGAGUCAAAGAGUAAACAUUUCAUUUUCAUUACUCUCUUUUCUUUAAGAUGUCAAUAGUCAAGUCAUUAUGCAAUAUGCACUUAUAUUUUUGGUGAAACUUAUUUGAAGUGUUGAAGAAUGAAGAAAUCUCUGGUGGAGGGUCUUGUAACUUCAGAGGUUCAUGCCACAAUGACAGCAACUGUGAGGAACGUUGUGGACCGCCCGAGUUCCCAUCGUAUACUAUAGGUUUAUGCAUACCGAAUCCCGAUGGUCCUGGCCGUGCUUGUUGUUGUGUUUUUGGUUGAUUCAGUUCCUCCAAUGAAUCCAAAGUAAUUCUAAGUUUUGGUUUGAUGUUGUAUUUGUUUUUAUCACUACAUAAGUAUCAAUAAAACCAAAGUUCAGUUACCUCUUAUAUAUGUUAUAUGAGUUUUUCUUAUGAAAAUAAACACUGAAGAAAAUGCUUUAUGCUGCAAUUGCUUCUCCUGUUAGCAAAGAGUCUGAUGGGUUUUCUGAUGAACUAGUGUGUGUGAUGACUUCAUCCAAUAACUUCAAGAGCUCUGCUCGACGGAGAUCUGUCACCGUAUACUCAAGUGUAACCUGUCAGGUUAAAGAAACUCAGUUUAGUUUAAGCCAAAAGGAACAAUUUUGUUUGAGUGUUAUAAAGUAGUAUAACUACUUUUACCUCUUUGAAGAUACUGCUGUAAGAAGACUCCUCAAAACCCUUUAACAAACAACAAAGUGUGUUAAGCCAUUUUACUCGGAAAAUUUGUGCACGGGACGGACUACGACAUAUCUUUGAGACGUGAGUAAGUUUUAUAGUACCAGUUUGCGGAAUAAGCUGAGGGAAGCUGUGUUUGAGUCCCCAAUCUUGACUGUAAACUUGUGAAUCUCCAAGUUUUUGACACCAUAAGCCAUCAUUAUCAAUACGGAUUCCUUUCCUAGUCCUUUACCACGGCUACUCUACCAAAGGUUGUAACAAAGAAAGAAGAAUCAUGUAACGAGAAGUUAAAUCAGUUUAAGUGUAUUCUCAGUAUAUAGCACUUGUCUGGGAAGAAGAAAGUUACCUUCUGGGUUCAGCUAUCAUUAUUUCAACCUCUGCAACCUUACGAUCAUCCACAUCAUUCAUGUAAAUAUUCACAUCACCUGUCAUUGCUGCACAUAAGCUUUGUGUUAGUGUUACUUAUUUACAAUGACUCAAUGCGAAAACGAUAUACACAGAAGAGCCACAAUAGAACAUCCAAGCUCAUCUAACUCUUUCAACCAAAAAAGGAAGAAGGAAGAACUCAUAAAGCCAAACUAGUCACCAAUGAUCUUAACCACUAACAAAGGAGCAGUCUUGUAGAUACAUUCUCAUUUCCAGACAUACUAUACACACUUUGUGGUAAGAACACCACUACAUUAUUAACUAAAAGGAGAGAGUGUUGUAUUGUCACAGUAGCAGAUUCCAUACUGAUGCAUACUAAAGUAAUCUCCUUUAACCAUAAGUUCCACAACGAAAUAACUCAGGACACUAACCUUCUACAUGCGGCUCGCCAUGAGCCAAGUCUCCCUUUAUAAAAUCCUUGUCCAACACAAUGAAAGUCCUCUCUGAAACCAACAACAGAGACAUUAGAAAAUCCAACAUUUGCAAAAAGAGGACAGACCUAAACCUCAUAAGACAUUGUAUAGCUAAUAUCAAAGAACUUAGAGGAUUGGAGUAAUCAACUUCACUAAACAAUACUAAAGAUCAACAAACUCAAAACAGAAGCAAUCAAAAUUGAGAUUCUAGGGUAGUCUAAAAGAAAACCCUAAACCCUAAAUUAAGUAAACCUAAAAUUGAUCAAAUCAAAGAUAAAGAUAGAAGAUUUAAGAGAUAUAUGAGAAUGGUUUAGAGUUUUUUUCAUACUAUUAGGAUCUUGAGUCCAAGAAAGCUGCAUCUCAUACUCCUGCUCAAGACUCAACGGCUCAGAUCCAGUAGCUUCAAGAAGCGCCGAGUCUUGCAUCCAGUUAUGAUACUUUGGAACAUGCUCCGCCAUGUACGGAACCAAAACCACUCUCUUCCCUUCCAAAGUCACCUUCAUCGCCAUUGUUGUCACCAUUCUUCUUCUCCUCUUCCUCUUCUUUAGAGAGGAAUCAGAAACAAAAAACGUCGUCGUUUCAAUUUAUCCGAGCUGGCAUGUUUUAUCCACGUCAGGUUUUAUGAUAAAAAAAAGAUGUCCCAAAUAUUACACAACCAACCAACUGUGUUUUGUAGUGUUGUGGUGAGUGAUGAGUUUCACUUAGCUUCAAAGCAAAGACUUCCAUGAAAAAUCAUAAUUUCUCAACUCAUAAAGAUAUAAAAUACAAAAAGGCGUCACUGAUGUUUUUGUAGCAAUCAUAUUUUCUUAACUUUCACUACACAUAUAAAAAGCCCAAUUCUAUUAACUAGAAAAAAAAAAACAGAGAUGAUCAAAAACAAUGGCGACUUUGAUUCUAACAUUCUUGCUUCUUCUUUUAGCAACAAAGCUUCCGGAAUCACUAGCAGGUCACUGCACCACCACGACGGCGACGAAAAGCUUCGAGAAAUGCAUCUCUCUCCCGACACAGCAAGCUUCAAUCGCGUGGACGUACCAUCCACACAACGCUACUCUUGACCUUUGUUUCUUUGGAACUUUCAUCUCACCUUCCGGGUGGGUUGGGUGGGGGAUUAACCCGGAUUCUCCCGCGCAGAUGACUGGUUCUCGGGUGCUCAUCGCCUUUCCGGAUCCGAAUUCCGGUCAGCUCAUUCUCCUUCCUUAUGUUCUUGACUCCUCUGUUAAGCUCCAGAAGUCUCCUCUGCUUUCUCGUCCGCUUGAUCACAUCCGUCUCUCUUCCUCCUCUGCUUCCCUCUAUGGUGGUAAAAUGGCUACCAUCCGAAAUGGCGCUUCUGUUCAGAUUUACGCCUCGGUAAAGCUCUCUUCGAACAAUACCAAGAUCCACCAUAUUUGGAAUAGAGGGCUUUAUGUCCAAGGUUACUCUCCUACUAUUCAUCCCACUACUUCCAUCGAUCUCUCCUCCUUCUCAACCUUUGAUGUCACUUCAGGUAUCCAAAUACUUUCUCAAUAUCUAACAAAUGCAAAAUAAAUCACAUCAAGUUUUGUUUUUAUACAGUUUUGUUUCUACAGGAUUUGCAACGGUUAACCGAAACAGCGGUUCUAGAGCUUUGAAAGUGACUCACGGAGUACUAAACGCGGUGGCAUGGGGCUUUCUCCUCCCGGCAGGAGCAGUAACAGCUCGAUACCUUCGCCAAAUGCAAUCAAUCGGACCAACUUGGUUCUACAUUCACGCAGCCAUACAGCUAACCGGUUUCCUCCUUGGAACCAUUGGUUUCUCCAUUGGGAUCGUGCUCGGCCGAAAUUCUCCAGGAGUGACCUACGGGUUACAUAGGAGCCUCGGGAUAGCUACGUUCACUGCAGCUGCACUACAGACGCUGGCUUUACUGUUCAGACCAAAGACGACCAACAAGUUCCGGAGAUACUGGAAGUCUUACCAUCAUUUUGUCGGGUACGCGUGUGUGGUGAUGGGUGUGGUGAACGUGUUCCAAGGGUUCGAGGUUUUGAGGGAAGGAGGAUCAUACGCGAAGCUUGGUUAUUGUAUGUGUUUGGCGACGUUGAUUGGUGUCUGCGUAGCCAUGGAAGUGAACUCAUGGGUUGUGUUUUGUCGCAAGGCUAAAGAAGAGACGAUGAAGAGAGAUGGUUUGGCUGAAGAUAGAUGCAGCAGUGGGAUUCAUAGUUAGGUCUUGAGUCCUAAUUAUAAGAAAGACAGAGAGAGAGACGGUACACCUUUUAUAUAUCCUUGCUUAGCACCUAAAAAAAUCUCAUGUACAAUGUACAUUUUUUAGGUGUUCCAUCACUGUUCAUAUAAGAUCUAGAUCUUGAUUUUGUUAUGUUUCAAUAUGCUAAAAGAUCAGAUAUGAGUGUUUUUUCACAUAAUUUAUGGACAGUAUAGGAUCGGGUUCAAAGUUGACUUACCUUAAAGUUGUGGAUCCAUUAAUUGCAUCAUAUGGAGAUAUCAGACGUAGAGAUAUAAACCAAUUAGUACACAGAACAAUCCACUUUGGUCUGGCUAUUUGAAAGAUAUUACAUGAACACCUUUUAAGAUAACUACAAAAAAACCAUAAACAUCAAGACAAAGAUGCAAAUAGAUUAUGGCAGAAAUCGACAUAUGUAUUAUUCGAAUUUAUGAAAGAUCAUUUGGAUUCAGAAUAAAUACUCAAAAACAUGUACUAAGCGGCUGGCUCAUGAAGAUUGUGCAUUAUAUAAAUGGUAUCUACUACUUUACCUUAAAGAUUGACAAAGAAAAUUCAUGACAACUCAAGAAACUCCCAGCCCAUAAGUGUCACAGGAGAGAGAGUCUGGUUUCAGAAAUAUGGCAGUCAAAAUUACACACGAAUGCAACCAUCCUCAAAGUGACCUGUGUACCUAGCCAUCAAAAUUAAGUAAGUUGAACCUAACAGUAGCAGAUAUGCAAAUACAACAUUUCAGUCUGCAUAUGCUGAGAGGGUUCUUCACCAGUUGCAACGAGGUUUUUGCAAGCUACGAAACAGAACUAGAACAUAAAAAAUCAUUCUAAUUUCUUGAAAACGUAUACUUGCUUCUUUCAAUACAUGAGAUCUUAGAAUACAUACAACUCAAGCUUCGAAAACAAGAACCGACUCUAUGAGUAGCUCUCUGGUUUCCUAUUCUUUACAUCAAGAGGACAGUAAGAAUACUCACAUUAUGCUUCAGGAAACUAACUGGAGCAUCUUGGUCACCAAUUCCAAAGAAUAGCUCUGAGAAGCCCUGCAUGUCUAUGUAUUUGCAGCUCCCGCAAGAAGUCAAUUAAAAAUCAACCACAACUACUUUCUUUUGUUGAUCUAUAAUAAAUUCUUUAAGGCUUUAUCAAUGAUUCUAAGAAACCUUUAUGACUGAAGCUUGAGUAACAAAUAUUUCUGUUCGAGCUCUACAGUUAAUUCUCCUCACCGUCGCCACGCUAUCAGGCACACAUACUGAGGCAUGAACGUCACAUAUCAGUAACAUGUUCCAUUGUCUCACAGGUUGAAAUUAUUAUAUUUGGCUAACUCCCAUAUAACCAUCGUAUCCAUUAUCUUUCAUCAUCUGCCUGACUCUAACUACGUCGUCCCACAUUGCUUCUGCUGCAUAUAAGUUUGACAUCAAUACGUAUAGCCCUCCAUUCCUGUAAUCCAACAUAAACAUUUUCUUAGCUACAUACUCCCCAACCUCUAACUCUCUGUGAACAAUGCACGCGCUAAGCAAAGCACCCCAUACUGCAGAAUCAGGCUUUAUAUUUAUCUCCCAGAUUAAAUACAAUGCCUCAGUAAACAAACAUGCUCUACCCAACAAACCAACUAUAAGAGCAUAAUGCUGUAAGCUUGGCGAUAUUCCAAACUCUUUGAUCAUUGCUCUGAAACAUGUUUUUCCUUCAUCGACAAAGCCGCCAUGGGCACAUGCAGACAGAACCCCCAAAAAGGUGAUCUUGUCAGGUUUCAACCCCUUCUCUCGCAUUUCCAAGUAACAGGAAAGAGCUCGCUUUUGUAACCCCGAUAAGCUGUAUCCUGAUAUCAUUGAGUUCCAUGUUGCUGUGCAUGGAGCUUUUAUGCUCUUGAACACACUUUCUGCUAAUUCUGCAUCCCCACAUUUAGCAUACAUGUCUAUAAGAGCAGUGCAAACAAAGUUCUCAUUUUCAAUAUUGUUCCUAAGAGUAUAACUAUGAAGUUCCUUCCCCAAAUGCAAGUUACAGAGCUGGGAACAGCCAGCAAGCAAACUCGCUAUCGUAAUGGCAUCCGGCAAAGGUUCGCCACUUAACUUCAUCUGAUGGAACACCUCAAAUGCUGUCCUUGCUCUACCAGACUGAACACACCCAGAUAUCACUGAGUUCCAGCUAAUAAGAGGAGUCUCAUGCAGUUGCUGAAAUAAAAACAUGAAAGUCUCCACAUCAUCAAACUUAGAAUACAUAGUUAUCAGUCCAUUCACAACCAGUGUUUUUGUGCACAAUCCGCUUUUGAUCGCGUAACCAUGUAACGACAUCCCUAUAUCGAUAUGGGAAGAGUUUGUACAUCCAUGGAGAAUUCCAACCAAAGCUACAGCAUCAAUUUUCAUACACAGCUGACACAUUUUAGAAAAGUAAACAACCGCUCUGUCCAUAUCUCCUUUCUCAGCAUAGCUUGAAACAAUCGAAGUUAGACCAACAAUACUAUCUUGGUUAGCAGACGCGUAAAGACACUCUGCUGAAUCCGAAUCCCAACACCUUGAAUAUGCACAAACCAAAGAAGUAAUCACAGAGUUAUCGUUCACCAUUCCACGUUUAACAACAAGACAAUGUAAUGGCUCGUGACUAACAUGAGCUGAAAGAAGACUGAUGAUAGUGACUGGACUAAUCUCCACGUUCUUCUCAACCAUGUUCUUGAAAACAGAGAUGGCCUUGUCCUGUAACCCACUCUGGCUAUAAGCACCAAUCAUUGUGUUCCAAGAAACUGUGCUUUUGUCUCUCAUAUCUCUAAACAAUACUUCUGCUGAUUCCAACUCUGAACACUUUGAAUAAAAAGAAAUUAACGCAUUUUUCACCUGAGAAUCUAGUUCAAGACCAGACUUUGCAGCAACACCAUGAACAGACCUCCCUUGUGAAACAAACCCACAUUGUCCACAAAAAGGCAGCAAAUUCCCAAGUGUAGUAGCAGAAGGAGCAAAGCCUUGCUGAAGCAUUACAAUAAAGAGCUUCCAAGCAUCAGAUUCAUAACCAUUUCGCGAGUACCCACAAAUCAACGCAUUCCAAACAACGGUAUCUCUCUCAGACAUUUCGUCGAACAACACUCGUGCGCUCGUCACAUAACCCAUUUUUAAGUGCAAGUCAAGAAGAGAUGUUUUCACGUAAACAAACCGAUCAAGACCUGAUUUUGCGAGAUGGGUUUGUACUUGUGUGACUUGUAACUUGAAAGAAUCAAGAGAGGUGUGAUGAUGAGGUGAUAAAGAGGCAGUAGAGGAUUGGAGAAAGAUAGACAUGGUGAGAUGGUUUGGUAUAAGAGAUGAACGGAGUAAGUCACGGAAGAUAGUGAUCGGAGAAGAAGAAGAGAUAUCACCAUGAAUACAAGAUUUGAGUAGAGAAUGGAAGUGAGAUAGGUCUCUAAUGAAAGGUUUGGUAAUGAGCAUACUCUCUUGUUCGAAACUUCGAAUGUCUCGGAAGUCUAACUUUGUCUGAAAAGAAUCUCAGCUUUCACUUUUUAUUAGUACCUAUUUUGAUCAAGCAAGUCUCUGAUGUGCUUUCUUCGGUCGACUUGUGUGACUAAGCGUGUUCAGUUUCGGUUCUUUUUCAGAUUUGAAUUUGGGUAACUAUAAUCAAUUUGGGAUAAUUUAAAAAUAUAUUAAAAACUGGAAAAAAAUUGUGUAUAAAAGAAGAAUAUAGAUAAUUUUUAGAUAUAUAUAUUUUUGAUGUCAAUUACACUAAUUUGGGUAUUCAAAAUAAUUAUAUGAUUUGUGUGUUGUAUAUGUUUCAGAAAUUGAGUUGUGAAUUUUUUUAAUUAUGUAUGUUCUCUUUAUGGUUACAUUCAUCCAUGUUGGGGUUGUAUCUCAGCUCCGACAACAUAAAAUUCUUAUUCGUUGUCACUGUAAUUAGAAGACACUAUUGGAGAAAAAAUUGGGAACACACAAGAAAUUAGUUUAAUUAAUACAUAAAUCUUUUUACAAAUUGUCUUCAAAUUAAAUUUAUCGAGUGGAUUUAUUAAUUAAAAUUUUUUUUUUCAAAUCACAAUUUCUCGUCUACAAAUCUUAAAAUUUGGGAAUAAAACUAAUAUCAACAUAUUUUUUGGGAAUAAAAGCAUUUCGGAUUUUAAGAUUUGUGGUCGAUAAAUUGUGAUUCGAAAAUACAAUUUUGAUUAAUAAUAUCACUCGAUAAAUUUAAAUCAAAGACAAUUUGUAAAACUUUUUACGUAUUAAUUAAACUAAUUUCUUGAUAUCGCAAUAGGCUAUCAAUAAUUUUUCAGUCAACCACACAUAUAUUAAAAUAUUAUUCAAUGAUUUGUAGUCUAAUAUGGAUGAAAAGAGUUUACAAAUGAAAUCUAUGAAAAUAACUUUAUGGAUGAACGAGCUAAACAAUCCGCUAGAAUUACUAGAAUAUCAUGACUAUAGCUUGUUUUUAAUGUUUUAUUUAAUAUAUACCUUAAAAUGUGUAUCUUUUAUUUAUGUAUAUAUAUAUAUAUAUAUUUUCAAUUUUUAUGAAAUAAGAUAAAACAUAUUUGAAGGUAAGACUAAUUUUAGUUGUUUGAUGUAACAAAAAAAAUGAUUGUUUUCAUUUGGAAUUUGAUCUAUUAAGUCAUUUGCAUUUGCAUCUUGGAUCAAAUGCGAGGUAGUCUAAUAUUUUGCAUUUGUUACAAUUUUUUUUUGUUUUCAGAGUUGAAAAAUCAUGAAUUCAUCUAUGAAAUAGUGAAAGAUUAUUGGUGCACUAAGAUCAUACAUACAUCUACUUUGUAUGACAUUUUUAGUCUAUUUAAAUGGUGCAUAUCAAUUUAAAAUUGCACUACAUAUGCAUGUGAAAUAGUUUACAUUUACAUGAUUAUAUGGUUAUUUUGAUGGAGCGCAAAUGAAGAUGGAAGAGCAUGUUAAUCUAAUAAAAGGCGUAAGACGUCUUUGGUGAAAGUUGGGAUAGUCUCGGCCUCACUAAUUUUUUUUUACAUAGAAAAUUCAGUUUUUUUUACUUAUAUGAAUGUGACAUGUAAGGAAUGUUUUCAUAUGUUAUUAACUUUCCAUAAUGUUUGAAAAACUUUCAUAGGAAAAAAAAAGAGUAUAUUAGUCACUAGUUUUGUAUUGUGUCUUGCAAGAUUACUUAUUUAUUUAUAGGGAAAUGAUAAAUUUUAGUUUUUACUAAUUAGAUAGUUUUUUUUUUUUGUCAAACAAUUAGAUAGUUUUUUUUUUUUUGUCAAACAAUUAGAUAGUUCUUUUAAACUUUUGGUUUUGUUUUAUAUUGGGUUGGAAUUUUGGAAGUACGAAGUAGAAACUAAAAAAUCAAAUUUAUUUUAAAUAAAAACUAGAAAAAAAAAAUUAAAAAAAAAUUAAAAACAAAAGAACAAGAAAAAUGUAAGAUGAGUUUUGGUCUCAUCAAAGAUUGUCCAAAAGACCAAAAACAAAGGUUAUGCAUUUCAGUUCCUGGGCCGGCUUGGCCCAUAUGUCUUUAAACUCAGAUAUUUUAUUUUUUUCCUCUCAAAAUAGUUUUUAAGGCAAAAAAAAAAAGAAAAGAAAAGAGAGAGAAGAGAAAGCAUUAUGCCAUUAUCCCUUACGACGACGAAGCCGUCGUUUUGAGGUUUUUUUUGUUUUUGUUUUUUUUUUUUUUGGCACCGUUCGUUCAAAUCCUGAGAUCUUCUUCAAACUCUUCUUUCAUUGUCUCCUUUUUCCUCACUCCGUCGUCGUUUUGGUUUCAUAUCAAAGUUCUUCUUCGUCUCUGUUCCGCGCUGUUUUCCUGGUUAGUCUCUCUCCCCUUCUCCGGCGUCGUUUCGUUGCUUAACGUCUCUGUCUCUGUCUAUCUGAUUCCGUAUCGUCUGUAACUGACCAAAUGGAAAAUAAAAAUCAAACCUUUUUGUUUUCCUCUGUUAAUGGGAUUCGUAGUGUUUGAGGAAAUCUCUGUGGUUUUGAAUGAGGCUUGAAAGAUUGGAUUUUUGUUUAGGGUUUCUUCGAUUUUGUGGAUUGUAAUCUGUAAUUUUAUUGGAAUUUGCUUCAGGGCACAUGUGUUUUCAUUAGGAUUAUGUUUUUUGGGGGUAAAGUUUGAAGCUUUGGAGCUUUUUCUGAUUAAAGUUUGAAGAUUUAUUUGGUUUUUUUGUGCAGGUGAGUGUUGAUUCUGAUGGAUGUCUUAGCGAAUCCAGGGCCACUUAAGGAUGUUGUGCUUUAUGAUCAAGAGAAACAUGUUUCCUCUGCUGUUUGGGAUGGCCAGGUUUAAACUCUUCUCUGCACUUAAAAUCGAUUUGUGGGAACUGUGACAAAGAUUGGAUGAUUGUGCUUAGUGUUGUUGUUUCAUGUAUUUGCAUAAUGCUUUCUUUUUGUUGGUUCUUAGACUGAUAAUAAUGUGGAAACAAACUGUUAGGAGCGAGGUGCGUUGAGGUGUCAUGAGCACACAUCGAAGUUGGGUGAGUGGAAGCUUAAGCCAAAGCAGGUAGAGUUGGUUGAGAGAGCCGGUUUUGGGUAUUUGAGACGGAUCCCUGCCAUUAGUCUUGACAAUCCUCUUAUCUCUGCGUUAGUCGAGCGCUGGAGGAGAGAGACCAACACUUUUCAUUUCACAAUUGGGGAAAUGACUGUGACUCUUGAGGACAUUGCCCUGUUACUUGGAUUGGGGAUUGAUGGUAAACCUGUCAUUGGAGUGACAUAUACAACUUGUGCUGCGGUAUGUGAGAGGUACUUAGGGACGGCACCAGAUUCUAAUUACGCUAGUGGUGGGAUGGUUAAGCUUAGCUGGUUGAAAGACAAGUUCUCUGAAUGUCCUGAUGAUGCUUCUUUUGAACGUGUUGAGCGCUGUACACGGGCGUACCUAUUGUACUUAGUAGGGAGUACCAUCUUCUCUACAACCACUGGAAAUAAGGUGCCUGUUAUGUAUCUUCCGCUGUUUGAGGAUUUUGAUGAUGCUGGAACAUUUGCUUGGGGUGCAGCUGCUUUGGCUUUCUUGUAUAGAGCACUUGGGAAUGCUUCUGUUAAAUCCCAAAGCACUAUAUGUGGUUGCUUGACGCUAUUACAGGUGCUAUAAUUUCCAUUUCUGUCAAAUAUUUUGCAGUUUGGAUAAUUAUGGAAUUGAAUACAUUUAUUUAAUCUUCUCUCCUUUUUUUUCUUUUUGUUGUAUAGUGUUGGAGUUACUAUCACUUAAACAUUGGCCGGCCAAAGCUGAAUCGUGAGCCCGUCCAUGAUCAUUUCCCAUUUGUGCUUAGGUGGAAGGGGAAGCAAAAUGGUCCAACAGCAAACCGUGAUGUGGUCUUUUACCGGAAAGCAUUGGAUGCCUUGAAGCCAUAUGAAGUAAGCUUGUUUAUAUAUUCAUCAGCUACUCUCUUUUUCUGUACACUUCUGUUGAUCUAAUGUUGCUGAUAUACUAGGUGGAGUGGCUUCCGUACGAAAAUAUGGAUGGUAGAUACAUACCGGAUCAUAUAAGAAACUCUCUGCAGUUGGGUAGAUCGAAAACAAUGCUGAUAUCUUUUGACAAGGCGGAGAGACAUCUGCCUGAUCGCUGUCUCAAACAAUUUGCCUUGUUUCAAGGCAUCCCAGAAGAUGUGCAAAAGUGGGUAAGAAAGUCUAGGGGAGUUGAUGGAGGGAUUGACCUGUCAGUCAAAAUGGAAUCAGAGUUAAGCGAAUGGGAAAUGCGGUGGGAAAAUAUUGUGCCUGAUGAUGUUCUAGGUGUUGAUGAAGCAGACUACAUGAGGUGGUAUCUUGGAGUUACCCGGAAAAUUGUGGGAAGGCCUAUCUCUCUCUCAAGCGAGUUUCAAAGAACGGUAAUAGCUAAGAACAAGUUUCUUGACCCUCAGUCAUUUUGACAGUACGUCUCUAGGUAUGGUCUUAAUACUUAACACUUGUUGUUGUCGCAGAUUUCAAAUGUGAGGGAUAUAUUGGAGUUGGCAGAGAAUUUUCAAACACAUGAUUUGGAUCUUGAAAGAGGCAACAUGAUUUCAAGGAUUAUAAACCUUGCGCAAGAUUGCCUGAGAGAUCAAGUUGGAGUAACGGUUACAACAGAAAGCCAGCAGCAGAUCGAACUUGGGAAAAGAAUGCGCGGUAAAGAAAGGGUGAGAAGGAAGGGGAUGGGAAAGAGAAGGAAAGGUAUUGAUCCAAUGGAAGACUAUGGGGGUAGUGAAGAUGAAUCACAGUUUGGACCUGUGGUUGAGGUUGGUCAAAUGCAUUUACCACUUAGCCAUACAAAUUCUGUGUAUGAUGGAACACAUAUGUACGAUGCUGUCACCAAAGUUGAUGACAUGGAGCUUUGCGACUCCAUCCCUCAACUGCCCGAGACUCAAGACAUCAGCAAGAUUGACGGGUCAUUGCUAGACGACGCAGACAAGUCUUUUGAGGACAGUAAGUUACAUGAAGAAAUUGGUACAACUAAUGUUCUGAGCGGCGAGGAUCCAACUGAGGACAUUGGGGAACUGCCUGAGAGCUAUGAUGUGAAGAAAGAAGAUAAAGAAUCAAAGGUUGAAGAUUAUGAUGCAGCAAAGGAAAUCAGUGAUGUUAGCGGUGAAGAAAACGCAAACAGAGAGGAAGAAGAUGGAACAGAGAUGGGAGAAAGUAUUGCAAAUUCGUCUUCUCUUGAAAGAAGAGGAGAGAACACUGUGGUUGCUUGAAAACAGUUGGUGUAAUCUAUCUCUUGAGUUGUUGAGAGUUAUGGAAGUGACAGAUAGAUUCAAUGAGAGUUAUUUUACAUCAAGAAUGAAGAAGAAUGGCUGCAGAGGAAUUUAAGUUUAGUUUUCUGUUUUGUAUUUUUGAUUUUUAACUUAUUUUUCGUUUGUUUUGGUAAAGUACUGUCUUUUGUUUUAGAAGUAUGUUUAAGCAACUUAUCUGUAGAAGAAGAGGUUACAGAAAAAGUAUGAAACAUCAUACUCUGAUUAAGUGAUUAGUGUGACUCCAAUUAUAAUAAUUUAGUCGCUCUGUUUCCUAGCAGAAGCAAGCUUAGACCAACAUUAUUGGUGGGAUCUUAAAAAGUAUCUUAAACUAAGAUUUGUUAAGAAUAAGAUCAGAUCUUAACAAAUCUUAGCUUAAGAUACUUGUUAUAACUCCACCAAUAAUGUUGCCCUUAAAUUAUCGCAAGUAGAGACUUCUUAUAUUCAGGUCAUUUCCCUGCAAAUUCAACAUUUUAAUGCAAAUAUCACAAGAUAGUUUCACAACUUUUUUGUUUUGUUUUUGUUUUAAAUCAUCUUCUCCUAGUGUGGUUGACUAGUUUUUUUAUAUAAAUUUGAACUCAGUUAAAAAUAGUGUCAACUGAGAUAAAUAUAAUUUUUAUGUGUUUAAAUAUUAUAGAAAUUUAGAUUUUAAAAAAUAAUAAUUUACCAACGAUCUUUUAAUUUUUUAUUAGUUUUGCUCUGUUUAUUUUUAAUACCAUCAAAGACACAAUUUUAUCUAUUAAGAUGAAGUGCAUAGAGUUAAAAUCUAGUUUAUUAUGAUGAAACGAAUAGUUAAUUAUAUUGUUUCCGUUUAAAUGUGAAAUUUAUCAAUAGUAAAAGUGUUAUAUACAUAGUUCAUUAUUAGAUCUAAUUUGGCCAACUUUUAAUGGCUCAUGUAGUUCAUCUAACAAUUGGUCAAGUUUAUAGAUAUGAAAUUUACAAUGAAUUGUUGCCUUAUAAUCAAUAUUCAUUUCAAAUACCCAAAAUGUUUAACAAGACUCGUUAAUAUUAGAACCCGAAUUAAGUUUCAAAAAUGGAUUUUAAUAUAAGAAAUAUUUUGAAAGAAAUCAAACAAAAAUUAACAUCAACAUAGUAACAUAAAAAUCACACAUUUCCACUCAUACUUAAACCAAUAAGGCAAACAAUCUAACAAUAAUUUUUCUUUGACCAAAAAAAAAAUCUAACAAUUAGAAAUACCUAUCUAUUUAUGUAAAACCCGGUUUCCAUAUUCGAAUCAUGCAUUCUCUCUGUAGAUACUCCCAAUUCCUUGUAUUAAAUAAUAAAAGAUCUCGAAAAAAAUUAAACUUUAAAUAAAAACCAUAAAACGAUUAUCUUUCAAAUCACUUUUUCUUAUUAUAUAAAUUACAUAGAAAGAUAAUAAAAAUUCUAUAAAUAUCCAUUUUUGUAAGAUUCUUUGAAUAUAUAUUGUAAGAUUAGAUAGUCAUGUCACUAUUGCAGUAAAAAAAAAAAACAAAUUAGUUAAUUUAACCUAACAAAUAUGCUAUUUCCUCAUUCUAUUUCUCUCCCCUAUCUCUCUCUCUUUCUAUACAUCUAAUUGUUGUAAAGAGUGUAGUGUUUACUCAUCAAAAUUCCCAUUUUGUUCUUUUCUGAAUUUUAAAAUAACAACAACAACGUUAGCAAAAUUCGAAUGUGUUUAGAGAGAUAUCAAUGGUGGUUUAAUAAAUUGACCUUUAAAAUUCUCUUUUUUUAUUUUUCUCUAAAAACAAAAGUAGUCCUUUAAUAAAUAAAAAAAACAAAACAAAAACAAGUCCACUUGUGUAAGAAUCAAUACUUUUUGUUUUUGUUCCUCAGACUAAAGUUAAAAAAAAAAAAAAACAUAAUUGCAUAUAGAUCCCUCAACUUUAAUAUACUCUCACUUUAUAACCCAAUAAAAUCGAAACAACACUUUAAUGAGACACACGAGAUUAUAAUGCACUGGGUUCUGUGGGUCCCAAUGCUUCUUCUUUUUGUCGGCUUGUGUUUUGUGGGUGGAGAAUAUAUGUCAUGACAAACGUAUCAUCUAACCGUUAGAUCAAACUAAGUCCACAUAUGUUACGGUACACUUCACCCACACAGGAUUAUAAUCUCUUCUUCCUACUUUCUUCUUUUUCUUCUUCUCCAUAGUCAUUUCCAAGUCCAACCAUCUGUUUUUGGACGUGACCUUUUGUUCUUCUCUCCUCUCUCUCUCUCUCUGUUAUAAACCCAAUUUUGAGGUUGUUCGAUUUCGAUCUACGAGAUUCUUGAUCUUUUAUUACAAGAACUUUGAGAAAGCAUCUGUUUUUGUUUUCUUGGGAUUCUCGUUGGGUGUGUGUUUGGUCGGAUGGUGAUCUUCUCGAUGUUUGUGCAAGGUAAAUUCUUUUUGUAUUUUUUGGAGUUGUGUUAUUGUUUUUAAUUUAGGGUUGUAUUAAAGUUUUGAUUUUUAUGCGAAUCUUUGAUAUUGAAUCGUCGUCUCUUGACUCUCGUAGUAAAUUGAACCAAUUUGCCGACUUUUUUUUUAUAUGUAAUUUGGUUUCAAGAUUUUAAGGAAAUGCUUUGAUUUUUGGGGUUUUUUUUUGUCAAGAGUUUGAGAGAUUUGAGUUCUUGUUUGUUUAUUCAAUGUCAUAAAAACGUUAGAUCAUUAGGGAUGAGAAGCUUGUUUGGUUUGAAGAUACAUUUUAUGAGACUUUAUGGUUGAUUCUUUUGGACCAGUUUGGUAAUGGUUUAGUCUAUUGAUUGACUCGUUGGUUGGAGCAUAGGACAAAUUUAAGGCUUUGUUGAGAUUUUUGUAACUGUCAGAUUGAACAUAUUAAAUUGGAGACUCUGUUGUUCUUUAUGGCUUCACUAUGCUCUUAAGAGAUCCUUUUGAGUGGUUGUUCUGUAAUAGUUUGUUCCCUAUUGUUGUUUAUGUAGAGUUUAGUAUUAGUUCACUGAAGUAAUUUGGUUUCUGUUUAUGAGACUUUAGGGUUGAUUUGUUUGGACUAGUUUGGCAAUAGUUUAGUCUAUUGAUUGACUCGUUGGUUGAGCAUAGGACAAGUUUAAGUCUUUGUUAAGAUUGUUUGUAACUGUCACAUUGAAAGUCUCAAAAGUGGAGACUUUGUUGUUCUUUAUGGCUUCACUACUCUGUUUUGUUUCUAAGAGAUUCUUUGAGUGGUUGUUCUGUAACAGUUUGUUCCCUAUUGUUGUUUCUGUAGAGUUUAGUAUUAAUUUGGUUUUUGGUUUUGUUUAUGAGACUUUAGGGUUGAUUUUUUCGGACUAGUUUGGUAAUAGUUUAGUCUAUUGAUUGACUCGUUGGUUGAGCAUAGGACAAAUUAAAGUUUAAGGCUUUGUUAAGAUUGUUUGUAACUGUCACAUUGAAAAUCUCGAAAGUGGAGACUUUGUUGUUCUUUAAUGGCUUUCACUACUCUGUUAUGCUCUUAAGAGAUUCUUUGAGUGGUUGUUCAGUAACAGUUCAUUUUGUGUUUAUCUGCUUCUCCAGGCUUUGGGAACUAAAUGGAUUCGGUGUUACGCUCGAUUCUUUCCGGUUGUUAGCUCGUUUGAAUUCUUCUGUUACUGGUUAGAAAUCUUGUUGGUGUUUAGUUAUGGCUGAGGUUGAUAAAGUUCCGGUUAGUGAUAUGGAACUAGACGGUUCAAGCGAGACAAAAGCAGCAGUUGAUGGUGUUGUUGUUGCUGACAAAACGGAGGCCACAUCAGUGACUGUAACUAGAACUGAUGUUGUUUUAGCUGAUAAAACGGAGGCCACACCAGUGACUGUAACUAGAACUGAAGUUGUUGUUGAAGGUUGUCAAACUGAAAGUUCAAAAUCUGUUGACUGCAAAGAGCAGCUUGUUCCCCAAAUCACAGCUUCACAGUCGGAAGUAGAUGUCGCUUCCCCGACAUCUGAGAAAGCACCAAAGGUUUCUGAGAGUAGCACUGUCUUGUCUUUGCAGUCUACUUCGGAAGGGAAUAGCCCUUUUAUACGUGAGAAGGUUAUGGAAGACGGAUACAACUGGCGGAAAUAUGGACAGAAGCUUGUUAAGGGGAAUGAGUUUGUGAGGAGCUAUUACAGAUGCACGUACCCAAACUGCAAAGCGAAAAAGCAAUUGGAGCGGUCGCCUGGUGGACAAGUCGUGGACACUGUUUACUUUGCUGAGCAUGAUCAUCCGAAGCCUCCUACUGGUGCUGUUUCUAUUAGUCAGGAUAAACGAAGUGAUGUCGUCACAGCUGUGAGUAAAGGUGAAUAAAGAACAGAUAUUAUUUCUUAUUUAUAAGAAAGUUUUUGUUAGGGCUUAUGAUGUGGUAACAUAUUAAAUGUAACACUGUUUCUUUUUGGUAUUAUAUUUUGUAGAGAAAUCAUCUGGAUCCCUUGUUCAGACACCUCGCCAAACCGAACCACCAAAGGUCCACAGAGGAUUACAUAUUUCAGUUACUCCUGCAGCCGAUGAUGUGAAAACUGAUAUUUCACAAUCAAGUAGGAUAAAGGGCGACAACACUCACAAGGAUCUUAGUAGUCCUUCCUCAAAGCGAAGGUAUUGAUGGUUUAUAUUUUCAGCUUUGUUAUUUCAGGGUUCUGAAGGAAGGCUUUACCAUUGGUGUUCUUUGUUUUUCUUAUUAUGUCGAUGUCACUAAAUCAGGAAAAAAGGAGGGAACAUCGAGCCGAGUCCAGUGGAGAGGCCAACCAGUGAUUCACGCAAUGUGGUUCACACUCAAACUCUAUUUGAUAUUGUGAAUGAUGGGUACCGAUGGCGUAAAUAUGGUCAGAAAUCAGUGAAAGGCAGCCCAUAUCCGAGGUAGUGAAUUGAUUACAUAUUAAAGUAUGAUGUCAAACUUUUGGUUUCAUUCUUCUCUGCUUAUUUUCUUUCUCUGUUUGAUGUAUUAGGAGCUACUAUAGGUGCUCAAGCUCUGGCUGUCCAGUCAAGAAACAUGUGGAGAGGUCAUCUCAGGACACAAAGUUGCUUAUAACUACUUACGAGGGAAAACACGACCAUGCUAUGCCUCCAGGAAGGGUUGUUACUCAUAAUAACAUGGUGGACUCAGAAGUUGAUGAUAAAGAACAGAAUGCUAAAGAAGGAGAUGCCAACAAGACUCCACAGAGCGCAGCUCUUCAAUCCAUUACCAAAGACCAGCAUGAAGAAGAUCACCCAAGAAAGAAAAUUAAGACCAAUGGCUUUGAGAAAAGUCUUGGUCAAGGUCCUGUCUUGGAUGAGAAAGUGAAGGAAGAAAUAAAAGACAUAUCAGAUGCAAACAAAGAUCACGCAGCCAAUCACGCCAAGCCGGAAACAAAGUCAGAAGAUAAAAUCGCUGCUUGUCAUGAGAAGGCAGUGGGAACCCUGGAGACUGAGGAACAGAAACCCAAGACAGAGCCUGCCCAAAGCUAAGCAUUCGGUGUUGUACUGAGUGGUAAUUUAUAUGGCUGUUUAACAUAGAUUAGUACAGGCGAUAUGAUUACAGACUGUACAGUUGUUGUUCAGGCAGGACCAGAUUUUUAGAUUAGUGUUAAAUGGAAUAGUAUGCUUACUACCAUUAUAUAGCCGCUUUCAUUUGGUUCAAAUAAGAGUUACAGGAAGAGAUGGUAACACAACAAGUGUCUUUCUUUAUUAUGGAGCCUGUGUAAUAGUUGUAGUAUGGGGAUGUAUAUGAUUUGAUUCAGAUUCAACCUUAUUAACCGUAUUGAGACAACAAUCUAUUACUUCCAAUCUAUCGUUUGCAUUUUUAUUCUUUCACUUCCAGGCACAAGAUGAGACCAAGAUUCUGUCCAUCCAACCAAGGUACAAAGCACCAUCACUUUCUUCAAUCACAUACCCGUUGCUGUAAUCUCUCAUCAGGGCUCUAAUGGUGGCUGAAAUUAUUGAGCUCAAGGGGUAUGGCUCAAAACCCGCCAUGGAAAACCUUGAUUUCCAUUUCCCGAGAAGCUCGUGCCUUUCGAUCCUCUCAGCUCCUUCACAAGCUAUGAUGUUGACGACAUCCCUUGCCAAGCAGUGCUGCUCGAUGUUGAUCCUUUCCUUGUGAUUUCUAGGAAGCAUCACAUCAAUAGAUUCAAACAUUGCUGUGUAAUAACUUAAUGUCUCAAGGAACCUAGGAAAGAAAGGAGAAGUGUUUGUGUUGCAUUCUUGUUCCACAAGAGUGACCACUUUAGGUGAUAGACUCUUCACCAUCCUCAGCACUCGGUCCCUGUGGUUUUCCAUGCUUACACUCUCAUCUGGCAAGUGGUGCAGCAUGUAAGCAAAGUUUACUCCAAGGGCUUCGCCUUCCCGGACAUCAAGAUUUUCCACUUCAACUUCAUAACUCGGCCUUGAAAUCGCAUUGAACUUAAAUGGGACAUCAAACUUCUUUGCAAGUUUCUCUAGUCUUCUCUUAACUGUAACCAAAACCGAUACAUCACCAAUUCCGGUAAUUCGAAUAUUUGGAGCCCCACCAGGCCUAGCUGCAAAAGCCUGAAUCAGCGAAAUCCACUGGCUCCCUUGCCCAAUUUGGAAGUCAAUAAUGUGAAUUCUUUUCUCAUCCUUCAUUGCUUCAGCGAUCGCCCCAUUCGCUGACAUGUACCCAAACUUUAAAUAUGGACAAACCUCAUGCAGAACAUACACAUAAGACAAGAAUUCAUAACUCUCAGGUUCUCUGGAUUGGAGAGAUUUGUAUAUCGAACUACCAGAGGCGGCGAGUCUUGCCACUAGACCUUCUAACAUGUAAGCUCCCAAUCUCUGGAUUGGCGCACCAGAAAUCGAAACCAUACCACGCAACUCGCCCAUACACCAUCGCGCCAUUAGAAGAUUAUUCUCAGAAACAGCUUUAGCACAAGCAACCAGUACCCAUUUCAAGUCUCCCCUUGAUAUUGCCUCCACUAUCAACAACAAAUCAUUAGCAUCUUCAGGCCACAUGGAGAGUUCAUGGCAAAUAGCAUCAUUAAUACUCUCAGCUAUCUCUGGCAAUGGCUGCAACAUUGUUGUUAUCCUCAAGAUUUGACUUUUACUUAUCUGAUCUUCAUAACACACAGUAUACAAUAUACAUACCCCUUCCUAACAACAGCCAAUCAUAUAAGGCUGCAACACCUGUAGAAGUCAUACACAAGUCUUUAAUCAGAUAUGGAAAUCAAAACUCUUUCUACAUCAACUAUGAACUACUUCAUCAAUAAACAACAUAAACUAACACUUCCAUCAUCCAAUUAUAAGAUCAAAAUUUGACAAUUUCUCCUCAGAGUUUAGAGUAAACCUCAAGAGAGUGCGUGGAAUUUGCAAAAUUGUAAACAAAAGGAGAAAAGAUUCAAGCUUUGUGUACAAGAAGAAGCAGAGCAUCAAAAUCCGAGUAUAAAGUUUAGAUUUUUAUGGCAAGAAACUAACCUUGUGAAGAUUAAGAAGUAAUCUUUUGGUGUCAAAGUAGAACAGAUUUGGUUUUGCAAGUGAGAGAGAUCCACCCCAAAGCUCGCAGUUGAAGCAAAAGGAAGAAUCUUUAAGUGGCUGUAAAGAGAAUACGACACCGUUUCAGUUUAAACCCGAAUAAGACCCGAUCACCCACUUGGUAAUUUUGAUAUGACCCAUCUCACUUAAAGUCUCUGGUCUCAAAUGGGGAAUUGUGUAAGAAGCAAUCUAAGAGACUUCAGAGCAAGACGAUCGAUGGAUCCUCGGAUAUGGCACAAAGUCGCCGCAGUUUCCGGUAAGAUUUUGGAUAAAGUAAUGAUCUUUGAAUUGAUCACUUGAUAAAGUAAUGAUCUUUGAAUUGAUGGUGUAAGGAAGAUACUGAUUUCGUUUAGUGUUGUAGGUAUGGCUGCUCUUGGUUUAGGAACUUACGGUGCUCAUGGCUUUAAACCUGAAAACCCAUCUUACAAACAGGUUCAGAUUCUGAAUUUGUUGGAAAAUUUGAUUGCUUUUUUGAGAUUUUAGCUAUUUGGGUUUUGUAUUUGUUGUUGGAUUUGUCUGAAAAAGUUGAGGUUUUUGUUAGGUGUGGCAAACGGCUUCUCUUUACCAUUUGGUUCACACUGCUGCUCUUGUUUCUGCUCCUACCACCAAAUAUCCCAACAUUGUAAAGCUUUCUCUUGUUUCCUGUGUUUCUCCAGUUUGUGUCAUUUGCUAGUUGAUGCAGCUGACUUAUGAUUUUCUUGUACAGUUUGGUGGCUUGUUGACUGCUGGGAUUGUAGCGUUUUCCGGCACGUAAGUUUCUCAAGUUCUUCAAUUUAAGCUCUUGAAUUGUUGUGUAUGUGAAGCUUGUGGGCAGUUUGUUAAAUCUCUUGUAAUUGAGCAAUUUAAAAUGAAUUGGAGUUUCGAGUAUACACUCUAAUCUUUUGGCAUUGGAAAUAUCUUGACAUGUUUUGUACUCUGAGUUAUCUAAUCAUUGCAUCACUUACUAGUUGCAUAGAUCUUUGUGGGUGAGGCUUGUGAGCUAAUGAUUUGAUUUAAGAAUCCAUGCUUUUUCAUGAAAUAGUUUGCCCCCUCCCACGAACCAUGUGUAGCAUAGUCUAUGCAAGUUAACUGUAUUUAAGAUUCUUAAUAUGUAACUCUAAUGUUUUGAAUCAGUAGUCUAUUUCCAGGUAAUGAAUAUGUGACAAGUUUCAUGUUCGUCAAAAUGUUGCAGGUGUUAUAUGGUAGCGUUGCGUGAGGACAGAAAGUUUUCUACCAUGGCACCAUUCGGAGGCUUUGCGUUCAUUGCCGCAUGGGCAACCCUGCUUUUCUAAACAAUCUCAAAACCAUCUAUAUUGUUAAGUUGUGGUCAAGCCUCAUUGUUUAUAUUGGUUAAUGCAAUUCUGUGUUGACUACCGUAAAACAUCUUCCUUUACUUCUUCACUUUGUUGCUAAAGGGAUUAUGUAAAGAGAAAUGACCAGAUUAAUGUAAUAUUAUUACCAUACAAUUUAUCAAAAUUCUACAUUACAAAACAAGCUCCAGAGGAGUUAAAAAGUGAAAUUUCGAAGUUCCAACAAAGACUGGAUUUAUUUUAUAUUGUGUACCAGUAGUAACAAUUUGAAAUAUCAGUCCACUCAUCAUCUUGCAUGUGCAGCUUGGCCCUUUCCUUUGAAUCAUUUGGUAUACUCAAAAUGGCAUGAACCGUGACCUAUCAAACCAUGAGAUAAUCAGAUGCAGAUGGUUCAAGAUCUUGAUUGAUCAAAGAGAUUAAAGAACUGUUGACAAAAGGGUCUAUAGGGGUAAAGAAGCUUACUAGGGUCGUUCUGCGUGAGUAUUCCAGCGCUGUUGAAGUAACAUUCAGCACCCCUGUGCUUAUAAAUCUGGUAAUAACUAUUGAAGACAAAAGAGGCAUGGUCCUUGAGAGUGUUGGGCUCAAAGCAAGGCUGGUUAGGCUGAAUCUGAGUGCAGUCUACUCCGCCUUGUCGACAAGCCCAGUCUAAGGCUGCUUGUAUCACAUAAUCUGGUAUCUGUGAAUCGACUACACACCAUUGUCCGAACUCUGCUUUUGCUAUAUAUAUAAACACACACAUAUAUAUUAUAGCUUUAUGAGAUUAUGUGAUUGCUAGUGGAUGUAACAAUAAUAUUGUACCUGAAAACGUUAGUGUUAUGAAAAGUAGAACAAUUGAGAUUCUUGACCAGAAACUUUUCAUCUUCACAAACAUGUAAGUUGGGAAGGUUUGAGGAUUGAGAGCUUAAAGAUGGUCAUAACUCGAGUGUUCUAUAGUAUUAGUAGAUAAUCUCUGUUUAGUAAGGUUAUGUGUAAUUCUUAUCAUCUGCCAAAAUUUUUAGGUAAGAAGUUACAUUUUGGAAGACUACUAAUUUCUUCUUCUUUGACCAAAAAUAAAACAGCUAAUUACUUCUUCUCUUUACUAGGGAUGCAAUACCAUGAGUGGCUAUAAUACUUCAUAAGCUUAUAUAUCUUACUUUUCUCAUCUUUGAUAUACUUGUUAUAAGUUUCUUAAAUUUGGAAAUUUAUAUUUGACUGAUAAAAAACACUAUGGUAACUAAAAGUUUAAACUAUUUCUAAUAAAUUACAAUAAAAAUAAUUAGAAGACUAUAAAUUGUUGACCAAAAAAAAAAUACGACGAAUUAAAGAUUACUAAACAAGAUUUUAAGUUUAUUUUUAGGUUUUUUUCUUUGUACCAUUUUAUGAGAUUUUUCUCAAGUUUUUAUGCACUUUUUAUAUUAAUUAACUAAUUUUUGACUACUUAAAUUUUGCAGGAGGAGGGAGUAGUUGAGUAUGAAUUUGAUAAAAAUUUAUAUGGUCAAAUUAUUUGAAUAUUGGAAUGUGGUUAAGCUAUACUACAUGUGAAUUCACUCCUAUCAUCUAAUCGAUUAGUAAAUUAUUUCUUCACCCGAACCGAAAAUAGAAAAUAUCCGAACAUGUUCUAUAUUGCUAAAUCCGAAUACCCAAAAAAUCAACAUAACUAGAACCAAACCCGGACGGAUAUCCGAAUGAGAAAGCUACAAUUCAAAACAAGACACAUAACAAAGCAAAACAUGUAAACAAUAAGCUGGAUACAUUAUAACAUAGAUAAGACAAAAACAGUGCUCACCCUCCUUUGCUCUAUCUUAUUGACCAGGAGUCAAUUCAAACAUAUAGAAACCAAAAACAAUCGUAUGCAUACAUGGUUAUGAGUGUCUCUUGAUAUGCUAUUUGCAAGACACUGAGCUACUAAAUAUAAAACAAGGAAUCAAAAAUUACCAACGAGUAACUUCACUGAUUAAUCAAACAUAAAAGCAAAACCGAAGAAAGAAAAAAACUUAGAAAGAGCUUCAAGAAACCAUGUUUCCUUAGAAAGAGCUUCAAGAAACCAUGUUUAUCUUCCACUUCACUGGAUUCGAACCAAACUUGUAACAUAAUUGAAUAUGCAUGGAUGCUCCGUCCAGGUUUCAGAUGAUACAAGAGAGUGUUCAGUGUAAUAUGCACCGUCCUCUCCCAUAAUAACCAUAUGACUGUUAAAAUCCUUUCUUUUAAAACACACGACCACUUUUUUCUCUUCAUCGAUCAGAAAGCUAAGGGGGCAUAUCAAAUAAAAACAAAAAUUAGUGGGAAGUUUUAAUUCCACACUAAAUGAUUUCCUCCACGACAAGGUAGCUUGAGUAUCAUCAAUGUUAUUAGACAUCCAAAUAUCAAUAUUUGAAUAGUUUUGAUGUAUCACUGAGAUUUGUUCUUCUCUAACUACUGAUAGAAUUAUCCAAUCACAAUCCUGAACUGGCGGUGGAAGACAUCGCAAAGGUUUAAAACUCUCUGUCUUAAAAUCAAAACUUAGUAACUUAUUUUUUGCUGUAAACCAAUAACUAUUUCCUUUCAAAGACACACCAGUUUUAACUACUAUGCUGUCUUGUAAAGAGAACUUAUCAAAAACCUUCCAUGAAUCAGAGCUAAACUCGUAGAUUUCAUAUGAAACAUCAUAGAAUCGUUCAUUAAUGUCAUGUCUCCAACACCUCAAGAUUUUGUAGCUACGACAAGAUUUGUUGUUUUUGUAUCCUAGAGCAAACCUAGAGUACUGUUUCUUGUAAUCAGCUUUGAGUUGAAUCCACCUGGUUUCUCUCAAACACGGGUUCCAAACCACGAGUUUAUCAUCAUCCGUAGUGCAUAACAACAAACCAUCGCAAUGAAAAACUGUUUUUAUAUGGACUUGUUCUGACUUAUAAUAUGAAUCCUUUAAGCUAAGUGCACUCUUAAACUCUAUAGAUGGAGCAGUAACGUUGAGAUUCACGUUCAUUGGAAAAACCCUAACAUCCUUCAACAUGAGAAUCAUUGACUCCUUAGGAGCUGUGCGGAAGUGCUUAUGGGUGAAUCUUUGGUUGUAGAAUAAAGCGUUCCAUUGUUUGCAAGAAGACCUUAGUCGUUUCAGAGAUGUGGCUGGGACUCUAUAGAGUAUUUCCUCUACCAAUUCCACCGGAAGUUUCUGCAUCAUCAUUGGUUGUCCAAAGGAAGAAGAAACUGACUCAUGCAAAGCAAGUAUAAUUAGGGUUUUGAGUUUUGUCCCUUUAAACCAAUCUUUGUCUUAAUUAUAAAGAGAAAAAUAUCGUAUGACGUUGGCUAAGACAAUUAUUUUAAUUUCACUUGUCAGCUUCUAAAGUAUUUUUUUUUGCCAAAAGAAAUAAUAAUAGAAAGAUGACAAAAAAAAUAAUAAUAAUAAUAGAAAACACAAGGGGAAAUUAAUUUUAGGAAAUUUGAUUAAUAUAUGGAGAAGGAACAAGUGGGCUAGUGGUUCUCAGCUCUGUUUGCCUUUUCACCAGAUUCGGGUUUGAGCCCGGUCCCUCUCAAAGAGUGACUUAUAAUUUAUAAUGAUGUAAAAAAAUAUAUAUAUUUUAUAUAUUGAAAUUUUUCCAUUUACGCCUUCUUUAAUAAAAUUAAAAAAAAAUAAAAUCUAAGAAAGUUAUUGCGAAAAAUUUAUGACAGAUAUUCUACUAUGAAGUACACAAAUAAAAAUAACCUUAUAAAUUGUAAGAAUUUACAUUGAAAUAUCAUUACAAAAAGUUUAAAAAUGAAUAAAAAACUGAGGAUAAUAAAGAUAAUUAAAAAAUUUAAAAAAAAAUUUAGCAAGAUAAUCUAUAAACUAUAAAUAAAAUCACAAAAUAAUCAUAUUUGUAUAUACAAACAUACGUGGUACAUAAAUAUUUAAUUAAAUUAAAAAAGUUUAUCACAAAUUUAUAUCAAAUAAAGAGUUCAGUACCUAGUAAUAUGUAUGAGUAAUAUCAUGUGACUAAUGAGUAAUGACAUACAUACAUUUAAAGUGUUUAUGUCUACACUUCAAAAAAUAAGGCUUCAAAAAAGUAAGGCUUUUAACGUCAGUUUUUAUAUGAGUUAACGUCUUGAAUAGCAUAUAUGUGCUAUGAGAGUCUCUUACUAGGGUCGUAGUUAGUGAUCAUUGCAGUACCGUUGAUGUAACAAGAACCUCCCAUGUGCUUAUAAUGCUGGUAAUAACUAUUGAAGACAACAGAGGCAUGGUCCUUGAUAGUGUUGGGCUCGAAGCAAGGCUGGUUAGGUUUAAUCUUACUGCAGUCUGCUCCACCAGCAUGACAAGCUCGCUCAGUCUAUGGAGUGCUUUGUAACACAUCAUCCGAUGCCUUUACAUUGUCUACACACCAUUUUUAUAAUACAUGAACUUCUUUAUAAAUUUAAUAUACGGCCAAAAUAUAUACUUUCUAACUUGUUCAACUAAGAAACGCACAUUAACAAAGUUUUAAUAUGUUAUAUUAGUCUAAGGACUCUGAAAAAGAGAUCUACAAGAAAAUCGGGUAUGUCAAAACUUCUUUGUUUGAUGUGUCCAAGAUGUGACACAUACCAAUAUUAGUAACCUAGGAAAGCUGAAUUGAUUAUAGUAUAAAAUGGAUGGUCAUAUAGCGAAACCAUCUCAUCUAGCUGCAUUGCAUCAAUAUGAAUCAAAUAAUCUGUUGGGUGUACAUUCUGAGAUGGUGAAGAGGAAGAGUUGUAUUCAUCAUCAGGGGAAGAUUCUUCGACAACGAAAAGUAACAUAUAUAGUAAUUAAGGCAUGGAUAAUCAAAGGCAAAAAAACAAAACCGAAGUAAUAAAAACUAAAAAGGAGCUUCAAGAAACCAUGUUUCCUUGCUAGCUAGUUUCAUUCUUCUCCCUUUCAUCUUCCACUUACUGGAUUCGAACCAAACUUGGAACAUAAUUGAAUAUGCAUGAACGCUCCGUCCAACUUUUAGAUGUUACAGUAGGGUGUUCAGUGUAAUAUGCGUUGUCCUCUCCUAUUAUAAUCUUAACAAUGUGGUCGUUAGAAUGCCUUACGUUACAACACACGACCACUUUUCUCUCCUCAUCGAUCAAAUAAAAAGAAGAAUUAGCGGGAAUUAUUAACUCCACACUAAAUGUUUUCUUCCACGACAAGGUAUCAUCAAUGCUAUUAGCCAUCCAAAUAUCCAUCUUUGAUGUACGAUAGUUUUGAUGUAACAUUGAGAGUUGUUCUUCUCUAGCUACUGAUAGAAUUAUCCAAUCACAAUCCUCAAAUGGCACCGGAAGACGACAUACACGACUAAAACUCUCGGUCGCAAAAUCAAAACUUAGCAAAACCUUCUUUAUUGUAACAAAGUAACUAUUUCCCUUCAAACACACACCAGUUUGAAAUGGUAUGGAGUCUUCCAAAGAAAACUUAUCAAAAACUUUCCAUGAAUCAGAGCUAAACUCAUAGACUUCAAAUGCAUUAGGGUUCCAACAACACUUCAAGAUUUUGUAGCUACGACAAGAUUUGUUGUUUUGGUAUCCUAGAGCAAACAUUGAGUAUUUCAUGUAAUCAGCUUUGUGUUGAAUCCACCUGGUUUCUCUCAAACACGGGUUCCAAACAACGAGUCUAUCAUCAUCCGUAGUGCAUAACAACAAACCAUCACAAUGAAAAACUGUGGUUAUAUAGACUUGUUCUGGAUUAUAAUCUGAAUCCUUUAAGCUAAUUGCACUCUUAAACUCUAUAGAUGGAGCAGCAACGUUGAGAUUCACGUUCAUUGGACAACCCCUAAAAUCCUUUAACAUGAGAACCAUCGACUGCUUUGGAGCUUCGUCAAAGUGCUUCUUGGUGAAUCUUUGGUUUUCGAAUAAAGCGUUCCAUUGUUUGCAAGUAGAGCCUAAUCGUUUAAGAGAUUUGGUUGGGACUCUAUAGAGUAUUUCUUCUAUUAAUUCCCACGGAAGAUUCACCUUUGUUUCUCUAAAGGCGCGACUGAUAUUGCAAGACUAUAUAAAUUAGGGCUUUGAGUUACGUCCCUCUAAUUAGACCAAUCUCUGUCUUAAAAAGAGAAUAAUAUGGUAUGACGUUGGCUAUGUUUUUUUUUUCUUUUUAAUUUCUGAAUCUUAUUUUUAUUUAAUUUGAUACAUAUAUAUAUUAUAGAAAAUUUAAGAAUUUUUUUUUUUUAAAUUAGCUUUUUAGCGUCAUUCAUAGAACAUGAUGUCAUCUACAAAAACUUUCUCAUCAUUUCAUAAGAAAAAGGGGCUUCAAAGUAACUGAGAGUUGAGUCCUCCAUUAAAGGAAAAGCUUGGGAAGAGGAUGAAGGAGGAAAGCGAAAAGAAGCAACAACGAUGAAGAGAAGAAGACGUUUGCCAAACAUGUCGUGAAGAGGGUGAACGACACAGAAUAUUAGGAAGAGAUGGCUAUGUUGUUUUGUAAUAAAAGACCAUUGGACUAUUGGGGUAAUUAGGCCCAAUGAGUAAGUGUGUUAUCUAAGUGAGUCAAAAUCUUAGUUAACUUUUUUUUUUUUGGUAACAAUGUAAAAUAUUUAUACAAUUUUCGAAAUUGUGACAAAAGUUUUUUUUUUUUUUUUGGAUAAAAGAUAAGUUUUAUACAAAUUUUCGAAAUUUUCGAAAGAAAUUACAGAGAAUAACAGGAAACAGAUAACAACACCUACAAAAAAAAAAUUAAAAUAAAACAUUACUACUCAAAAAUGCUACGGAUCGCUAAUGAGAUCUUAAGGCUAAGUUGCGAAGAGAAACCGAUUCCGAGCCCACGAAUCUCGGAAAUUUGCGUGGUUGCCACAUAACCGAAGAACUGGAAUUCUCAUCCUUAUUGCCACGAGCCGAUCUAACCGAGGCCAGCCUUCAAAACCUCAUUAUAGAAGCCUACAACUUCUCCAAAAACUAACUCAAAAAUGUAAAGGCAACCGCGGACUUCUACCCACUCAUUGUGACAGAAGUUAGAAGUUGUGUUGGAGUUGUUAGAGUGUAAGAAGAGAGUGAAUCAAGGAACUAGAGUUACAUUGAGUGAGUAGAGUGGCUACUAGUUUGGCUUGUUUAAGAGAGUAGUUAAUAGAAGUAUAGUCUAAGUGCAAGUGUGCAAAUGUGUAGUAGAAGUGGGAAAUAUAGUACAAGUAUGUAUGUGUGUGUUGUAAGAAAAGGCAUUCAAGUGAUCAAUGUUAACAAUGUAGACAUUAAAAGCUAAACGUGUGUUCUUGUUUCUCUCUAGAGUAAAGUGAAGAUGUGGUGUUGAAUGAGUUUUAUAAGCUAUCUUAACAUGUCAACAUAUUACGAUGAUAUAUGAAGUGACUGGAUAGAAUUGACAUAGAAGAUGAAGCAGUGCUUGUACUAGUUCUGACGUCAAUACAGGAAGUAGUACAAUAAGGUGAGUUGUGCGAGUACUUGAAGUAGUACAGGAGGCAGUACAAGAAGCCGAGCUGUGUGACUACUUGAAGAGUUGGAGUACAGAAGUUUGGGACCGACUUGGGCAAGCCAAGAGGCGGUUGCUGAGCUGGAUGAGCAUCUUGAAUUUACGAGAAUGUGAAAGACAAAUUUCCUUAUCUAUAAAGAGCAAAGGAAAUUUGUCAAUUCCUAUUUGAUGAAGGAAUAGGAAGAUUGUCAAUCUUUAGGGUUGAGCAAUUGUUAUAAAUAUCAAGAGGGCGCUUCAUGAAGACUUGCGCGCCUCAGAGUAUUCUCGAGAAGAUGCACACAAGGUGUGUGGCGUCGCCCCAUCAACAAGAUAGAGAGAUCUUUUGAUGGUUUUGUAGAAGAGCUACACUAGUCGGAAAAGACAAUUAGUGGUAGUCUUCUUUCAUUGUAAUUCUAGGAAAGAGUUGGUGGAUUCCAUAUAGCAAUUGUAGGUUGCGAACUUUUCUAGUUAAUGAAGUCUGGACUAGGUCCCGGGGAUGUAGGUUAUCUGAACCCCGUUAGCAAAGCUUGUGUCUUAUUUACUUUAUGCUCAUACAUACUCGAAGUAGAUCGUACACAUAGUUGAAUUAGUCACACAUAUGCACUUUCAUAAAGCACAAAAAAAACGUUACCGUUGUAGAGAAAGUUGACCGCAUGACUAAUAUUGGGCUUCUCCUUUUUGAUUGAAAUAGAGGUCUUAUCCAAGUUGUCUUGAUACAGAGUGAUAUUGCUUUUACCCUCCUUCCAACUUGAGGUAGGUGGCACACCAAUAGAAAAAAUUGAUCCAUAGUGGUAUUGCUUUUAUUCUUCAAACAAUUGAUGCAUAGUAACUAUAUUUCAGAUGCUUACUAGGUAACUCUAAUGUUUUUGGAUCAGUAGUCUAUUUUCAGGUAAUGAAAUUGUGAGGAGUUUCAUGUUCGUUGCGUGAUGAUAGAAACAUUGGCACCAUUCGGAGGCUUUGCGUUCAUUGCAGCAUAGACGACAACCCUACUUUCUUAAACAAUCUAAAAACCAUUUAUAUUUGGUCAAGCUUAUCCGACAUAUGUACUCAUUGUUUACUCCCUAUAGGAGAUUGCUUAAUGCAAUUUUGUGUUGACAUCUUCCUUUACUUGUUCACUUUGUUGCUGAAGGGAUUAGGUAAAUGACCGGAUUAAUGUAAUCUUAUUACCAUACAAUUUAUCAAAAAUCUACAUCAGAAAAUAAAAAAAAGUGAAACUUCAAGUACCAACAAAGACUGGAUUUGUUUUUUUUGUGUUUUAGAUUGGAUUUGUUCAAUUUCAUAUUGUGAACAAGUAGUAACAAUUUGAAAAAAUCACUUUAUUCAUGUGCAGCUUGGCCCUUUCCUUUGAAUCAUUUGAUAUACUUAAAAUGGCACGAACCAUAACCUAUCAAAUCAUGAGAUCAUAGACAUAUAAUAAAUCAAGAUCUUGAUUGAUCAAAGAGAUUAAAUAACUGUUAACAAAAGGGUCAUAUGAUAAAGAAACUUACUAGGGUCGCGUUGUGUGAGUAUUGCAGCGCUGCUGAAGUAACAAUCAGCACCCAUGUGCUUAAGAAUUUGGUAAUAAUUAUUGAAGACAACAGAAGCAUGGUUCUUGAUAGUGUUGGGCUCAAAGCAAGGCUGGUUAGGCUGAAUUGUACUACAGUCUACUCCGCCUUGUUGACAAGCCCAAUUUAAAGCUGAUUGUGUCACAGAAUCAGGUAUCUGUGGAUCGGCUACACACCAUUGUCCAAACUCUGCUUUUGCUAUAUAUAAUAAAAGAGACACACAUAUUAUAUCUUUGAGAUUAUGUGAUUGCUAGUGGAUGUAACAACAAAGUAGUACCUGAAAACGUUAGUGUUAUGAAAAGUAGAGCAAUUGAGAUUCUUGAGCAGAAACUUUUCAUCUUCACAAAUAGGUUAGUUGGAAGGUUUGAGAGCUUAAAGAUGGUCAUAACUCGAGUGUUUUAUAGUGUUAGUGUAUAAUCUUUGUGUUAGGUAAAAUGUUAUUUUUUGGAAGACUUCUAAUUACUCCUUCUUAAUAAGGAUGCAAAUAUCCCAUGAGUGGUUAUAUAUGCUUCAUAGGCUUAUGAAUAUAUAUAUUUAUAUAUAGUUAUAUAUCUUACGUUUCUCAUCUUUGAUAUAUUUGUUAUAAGUUUCUUGGAUUUUGAAAUUUAUAUUUGACUGAUAAAAAAAUACUAUGGUUAUUAAUUAAAAGUUAAAAGUAUUUAUCAUAAUUUACAAUAAAAUAAUAAGAAGACUAUAGCUAAAUUACCAACAAAAAAGAAACAAUAGAUUAAAGAUUAGUAAAUAAGGAUUUACAUAUAUUGUCAACUUGUCAUUGGUCUUAGGACGACCAUUUUUUUCAUUUAGGGUGAAAGUGUAAAUUAAGUUUUAAACUAAAAAAAUACUUUUAAAUAAUAAUUAUAAGUUUUCAAGGAAAUAUGUUCAUUUUCUUUCACUAAUUAAUUAAGGACAAAAUUUAAAAUUAAUUGUUAAAUAAUAUUAAAAAUUUUAAAACUAAGAUUUGAUAUCUAACUAAUAUUAUAUCACAUUAUUUGUUUCUGAUUAUCAUAUUAUUUGUUUCUGAUUAUUAUAUUUGGAAGACUCUUUGAUUUCGUUUUUAAUUUAUCUUGAUUCAUCAUAUAAUAAAUAUGAUUAAUAAUAUGUAAAUAUUUUCUACAUAUGCUGUGAUUUGAUUUUUUUUUAAAAACAUAAAUAUACAAUAUUCUAUAAAAAAAAAUGUGUGUCUAACUAGAGUUACGCGAUUUGAUAAAAUUAAAGUCUUGUUUGCUCACUAUUACAAUAUUAUACUGACGUUGUUAAUUUUACUAGGAGAUAACAAUAGAUAUUACUCGCAUGUUAUAUUGUUAUGUGAUGGAGUGGGUUAAAAUUUACACAAAUAUGAUUAUAUAAUUUAUAAUUAUAACGGGUUGGUCUACUAAAACACACAAAAUAGUUUAUUCUGAUAUAAGACGAGUUCAAUUAGAAGUAUUACACCAAUCAUAAUCCGUCGACCGUCCUAUCACACGCACACUUAUAAUUACCUGAAUUUUGUUAGAAACUUACUGAACUGUAUAACAGAGCAAUUGUUAUCCUAAUGAAAGAAUUUAUUCAUAUUUGAGAACUUAACGAUGGUGCAAAGUUCAGUAUUUUUAUAUACAUGAUUUUCUUUAUAAAUUCUAAUAUACAAUCAAAAUACUUUCUAAACUUGUUCAACUAAGUAUUUUGGCAGUAAAUAAGAAAUGCACAUUAAUAUAUAAAAGAUUUGUUACUAGUAAACUUAUGUUAUAGCCAAGACAUUUUACAUUAGUUGUUUCAUAUUCAUUGUUUAAACAAACGAAAAAACAAAACCGAAGAAAGAAAAAUUAAAGACAAGCUUAAAGAAGCCAUGUUCCAUACUAGUUUCUUUUCCCUUUAUCCUUUACUUCGCUGGAUUCUAACCAAACUUGGAACAUAACUGAAUAUGCAUGGAUACCACAACAACGGACCUUGAGAUGGUACAAGAGGAUGUUCAGUGUAAUAUGUAUUGUCCUCUCCAAUAACGUUAACCAUGUAAUGACUAGAAUCACAACACACGACCACUUUUUUAUCCUCAUCGAUCAGAAAGCUAGGGGAUUUUACCGAAAUAAAAACCGAAAUAGCGGGAACUUUCAAUUCCACGGUAAAUGAUUUCCUCCACGACAAGGUAGCUCGGGUAUCAUCAAUGCUAUUAGCAAUCCAAACAUCUAUAUUUGAUGUAUGAUAGUUUGAAUAUAACACUGAGAGUUGUUCUUCUCUAGCUAACGAUAGAACUAUCCAAUCAGAAUCCUGAAUUGGCGGAAGACAUAAACGUUUAAAUCUCUCAGUCGUAAAAUUAAAACUUAGCUAGUAGUUUCUGUCAGAGAAUGUAAUCCAGUAACUAUUUCCCUUCAAAGAUACACCAUUAUGAACUGGUUUGAUGAAUUCCAAAGAGAAUUUAUCAAAAACCUUCCAUGAAUCAGAGCUAAACUCAUAAAUUUCAAAUUCGACGAAUGGUUUGUUACUUUUCCUAACACCUCAAAAUUUUGUAGCUGUGGCAAUUAGGUUUGUUGUUUUGGUAUCCUAGAGCAAACAUAGAGCCUUUCUUGUAAUCUGUUUUGAGUUGAAUCCACCUGGUUUCCCCCAAACACGGGUUCCAAGCUACGAGUUUAUUAUCAUUGGCGAAGCAUAACAACAAACCAUCACAAUGAAAAACUCCAGUUAUAUCGACUUCUUUUGAAUUAGAAUUAGAAUUCUUUAAGCUAAGUGCACUCUUAAACUCUAUAGAUGGAGUGGAAACCUUGAGGUUAACGUUCAUUGGACAAACCUUAGAAUUCAGCAACAUGAGAAUCAUUGACUGCUUCGGAGCUUUGCAAUAGUGCUUCUUGGUGAAUCUUUCGUUUUCGAAUAAAGCGUUCCAUUGUUUGCAAGUAGAGCCUAAUCGUUUGAGAGAUUUGGCUGGGACUCUAAAGAGUACAAAGGCGACUAAUUAACGCAAGGCAAGUAUAAAUUGGGGCUUUGAGUUUCAACCCUCCAAGUAGACCAAACUUUGUCUUAUAAAGAGAAUAAUAUCGUAUGACGUUAGAUAAGAUAGUUGUGUUUUUUUUCUUCUUUUAAUUCGGAAUCUUAUUUUUAUUAAAUUUAAGAUAAUUAUAUUAAAAUUUUGAUUUUGAGCUUUUAAAUUUUCUUUUUGCCAAAAAAGUAAUAAAAAACCACACAGGGGGAAAUUAAUCUUGGGAAAUUUGAUUUUUUUUUUUGAAUUUUUCCAUUUACGUCUUCUUCUAUAAAGAAGAAGUUAAAAUCUAAGAAAAUUAUUGAGAAAAAAAUCUAUAAAAAUCUAAUAUGUAUGAGUAAAUAUAUAUAAGGAUAAUGUGACUAAUGAGUAAUGACAUUCAUAUUGUUACGUACAAAUACAAUACAAAAAAUAAGGCUUUUAACGUCAGUUUUUGUAUGGGCUAACAUAGUGAAUAAACCGACCCUAAGGAUUGUAUCGAUACAGUAACAUAUGCUUAUUGGCUAUCUACUCACCUAAAUGAUUACUAUAUACAGCCUCCCCCUGUGGGGAGAGGAUCAUGUAUUCCAGUGAAUUGCCUUAUAGAUUCAAAAACUGUUGUGGUUUAGUUAAAUGUAGUAUUUAUAGCGUUGGCUAAGAGAACUGCAAAAAAAUUACUUUCAAACUUAUUCAACUGAGUAUGUUGGCAGUAUAUAAGAAACAAAUAAAAGAUUGUGUACUAAUUAGUUACUGUAAACUUAUGUUAUUGCCUAUACAUUUUACAUUUGUCAUCUUUGAUAAAUAUAAUAUAUAAAUAGAUUUUUUUUUUAUAAUAGUAUCUUACAAAAUAUAAUUCUCUAGGGUCCCUGCCGCAUCUCUGAGAUGGUUACGAUCUCUUAGCUUGAAGGAUUCAAAUUAUAAUCCAGAACAAGUCGAUAUGAAAAAAGUUUUUCAUUGCGACGGUUUGUUGCUAUGCAUUGGGGAUGAUGAUACUCAACGUUUGCUUUAGGGUACCAAAAUAAUAAAUCUUGUCGUAGCUACAAAAUCUUGAGGUUUUGAAACUGUUACAAACCAUUUCGUGAUGUUGCAUUUGAAAUCUAUGAGUUUUUAGCUCUGCUUCAUGGAAGGUUUCUGAUAAAGUAUAAAGGUCUCUUUGGAAAACAUCAUACCAUUUCACACUGGUGUGUCUUUGAAGGGAAAUAGUUAUUGGGUUACUUAUAUGAAAGAAAUUACUUGCUAAGCAUAGAUUUUUUUUUUUUUGAUAAAAGCUAAAUUUUAAUUUUACGAUAGAGAGAUUUAGACGUCUGUAUUUCCGACAAUUCAAGAUUUGGAUUGGAUAGUUCUAUCAAUAGUCGGGGAAGAACAAAUCGCAAUGUUACAUAAAAAAAAUCAUACAUCAAGGAUGGAUAUUUUUUGAUGGAUAAUAACAUUGAUGAUACCUUGUCGUGAAGGAAAUCAUUUAGUCAUUUACUAUAGAAUUGAAAAUUCCCACUAAUCAUGUUUUUUUUUAUAGGAUACUAUACCCCUUUAGCUUUCUGAUCGAUGAAGAGAAGAAAGUGGUCGUGUAUUGUGACAUGAGUUAUUCUAACAAUCACAUAAUAACAUUGUAGAGUUGAAGAUGGAUAUUACACAUACUACCCUAUUGUUGUACCAUCUAAAAGUUGGAUGCGACGUCCAUACAUAUUCAAGUCUGUUCCAAGUUUGGUUCAAAUCCAGCCAAAUAGAUGAUAAAGGGAAAAUAAUAAAACUAGUAUGGAACAUGGUUUCUUUAACCUCCUUUCUUCUUUUUUAUUUCUUUGGUUAUGUUUUUUAGUUUGAUUAAUCAAUGGAUUCGUCGAUUAUUUUAGUUUUAGUUUUAGUUUUAGGUUUUGUUGUUGUUGUUGCUGUUACCUUAUAUGCUUCCUUGUUAUUUGGUAGCAAACAGCAUAUCAAGACAAGCAUUCGAAGUGGUUUCAUAACGACCUUAUAGCAGUGUUUACAUGCUUUGCUUUGUUAUGUUUCGGUUAAAAACGAUUAAAAAUAAUAAAAAAUUAUUAAAUGUAGAAACUUUAUUUCUAUAAGCUUAUUACAUUACAACAAUAAUAAAAUUUCAUCCAGUUAAACAUUACAUACAUUAUUGAUAUUCUGAACUUCCUACACGACAAUGUCAUAGAAAAAAAAAGAUUCAUUCAAAAAGUAGAAUACAAAUAUGUUAUGUUAUAUGUAAAUAUUUUAUAUUUCUUUUCAGAAGGUAAAAAAUCUUAAACAUUAAAACAAAAUUUUUAGUCAAAGAUUUUCCCAAGAAACAUUCCUUUCUUUGGGAAACCUCUUUUGAACAAUAUUCAAAACUUUUCUUUUGUAACCACCAAAACAAAAUUUAUUACCAGCUAAUAAAUACAUUAUUACCUGUAUCUGAUCAUCUUCUUCUUCUUCACAUUCUUCUUUCCUCCUUCUUCAUCUUCUUCUCUCCUUCUCCAUCAUCCUCUGUUACAUUCAUCUAAUAUGGCUCCUUCAGAGUUAAACCUCCUUCGACAAAUUGUAGGAAUAAUAGGUUAGUUCAAUUCUGACUCACAAAUUCUUAACAUCUUCUCUUGUAUACUGAAAUUUUUGUGUUUUUUUUUGUAUAACUUGGAAUGAUCUUGCUUGCAGGAAACAUCAUUGCUCUUGGUCUAUUCUUGUCUCCUACGUAAGUUUUAGGUUUUAUUAAAUCUAUUAACUUGUUUAUAUCUUAAAUUCUAAUUGAUUUCUUUAUUAAUAUAUCUAUAUAUUGUAUAUUCUCUUAGAGAAUUUUUAUUUCCUUCAGGCCAACAUUUGUUGGGAUAGUGAAAAAGAGAUCCGUGGAAGCAUUCUCCCCAAUGCCAUACUUAGCAGCCUUGAUGAAUUAUUUGGUUCGUUUUAUUUAUGCACUUCCUAUGGUGCACCCUAAUAGCGCAUUACUCGCUUUGCUCAGUGGUAUAGGGAUUGUCAUAAAUGUUACUUUCCUAGUUAUAUUCUUCAUGUUUUGUCGCUGCCAAAGAAAACGGCUGGUUAUAACCGCUAUUUUAGCGGCUGAACUCGCCUUUGUAGCUGUCCUUACUACAACGGCUUUGACUCUCCAACACUCAACGUCUGAAAGGACAUUGAGCGUUGGAAUAGCCUCAUGUAUCUUUAACACAUUAAUGUAUGUGUCUCCUCUAUCUGUUAUGGUAAGUUGAGUAUUAGUUUAACCUAUGACCAAAUUAUUUUUACGCGUUUUUAAUUUGAACUAAUCAGUUUUUUUGGUUUUUGAAGAAAAUGGUGAUAGAAACUAAAAGUGUGGAAUUCAUGCCAUUUUGUCUGUCUCUUGCUAAUUUACUUAAUGCUUCCGUUUGGACGGCUUACGGAUUUCUUCCGUGGGAUCCGUACAUGGCGGUGAAGUUCUUUGUUUUCCUAAUACUAUGAUCGAUAUAGUUUUAGACAACUGAUUUUGUGUAAUGAAAAUCUUUGUUUUCGCAGAUACCUAAUGGAAUAGGCUGCCCUCUUGGAUUGGUCCAGUUGAUCCUAUACGGUGUUUACUACAAGUCGACCAAACAAAUGAUGUCGGAAAGGCAGCAAGCAUUAACGAGUGCUUGAUUGUGAUGUUCUCAUCUCGUUUUUUUGUUGUGUUAAUAUUUUCCAUUGAACUUAAAGUAGUUUUUUCACAUUGUAUUCUUGGAUGUUUUUGGUAUAGAAAUUUUAUUAAGGACCCCAAAUUAAACGAUGCACCCGAUCACGGUGUAUGAUUUGAUGUUUUUGUUUUACUAUUUCUUCCUUGAACCGUAUUUAGAGAUUUUAGACAUGCUAAAAACAAUAUACCCAAUUUGUUUCUUUACUAAUUAACAAGAAUAUUCUUCUUUAGUGAGAAUUUCGUAGGGUUUAAGAAAAUAUUGUCGCUUGGGGUAAUGAUGACUAAUUUAUAUGUAUGAUACCUUUAAAUUUGGUAUAUAAUAAUAACGACUAAGAUUUGAUUAAAGAAUAUUUCUAGACCUUGAUCAAUUAAAUAUUUAGAAGUAAAAACUACGGCAGCUAAAAAAUUUGGAAAACAAUGAUGUGGGAAAAACGAAUACAUUAAAGCACGAGUUUAUAGGGCCAUGUUUGUGUUGCUUUGUUAAGGCCCAAAAGUCAUACCUAACGGAAAUUAUAACUAACGCCCAAAUAAUUGUAUGGUUUGUAAUUAAUUUAAACGGUGAGAAUUAGAAGCUUCCUCUUACAACGGACGACUGAGAUUAAAACAUAUGAUUAGACGCGUAAAAAUCAGAUGGUGAGGAUUAGAAGCUUCCACUUAUAAACGAACGGCUAAGAUUAUAACAUAAUUUUUUCGGGUUUGAUUAGCGGGUCAAAAGAUCCGCGCGUUUAUCUGUAUUUUGAGUUGUUUGGCAACAGUUUUAAGAUUUUUUAUACUAUAGUAUUGAUACAAAAAUUUAAUGUUUUUGUUUGGCAACAUGGUUAAAUCGCUUUUGAUAUUACAUAUAUAUUAUAUUUUCAUACUUUUCCCUACUUUUUUCUCGCAACAAAUUUCCUAUCUUUUGAUCUGAUUAUAGCUAAUUAGCUAUUACUAGUAGGCAUAAUUAAUGGGUUUAAAAAAAUCAUCCAAGACCUAACUGGCAAACACCAAAGUUUAAUUGCCCCUUAUGUUCUUUUUUUUCUUUUUUUGGCAGCGAAAACUUUAUAAGCUAAUAAGGUAUUUUAUUUUAUUAUAUUUUAAUUAUCAUCUCAAUUUCAUAAAAGUAGAUUUAGAUAUUUUUUUUUAAAAACAACAACCUUAAUUUGACUAUGUCAUACGAUAUAUAUUAAUAUCUUUAUAAGAUAAAGCUUGGUUUAGACUUUAAAAGGACGAAACUCAAAACCCUAAUUUAUAUUUGCCUUGCAUUAGUCGCCUUUGUAGAAACAAUGGUGAAUCUUCCGUGGGAAUUGAUAGAGGAAAUACUUUUUAGAGUCCCAGCCACAUCUCUCAAACGAUUAGGCUCUACUUGCAAACAAUGGAACGCUUUAUUCGAAAACCAAAGAUCACCAAGAAGCACUUUGGUAAAGCUCCAAAGCAAUCGAUGGUUCUCUUGUUGAAUGAUUUGAGGGUUUAUCCAAUAAACGUCAAUCUCAACGAUACCGGUCCAUCCAUCGAGUUUAAGAGUGCACUUAGCUUUAAGGAUUCAGAUUCUAACUCAGAAGAAAUCGAUAUAACCGGAGUUUUUCAUUGCGAUGGUUUGUUGUUAUGCACUACAGAUGAUAAUAGACUCGUGGUUUGGAACCCGUGUUUGAGAGAAACCAGGUGGAUCAACUUCAAAAAUGUUUACAGAAUAAUCUCUCGCUUUGCAUUAGGAUACCAAAAUAACAAAUCUUUCCGUAGCUACAAAAUCUUAAGGUUUUGGAGAUUUGAUUUGACACCAAGCCUGCUUUCUGGAUCUGAAAUCUAUGAGUUUACCUCUAAUUCAUGGAAGGUUCUUCCUGAUAACCUAGCUCCUAAGCAUUCCAUAUUAUCUGGUAUUGGUGUGUCUUCGAAGGGAAAUACUUACUGGCUUGUUUCUGAUAAAGGAACAGAAUUUAUACUCAGUUUUGAUUUUACAACGGAGAGAUUUAAACAUUUUAGUCUUCCCGCAACUCUUAAUUUUUGUAUGAUGGUCCUAUCAGUUGUUAGAGACGAAGAACUCUCAAUAGUGUCACAUCAUAAGUUUGGUAAACCGGAGAAGGAUAUUUGGAUAGCCAAGAGAAAUGAUAGUGAAGCCGCCUUGUCCUGGAAGAAAUCAUGUACUGUUGAGUUCAAACCCUAUAGUAAUUGUUUUAUCAAUCGGUAUUGCCACAGUUUUGUGAUGGAUGAGGAGAAGAAUGUUGUUGUUGGGUAUUGUUGGGUAUGCAUUAUGCGAGAGGACAAUGCGUAUAACAUAGAAGUCCCUUUUGUAGAAUCUACAAGUUGGCUAUGUCAUCCAUUUAUUUUCAAUUAUGUUCCAAGUUUGGUUCAAAUUCAGUAAUGUAGGUGCAAUAGAAAAACUAAGUGCACCUCUUUCUUCUCUUUGGUUUGAUUAAUUUAAUGAAUAAAUUUGUUUAUUUCUCUUUUCUUUGAAGUUGUAUGUUCUUGCUUCAGAUGACCUAAACGUUUGUGUCUUCCCCUACUAAUGUUGAUCUUGAUAUGGUGAAGCUGUGGAGCAAGUCCUAUUCGGUGGACAUAACUAUAAUUAGUGAUGUUCUUGGUGUUACAAUUCUUUAGUUUUCUACUUUUCUUUGACAAUUAAUAUGGUUGGAAUAAUAAAAUGAAGAAUUGAUAAAUUAUUUUAGUCAAUUUAUCAAUCCUUUAUCUAUUUGCUUUGGUUUAACCAAUCUACGAAUUCGUAUACUAUUUCAGAUAUCAGAGCACCUUUGAAAAUAUCAUUAUGUAAAUUAGGGUUACAGAUUUACAAUAUCACUAAACCUAAAAAGAAAUAAUUCUAAUUUAUUGAUAAAGAUUGUGGCAUUGCAUUAUCGAUAUACUAUUCCAUAGGAUCUUAGUCUAACGAUUAAGCCAUAAAAUAAUUCAUUAAUAUAUAUAUAUAUAUAUAGGCGAUAAAUUGAAAGACAAAUCCACACAAAAAUAUAAAAAUCUUAUGAUAAAAAAAAAGUGUGGUUUACAAAUUAAGCUCUGAGCUAGUAGUCCCUAUCAAAUUGGGUUCGAUCUUUGCUCGACGGCGACAUACAAACCAUGCAUAACACAACACCAACAUGAUGAUGAUGACUAAUGCACUGCCAUAGAUUGAAAUAACUUUGAUGAGAGUAGUGUCCAUAUUGGCUUUUCACCACACACACCAAAUUUUUAAUUCUUUUGUCUUCAACUUUCUUUUUCUAGUUCCUACUAGUAUAUUUAUACACGUAUAUAUAGUCAACACAAAAAUUUACAUUUAUGUAAACAAUGGUGAAAUUUGUAAGUUUUACAUUUCAUAAAGAAUAUUAACUAGAAAAAGUUUGGACAAUGUAUAUUUAGUCAUUAAGGAAACAUUAACUAUACGAAAAAGAGAAGUUUUACAUUUAAUGGUAUUUUGUUGAUUGUCAUACUCGUUGCACAUAGACCAAUAUUGUUGAAGAACAACCUAACCAUCUUAAUGACAUCUGCACACACUAUAUCAUCCCAUCCAAUUUUGUUAGAAACGUUCCGACUUGGACCCGAUGUUACGCACAGCUUUGUGUAUCUAUGCACCUACCUAAAGAUACUAGACUGUCGUGUCCUACUGAAUACAUGUAAGUAGCAGUAACUACACAUAAAUACAAGCAUUUUACAAUAACGAGAGCAUAGACGACCGUGGAGGAAAGGGUUUGGUAAAGUAUGUAUAUAAACUAGAUAAGUUAAUACCAUCGCCAAAGUUUCAGUAAUGUUUGGCCCAACAACAAAUGAAAAUUACCAAAUGUUUACUCUCGGAUCAAAGCCAUUCUCUCUAGUUUGUCCUAUCAAAAAAAAAAAAGAUCUUAUUUAAAAAAAAAGAAAAAUCAAACCUUAGCAAAAAGAUGAGUUUCAACAAAGAAGAUGGAUUGUGAAUGCAAAAAACACCAAAAUCUAAAGCCAACUUAGCUUUGUUAACAACGUAACAAGAAGCCAAAGAUGUAAGAAGACUAAACUAGUCAUUCUUUUAGUUCUUCUCUUUGACCGGGAGGAACAGGUACCAAACUCGGAAUAAAUGAACAGUGCAAAGGAUAUGGUUCAACCACAUGAUCGAUACGAGUUUUACUGAUCAACCUAUUUUUCCUGAAAACAUAGAUACAAGCCCGACAAGUUUGGUCGCAAGAGCAUACGACGAGUCUUUCAUCUUGGAUGAAGUAGCUUGGCUGAGACAUUAAAGUGUCUACCAAAUUGGCUAAGUUAGGACUUGAAACUUCCAUGAACUUUAUCCAUUCCACAACUUCACUAUCCAAACUAUUAUUAAUCUUGUACUUACUCACCCAAACCUCAAUCUUUUUUGUUUCAUGGCAUUGCUUUAACAAUGAAAACCGAUCUUCCUCAAAAGCUCUAAGGACAAGAGCAUCCAUAUAAUGGUUCUUCGUUCCACAUGGUAGAUCACAGAAUCUGUAGGAAUAUCCGGUGGAGAAAUCGAAUUUAUCGACGCUGUAAACGCGAAUGGCCUUAUCAACAUAAACAAUCCAAUACAAAGUUCCAUUCAAUGAUACACAGCCAUUAUUUUUGUGUAACUUGUUCAUUUUGUCUACGUCUCUAUUACCACUUAUCCCACACUCUUUCCACGCAUUGGAGGAAAGCUCAUGGACUUUCCACAAGGACAAGGUUUUAUCUUCCUUCCCAGGACAAGCAGCAACAAUCUUGUAACUCCCACUACAGUUGUAUCCUACGCCAAGGGGUACAAGUCGAGUUUGGUCCGAAUCCGGCUCGAUCCAUCUACUUUGUCUCAAGCAUGGGUUCCAAACUAGAGCUCCUCUCUCCAUGCCGCAAACCAAUAACUUAUCGCAACCAACCAAGAUUUUAGGUAUCUUGGAUUCUAAAGAUGGAACAUCUAAGGUUAACUCACACACAUCUAUCUUUGGAUCGAUGCUUACCGAGUAAAUCUUGGAUUUGGUUGUUAAGAUGAAUUGAAACGUGGUCUUGUGGUUCUUGAUGAACGUUUUGUCGUGUAAGAGAGCGUUCCAUUGUUUCGAUACGGCUGUGAAGCGAACAAGAGAUGAGUGUGGUACACGAGAUAGUAUCUCUUCAGUCAACUCCGAUGGAAGCUUCUCCUCAUGCGCCGCUAAACGUAUCCUCAUUAGGGUUUCAAGCCGCGAUUGUUUCCUUAAGUUAAUAUGUGUAUAUAUACACUAGGUUUUAACCUGAACAAUUUAUUUCUAAAUAAAAAUGUUUAUAUUUUAAACCUGUAUAGAUUUGAAAUGUAGACCCAUAAGAAAAAUAUAAUCAUAUUUAUGUAAACUUAUCAUAUUUAUGUACAAUAUUGUAAUUGUUUUAGAGUUAAAUUUUGUAAUAAAACUUUAAUUUUUUGUAGAGUUUAAAUAUCUAAAUAUUUUAAAUAUUUUAUAAAGCGUAAAUUAGAUGUUAUAAUAUUUGAAGCUUUUAAAAUAUUUAAUAUUUAAAAUAUUUAAAAAAAUUUUAAAAGUUUAAAUUUAUAAUAUUUUGAGACUUCUUAAAAGUUUUAGUUUUCUUAAAUAAAGAAACGGAUUAAAUCGAAUAAAAAAUUAAUUUAGAUACCUGAGAAAUUAAAAUUCCUGCUCAGUUGUAGUUGGGAGAAUCCUAUUUAUAAUUGUUUUAAACUAUUAUCUAAAUUUUAAACCUUAAGUAAAUAUUGUACAUACAUUUUUUUAGCGAUUGAGUAAUAUAUGUCCGUUAUUAAAAAAAAAUUUGAAAAUAUGCGGAAAAUUUAUUAUACAUAUUUUUUAUGUAAUAAUAUAAAUUAAAAAGGUAAGAUUAUAUAAAUAUAUUGGAGAGAUUCAAUUUAUUAGGGAGAGAUUUUAAGAAAUUGUUUUAAUGUAACAAAUAUUUGUUUCCAAUUUUGGGAUUUGCUUUUGAUUUAAUUACAAAUUUUACUUUUAAGUUCUGUUAUUUAUUCAAAUGUCAUGAUUUAAUUAUGCAAACAUUACAAAAUAAAAAAUUAUAACUCAAAAUAGAUUUUAGUACAAAAUGUAUUUCAAAAAUGUAUAUAUAGAUAAAAACUCAAGAUCUCCAAAUAUCUGAGUUUUACGUUAAUUUGUUACCUUUGGAUAUUCACAUUGAGAAUCACAACUAAGAUAUUGUUUUACUUACAUCUGUGUUUCUAAUUUUAUAUUUUAAGUUUUAUAAAUUGUAAUGCUAUGAUAGUCAUCUCUCUUAGUGGAUCCGAGGUCUAAAUCCUGGCCUAUGGAUCCACCUCUCUUAGUGCCAUAUGGUUAUAUUUUUGAAUAAGUCAAAUUAACUUGAGAAAUUAGUAAAGGUAAAAAUCAGGAAGAAGUCUUUGGUAGCUCAUAUAAGUCUACUAGUUAUCAUAUACAUUAAUCAGAUGGGUAGACUUUGAAGUUGUCAAUCUAAACCUUUGCUUUAUUCUUCAAACCACGCGUUUCAAAAUAUGAUUUCUAGGAUGUGUUCGGUUCUUUUCUCUCAAAAUAAUAUCAUAAAACUACUACAAGAACUUGCUUUCGUAUUCGUAAAACAGUUUUGCGUGUUUUUGUAUAUUAAUAUUCAAUAAUAUAAAUGAAACAAUUAAAAAAAUAUAUAUCGGACCAUGAAAGAGGAAACUUUUUGAUUUAAACUUUGAUGUUGACAACGUAAAUUCCAUGUUUUGUUUCAAUAUAUUUGUAUAGUUUUCUAACUUAUUUGUCGAUACAUUGAUCUGAACCUUUCUAUGAUACAAAUACAAUGUGUAGUAUAGAUGAGGCCCUCAGAGAAGUGGAUAAAUCAGAAAGCGCAUUAUUAUUGGUGGUAUCUUAGCUAAAUAUAUAAGAUCUUUUUCUUCAUAUAUUUUAGUCUAAGAUUUGGCUAAAAUACUACCAAUAAUUGUGGUCUCGGACAUUCGACGAAGUAAUGCACGUAAACUCUUAAUGAAGCCAUGCACGUGAACUCUUAAUGAAGUUAUUCGUGCACGUAACAAGAAAUCAGUACUAAUUACUCUGGAGAUCAAAAUACGAAUUACACUUUCUUUUGAUCACAAAAAUAUAAAAGGGUUCAUAUUAUAGAUACGGUUAUAGUUGUGAAAAUCUAAAACGACAACUAUUAUCAAACAAAAUUUUAACUCUAGAACGACAACUACAAAGGGAGUAGAGAAAUAACGACGAAGUCAUUGAAUGUAAGUUAAAUUUACUUUAAUUUAGAGAAAAACCAGGGCAAGAGGUAGAUAAUCAAAAUUAUAAAUCACCAUAACAUCAAUAUUUAAAAUCACAAGUUGUAUUUAAUCACCAGAACUGACUAAUGUUAACCAUUUCAGUGAAAGAGAAGUCGGAAAGAAACUUCUCUAGUGAUUUUAAAUUGACAACUUCAACGUCUGCCUAGCUAUUAAAAUAUGAAAUAUGGUAAAGUGUAGUUAUCAAAGACAGAUUCAUCUCUAAUUUUUCCUUUAGACAAAAUGUGAAGCUCAUUUGAUUUAUUAAACAAUAUAACACUAAUUGCUCUAAGAAACGUUCAUAAACUUCAAUAAAUAAAUAUUCUAGUUGUCGUACUGAAUCCUAUAUAAACUGCUUCAUUUCUAUUACAAUCUAUUCAAAAAUAAUUCAACAUAAGAACAUAAACCAAACUAACAAAAGCUGAGAUAAAGGCAAGAGCACACAAGUUCAAUAGAUAUGGCCAAUUCUAAUCAUUGGUCAUCUUUACUUGUGUUGGUCUUGGCCUUGCAUGUAGCUGCUGCUCAUACAAGUGCCCAGUACACAUACACUCCACCAUCAUCACCACCGUAUGUUUACAAAUCUCCUCCAAUACCUCCAUAUGUCUAUAGCUCUCCACCACCACCUCCUUAUGUCUAUAGCUCUCCACCACCUCCGCCAUAUGUUUACAAGUCUCCACCACCACCACCCUAUGUCUACAGGUCUCCACCCCCACCUCCAUAUGUUUACAAGUCUCCCCCUCCUCCUCCAUACGUCUACAGCUCUCCACCACCUCCUCCUUAUGUUUACAAGUCUCCCCCUCCUCCUCCAUACGUCUACAGCUCUCCACCGCCUCCUCCAUAUGUUUACAAGUCUCCCCCUCCUCCUCCAUACGUCUACAGCUCUCCACUACCUCCUCCUUAUGUUUACAAGUCUCCCCCUCCUCCUCCCUAUCCAUACGUCUACAGCUCUCCACCACCUCCUCCAUAUGUUUACAAGUCUCCCCCUCCUCCUCCAUACGUCUACAGCUCUCCACCACCUCCUCCAUAUGUUUACAAGUCUCCCCCUCCUCCUCCAUACGUCUACAGCUCUCCACUACCUCCUCCUUAUGUUUACAAGUCUCCCCCUCCUCCUCCAUACGUCUACAGCUCUCCACCACCUCCUCCAUAUGUUUACAAGUCUCCCCCUCCUCCUCCAUACGUCUACAGCUCUCCACUACCUCCUCCUUAUGNNNNNNNNNNNNNNNNNNNNNNNNNNNNNNNNNNNNNNNNNNNNNNNNNNNNNNNNNNNNNNNNNNNNNNNNNNNNNNNNNNNNNNNNNNNNNNNNNNNNAUAUGUUUACAAGUCUCCCCCUCCUCCUCCAUACGUCUACAGCUCUCCACCGCCUCCUCCAUAUGUUUACAAGUCUCCCCCUCCUCCUCCAUACGUCUACAGCUCUCCACCACCUCCUCCAUAUGUUUACAAGUCUCCCCCUCCUCCUCCAUACGUCUACAGCUCUCCACUACCUCCUCCUUAUGUUUACAAGUCUCCCCCUCCUCCUCCAUACGUCUACAGCUCUCCACCGCCUCCUCCAUAUGUUUACAAGUCUCCCCCUCCUCCUCCAUACGUCUACAGCUCUCCACCGCCUCCUCCAUAUGUUUACAAGUCUCCCCCUCCUCCUCNNNNNNNNNNNNNNNNNNNNNNNNNNNNNNNNNNNNNNNNNNNNNNNNNNNNNNNNNNNNNNNNNNNNNNNNNNNNNNNNNNNNNNNNNNNNNNNNNNNNGUCUACAGCUCUCCACCACCUCCUCCAUAUGUUUACAAGUCUCCCCCUCCUCCUCCAUACGUCUACAGCUCUCCACCACCUCCUCCAUAUGUUUACAAGUCUCCCCNNNNNNNNNNNNNNNNNNNNNNNNNNNNNNNNNNNNNNNNNNNNNNNNNNNNNNNNNNNNNNNNNNNNNNNNNNNNNNNNNNNNNNNNNNNNNNNNNNNNUCCAUACGUCUACAGCUCUCCACCACCUCCUCCUUAUGUUUACAAGUCUCCCCCUCCUCCUCCAUACGUCUACAGCUCUCCACCGCCUCCUCCAUAUGUUUACAAGUCUCCCCCUCCUCCUCCAUACGUCUACAGCUCUCCACCACCUCCUCCAUAUGUUUACAAGUCUCCCCCUCCUCCUCCAUACGUCUACAGCUCUCCACCACCUCCUCCUUAUGUUUACAAGUCUCCCCCUCCUCCUCCAUACGUCUACAGCUCUCCACCGCCUCCUCCUUAUGUUUACAAGUCUCCCCCUCCUCCUCCAUACGUCUACAGCUCUCCACCGCCUCCUCCAUAUGUUUACAAGUCUCCCCCUCCUCCUCCAUACGUCUACAGCUCUCCACCACCUCCUCCUUAUGUUUACAAGUCUCCCCCUCCUCCACCAUACGUCUACAAGUCUCCCCCUCCUCUUCCAUAUGUCUACAGCUCUCCACCACCAUCCCCGUAUGUUUACAAAUCGCCACCAUCUCCUCCUUAUGUCUACAGCUCUCCACCAGCACCUCCAUAUGUAUACAAGUCGCCACCGCCUCCCCCAUAUGUUUACAAUUCUCCACCUACAAGCUAUAGCUAUAGCUCUCCCCCUCCUCCAAUAUACUAACCAAACAUUUACAAAACUUAAAAAGAUUGAUAUUUUUGUUUAGCGAUUAUGAAACAAAAUAUUUCCUUUCUACAUUAUCAUAAAUAAAAUAUGUAUUAUUUGGUUUAGAUCCAAGUGCAUUAUUGUUGUAUGAUUUCUUGUUUGAAUUUUGUUGUCUUCCUCUUUAAAAGAUCAAUGUUCUUCUAGUCUAUUUGUAUUUAUUUAAAAGUCUUAAUAAAUUUUUUAUUGAAUCAGUUUAAAUUUAUGUUCAUUAAUCUUGCGUCCCUUGAAGAUUAUCAGCUGUGCUAACUUAAGUAAAAUAUUUUCAUAGUUCUACUGUAAAACUUCGACAGUAUGAUUAUGUAAAUUGAAAGUUUAAAUACAGUAUCUCAGUGUUUUUUGUUUGACAAUGUCAGUUUCUAUACAAAAGAUAACUAUAAAUUUUGUGUAUAUAUAUAGCUAGAAGUCUUUAUAAAUUAUAAGGAUCGAUUCUUUCUCAUUAACAAGAAUAUGUACUGAUGGAGAAGAGACUAUAAUAGAAAGUGUAAUUUAUAAAUAUAUCACUGUUGAAUUAAGAAUUCACACAUUAAAAUGGGGACCCAAUUUUUUUAGGAUAAAGUUAGGUUUUCGCUCAAUAGAUCAAAAAUCUAGGGUUUUUUGUAUUGAUUAUUCGAUGCUCUAAAAAAGAGGCAUCUUCUCUAUUUAUACAAGAGAUUUAGGGUUACAAUAAAUGCUCGUUAUUCCCUAGAUUUAUAAAGAAUAUACUCAUAAAUAUUUGAUUAGGGUUUCAUAAACCCUAACGAGACAAAGUCGCCCAUUUCCAUUUUAGGAAUAAACAUAAAUCUUCUUUAAAUGCGAAACCAGGAUUCCCCGAUUCCGUUGGUUCGAUUCGAUUCGAUUCAUUAUUGGUUUAUGCCGUUAUGUCGUUGGUGCUAAUUCCUACACCAACAAUCACUUGGAAACAGUAACUAGACUGUGGAUAUUUGUAAGCAAGUUGUGAGUUAAUCAACUAAUUCUACCUUUGAAAAAAGUGAAUGGUUUAUACUUUUUAUAUUUUUAUUAAACAAAGAGCGAUAAUGUAGUAUUGGUUUUGUAACAUACAAUAUUUUAUUUUUUAUUUUUAUAGUACUUAUGAAAAAAAAUAUUCGUUAUAUCUCUUGAAAUAUAAUGUACUCUACAGUUGAACGAGGCUAACUGCUUUGAAAUUGAAGACUUUAUCACACAAUUGUUUCAGUCUAAAACAUGCCCAAGAAAAGAAGAUACUAAAAAUUAUAUUUUACCAUAACAUCCAUAUUUUAACUACACAAGUUGUAAUUUAGAACUACUAGAUAAGAAAAGGUCGUAAUGAAACUUAUUUCAAAUAUGAAAUAUGGUAAGGGCUAGACGCUAGUCACACCAAAGUCGCAUUUUCUAAUUUUUCAUUUAUUAGACAAAAUCCUGACACUAAUUUUGACUUAUGUUAAUAUUAUGACACUAUUUUCUCGACGCAUUCAUAGACUUCAAUAAAUAAAUAUUCUAGUUGUUGUAUAUAUUUACUACUUGUUUCCUAUCUAUUACGACCAGUCUGCCUAGUUACGGUGUGGUAAGUCGGCAAAACCAUUGAGAAAGAACCAAGAUCUUGAAGAUCGUUCAACGGAAAACCAUCUCUCAAAUCUCUAUCAGGGGCUGGACUGAUGUCGACAUUCCCGACCAUUCCUGAGUCCUCGACGCUGAAGAGUUUUAGAAAUUUGGCCACACUUAGAGCAAAUCCAGCCUAUCUGUCAGAGUCGUUCUAGAGCUAAAGCUGGUGAAGCACUUGCUUAAUACAUCAAGUAUUUACAUACUUGAGGCACCAUUUAUAUAGUGUUUUGGUGGUGUAGUUGUUAAAUUCCCAUUUGUUGAGCUUCAACGUUUUGCGUUCAAACCCAACAUGUUAAGGGCUUUUUUUGGUUAAUUUUGUGUCAAACAAUUUUUGCUGAUGGGCCUAAAUGUUUUUUUUGCUUUAGGCAAUUAAAAGGUUUGGGCCAGCCAAAUUUCUCUAAGUGUCAAUGAGAUUUUCUUGGCCAAGCGAUCCAUAAGAUCUCCUGUGACUUUUAUUUGCCAUACAUCUUCCCUAAUUGUUGAACACAUAUUAAUCAGAUUAGACAACAAAAAUACAAAUUCUCUUUCCAUUGAACUUCCAAAAUUACAAAUUCUUAAAUUCGGGGAGACUUACAUACAAAUCACGUUCUAUUCUUCUUGUGACAAAUUCGUAUAUUUUCUUACAAAUUCCAAAGUAAAAAACAAAGAAAAAAGAAUGAAUGAUACGACCAUUGUUUAUAUACAGAUAUUGCACUUAACUAUAUCUUACACAUUUUUAAAAUUACUACAUAAGUGGUUAGUCGAGAAUUUUUAUUUUUUUAACUCUUGCUUUAUUAUUUAUUGGAAAUUAUGAGAAUUGUUACAAUGACGAUUAUACUACCGACAAUUCUAUCCGACCCUUUUAGAUUCACCACAGAUUACACUAUUUCCUGACAACACCUCCUUAUCCAUGUAUAGCAAAAUCUCAUAAUUUACAAUAAAAUCUUAUAUCAAAAUAUUAAUAACAAAAUAGUGAUUAUGUAUAACAAAAUCUUAUAUCAAAAUAUAUAACGUUCCAAGUUCCAACUAAACCUUUAAAAUUUUUACAUAUGCAAACCAAACCUUUGAUUAUUCAAAAUAAUUUACCGAUUAUAAUAUCAUAUAUGCCCUUCUCUUGUACUAUCAUGCCACUCAUCCCAAGAGAGUAGUGGAGGACAAUAUGGUAUAUUGCACAUCCCGGAGCGACUCAACGUCUUUGACUUGGACGCUCUUACAUUGGAAAUAGGCAACUGUGUAAGCCACAAGCUGAAACAUCCUCAGCGCAGAGACCAAACACACAAAGACUAAACCAGUGGUUAAGGUAGCCAAAAACGAUAUUCUCCAAUUAAUCAGCUGCAACAUUUCAGCUAAUCCGAAUGACAAUAAACGGAAGGAAAGAUUAAGGAGAAACAAUUUUGGCUUCAUCCCUUUAACAACCUUUGCAGCUUUACGCAAAGCUUUGGUCCCAUAAGUUCCCUCUAGUAUCGAUAUGACCAUAGAAAAGUUCCAAACAAUAGCUAAAUAGGACUCAUAUACUUCGAAUAGAAACAAUAAAGGGAUAGACUUGGCUACCAAGGAAUAAAGUUUUAAAGAGAACAAACAUAGAGGACCAAGAAUUAUAUAGAAGAGCAACCCAUAUCCAAGAUGAUAAAGAAAAAUGUAGAAAGAUGUCACAAGAGGUCCCUUCCAAGAUUUAAAGGCCAAAGCCGGAAAAUGCAUGAUCUUGAUGUUUUCAUUUUUAAGAGAAAGAGCUGAUGCGUGGACGAUGACUAUAUCAGCAUAGAGGUUGAUAAUAGAGGAGAAGCUAAUGGCCAUGAAGAUGUAUAAAGAACCCACAAGCUUUUGGUUGAACAAGAAAACUAAACAUUUGAGUAAGAGGGGACAUAUCAAGACAGAGAACAUCAACAUUUUGUUCUUGAGAAACAGUUUGUGGGAUUUGCUUAAAACAUUGAAGAACAGAAAUCGAUCCAUGGGUUUCAAAAUGACUAAAAAGCUCUUGGCUAUUGGGGUUUGGUAAUGGUAGUGAGGGUUUAUAAGAUCAAAAUCCAUCUUCUUAGUGCUUAUAUAUUACUAAACAUAAGUUUGAUUGCUUGACUUAAUACAAGUCUUUGGCGUGUUCCUUGGACUUGAGUCAACGUCCACAAAUACCCAACACUUUAACAUAAAUGAGAAAAGUCCAAAAGAUGACUUACUGACCACGACAUAAAUGAUUAAAGAGAGAAAACAAUGCAGUUGGAUUUCUUCAUAAAGUGUGUGUACGUGAUCAACACUCACGUCGUGUUAGUUUAGUCAAGAAACACUGUAGCAUUGUGUAAGAAAAAAACAAGAAACGUUUAAAUCAGUAGAAUAGAAAUGAGGUAGACAAAACAAUAUAUUUUAGAUGUUUGCAAUAUAAAACCAUACAAGGUAAUUGUGGAAGAGUUUACACAAGGUAAACUAUGUACACAAGCUAGGUAAGUUAAGACUAUAGCCAAAGUUCAGUAAUAUUUGACCCAACAACAGUUGAAAACUACCAAACUUUUAUUCUCGGAUCAAAGCCAUUCUCUCUAGUUUGUUCUAUAUUAGAAAAAAAAAAGAAUCUUAAUUUUUUUAAAAAAUCAAGCUAAGUAAAAAGACUUAGUCGCAACAAACAAGAUAUAGUUUGUGAAUUAAAAUAAAACCAAAAUCUAAACCAAACUUAGCUUCGUCAAAAACGUAACAAGAAGCCAAAAAUGUUACAAACAAAAUUAAACUAGUAACUCUUUGCUAGUCUUUGAGCUCGAGGAACAGGAACCAAACUCGGACUAAAUGUAUAGUGCGAAGGCCAAGACUCAACCACAUAAUCUAUACGAGUUUUACUAAUCAAACUAUUUCCCCCGAAGACAUAGAUCCAAGCCCGACCAGUUUUGUCGCAAGAGCAUACGACGAGUCUUUUAUCUUUGAUGAAGUAGCUUGGCUGAGAGCGUACAAUGUCUACUAAAUAUGGCAAGUUAGGACUUGAAACUUCCAUGAACAUUAUCCAUUUCACACCUUCAUUAUUAAUCUUGUACUUGCUCACCCAAACCUCAAUCCUCUUUGUUGCAUAGCUUUGCUUUAACAAUGAAAACCGAUCUCCUUCAAACUCUCUAAGGACAAGAGCAUCCAUACUAUGUUCCAUCCUAUAUGGUAGAUCACAGAACCUAAAGAAAUGUUCCUUCGAAUAAUCGAAUUUAUAUACGUAGUACACGCGAUUUGCCUCGCUAGCGUAAACAAGCCAAUACAAAUCUCCAUUCAACGAUACACAACUUUUGGUGUGUAAUAUUGGCCUUUUACCAUUAGAUUCUAACUCACCAUCUUUCCACUUAUUGGAGGUUAGGUCAUGGAUCUUCCACAAGUAGUUGGUGUAAUAUUCUUCCUUCCGAGGACCACCAGAAACAAUCUUGUAACUUCCACUACUGUUGUAUCCUAUGCCAAGGGACUUUAGUUGCUUUUGGUUCGAGUCUUGUUCGAUCCAUCUACUUUGUCUCAAGCAUGGGUUCCAAACUAUAAAUCCUCUCUCCAUGGCGCAAACAAUUAACUUAUUGCAAUCAACCAAGAUUUUAGGUAUCUUGGAUUCUAAACUAGGAACAUCUAAGGUUAGCUCACAUACAUCUAUCUUUGGAUCGAUGCUUACCGAGUAAAUCUUGGAUUUGGUUGUUAAGAUGAAUUGAAACGUGGUCUUGUGGUUCUUGAUGAACGUUUUGUCGUGUAAGAGAGCGUUCCAUUGUUUGGAUACGGCUGUGAAGCGAACAAGAGAUGAUGGUGGUACACGAGAUAGUAUCUCUUCAGUCAACUCCGAUGGAAGCUUCUCCUCAUGCGCCAUUAAACGUAUCCUCAUUAGGGUUUCAAGCCGCGAUUGUUUCGUUAAGUUAGUACUUACUACUUAAAAUGUAUAUCUCGUUUGUAUAUAAAUAUAAACUCAAGAUCUCCAAAUAUCUUAAUUUUACGUUUUGAUAUUCACAUUGAGAAUCAUAAUUUAGAUAUUUACUUACGCAUUUUGUUUUAAUUUUUUACAUUUUAAAAUUUUACUUUUUUUUAUAUAUGAUCAUUACAGUUUUAGUAGUAGAGUAUUUCUUAGAAACAUUUUUAUUUUAAUAUAAAAUUUGUUUUCACAUGUUCACAAAAAGCUAAAGAAAAACAUGGAUCAAAUUGCAGUUGCAUCUCUCAUAGAGACAAAUAGGAGUAGGUAAAAUACCCGGACCCAAAAACUUGACCCGGAAUUGAUCCAAAAAAAUCGGGUUGGGUAGAGAAUUGGAUAUGACCAAUUACCCUAUUGGGUCAUAUGUAGUUCUAUAUGCGGGAAUCGGGUAAUACUGGAACCGGCUGGAUACCCGAACGGGUUCCCAAAUGCCUGAACAUAUAAUUAAAAAUAUAUAUUAUAAAUUAUAUUUUAAUGUUAACAUAAUCUAAAUUGAUGUAAUGUUUAAACACAAUUCAGGUUCUCCAAAUUGAUGCUAAUCCACUAAACCUCCACCAAAGCUUGAGAAGAGUAUAUGACAAAGAUAUGUUGUAGCACAUUGACUAAAGCAAUUUCUCGAUGAACUGGACAAUUCACCUAGAUUUGAGUUUCGGGUUCGCCCGCAGUGGAAUAUAUUUUUCGUACCUUUCAACUUUUUAAUGCUUUAUUGAAAAUGGACCACAAAUUAAGAUUCACCCAAAAGCCCUUUCUUGAAGCUGCAAGGUUCCCAUCUUGAAGGAAUAUAGGUUUUUUCCACUGAGCAUUAACCUUGACAUUACUGCUAGAUCCAUAGACUUUAAGUGUGCACUAAUUAGCCUAAAGGCUCCCCAUCCUAACUCAGAAGAAGGCUAUUUAUUUAUUUUUAGAAUAAUCAUAUCAUUAUAUUCAGUUUGUGAUUUGUGAUUCAACACAUAAUAAUUAUCAUUAUUAUUUUUUGAAAGUGCAUAUGUGUGACUAAUUCAACUAUGUGUAUGAUUGACUUCGAGUAUGUAUGAGCAUAAAGUAAAUAAAGCACAAGAUUUGUUAACAGGGUUCGGAUAACCUACAUCCCCGGGACCUAGUCCAGACUUCAUUAACAAGAAAAGUUUGCAACCUACAACUGCUAUAUGGAAUCCACCAACUCUUUCUUAGAAUUACAAUGAAAGAAAAACUACCACUAAUUGUCUUUUCCGACUAGUGUAGAUCUUCUACAAAACCAUCAAAAGAUUUCUCUAUCUUGUUGAUGGGGCGACGCCACGCACCUUAUGUGCAUCUCUCGUGAAUACCCUGAAGCGCCCAAGUCUUCAUGAAGCGCCCUCUUGGUAUUUAUAACAAUUAUCCAACCCUAGAGUUGAGAAUCUUCCUAUUCUUCACCAAUAGGAAGUUUCCUAUUUCUUCACCAAAUAGGAAUUGACAAAUUUCCUUUAUUCUCUAUAGAUAAGGAAAUUUGUCUUUCACGUUCUCAUCUUGAAUGUACUAUUCAAAAUGUUUAUCCAGCUCAGCAACCGCCUCUUGCCUUGUCCAAGUCGGUCCCAAACUUCGGUACUCCAACUCUUCAAGUAGUCACACAGCUCGGCUUUCUGUACUGCGUCCGGUACUACUUCACGUACUCACACAACUCAGCUUCUUGUACUACUUUCUGUAUUAACGGCAGGACUAGUACAAGAACUGCUUCAUCUUCUAUGUCAAUUCUAUCCACUCACUUCAUGUAUCAUCGUAAUCUCUUGACAAGUUAAGAUAUGCUUUAAGUUACAUAUCAAUCUCCAAAGAUCUAACAUGGCGUCAUUCUCCCCCUUUUUAACUUAGUUUGAUACUCAAGCACUCUAUUCGUUUAAAUCAAGCUUCAUUCAAAUCCUCACAACCGGACCAGAUAACUCCCUCAUUUGUUAAGAUCCAACUACUCUCUUUAUCUCCCCCUGCUUGAGUGCAUAACUAAGUUAAAAACUCUAUGAAAAUACUUCAAAGCAUACCUGAAGCUUAAUAUCAUAAUAGCCGUGGUUAUUACUUCCAGAAAAUCCUCUAACCAAAACCAAGAUAUGCUUGAGACUCUUCUUCACUACACAACACUUCGUAGCCUUAGUAGUACUUAUGUGCAUGAAUCAUCCGAUAACUUAUUCAAAAGAAGUUGAGUAUUUUUGCUAUACUCCCAUUUCAUGCACAGCCUUGAAUACUCUUCGAACUUAUGAUAUAAACAUCUCCACUUCAUAAUCGAUUGCUGAAUCCAUAUGAAGAAAUCACAAACAUAAAACUCCAUCAGAAAUAAUUAUAGCCACCAUCACCCGAGCACUUCUUCUGAUCAACCCUUUACAAUAAGCAAAUUCCCACUUUUCAUCAAACUUUUUAUGAGACCUGUUGUGUACUUUGCUUCAGCUUUUCUCAUAAUAAAUGUACCAGCUCAACUUGUCGUCUAUUCUAGUUGAAAUUCAACCUGCAAAAGCUUUAGAUUGAUCCUUAUCAGCUUCUCAAAUAUAGUGAAUCAUUACGCAGAAUUGACCACUCGAAAUGAUUUUCUUGACAACCAAAAACAACAUCCACAAUGGAUGUUUUGCUAAAUUAUAAAUCUAUUAGAUAUUUUUUUUUUUAUGUUUUGUGCAAAUUUAAAAUUUUUUAACUAAACCAAAAUUUUUAUAAAUAUAUUUUAGCAAAAACCUUAAACUAAUAGUUAAAAAGGUAUUCUCCGCUGCCGGGCUUCGAACCCGGAAAUCUUUUUGUUGAGUAAAACAUUUUUGAAAGGCUUUAGCCAAUGUGCUACAGCGGAUGAUUUGCUUAAUUACCAAUUUAUGUGGUAUAUAACUUUAUACUUAUGUUUCAAUGCAAAAUUUAUAAUUUUUAUAUAAAUAAAAACCUGAAAAUAUAUUUUAAGUAAUUAAAAAUGUUAUCUGAUGCAAGGCUUGCAUUAAUGUUUGUGGGUGAUAUAGUAGAUAAUAAAGCAUUAUCCAUUGUGCUACAAUGGAUGUUUUGCCAAAUUAUUAAUCUCUUAGAUAUUAAAUUUUUUAUAUUUAUUUUUUAUGGAAAAUUAAAAUAUUUUAACUAAACCAAAUCUUUAUAAAUAUAUUUUAGCGAAACCCAUUAAACUAAUAGUUAAAAAUGUAUAUUCCGCUGCCGGGCUUCAAACCCAGAAAUCUUUUUGUUGAGUUAAAUGUUUUUGAAAGGCUUUAACCAAUGUGCUACAGCGGAUCCUUUGCUUACUUACCAAUAUAUGUGGUAUAUAUAAGUUUAUAUUUAUGUUUCAAUGGAAAAUUUAUAAUUUUUAUAUAAAUAAAAACCUGAAAAUAUAUUUUAAGAAAAACCUUACAAUAAUAGUUAAAAAUGCUAUCUGAUGCUAGGCUUGCAUUAAUGUUUGUGGGUGAUCUAGUAGAUAAUAAAGCAUUAGCCAUUGUGCUACAAUAGAUGUUUUGCUAAAUUAUAAAUCUAUUAGAUAUUUAAUUAUUUUGAAUAUUUUUUAUGCAAAAUUAAAUUUUUUAACUAAACCAAAUCUUUAUAAAUAUUUUAGCAAAAACCUUAAACUAAUAGUUAAAAAAGAAUUCUCCGAUGCCGGGCUUCGAACCCGGAAAUCUUUUGGUCGAGUUAAACAUUUUUGAAAGGCUUUAGCCAAUGUGCUACAGCGGAUGAUUUGCUUAAUUACCAAUUUAUGUGGUAUAUAUAAAUUUAUGUUUAUGUUUCAAUGAAAAAUUUAUAAUUUUUAUAUAAAUAAAAACCUGAAAAUAUAUUUUAAGAAAAACUUUACAAUAAUAGUUAAAAAUGUUAUCUGAUGCUAGGCUUGCAUUAAUAUUUGUGGGUGAUCUAGUAGAUAAUAAAGCAUUAGCCAUUGUGCUACAAUGGAUGUUUUGCCAAAUUAUAAAUCUAUUAGAUAUAUUUUUUUUUAUGUUUUUAUGUAAAAUUAAAAUUUUUGAACUAAACCAAAAUUUUUAUAAAUAUAUUUUAGCAAAAAUCUUAAACUAAUAGUUUAAAAUGUAAACUCCGCUGCCGGGCUUCAAACCCGGAAAUCUUUUUGUUGAGUUAAUCCUUUUUGAAAGGCUUUAGCCAAUGUGCUACACUGGAUGCUUUGCUUAAUUACCAAUUUAGGUGGUAUAUAUAGGUUUAUAUUUAUGUUUCAAUGUAAAAUUUAUAAUUUUUCUAUAAAAAAAACCUGAAAAUAUAUUUUAAGAAAAACUAUACAAUAAUAGUUAAAAAUGUUAUCUGCUGCUAGGCUUGCAUUAGUGUUUGUGGGUGAUCUAGUAGAUAAUAAAGCACUAGCCACUGUGCUACAACGGAUGUUUUGCUAAAUUAUAAAUCUAUUAGAUAUUUAUUUUUAUGGUAUUCUCCGCUGCCAGGCUUCGAACCAGGAAAUCUUUUUGUUGAGUUAAACGUUUUUGAAAGGCUUUAGCCAAUGUGCAACAGUGGAUGCUUUGCUCUAUUACCAAUGUUUGUGGUAUAUAUAAAUUUAUAUUUAUGUUUCAAUGCAAAAUUUAUAAUAAAAAUAAAAAUCUGAAAAUAUAUAUUAAGAAAAACUUUAUAAUAAUAGUUAAAAUUUUAUCUGCUGCUAGGCUUAGUGUUUGUGGGUGAUCUAGUAGAUAAUAAAGCACUAGCCAUUUUGCUACAAGGGAUGUUUUGCUAAAUUAUAAAUCUAUUAGAUGUAGAUAGAUUAUAUUUAUGUUUUUAUGCAAAAUUUAAAAAUAUUAUCUAAACAAAAAAAAUUUGUAAAUAUAUUUUUAUUUUAGCAAAAAUUAUAACUUAAUUGUAGAAAAGGUAUAAUCCGCUGCAAGGCUUCGAACAGGGAAAUCUUUUUGUUGAGAAAUCAAGUAGGUUUUUGAAAGGCUUUAGCCAGUAUGCUAAACCGGAUGUUUUAUUAAAUUUAGCAGUUUAUAUGGUAUCUAGAGUUUUAUAUUUAUGUUUCAAUGCAAAAUUUAUAAUAUCUACUUGCAAAGAAUGGAACGCUUUACUGAAAAAGAACCAAAAAUUAAGAUUCACCCAAAAGCACUUUCACGAAGCUGCAAAGUCUACGAUUCUCAUCUUAAAAGGAUUAUAGGUUUUAUCCAGUGAGCAUCAACCUCGACGGUGCUGCUACAUCCAUAGAGUUUAAGAGUGCACUUAGCCUAAAGGAUCCUAGUUCUAACUAUAGCCAAAAAGUUUCAUUGCGAUGGUUUGUUGUUUUGGUUGCACCACCAAGGAUAAAAGACUUGUGGUAUGGAAUCCGUAUUUGGGGGAAACAAGGUGGAUCCAACAAGUACCAUUCAAAAGUAUUGAACUUAUAACUGGAGAGGACGGUCAAUAUUACAACGAACCUUAUGUUGUAUCAAAAACUCUGGCGUGGUUAGUUAUAUUUGAAUGUGUUGCAAGUAGCCCUGGGCAUAAAAACCAGAACCAAAAAACCGAACCGGAACCGACCCAAAAAUAACCCGUUUAGUUCAGAUUCAGUUAUUGCCUAAAUAAACGAUGGAUAUUGUUCUUCUCUAUCCGUGGAUAUCUGGUCGGAUCCGGAUAUUACCCGAGAACCGAAUGGGUACCCGUUUACCCGGAUCUAGAGUAAACCUAAUCUACUUUUUCCUUCUAUUUGUUUUUAUUUUUGGGUAUUUUGCCACAUUUCGUUUACAAACGGACCCAUUUUACCCGAACCAAAUGAAUAUCCAAGUAUUUUGGAUAUAAUACGGUUCCAAAAAUGUAGAACCGAACCGAUCCAGAAUCGAGAGUCUAUAUUUUUUGUUGUAGGAGUGACUAGUUGACAUCAAUUUACUCCAAAUCCUCUUCCUUGACCAUGUACCAGCGACCUGACAUCCAUUGACUCCAGCUCCUCUUCCUUGACCAUGAAGAAUCUACUGUGAACAUCUUUGAGCAAUUUCAAAACAUUGGCCAAACCACCGUCGUUUGCAUCCUCGUAUGUCUUCUUCUCAGACUAAGAAUUUGACUCUUGAAAAAAAAAAAAAAAAAAAAAAGACGCUGAAGUAAUUAUACUUACGAAUCUCUAUUAGGUUAUCCUUAUGACGACCGGACCAAACAUCACAAGUUAUCAUCAACAAUCACCACCACACGCUCCUCAGCACAAACAAGAUCUACUGUCUUUUCAUCAGGACUCUCGUCUUCUGUAAUCACUAUCACCAAAAUAAAGUUUAUUAGGAUCAAUCAGCUCCAACAUGGCAUUAGCGUAGUUGUGUGUAGCGAUUGUGUAAACAGACAUUGGCUUCUUUCAAGAAUUCGCGGAGAAAAGGUCGUAGCUUUACUAAGCGACGAUGAUCCAUGCCAUGGGAGAGAUGUGAAACCUUUUUAGUGUCGAGAAGCGUGUGGUCCAAGUCAAGAACAAGGUGAAGCUUCUUCUCGUUGAGACAAUAUUUUGUUUCAAAGGACUUGGUACUUAACGCCACAGGCUCAGCUUGAAACCGUAGUGAAUAUAUAAUUGGCUUCUUUUUCCAACUUAACUACGAACAUGAUUAUUAUCAAAUAUAGAAACUAUGAAGAUGAAUUUUUCUGAUCGAUAGAGAUGUCCUAGUUUUAUUAAGGAACUCUUGUAUUUAUAGAGAAAGACCUCUGAAUAUGAAGAUGAACUAGAUUAUGGAAAUAUAGGAACUCUGAAUCUGACUUGACUUUUUUAUUCUACCAAUCGACCAUUAUUGCCUACUUGCUGCUACGUUUCCUUCUUCUCUGGGAGCUUAAUGGAAAAUAUUACCAGGAACAUUUGUGCCAAAUGAGACUGCGACAAAAUUAGUGGCAGCUUUGUGGCAAUGUUUGCACUGAUCUUGUUCUUGCAACGACAAUGGUCGAUUCCAUCACUUCAGAGACUGACAGAUCUAGUUCUUUCCCAGGACACAUAAGUAUCAUAUACUGUAUACUCUUUCGACACAUUGGUCAUCAUCCAAAAAUAAUCAUCCUUAUAUGAGUUUAUGUCAAAUUAUAAGUUACAUCUACUCUGCAUAUUCGUAAGAAUUGAAACAAGGAGAAAUACAGCACAAGCUCAAGUUUUCGGAUAGCCAUAUGAAUCAUUACCUGAAACAGAGAUUGUGAAAAACCCUACUUACUACUCACCCACCGCCAUGAAUGGGAUUCCCCUGCCAACGACAACCAGGACCAUGAUUUCAGAUAAAGUCCAUUGUCUCAGUGUUGUAGUUAUUAAGAGAGUAAAUAAAAGCCUAAAUUUUCAUACAAGAGAGAUCGUUAUAAGGAAAACUUACCAGCCACCAUGUCUGGAAAAAUAAUCAUUGUCGAGUGAAAUAGCAAGUGUCAGGACAACAGCUCGUUCUGACAAAGUCAAUGGCCGUUUCACUUCUAGCUCUUCUAUCUGUCAUGAGUUGCAUAAGAAAAGCUCGAUCAAAUGUCUACGGUUAAAGUAAACAACCAAAUGAAAAAUACAAGAGUCCACAACACAGGAGUAAACCCACCGUUGUCGCAGGCCCGGUUUUGGCUGCAACAUCAGCUUUUCCAAAUCGGAUCACGUACUGUCCAGCAUCUGUGAAUAUCUGUAUCAUAUAUAUAAGGAGUCAUUUAGAUUUGUAUAUCCACAAUAUAUCUUUAAGUCUUACAUAUAGUUAAAGUACACAAACCUCAAAGCCAAAACCCCUCCAAUCACGGUCUAUUUGGGCUAACACUUCUCCAUCAGCAUCCUUCACUGUAAAUGUCCAAUUCCAGAACCCAGGAUUUUCUACCACUGCAAAUUGGUUGUUCCUGCAGAUUGCAAACAUCAAAUGUCAAUAAUUUGGUUUGUCCAAAGAUGUUGGUCAGAUAACAAAGAGCAGAACACGUGUUGAUUCUUGAAUCAAAGUUAUGUUCUACUGCUCUGUAAGUCUGUACCAUUCUUAUUAGCUAUACGUGACAAACAAGAUGCAGGUAUUUUUCCCCCAAAUUUUAAAGAAGAGGUAUUUGAUAGGUCAAUCAAGCAUUUAAGAAUACCAAUUAUAAAAAUUAAAGUUUACCCCAGGUAUAAAUCAUAAAUUCUUCUCCAUAGAUGCCAUCUUCGGUGAACAACACCAAUUUCCUACACCAGUACCAGACAUGAGAAUGAGACCAAAUCGAACAGUUAACAACUUAACAUUAAAUUACUGUAUGGCUUGAAAUCCUACACAAGUGUACCUCUCCGUCAAUCUCAGCAUAUAUUGAACUUGUGAUCCACCAGAAAGGUCUGCGAACCUAAAUGAUGUAGAGAAAUCAUCUCGGUUAAAAGAAAUUUAAGAAUUCUCUCGCCACAAACUUUCAAACAGCAGAAUCCAUGAAACCCUCACCCGGCAAAGCUCAUUACCCAAAGCAUCAGUUAUGGAAGCAACAAAUGGGCGCCGGGUACGAAGAAGCUGCAAAUAUUUUUUAUAUCAUUGGGGAAUGGUUUUUACUAUUUUGGUAGACAGUCAACACAUAUGAAAUUUACUGCCAACAGGAUAUGUAAUUGACAGGAUGCAACAUCUCUGAGCUAGCAAGAGAAUAGAAACAGAUCUAGUCUAAGCGUCUGGGGAUAACUGAUAGAGGUGACACAAGCUUUUAGUGACUAAUGUUACACUUUCUAUUAUGAAGACUUAAGCACAUGUUUUUUAAGCAAACUUUUCAUUCCUUGAUAAGUUGCAAUUUCAGCGCACUUUUUCCAAACAUAAAAAGAAGAGAAAUAAAAAAGGCUAGAUAAGAAAAACGAAAUAGCAGAUGCAAUUGAUAGCUAGCAAAAAGAUUUUGAACGAGGAAAGAAUCACUGUAUGCACUUUCCUGAGAGAAAGAUGUUCAAACAACAAAUAACCUGGAGAAUCUAAUGCAUGAGAAAAAUGUGAAGCCUCAACAAUCAAAAUUAAGCCUAGACAAUCAAUUAUUUAAAGAAAGUUUAAUCCUUAACCAUUCCUAUGCCCAUAUAAGGAAAUAUUGUGUUGUAACAUGUCAAAACUUUAAACACUGCUCAUUGAUGAUAACCAAUUUCUAGGUAUUAACAAAUAAUGAUAUUGGCUGAAGUAUGAAGAAAGGAAAUUUCAGAGUGAGAAUGUAACCUGCCGUGCAAUUAAAUUGCUUUGUUCCCGGAUAGACCCCACAGGCUGUCAAGAAAGUGAGAAAAGAGAGGUUUGAAAUUCGGCAAAUUUGUUAUGAACUCAAGGUCUUAUGUAAUAGUAGUGCCCUCCACACAUAAAACUUCCGUAAAUGAAAUCCCAAAAUAUAUGCGUUGAGAUAUCACUUACUGCCUGAGGAUAGCAAACAUCUACUACAAUAUAUCGAUUUUCCUGCAGAAAGAAAAGUAGAUUACACAAGUGAUAUAUCAGCUACACGGGAAGAGAAAUUAGAUGAAAGGGUAUGAAAUGAAGGGAUAUUUGAUAUGUAAGAGUUACAAACAUGGUAAAGUAAAUUCAUCAGAAACAAGCAACGGAAUUACAUAGUUAAAUUGAAGAACAUGAGCACUGGCACAAAAAUUACCUGUUCAAAACCAAGAACCAGAUUUGCCCAUUCAAUGUCCCUUGUAACCAGCAAAUUAGAUCGUGCAAGCAGAGUUGCAAUUUUGGCCUUCAAAGAAAAAUUGAAUAAGAUUAUGAUUUCCAACUUCUAUAUUUCAAGAAAUUCAGUGAUAACAAGAGUGCAAUGAAUCUCUUGCGGUACUUUUCCAUACUUGGUUCCAUCUAUACAAGUUGACAGAACAACAGUUCAUUUGCUCAGUUUUAUACUACACUGAUGUCACAAAGUUUAAAUGACACCUAACAAAAGAUACUUGAAAAUGCUUUUACACGCUCUUUAAACUAAUAACUAACCAAAGCAAGUUACAGGCACUCAUACAUAGAUUAAGAUUACUACAAGCCAAACCUAUUAAAGAAAGCAACUUUUUAAUCAUAUCAUGGUUUAGUAGCAAAAGGAAAGAUAAUGAGUCACCUCACCUCCUCAGAAGUUUUAGGCUCCAGAAGACCAGACAUAGACUGACUAACCGGUGGUUGCUGCAGCAUAGGCUCAACAUUCUCAAAAUGGUCACUCAAUCCAUCAUUCUCAGGAUAACUUCUCAUAUACUUAGAACCUUUCCGAUAUCGCUUUUCCAAAGCUUUAAACUUUUUCUUAUCUGAAACCCAUAGCUGAACGAAAAAACUCCGAUCCAAGCGAGGAUCUUUAUCAUUACCACCGCUGAAGCAUCUAAAUAGUGAGAAUGAGACUCGUUCUCGUUCAAAUUGAGAACAACAUAGCUGACUAUUUCUCCAUAAGAUUGAUUCCCCAGCUCGAGAAUGCAAGUUCUUGAUCCCACCGUACUGUGGAAACACCAACACCGUCACAUAAUGGUGAUCAAAGUUCAACAGUAAGAACAUAUUAUUAAUCUAUCAACAGUUCUGAUUCAAGCAACAAUUAAAAAAAAACCCAACCCUAAUCAAUCUCUAUGUUAUCAAUUGCAUUACAAGCGAAUCAAUUGGGGUGAGAAAUUUGAGAUUUUUGAGUGUGAUUGAAUAAGUACCGAGUCGGAGAAGGGAGAGGAACAGGAGACAGCUGCUGCCGCCGCAGUGUCACCGCGGAGAUGGAAACUUGAUCGGAGAAGAGAAGAGAGAGAGCGUCUAGAGGAGGAGAGCAUGACGACUCUGAAGUUUCUCGAAACGUCGGAGAAUAAUAUUUUACCGAUCAAUUUUGCCGGCGGCUAUAAGGAUGAGAAUAUGAGAUCAAAACGGUCGCAUUUGCUCCCCUGUGGGAGCCGAAGUUUUACUUAAUUUUUUUUUCCAGUCCUUUUGCUAAAUUCGUCAUCUAAUUAAUUUAUUUUUGUUUGGUCACCCAUUUUUUCUUUUUUUACUCUUGAUUUAUUAUUUAUCGCAAAUUAUUAAAAUUGUUACAAUAACGAUUCUAUUAUCGACAAUUUUGUCCGAUCCUUUUAGAUUCACCUAUUUAAAAUUGGGUGAUUUACCACCUAACACACUUUAAGGGGGAGAGGUUACAAAAGACACACUUUGCAAUUGUUGUGUACUUUUGGCACUGUUUGUCCCAAAAAAAAACACAAACUGCCCUAAUAAAGUGAAAUUGUGUCUCGUAUGUUUCCAACUCCCUCCGUCGUCGUCCGUAUUGAUGAGUAACUUCGUUCGUAACUUGGUUACUAUUAAUUAUAUAAUUGAAUUAAACAAGAAUAUAAUAAAUCAAUAAAACUAAGUGGUUUAUAGCUUUUUUCUUCUCCAACAAAUAGAGAAGGUAGCCCUGUUUCGUCUUCUCCAACAAAUCGAAAAGUCACACACACACACACCAUCUCUAUACCAUUGCAGCAUCUAGGUAAGUGCUUAUGAGUUUUCUCGUUUAUGUUAAACUUGUAUAUACUAAUUUCUCAAUCACUUUGGAUGACAGAUCUAGGUAAGUGCUUCUGAGUUUUUUUAGUUUUUGUUUUUCGUUUUUACAGAUCUAAAUCGGUAGUGACGAUACUCUUUAUGAUCAUGUGGAUGAGGGUUUGUGGAUACCGAUGACCUAUUCUGUCCAAAAAAUGCUUCCAAUCAUUCUUAAUACUCUCAUCUUCAACGUUUGAUAGACGAUUAUUGUCCAUAUGUUCACAUGUACAGAGACACACUCAUUUACACUCAUUUUUAUAGGAAUGUUCUCAUGUACAUAUGCACUCAUUUAUACUAAAACAUGUAAAAAGUAACCACAUGUUGUUAAAAUGUCCAAACACAAGUAUGAAUAUCCAGAAACGAUAUUACAGUUGACCAUCCAAUUAUCAGUGAAUAAAUGGUCAACUACAAAUGGAUAAUAUACAUAAUAUAAUUCAUCAGAUGCUCUUUGUGAUCAUGUGGAUGAGGUUUUUUGGAUAUCGAUGACCUAUUCUGUCCAAAAAAUGCUUUCAAUCAUUCUUAAUACUCUCAUCUUCGACGUUGGAUAGACGAUUAUUGCCCAUAUGUUCACAUGUACAGAGACACUCAUUUACACUCAUUUUUAUUGGAAUGUUCUCAUGUAUAUAUGCACUUAUUAUAUACUAAAACAUGUAAAAGUAACCACAUGUUGCUAAAAUGUCCAAACACAAGUAUGUAUAUCCAGAAAUGAUAUUACAAUUGACCAUACAAUUAUCAGCGAAUAAAUGGUCAACUACAAAUGGAUAAUAUAUAUAAUAUAAUUCAUCCAGAAAUAUAGUAAAAUGUAUCUUCAAAUAUAGGAAAAAUGGAAAUAUUGAGUAUUGUACAAAAAUAAAUAUAAAAUAUUGUUAUAAUAACAAGAUAAAGUGAUUAUAAAAAAGAAACAAAAAAAUGAGAAAGAGAAAGAGAAAAAAAAGGGAAAGAAUUGAAAAAGAGGAAGAAGAAAAUGAAGAGGAAGAGAACGUAAGUGUUUAGUUGUGUGGAAUUUUAGUUGGGAUGACAAAUGAGUUAAUAUGUUGUCAAAGUGAGGGUGAGAGAGUAAACAAACUUUUCCAAAGUGCACCAUGAGUUUAUAAGUGUGUCAUAGUGCAAUUAAAAUUUUGAAAGUGUGUGUGCACACGCAAUUAACCCUUUAAAAUUUAAAUUUAGAGAAAUUCUCUUAGAUAACACAUAAUUUUUUUCCCCAAAAAUAUCACAAUAUGAUUUUUUUAAUGUUACAAAAAAUUAUUUUUUACAUGAGUACCAUGAGUUUAAGAUUUCGGAUUUCGGUUUGUCUAAAAGAGAGGGUCACUGUAGCUGAUGGAAUCAUCAGUACUGUAUGUUUGCGGGAACACCGAUAUAUAUGUCCCCCGAAUCGGUUUUGCACGGUGAGAGAAGGAGAGGUUUGGAUUUAUGGUCUUUGGGAUGUGUGGUUUUGGAAAUGUACACUGGGAAGAAACCUUGGUGGGAUAAAAACUAUGACUUAGAAGAUCUCAAGAAGGGUUACAUGCCAUUGAUUCCUAAAGACCUUCCUUGUGAUGCAAAACUCUUUGUGAUGACUUCCUUCGCGGCCGAGACUGACAAGAGGAAAAAUGCUUUUACACUGCUGAGGCAUUGCUACUUGUGUGGAGAUGUCAAUAAGAUCAUAGAGCCUCUAGUGCAGAGUAAUAAUAAUACUAAUGAUAUAGCACUAGAAUUGGAGAAAAUUGAGCUCAGGCUUUCACAACUUAGGUAAAUUGGUAGUGUAUGAGUCUAGCAAGAUUCUUUAAUUUAACUUUGAAGGUCUUCGGUAUAUGUAAUUUGAUGUUUGCUUUGAGAACUUAUGUUUUUGGUUAUGUUAUAUGUAUGGUCCAAAUUUUGUCAACCACUCAUUCUAACAUUGGUUUUGUAUGGUCCAAACAAUUCUACUUAGAUUUGGCUUAUAUGGACCAGUCAUGUAGUCUUGAUACUAGCCAAAUGUGCAGAUCAAUUAUAUAUAAAAAAAAAAAUGGCCAUACAAAAGAAAGAUCAUGAAGUUGACAAGUUCACAUUAAACAUCGAUAACACAUUCACGAGGUUACAAAGGUAGAGAGAUUACGAAACAAAUACAUAUGAUAAUUACUGUCCGGGGGCAAAGUUAGUGGCGUAAGACCAGGCGUUGUUAGCCACAGGAUCAGCCAAGUGAUCAAACAAGUUCUCAAUGGGACCUUUACCAGUAACAAUGGCUUGGACAAAGAAUCCAAACAUGGAGAACAUAGCAAGACGACCGUUCUUGAGCUCCUUCACCUUCAACUCAGAGAAGGCUUCUGGAUCCUCUGCCAAGUUCAAUGGGUCGAACGCACCUCCGGGGUAAAGUGGGUCAAGACCUUCUCCGAGUGGUCCACCUCCGAUUCUGUAUCCUUCGAUGAAACCCAUGAGCACAACUUGACAAGCCCAGAUGGCUAAGAUGCUUUGCGCGUGGAUCAAGUUAGGGUUUCCUAGGUAAUCAAGACCUCCUUCUGAGAAGAUCUGAGAACCUGCCUUGAACCAAACGGCUUCUCCGAAUUUAACACCGUUCUUGGAGAGAAUCUCAGGGAAUGUGCAUCCGAGAGCUCCCAACAUAGCCCAUCUGCUGUGGAUCACUUCAAGCUCACGGUUCUUAGCGAAUGUCUCAGGGUCAGCCGAGAGUCCAGCGGUGUCCCAGCCGUAGUCUCCUGGGUACUCUCCGGUUAGGUAUGAAGGUGUGUUCUCCGAGAAUGGUCCCAAGUACUUGGGACGGUCUGGUCCAUACCUGUUACAACAUCAGAUCGUUGGUAUUUAGACAGAUCUGAAGAUUUAAGGAUGAAACAAAUUAGAGGAAGAGAGAUCAGAUUUAGUACCAGAUGCUCUGAGGAGUAGAUUUGACGGUACGACGCAUGGUCACACGGCCACCACCGGAGACACCAACCUUGCGGAGGAGGUCGUUGGAGGGCUUGAGAGCCGCUUGGCCGGCGAAGGAGGAUUGCUGGAUAGCUGAUGUGGCCAUUAUCGUAAUCUUUGUUUUUUAACAACAAUGAAAGAAAGAGAUCAAAGAGAGAGUUAUGAGUUGAGUUUGAGAUGAGAUUGUGAAAACCAAUCGAGUUUUAUAACAGAGGUGGUGUUCUGUUCCAUGUUAGAGGAUUAUCAUAUGUACACGUAAGCGAGUUCUGAUUGGUUGAGAGAGUUUAAUUUAGAUUUCUUUGGUCUGAAGAAGAGAUUGGUAAUGGUUGUGGUGGUGCCAUCUGGCAGUAGAAGAUCUUUGUGGUUUAGUGAGAGGAUAGACUGAUUUUUUAUUGGAUUGGUCUGGUCCGAAUCCGAUUUUUUGUUUUAGUUGAGAUUUUUUCCUUGGUCCUAAGAGGAGAUUGGUAGUGGCUGUGGUGAUGCCACCUGGCAGUGGGAGAUUUUGAUUGGCUAUUCUUUGUGAUGAUGAUAUUUCAUAUCUUGGUUUUGUGUUUCUUUUAAUCUUAAACCGGGAUUAAUACUGUUUUAAACAUAAUUUAUGUUUUGUUUGGUACAUCAAGUUUUCAAUUUGGUAGAUUCGACAUAUCAUAAAGAGGGAAACUCAAAAUCUUACAAUCAUCUCAGUCAAAUAAGUAACUCAUAAAACAAAUCUUAAAAUCAUUUACAUUGUCACGUUUACUCGAAAGAAAAAUUUAACUAUCCAUUGGAGAUGAGAACUCUUCUGCUACAAUGCUCUCUUCUUCUACACAACCAAGCAUGAUUGCAGUUAGCAUAAGUUUCCCGGCUUCGGCGAAAUCUUUGUGGCUCAUCAACACUUCCUCUACGGAAGAAGUCGAAUCUUCAGGGUUCUCUCUUCUCAGGGAUAGGACUUGAGCGAAAUCUCCAUCGAAAGUGUUGACUCGGGUUGGUCCGUAACACGUUUUGGAAGCCUGGAAAAGGGCAGUGUUCCUUAGAUUCUGUAAUGUUUCUUUGUCGCUCCAACCUUCAUUAGUAGAGUCUUGGUGGAGUCUGUCCCAGUCGUCUUGAUCCGCGGCAUUUCUCCAGCAUUCUUCUAAAAGACUCCUAUGAUUCUCACGGAAUGAAGCGCUAGUCCAUGCAAACACCUCAAAAGCUUUUAUAGCUGUCCAUCGCCCCUGGAUACUGAGACAAAUUUCAAUGAGCUCCUCUGCUCGGAACAGCCGGUUUUUGGCUUCUCCAUUUGGCAAAGAUUUUGUAAUUUCUUCCUGCCAGAUAUUACGAUAGAGAGUAUUUACAUAGCUGACUUUUACCAUCAUUUUAUACAGGAGAAAUAUUAACACAGCUGAGUAUCUCUACCUGCAGCUUCAGUAACUGGAGAUCAGCUUCAAUGCGCUUCACUUUCGAUUCGGAAUCAGAAUCCUUAUCUGCAAUGUGACAGUUACCAAGAAAGUGAGAAAGAAAGAUAAUCACAAACAAUAACAUGUGGAAUGGAUAUACCACCAAAAGAGAAUUUACUAUUAUACCUGCCACAUAGGCUAUCUUUGAAAGGUUCAGAAACCGCUUGCGGUCUGCGAAUGUUGGUUGUAAAUCUUCAGGUUCUGACGCCGUUCUUUCUUCAAUAGUUGUCAUAGACUCUUCAUCUUGUGCUAGGGCCAAUGUAUGAAGAGUGUCAGAAGCAGAUGAGAAUUGAUGGAGAAACGCCUGAUGAAGCCACAGCAGAUCAGAAUGGCGCUUUAGAAAUAUCAGUAGCUCGUCCUGGAAUUCUUCUCCAAGCCGUAGAAGCUUAGAGUACUGUUUCAUAUCAUAGAGUUGCUGGAACACAAAGUAACUGAACCCUCCUUGUGGCCCUAAACCCUCGUGCUGCACAGGAAUUUUGAAGGGUAUUAACUAAGUUGGAACAUAGAAACGGAGCAAGCUAACUAUGGUAAAGGAAGAGAUAAUUAAUUAUUAUCACUUAACAAGAGUAAAAGAUGUUCCAAACUGCCACAGACAAAAAUCAUACAAAAAUCAUACAACAAAUUGUCUGCCGUGCAAUCUCAAAAGUAUAUUUGAUAAGCAAAAUAACCACAAGAAAUCUAACGCUUUUGAGUUUACUAAGGAAAGUAGAAGCAUGAGUUCAUACCAUUAAGUUUUUGAGCAGCUCUGUAUCAUUGAGAUCAUAACAUAUCCUCCACAUAAUUUUGUAGCCUGCAUGUCGCUUUGCAAUGGAUAGCAAAUUUGAACAACGGUUUCUGAAGAUAUCUUCAUCCGUCCUUUCAGUUCUUUCUCUGAUGCCCUACAGAUACAAAACGAAUUCAUGGUGUAAUUUAACACAAAAAUGAUAUGCAGUGCACCACAUGCAAAUAGGUGCUAACCUGGAUUUCUGCUUCCAUAAACUCUUUAGCUUGUUGAUAAAGGGAGUCAAAAAUGGUAUCCCGCCUAGUCCAGUACUCAUUAAGCAAACCUUUGUUUUCGUCUUCCAUCUCCAAUUUUGCAAAGGUAGAACCAGCACAAGCCUCAAGUAAAACUUCAGUAAGUACUUCGAGAUGUGUGUAUAUAUCUGAUUUAGCAGAGAUAUCAAUCCUAGAUGCCUCAGUUAACAGAUGAAGCAUAAAGGACGCAAUGCACCACAGUCCAUUACAUACAACAGGCUGAGAGUGCCAAGGUAUUAAACCUUCAAGUGGUGGAUACCUCAUUUGAUGCUCAUUUUUGUAAUCUAAGGCAGUCUGAAGAAUGGUAACACAUGCAUUUGAGAGUUCGCAGGCUCUCUGCACUUGAGUUCCCAGUGGUUGGUCAGCUCUGAUUAUGUAUUCUAGUUGCCUGUUCAGACAAUAAAAUACUUCCUCAAGUUCGGAUACCUUGCUGUAGAAAACUUCAGCAUUAUCUCUGUCCAUCAAGAGAACAGUAUUUCGCCGAGCUCUUUCCCCUACAAAUUGAAUAAGAUCCCAAAGGGCACAAGAAACUUGAUCCUCUGAGCCAGCAUGCGGAGAGCCAAAUCUAGCUGAGCGAUUCUGGUUAAUCAAAUUUUGCAGUUCCCGGAGUUGAAUCAUGGCAGCAAGUUUUUCACCAUUUUCCAGAAUUAUUUGCAAAGACUUUCCUGCCAUAAAAGAUAUAUAUUAGCUCAGGUCAAUCUUUUUGCCAACUAGAAUAAUUUAACAGUUCACAAGGUUUUAUAAAUGAAGGACCAUCUAUGCUUGGGAGACAUAUUACUAUUAUUUAGAGUCUCAUCUACAAGCAUUAAAAUUUUGUGUUUGAUCGUGUAUGCAAUAAUGAAGUAGAAUCAUGCUACAGUACGAAGAAAAAGCAAGUGAGGGAUAAAAGUAAAUACUCUGUUUAGAGCACAGCUCCUCAUGGCAUUUAGAUAGAGCAAGAAAGUGUAGAAAAUUCUCAUGCUUCUGUUGUUUCUCAACCAAUUGCGAGGAUAUAACAGUCAUAGCCACUAUCUCAGCCCCUCUAGUUGUUGUCCAAUGCUUAGCUAAUGUGUCGACUAUAGAUUUGCUUUUGCGAGCAAAAACAUUGGUCUCUCCAUCUCUAUCAAAUGCACCAGAUUGACUAAGCUUCUCCAAUGAUCCAUCAACUUUCCCAGAUAACAGAAAAUCCUCAAAGAGCUGGCCAAGCAAAGCUUCUGAUUCUUCCUCACGGGCUGUUUGACGAGUAAGUCCCAUUUUAGGGUUUCCUUUGUCUCCAUUAUUUCGUAUGUCAGAUUUCUCCUUUCCAGCAGUUUUAUCAACGCCAUAUGGUGUUAUCCUUGUCUCAUCCCGUGUAGACCUCUCAUUGGAACUAUUUUUGCGUGACAAACUUCUCUCUGGAGGUUCAACUCCACCAAGCACAACUGCUUUCUCUGGAAUUGCCCAUACUCCUGCUUUCUCAGUAAGCACAGUCCAUGCACCAUAUUCAUGUUCAUCACUUGAGGAGAGAACUGAAGCAUCCAAGACCUUGCCAGCAUCAUAAGGUAAAUCAAACUUAUAGAGCCGGGUAGAAUUUCCAUGACAGUAGCAAACUGUGGCUGUUCCAUCACCUGAAAGAAUUAUAGCUGACCCUGCGGGUCUACCACCAACUCUGAGUUUCAUAGAGAAUAAAAAGUCUUUAUCCUCCACUCUUGCUUUUGGGAUUAUGACUUGGAUUGGGCCUUGUUUCUCCAGAAAUCUUUCCUCUGUCCCAUCUGAAAAUCUCAUCUCAGAUUUAUGUUGCAAGGUUAAAAGCGAAUAUUGUGUAUAGCUAGAACUGCUGGCACGGUCCAUGCAGAUAGUGGCAACAAGAACAGUAAUCACUUUACCCUGAUCAUCCACCUGCAGAUCAAGAGGCCAAAUCUGCUUUUGGCUAGCUAUAUCUUUCUUGAUACCUGAAUCACCAUCAGCGCCAAUAAUCUCAUGUUGCCAGACUUUUAAAACAGUAAGACCAGGAUAGGGUUCAAUAUUAAAACAAUGUAUGUCACAAUCUGUCAGCAUAAAAAAUUGCCAACAGGACUCUCUUGCUAAUCCUUGUGAAAAUCGCCAGAUCAAGGACCUUGGAUACCCCUCACUUAUGGGGGAAGAGCUGACGUUGAACUGUACUUGACUACUUUUAACACCUGUAGGACUACAAGUAUAUUGCCAUAGCUCACCAUUAGAACUGCAAGCAAUAGCAAUACAAAGGCGCUCAGCUGCAGAUACUGCAGUAGUAAUCAAUGAAUUGAGAUCACUAUAUUCUGCUCUCCCGCUUCUAAUCCCAUUGCUUUGUCUCUUUCUGAAUGAUGAGCUUUUUCUACCUAUAGGUGAACUAUAAACAACAUUUUCAUCAGAAGAUCCAAUAUCAGUUACAGGGGCAGCUUCCUGACCAGAAAAGAUAUCUGACCAAUACACAACAGCUCGAGUUUUCCUGUUACACAUAACAAUACCAACAGGACUACGAGAUCGAGCAGCCCUACUUGCAGCACCCGCAGAGGUAUCCCAAGGGACAACACUAAUCAACCAGCCUUUACCAUCUUGUAAACCACUACCAGACUCUUCAUUAGCCAAAACACAAGAAGGAAGUUCAAGAACAACACAUUUCCUCGACGGUAAGGUUGUCAAGUGACUCCACACAAAAAGUUUACUUCCACUUAUAAACCAAGAGAGACAAGUUUCUGUAUCCAUACCACCGGAUACACAAGCAUCACCUAGUGAAUAAGAACAAGCAAAAAACUAAGUACAUUUCAUUUCACAAAGUAACUGUUCUACUUCUAUCUUUAAAGCAAAGAAUACUAACCAAGAUAACUUUGUUCAUCUCGCAACAAUUGAGGAAACUCUCCAACGAAUACAGGAUUCAAUUGAUCUGUAUCAUCUCCUCUUUCACCGAUAUUUACAGGAGAAACUCUAACGACCAUGAACAGAUACAUAAAUCAAUUUCACCAAAUCAAAGUAGAAAUGUAAGCAAAAUUCGUCACAGGGAGAAUACAAUACCUAGCGAGAACCGAUAAACGAGGAGCCCAAGGAGCAGGAGUUCCAGUGGCAGGACGAUCUGAGAUUAAACUGUUCCGAUUUUGAGUCGCCGGAGUUACAGGAGAAUCCGGCGGAGCCACUCGAUUGCGUGGAGUUUUUUCAUUACGAGAGCUCUGCUUAGCUCUCUUCGUCAACGGAGAGAACAUUUCCCCAGAUUUUGAACCCAGGAAGAGAGCGAGAAAAGGGGUUUAGGGUUUAUGUGAAGCAGGUAACGAAGAUGAAGAUGAAGAAGAAGAGUGCGAGAAAAAAAUUUGAAUCGGGAAAGGUGAAAGAAAGAUUCGGCGAUGAUGUCAAAUUGGUUCGGUCAAAAUCGGGUUCGAAAAUUUCACUCCCGGUUCGGUUUACGGUUUUCGGUAAUAGAAAUUUUUCAAUUUGGGCCUGUUCUCGGCCCACCUGAAUCAUAGUGUAAGUAUUUUCCCCAGAUACAUUAAUAUGAUCAGCCCGGUAUGGUGCAGCUGAGAGUAACGUUGUCAAGAGCUCUACACGAGACCACGGUAAGACCAUCUCCCUGGAGAGUCUAAACAAAUUUUUUUUUAGAGAUUCUGAGAUUAAAGUGAUAAAAAAUAAAUCAGAAUGUGUAUAAAUGUUUUAGGAGCACCUAAAACGAAGGAGUUUUGGUACCGCUCUUUAAGGCCACGUGUUUAUUUUUUAGUGGAUUGAAACUGUAGAGUAGGGAAAAAGAAUUAACAAAAGGUCUCUGUCUCUCUCUUUCUUCUCUCGUCAAAACUUUUUCUUCUUCUGUUGAGUUGCCAAAGGCGAUAGAGAUGCGAUUUUGAUUUUUCUUUGAUUUUGUUGAGCUUUGGAGUUAUGAUCGGAGAAUUUUCAAGCGUAGGGUGUCGUUGGGUAGAUUUACAAAGAGUUCAGUAUCAGAAAAUAAAGACAACAGUGGCAGUGUAUUGUGGAGGAAUUCAGACACUGGUAUGACAAAACAACAUGUGUGGUGAACGACUGAACGUGAAUCAAUGAACGGGAUCGUGUAGCUUUUUGUUUAUGUGACGAUUCUCAAGUACAUAGGUUUAUUGUUGCUGUAACUACAGAGAUUUUUUUUUGUGAGAGAUUUCAACUAAACAUUUUGAAUAUAUGUUUUAUUUCAAUUUUUAUAUUUUAUAUGUUUGUAUUCAUGUAAUAUAAUAUAAUUUUGGUUUUAAUAUUUUUUUAAAUAAAUUAUAUUAAAAAUAAUUUUUUUAGAACCCUUAUAGAGUUCACCAUUGGAAGAAGAAAAAUUAAUCAUCCUUUAGAAGUUUCACAAAUUCAAAUUAAUCAUUAAAAUUAAUAAAAAUUUGUUUAACACUUCAAAAUAAGCAUCUUCCUUUGGAGUCUGGAGAUGCUCUAAACUCAUAAUGCAAAGAAGAAAUGAAUCAUAAUGUAACAAGAAAAAUAGAAACUAAAAUAAUCGAUAAUCGAACGAAAAUACAAAACCAAAGAAAGAGGAGCUUCAACAAAUACUCCUUACUAGUUUCAUUAUUUUCUGUUACUUGGCUAGAUUUGAACCAAACUUGGAACAUAACUGAAUAUGCAUGGAGUCCAUCUCAAUAUUUUAGAUGACUCAACAAGGUAUUUAGUGUGAUAUGCAUCGUCUUCUCCAACAGUCUCAACCAUGUACUUGUCAAAUUUACUUAUGUUACAACACACGACCACUUUCUUCUCCUCAUCGAUCAGAAAGCUUAAAGGGGAUCAUGGAUAAAAAAGAGAAUUAAUCGUAAAUGAUUUCAUCCACGACAAUGUAUCACCAAUGUUAUUAGCUAUCCAAAUAUCUAUGAUUGAUGUAUCAUUGUCUAGAUGUAACACUAAGAGUUGUUCUUCCCUAACUAUUGAUAGACGUAUAACGUCCUCCCAAUCCAAUUCUUGAACUAGAGGAAGACACAAAUGUUUAAAUCUCUCUGUUGUGAAAUCAAAACUUACCAAGUAAUCACUUUCAUAGAAACUAACCCAAUAACUAUUUCCCUUCAAAGACACACCAGUAUGAGCUGGUGUGAAGCCGUUCAUAGAGACUUCAUCAAAAACGUUCCAUGAAUCAGAGCUAAACUCAUAGAUUUCAAAUACAACAUCACCGGAUCGUGGUCCGUCAGAGUCCCAACACUUCAAGAUUUUGUAGCUAUGGUUGUUUUGGUACCCUAAAGCAUACGUAGAGCAAGGACGACAGGGCCGACCCUAUGGUAAAGCAAAUGAAGCAAUAGCUUUAGGCCACAUUAUUUAAUAAUUAACAAGGCCACAUAUGUAUUGUUUUGAUGGUUCAAAAUAGUGUUAUUUACCUUUUUAAUGCUUCAUCCAACAUCCCUACUAUAGUAAAAGAGAAGUACAAAAGGGAUUCGGGUCGGGUUUUUCAAAAAAUUCCGGGUUAAAUUUUCAAUCGGAUACUUGCCAAAUUUUUUGUUAAAUAUUUUUCAAAUAUUUCAAUAAUAUACACCAGAUUCCUAUCAUUUAGGAAACUAUAUUAAUGCUAAAUAAAAAAUAUGUCUUAUAAGGAAAAUUUGUUUAUGAAUAUAAAUAUCUCAAUCUUUUAAAAAUAUUCUAAUUAUUAUAUUAAUUUCUUAUAUGAAAAAACAAAAAAAAAUUAUAAAUUUUUAUAAGUUUAAAUAUUUGAUAUAUAGAAAAAUAUAAUUUAAAAAUAUUUGGUAUAACAAAUAUAAAAAUGCAUCUAAAAUACAUAAAAAUGGUAAUAUAAUUAAUAAAAAUGUUAAUUAGUUUGCAUUAAUUUCAGUCCUUAGUACUCUAGCGGUAGGUGUGGCUAUAAAAAAAGAAAGAUUUUAUUAAAGAUUUUAUAAAAAACGAAAGAUUUUAUAUAUAUUAAAUCUUUAUUAUUAUUUUUUAUAUUUCCUAAUAUGUUAAAUGAAAGAUUUAAUCAGAAUAAAAAAAUAGUAUAUGAAAAGAGGUUUCAAAAUUAUUCCAAUCUUUAUCAAUUUGAAUUACCUAUAAAAAAAAGAAUAAUAUUUUAUCAAUAGCAUAACUAAUGCAAAAUUAUAGAGAUCCAUAUAUAUCUAGAAAUGGUUAUAUUUGAAUUUUGAAAAAAAAAGAAAUUUGACAAUCAUUAAUAUAUUUCAAUGAGUAAUACGAAAUAUUUUGGAUACAAAAAAAAUAAUUAAAAUUUUAGGAUAAUUAUUGUAAUUAACUAAAAAUACUUUAAUAACAAUAUUUUAUCUUUGUAAUUAUUAAUCAUCGAAUCACUACUAAUACAAAAUCAGUCAUAAAGAAUAUAUUCCAUGAGUUAGUUUAAAUAAAUUACCUUAAAUUCUGAAUUUUCCUUAAAAUGUUCUAAAUAUUUUAAUAUGUGAAUAACAAGAAUAUUAUGGUCUCUUAUUUAAUAUGAAGUAUAUUAAUAUUUUUAUUUUAUUUUUAUAGGAUACAAGUAUAUACAAAUCUUUCAAACUCAUAUGUUCUUGUGUGAUACAUGUAUAUACAUGAUUUUCAUAAUUUUUCAAUAUCAUAUAUUUUCAUGAUUUUUUUUAAAAUACACGGGUUUUUGCUGAUUGGUUCGUCACCACAAACAUUGUGAGUAUACAAUUUGUUUAAUAAACGUUCUUUUAUUUAGUUUAUAAAAAUAUUAUAUUUAAUUUCCGAAAACACACUUUUCUCAAAGAAUUGAAACCAAAUAUACACAAUCGAAAUAAUAAUUGUUGAUACUAAAAUGAGCGAAAUAAUAACACAUACGACAAAACACGUUAAAAUAAAAUAAACCUGAAAAUAUUCUUUCGCGCUAUAGCGCGGAUCUGAACCUAUCAUACGUGACAAAGUACACAUUCAUGAUAGUACAUAUUCUCAUACUUGCCACAUUCAACACCAACAAUCCAUUUUAACAGUUAAAAGUUUACGUAAUUCGGAAAAAAAUAAAAACCGACACUUUUCCCCCGCGCUGUAGCGCGGGUCCGGGCCUAGUUAUAUUUUAAAAGUACUGUUUCUUUCUUAUACUCUUGGUCCCUUAUCAUAUAACUAUUAUUUUGUUGUUCUUUAUUUUUCUUCUAUUUUGACUUUCAUUUUUCUAAAAUUUCUAAAUCUGUCAUCCUAAAUGUUUACUUUACACUUUAAAUUAUUUUCUAAAAAGCCUAUAAUAUUAUAAAAAAUUAGAGGAAUUUUCCACUAUUUAGUAUCUAAUGAAUUUGAUAGGAAAAAUUAGAAAAUGUUAAAAUAUCUAACCAACUUUUGUAAUUAUACUACCUAAUUAUUUACAAAAUAUAAUUAAGAUAAUUAGAUACAUAUAUAUAUAUAUAAUCUAUAAAAUAAAUUUUAUCAUGUGUCAAUAUAUAGGUUGGACAUAUUCUUUUUUGAAAAAUAAAUUUGAAACAUAUUUUUUUCCCGAAAAUUUCAAUGUAACUAAUUAUUUUUCGUAUAAUAAAUAUUAAGGCUAUUUAUAAAAAUGCUUUAGGCCACAAAAAGUCUAGGACCGGCCCUGAAGGACGAUCAUGAGUUUUAAGUUGAAUCCACCUGGUUUCCCCCAAACACGGGUUCCAAACGACGAUUCUAGCAUCAUCGAGAGUGCAUAACAACAAACCAUCGCAAUGAAAAACUGUUUUUAUAUAGACUUUUUCUGAAUUAUAAUCUAAAUAAUCCUUUAAGGUAAGUGCACUCUUAAACUCUAUAGACGGAGCAGCAACGUUGAGAUUGACUCUUAAUGAACAAACAUUAUCAUCCGUCCCUAAUAGAACCAAAGACUCCUUUGGAGCUGUACAGAAGUGCUUCUCCCUGAAUCCUCGGCUUUGAAAUAAAGCGUUCCAUAGUUUGCAAGUAGGUCGUAAUCGCGUCAUAGAUAUAGCCGGGAUCCUAGAGAGUAUUUCCUCUACCAAAUCCACUGGAAGAUAGGACAUCAUCAUAGUUUUUCUCCAAAGGAAGAAGAAGACAAAGAGACUCAUAUAUAAGUUUAUAUAAACUAGGGUUUUGAGUUUUAUUAUUUUCACGUCUGCUCCGUGAACCAAUCUUGUGUUAUAAAUAGACAAAUCUAGAAACUUGUAAAUUAUCAAUAUGUAAAAUAUACAUAUUGUAACACAUUUUAUGUCUACAUAUGAAAAUAUAUCUACCGUAUAGUCUCUGCAUAAACGGUCGUAUAUACGUCUACACGCUAAACGGUGAUGAGCCGUAUGAAUAGCGUAUAGCGUAUUAUUUUAGAACAUUAGUGAAAAUACAUGAUAAACCUAGUUGUGAACAUUACUACAAGCAUCCCUACUCUCCCUCCUUGUAACUAUCAAUGUGUUGAUUUGAAGGAGAGUGAGACACUCAGGGUGAGGCAAGUUCCACACCCUUGGUCAUGGUUUUGGUAAAGAAAAACAUCAUUGACACAUAAAAGCUUAUAAUGUAUGUUUAUAUAACUCUGUUUAGUUAGACAUAAACGAAUAAGGCUACUACUUGUGAAGUUUUUUUAUUUUGCAACCAAUGCUUGGAGGUACGUUGUGUCUGUGUUCCCUUAUUUGAGUCUUUACACCCAAGCUCCUGUGUAUUUUGAUGGCUCACUUCAUUGGUUUACUGCCUCCCCGGACCAGGGCGAAACCAAUGUCUUGUCUUUGGAUCUUUACACCGAAACAUUCCAAGCCAUCUCUAAAGCUCCUUUCUAUCAUGUCGUUCCUUUAGAUAUUUUCAUGUGCAGUUUAGAUGAUCAUUUGUACGUAUAUGAGAAAAAGUGGUCUAACCAAGUUGUUGUUAGGGAUAUAAUGUCACACAUCGGAAGAUAUAAGAAUCAUGACAGUGUGUAAGAUAUAUGAACUUUUCCAAAAUUGUCAACUGGUUUUAAAUUGAAAGUCCAUAGUCUAAUAGUCGUACUGUUGUUUCGAUAGAUCUCAAUAUAAUCUGUUGGUGUGGGAUCAAUAUAACUUUUGUUUGUUUGCCCCAAAACAUUGAGGAUUGCAUGUUACUUUUUUAAAUUUGUUUCUUAAUUGACUAACUAUUAAAUAAAAAGAUGUUGUCUUACAUUUUUUACACCAUAAAUUUAAAUAUUUCUAUUCAACCUAUCUGAGUUAAUUUAACUGGUGUGCAUGUUCUCAAAAGUGAGUUUGACUUUGAUAGAUGAUUGAUUCUGUGAAGUUUUAUGUAUAAGUCACUAAUAUGGUAUCAAGCCUCAAGUUGACUUACUUUUGUGGUAGACACAAUGUGAUACUACAGCAAGAGUUUUGAAUAGUUGUUAACUAAUGUACACUAAUCCUUCUUGCUUAAAAACUAAAGGCAUCCCCAAUGGUACAAUGAGAUUAUAUGAUAAAGAAAAAAAAGUUGAAAAAGAAACAAACACAAAUAGAAGAUUAACCAAACCCUUUCAUAAACGUCUCCAAUUAUUAUUAUUAUAAUACCCCUUUUACUUUAUGUUUCACAAACUGGUCGGCUCUUAUUGUAACUUUUGAAGCAAACCAGUAGCUCUUUGUUGUGGUGUUUCUCUAUUCCUUCUUCUUUGUAGUGUUAUUGCUAAAAAGACCUAAAUUCGCCAUGCCAUCGAUCAGUCGAAAAACCGAAAGAAGAUAAUGAAAAAUAAAACCAAAUCUCUUUUUUUUCGCCGACGGAUAAUUUGAUUAGAUCUUUGGGGAUUCCCUCUAACCUUUAUGCUCCUAUGUUCUUCUCUUCUUUUGGUUAUGUAUCAGUCUCUUUCUCUCUGACUAUGUAACCGUCGAAAUCUCCUUCCCCGAAAGGGAAGAAAACGGACUCUCGGGUAGAUUCAGGACUUGACUGUCCAACGAUUCACAAUGAGUUCUCCUAAAUAAAAAGAAAGCAUCAUAUAUGGUUAAACCAAAGAUAAAAAUAUCUCAAAAUGUGUUUGUUAAUAUCAAAACAUACCGAUCAUUGUCUCUGUAGUUAGUGGUUAUGUUCAUGACAUUAUCUUCGGUGUUCAAAUAGUCCAAUAGAUAGCUCAACCGUUCCGCUUGUUCCUCUUGCUCAGCUACAAAUUAAGAAAAGUCAAGAAAUUAAUCCUGAAACUAAGAUGAUCUAUCUUGUUUAAGUUAAAGAUAUACUUACCAUUUGAUGUUAGCUUGAAGUCAUCCGAAGAGAAGCCAAGGUAGGAGUAAUUAGUAGGUAAUGACUUAGAAACUGAUUGUUCAUGUUCAUUAGGAAAUGGCUUCCUCAUUAUUCUAGAGCUCUCACUAACCCGCGGUGGCACUUAGAACAACAUAAAAGUAAAAACACUUCAAAAUGAAACUAUACAACAAUGAAAAAACAUAAACAUAUAAUUUAACUUCGUUAAUUACUUACAUGUGUUCAUCUCUAUGUCUCUGUCAAUGAAUUGAGAGCCAUAUCGCAUGCCUUGUAGAGGCUUGUUAUUGUCAAGGUAUCUACUAGAGCGCGAUUUUUCCCGGUAAGGCUUGACGAGGACACGAGCACCGCAAAUGAAAUGAGGAUUGCCUUUGGCAAGAAUGAGUUUGACAGUUUCUGUGUAAGCAAAUGUUACAAAACCAAACAUUCUUUUCUGCUGGCAAGGUAUCCUCACAUCUUCUACAUGUCCAAAUUUGGAGAAGUAGUUUGAGACAUCAUGUUCAGUGAAACUACUCUCUGCCGGAAAUGUUAAGUAAAUCUGUCUUGAACCAGCGAGGAUCGCUCCAUGUUCGUUUCUUUCUCCCGUGUAUUCGACAAACUUUGAUUCAUCUUCAGCUAAUAUAACCGAGUGCUGACCAUGAGGCCUACAAAUUUUCAAACACCAUUGAAUAAGAAAUUUGGCAUUAAGACAAUACUUGAAUAGAAAUAGAAGUAUUAACAAAACAAACCUGUCGAUGAGGCGGAUGGUGUUCUUCAAGCGAGCAAGAAGCUUGGUAAGGCUAUAGCCAGCUUUGCCAUGUCUUUGUGACUCUGUGAGGUAUCCUUCAGCUUGAAGAGUCCUACCGUAUUUUUCGUAGUACAUCAUAGGCAAAGAAGCUAUGGAGAUUGGAGCGCCUCUUCUAGAUUUUAGUAACUCAAUGAUCUCUCCUUCUAGCUUCUCAAGUGAUCCAGGGGAAACAACAUGCUCUUCAUCACUUAGGCUAUUAUUAGGAUUAAACAUCUGAGCAAAACUCUCCCUCUCCGGUAUAAUCUGACCAUGGAAGUACCUACAGUUGUUACCGUGCUUGCAAAACCCUUUGUUAAAGUAAUGGCAGAUCUUGACCGGGAACUCGGGUAAACUCGGCGAUCUCCUGCUCGUUCUCAAAGGCAAACAUUGACGUUCUUGAGAGAAGAACCCGUUAGAGAACUCAGGACUUGUCAAAGAAUCCUCAAAAUUCAAGAACUGAACAUUGUUCUGCAAGGAAUCCAUCUCGGCCGAAUUCUCCCAGAAACCGGUUUUCAUAGGAGGAGAAACCGAAACCGAAAGAGGCGAUGAACCCGCGAAUGACCCGAAUUUAUGAGUAGAAGGAAUGUGAUCAGAAGAAGGAGGGCUGUGGUAAUGAUGAGCAUUUUUAGCUAAUUCGUAUUUAACACAAUUGAUAACAGAAUGAAUCACAGAAUCAGGACAGAAAGCUAAACGGAUCAUGUCACGGUCUCCAUUGUCUUGCAUCAAUAAGAGAUAACCAAUGAUCUUUGAUGCAUUCUCUGGCUCAAGUUCUUGGAUUCGUUUGUGCACAACGUUCAUUGAUUCUGUGAAAUUCAUCUCUAAAACAAAAAAUCUUCUUUAACUCUCUGCAAAGCAAAAUCAUUCAUACUAAUUAGAUUUAGUCAAAAAAUUCACAUAAAAACUAACAAGUUGUAACCAAAAGAGGUAGAAGAGUGAGACUCACUCAUGAAACCCACAUGUUCAUAAUCUAUACCCAAUACAAAAAAAAAAGAUUUGUAUCGUAAGUCAAACAAAAUAUACAAAUGGUAUGGAUAAGAAGAACAAUGACCAAGAUCUAAGUCACAAUUAUACAAUCAAACAAAACAAGAAUUUCAAGAACUCCUCCAUUUUUUUUUUUAAAAAACAUCAUCAUGUUUACAUCUAUACUCAUCUCUUAUACAUUUUAAGACAAAACUAAACCAAGAACAUGAACAUGAUUACUACAUUUGUCUUAAAGAAAGAAUGUUUUGUUUUAAAUGAGUAAACAAACAAAUGAUUAGAGAGAGGAUCUAUAAGAAAAAAAACUGAAAAAAUUACCUCAGUAGAUGAUGAUAAUCCGAGAAAGAUUAACCAUAACCACUAAUUAACCGAUCUUUGAAUGGGAAUUUUGAGAGAUUAUAGACGACAAUUGUAAUUAAAGCAUGCAACUCAAAUUCUUCAAACCAUUAGAUUUGUCUGAAAAAUAAGAAAGAACAAAGAAAAAAAACUGUCAUCAUAGAAAGACUAAGAAGACAAAAACAAAAACAAAUCAAGAAAACAACAACUCACAUUUGUUUGAAUGAAUCAAAAGAGACACACAAGAGCGUGAGAGCCACAAACACAAAAACACAAAGGCAAGAGUGAUGAAUGAAAAAAAGAAAAAAAAAACAAAUAUAAAACAAAAAAGAUCGUGCAAAUUAUUUUUUUAUAUAUUUAGAGAGUUUUUAGUAACUGUAAAACAGAUAAGAUCUCAAAGAUUCUUGGAUGGUUAAGAAGAGAUAAGUCCUAGGUUUUUAAUAAUUAUUAUAAUUUUAACCAAAAAACAAAAACAAAUAGGUUCUUGUUGCGAAGUUUAAUAUUGUUUUUAAUUUAAAUUUAAUUAUGAAUGUUUUUGAGUUUGACAACUCGUUCAAUUCUUAUAUUGUUACAGCAAAUAUCGGGGGACUCAGUUUUUUAAAUAUAUUUAUUUUUGGUUUAAUUAAGUUAAUACUAAUCAUGAUUAACGUGAGUUAGUUAAUAUAUUAACGGUUGGAUCAAGAAGACUUUUGACUUUUGUUAUUCUUUAAAUGGACGGUUCAGAUUUUGUAUGUUUAUAUUUGGAUAAGGAUAAUGCGAAGAAUACAACUGUGACCGUUGUUUUAUAUUAGGGAACGUAAAGGUCUCUCUCAUGGUUUGGUUUAAACGGUUAUGGUUAGGGAUGAUUAAUACGGUUUAGAUUGACCGGAUUGCAAAUUGAGGAUAACCAAAUCCAAAAUCCGAGUUAAGUUAUGAGACAAUAUGUUAUAUUCAUUUACGUAGUAACAUGAUAUUUAACAAAUAUUUUUCAACUUAAACCGAAAAUAAAUUAACUUUUGUUGACAUGGAGAUCUACACUUUUUUUUUUCUUUUUGUUUGGUGAGAGUAAACAUGGAGAUCUAUCACUUUUUUUUUGUUUGAAUUGUCAUAAUUAUUCUCUUACAAAAAAAAUUAUAACUUUGAAAACCAUAUUUUAUAAAAUAAGAUUGAUUUGUUUUAUACUUAGUGCGUAUGAUUUAUGAGUUAAAACUUUAAAAUUAUCUCGCAUAUUUCAGGUGAAUCAAUGAAAAAAAAAUGGGUGAAUAAUCCAUAAGAUACCAAAAUGUAUUAUGAUUAUCAGUAUUUCACUCACUCAAACCUUUCAGAUAUCUAUUAAUAUUACCGCCGUCGUCUUCCAAAGUAUCUAUAUUAUUAUCAGGAUGAGGUGGGAGCGAGUUUGAAUUUCAUAUGACAACGAAUUCAUUUUGAAUGCGGCGAGCCAUGAUGAAUCUGUCCAUCAUUUAACAAGUAAACACUUACGCUUAAAUGUCUAGGAUACAUUUUUUGAAUUAAUUUCAGAUUUCAUUUUCCACAAAAAUUAUAUCACACAUCACUAAAUAUAGCAAGCAAGGUUUAAGCACAUAAACAAAAAUUCGCCAUAGAAAAAACUCAAAACUAGUAGAUCUACUAACUAAGACUCAUAUUUACUGCUAAAGCUAAAAAAAUAGAUUUACUUUACUCAUGAGUUUCUAUGCACAUUUAUAUGCCAAUUAAUAUUUCAAAAGAAGCUGCGCAUUUGUAUGAGAUGUAAUAUUUUACCUUAGAUAAACUAAGUAAAACCAUAGCAGAUUUGCUUUCAAGUUAACUUCUUUCAUUAGGAAAAAAAUCAAUUCAAGUUGACUUUGUUUCACGUGAUCAUGCAUGAUAGUAAUAUCAAACACCUCAGCAUAUAUAGCAAAUGUGUUAUAAACUUUUUAUUUCCAUACUGGGUAAAAGCGUUAAAUUUUGUUUCAAAUAAACAUUAUCUGUUAUUUACAAAAUGAGUAAAUGGCUAUUACAUUAAGCUUUUAACCAAAGAUAAUGAUGUACAUUGCAUAAUAUAUGAAAUGAUAAGCUAGCAAAAUAUAUAGUAUUUUCAAGCAAAACAAAUUAUUUAUUUGUGCAAGUUAUAUACAAAUUAAGGUAACCUUCUAAUUAUUUUUAUUUCUAUGACCCAAGACAUCGGCAUUAAGUGUCUUUUUUUUUAAAAACACUGGAACUCAUUAUAUAAUGUUUGAUGAGAAAUUAUGACUAAUCUAGUUUUUUUUUUCUUAAAUAGACAUAAUAAAUAUUUGUUUCUUCCUUUGUUGUUAAUGUCUUUGAAAAUUAAAAAAAAUUAGAAUUUGAUACUUAUGACAUGUGACACCAAAAAUGAGUUGCAGUUUUAGUAACACAUAAAUUACAAGAAAAUAAUAUAUACAAUAUGUACUUUAAUAACAUAUCUAGUCAAUUCAAUUAGUUUCACCGCACAUUCUAAGAUUGGGAUUUUACAAGAACACAAAAUAAUCUAUUUCUUCAAAUUUAUUUUGUGAGGAAUUUUUUUUCCCUUUUAUAUGAUAUAGAGUUCUGAAAAUAAAAAAUUAAUAUCGUUUCUUUAAACAAAAAAAAAUUGAUGGUUUUUUUUCUGAAAAAUAUGAGGUAAGUGAUCUUUUGAUAUUUGUUGAUUGCAUUUUGUAAUCUUUGACACAGUUUUUCCUUUCAGAUAUAUUGGUUCUUAAGACAAAAAAAAAAUCCCUCUUAAUAAUAGGUUUUAGUUCAAAUAUGUAUUUAAAUCCAAAAAAGAAUACAAAAUAUGAACACUGUUUUAAUAAUGAUAUAACUAAUAAAACAUAAUACAUAUAAAUUUUUAAUUAGGUUAAAUGUAUAUGGUGUUCAAUGUUGUUGUGUACAUGUAUCAUUAUUAUAUGUAAUGUUUUGGUUAAGUAUAAGCAUAGUAUUUCCAUGCUUAAAUUAGGAAUUAAAACUGCACUUGUUUAUAACAAAAAUUGAUAUGUUAAGACCAUGAUUAACGGUAGGUUCUUAGUGGUUUUUUAAGUAGUUUUGUGAUUAAAAUUAAAUGGUUAAUAAUGAUAAUAGGUAAGAAACGUCUUUUAACUAAGAGAAAAAUCAUGGGUUAAGAGACAGUGACUUGUCAUUUACUGAUUGGUGGAAGAAGGAAAAACAAAACAGUGCUCUCUCUCUUUUGGCUGUGACGUGCUUUUAACUGUGUUCAAUAAAUAUAUUUUUUUUUACCUUGGUUUAUAUUAAAUAGAGAGGAGGAGAACAUGAAGAAGAAAAAGGUUUAAUUGGCUAAUAAUACACAGAAAUUAAAUUAAAAACUCAACAGAAGAACUCAUUAUUUUAUUUUUAUUUUUUAUAUGAGUUAAUAUUCGUAACCAAAGAAAUUAAAUGGCAACCAACUUGAAUUAAAUGUUUUAUAGUAAUAAAAUUUUAAAAUUGAAAAUAAGAAAAAAUCAUAAUUUCAAUGUAAAAAAGAAAAAUGUAUAGUCAAAGAGUAAUUUGCAGUAAUUAUUAAGUUAUUUAUGCUAUAAUUAUGUCUCAUGUAUGUUUUUUUUUUAAUUUUCAAUAAUCAUGAAGUUUUCUAAAUUUACAAAUUUUAAUUUAAUUUUCUUUUUAAAUAAAAUAUUUAUUUCCUAAGAACCACAAGUUAAGAGCCUACCAUUAAAAAUACAUACAAACUAAAAACAAAAAUACAAUUCUUAACUCUAAAUUUUUUAAUUUUAUUUCUAAAAAAUACUUAAGAGACAAGUUUAAGAGCUUCCUAUUAAUCAUGCUCUUAGAACAAUAUAAAUAAACAUGACUUGCUAGGAUUUCUCAAGACCUUGUCUAGCUUAAUAUAUAUAGAACAUAUUUUGGCGAUGUAGUAACCAAUGAAAUGAUCUCGUCUCGUAUAUAUGGAUUUACUAGUUAUGAGAGUUGGUUAUUAUCACUAAUUAGGUACCCGCGCGCUGCGCGGAAUUUUAAUUUAACAUAAUUAUAACAAUUUAAAAUUUAAAAGAUAAAUAUAUGUAAUUAAACACUAAACUUAUUUUUUAAGCGAUAUACAACAAAUAUAUUGUUGAUGAUAAUAUUUUCUAACAAAUAUAUGAUUUGAUAUAAAUCAUGUGGUAACAAAGAUCACUUGAGCGGGAAGAAAUAAACACUCUCGAUGACCAGCUCAUGAACCUUUACCACUAAAUUUAUUUUUUCUUAUUCAUAUUUCAUGAAGAUAUCCUUUAAAAAAUUUCACAUUCAUUAUCGAUUUUUCUUGACUUGAUUGUAGAUAUCAUUUAUGAUUAAAUGUUGAUGCAGACAUGACAUCAUUCCAUAUAAAAUGUGAAUAUACAGAGUCCCAUGAAAAUUAUUUAGUGUAAUAAUAUAUAUAUAUAUAUAUUACUAUGCAUUAUAAUAUGUUUAACGAGCUUGCUUUAUCUAUCGUAGAAAAUGUAGCGUGCCAUAAGAGAAUUCUCGACCAAGAAAUGAAUGCCACUAUCUUAUCUUACUUUUCAUAUCCACAUGGCCAAACAGUUAAGCCCGAAUUUGAACAUAAUAAGCUGUUUGAUAAUAAUGUAUGUCAUGAAUUUUUCUAAAAACUCAUUCAUUUCACACAAUGAAAGAAAUGUUGAAUAUUUACUUUAGUCAUAAGCAUUAUCUUUCCAAGGUUUAGUAAUUUAUUUUCAAUAACUAUUUAACUACCUAUUCUUUAUAGUCUUCUUCUACGGUGCACUCAUUGCCUCUCGACAUCUAUUUUAUUUUCACCUUCUACUUUAGUCAUACGAUAGCUAUUUUCUCGUGAAUAACUAUAUCUCAAUCCUCCAUUUUUGGGAUUAAAACCAUUGAUUAAGUUAAUGAAAUACAACUUUUAAAUUUAUUGCAUUAUGAAGUGUACUUUCACUUGAGAUAAGUGGAUUUUCUCUAAUGAGAUAUGCUAACCAAAUUACAUAUCAUUACGAUAAAUCCAAAUCUCUAUAUUAGUAAAAGAGAAGUAAAAAGUAGAAUACGGGUCGGGUCAAAAUUAAAAAAUUAAUCCGAUUUUAACAAUUGGAUACUUCAAACUUGGAUAUUAAUUUGGGUUUGGAUACAUACAUCGGAUACUUUCCAUAUCUAAUUUUAAGAUUAUAUUAUUUCUAUAACUAAUUAUAUGAUUUCCUAAUAUUUCUCUAACUAAUCAAUUAUUAUUCUUCUUUAAAUUUUAUAUGAUAGUAUUUUUAAUUUAUGAUAUUAUGCUAUAUAAUAAAAAAAUUAAUAAUUUUUUUUUUUGCAUAUGUUGCAAUUUGAAUUUUUCAAAACGGACAUAUAAUACUCAACUACACUUGGUUAAAUAUUUUAGACAAUGAUUUAAAAUCAGUAUAAGUAUGAUCAAUAUUAAAACCAUUGUCACAUGAGCAUAUUUAAAGGUUUUAAAAGUUUCAAAAUAUUAUAAUUAAAAGAUUCAAAUAUAUAAAAAAUUUAGAAUUGAAAUUAUUAAAAAUAUUUUAUUGAAGAUAUAGAUGUAAUUUUGGAGACAUAAUUUUUAUUGAUAAAAUAUAUCAUAUAUCAAACUAUGUAAUUUUUGAUAGUUUGUUACAAUCACAAUUAUAAUGGUAAAGCAAGUUAUGAAUAAUGUUUUUUACAAAAUGAAUUUUGUUACGGGUUGGUCCUUCAAAAAAUAUAUUGUAAGUAUGUAAUUUUUACAUAUAUUUCUACUUCUACUACAAAAUGGUCAAAUUGAAUAAUUUGUCGAUACAUAUUAUUUCGUGCCGUUCAUUUUUCACUGUUUUUUAGUUGUAUCAAAACUCAGUGUAUUAUUAUUUACUCGCUUUUUCGUUUUAUUAUUUUAUUUAAACUUAUUAUACAAAUAUAUGAUUCACCGUAAUCGACUGCAUUGCAAUAAAAUUAAAAUGUAAUAUAUUGUAUUCCGUUAAAAGUUAUAUAUAUGUAAUUAUUUUCCCUGCGCUGUAGCGCGGGUCCGAAUCUAGUUCAUUAAGUAAUUGUAGAAUCUCAGCAGGUUAUAUAUAAAAUUAACUUUUGUAAAUUCAAUAUAUGUUUUUAAUUCUUCAUUUGUACUUUUUGUAAGUGAAAGUUUAUUUUAAACUAAAUUUCACAUUAUACUAUAGAAAAACUUGUUUUUGUUUUUUUCAUCCAAAUGCAAAUGAGGUUAUUUAUUUAUUUAUUUAUUUGCAUUUAAACAUUAUAGUCCUUUCUUCUGUUCAUGACCAAAUUAGCUGAUCUGAUCGGAAAAAAAAUAAUCACCAGCGAAAACCCUAGAAGCUACCCCAUAUUCGAAUUCUCGAUUUCGAUUCAAUGUACCAAUGGAGAAAAUUCGACUUCUUCGAGGAGAAAUACGGUGGCAAGAUACCUGACGAUGUCACCGGAGAUAUUCAAUGUUGUUCCAGUGGCCGCGGCAAAGUCGUCAUCGGCUCUAACGACGGAUCCGUCAGCUUCCUCGAUCGCGGUAUCAAGUUCGAUUCCGGUUUCCAAGCUCACUCUUCCUCCGUCCUCUUCCUUCAACACCUCAAGGUCUCUCGCUCUCUCUGAAUUUUUCUAUUGUUUAUGUUUCUUCUGAUCGAAUCCUAAGACUUAAAGUUUUGAUCGCUGCUGAAUCAAUUCGUUCGUCGAUUUUACGAUUUCACAAUAGAUAUAUCUUCAAUUUGAUUGUGAUUUUGGCUGUUUGUUUUGGAAAUUGAGAUUGUCCUGUUGAGACUGUGUGUUGUUUAUGAUCAAAUUGAGAUUUGGCUGUGUUUUUUUGCUUAUCGUUGCUCUUUUGGGAGUGUUAAUAGCAAAGGAACUUUCUCGUUACUGUUGGAGAAGAUGAACAAAUAUCGCCUCAGCAGUCUGGGAUAUGUCUCAAGGUAUUUGACCUUGAUAAAGUGCAAGAAGAAAGUACUAGUUCUUCGACUCCUGAAUGCUUUGGUAUUCUAAGAAUAUUUACCAAUCAGUUUCCUGAAGCUAAGGUACUAAGAUACUAAUAACUAUCUCUUCGCGAUUGUAAUGCGUUGUCUCCGUUUGGUUUCUUGAUGGAAACUUAUGUGCAAUUUGCAGAUUACUUCUUUUCUUGUCCUGGAGGAAGUUCCACCUAUAUUGCUUAUAGCCAUUGGUUUAGAUAAUGGCUGCAUUUAUUGUGUCAAAGGAGAUAUUGCACGAGAGCGUAUCACCCGGUUUAAGCUUCAAGUGGAUGGACGAUCUCCUAUUACAGGCUUGGGGUUCAGGAUGGAUGGUCAAGCGCUUCUGUUAUUUGCCGUAACACCAGACUCAGUUAACUUGUUCAGUAUGCAGGCGCAGCCACCUAGAUUGCAGACUUUGGAUCAUAUUGGGGGCAGUGUGAAUACUGUUACAAUGAGUGAUCGCUCGGUACGUACUUCUUUAUAUGUGAGUUGUUGAUUUUAGAGUAUGUUCUUCGUAUCUUCUAACCAGUUGAAGUAUGUUGUGCUCUACAGGAACUAAUAGUUGGUCGACCUGAGGCUGUUUAUUUCUAUGAAGUUGAUGGACGUGGUCCUUGCUGGGCUUUUGAAGGAGAGAAAAAAUUCAUGGGCUGGUUCCGUGGCUACCUUUUAUGUGUCCUUACUGACCCGAAAACUGGGACAAAUGUUUUCAAUGUGUACGACCUUAGGAAUCGGCUUAUAGCAUAUAGUCUAGUCGUUGAUAAAGUCUCCAACAUGCUCUGCGAAUGGGGAAACGUAAUACUUAUAACGUCUGACAAAUCAUUAUUGUGCAUUACCGAGAAGGAUAUGGAAAGCAAGUUAGAUAUGCUGUUCAAGAAAAACCUGUACACAGUAGCGAUUAAUCUUGUCCAGAGUCAGCAUGCCGAUGCUGCUGCUACUGCCAAUGUGAUGAGGAAGUAUGGAGAUCAUUUAUAUGGCAAACAGGACUUUGACGAAGCUAUGUCUCAGUACAUAAACACAAUUGGUUACCUUGAACCAUCAUUUGUGAUACAAAAGUUUCUGGAUGCACAGAGGAUCUACAAUCUUACAAAUUACCUGGAAAAGUUGCAUGAGAAGGGUCUAGCAUCAAAAGACCACACUACUCUUUUGCUAAACUGUUACACUAAGUUGAAGGAUGUAGAAAAGCUGAACACAUUCAUUAGAAAAGAAGAUGGCAUCGGCGAACUGAAGUUUGAUGUUGAAACAGCCAUUAGGGUCUGUCGUGCAGCUAAUUACCAUGAGCAUGCGAUGUAUGUUGCAAAAAAGGCAGGAAAACAUGAGUGGUAUUUGAAAAUUUUGCUGGAAGAUCUUGGAAACUACGACGAAGCCCUGCAAUAUGUUUCAAGUCUUGAACCCAGUCAAGCUGGGGUAACAAUAAAAGAGUACGGUAAGAUUCUUAUAGAGCACAAGCCCAAAGAGACUAUUGAUAUACUCAUGCAACUUUGCACUGAGCAAGGGACUUCUAAUGGUGCGUACCUGUCCAUGUUGCCAUCACCUGUAGACUUCAUCAAUGUGUUUGUUCAGCAUCCACAUUCAUUAAUGCAUUUUCUCGAGAGAUAUGCUGAUAUAGUGAAGGAUUCACCUGCUCAAGCAGAAAUCAAUAACACACUCUUGGAGUUAUACUUGUCCAGGGACUUGAAUUUUCCAUCAAUCUCUCUCUCAGAAAAUGCUCUAGAUCCGGACUUAACAGAUCAUACAGUAGCCGCUACGGUGUCUAAAGCUGAUCCUAAAAAUAGGACAAAUGCUGAUUCGAAGGAUGCAGUGGAGAAGGAUUGUAAAGAAAGACAACAGAAGGGACUGGAGUUGCUUAAACUGGCAUGGCCGUCAGACCUAGAGCAACCCCUCUAUGAUGUUGACCUUGCUAUAAUUCUUUGUGAGAUGAAUUCGUUCAAGGAGGGACUUCUGUAUCUGUAUGAAAAGAUGAAACUUUACAAGGAGGUUAUUGCUUGCUACAUGCAGAACCAUGAUCAUGAAGGACUGAUUGCGUGCUGCAAAAGAUUAGGUGAUUCUGGCAAGGGAGGGGAUCCGUCUCUUUGGGCAGAUCUUCUCAAGUAUUUUGGUGAAAUUGGAGAGGACUGCACCAAAGAAGUGAAGGAGGUUCUUACUUAUAUUGAACGGGAUGAUAUUUUACCUCCUAUAAUUGUUCUUCAGACCUUGGCAAAGAAUCCAUGCCUUACCCUCUCUGUUAUCAAAGACUAUAUAGCCCGAAAACUUGAACAAGAAUCAAAGAUAAUUGAAGAGGACCGGCGUGCAGUAGAGAAGUAUCAGGUUGGUGUUUUCAUCAUCAUACGUUUUAAAUUCGUUCAUCCAGUCUGACCCUUCAAGUCAAUUAGAAAACUUGUUCUCGUAAUGCAGACCCUAUUUCUUAUCCAAAAGCCUUUUGUGCACGAAAAUCAUCUCCCGAUGUAAAUUCCUAAUCAGGUUUUUGAACGGUGCAGGAAACGACAAAAAACAUGAGAAAAGAGAUUGAAGACCUUAGGACGAAUGCCAGAAUAUUUCAACUUAGCAAGUGCACCGCUUGCACUUUCACAUUAGAUAUCCCAGCAGUCCAUUUUAUGUGUAUGCACUCAUUUCAUCAACGCUGCCUUGGUGACAAUGAAAAAGAAUGCCCUGAGUGUGCUCCCGAGUACAGAUCUGUGAUAGAAAUGAAGAGAAGUUUGGAGCAGAACUCGAAAGACCAAAAUCUGUUUUUCCAGCAAGUGAAAGGCUCAAAAGACGGGUUUUCUGUGAUUGCAGAGUACUUUGGGAAAGGAAUCAUCAGCAAAACUAGUAAUGCAACAUCUUGAUUCUCUUCAUGUCUGGGGGUAACUACUGAACUUGCAAAUGACUUAUAAGUUAUCCUUUUUUUACUUUGUUGGAAUCAAGUAAAUGAGAACAUCUAAUUACAAAAUAAGAUAAUAUGGGAGAUAUAUAAUCUCAUUUAUUGAUUUUGUCUGUUCAGGUAAGGCGUCUGAAACUCUCGAAGUGAGUCUGGCAUGAACUAUGUGGCAUCUGUGUAUCUGUGAUUGUGAGGUAUCCUUUAAAUCUACUUUAUCGGCUUAGAUAUUGUGUAAGAGUGAGUUGCUAGUGAAGUUGGACAGGCUCAAUUCUUCUUAUUUACAUUUCUGAGAAUCUGUGCCAUGAUGCUGGAGGAGAUGCAUAUAAAAUGUUUUUGUGUGUAUGUAUCAUUUUUUGUUUUGUAUUUUUACUUUUGGAACUCCAUAAUUUCAAAGGGAAUGUUUAAAGUAAAUAUGCUGUUGUGUUUGCUUUGCAGUCGUUGUGUUAAACGAUCUGCUCAUUUGAGCAGUUUUUAAAUACUUGCUCAAAUUCUGACUUCGGAUCAUUAUGUGACACUCAAAAACUUAAAUUAUCUUUCAUGCGUCCAAUUUUUCUGCUUCUGAGAAAUACUGGACAAAUCUUAAGACUUGGCUGUCGGAGUUAAUAUUUGGCGUUCGCGUUGCUCCCAUGAUUGACCACAGGAAUCCCCACUCUGAUUUCACGGUUCGUUUAUCUCCUUUGACUCUGUUCUAGCUGUGAUUAGGGUUUCCAGCGGUUUAUCUUGCCCUUGAGAUCUUUAUUGGAAGUUAAGAGUUUUAAGUGUUUAACCAUGGCUGGAACAGAUGAGUUUGUUGGGGUUUCAAAGGCAGGUAACGCCAGUUUCCGGUUUUUUUCUUGCUUCCCGUAGCUAUCCAAGAUCAGGAGUGCCUUUAAUUGAAAUAGCAGCAUGAUGUUGAGAAGCCUUGGUUUCUGGAUGUGUAUGGCUUUGUCUGAUCUCAGGUUUAGGACAGAUAAAUUAACUACGUCAUGAUUUAUAAUUGGUUCGUUUUGGAAUGCUCAAUCUUAAAUGUUCUGUUAUGGACCUUCUCCUUCUGUUCUGAAGGAUACUUCUUCUUUGUAUAUAUGGAACCGAGAGUGGAAACUCUUUGCGGAGAUUUUAGAAGUAAGGAUGAAGGAGUCUCUUCCCGUGUGGAUAGAUAAGCAGAAAAAGAGAGUUGCUGUUCUUAGUUUAGCGUUUUGCACAUGUACCUUCCACUUGGGUCAUCAGAUCAAUCUUUCGGGUUCACUUCGAUUCGGGUAACAUCCUCCGGAAAGUCGAAGAAGUAAAGUUCCAUGCUUCUCGUGAUCCGUUAAAAAGCUUAUAAGUACUAAGCAUACAUAACGGUUGUCUGAAUUUAGAACAAAGUUCUCACUCGAAGCAGAGUUCUCUAACUGAUGCAAUCAAAUCUCAAAAGUAAUCCACGAGGUCACAAACUCAGAUCUAGACGAGACAACCAUUUUACUUGUUUAUAACUGAGACGAUAACAUGUGGCUCAACAAUGACUCACAGGAGUAAAAAUAAAAUGGUCAUUUCUUAUUGUCCGAUGAUAUCAAAACCUGAUACAGAAUUACAGACAGACAACAGCAGGAAGAACUUACGAUGUUUGUCUCCAAAGUACAACGUUGUAAAGAUGACAAUGAUGGUUUUGGAGGAAGAGCAGGGCUUGACUAUAACAAAAGCUUUGUUUACGUGCAAGACUCUGGCAAUAUCCUUAAACCAGGUUUUGUCUUGACUCUUGAUACUUUACUUUGAUUUUACUUUUCGAUGUUAUCAAUGUGAAUGUGAUCAUGAGUGAUUGCUUAAAAAAAUUAUUCUAUCUGUCCUUUAUUUCAUGUUCUUAAAAAAAAAAAAAAGUAAUUAACAAAUCAUAUGAUUAACUAAUUCUUGAUAAAUUUUUUUUUUGGUUUAGUGUUAAAAUGCUAAUUCUUGAUUAUGUUGCAGCUCCCUCUUCACUUUGAGCAACAAUGGCAGCAAUUAUCACCGUUGACUUUCAGAACUGUUUCAUCUUCAUCCUCCUAUGCCUCUUCUCACUCUUUUGCUACUCUUUCUUCUUCAAGAAACCAAAGGACUCACGAGGCUUCAGUGAACUGCCUCCUAGCCCUCCUUCUCUUCCAAUCAUUGGUCAUCUUCACCUUCUCCUCUCUUCUAUAACCCACAAGUCUCUUCAGAAACUCUCUUCCAAGUAUGGACCUCUCCUCCAUCUACGGAUCUUUAAUGUCCCCAUCAUCCUCGUCUCUUCAGCCUCAGUGGCUUACGAGAUCUUCAGGUCUCAUGACGUGAACGUCUCCUCUCGUGGUGGUGCUGCGAUCGAUGAGUCCCUCGUGUUUGGAUAUUCUGGUAUCAUCAACGCUCCUUAUGGAGAUUACUGGAAGUUCAUGAAGAAGCUUAUAGCCACUAAGCUGCUCCGACCACAGUCGCUUGAGAGGUCAAAAGGUAUUCGUGGUGAAGAGCUAAUGAGAUUUUACAACAGCAUUCUCGAUAAGGCGAAGAUGAACGAGAGCGUUGAGAUCAGUAAGGAAGUAAUGAAGCUUGUGAACAACACCUUGUGUAGGAUGAGCAUGGGAAGGAUGUUUUCAGAGGAGAACGGUGAGGCAGAGAAAGUCAGAGGAUUGGUGGAUGAAUCUUAUGCCUUGACCAAGAAGAUGUUUCUGGUAGCUUUAUUGCGUAGACCGCUCAAGAAGUUUCGGAUCCCACUAUUUGUGAAGGAGAUAAUGAGUGUUUCCGACAAAUUCGAUGAGUUGCUAGAGAGAAUUCUUGUGGAACAUAAAGAGAAACUCCAAGAGGGGUAUCAAGGUACUGAUAUGAUGGAUGUGUUAUUGGCAGCUUAUGGAGAUGAAAACGCAGAGUAUAAGAUCACUAGGAAUCAUAUCAAGUCGUUUUUCGUGGUAAAUGUUCCCUCGUUAUAUCAAUUUCAUUUGAGGAUCCAAACGAAAUUUACUUAGAAAUGUUUUGUAUCUUCUCACUGCAGGAGCUUUUCGUUGGAGGCACUGAUACCUCAGUGCAAACAACACAAUGGACAAUGGCAGAGAUCAUGAACAACCCUAACAUUCUUGAGAGAGUAAGGGAAGAAAUUGAUUCCAUUGUAGGGAAAAAAAGAUUGAUUCAAGAAACUGAUCUACCGAACCUCCCUUAUUUGCAAGCAGUAGUCAAAGAAGGGCUAAGACUGCAUCCACCAGGUCCUCUCUUGGUAAGGACGUUCCAAGAAAGAUGUGAGAUCAAAGGCUUCUACAUACCAGAGAAGACAACACUCAUUAUUAAUGCUUAUGCUGUAAUGAGAGAUCCUGAUUCUUGGGAAGAUCCUGACGAGUUUAAGCCAGAGAGGUUUCUAAGUUCCUCAAGCGCGCAAGAAGGCGAGAAAGAGCAAGCUUUUAAGUACCUUCCUUUUGGCGGCGGAAGGAGAGGAUGUCCCGGAGGUAAUCUAGCUUCUAUAUUUGUAGGAACCGCAAUCGCAGUCAUGGUGCAAUGCUUUGACUGGAAAAUCAAAGGAGAUAAGGUUAACAUGGAAGAGACAAUUGAAGGAAUGAACCUAAGUAUGGUUCAACCUCUUAACUGCUCGCCAGUUCCUCGAACCCUAUCAUUUUCUUGAAUUUACUUUUGAAGAUUUGCAGUUCCUGACACUACUCAGGUCCAUUACAUUUUCAGUCUUUUAUGGUUGUUGUAUUUGAAAUUUAAAUAUUCAUAUGCAAGAAAGCUGAGGCCAGCAAUAUAUAUUAGCUUAUCAAAGUACUUUGAUUUAAAACCUUGGUAAUUUUAAGAAAUUUUAUGUCCCUUAACUUAGGCAUCACCACAUUUACGGUUUAUUAACCACCGGUUAACGGUUAUAACUUUCUUUAACCAUAACAUUAACCAUUAUAUAUAUGGGUAAGGCGGUUAUAGUUAUAUACGAUUACGAUUAGUUACUGUUACGUUUAAAUAUGGUUACAAUUAUUUGAUGAUUAUAAUGUUGUUAAUAUCAUGGAUGAAAUUUUAUGUUUUCUUACUUUUAUUAUAAAAAGUUAAAUGAUGAUAUAUUCAAAUAAUAUUUAUUUUAAAAUAUGAAAUAUAUUUAGUUAUAGAGAUCAACUAUUUUAUAGUAAAUUAGUUAAUCAAUGAGUUUUAUUUAAUCAAACAAAAUUACACAUUAUUAAAUUAAUGGUCAUAAAUCUACAAAUAAUUAACUUAUUUAUUUUUUUUGAUUAACGAGAACGAGUAAGAAAGUGAAUUUGAUUUAUUAGCUGACACAAUAAUCUAUUUAAAACACUAUUUCAAUGAAUAUUUUUAUUUUAAAAAUUUAACCGUACGAUUAUAUAUGCGGUUAAACGGUUUUGAUACGGUUAAUAAUAAUUACGGUUACAAUUUGGUGACGGUUACAGUUACGGUUAGGUUUUGGUCAUGCCUACCUCGGCUCUGUUUCUUCAUCCAUUACAUCAACUCGGGUCGGUUCGAACCAAAAGGCCAAAGCAUACUUUUAUUUCUUUACACCACUGCGUCAAUAUAUAACUAAAGCGUAAAAAGACGUUUGUAAAACAGCGGGAGAAGUACUUUGAGAGGAAGAAGAUGGCGAAGAAGAGAGACAGUUUCAAGCUUAUCAAAAUCAAAGAAGCCUUUAAUCUCAUCAACCAACACGUUACUCUUAUUGGUGUUGUUCUUGAAUCAAGAGAACCCAAACAAUGCCGCAACAAUGGUAUCUCCAAAUCCAAAUUUUCUCCCUUUUAUUGUUUUCGUUUCUUCGUCAAUCAGAUAAAUUGAGAAUUUUUCUGUGAAUUUUAUUUAUCUGGGUGAUGAUUGAAUUGGGUUUGUUUUGUGAAAACCCUAACAAUUUACCCAAAAGGUGUAAACUUUAUCGAUUCUUGAGUGUGAAUAAUUAAAAAAAACUUGGUUUUUUCAAUCGAAAUGUGAAUACUUUUUGCUGAUUUUAGUGUGAGAAGAUUUAAAACUUGAUUUUGCAAUUGAAAUGUGAAUACUUUUUGCUGAAAGUUUGAAUUUUUUGAGUGUGAUUAGAUUAAAAACUUGAUUUUGCAAUCGAAAUGUGAAUAGUUUUUGCUGAAAGUUUGGAUUUUUUUUGUGACAUUUUUAGAUUGGAUUUGUACGCUCCGGGUACUUGAUGAUACAUGCCCAAGUCCUGGACUUACUGUAAAUGUAUUUAGUAAAACAGCUGAAGAGCUUCCUCAAAUCAAGAACCAUGACGACAUGGUUCUGUUUACACGCAUCAAGGUACAUGACUCUGGUCCUGAAACACUCAUUGUCUUACCUUUCUUGUGUGUUUUGAUUUUUUGGAGGUGCAUAGGUGUAUAUGGUAAAGUUUUGAUUUUUUUUGUUUUUGUAGAUGCAAACUUUUGAUAGUGGAAGAAGAGUAAACGCUGCUUGUGAUAAACGGGUUGCUUCGUUUGCGCUGUUCGAAGGAAGUACUGGCAAGGAUCUUGUAUGUUACCAAUGCAGUUCAAAUUUUUAUGAAGAUGUAGCACUAUACAAGAGUUCCAUGGAUGAUCUACGCAAAGUGUUUCCCAAUUGUAGUGAAGCUGAUAAUGGUAACAAUGUGAGCUUGUAUUGUGCUCUCAAGUUUUCGUAUUGUUUCAAGAUUUAUACUUAGUAAUAGAGUCUGCAGCGGUAUAAAGAUGCGCAAGAAGUCUUUCGAUAGGUUAAGAUGGAAACUGGAUGAAUAACUUGGAACGAUUCUCAUGAGCUUUCGUUUUCUCUUUUUGUUCUUAGCUUUGCAGAGUUCAAUCUAUAGAAAAGCACCUCGCCCUCAAGAAAAUUUAACAUUCUUGAGAGAGAUCAAGAAAGGAAAAUGCUUUGAUUUGCUGUGCAGGGUAAUAUGACUUGACUCUUACCUUUGCUAUAUACUGACCAGCAAUAUGAGAAACCUGUGUGGUGGUUGAUUAUUGUAAAUCCUGUUGGCUCAUAUUGUAAACCAUUUAUCUUUUGAUGAUUGAUCUUACCCUGUUUUCUGUUGUUUAUUGUAAUGGAGAUCCUCCAUGCCGAUGAAGAAAUGAGCACCGUUUUUGUUUGGGAUGGAACUGAUGCACCGCCAGCAUCUAUUCUGGCAAAGUGAGUAUUUAAAUGGCAAGGAAAAUAAGUUUGAUAUCCUCAGAUUAUCGAUUUUGAGUUGUUUGGUACAAUAGUUUCCAAUAUAGAGCAGUUGAGAUUAGAUGUUAGUAUUGCACCUCUUGAAAAUUUUGAUCUAAACUUUUCCAGCUUUUAAUUAGUUGAUUUUUGCUUUCCAUAUUCUACGUUUACUUUUUUCUUAUUUACAUUGUUUGCUAUUGACAGGGGAAUUGAAGAAGACAAGGCAUUUAGCAGUCUCUCAGUUAAUACUUUUCUGUCAAGAGAUACAUUGCUCAGCUUUCCAACAGUUGGAACGAUCUUGAGAGUUUCUCUAAGCAAUCAUCUAUUUCAUCAGGUUAAACCUGGUGAUUGGGUGAAACUUUACCAUUUACUCUGUGAAGUUGAUAAGGGAUCUUGGGUAGGUAAAGUUACCAACUCUACAAAAGUUCAUCUUGCUCAAGAUGAUCGUUUAGUUGAAAAGAUCAUGAGGUUAGUACUUCUCGAUGUUUCUUUCGGUAAUCACUUCUGACCUUUUUGCUUACCACAAGAAUCUCUUCCACAUUUGGAUUUUUAUUUAUGUUCCCAAAACUAGGAUAUAUGAUAAGAGAAUAUCAUCAAAGCUGGGACACAUUCCAUUUUGGAGUUUUCCGUCGCCUCCUGGACUAACAGGUUGCAAUACUCCCAUCAUUCUUUUAAAGAAAACUUUUCAGACAGAUUUCAUUACCACUCUCGAUAUCUUGCAGUGACCGAUGACCAAUGUGCACCAUUUCUUUCACUGAUGGACAUCAUAACAUUCCCCAAGGUGAAUCUUUUUCUGUAUUCCUUGAACAUAUUAAGAAUACUUUUAUGUGAUCGCCUAUGCUGUUAUUAAAGGUUACAUGCAAGUACAGAUGCAUUGUUCGGGUUGUAGCCGUGUACCCUUGGCAAGUAGAGGAUUACUGUUCAGAUAAGGAUCGCCGGCACCGAGUUUUGUUGACACUGGAGGAUCCAACAGCGACUUUAGAUGCUUUCUUAUGCGAUAAAGAAUCAGUAAAUAUCACAUUUGGUUUAUGCAUCUAAACUGUAAACAGAUAUUGUCUCUGUUACCAUAAUCUACUGUUAUAUAUAUUGGCAGGAGUACUUUUGGGGUUUAGGAUUUCAGCACACUAGGAUAUUGAGAAAGAAGCGGAAUCGGUUGCUCGGAAUAAGCGAAAACUCCAACUUUGUUACUCCAAGAAAUCCACCAUGGAUCGAGUGUUGUAUUUUCUCUUACUAUACUAAUAAAGCUGACCCCUGGAACACCAGAUUAUAUAGAAUAUUUGGCACUCGCCUUCGUGGCUAAGCUUUGUUAAGACUAAAUAGUUUAGUAUUAGGAGUUUAGGACUUAGAUCAUGUUACGAAUGUUGGUUGUAGCUUAACAAGUAUAUGUUACAUUCUGUUUCAUUAUUUCUAUAAACCAUAACUAUAGAGACCAGAGGCUUAAAGGUGAUGAUCGCGGAGCUAUACAUAUAUAGUUGAAGUGUGUUUCACUAUAGACCAGAAGCUUAAAGGUAAGAAAUGGAAAGAUAAUUGCUACAUUUAUAACUCUACUUGUAAAAAUUCUGUCAUCACUAAGGUCAACAAAGAAACGAAUACAGAAUGGUAAAAAAAGAAAAAGAGAAGGAGCAAACAAAAGUCAAACUAUGCUUUGCUUACUCUUGAACAUUGCCUAAUACAACAGCUUCAGUGACCAAACAGAAUGGUUUUGUGUGUUUAACAUUCCUUCAUAAAACUCCACAAUCUUGUCCAUUCUUGGCUGAUACAACAACAACAACAACUCUUACACUACACUUGGUCUCAAUCUGAAACCCUCUUUCUCUUAUAGGGUCACUGAAAUUAAUUGGUUCCUGCUCCGAUGUGAAGCAGCUGCUCGGGGAUUGCAGCUGGAUCUAAGUCCCAACAGUUUCCGGGAAAGCCGUUGGUUGCAUCUUUAAUAAACCAGGAUGGCACUUGAUGUGAGAAUCGCAACAUCUCGCACCUAGGUAUCCACUUCUUACUAUCAUCUUCCCUGGUGCUCUUGUGAUAUACAGUUUUGUAGCCCUCAAGUUUAACAAGAGGGGCAAUGCACACACCAUACUGUUCAGUAUAUUCAUCUAGGAUUUCGACCAUUUCAUACUGGUGCCUCACUUCGUCCGGGGUUGAUCCGUCCCAGUUUAGUGACCAGUUCUUGUAGACAGCCCAAAUCUCCCCAGUUGUGGGGAAGAUUCGAACACAACCACCUCUCCCUGUCUUCUUGCCUUUCAAAAGAUGCGAAAAGAUGUUUAUGUGGUCAACUAUGUCAGAGUUUCGUAUCCUGAAAUGCCCACAUGACUUUGUAAACCCGUAUUGUACCCAUUUCAUUGACCCAAACUCGAUGUCGGUUUUGGAGCUUAAGUAGGCAAUGUCAAUCUUAAAGGGUUGAACGGAGAGUACUUCCCUAACGACACAAUAUAGGCGUGGCAUACCAUCAUCUUCAUCAUAAAUUGCCCAUAUUUGCCUUGGCUCAAAGGAUUCCUCCGAUCUGUUUUUAUCAAAAUCGUGGAAGUCAGAGUCUGGAACAGUUAUUGGCCCGUUAUUUUUGCGCCCCGUAACAUCUCCCAACUUACAGGAGAUAACAGCUUUUUCAUCAAGGGGUGUCGCAACCUCUGCAGCCGCUGCUGCCUCUGAAGCUAAUCUCAUGGUCUCCAAUCUUUGCUUAAUGUCUGAUUUGGCCUUUUGAAGUAAGGGCUUCCGUGUAUCCAUUACUGAUGCAGCAGACCACCGUCUGGAUGAGCCACUACUUUGGAGAUGAAGUUUGUAAUCUUGAUCCAUUUUGCCAUCCGCAUUCGUUGUCUUUGAUACUGAGACAGAUUUCAGAGGGUUCUCAACAAAUCCAUUGGCAGCAGCUUCCAGAAAAACUUUGCUCUUCUUCCCAGGUCUGCCAAUCUUAUUUGCAGUCCCGUGAGCAGACAUGCUUGGCGGAUUAGGAUAUAUCAAACCCCCUGAUGAGCUUUUCAGCGAACAUGUCCCAUUAGAACCAUCUUUGACUUUUUUUAUCCCCGUGCUGACUACUGAGCUGCUGUGCUUAUAAGGAUACCCAUUGGACACUGAGGACACACGCUUCAAAUCCAGAUUCCCUGGGGAAGUAGUUCCAGCGUAUGAGGUCCAUUCAUAUGAACCAUUGGUACCAUAAUCAUAUCCAUGUCCUUGUCCAGGAUAGUGGCCUAAGAAAUAUGUUGAGUUGGUGGGCAUGCGUGACAUAGCAUCAUAACCAUGUGUGCCAUAGCCAUUACUUGGAGGAGCAUGAGAUGAAGGGGCAUGAGAUGAAGGGGCAUGAGAAGGAGGUGCAUGAGAUGGAGGCGUGUAAUGAAAUGGCGCACUAACAGGAGCUGGACCAGUUUCUACAGCAAUAAAUGCUCCACGACAGUUCUUACAUGAAAGCCUCUUAUUCACAUACUUCCUCAGGUACUCAUACUGAACUUUGCAAGAGGUGCAUACAGUCCAGAAAGUAUCAAGCCUUUCUGAAGAUGGUGGACACCGAUCAAAUACUGUAGUCCCAGUCCCAGGCAUGUACUCUGUGCUGUGCUUCUGAACCACUGUGGAGUCGAUAUGCUUCUUUCUUUUGUAAUAAAAAGUGCUUUUAUUAAACUCAUUGGACAAGAAACUCCAGGCUUCAGAUAUGAGAUGAAACGCACCAUCAGCCCCAAUGCAUUUGUUCUUGUCAGGAUGAAGCAAUACAGCCAUCUUCUUGUACUGUUUCUUCACUUCUCUUUUCCCAGCCGACGGUUUCAGUCCAAGUACCCCAUAAUAAUCAAUUUGACCACCACUCCUACACUGAGACGCUAAAUAAACUUCAAACGUCGCAAUCAUCUGAGAUAAACCUUCCAAAUCAGGAAACAAAGACCUAGCUUUCAACGCAUAACUCCUAGCGCUUGUGAAAUCUUUCUCCACAAAUCUCUUCUCAGCGAUCUGUUUCACUCUCAGAGCUUCCUCUCUGUAAGCUUCCAUGUAGAAAAAACCAAGCCAAUAUACAAAAAACCACCAGCUCUGCAAAAGGAAACUAACACCGUUCUCGCAAGAUCAUCAUCAUUAUCUGCAAAGCAUUCACAAGAAUUAACAUUAAUUCUUUUGAGUCACUACAAUAUAAAACCAAUACCUAACCAACCCACACAUACAACAAUCUCAAACUAGCUUUUACUCAAAACCAAAAAACAAACCAAACCACACUUACUCACAUACCACAAUCAUCCUCAGAUUCAAGAUCUAGAAUCUCAAAGUUCCGUUUUUCUUAACAAAAUUGCUAACUUUAUGACACUACAACAUACACAAUUAUACAAUUACUAAAUUAGAUUUGUAUAAUUAAACUCAUUGAACUCAUAAAGUAGCUAAAUUUAACCUCCAUUUCAGACAAAUCUUACCAGAAACCAAACAAAACACAAGCGUCAGAUUCAAGCUACAAACAUCUUCAACAAAUCACACUAUAAACCCUACUCAAAAAGGAUUCACCUUUACAUACCCAACUCAGGAUUUGCUACAAACCCACAACAACAACAACAAAAACCUAAAAUUUCAAGAAAUGAAACAAACAGAGAAUAGAGCUAAGCGAUCUUACUGAUAAAUUGGGGAAAAAUUUACAAAAACAGAUCUCUCUUCAAGUUCUUGCUCCACUACUUUGAACAGAUCAAAUCCAAAAGUAACCCAAAAAAAACGAAUCUUGAGCAAGAUUUGGAAUCAAGAACAGCUUCAAUGACUACAGUAACUUAGGGUUUAUGGGUUUCAGUGAAAGUUAAUUUCAGGGUAAUCGGCGAAUUCAACCAUCGCCGGAGAAAAAAAAAGCUCGAGAUUUUCGCCGUCGAUCAGCGAUCGAGAAAAUUUUCGGAAAAAUGAAAGAUAAAAUAAAAAUUGGGUUUUUUUUUUUUUGGUAUUAAGUAAAAUAUAUUUCAGUGAAAGUAAACGGUGCUAAUUUGUUAAUAGUGUUCUCUGAUCUAUGCUAUCGUGCACCGUAAUGAGAAGUGCGCAUUUUUAUUUUAUUUUUUCUCUUUAAUAAAAAAUACAAAUUAUUAAAAAUGUUUUAAUUUGAUAAUUUAAAAUUAUUAUUUUUAAAUGUAUGAUGCAAGUUGCAUUUAUCCCUUUUGUUAUCUUUAAAUUUUCUUGAAAGUUUUAAAACAACCACAGCCAGUUAUUUUGACUUGGAUCUGAAUUUGAGUCUAAAUUUUAUGAAUAAUAUAAUUAACUUUAAUGAAAGAAUCAACUUUAAUAAGUGAUAAAACAACACAUAAAUAUAGAAAAUUAAUGUUCAAACCAUCCAGCUAUUGCAAAGUCAUGAAGAUUAAUUGUAGAAUUUUCACACCUGUUAAGAAAAAAAUUAUUAUUUUUUAUAACCUUUUUAUUUUUUAAUGAUUAUACAUUCAUCAUUAUUCUACGGUUUCCAAUAAUAUAAUUUGUUUAAUCAAGUGGUAUUAUUUAAGUCAUUGUUUGAUUGUAAUAUUUAAUGAUUUAAAAGCCAUUUUAAUUCCUUCAAUUUUUAUAUACUAAUAAUAUCCUUAAACUCCUCUUAAUACAUUAGCACAAAUAUCUAUGUUUUUCUCAUAAAAUAUAUUAAUAACGAUUUGUUUUUUUUUUUAAUUUGCUGUCAACAAAAAAAAAAACAAAAAACAUGUUAAAAUUAAUAUACAGAAAUAAGAAACUUACCAAAGAUAAGGAUUAAAACGAUGAGAACAUUACCGAAGUAAACCGGUGUCGACUAAGAUAAGGAUCAAAACGAUGAGAAUAUCAUACAUGAGAAUCCGUCAUGUCGUGAAUGACGUGAAGCUCCUUCUUGAUGUGAAUCAAGCACUCGAUUACCUGAACUUCCAACCUAUACUAGGAAGCUUGGCUGUCUUUCAACCUGACUUUCGCGAUGUUCGACUCGGCAUUUAUCGUGGGCCUCAAUCAGUUAUAUCCUCUUUCAGUGCAUGGCAUUCAGUUUCAAUACAGUCUAUUAAAAUUGUAAAUGGAGAGACAAUUGCGUUUGUAAAGAUCAGUCAUGGUCACCUAAGUGGAGAUGCCGGUUAUAUCAAAGUAUCCAUGGACGUAAUGUUGUUGGGGUUGGAGACACAAGAAGAAAACCCCCAUUUCCAGUCCCUAGGAGAUUGUUUAGGUGUUUUACUUAUGCAGAGGUUCGAAAAGAAUAUCAGAAAAAGUUGUUGAAUGGUAUGUUGAUGGUAAAAAGAAUUCUAACCAAGUCACUCUAUCGAAAAAGACAACAUCCUUAAUUCUUGAAGGGAUUUUCAAUAACACAUAUGGAAAAUGUUUAAAGUCAGUUUUCUUAUAAGCUCUUGAUUGAGACCUAUCAUUUUAAAAUCUCUAAAACUUUUGAAAUCCACAAACUCAUUUUAAAUUCAACCUCCCAAUAAUCCCUCCUUAGGAUUAGAUUACUAUUUACUUAUUUCAUCUGUCGAUUUCAGAAUGCAUGUUAAGCAGUUGUUACAAACUACAACUCUAUAUAAGAGAAAUAUUUGUUUUUACAAUGUUGAACAACUUUUUUUAAAGACACCUUUUGAUGCAACACUGCAAUUAGAAAUUUAAACAUAUGCAUUGAAAGCAUAUAAACAAAUAUGAGUCAUAAUCAAGUGAAAAUGCCCAAUUUGUAUGUGUAAAUGGGUCUCGAGAUUGAUUUAUAUAUAAGAUGAAAUCCAAUUAUUGUAAAGUAAGAAGUGAGUUUAACGAAAAUUCACGCCAUUUACAAAGUGUAUAAACUAUUCUUCUUCAUUGUGUUCUCUAAUAAGUCAAGCUAUGGCUAAAUCUACUUUCAUAAACUACAUUAUGAAUUUCUCAUUUUAACAAAAUUAAUUAUAUAUAAGUCAUAAAUAACUUUUACGCAAAUCUCAAAAGAUUUAUUUGUGUAGCAUUUUGAUAUAUAUUACAUUGUUUCGAAUGAGUAGGGACAUAUAAAAUUUGUUGAUUUGAGUCAACAUGUCUUUCUUUAAUAAAUGUUUUGUUUGUUUAUCGAAGGACUCAUUUAAGAUAUGUCGAUUUUGCACAAGAUUUGUGCUAAUUCUUUUGAAAAGUGUGUGUCAAAUAUGGUAAAUAUUUUAUAUUAAAAAACUAGGAUCUAACCUGCGCUACAGCGCGGGAGAAUGUUUUCGAGUCUAGAUUAUUUCUAAUGUAUUUUAUUAGAUUUGUCAUUAUUUUAUUAUUUAUAGUAAACAUGGUGUUAAAUUUUAUAUCUAUAAGUGGUGUAAUUUAUCGCCAAAAUUGUGUAAGAAAAAAGGAAAUACAAUAUUCUUUAACAUCAUGACUAAUAGAAAUAAUGAGUAAAAUGUGAGAGAUUAUAAUUAUUUGAAUGUAAUUGAUAGAUGUAUUUGUAUGUAAUUGUGGUACAUACAAAUUUCCAAACGGGUACUUUUAAAUUAUACUAUUACCUUUGUAUAGAUUUUUUUUUUAAUUUGGUGGAACAUAUUUCAAAAUUUUCCAGUAAUCGUGUAAUUUGAUAAUUUUAAGAAAUUGUUUAUGCUAUAAUUUGUUAAACUUUUAAUUUUGAUUUUCCAAUGGCUAUGAUAAUGUAGUGUUUUUUGGAUUGGGGCUCAAUUUGAAAUGAUUUUAAUAUAAUGUUUUUGGGCUAUAAUGUUUGCAUAUACAUAACUCUAAAUGCGUCUUCAUGUAAGAGCAACAAAAAGAAUUAUAUGUUAAUGGUGACUCAAUUUCUCUUAUAGUCCACCAAGUGUAUGUUGUACAUGUCUCUCCCCUCCAAAUUUAAAGAGGCAUAACAUAUGUUGUUACUUGUUAUCAUGGAAAAUGUUUCUCCCAAACGUAAUCAGCUUUUAUGACUCAGUAAGCUCUCCUUUAAUGAAUCAAGUAGUUUAUCUUCUGGAUGCAUUACUGUCUCUCCUUCAACCAAGCCUCUCCGUACCGUCCCUCCUUCAACCAAGCCUCUCCAGAGGCCACUCUCGGCAACGACCCUCUUCCCCAUCCUUCGUUAGGUAUGGGCCUUUUCUCACUUCGAAACUGCCCACCACGUGUUUGUUAAAAUGUGACUUCAUCUUUGGCUCUGUUAAACAGAGAGUGGUGGGGCGGCCUCUACUUCCAGAAAUGCCAAACAAACUAAACUUACUAAUCUUGCUCCACUUACUUCCAACACUGCGAAAACGCUACUCGCCUUUGCUCGAAUCUUUACCAAAACGUCUACAGUGCUCGCCACUAUCUUUACACACCCUUUCUAGAACUCUUCAACGUCUUUCCCGGUGAUUUCAAUGCCGCCAUUGACGAAUCCUGUAAUUUGGCGUUUGACGUUUUUCUUAAGCUCGACACGUUUGAAAACCCUUUCUCAUCUCCUGAAUCUUACGGCUUUCAAGAGACCCAAUUAUGCUUCUUCCAGCUGAAGCAUAAGCUAGACACCCGUCUCCGCAAGUCUAAGUCACAGUUCGCCUCCUCCACCAUACCACAGCUGGUUCUGCCUUAUGUCUUGUUGUCGUUGCUGCUUCUGCGGCUGUUGUCGGCUAUAAAUCGGUAAAAGAAGAAGAGGCAAAUAAGAUUUGGUUGUAGGUAUGUUGAAUAGAUGACGACUAAGCUUUAUAUAGCAAAACGUUAAGUGGCUUAGAUUAGGGCUGUUUGUUAGGGAAAUAUUCUAAGAGAGAUUUGCGUGAUUGAGAGGGUAAUAUCUUCAAUUAUUCUCUGCGACUAAUAUACUUAAAUGUAUUACCAAAAAGAAUAAUAAAAGAAUCAUAGGCUGUUAUUUCUAAUAUGCUUAAUAAAAGCACAAAUUUUGUUACCAUGUUUAGAUAUCACAAGAAAACCGAUUAGAAGUAUUAUCAGAUCGGAUUCAUAACCCAUUAGCUAACCGACUAUUGAAGAUCCGAUUACAUAAUCUCGGGUUAUUUUUUAAAAAUAAACCGACCCGGAAGCACUUUUGUACUCUUCUUUUACUUAUAUAGAGAUAUAAAAUACAAACCUAUUGGCUUAUUAAUGCAUAUGUCUCAAAAUUUAAUCAUUUGGCAAUGUGUCUAAUGAACUAAUUUUUUUAGCAAAAGACAAGACACAUCCCAAACAAAUACCUUAGAAAGAGAAAUUAUAUAAAAUAUUUAAAACAAAGCAUAUUAUUUUCAUUUAAUCAUUGAUGAUUUUAACAAUUAUAUUUUUUUUUGGUCAACUAAUGUUAUUGAUAUAACUAAAAAGGAUACGUGGUGAAAUACAACUUAAGCCGGCGGAAGAUAAACAUUUCCUCGGUUUCUAAAGCCCAAAAUGGGAAACAAAGCCGGCGGACAAAUAUAAAUCCCGGAAACAUAAAAACCAACAAGUUAUAAAGCAGAAAAACUGAACCCCGAAAAAGGACAAACCCUUAACUAAAGAUAGGACAAUAAGGCUUAACCUUUACAAAGUACAUUAGUCACAAGGAGCAAGAAUACCUCUUCUUCUGAAGCACAUGUGGAAUAGAUUUACCAAAGAUGCACACGGCCAAUCCGACGAUAACAUCAACUACCUCAUAUCACAUUGAGAGCCAAUCUCUCGAAACCAAAAGACUUCAUAACCCGACAAGCAAGACUCGAUUACACUUCCGAAUACGAGGACGACUGCAGCAUCCCAAAACAUCUAGGUUAGAAGCUUUCAAAACGCAAUCAGAUCUCAACCGAUCAAGCAGAGAAAAGCGAACAAUAAUUAUGUAUGAAAGGUAAUAAAUAUAAAUGUAUUCUCAAAGGAUGUUGUUAUUACCCUUGCCUCUUGGUUUUGGCGCCGGUUUAGAAGUGGCAACCGACGUCAUGGCUGCAUCUAUCUUUUCUUUCAUGAAAGCUAUUUUAUCAUCUUUCAACCAAACGCUCGUAUACCACGAUGGUUUGUCCGAAUUCAUUGAUAUCAUAGUGUUUUGUUUCUUUUUCUUCUUGGUCUUAUUUCUUUUUUUUGUGGGGUUUAUAAUUUGUUAUAAUACUAGUUUUGUUGUGUAUUAAUCUACUAGUUUCAAGACAAGAAAGAAAAACUCUAUACACAUGGAUUCCGAAUAUUUUUUUAAAAUAAACGCCUUGUUGAUCAACAUAUAAGCAAAACUCAAAAAUCGCAUGCAGUGUACACAUUCUAAAAUAUUCGAUUCUCUAAUAUUUCUAGAGAAUUUUUGAGAAAUACCCCUUUUGUUAUACCUCUUUUUAAAAAUACCCCCUUUAUCUAUCCAUUUUCAAAAAUACCCCUUUUUAAAUAUAAAAAAUUAUAAAGUUUUAUAUAGUUUAUAACGUACUUCUAUAUAAUAACUACUACUAGGAAAUUCGAUACAAAUAUUUUAAAAUGUUUUAAAUAGUUUAAAUCGUUUUUAUAAUUUUAUAAGGUUUUUAAAGGUUUUUAAAAGGGUUUAUACGGUUUUUAUAAGGUUUUUAUAAGGUUUUAUAAUUUAUUUUUACGCUAUUUAUGAAAGGUAUAUAAAGUUUUAUACACAUAUAAAGGUAAUUUGUGUAUAUAUUUAUAAGCUUACAGACAUAUUUGGAUAAAUUUCAAUAUUUUUAGUGGGUUUUUGAUAAAGUUUGAAAAUAGGGUAUUUUUAAAAAAAAAGUAUAUGAAAAUGUGUAUUUUUGAAAUUCCCCCAUAUUUCUACGCAAACCAAAAAAAUACAUGGAAAAAAUAUUUUCUUAAUAUAUAAAAGAGUGAGUUCUUUUACUUGACAGGGACACAAUAGACAGAACUGAGAAGUGGAUGCUAGACGCAUACCAAGUGUACAUUACAUUGUUUUGAAUAAGUCGACCUAUUUUAGAAAGUUUACAUUACAUCUCACAGUAGAAAGAACUGAGAAGUGGAUGCUAGACGCAUAUAAUAGACCUACUUUGAUAUAUAUUACAUUGUUUUGAAUAAGUAGGGAGAUUUGACGACAAAAAAAAAAAAAAAAAAAGAAGAAUAAGUAGGGAGAUAUUAAAAUUGUUGGUCUGACUUAACAUGUAUUUCUUCAAUAGAUAUUUGUUUUUGUUUAUCGAAAGACCAUUUAAGAUAUGUUAAUUUUGCAGGAUUUGUGCUAAUUCUUUUAAAAAGUGUGUCAAAUAUAGUAAAAAAUAUAUUUUAAAAUAAAUAUAAAAUACAAACCUAUAUGGAUUAUUAAUGUAUAUGUCUCAAAUUCAAUAAUUUAGUACUAUUUCUAAUGAACAACAUUCUUUAGUAAAAGGCAACACACAUCCCAAACAAAUCAGUAACUUUCAUAAUAUAUAAUAUACAUAUCUUAGAAACUAGAAAGAGCAAUUACAUAAUAUAUUGAAACAAAUCAGUAAUUUUCAUUAAGUCAUUAAUGAGUUUAACAAUGAUGAAUGAAAGAUUAUAAAUAUAAGUGCAUUCUCGGUUUUGGCCAGAAAAUCUCUCGUCAUUCAACUAGAUAACUAAUCUUUAACUUUGUAGUAUUUAAAACAAAUAAUUACUAACUAGAUAAAAACUACUCACUAAUAACGAAAAUAAAAUGACUUGGUCAACUUAAAUUCACUUAAAUUCGACAAUUUAUUUAUUUGUCUACUAAAACAGUUCGAUUUUAUUUUUUUCGUACAUAAAGUUGUAGUUUGGUCUUUUAUUACAACAUCCCAAACUUUUGCAUAAAACAGCUAAGCGUUUACCGACAAAACACAAAACAAUAACCGCUUUUAACAAGUUUGAUUACUUACAAAACGGCGUCGUUUUACGUAUUAACAUUAUCAUUCCCUCUCGGUUGCUUCUUCUCAAGAAGACGAUCACGAAGAAAAAUAUUUGCAGAGACAUUGUAGCCCGAGAGAACAUUUUGUUGCUUCAACUUCACUUAAGGUAUCAUCAAUCUCUAAAAUCUCAAUUUCCCUUUAGCGAUUUUUUUCGUUGAAUCGAUUCUAUCUUCAAUCGAUUGUCGGAAAACCAAAGAAGAUCUCUUUAGAUGAUACUUUGACUUUUUUGUUUUCAAAAUUAUUUGUAAGAUUUCAAUUUUUUGUUAUGAGGGUUUGAUAUAUAAAUCCUAAAAUUCAAAUUUUGAUUAAAAAAAUUGAAACUUUUUGGGUUAUUGAAGUUCUGUGGCAUUGCAGUUAGAGAAAAGAAGCUUUCUUGAAGAAGAUCAAUGGCUAAUGAUAGAGAAGAGUUUAACUUAUGUGGACCUUCUCAUCUCACAACUGUUGAUUGGUAUGUUUGUGAGACUCUUUAACUAUUUGUGUUCUUGAUUUGAUCUUAGGAUUCAAGUUUGGUUUUGUUGUCUGAUGGGACAUUGUCUGUAAUAAAUAGAUCUUGUGACCAAUUUGUAUAAUUGUAAUGAUGGUGUGACUUGUUUGUUAAUAGAAGAUUUGGUUAGAUUUAUCAAAUGGGUUCUUGAAAUUUGUGUUUUUUCUUCAGGGGAAAUGAAGAUCAUCAACGUUGUGUAGCAGCUUGUUUAGUACAAGGUAUAUAUAUAGUAGAGCGUGAUCGUCAGCUUAAACGUGAAGGCGCUGAAGCUCUUGCAUCACCUUGGUGGGAGUCCUUUAACUUCAAGUUGAUUCGUCACCUUAAAGAUGAUGCUGAUUUCUCCAUCUUUGGCGGCAUUUACGAGUACAAACCGCAGCAACCAGAUAGUGUUGACGCUGGAGUUCCGCGGUAUGUGAUAGCCUUUAGAGGGACAUUGACUAAAGCGGAUUCGAUAACUCGUGAUAUUGAGUUGGAUAUCCACAUUAUUCGGAACGGGCUUCACAGGACAUCGCGUUUUGAGAUCGCGAUGCAGGCUGUGAAAAGCAUGGCUGAGUCUGUUGGUGCUUCAAGCUUCUGGCUGACAGGACAUUCUCUAGGUGCAGCUAUGGCGCUCCUCGCGGGGAAAACAAUGGCAAAGAGUGGAGUAUAUAUCAAAUCUUUGUUGUUCAACCCUCCAUUUGUGUCUCCCCCAAUCGAGAGGAUAGCAAACGAAAAGGUUAGGCAUGGGAUUAGAUUCGCCGGGAGCCUCAUCACAGCAGGGCUAGCUCUGUCCAGAACCAUCAAACAAGCACAGCAGCCGCAGCCACAACAACAGCAACUGCAAAUACGAAACUUAUCUGAAGAUCCACUAGAGGCACUAUCUUCAUGGCUCCCUAACAUACAUGUAAAUCCAGGGGACCAUCUAUGUUCAGAGUACAUCGGGUUUUUCGAGCACCGGGGGAAAAUGGAACAGAUUGGGUAUGGAGCCGGAAUAGUGGAACGGAUGGCGAUGCAGCAUUCUUUGGGAGGUUUGCUGAUGGAUGCAAUGGGAGUGAGCAAUGCAGUUGAAGUAGAAGAGCCUGUUCAUGUAAUCCCAUCUGCAAAUCUAAUUGUAAACCAAACUAAUUCUGAAGAUUACAAGGAAGCACAUGGGAUACACCAAUGGUGGAGAGAUGACCAAGAUUUGGCUUCUCACAUUUACAUGUACAAAUAACUCUUCAUUCUUUCUUUCUCAUUAUUAAGAAUUUGUUUGUUCGUAUCUUUGUUUGUAAUGGUAAUGGAGACAAUGUAAGAAAAUUAUUCUUAACUAUGUAAUAGUUUUGUUUGUACAUAUUACUAAGACUCUUGCUUAUAUGUAGUCUUGUGGUUAUAGCAUUUGAAUUUUGUGCCAUUGCCUGGUUAAUAUGUAGUUGAAAUGAAGGUAGGACUAGUCUCUUAGCCAAACCUGUGGCAGAGAUUUAUCAAAUGGGUUCCCAUCCACAAAGCCGGUUCACCACAUCCUAUCCACAAAGCUAAUUGUAAAUCAUACAUACAAGGAUGAAGCUCAUGGGAUUCACCAAUGGUUUCCAACAUUUACUUGUACAAAUAGCUCUCUUCUUUUGCAAUCGUUUGGUUCCUACAUUUUCUUUGUUACCAAAACAUUGAUGUGCAAACAAUUGUUGAUCGAAUCCGCUUUUGUUUUGUUUUACCAGAAUGAUCUUUCGUAUCGAAAAAAUAUGUCAAUGCUGACGAAUGAAGAACAUGAUACUUUUGGUUGCAAUAAGUGUGAAAUUUUAGUUUUCCCACAGAGCAAUAGUGAUGCAAUCAGAGUACAUUCAUAGGCCAUAAUCACAAUUCACAACCUUUAAAACACGAUAAUUCUUCGCUCCUACCACCAAGAAACAGCUAAAUGUUGUAUCAGUUAUUCACCUAGUGCUAAUGUGGAUGGCUUAUUGGUAAGCAAAACAUAAAAAGAUGUAGUAGCAGAGGACCUUAUAAUGUAAUGAUAUCAUUCUAUAGUGUUGUUUCUUUUUACAGCCGAAGAAAGAAGAGGACAAAGAAACAUGUUCAAGAUUCAGCCUUAAACAAGAAGAAGAAGCAAAAAGAAAAAUGCUCAACGAAUGGGAACUUUGAUCCAGCCAUUGGCGAAAGCAAUAGCUAAGAUGACGAAUGGUGUUGACAUACCAAAGAUGAUAAUGUAAGGAAGUGGCGUCUUCAUUGGAUUCUCUCCUUCUCUUUCACCAGCACUUUGCCAAUACCUACACAUUUGCAAUACAAAUCUCAUCCUUAACCAUUUCAUCAAUCACCAAUGAUAUGUUCUUUUGACACUACACUAGCACGAGUUCUAGUCAACAACAUGCAUUAUGCGGAUUUAGACUCUAAUAGUGACAAUAUAGUGACACAAACAACAUAGACUACAUUAUUACAUAUCCUUGUCAGUUUUCACAUACCAUUUCCCUAAGUUCUUUCUGUAAUUUCAAGAUUUGUGUGUUUCUACAAUUCUGUGAUAUGAAAAUGAAAAGGUAAUGAUAAACUAACUGUUCUGGUUCUUCCUCUUUGGUUAUGAACUUCUUUUUUUCUUUAGGCUUCACUUCUCCAUCUCCCCCACCUUAAAACAAGAACCAAGGGUUUAACAAAAUUAUCAUCUAAAAACAAACAAAAAAAGUGAAAAUUUCUGAUUCAAAUGAGAUAAGAGCUAUAGUACCUAACUUGGCAUGAAGCUUGAACUGUUGAGCCCCUAAUGGAGAUGGUGGGCAUAGGAACUUAGGCAAAACAAUGAAAGAUGAAUAUGAAGAAGAUGAUGAGGUUGAUGAUGAAUCAUUAGUUUUGUGGCUAAAGGAAGAAGUGAUUUGAGAGGAGGAAAUGUGGAAUUUGGCUGCCAUUUUCCAAACAACACCAAAUCCUCCAAUACGUUUUUGUUUUGUUUUGUUUUAUGUCACACAGAUUUUGUUUUAGUUAGGAGAGAUACAUGUGGCAUUGUUAUUACCACUGGAUGGAUGGAGAAACCUUAUCCUCUUUAUAUAUCUUUUAUUUUUGUUCUGAUGUUUUUUACAUUAGCACUUAAAACAUUUGAACUAAACCAAGUCAAUUUAAUAAAUGAGAGAAUGUGUAAACCAACCCUUAGCAAUUUCUUCCAAGGAAAAAAGAACAAAACAAUUAUAACUAAUUUAAUUAAUAAUACAUUAGUUGAACUAUAAAAAAAUCAACAUUAUAUACUUUGUAAUUUCAUGCAUUGCACUCGUUGUUAAGAGCAUCUCCAAUGGAAGUUUUAAGAUAAUUAUUUAAAAGAAAAAAUAUUAAAAAUAAUAAACAGUUUAAGUUGGUGCUUAUUGACUUAUUGUAGAGCUUUAAAGACGGGUUCUUAAGUUAUUACAUACAGUUGUUACAAUCCAAUUCACUACUAUACUUUUUAAUUAUUUAAAAUUUAAAUUAAAAACUUGAUUUAUUUGUUAAAGGUAAAUUAAUAUGUUUAAGAACUUUUUGCCAGUUUUAGCAUUAGAGCUGGUCUAAAUCUUGUUAGUUCUCCUGAUCCGAUUCAAAUCCCAAAAAUGUUUGAGUUUCGUCCAGCCCAAUUUGUGUACUUAUAUAACUUGUGCUAUAUCAUUAUUUUGUAUGAAUGGCAUUAUAUAAUAUAAAAUAAAUAAUAUAACAAAUAAAUUAUAAAAUAGUUAUAAAAAAUUACAAUAAUUAAUAAUAUAUAUUAUAUAAAUAUUUUAUAUUAAGAAGUAAUUGUUAAAUAAUAUAAGUAAUUAUAUACUUAUAUUAAAUACUUGUACAAGUAUUCUUAUAAAACAAAAUAUAACCCGUGCUAUAGCAGGGGUACUGAUCUAAUUUACAAUUAAGAGUUAACAUAAGUAUUUUGGAAGUUUAAUUUCUAAUUGAAUUGUUGGUACUUUACCUUAACUAUUUAAUAUUCAUAAUCUCUAACCACUUAGGACAUCUCCAACCCACUAUAUUUCAUAGUCACAACUCUAUUUUAGAGUAACAUUUGCUCCCACCCUAUUCUAUAUUGUGCUCUAAAAUAGAGUAAAUUAUAGAGUUACUCAAAAUAUAUAGUAUCUCUAUUUUCUACACUACCUCAUUUUUAGAGUAAGAAAUAGAGUAAUACAUAUGGAUCAAAACAAUGCUCUACUGUAAAGAAAAUGAUAGAGAUAUGCAUUGGAGAUAGUCUUAUAUUGGUCAGAAAGUUGAAAAUUCUGACCAAUUUAAUGACUAUAACCAAUUUCAUUGUGAGAUUUAUUUUAAUAAUUUUUUUUUUCAAAAAAUUUGAUCAAAAUCAAUUUGCAAUAACAAUUUUUGACGGCUUGAUUUUGGUAAAAAAAAAGUAAUCAUAAUUGAUGUUUUGACCAAUUUUACGAAAGUUAUGUAACGUUAUAAUUUAAGAUAUUUAAGCAAUUAUUCUAUAUAUAGUAUGAUUAUUAUAUAUGAUUUAUCAUUAUUAUUGUAUAUAAAAUUUGUGAUAUAAUUAUUUUUAUUUGCCAUCAUGUAAUUUGUUUUAUGAUCCAUAAGUUAUUGUGUUAACAAUUUAUCGUUAUUGCCACAGAUUUAUGAAUAGUUCUUGACAAUGCACUGAAUGGACCCAUUUUUUUAAUUUCAAAACUUACCUUCCAAACUGUUGGUGCUAAAAAAUAACUUUGAAAAAAAUAUGUAUAUUUUAGGCUUUUAAAAUUUAGCCCAAAUCCGACUGGGAUUUACCUAGCAUUUAUAUAUACACACACGUUAGUUUUAUUCAAAGAUUAUAAAACUUUAUAAGAUAACAGAAAAUUAGUGAAAUAUUUCAUUUGUGCAAAGAUCCACUUUAAACCCAAAAGCGAAAAGUAUUGGGUCAAAUUAAACAAAGCUCACUUGUUCAAAUUUUCAAAAAGUCACAUUAAAAAAAAAAAGUCAAUGAGAAAGCUUUAAGGGAAAUUGCCUCAAAAGUAGAACUGUCAAAAUGGGCUGUCAACGUCCAUUUUAACAUGUCCAAUAUUGUCAUUUUUGAUUAUUGACAAAUUACUGACUGUUUCCAUUAACAACAUGACCAUUAACGACUAUUUUUUUAUGGAUCGUCCAUUGGUGUCCAUUGGACAUAAAAACUACAUAUUUUGUAAAAUGAAAAAAAAAAUACAAACACAAAUUUUUAAGCAUAAAAAUUUAAACACAAAUGUCUAACAUGAAUAUCCAAAGAUCAAUUUGGUACAAAAGUCUAACCUAUAAAACACAGCUUCUUAAUACAUCUUGUUUAUAUGUUUUAUAUUACACUCUAUUUCAUGAGGAAAGUUUGAAUUAAACUAAAUCAAUUUAAUAAAUGAUAGAAUGUGUAAACCAUGCAUUUUAAAAAAAAAUAAUGCAAACUAGAUUGAUAAUUGUGCUUUUCCUGUGUGCUAUAAUUUUUUUAUUGUAAUUUGUUUUUUAAUAAGUUAAGUAAAUUAUUACUAUUUUUGUGUUAGAAUAUAACGCAUGUGAAUGGUUAUUAGCUUAAUUAAGUUAAAUAAAGUGCAUAAAUUGAUAAAUUUUCUUUGUUUGUUAUAUUAUAUGUUAUGUUUUCUUUGUUGGCAUUCAUGGUGUCCAGAAGUAUUAUUCUAAAAUCUAAACUAUUUAUUUUUUAUUUAACCAAUCUAUUAUACUUUAAAUGUUUUUGCAUGUUAAUUAUUAUUAGAGUGAUUAGAUUAAAUAGUAUAGGUUAAUUCUUAAUUCAAUGGAAAAAAAAAAUUGUUGGUGUUGUAGGUCUCGAUUAUGCGUUUUAAACACUACAUAAAUUCUAAUAAUAAUUUAUUUUUGUUAAUGUAGCAAUUAUAUUGUACAGUUUGAAAUGGUGUUAUUUUAUAUGUAACAGAGACAUAUAUAUAUACAAACGAAUGAUGCUAUUUGUAUUCUAUUAAAGUGAUAAAAAGUAUCAUGGUAUUACACACAAUGCCCAUUAUUACCGUUAGCAGAAACCAAAGUACAACUCAUCAUAACUCAAAGUACCAAAUCGUGAUUUUAUUAUAAGAUUUGUUAAGUUUUGGAAACAUGAAGUGAUACAACAAAAACAACAUUUUGAAUUCAUCUAGCUGCAACAAGGACGGUCAAAACCACAAUUGGAACAGCUUUUACCAUUACGAUUAUGAUCGUUAAUGUAGCCACAAUUAUAACAGCUUCUACCAACAAGAGAAGCCUCUAACAUCUCCACAGUAAGAUCAGGGAAGCUAUCAGCGAACAACUUGAACUUAUCAAAGCUAGGUAUCCUAAGUUCAUUAGCUUUAAUAUAACUCAAGGCUGCAUCGUUGAGGGCUUUGUCAAAAGGGGUUUGAGCAAGCUCAAGGAAGUCAAGAGCAUUCUCCAUAGCUAGAGAAGAUAUAAGCUCGGAUCUGCAUAGCUCUCGUAGUUGUAGAAUCUUGUAUUUGUCAGCUGCAAGAUAGAGAGCUCGAACGUGUUGCUUCAUUUUGGAAGAAAGCAUGGAACCAUCACUAUAUAUGAACUUAACAAAUAUAGCUCUUUUUGUUUCAUCUCUGGGAGAGUGAUUGUUUCUAUAUUCUUACCAGAAGUCUUGAACUCAUCUGAUUUUAACAUCUUCUUAAGAACCUUUGAUCUUGAUGCCUAUACGAAUAACAAACAUACACAAACGAAAAGUAUAGGAUAGUUUUUAGAAUCUGAUUCUUGAAUUAGAUUAUGAUAUCAAGAAAUAGAUUGUGAAAGAAGUAAGAAGAAACCAGAAUAACUUUGUGGGCAGAGAUAAAUGAACCCUCACUAUCCACUGCCUUGAGCUAUACGUCAACUAGCCAUUUCUCUGCUAAGAUCUUUGCAAGUCCAUCCGAGAAUUGCUCUUUGCUGGUUUGUGAUGUUGCCAUAUCAAUAGUGUGAAGUACGUUUUGACGUUGUAAAUGAUGGUUGAUUAUAUAGAGAGGAAACCAUUACAUGCAAUGGUCAAAGUUAGAGAAGACAUCUAGUUCCAAUUUUCAAGACUUUGGAAAUAGAGAAGACAUAGCAAGUAUAGUUUUUCAAGACUUUGGAAAUAUUAUAGAGAAGACACAACAAAAAUAGUUUUUCAAGACAUUGGAAAUAUAUAGAGAAGACACAACAAAUAUAGCUUCUCGAGACCUUUGGUAAUAUAUAGGCAAAGUAUUCAUAGGCUUUUAGUUUAGAUUGUUGUUAUUGAUAUGGACCUUACUUCAGAGAAUCAUGAGCACAACUUGUGUGAAGUCCUUGAAGCAUGUUUUUAACUUACUCACCCAAUUUAAAAACAACCAUUGUUACAAAUUUAAUAUCACAAAAGUAGUUGUUGUGAUAACAGAAAAUUGCUAAUCCUUAUUCAUCAUGAAUAUUUAUGUGAGAAAGGUCAGAGUGAAUCUUGUAGAUUUGAUUGAAUAUUCUUAUUAAAUUUUCAAUUAUUUGUGAUUUAAUUAAUUUUUUCCUUAAUUAGGGAGAUAUAUGGUCAUAAAUACAUAUAUUAAUUUGCCUAAAAUCUUAGUUCAAGGAAAUAAAUAAAAAGCCAUUGAGCUAACAGAUUCAUUAAUAAAAACAAGUCAUUUAGCUUUGAUAUAUCUCAUUCUUUUUUUCUCAUUUGCUAAAUACCUAUAAUUUUUGUUUGUGUUGAUAAAAAAAAACAUAUCCAUUACAAGAUUAAAGAAAAACUCAUGCUUAUGCAAAUUUCUUCUCAAUUUGUUGAAUCAUGAGAUUUGCUAGUUUAUUUGUGGUUUCUUGUAUUUUCAUUUUCCUUGUUAUAAACCAUGUCAAAGGUAAGAAAUUACUCUCCUUUCAAAUUUAGAUUUUUACUCGCGCAAUAUAAAAUAACCAUUGUUAUAAAUUUCAUGUCGCAAAAGUGUGUUGUGAUAAAAGAAAAUUGCUAAUCUUCAUUCAAACAUUCAUAUUUAUAUCAAAAAAAUUAUUAUGAAAUAUACAAUUUUAACAAAUUUCUUUUUGGUUUAUACAAAAUUAUAGAGGUCAAAGCUGUGCAAUGUGAAAUUAUCGAGUGGUUCGAUGAUAAAUGUGGUGCUGAUGGAAGCAAGACAUGCAUAGAUCACCUUAUCAAAGGGCACAUAUAUGACUUUCCUCGUUGUGAUUGCCUUGACGUGAAGCCAUCAGGAAUUUUGUGUACAUGUUUACAUCGUCUUCCUUGUGUAGAUCUACCAUAUAUGCAUAAAAAAUAAAUUAAUUAAGUGAUAAACUUGUAAUCUACUAUGUGUAAGAAAAUAAUCAAAUAUUAUAAAACUUUAUAAAUAUUUUUAUCUUUGAAUACUCCUUAGUCCUUAUAGCUUAAUCAUCACAUUUGCAUAUGGAUUUUAUAUAAAAAAAAAUCACCUCAAAUCCUAUUGAAACCGUGUAACUAUAUAAAUUUAUCUUUAACUUAAAAAUCAUCGAAACCAUUUCAACGUUAUUAAAUCUAUUAAAAUUUCCAGUAAAAAUGGAUUUAGAAGUCUUUUAAAAAAUAUCAAUAGUUCGAUAACAAUGGAUUUUAUAAUUUGUUUAUGAAUUUUAUGUUUGAAUAACAAAAUAUUAAUUAUUUCAACAUCAAUCAUUCCAAAUGGUUGACUAAAUACACAUACAUGUUUGAAGUAAUUAAAAUUAUUAUUGCCAAAUAAAAUCAGUUUUCUGAUCCAAAUAUUAAUUUGUAAGAUAAUACAUAUUCUUUCACAAUAAAUUUUGGAUGACUUAAAAUAUCAAUUUGUAUAAGGUUGGUUAACAAAUCUAUCUAUUUAUAGAGGUCCAUCUUACUAUAUAUGAAUGCCUAAAUAUUUAUUAAUAUAUUUGUGUAAAUGAAGUAAGAUAUGAGUAAAUAUUUAAAGAGAACUAGAGAAGUCUCCUCCUAAAUCCUAAUCAUCAUGGAGAAUGCAACAUUCUAACUAACUUACUCGCAAAAAGUUUGAUUGCAAAUUUUGUAGUUGAAUUCUUUCUUUUUUUUAGAAACAAAAUUUGCAAUUGAAGCAAGUAAUUUAAUUUGAUAUUCAUUGUUUUUUCGGUUUAAGUAAAAAAAUAAAUCCAUUAGUCAACAAUUUUAAUGGCAGAAUAGUUGGUUUCUGUACCAAGAACAGCUUUGAAGUAGGCCAAUUCCAAUUAACAAAUAAAAUCAAAAAUAAAAAUAGUAUUGGUUCAAUGUUCACAUGAGUAUGACAUAUUCAUCAAAGUGUAACAGCAAGAGUAUGCGCUAAAACAUAGUUAAAUGGUUCAGUGAUUGUAUACACAACGUCACACCACUCAAGUGUCCAUGAAAUAUCCUAUUGGUGUCUUUCAAGUGCAACUACCGCACACCAUACCAAUUUCUUGUGAAGGCUGUACUCAUACUCAUACGUAUACACAUCUUCUUCCCACAAAACCGCCAACUUGCCACCAUAAUCCGUCACUUGAGCAGCACCAUAACACUCAUACCGCGACCCGAACAAGCUUUCCAAACCCUUAACACUUGUCCAAUAUUUUUCGUCUGGGUUGUAGUAACCAAUACUCCCGUCACUACAACUAUAUAACACGUUCUCUAUUACACAUAAAGAUGAUGACAAAGACCAACACAUGUCCAUAGCUAGGUCUGCCUCUCUCCAUCUACCUUUACCUUUACUCAGCUUGUACGCCCCAUAUCUCUCAAGAAACUUUAUAUAUAUAUAUAUAUAUAUAUAUAUAUAUAUAUAUAUAUAUAUAUAUAUAUAUCCAUCAUACCCUACGCUUUGAUACUUAUAAGUAUAACCAUCCGUUACAUAUCUUCUCGCUAUGACUUGACAACUCAAACUCCCAAUUUUGAGUUAUUGUAUCAAAUACCUCCAUCCAGUUAGUUGCAUCAAGAUUUUUGCAACCUCCUAUCACAUAUAUUUUUCCAUCAAGAAUGGGGCCUCACUCCAUGUAUGAGAACGACAGUCCAUGACCUUGACACUAUAGAAGAUGCAUUAUCAUUAUUAUUAUCAUCCUGUACGAAUCCGCCAAUGGUUGGCGGAGCUAGAAAAUCGGAUCAUGAGGGUAAAAACAAAUUAUAAUAUGAUUAAUUGUGUUAUUAAAAAAUUUUAUAGGGGUCAAUUGUGUUAUAUUACAAGGAUCAAUUUGAUUUUUUUCCUAAAAAUACAUCAAAUUUUGAAAAUUUACCAGGGUCAAUUGACCCUCAUACCACUACCCUACCUCCGCCCCUGGUAUAUAUAUUAUAGCCAACCUUUGCACAAUCUGAGUCGUACGUCGCGGAAUUGGGAGAUGUAAUGGGGACCAAAACAUUCUUGGAGCUAUUUGGUUUCCGACAGAGAGUGAAACAUUGUUCUUGUCGGGUUUUUAUGGAGUUUGAAGCACACGUAGAGACAACUCUCUGUCCAGCCUAAGAGGAUUCGGGUUUGGUAAAGCUCAGUUGAAGCAAGAAGAGAGCGUAAUCUUUUGGAAACUAAGGAGAGAGUGUGGUAGUACAAUCUUGGAACACGGGCUAAGCAGUUUAGUAUCAAAUCAUUAGGAAGCAUCAUCAACGUCAUUGGCUCUUCUCCAUUCAUGGUUAUGGAUUGCUUUUUCUCUAUGGUUGUUCUUUUAUAUAUAUAUAUAUAUAUAUAUAUAUAUAUAUAUAUAUAUAUAUAUCAAUUGUAAAUUUCAUUAAUACGAAGAUGAUUUGUUAUUUAUAUACAUCUCUAAAGAUUGCAUUAGCCUAGAAAAAAAUCGAUCCAUAUCUAAACCAAAUUUAAGGGUUAUUUUAAUUAUUUAUUCGAUUAGAUAACAAUGAAAAUAUUUAAUUGAAAGGAUCUUUACUCUCUUUUUUUCUAUAUACAAAAAAAUAUAAACUCCAAAACUUUUCUUCUCAUCUUUUAUUUGUAUAAUUAUGGUUUUAAUAUUUGUAAAUUAAUAGUAAAAAUUCUUUAGCAAAGACCCGACCUUGCUAGCAUAGUAGCAUGUUGUUCAUUCAUUAUUUUCAUAAGCUAAAUUGCUAAACGCUAUCACCAUCUUUAUCAUCCAUUUAGGAGGUUCAUGUAUACAUGAAAAUUAUUAUCCCUAUGGACUUAAUUAGAUGCAUACUGCAGACUCACCUGAUAGACCUUAAUUAGAUGUUCAUAUUAGCUUUUCCCAUGAACAAGAUCGAGAGAGAUGAAACAGAAUCUGGGAAAAGAUAAUUUUUUCAUUCAAGUAUAAAAGGAGAUACAAAUUAAGAUUAAAUACAAGUGAAACUAAACCACUAUGCUAACCAAACUAUACAAGAGACUAAACCAAGCUAAACCAACUAUAUACAUUCUCUAAUAUAGACCUUGCAUGCAUCUCAAAACCCUAGACCAGAUACGUUUUAAUAACCAUUUUAAGUUACUUCUAAGUUCUAACCCUAGCAUAAGACUAAAGUGUCAAGAUCAUAAACACAAGUUAUUUGGUCUAAGUUCCUUAUGGUCGUCCAAUUUUUAUAGAAAAAAUCGUAGAAUUAGGUGCUGUUUUCUUGUAGUGCAAUAAGCAUGCAUGUUUUUCUGUUCUCCGGUUAGAAUUUUUUUAAAUCGGUAAAUUUUGUUCGGACUAUAUAUGUAUAUUUUGGUAUUUUUAGUUGAAUUUUGGUUUAAUCUCGUUAUUUUUGUUUUCUUAUUUAACUAAGAGUAACUGACUGGUCGUCUCAAUAACCAACACAAAUCUCAAUUCCACCUAACUGAACCGAUUCCCAAAUCUGUAUUGAACCAAACACUAAAAAAGUAGGUUCAAGGUUGGUUCGGUACAAUCGAUCCGGAGCAAAACCGCAGACCUAGUGCGUACGUGUGUUAUUGGAUUUAUUGUGAAGUAGCAAACCCCACUAGCUCUGCCACUGAUUCUCAUAUACGUAUAUCUCAAGCUCCUUUUAGCUAUGUUGACUUAGAUGGAUAUUUUGAUCAGAACCGGCUUAAUUGACUUAAUUUUAGCCAAGCAAUUUUCCAAUUAAAAUCAAGAGGAUGAAAAUAGCCAAGCAAAACUUUGCUUCCUUUAAAAAGUUAUACACCUUAGUCCUUUAGUAGUGCACUAGUGCUUUACACAUUGCUCCUCUAUCUAUGGUCUACUGAUCACUACAUAUAGUUCUGUCUUUAUAGGACUUCUUAAUUAAAGUAUGUCGACUGAGUUUUUUCACAGCAUCUUUAGAAGUUACUACUAUAAGUAGUGGACCACAUACUCCAUAUAAUAACAUAAGAUAAAAUUAUUAUUAUUAUAUAAUUUUUUUUUAAUAAUCAAAAAGGUUUUCGACCAAAAUCUAUAUAUCUUUUCAUACACGAAACCAGAGCAUUUUAUAUGUUCUCGUUCCAAACGCUACUGCAACCGGCGACCUCUAAACUUUUGUCAGAAAUUUUUACUAUUAAUCCAGUAACAUGUAUUUAAACCCAUACAUGUAUUGCCGAAAAAAAAAAAAAAAAAAAAAACCAUACAUGUAUUUAACAUAAAUCCAGAAAUCUAAGCGCUACUACUAUAUAAUUUAAAGAAUAUGUAUUUACUCGAUCAUCCAAUAAUAGAUUUCUAUAACAUGUGUGCUGAUUCGAAUAAUUCUUAAUCACGAUCGAGUGGGGUUUGCUAUUUUUAGAGUUCCAAACUUAUUCACAAUAAAUCCAAUAAUACACACAUAAGGGACCAUUAUACACAUCAUUUGAUACUUAUCUCCUUACCACUUUGUUUUCUAACUAGUGUGAUUCAUCGUUUUCUUGACUCUUCUUUUGUUUCAUGAUUCAUUGGUAUGUUUUUUUAUAAAUAGAGAGCAUGCAUGGUGGCAUAUUCUUGUAUUCAUCACCUGUUCUUCCAUUGAUGGCUUCCAAGACUUUGUUUCUUUUGGGUCUACUCGCAUUUCUUCUCGUCUUCUCAGAAAUGGCCUCAGCUGGUAAGUUUUAUAGCUUCUCAUUCAUAUCACAUAUGAAAGGUUAACUAAGAAUUAUUUUUCAUUGUAAUGCACAGUUGCUCGUCCUAAACUAUAUAUUUUAAAUAAUAUGGUGUCUUGGACAGACACGGCCGUGAAGACAAAGAGUGAGGAAACUGUACAACCUAAUAGUGGCCCUGGAGGAGGAGUAGGAGGAAAUCACUGCCGCCACGGCUGCUGCGCCAAAGGAGGUAUCCGUAGCUGCCCAAGGUGUUGUGCAUAUGUCGGAGAAGCUGUGGUCGUCACUUGAUCUACAUAAUAUAUAUCAACCACUAUGUUACGAUUGCAUCUAUAUAAACACUUACGUGUGUGUAUUAUAAGUUAACCAUGCAUGGUGUGUUUUGUAAUGAAGUGCCUCAAGUAUAACUAAGAAGGGAAACUAUUGGAAUAAAGUUUUGGUAAUGUAAUGUCUCCAUGUUUGCGUUUCGAUGUAAUUAAUAUGCGCUGUGUUUCAUAAUAAAACAUCGUUACUAAUAUUGUCGAGGAUAAAACAAAGAGCCACGACUAAACACAUCUAAUACUUAUAGGUUUCAUAAAUCAAUAAUGUAUGUAGCCAUCAUGUGGCGUAAGAAAAAUUAAUAUUGACAUGUAUAUUUCGUUAGACAUGGUAAUAUUUAUUUGUGUCUGUUGAUAAGACAUGGUGACGAUAAAAAUUAAACAUCCAACAGUUGAGAUUUAUGUUUUCAUGAAACUAAUUAUUAGAGAAUGUAUAUAGUUGGUUUAGCUUGGUUUAAUCUCUUGUAUAGUUUUUUAAUUUUUUUUUAUUUAGUAAUUUUUUUUUAACUCAAAGUAACUCCCCAUACCUAUAGAAGAGUCCGAAACUAAUCCAUGAAGAAAGGGUAUCUGACUGUUCAUUUAGGAAGAAUCGAUCCAUAAUCUAUACCAAUAAGGCGACUUUUCCACCAUAUUAGAACUAUUAGCCCACCACCUCGUGGUUUCAUAUCUUGUAUAGUUCACUUGUAUUUGAAUCUAAAAUUUGUACCUCACUUUACACUUAAAUGAAGAAUAAUAUAUUUUCUCCGAUUAUGUUAUCUCUCGAGCUCUCUCUAAUGGAGAAAAGUUAAUACCAAUGCGUAUGAUUUCUUAUUAUUAAGUUUCCGUAAUAAACCAAUAUCCUUUUUCCAACUGAAUCCUAACAUCAAGUAUAUGCUUGUUUAGUGUAUUGUGCAUUUUCUUCAUUUUGCUGUUUACAUAUUAUUUGGUUACAUUUCGAUAUUCCUCAUCGUUUUCGUUACAUUUAUCAAAAUUGUGUAUUCGUUUUUUUUUCUUCCAAAAGUAUGGUUUCAGUUUUGCUGUUUAUAUAUUACCAGUCAUUAUAUAUUACACAAAGCAUAGAAAAUUAGUAAAAAGAACAGAAAAGCCAAAUUUUAAAAUACUAAUUUAUAUAUUAAUUAUAUUACACACACAAUGAUGAAUUAAAAUGACAUAUAUAACAAAUCUUAUAUUUUAAAAUCUUCGUGUUUGUCUGUGCGGGUCGAUUUCCUAGUUUAAAUUAACAGUAAAACCUUUAGCACGGAGCAAAUAUUUUCACGACCAAACAUCCUUAUGGACUUACAUGCAUACCGAGACUCACCUAAUUUACCUUGUAUGCAAAACCGUUGACGAGAUACGUUUCUAUAACCAUCUUUAAGAUUCAGUUACUUCUAAUCCUAACAUAAGACUAAGUGUCGAGAUAAACACAAGUUAUUCAGUCUAAGUUCCUUAUGGUCCAAUAAGAAUUCAUCUAAGUACAUAAAGUCAUUGGCAGAGGUUUAUCAAUGGAAGCUUGAGAUAAGUAUCCACUACAAGAAAACAGUAUAUUUCUGAGGGAUAGAAUCAUCGCAAUCCCUCGGAAACAGCUCUUUCUGACGGGUUUCCGAGGAAAAAAAGUUUUUGGAAAUUGCUCGUCGGAAAUAAAAUGUCUUUGGAAACUCGUCGGAAAUUUCCAAAGGAUUUCCAAGGGACAUUUAUUUCCGAGAGAUUUCCAAGAGAUAAUAUUUCUGAGGGAUUUCCGAGAAAGGUAUUACCAAGGGGUUUCCAAUAGACUUUUUCCGAGGAAUUUUCGAGGGUCUUAUAUUUCCGAGGGAUUUUCAAGUGACCAUUUUCUGAGAGAUUUCCGAAAGAUUAUUUCCAAGGACCUGAAUUUCCAAGGGCAUUCCGACGACGACGGAGUUUUUAGCAAAACUGUAAUUUUGAUUAUAAUUACGAAUUUUUUUUUUGAAACAAUAAAUAAAAAUGCCAAAAUGCUAAAAUUAAAAUAUCCAAAUACAAAUUGUCCAAAUAAACAACAAUAAUACCAAAAUUAAAAUAGUUUUGAAAAACAAAAAAAAAAACAAAAUAGUUUUAGGGAGGCGGGAAUUGUCACGGAAAUUUAGACGAAAUAAAACUUUGAAGUUGGGAAAGUGUCGUUUGAAUCUCGGUGAAUUGCUUCGUAAUCUUGAUAUUUUGUUGCUUCAACUCUUUGACCGCCUCAUCUUUUUCUUUCACGAUUCGGUUAAGAUCUUGAAUUUGUUGAAUAAGUUCAUUGUCUCGGAGAAAUGCCGAAGAGAUACUUCUGUCUUGUGACACAAGACUUCCUAAUCCGGAUCUCCGACCUUUGGUUAAAGGAAUUUCCUAAACAAACAAAAAACAUAUAAAUAAUUGUUUAAAGUAAAUAAUAAAGUAAAACUAAAAAAUAUUCAAAUAUACCUCAACACACAAACGGUGGAUUUCUUCAUGAGGUAGAUCGAUUGAAGAUGAUGAGCCAUUUUGAGAGAAUUGCGUUAGCUGUUCCAUCUUCUGGAGCUUAAUCCUUUCUAUGCGUUCUCCGACAAUCGGAUCUUGAAUUUGUCCGGUUUUCUUGCUUGUGUGGGUUGUUUUCAUAACAUCUAUCCAAUCCGGCGCAACGCCUCCGUUUGCGAUCAUCUAAAUUUAAAGAAAAAUAAACAACAUAUCAGAUCUAAACGUAUAACUUUUUAAAAAAUUGAAUUAAUUAAUUGAAAACUUACCUUUUUUAUCUCAUGCUUUUUUAUAGAUAUCGAACCUCCAUUGUAGGUCGCUAUACCCUUUCCACCAUGUUCGCUCCUACGAUUAGUUGAUGCUUGUGACGAAAUAAAUAUCGUUUCAUCCAUACUCCAAUAGCGGAUAAACCCUUGCCAAACUUCGGGGUUUAGACACUUGGGCAUUUUUUUGCCUUCCUUCCACUUUUGCUUCCACGCAUAUAUGUGAUUUUGGUAGGAUGUGUUGGCUUGAAUGUCAAAAGCUCUUCUCACUUUCGGAGAAUGACCGCUUUCCCAAUUAAAAUCUUGCUACAAAUGGAAAAAAAUAUAACUAAAACAAAUUUAUGACAAAAAUAAUAAUUAAUGACAAAUAUAAUAAUUAAUAGUUUAACUUACCGCAAAAGUCUUGAACCACAUCUUUUUGAUAUCUUCGUCGACAUCCCCGUAAGUCGGCCAAGGGUGAUUCAAUUGCGUCUUAAGAAUAUUAAGAAUGGAUUUUGUUAUCUCUCCCUCUAAUCCAAACAUAGAGACAUGUAAACUAAUAAUUAGUUAAGAAUCAAAUUCAUCAAUUUUAUAUAAGUAGAUAAAAUGCAAUUAAUUACCAUGUAGAUCCGUUUUCUUCAUCCAGGUGGAGCCUUGGGAUAUGUUGACGGCCCGGUUGACUAACAAACUCUUCAAUCGUCAUAAUCGGUGGUGGAGUGGAAUUCCUUGUCUCGGGGUCACUGGAAGGAGAUUGUGAUGCUGAGUCACUUUGUGAUCGUCGGGUUUGGAAACGGUUACAUGACGUCCCUUGAAACUCCUCAUAAGACCUAAAAAAUAAAUUUAGUAAUAAGUAAUCAACAAAUAACAAUAGGAAAAGUUGAUAAUUUAUAAAUAUAUUAUUUUGUAAUACAAAUUUAGCAAAGUAUGAUUUAAGAAAAUAAUUGUUGUAUCACAUUUAUUAAAAAGUUUUUUUUUUUUUUUUGUUAUCAUUACAAAUUAUAUGUCUCUCUUUGAGAGGGACCGGACUCGAACCCGGAUCUGGUGAGAAGGCAAUAGAGGUGAGAACCACUAGCCCAUUUGUCCUUCUCUAUUAAAAAGUUUGUUUAACUAAAAUCUAACUUUUAAUUUUCUAUAAAUUUAAAAAACCAACAAAUUUUUAUUAAAAAAAAAUAAUUGUUGUAUCAAAUUUAUUAAAAAAAUCUGUUUAGCUAAAAUCUAAGGGGAGGGGGGGGGGGGUUAUUGGGAGGUUGAAUCUAAAAGAGGUUGUGGAUUUUAAAAGUUUUAUAUAUUUUAAAAUUCUCAAAGAUUUUUGUAGAUUCCAAUAAAUGUUUACUUAAGACUUUUAGAGUUUUAGUAGAUUUUUAAUAUGAUAGAUUUUACAAAUACUUAUGAUAAGUGUAAUAUUUUAAAAGUUGUUGUUAAUAACCAAAUAUGUAGGAAAUCAUAUUCCCAAUAACACUAGAGUUUAAUAGAAUUGUAAAAUCAAUAAAUACUCAAAUUUCUGAAUAACAAAGGAUUUUAAAUGAAAUUACAAAAUCAACACACCAAUAACAAAAGACUUUAUUAAGAAUUUAAGAAUCUAUAAACCAAUAACAAUAGAAUCUUAGACUCUAACAAUCUUUAAAAAUCAUUCUCCCAAUAACUCAACUUUUUAUUUUCUAUAGUUGUUAAAAACCAACCUAACACUAACAAGUUUAAAACCAAAAUCCAAUCAAAAUGGGAGGUUGAAUCUAAAAGAGGUUGUGGAUUUUAAAAGUUUUAUAUAUUUUAAAAUUCUCAAAGAUUUUUGUAGAUUACAAUAAAUGUUUACUUAAGACUUUUUGAGUUUAGUAGAUUCUUAAUAUGAUAGAUUUUACAAAUACUUAUGCUAAGUGCAAUAUUUUAAAAGUUGUUGUUAAUAACCAAAUAUGUAGGAAAUCAUAUUCCCAAUAACACUAGAGUUUAAUAGAAUUGUAAAAUCAAUAAAUACUUAAAUUUCUGAAUAACAAAGGAUUUUAAAUGAAAUUACAAAAUCAACACACCAAUAACAAAAGACUUUAUUAAGAAUUUAAGAAUCCAUAAACCAAUAACAAUAGAAUCUUAGACUCUAACAAUCUUUAAAAAUCAUUCUCCCAAUAACUCAACUUUUUAUUUUCUAUAGUUGUUAAAAACCAACCUAACACUAACAAGUUUAAAACCAAAAUCCAAUCAAAAUGUUUAAAUUUAAUAUCAAUUUUAUUACAAAAUAUAAAUAAAACUAUAAUCUAAUUUAUAUAAUUCACUAAUUCCAAUCAAAAUCAAAAAAUAUUUCAAUCAAAAUCAUAGAACUAAUUCUAAUCAAAAUUAUAACACUAAUUCCAUAUCAAAACCUUAAUCCAAUUCCAUAUCUAACCAAAUCAAAUCAAGAUCUAAUUCUAUGGAUUCCAAAAUCUAAUUCAAACAAGAUAUUAACAAUUAAAAACUAGAAUCACAAAUCAAAAUCAUUGAAUAAUAUUAAACUUACAUGAUUUUGAGCUUAUGAAAAGAUGGGAGGAAGAAGAUGAUGAUUGAAGAUGUUAUCGCCGACGAGAUGGCGAAGCAGUCUCUCGGAGGCGACGGAGAGUCCAACGGUGACGAAGAGUUGUGGGAUGAUUGAAGCGGCUGAGGAAAAAAAUCUUGUGUCCAUGUAUAUAUAUAUAAAAAUUUCCGAGGGAAUAACCCGUCGCAAAUCCCUUGGAAACGUUUAGGGUUUUGCCGCAAGAAUGAAAUAUAGGCGGCUAAUAAUUAUUUUCGCACUGAAAUCCGUCGGAAAAUCAGAAUUCCUCGAAAAACCGUUGGAAUAUCACUGCAUGUAUAUUUAUUGGCCGGUCAAGCGUUUAUAAUUAAACCAAAAUCGGAAGAAAGCCGGUAAUUGCUCAGAAAUUUCCAACGGUUUUCCAAGGGAAUGGAAAAUUUCUGAGAACUUUCCGACGACUUUUUUUUAAUAAACAAAUUUUAUUAAUUUGAUUCAUCUAAAGAGUUUUUUUAAUGCUAUACAAAUACAGAUUUGUGUUAAAACAUUACAUUUAUAUUAAAUUAGAUCAAAAAUUGCAUAAUUUCUAUAAAUAUAAUUUGUUUUACUAAGUAUCAACUAUAUUAUCAAAUAUCAUAUCAUCAACACUUAAGUGUCAAAUACUCAGAUAUGUGAUUUUUCAAGUUUUGCAUUUUUUCUUUUUGCCUUAUAAUACUUUGUUAUGUAAUUAUAUUGACAGGUAUGUCUUCUUAUAGUAUUAAACAUUACAUAAGAUGCAUCAAAACUCCAAAAUUUUAUAAAAUAUCUAACAUCCCUCAGAAAAUCCUCAGAAAUUUCCGAGGGAUUUCAGAGGAUAAACCAAUGUCCUCGGAAAUCCGUCGGAAAUUUCCGAAGAUUUUCUGAGGACUUUCAGUUUUAUUAAAUAUCUUACCAUAUUCAUGAACCCUCGGGCAGUCCUCGGAAAAAACUGACGGAUGUCCGAGGACUUUUUAUUUCCCUUGGAAAUCCGUCAGAAAUAUCCAUAUUGUGUAUAAUAUGUUUCUUAGAUUUAUACAUCUUUAAAAAAAGUAUACAAAAAUUAUACAAUAGUUGCAAUAUUUAUUUAUAUUUAUUUAGGAUAAUAGUUUUUGAAAACUUCAUGAGAGAUAAUUUAUUUCCACGUUUUUAAUACAUAAAACUAAUUAUUAAAAAUCUAAUAAAAGACAAAAGAUAUAUAAUUUAUUCUUCGUCCUCUUCAUCCGAUGAGUAUUCUGAAUUCUCGAUGAGUAUUCUGAAUUCACCUUAGCUAAAUUCUGAGUAUUUUAAUUUGUGUCUGUUAUUGGAUUUAUUGUGAAUAAACUCCAUAAGUAGCAAACCCCACUCGUAUUUUGAUAAAACUUAGCUAAGGUGACUUAGAUAGAUAUUAUCACAGCCGGCUUGACUUAGUUAUAGCCAAACAAAACUUUGCUCCCUUUAAAACAUUAUACUCCUUAGUAAUGACUUUACAUACUGCUCCUCUAUAUGGUCUUUAAUGUAUAAGUAUGUCGGCUGAGAUUUUUCACAGCAUCCUUAGAAGUAUAAGUAAUAUAUAAUAAGAAAACAUAACUUGAUCAUCCAAUAACAUGAGUGAUGACUCUGAUGAGAUUAGAUCUAAAACACGAGUAUGGUUCCAAAAGUUACUCACUAUAAAUCCAAUAACCAAACCAUAUGGGACCAUUACACACUUGACACAUCCUUUGAUACUUAUCCCCUUACCACUUUAUCUUUUAAAACUUGUAUGAUUCAUAGUUUCCAUGACUUUUCUUUUCUUUUCUCAUUCCCACCUCUCCUUGUAUGUAUUAUCUAUAAAUAGUGAGCAUGCAAGGUGACAUAUUAUUCAUCACCUGUUCUUGCAUUACAAAGAGUGUGUUUUAACUAACUAAGCAGUACUUGUAAGAAAAUGGCUUCCAAGACUUUGCUUCUUUUGGGUCUACUCGCAUUUCUUCUCAUCGUCUCAGACAUGGCUGUUGCGGGUACGUUUUAUAUCUAUAUUUCAGUUUGCUUCAUACAUUAUCAAAGGCUAAAUAAGAAAAAAGUUGAUGAUGAGGGUAACUACACCUAAACUAACGUACAACUAUUUCGUCAAUUUUGAUAAAUUGAUGAGAGUAAAACACAUGCCAAAUCUUAUUAUGAAAUAACUAUAUUAUUUUCUUUUCUUUGUACAACAAAAAAAUGUACAUAAAUAUGAUAUACUUUACCAGUAAAAGUAAUUUUCUUAUGCUAAUAAUAUGAACAAAUAAUAUCUAUGAUAUCUCGAUCUUAUAAUCUUUGCUUGGUUGAUGUUGAUUCGUUUUAGUUUGAUAUCCCAACAGUUUUAGUAAGAAAAGAAACUUAAGUAUGAUGUUAAAUCCUUGUAGCUCGUAUAUUUUAUGUUCUGUGCAAAUUUUAUAUGGAACUUAUAAUAUAAAAAUAAAUUACGUAUUUGAAGUUUUGUGUAAAUUUAUUUUAAUAAGUUCUAAAACUAUAUAUUUGAAACAAUUUGGUAUCUUGGAUAGACACGGUGAAGCCAAAGAAUGAGAAAACUGUGCAACCUGAUGGUGGAAAUGGAGGCCACAUGAGCCAUCUAUCUGAUGGAGGAGGAUACGCUGGAAAUGGAGGUUACUGCCGCCGCGGCUGUUGCCACAGGAAUGAACGUGGCUGCUCAGGGUGUUGUAGAUAUGCCGGAGAAGCUGUGACGAUUCAGACUGGUCACUAAAUUUACAUAAUAUAUCAACCAACAUGUUAUGUGUGUAUUAUAAGCUAACCAUGCAUGGUGCGUUUGUAAUGAAGUGCUUAAGAAGAGAAACUAUAAUAAAAGUUUCUCAAAUCGUAAUGUAAUGUCUUAAUUCAUGUUUGUGUUGUAAUUUGUGUCGUUGUGUUUCAUUCAGUAAUAAAAUAUUGUUAUCUUACGGUUUUGAGUAAUAGUGAAAUUUUAUCAAUUAUUCGUAAUCUUGGAAGGAAUAUGUAUUUUUUUCAUAAAACAAAAAAUUACAUAACAUUUAGAGACUUUUAUCGAGGUUUUGCUAGUCAAAUGUGACAAAAAUAUCUUACAAGUUAACAAAUGUUUUAUCUCUUAAUCUGGCAUUGAUUCCAUAAAUCGAUAUAGGUGCCACCCAACUACAACUACGUACAAGUUUAAACCGGCCCUAUCAUAUUGUUGGAGACAAAACAUUUGUACACAUUCUAAAGAAGGAACUGCUCGAUACAUAUUGUGAUAAUGGUAACGAUGUUUACAGUUUGUGGGUGCAUAAGUCAAUUAUUGCUAACUAGAUAAGCUAGUGAAUUAAGCAAUGGAACUCCACUACUAUUACAUUCAUAUCAAAAACUUCUAAGUUCUAAUUUUAAGCCUCGUGAAUUAAGGAUGUCAGGCCAACAUGGUUAUAAGAAGUGAUUACAAAGCUCACAUGCCUACGACACCCACUCCCAAAUGCGAAUUUUCAUUCCCAAUGAGCCUUAAUUUCAACUUUGAUACUCAAACCUUUUGGUUAGGACAGAGAGUUCGAUUUUGGAAAUAAAAAAUCAAAGUCCUUGUCUCAAAAGAAAGUGUUUUGAUUAGGUUGAUAACUUGAAACUUCCAAGUUUUCGAUUUCAUUCAACUCAUUCAAGUCCGGCCGCUCAAUAUUUUGGUUUUGUUCAAUCUUGAUUUUAAAAUGUAUCUUUCCCCGAACACAGACCUUCGAAAUAGAAAACCUCAUGUUUGUUAGAUCAAAAAGAAAUAUUUGUGUUGUUUAUAUUAGAUGCGUACUAAAUUAUGUGUAUAGUAGUAUGAAAUUUCCGGUAGACUCCUAGAUUGAUCACCUUAUUUUUAUUGUCUUAGUGAUAAUUAUGUAUCUAAAAAUUUUUGAACAAAAUAUAUAGAUUAAUGUGCCAAUAUUUAAAUGCUACAUAAAAAUAUCUGAACUUUUUAGAUUAAAUUUCUCAUGCUAAUUAGUCAAAUAAACUGUGUUAAUGAAAUGGUGUUUUCUUUUUCUUUUUUUUUUUUUUUUUUUGGUAGAACGAAAUUGUGUUUUCUUGUUAUUGAGGAGGUCGUCCGUAUUUAAAGUAAAAAAAAAUAUAUGGAAAUUAAAUGUUCGUUUUACAAUUUAAAUAAAAAUGAUUAAAGUAUUGGCCGCCCCUAUCAUUAACUAGCCGUAUUCACCAACCUAUGAGCUUAUAAGGAGCCGAAGCUAUUCGUAUUCCACUAGUGCGAGUACGUAAUAUUUAAUUAGUGCCUUCACUGUUAGGGUAAACACUUAACACUUUACACUCGAGUCUGUACGUUUUCUCCUAUUUGGUUACUUGACCAUUUUGUGUUUUGUUGUUCAAAAUUCGAACUCUUGAAAUCUUGGAGUUCAUAAUCUUAAAAUAAAUAUGUAUUCUGGUUUUGCUACUUGAAAGCUAUCGUUGUUUGGUUAUGUGCCACGCAAAUUCUAGGGUUUAAUAACCUCUCUUCAUUUUCAGGUAGUUUAAAGGAGCCUUUUGUAAAGAUUCAAUGGGAAAGACAUAUGAGAAGAAGAUCACUUGGACAAUUAAAAACUUCUCCUUUUUGCAAUCUGAUGAAAUUAAGUCAGACUAUUUUGUUGUUGGUGGCUGCAAAUGGUAAGAGCUAUGUUUUGUUAGUUUAACAGUAAUAAAACAAGAUUUCUAUAUAAUGUUAAUGUAAUAUUGUCUAUUGCUUUCUUUGGUUUUGGGGUUUUUGCUUUCAGGUGUCUUCGGGUCUAUCCUAAGGGAGAACAAGGAUGUAUGAACUUUUUGUCUCUAUACCUGGGAGUUGCUGGUUCUGAAUCUUUGCCUUAUGGAUGGAGAAGACAUGCCAAAUUUCGCCUAGUUGUUGUCAAUCAACUUUCUCAAGAAGCCUCCAAAGGGAAUGGUGAUUAUAAUUUCUCUAGGCCUCUAGCUCACGGUUAAACUUGUCAUUGGACUUCAGACUUGUGCUGCUAUAAGAUUCUCUUCAUGUGUCUUGACUUGAGUUUUAUGUUUUAUUAUGAUUUUACAGAAGCACAUAUCUGGUUUGAUCAGAAAAGUCCCAGCUUGGGCUACCCAGAAAUGCUUCCACUCUCCAAGCUUCUUGACAAGAGUGGUGGGUUUCUUGUGAACGGAGAAAUCAAGAUUGUUGCCGAGGUCUAUGUUCUUGAAGUUAUUGGCAAAACAAAUGUGUUAGAGGAAACUUCAUUUGUUAAAGAAACCAUGGACGUCAAUGGGUUUCAUGUACCUCCUCCUUUGGUAAGACUUAUAUUAAGAGUCUCUAAUUAGAGUUUAGUUUCUUGAUAUAUAUAUACCAAGCUGCAUAAAUGUUUUUACCUUAUGUCUAUCUUUUACAUGUAGGUAGAAUCUGUGAGUAGUUUGUUUAAAAGCCAUCCAGACAUUGCAUCAGAAUUCCGACCCAAGAACCCACAUCUAAGAACAACAUACAUGAAUGUCCUACUUAGUCUCACUGAGGUUUUGGGUCAGUCCCCUGAGAAACUCUCCAUAUCUGAUCUUUCCGAUGCGUAUUCUGGGCUACAGUUUGUGAAACAAGCGGGGUUUAAACUGGAAUGGUUGGAGAAGAAACUGAAAGAGGCUUGUCAGACUCGGCUGCAAGAAGUGAAGGAAGAAUUGAAAGAUAAGUGUGCAGAGAUGGAAGCUCUGGAGGAGUUAUUACGAUGAUGUUGUUUCAUGAGAGAGACAAAGAGACUUGUUUUGUUGUGGUUUUGCUAUGUUACAUUUUUACUGCUGAAGUAGACAAGAUUGUUCAACUUUAAAACACAUGCCAACACUUCUUUCUUGGGUAUGAAGAAACGAAUAAACGUUGUGUUUCAUUAUUAGGUCAAAUAAACGUUCUUAAUUACUCACUAGGGGUCUUUUUUGUUAUUUUACGACUGUCACAUGUUCAAUAUAUAAUUUAGUGAAACUCAAAUCCAUUUCUUGCAAAUUUUCUUAUUAACCCUAGAUAUGAUCGGAAGACCUAAACUCUAGUCUCUCUAGCUAUCCCUAAUCUUCAUUUCUAAGUACAUCGUCCCUGUCUCUUUCUUUGACCACACCCUAAGAGGUAAAUUAUGUAUUAUAGAAUGAUGCUCAAGAGUAGAAUCUUAAUAUUUUAUUUUGGUUUCGUUUUGGUUUGUUUAUUGUGUAGCUAGGAGUCACCAAAGAGAUCAAUGGAGACAAAAGUCGAAACGACGAUUACUUGGGUGAUAAAAAACUUCUCUUCGUUGCAAACAACAACGGUUUAUUCUGAUAAUUUCGUCGCUGGUGGCUGCAACUGGUCAGAAGAUAUAAUAAACUUUUCUUGUAAUGGUUUUGCUAAGAGUAGAGUUUAGGUUUUGUUAAUAUUGUUUUUGUUUGGUUUUGGUUUUGGUUUGUAGGCGUUUUCUGGCCUAUCCAAAGGGAAAUAAUCAAGCAAAUCAUUUUUCUCUGUAUAUAGCCCUGCCUGAUAAGGAACCUUUACCUAUUGGAUGGAGAAGACAUGUGAAAUUUUCUCUAAGUGUAGUAAAUAAAUAUUCAGAAACACUCUCUACACGAAAAGGUAAUUUUGUUUUAUGAUUUUUUGUUAAGUUUUGAACAUUAAUACUAACAAACUAUGUGUUUUACAGAGACAGAACACUGGUUUGAAGAUAAAGCUCCUAGUUGGGGAUUUCCGACCUUGAUUUGCCUCACUGAACUUAAUGACAAAGAGGGGUUUCUGGUGAAUGGAGAGCUCACAGUUGUUGCUAAGGUCGAAGUUCUUGAAGUUGUAGGAAAAUUAGAGGAAUCUUCUUCACCAGUAACGGUAACCGUAGAGGUCAAUGGGUUUCAAGUUCUUCCUUCACAGGUACGUACAAAUCAUGAUAAAACACACGACACUGUUAAGUGUUCGGUUGAAAUCUCAGCUAUAAGAAAAGCCAUUAUGGGUUUUUACAAGAUGUGGUGUAAUGUUUUAAAAUAGGUAAAAAGAUGGCUGCCUACACUAACUACACUAAUUAUAGUUUUUAGUUUUUUUAACAGUAUAAAUAAAGUUAUAUAAAAAAAAUUUGGAAUUUUUUUUGGGUCAAAAACGGUCAACGCCGGAGUCAACACCGGUCAACGCUAGAAUCAGUUGACCGCUGUACCAGAAUUUUAUGUCUAUGGUGUUGACUACAUGACAUUGUAUAGUUGAUGCAUGUGGCCAUACAAUACAUCUAGUUCUUGUAGCAGAGUGUACAAUAUGAUACUUGUCAUGUGUGACCAUGCAUUCGUCUAUAGUUAGUGUAGCUAGCCAUCUUUUUUCCUUUAAAAUAAGUAUCGGGAAGUUUUACUUUAAAACAUAUAUAUAUAUAUAUAUAUAUAUAUAUAUAUAUAUAUAAAGUUAGCUUUUCGCUCUUCUCAUGAUGCCACCUAAGCAUCCAUUUAAGUUACAUUUUUAUUUUUACAUUAAAAUAAAUUUAAAAUAUUUAUUUAGUGCAUAUUUAUGUUACUUAUAAAUUAAUAGAAAGCUUAUAUAAAUAAAAACAUGAAUUAUGUGAAAUAAAUGAAAUGUUAAAAUAAGAAAAACAAUAUUAUAAUUUUUUAUCAGUGGUAAUAAUAUAAUUCAACUUUUAUUUUAAUUGGAUCAUAGUUUAAAAUUUUAAAUGUGUUACUCAGUUUUAGAAUGGAAGUAAAUUUUUUAUUCAUGGUAGAAUAAAACAACAUUUAAGUAAUUGUAUACAUACAAUUUUGAAACAUGAAAUAUAAAUUGAAAAUGAAAUAUUAGUUUAUAACAUGAUCUGAAAAAAAAAAAACAAUUGAUGUUUCACAAAUUGAAUCAAAUGCUUUUAAUCUAAAUUUGAGUACUGCAAAAUAGUAAUUAAAGAAAAAAUAGUUAUAAUAUGUUUUGGAUAUUAAUACUAAGCUAAUAUAAACUUUAAAAAAACAUUUCAUGUGAAAAAUAGGAAAAAAAAAUAACAGCAAUAAAAAACCAGCAAAACAAACAUUACAACCACAAAAAAAACAAAGAAAAUUAAAAUUUUAAAAAAAUAUAUUUACCUCCUGCGUACAGCGCGGGUCAACAAGUAAUAUAAUAUAUAUUUUAGUUUCUUGAUGUAUAUACAAGCUUCAGAUAUGCUGUAGUUUUAAAUAUCCUUUGCACUGGCAGGUAAAAUCUGUGAAGUCUUUGUUUGAAAGACACCAAGAUACUGCAUCAAAAUUUCGGCUAAAGAAUCCAUACCUGAAGACGGCGUACAUGAAUUUUCUCUUGAGCUUAACACAAACGCUGUGUCGAUCUACUCAAGAAAUCUCCAAGGAUGAUCUCUCUCAUGCAGGCGCUGCACUAAUAUAUUUGAAAAAAGCAGGGUUUAAGUUGGAUUGGUUGGAGAAGAAACUUGGUGAAGUAAAGAACAAGAAGAAGAAAGAAGAAGCUUGUUUGGCCCGGAUGCGAGAAAUGGACGAAGAGCUUCAGCCCUUUAAGAAGAAGUGCUUAGACCUUAGAGCUCAGAUGGAUAAGGUGAAGGAAGAGCUGUCAGAAGCUAGAGCCCCUCUCCCCUUGUUCGAUGACAAUGUUGCCUGAUCACUUCAGAGUUCUUAAGCACUUGGAUUUAGGUUUUGCUAGGUGUUCUGAUUUCUUUGCUUGCGUUUUGAUGUUUUGAUUUCGAAAAUAAAAGCUCUCUUAAUGUGGAAACUUCUUAUAAAUAUUGGAUGAUGCUAUUUUUUUAUAUAUGUUUUUUUGGUAGUUGAGGACUCUCUAGAUAUGGUACUUGUACAACUAGUGAAAAAAUCCCUAUAGCCUAGCCACUUGAAUUUUCAUAGCUAUAGCAAAAAAAUCCCUAUAACCAUGAAAAUUCAAGUGGAAAUAGUAUAAAAAUCCCUAUAGCCACGAAUAUUAAGACUCAGCCACAAAAAUUUAAGUGGCUUUAAAGAUUUUUUGUACUAGUACAUACUUUUUGUUACAAAAUGUAAUAAACAUAGGAGUUUUGCAAUUAAUUACAAAUCAAACGCAUAAGUCCAAGUAAACGCCUAAUUAAUAAUUUACUAUACUAGAAACAUACUUUUGAUCAGUAAAUUCACAAAAUUGUUACAAAUGCCUUUCCUAUAGUAUAUAACUCCCCGGAAUUUAGAAAGAAGAAGCAACCGAACCAUUCACAAUACAAUACAUUAUGGCCAUCAACACAAUUACUAUUACCAAAUCCAUGGCUGGAGCCUUCUUCACAAUCAUCGCGAUGGCUACACUGGCAUCAGCAGCCACCGGUUUGGUUCAGCCUCCAAUAUCAGACGAGUACUUGGUUAACCAAUGUAUGGCUAAAGUAUCUUCAAGGUGUGCGAUGUACGUCACGGCCGAAAUGUAUAACCAUGGUCCGUCGUUGAAACAAAACGGAUGUUGUCUAGAGGUUUAUCACAUGGGGCGUAUUUGUCUUCACAUCGUGACAAAGCAUGUAAUGGAAACACUUGUGCCCGAUCUUGAAGGUGUUAAGAAACAAGACUCUCUCGAGAAAAGUACACAACUAUGGUAUUUUUGUGUUCCGGUUUAAUUUUGCAUUCUUGAAUAUCAUUAUCAAUAUGGGGCAAAAAAAAAGUAAGGGGAUUUGAAAAUAAAUCCACAUUACUAAUGGUUAUAUUAGUAAGAUUACAGCUAUACCAUGAUUUUUGUUUUUUGAGUAUAAUUUUAUUUUAUGUAUUUUAGUCUUAUAUUCAAUUGAAAUAAAGUUUUUAUUGGUAUUAAUUUAUUUGAAUAUCUAUAACAUUUUUGAAAUUUGGUUAAAAUUUACAAAGCUCUUGUUUACUCCAGUGAUAUGUAAAGCCAAGCAGAGUUUGAAUUCAUGUAUGACAGAUAGAGAUAACACUGAUGUGAACUUAGGCACUUCUUUGUAUCAUGAUCUUCCCAUUGUCACACUUCUUGACUUGGCUCGAUCGCUGUUAACACUUAAGUCACUUGACAAGCAGCGAAUGAUAGAGAACAUAUAUGUACAGUAAAACCUCUAUAAAUUGAGUAUAACAUAUUAUUAAUUUAUAAUGAUAUUAAUUUAUAGUGGUAUUUUUAGUUGUUCAAUAUUUUUGAAAAAUAUGUAUUGGCGCAAUUAAAAAUAAUAAUUAAGAGUAGUCUUUUAGAUAUAAAAAAUUUCAUAGUUUGAAAUUGAAUUUUAUAUUUAGAAAAAAGAAAAUUUGAAUAUAAACUAGAAAUAUUAUAGAUAAAUUCACUUCUACAAAUGAUAUACAUAAAUUCAGAUGUACGAUUAGUAACCUCAAUUGUUGUUAUAUCUUAACAUCUUAUAAAAAAUUGAAUAUGAUGCAUAUUUAUAAACUGAAAACAUAAAAAAAAAAUGGUUAUUUUUAUGACUUGUGAUGAAGUAUAUUACAAUAUUAUAGUUUAACAUAAAUUUAUUGUGUUGAGAGGAGCUCUAGGAGAAAAAUUAUUUUUACAAAAAAACUAAAAACAUACAUUAAUAUAUUUAUUGAUUAUUAAUUUAUGAUAUCAUUGGAACUAUAUAGCUCAAAUAAGUCGAACACAAAUCCACAAAAUUAUGGGCGUGUUUUACAUAAAGAUUUCAAAAAAAUUAUUACUUUAUUUUUAUAUCGAAUAUGGUUAAUAUUUAACGCUAGUCCGAGUAGGAGCCAACAAAAAUUAUUAAAUUAUAGAGGUUCUACUGUAAAAGGAAUGCUGAAACAUGUUAGAAACAUGUUAGUUUCAUGACCAUAGCCGUCUUUGGUAUUACAAUGGCACCAUGUGUUUUGUUUUUCGUUUACCUGAAAAGAAAAAAAACGACAUCUGAUUUGAGUCUUUGAGAGUGAUUUCUUGCGUAGGAGGUUUGCUCGCACGAGGAACAAAAAUUAGUGAAGAUAGGUUACUUUCUUGUGUAGACAUUUUACCAUUUAAAUUCCCUAACAUUUCAUUAAUCUUUUUUGUAUUUUCUCAGUUUAUUGGUAAUUAACUACAAAUAUGUGGAAACAGUGACUAAGCCAGAAAAGUAUAUUAUGCGGGUCAUAUAUUGAUAAUAUGAAAAAAUAUAUGAGUUAUUAUCAAAAACUUAGAAGAGUAAAGAAACAUACACAAAAAAAAUAGUGUAAGAAAAUAAAAUAAAGGGGUCAAAAAGACUAGUAGAACUGGAGACAUGGGGGUCAAUCUACUAAAAACAAACCAAAUUUGCAAUUAUGUAAUACAUAUACUUAGUUUAUGGGGGUUAGUUGACAGCCCUACUCUUUCACUAGCUCCGCCCAUAGGUGGAAAUAGAUAAUCGAUUUAUCAUAAUUAGGGCAUCACCAACCCUUGUACUAUGACAAUGUUGUCCGAUGACUUGAGUGUUCUUGAGCACUUGGAUUUCGGUUUUGCUAGGUGUUUUGCUUUUUGAUGUUUUAAUUCAAAAAUAAGAGCUCUCUUAAUGUGGGAACAUUUUGAUGUUUUGAUUUGAUGCUAUAUUUUAUUAAUAUGUUUUUUUUUUGUAGUUGAGAGGGCUCUCUAGAGAUGGUACUUGUGGUCACUUCUUGCUACAAAAUGGAAUAAAAAUAGGCGUUUUGAAAUAAAUUGCAAAUCAAACGCAUAAGUUUAAGGAAACGCCUAUUUAAUAUAGAGGAAACAAACUUUUGAUCAAUAAAUUCUUAAAAUUGUUACAACUAUACAUUUCCUAUAGUAUAUAACACCCCGACAAUUUAGAAAGAAGAAGCAACCGAACCAUUCAAAAUACAACACAUUAUAGCCAUCAACACAACUACUAUCACCAAAUCCAUGGCUGGAGUCAAGUAAUCUCAAAGGUCGAUAUUCUGGGAAGAGAUUUACGAGAAAGAUCAGACAACCGACUAGUAAAAAAGAGAUUCCGGCUUGAGUCUGCGACCAACUCGUUACAUGUGCCUGGUGAGCCGGCUGUAAAUGAUGGUCCCUUGACAACGAAACUAAAUGAUCAAGAACAACCACAAAUUUUCCACCGUUACGUAAAAAUAAAUUUGAUUAGAAUCUUUCCCACUAGACACAAGUAAAACUAUUUGAUUAGAACUAAAAAAAUAUUUUUUAAGUAACGGUGGGAAAUCUGUGGCUGUUCUUAAUCAUUUACUUCCAUUGUCAAAGGACCAUCAUCUACAGCCAGCUCACCAGGCAUAGGUAAUGGGUUGGGUCGCAGAUUCAGGCCGGGAUCUCUUUUUUACUAGUCGAUUUGCCUGAUCUUUCUCGUAAAGAUCUUCCCAGAAUAUCGAAGUGGAUGUUGUCUAGAGGUUUAUCACAUGGGACGUAUUUGCCUUCACAUUCGUGACAAAGCAAGUAAUGGAAACACUUGUAAUCAAUCUUGAAGGUGUUAAAACACAAGACUCUCUCGAGAAAAGUACACAAAUAUGGUAUCUUUGUGUUCCGGUUUAAAAUUUUGUGAUCUUGAAUAUCGUUAUCCGCAUUACUAUGGGUUAUUAUAUUAGUCGAUUAAUGAUAUACCAAUGAUUUUGUUUUUUUAUUAUAAUUCUUUUAAUAUAUUUUUGAUAUGACUAUCGCCGAACAAAACCUGGAGCUAGUAGCCGAGGAACAAUUUGUAGAAGAGGAGAAGCUCGUACCCAGGGAGCAGCUCGUACCCAAGGAGAAUCUCGUACCCGAGGAUGAGCUUGUUUGUAGCUGAGGAAGUGCUUAUAAAGAAUCUAACUAAACCGCCAUGGUUUUAGUUCAAAUCUCCUUAAUGAUCAUCACGGCUCAAGAAGUUCGGUAAAGGAUAAGUGUUGCUUAUGCACUCUUUUUCCCUUAUCAAGUUUUGUCCCAUUUGCUUUUCUUGACAAGGUUUUUAAUGAGGCCUAAUUAACACUUUCAGGGCCUUUUACCAAGCCCAAUUUGUGGGUUCAAGGCCCAUCAUUUUUCCUUAGCCCAUUUUCUAUCUUUUCUUUUCACUCUUGCAUAAGUUUUUGUAAUUUCCAAGACAUUUUGAAUGAACAUGCAUGGGUGUAAUUUCCAAGAUACUUGUGCAUGCUAUUGCAUGUUCUUCUUCUCUUUCAUCCCCCUUUACUAUAUAAUUCCCCUCUACCUCUCAUUUGUAUCUCAUCUAUCUUUUUAUCAAAAACUCUUUCAAGUUAGAUCACUCUCUCUUGUUCUUUUUUUGGUGUGUAAUAUCCUUAGUGAAGUCCAAGUUUGGUAAAUCAAAGGCUCUUCCGCAACCUUUGUGCGACCAUUUGCUCCACAUCCUUUGGUCUAAGUGAUCCCCCGAUCUCUUAGGUGCAAAACCUAUGUUUCCCUCAACUAUCCGAGGGUCGAUUAUAGGAGGAUCGUAAUAUGUGGUAUCAGAGCACACUCUGAAAAGUUGAGUAAUGUACCAUCUUUAUCAUCUUUCAUUAUUUCAUUUCAUCUUCUUUCAUCUUUCCAUUCUUUUUCUGUAUUUAUUGUCGUCUGUUUUUUCUGGAUUUUCUGUCAUUUUGUCAGAAUUUCCAUAAAUAAUUGGCUCAUUAGAUCUAAACUCUUUCAAGUUAGAUCAUCCAAAAAUUAUAAACUCAAUUGUGUCUAAAACUAGGACUAGUUUUUUGGAUGAGUCAAUGAUUUAUGAAAUUGAGUUUUAGAAACAAUGAUUGACUCAUCCAAAAAAACUCGUCCUAGUUUUAGAAACAAUUGAGUUUAUAAUUUUUGAAUGAGCCAAUUAUUUAUGGAAACUCCGCCAAAAUGAUAAAAAAAUUCAGAAAAAAACAAACGAAACUAAAUACAAAAAAGAAGUGGAAAGAUGAAAGAAGAUGAAAUGAACUGAUGAAAGACGAUAAAGAUGAUAGAAUGCUCAACUUUUCAGAGUGUGCUCUGAUACCACAUAACACGAUCCUCCUAGAAUCGACACUCGGAAAGUUGAGGGAAGGCUAGGCUUUGCACCUAAGGGAUCGGGGGAUCACCUAGACCAAAGGAUGUGGAGCGAAUGGUCGCACAAAGGUUGCGGAAGAGCCUUUGAUUUACUAAACUUCGACUUCACUAAAAAUAUUACACACCAAAGAAAAAACAAGAGAAAGUGAUCUAACUUGAAAGAGUUUUUGAUAAAAAGAUAGAUGAGUUACAAAUGAGAAGUAGAGGGGGAUUAUAUAGUAAAUGGGGAUGAAAGAGAAGAAAAACAUGCAAGAGCAUGCAUAAGUGUCUUAGAAAUUACACUCAUGCAUGUUCAUGCAAAAUGUCUCGGAAAUUACAAAAACAUUAAAUGCAAGAAUGAAAAGAAAAUAUAUAAAAUGGGCUCAGGAAAAGUGAUGGGCCUUUUACCCACGAAUUGGGCUUGGUAAAAGGCCUUGAAAGUGUUACUUAUGCCACAUUAAAAACAUUGUAAAGAAAACCCAAUGGGACAAAACUUGAUAAGGGAAAAGAGUGCAUAAGCAACUCUUAUCCCUUUACCGAACCCCUUGAGCCGUGAUGAUCAUUGAGGAGAUUUGAACUGAAACUAUGGCGGUUUGAUUAGCUUCUUUAUAAGCACUUCUUCAGCUACAAGCUCAUCCUCGGGGACGAGAUUCUCCUUGGGUAUGAGCUGCUCCCUAGCUAUGAGCUGCUCCUCUUCUACGGAUUUUUCCUCGGCUGCGAGCUGCUCCUCUUCUACGGAUUGUUCCUCGACUACAAGCUCCAGGUUUUGUUCGGCGAUAGUCAUAUCAAUUUUAGACUUAUAUUCAAUCGAAAUAAAGUUUUUAUUGAUAUUAAUUUAUGUGAAAUAUCUAUACCACUUUCAAAAUUUUUUAAAAGUUACAAAGCUCUUGUUUAUUUCAGUAAUAUGUAAAGAUAAAUAGUGAUUGAGACGAGACCAUAUAAUCUGUUCUGGUUUCGGAUCUAAAAGUAUAUGUAUGAAUUUCGGUCAAAACAUUUUAGUUAUUAAAAAGGAAAUAAAACAAAUGGAGUUUGAAUUUAUAUUUGACAGAUAUAACACUGAUGUGAACAAACAUAUAGACGCAUUGCUUGACUAGGCUCGAUCGCUGUUGAGACUCAUGUCACUUGACAAGCAAUGAAUGAAAGAGAUCAUAUAAAAGGAAGACCUCAAACGGCACGAUGUGUUUUGUUUUUCGUUUAACCGGAAGUAUUUUAGCAAUACAGUAUAACCUCUAUAAAUUAAUAUUCGAUAAAUUAAUAAUCUCUAUAAAUUAAUAAAUUUUUCCGGUCCCAACUUGGGACCAGUGUAAUUUUAGACACAUUUCGAUAAAAUAAUAAGAUAAUAAUUUUUUUGAAAAUACUUUGUAAAUAUAUGGUCCCAUCAUUAUUAUAAAUUAAUAAUUAGGUAAAAUUUUCAAAAUAUAUGUAUAUAUUGACACAUUAGUUUUUGUUAGAUUUUAUUUCUAAUAUUUUACUAUAUGAAAAAUAGUUAACAUUCUCUUUUAAUACAUAAUAAUUAUUGUUUUAUUUGUAAUUGAUUAUAUAAAAUGCUAAAUCUUAUUUUUAAAUAUUGUUUUGAAAAUAUUUUCCAAAUUAGGAAUAUCUUUUUAUAAAUUAAUAAUUAUUAAUUUAUCGAUAAAUUAAUACCUUUAUAAAUUAAUAGAUUUUUAUGGUGCCAACGUUAUUAAUUUAUAGAGGUUUUACUGUAAAUUCAUACAAAUAAGGAAAUCAGAAAGAAGAAGCUAACAAGUAAUUUUGAAGUGGACGGUCUUAGCUUGCUCGCCUCAUAGAUUUUCCAUUUUCUUAUACUAAAAUCAAUGCCAAAAAGGGAUUUCUUGCGUAGGAGGUUUGCUCGCACGAGGAACAAAAAAUAUUGAAGAUAUGUUACUUUCUUGUGUAGAGUUUUUACCAUUUAUAUUGCCAAACAUUUCAUUAAUCUUUGUUCUAUUGUUUCAGUUUAUUGGUAAUUAACUUCAAAUAGGUGGAAAUAGAUCAUCGAUUUUUCAUGAUUACAGCAUCUCCAAUCCUAAUCUAUUUUUUUUCUAAAGUUUGUUAUAUAGUAAUGUUUUCUCCAACUCAAUUAAUACACUUAAAAAAGUAACACUUAAAAUUACUUAAUAUUUAGCGUAAACUCUAUUUUGUACCUUUUUAUAUGAAUAUAUUUUUUUAGAUUACAAAAUAGAGUUAUACAUUGAAGAGAAACUAUACUCAAAUUGAGAGUUACAUUAUUUUAGAGUAAAACUAUAGAGUGCUAAAAAGAGUAAUACAUUGGAGAUGAUUUUAGUAAAUUGUUUUUUUUUUUUCGAGAAAUACCCAAUUUGGUAUACCAUUUUUCAAAAAAUACAUUUUUCUCUAAGGAUUUUUUUUAAAUAACUCUUUUUAUAAUGUUUUAAAAGGGUAUGGUUUAUAAGUUAAUUCUAGAUAAUGACUACUACUGGAGGAUUCAAUCAAAAUAUUAUAAGGUUUUAAAAAGUUUCUUACAAGGUUUUUAAAAUGUUUAGAAAGGGUUUAAAAAGUUUUUAAAUAAUUUUAAAAGGUAUUAAUACUAUAUUUAUAUAAAAUUUUACAGUAAUUUAUAUGUAAUUUUAUAAGUUUACACAUAUGUUUAGAUAAAUUUUAAAAUUUUGGUGAUUUUAUGAUAUUUUGAAAAAAUUGUAGUAUUAAAAACAGUAUUUUUGAAAUUCUCCAAACAAAAAAAAUAAAAUAAAGACAAGAUAUUCAUAACACACAUCGAAACAACAAGCCGACAUAGAUAUUCAUAACAUACAUCGAACAACAACAAGCCGACAUAGAUAUUCAUAACAACACUUGCUUUUGGGAAUGAAAAACAAUUAAACGGUUCCUUUCAUUAUUACGUCAAUUAAUCGUUCUUAAAUGACUAGGGUCUUGUUUUUUUUUUUUAUAAUUAUAAAUCACUGUUCUAAAAAUAACAUAGGGAAAGUAAAAGGAUGAAAAGUUUCUUUCUAGACUUUAAAUCAUAUAGGAGUAGUAAUGAGGAAGAAGCCGAAACGUUACACAUUCCUCUUUCUAAGAAGCCUUUAAAUUCUUGGAUUAAACUGUUUCAGUUCUAUAUAGUUCAUGUCUCUUUCCUUCGACUGAGCCACCUGAGAUUCUCAAACGUGGUAACGUUGUCAAGAACAAAAGCUGUUCAGAAUUAUUUUCAUAGUGGAAUCUUUAUUUUGGUUUUGUCUUUUGGGAUUGUUCUUUGACCUUCGAUUUACAUUUUUUUUUUUGUUUUGUAGCUAGGGCCUAGGAGUCAUCACAGAGAUCAAUGGAGACAAACGUUGAAACAACGAUUACUUGGGUGAUAAGAAAUUUCUCUUCGUUAAAAUCAGUAUUUUAUUCUGAUAAUUUCGUUGUUGGUGGCUGCAAAUGGUAAGAAGAUAACAAACUUUUCUUGUAGUGUUUUUGUUUAGGUUUAGUUUUUGAUAUAUGUUGUUUUUGUUUGGUUUUCGUUUGCAGGCGUCUUCAGGCCUAUUCAAAUGGAAAUUUAACGGCUAAUCAUUUGUCUUUGGUCCUAAACGUUUCUGAUAAUGAAACUUUGCCUAUUGGAUGGAGAAGACAUGCUAAAUUUUCUCUUACUAUAGUAAAUCAAUAUUCAGAAACACUCUCCCUACUACAAGGUUGUACUGUGUUGUGUGUUUAAUUCUAUGCUUGUUAUUUUUAUGCCUCUGUGUUGAGUUGUGAGCAUUGAGUCAGAAAAUGUAACUAAUGAGAUGAAAUAUGGCUUUUGAUUUUGUAGAGACUCAGCACUGGUAUGAAGCUAAAUCUCCUUUACCGGGGUUUUUAAAAAUGAUACUUAGUAAACUUAAUGCCAACAAUGGAUUUGUAGUAAAUGGAGAACUCAGAGUUGUUGCUAAGUUACAAGUUCUUGAAGUUGUAGGAAAAUUAGAUGUAUCAGAUGAAUAUUUACCACUAGCUGUAACCAUAGAUGUCAAUGGGUUUCAAAUUCUUCCUUUACAGGUAUGCAAAACACCUUUUGUUGUUUUGUAAAAAUGUCAACUACAAAAAUAUUACUUUUAGACACAAAAGAAGAAACUGUAAGAUAUUCUAUGGUUUUACUUUAUAUAUCCUUUCCAUUCACAGGGAGACUCGGUGAAGCGUUUGUUUGAAAGACACCAAGAUAUUGCAUCAAAUUUUCGUCCAAAGAAUCCAUACCUGAAGACAGCGUACAUGAAUUUUCUCCUGAGCUUAACACAAACGGUGUGUCAAUCUACUCUAAAACUCUCCAAUGAUGAUCUCUCUGACGCAGACGCUGUGCUGGCAUAUUUGAGAGAAGCAGGGUUUAAGUUGGAUUGGUUGGAGAAGAAACUUGAUGAAGUAAAGGAGAAGAAGAAGAAAGAGGAGGCUUGUUUGGCCCGGCUGAAAGAAAUUGAUGAAGAGCUUCUGCCAUAUAAGAAAAAGUGUUUAGACCUUAACGCUAAGAUGGAUAAGGUGAAGGAAGAGCUAUCGGCAGCUAGAACUCCUCUCUCCUUGGACGAUGACAAUGUAGUCUGAUGACUUGAGAGUUCUUGGACACUUGGAUUAAGGGUUUUCUAGGUGUUCUGAUAUCUUUGUUUGCGUUUUGAUUUCGAAAAUAAAACAUCUCUUAUGUCAUAACUUCUUGAUAUUGGAUGAUGCUAUAUUUUUUUUAUAUAAGUUCUUUGUAGUUGAGGGUUCUCUACAUAUGCUUCUGCUACAAAAUGGAAUAAACAUAGUUGUUAUGCAAUUAAAUUGCAAAUCAAACUCAUAAGUCCAAGUUGUUAUUAAUAACUUUCCUUUAGUAUAUAGAAAGAAGAAGCAACCAAACCAUUCACAAUACAAUACAUUAUGGCCAUCAACACAACUACUAUCACCAAAUCCAUGGCUGGUGCCAAUACAUUACUAAGGGUUAUUAUAUUAGUAAAUUAAUGUUAUACCAAUGAUUUUGUUUUUUAAGUAUAAUUUUCUUUUAUGUAAUUUAGGCUUACAUUCAAUUGAAAUAAAGUUUCUACUGAUAUUAAUGUAUUUGAAAUAUAUAUACCAAUUUCAAAAAGAAAUUAAAAGUAACAAAGCUCUUGUUGUUUUUUUUUUUUGAAUAACUAAGAGAUUAUGGGCUGACAUCCCUUCAGGUCCGAAACCAGAGCAUGUUAUAUGAUCUCGUCUCAAACGCCAUUCGAACCAGCAACGUCUAAACUUUAGCCGUGCUUGGUACAUUACAACGGCACAGUGUGUUUGUUUUUCGUUUAACCAGAAGAAAAAAACGACACGUUGUUAUGUUUUGAGAGUGACUAAAAGUUAGAACGAGCAAGUUAUGUAUUUAACUAGCUUUCAACAAGAACUUACAGAGAUCAGUUACGAGCAAAAGCAACAUAUGUUAACCAUACAUUACUUGCUCGGCAAGGAAAAUAGAGAUUUUACCAUUUAGAUCGCCUAAUACAAUCGCUAAACAUUUCAUCCAUCUCACCAAAAAAAAAAAAACAUUUCAUUAAUUAAUCCGUGUUGCACUUUUUCCCCCAAUUUGUUGGUAUACACUUCAAACAAGUGAUCUAAGAAAUACUAGUUCAUUAGCUAUUAUAUACUAAAGUAUUCUCUAACUCCACUCUAUAUUCACUCUAGUAUAGGGUAAAACUUAAGAUUAGAGUAACUCUAUUUUUGGACUCGAAAGAUAGAGUGAAAAAAAGAAUAAUACACGAAGAAUGUAUCACAUAUCUAACGAAACAUGUCUUGGGAAUGAAAAACAAUUAAACGAGCUCACGUAAACCAUUCUUAAUACUAAGGUUUUUUUUGGGAAAGUCUAGUGAUAAUUUUCUUUAGACUUUAAGUAAAAUGGUAUAAAUCCUAUGCGAUAGUGAAAAGCCGAAACCUUUCGCAUUCCUCUAGUCUUUCUAAUGUAAACGUGGAAGCCUAUAAAGUUAUGGCUUAACUGUUUCAGUACUACAUCGUCCCUGUCUCUUUGACUUUUCGAUUUACAAAAUUUAUGUGUAGCUUUGGAGUAAUCAUAGAGAUCAAUGGAGACAAAAGUUGAAACGAAGAUUACUUGGGUGAUUAAAAAUUUAUUUUCUUUGCAAUCAGAAUGGAUAUAUUCUGAUAAUUUUGUUGUUGGUGGCUGCGAAUGGUAAGAAGAUAACAAACUUUUCUGGUAAUGUUUUUGGAUUUAGGUUUACCUUAUAUAUAUUGUUUUUGUUUGGUUUUCGUAUGCAGGCGUCUUCAGGCCUAUCCCAGGGGAAAUAAUUAUUAGGGAUAUAUAUCCCACAUUGGAAAUUAAGUAGGAUACUGACUAGUAUAUAAGAUAUAUGGGCCUCUCCACUCAUUUCCAAUUGGUUUUAGGUUGGAACCCCACAAUCUAAUAUGGUAUCAGAGCCCGAUCCGCACAUACUCAACCCAAUCCACAAUCGGUCUGGCCCAUAAUUGGCUCACCGAUUCAUGCCCGAAUAUAUCGAGAUUUAUGGCGAAAAGAGCCAUCAUCUUGAGGGGACGUAUUAGGGAUAUAUAUCCCACAUUGGAAGUUGAGUAGGAUCCUGACUAGUAUAUAAGAUAUAUGGGCCUCUUCACUCAUUGCCAAUUGGUUUUAGGUUGGAAGCCCACAAUCUAAUAAUAAUAAGGCUAAUCAUAUGUCUUUAUAUCUAUAGACGUUCCUAAUAAACAAUCUUUGCCUAUUGGAUGGAGAAGACAUGCUAAAUUCUCUUUUGCAAUAGAAAAAUCCUCCAAACUAAGAGGUUGUUGUGUUUCUAUGCUUGUUAGUUGUUUGUUUGAGUCAAAAAUGUAACUAAUGAGAUGAAAUAUGGCUUUUGAUUUUGUAGAGACUCAACACUGGUUUGAACACAAAUCUCCUCGCUGGGGGUAUCCAGGAAUGAUUACCCACACUCAAAUUAAUACCAUAACUUUACUGGUGAAUGAAGAAAUCAUAGUUGUUGCUAAGGUCGAAGUUCUUGAAGUUGUCAAUGGAAAACUAGGUAUAUCAGAAGAAUCUUCACAAGAAAUGGAAACCAUAGAUAUCAAUGGUUUUCAAAUUCUUCCUUCACAAGUACGUACAAUACUUUUUUGUUGCUUUGUAGACAGUAAACACAUGGAAUAUGAAAAUACGAAACAGUAAGAGUCACACUAUAUCCUUUCCUCUCGCAGGUAGGAUUGGUGAAGUCUUUGUUUGAAAGACACCAAGAUAUUGCAUCCAAAUUUCGUCUAAAGAAUCCAUGUUUGAAGAUGGCGUACAUGAAUUUUCUCUUGAGCUUAACCCAAACGCUGGCUAAAUCUACUCAAGAACUCUCCAAUGAUGAUCUCUCUGGUGCAGGCACUGCUUUGGCAUAUUUGAGAGAAGUAGGGUUUAAGUUAGAUUGGUUGGAGAAGAAGCUUGAUGAAGUUAAGGAGAAGAAGAAGAAAGAGGUGGCUUGUUUGGCCCGGCUGAAAGAAAUGGACGAAGAGCUUCAGCCCUUUAAGAAGAAGUGCUUAGACAUUGAAGCUCAAAUGGAUAAAGAGAAGGAAGAGCUGUUAGCAGCUAGAGCUCCUCUUCCCUUGUACGAUGACAAUGUUGUCUGAUGACUUGAGAGUAAUGUUUUUUCCGGUUUUAAGUUUACGAUCUUGUUUAAUAUCUAUAUUUAUGGAUAAAAAUGAAUUGGCAUUUGAAAAUAAAUCCAAAUUACUAAGGUUUUUUUUUUUUUUUUGACAUCAUUACAAAUAAUAAAUCUCUUUUGAGAGGGACCGGGCUCGAACCCGUAUCUGCUGAGAAGGCAAACAGAGGUGAGAACCACUAGUUCACUCGCUCCUUCUCCAAAUUACUAAGGUUUAUAUUACAAGAUUAACGCUAUAUAUUUAUAGCUCUAAAUUUGGAAAAAAAAUCUAUGGCUCUAAAUUUACAGACAAAAAUCUAAAUGUAUACCAAGCAAUCAAAGACUAAAUUAUUUAUUAUGUGAAAGAAGAUAUAUAAAACAAAACAAGGGUGAAAAUGUAUAAACACCACUCUCUAUCUUGUUUAUCUAAUUUUAAAAAAAUACAUAGCUAGAUAUUUAAUUAUAUAGUCUUAUAUGUCUAUACAAUGAUAUUUCCCUUCAUAACACACAUGACACAUCUUACAAAACUUGUCUUGGGAAAGAAAAACAGUUAAACGAUGUGGUUCAUGAUUAUGUCUUUUUUGUUUUUCGUUUUUUUUUUUUUUUAAAGUAUCACUGUUUUAAACUUAACUUAGGUAUAAACCAUAUGCAAGAAGAGGAGCCGAAACCUUUCGCAUUCCUCUAGUCUUUCUAAUUUAAACGUGGAAGCCUUUAAAGUUAUGGCUUAACUGUUUCAGUACAUUGUCCCUGUCUCUUUUUUUCGACUGAGGUUAUAAUCGUUCGUUUUUUAUUUUUUCCAUUUUCCUUCCUAUAUCUAUGUCAAGAAAACAAGAAAAGCUAUUUAGAUUUAUUUUCAUAGAGGAAUUAUUUUUUUUGUUUGGUUAAGUUUCACUUAGAAUCUGAGAUUGUUCUUUGACUUUUAGAUUUACAAAAUUGUUGUGUAGCUAGGAGUCAUUAUAGAGAUCAAUGGAGACAAAGCUUGAAACGGUCUCGAAGAUUACUUGGGCGAUAAGAAACUUCGCUUCGUUGCAAUCAGCAUCGAUUUAUUCUGAUAAUUUCAUUGCUGGUGGCUUUAAAUGGUAUGAAGAUAACAAACUUUUCUUGUAAUGUUUUUGCUGACAGACCAGUUUAGGUUUAGCUGAUAUUGUUUGGUUUUGGUUUGUAGGCGUCUUAAAGCUUAUCCCAAGGGAAAUAUAAAGGACAAACAUUUGUCUCUCUAUCUACAAGUUUCGGAUAAAGAUUCUUUGCCUAUUGGAUGGAGAACACACGCUAAAUUUUCCUUAACUGUAGUUAAUAAAUUUUCAAAACAUCUCUCCACACUAAAAGGUUAUAUUGUUCUUUAUGCUUGCUUUCGUGUUGAGUUGUAAAGCAUGGAUUCAGAAAUGUAACUUGUUACGAGUUUUGGAAUAUUUUUCAGAGACUCAGCAUUGGUUUGAUCACAAGUCUACAAGCUGGGGGUAUGAAGAAAUGACUCCCCUCAAGGAUAUUUAUGCCAACAAUGGAUUUCUUGUGAUUGAAGAACUCACAAUUGUUGCCGAGAUAAAUGUUCUUGAAGUUGUAGGACAAGUAGAUGUACCGGAGGAAACAAUAGAUGUCAAUGGGUUUCAAAUUCUUCCUUCACAGGUACGCGCAACACCGUAAGAGUCUAACUGUAUAGUUCCUGUUUCUUGAUAUAUAAAGAACCUGUGGUUUCACUUUAUAUGUCCUUUCCUCUCGCAGGUAGAACCUGUGAAGCGUUUGUUUGAAAGACACCAAGAUCUUGUCUCAAAAUUUCGUCAAAAGAAUCCAUAUUUCAAGACGGCCUACAUGAAUAUCCUCCUACGCUUGAACCAAACGCUGUGUCAAUCGCCUCUAAGACUCUCCAAUGAUGGUCUCUCUCAUGCUGCAGCUGCACUUGCAUAUUUGAGAAAAGCAGGACUUGAGGUGGAUUGGUUGGAGAAGAUGCUUUAUGAAGUAAAGGAAAAGAAGAAGAAAGAGGAGGCUUGCUUGGCCCGGCUACAAGAAAUUGACAAACAGCUUACGCCAUUGAAGCGGAAGUUGUCUGAUCUUGAAGCUCAGAUGGAUAAGGAGAAGGAAGAGUUGUUAGCUGCAAGAGCUCCUCUCUUCUCCAACGAUGACAAUGUUGUCUGAUGCUGGACUCGAUAGUUCUUGGCCACUUGGAUUUUGGUUUUGCUUGAGUUUUGAUUUUCGAAAUGAGAAUUCUCUUAAUGUGAAAACAUCUAUAUGAUAUAGGAGAGUUCUACAAUACUUAUCUUUUUUAAUUAGGGAAUCUCAUUCUUUUUUUUUUUUUUGGACAAAAGGGAAUCUCAUUCUUAAAAAUCUUGAAUGCUGAAAAAAUAGAUUUUCAAAGAAACAAAAUCUAAUAACCAGUUAAAAACAACUACUAGUAAACUUGAUUAGAGAUGUCAAACGGGCCUCUAGCCCGCGGGCAUGCCCAAUACGAAGCUUAACGGGGCGGGUAUGAGCUUUGAUUUCGAAGCCCAAAAAAAUGCGGGUCUCGCGGACUCGAUCCGUUUGGUCUGCGGAUUAUAGCGGUCCUGCCCGUUUGGGAACUGCGGGUUUGCGGGCAAUCCAAGUCAUGGAGCUUCUAAACCACAGAAAUUGCAUAUUCAGUACCCACCAUCAUUUUUACACUCUUCAAUGUUUUAUUUGAUUACUUUGAUUCCUCUGCAACUAAGAGUGACAUAAAAGGGAAGGACACUAUUUUCCUCAUGAUAAAUUAGUUUUUAAGUUUAUCUUACUCUAUUGUAUUGUACGUCAGCGACACUAUGAAGGUUUCAAGUACGUAUGUAACAUUGUUGAGAUAAAUGUACAACAUAGUUCAGUUAAGUAACCAUUUGCAGUGCUUGUAAUGAGAUCGCAUUGUCUGUGUGAGUUGCAUUGAUGGGGACUUCACUGUACCACUUUACCUAACAAGAUAACACACAUCCACAUCUCAGUGUUUUUGCAUCUUGACCACGUUGUUUUACAGGUUUUGCCAAAACACAUCAUGCACCAUAUAUAUAUAUAUCUCAAAGAGCAGACAGACCUUUAGGAUCCUUUUCAAAAUGAAUCACAUUAACUAAAGCUAAAGCACUCUGUGAUAGAUCCGGUCCUUCUGAACUUUAUGGAAGAAGAAGGAUUUGCUAUUUCAAAAUAAACAUAUUUUCUCAUGAAUUAGUAAAUUAGUAAAUAUCAUUUUAAAAAAUAUUAAAUUUCAUUUAAAUAUCGAUAAUACUAUGUCUAUUAUCUAUAAAUGUAUAAAAAUGUAUAAAAAUAAUUUAGGACCCGGAUACCCGAGUUAUCUAUUCAAAUAUCCGAAUUUAUACCCGAAAUUCUGAAUUUUACCCGAAAAUCCGGAUAUUUACCCAAAAAGUUAUGUAUUUUUAUCCAAAAAUCCGGGUAAUUACCCAAAAAUUCGGGUAUUCGGGUAAAUUUUCGGGUAUUUGUGUACCCGAAAAUUCUCGGAUUUUUAAUGAUUCCGAAAAUUUAUACCAAACCAACCCAAACCCGAAUGGACCCGAACCGAAACUGAGCCCAAUUUUUAUGUUUAUUCUAUUGGGUCCUAAACUUUUCUACUCGAGAAAUCCGUACCCGAAUGGUUUUUACCCGAAUCCGACUCGAGUACCCAAAUCCCAAGGGCUACUCAAACCGCUGUAACCCUAUGCGAUAAUUCACACUCUAAGCGUUCUUAAAUGACUACGGUCUUUUUUUCCUUUUUUUUUUUUUUUUGUUUCAUCGAGAAAGUCAUCGUUAUAAACCCUAUGCGAUAAUUCGGUUACACUUAAAGAUUGUUCUUUGACUUUUCGAUUUACAGAAUUAUUGUGUAGCUAGGAGUAAUUCAUCAUAUAGAUCGAUGCAGACAAAAGUUGAAACGACGAUUACUUGGGUGAUUAAAAAUUUCUCAUCUUUGCAAUCAGAACCAAUUUACUCGGAUAAUUUCGUCGCAGGUGGCUGCAAAUGGUAAGAAGAUAAUAAACAAACUCCUCUUGUAAUGUUUUCUGCCAGUAGAAUUUACGUUUAACCAAUUGUUUUUGUUUUGGUUUUGGUUUGCAGGCGUCUUAAAGCCUAUCCAAAGGGAAAUAAGAGUGCUAAUCAUUUGUCUUUGUAUCUAGAUGUUUCUGAUAAUGAAUCUUUGCCUAUUGGAUGGAGAAGACAUGCUAAAUUUUCUCUGACUAUAGUUAAUAAAUUCCCGGAAAAUUUCUCUCAACGAAAAGGUUAGUUUAUGGUUUAUGUUACUUUUAUGCUUCCGUGUUGAGUUGUUAGGCAUUGAUUCAGAAAUUUAAGUAAUAAUGAUAUGAAAUAUGGUUUUUGAUUUUGUAGAGUGUCAGCACUGGUUUGAACAUAAGGCUCCUGACUGGGGGUUUAUAGAAAUAAUUAGCCUCACUAAACUUAAUGACGAAGAAGGGUUUCUGGUGAAUGGAGAACUCACAGUUGUUGCCAAGAUAGAAGUUCUUGAAGUUGUAGGAAAAUUAUAUGUACCGGAAUCUUCUUCACCAGUAACGGUAACCACAUAUGUCAAUGGGUUCCAAAUUCUUCCUUCUCAGGUAACACCUUCUGUUGAACCGUAAGACUAUACACUAUAUAAUAUAAUUCAUGUUUCUUUAUAUAUAAUGGCUUUGGAUAUGCUCUAGUUUUAUUUUAUGUACCCUGUCCACACGCAGGUAGAAUCUGUGAAGUCAUUAUUUGCAAGAAACCAAGAUCUUGUAUCAAAAUUUCGUCAAAAGAAUCCAUAUUUGAAGACGGCGUACAUGAACGUCCUCCUAAGCAUAAACCAAACGUUGUGUCAAUCUCCUCUAAAACUCUCCAAUGAUGGUAUCUCUAAUGCAAGCGCUGCACUUGCAUAUUUGAAAGAAGCAGGACUUGAGGUGGAUUGGUUGGAGAAGAAACUUGUUGAAGUAAAGGACAUAAAGAAGAAAGAAGAGGCUUGUUUGAUCCGGCUGAAAGAAAUGGACGACCAGGUUACGCCAUUGAAGAGGAAGUUAUUAGAUCUAGAAGCUCAGAUAGAUAAGGAGAAGGUAGAGUUGUUAGCUGCAAGAACUCAUCUCUCCUCUAACGUUGACAAUGUUGGCUGAUAUAUAAUACUUGAUUGUUCUUGGCCACUUGGUUUAGGUUCUGUUAGGUUUUCUGAUUUUUUUUCUUGCGUUUAGAUUUUUUUAUUUCGAAAAUGAGAACCCUCUUUAUGUGGAAACGUCUUAAUAUAUGAUAGUUCUUCAAUACUUUUUUUUUUAUAUGUAAGUAUUUUGCAAUUGAGUUUGAUGCCAUUCUUUAGGUCUUCUCACUGGCCAAGUAAUGACCGGCCUUGACCCGUCCAAGUAACUGACUUGUGUACUCGAUACUUGAUUUGUCCGAAGGAACUUUUGGUCGGAAAUCUGAGUACUUGCAAGUAAUUUGACCGGCCUCGUUAAUUGCCAAAUAAUUUGACUCUUGUUUUUUUAAAAAUACUUACUAGUUGAACUAAGUACAUGAGUAUAUAACUAAGUAGGAAUUACCAAGAGUCGUUACCUAGAAAUUAUACAAAAUUAAGUAAGAUAUAUAUAACACAAAAUUAACUACGAGAUAUUUCGAAAAUGCAACACAACUUCAAUAUGUUUCUUAACGAAUAUAUAAUGUCUUUGUGUCUGAACAAGUAGUAGAACACCAAGAGUCAUCACGGUCAAAAGAACAUAUAGCUUACAAUUUUUAUUUUCGCUCACGUUAUUCCUCAUCAUAGUCAGUAAUAAUGAGGAGUAUCAAAUUACGAUGAACCAAAGCAGUUCACUUUCGCUCACGUUAUUCGAGAUCCAUGCAUCGUCUUGAGAAUAUCUCUUUUAUUGGAAGCAAACACCUUUUACUACAUUUGUUUUUUUUUUUCUUCUAACAGUGGAGGUUAGAUCUCAAGAAAGCAUUUGCCUAAUUUCAUUUUCGUUUUUAAGCUCUUGUAGUUCGAACCCUAGAAGCUGUGGUCGUACCAAUGGCCAAGAUAGUAGAGAGUAAAUCAACACAUUAUUAUCCUAGUACUGCAUAUGAUGAGGACUCCGACAACGAUGAAACCGUGGACAUAAACGGUUUCUGUAUUUUACAAUCCCAGGUAAGCAAUAUUUUACAACUCCAAUUUUUUUUUACAAAUUCUUCAGGUUCAUUAGAAAAUAUGUAAAUCGAAUCAUCUUGUUUUCAUUAAUAUGUUUUACAGUUAGGUCAAGCGAAGCUAAUCUUUAAAGAACAUCCAGAGACAUCCUCAAAUUUUCAUCUAAAGAGUGUAUUUGCCAAGAGAACGUACUUGACUGCCCUACUCAACCUCGUCGACAAGAUGAACUAAAAGAAGCAGACAACACAAUUUGGGAUCUUGAAGCUGCUGGUUUCAAACUGGAUUGGUUGAAACAGAAACUUGAGGAGAUUCGUGUUAUUGUAAAAGAAGCACAAGACCGUGCCGCUCGGAUGAGAGAACUAGACCGGAAGAUCUUGGGGAAGAUGAAGGAGUUGGUGGUCCUUGAAGACAAAUUGAAGAAGGAACAGCUUAAGGCUAUGUCGGACGAACUUGGAUAUUAUUACUGCUUUUUUAUUUGAAUAAAGUCUCACAUUUUCAUUCUGUUUAACCAAAUACUCUUUAACACAAAGAUUGAAAGUUUGAUGCAUUUUGUUUUUUUCUGUCUAUUUUGAUAGAAUGAAAUGGUAAAGAAUUGCAACAAGUAGUUUUAUCUUUGGCGGUACACAAUUUCUAUGAACAUAAAAUACAUUCUACAAGUUGCAUCUCUUAUUAGUGAUUAUUUUCUUAAUUUUCUGUUAAAAGUAAUUACCAAAAUAAAAUAUUUAAAUGUAUUAUUACAACCGUUUAAUUGAAUCAUUGUAUCGUCUAGUUUGUUUUACUAACAAUUACAACUUUUGAUUAUCUUAUAAAUCGUUGCAACAUUUAGUUUGUUUGAGGAAUUAUUACAACAAUUGGUAUAUAUUUAAUAUAACUUUCUUUUGGUGCAAAACAUAAUUGUUGAUUCAUUCAAUCCCAAAGAGUACAAGCUCGUCAACCUAAAGGUGAUACAAUAGGGCUGAUCAAACACAAGAUUACAACAAACAUAGAUACAUAGAUUGGAAAUACAUAAAGCGUUGUUGAUAGAUCCAUAGGAGCUAGGAGACCGAGGCUACAACUUAAAAUGCCACAAACAUUAGUCACUAUCACAAGAAUUCGUGACGUUGGAAAAAGAUCUUUAGCUUCAGUGGUUCUCCAAUUUUUUGGGUUUCUAAUUUUCUAUAUACUCCCAAAGAUGUAUGUAAUGUGGGAUUCUAAAUAUUACUAAUUUACUAAUAUUGAUACGCACGUAACGAACGAUUCUUAGAGACCUUCACAUUUGUUUUGGAGAAAAUUGCCAAAUUACAAUAGUUAUAAACGAAUUUAGGUUUUUGAUAUUGAUAUGUCAUGUUCCUCUCUGAUCACAUAAAAAUAAAUUUAAGUUCUAUAUUCAUUUAAUUUCAUUUGUACGAAAAGGGUGAUGAUAAAUUUUUUUUCGUAACAUGUAACUUUUCUUCAAAACAAAUUUAAUGGUUAUAAUGUCUUUUAACCAAAAAAAAAAAAAAAAAUUAAUGGUUAUAUGAAUGUCUAAUACCCAACAUACCAUCGUAAAACAUUCAAACCAUAAACCUUAAAUCAUAAACUCUAAAUGUCAACAUCCAUUUAGAAAAAAAAAAUGUAUAGCUAAUAUAUUGUUGAAAAAAAAAUAUAUGUUACAGAAAAAUAUUGCACUUGGCAUAACAUUUAAAUGUUUUGCAAAUAUAUAAGUCACUAAUCGAUUUUUACUUAAUUUUUCUGAUUUUUUUUUUUUUGUUAUCCCACCUAAUUACUCAUUCUUUAGAUGGUAGUAUACAUGGCCAACCUUCUAGAUAAUCAUUCCAAUCAAACAACAUGAAAGAUAAUACCAAACAAAAACUUGACUGUGUCAAUAGGAAAACAAAAAACAAAAAAAGCAAACCUUCCUUGGCCACAUCUGAGAAUGCGGAAAAAAGCCUUUGGGCCGUGAUAGUGAAACGUAUAGAUCUUGUCGGCAACAAAAUUGGUACAGUUCACUAGUGUGAUACUUUAUCAUCACUAUUUUAGUAUUCUUUUUUGGAAUUUUAAAUUUCAUGCUCUCUUGGACUUGGUCCUGUUGCCAAAUCUUGCUUAUGCUGAUUCCAUUGUUUAUGUUUUAUGAUACUAUCAUUUCACUUAAUAAGUCUCAUUUAUUUGAUACUGAUGACUAGAACUCGAUCGAGUUCGUAUAUAUAUUAGCACGACUUGUGUUUGUGUUUGUGUACUUAGGGUUACUAUUACUUGAGUGACAAAAAUGCUAAGAAAUCAACUUUUAAGACAAAUGCAAAAACUUUUGUACCUUUUAAAAGUAGUUUCUACGUAGUACUCCUUGAUGCAAUUAUAUGUUAUACUUACUCUUGUUCAGUGGAUAUUAGAUUUGUCUUUAUCUCUAUGUCGGUAGAGAGAUUAGAAGAAGGAUCCUUAACAAGUAUCAAUAGUGGAUGACUUUUCUGUCCAAAUAAAUAAUCAUUAUAUUUUUUUUAAAAAAUAAUGUAAAAUUAUAUUAAGAAAUUAAAAAUCGUUUUUACAACAUGUGCAACGGGAGAUCAAUACAUUUGGGUUAUGAAGGAGAAACUAAGAUUUAGAGGCUAGUAUUGAGAGGUGAAUCAAAGUUGCAUUCCUUUUUCGUAUCGCCUAUCACCCAUAAGCUUAAUGGACGAGAGUCGAUCGCGCAUUUGUUUACCGAUGAAGUUUAUGAGGUGAGCUGCAGUGUUACGAGGAUCCCCAUGCUGUCGCCCAUUCCUCUCCCUCCAAAUUGUAUAAAUCGCGGUUUGAAACAAGUAUCUUGCCAUAAAGCUGUCAAGACGAGUUGGCCAUUGCCCGCCCAAAUAAAUAAUCAUUAUAACAUAUAAACAUAAUUAUGUUUGGAUUUGUAAUCAAAUACUUAUAAUUAAUAAACCCAAAAAAGAAAAAAAUACCUAACCAAAAAAAAAGAAGCAUAAAUCUAAAGAUUUAAAAGUUUCUACAUCAGAUUUAGGAUUCGAGUUUGAGAAAAUACAGUUGAAUGAAGAUUAAUGGAACUAAAGAUACCAUAGUUUAGAACAUCACAAGUAGAAUUUUUUUUUUGUAAAAGAGUCACAAGUAGAAUUAUCCAUCGUGAUUUUAUGUGUUGCAUGGCGAGUCUGUCUAUCGUAAGAAUAUCGUACAUGUUUGUGGAGAGUACUGUUCGGUGAAAUCAUUAUCCAUGAAAACUAUACAUUAUAACUGUGUUUACUACAGUUAGUUAAAUCUUAUCAUAGCAAGGAUUAGAUCAGAUAUUUUUUCUUAUAAUGUAAUUAACCACAAAACGAUAUUGAUAUAUGAUAAUAUUUAACAGUAAGAAAAAGAGAAUUCUGAAAUCUCUAGAAGUUUAUGAGUGCGCUGUGUUUAUAGAUAUUUUUGUAAACUAGUGGAGUUGUCAUUUACAUUGAUUCAAAUAUAGCUACAAACUUACUAUGAAUCCAACACGUAUAGCGGUAUAGAGAAUACUAUGGUAGUUAUCUUCUAAAUCUAAUUACUACUUCGGUUAUAAUGCGAUAACUUACUUUAACUUUACUUUUGAUAAAACAAUUGCAUUCUUUUUAUCCAACUUCGUUGUAUUUUUUUGACUUUUCUCGUUUCCUAUCCUCCUCAUUUUUUCUAUAAAUAGAGGCCAUGCAUCGUAACAUUUUAUUCAUCACUUGUGUUAACAUACUAAGAGAGUCAUAAGAAAGAAAUUGAGAGAAAAAAAAAAAUGGCUUCCAAGGCUUUGAUACUGUUGGGUCUCUUUGCAAUUCUUCUCGUCGUCUCCGAAGUGUCUGCCGCAAGAGAGUCCGGUACGUAAAAGUUUAAUAUACAUUUCAAUGAUCUAAUUCUACUAUUGGAUACUAUUCUUAAUAUAUAUAUAAAAAAUACAAGAAAUGUUUGUGAUUAGGGUAAUAUAGAACUUGGAUUAACGUACCAUUUCGUAAAUUUAUCCAACUAUUUUGUCCUAUCCAUUAUUAUGUGAUAUGGAGUACUCAUGGACGUACUAUUUAUAAGUUUUUUUUUUUUGAAAACUAUGUCUAGAAAGUAUAUUUAAUAUUGUAAAUUAUUUUGAAGAAACUAGAGAUUAUUUUGUAUAUGCAUGUGCACGUGCAUAACACUAUAUUUGAAAUGAUAUUUUUUGGGCAGGCAUGGUGAAGCCAGAGAGUGAGGAAACAGUGAAACCUGAAGGUUAUGGACACGGCGGUCACGGAGGUGGAGGACACUAUGGAGGAGGAGGUGGAGGACACUACGGUGGAGGAGGAGGAGGAGGCCACUACGGUGGAGGUGGAGGAGGAGGCCACUACGGUGGAGGAGGAGGCCACGGACAUGGAGGAGGAGGACACGGUCUUGAGGGAUACAACGGAGGACAUGGUGGUCACGGAGGAGGAUACAACGGAGGAGGAGGUCAUGGAGGUCACGGAGGAGGAUACAACGGAGGAGGACACCACGGUGGAGGAGGUCACGGGCUUAACGAACCUGUUCAGACUCAGCCCGGUGUUUAAAACUAAUAUCAUGUAUUCACCACCAUGCAUGGUUGCACUUAAUAUAUACAUGUAUGUGUACUCUUAGUUAUGCUUAUGUGUGUGUAUGACUAUAAAUAAACCAUGGUGAGUUUGUAAUGCAGUCCCUUCAGAAAUGUUUUUGCAAUAAAGUUUCAUGAAUAUCAGCAUAAUUUCACUAUGUUUCAUAAGGACUUAAUUAGUAUAAGAAUUUAAAGUCUCAUAAUAUUCAAAAUAAAUUGAUUCAUUUAGUUGCUUCAAAAAAAAUUAAUGGUUGAAAUGAUGAAUAAUCAAAACGACAAUAUAUAUAUCACUAAGAAAACAUGGUAUUGUUUACCAAUUUUCUUACAAAAAAAUUAGAGGCUUCUUUAAUUUUCGUUAGUGUUUUACUCAAAACAUAUACACAGAUUGAUGUGUUUAAGUAUCCCACCAAGAGCCACACUUUCUACAAGUGUAGUGUCUUUGUUAGUUUAUAAUUGAGUUUCAGUUUUAAUAUUAUAACUAUAUAUGUAUGUUAAGUUUUAUCGUAAUAAGGUAGUUAUUUGUCAAAAGUCACAAAUGAAGUAAAGACACAACUCUUCUCUUCAAGUUGUAACUCCUUAUGUGGUGUCUUUCAGUUGGAUUUAGAUGAACUCUCAUUGCAAUUAGUAUUUACAAAAAGCUUUUUUUUUUUUUUUUUUUUUUGUCUUGAGGGAGUGAAAAGCUGUGCAUUGUUGUAACUACGGUGUAUAGAUUGAGAGACAGGGAGAGAGAGAGGUGUAUCCUUUUAUGAAUACUACUCUUGUACUCUUCUAGUUUGUCUUAAGGUUCCUCUUUGUCUAGGUUUGUGUUAAGAACUGGUUUAUUACUUGAAGUGAGCUUUUUUUUUUUAUCGAACUUGUUCUUGUUUUUUCUAGGCAACGGUGAUAAAAUAGUGGAACAAAUGGCGAUGGUGGAAGCCGCGCUGGAAACGAUGGCAGUGGCGAAGAAGACUGAAGAGAAGUGAUAGUUGAUGUAGCAAUUUUUCUCAACUUAUUUAUCGGUUUGAGUUUAAGCUCAACACAAUAGGAAUACACAAAGAUGCUUCAACCCAAAUUAAUCUAAAUUAAUGAGAUGAGUUUUGAUUUCUAAAUGUAACUAACAACCCAAAAUAUAUAAGACAAAAGAAAGCAAUGAUCAAAAGACAAAGAAGAUUCAAAUUGAAGCAAAACGGAAAAAAACAAUUCACUAAACGAUAACUAAAAGCGAAUCCUCUGAAUUAAUGAAAUCGAUCAGAAGAAAAACGAAGUGGAUUAUGCAGCUAACAACUACAAACAAACAAAAAUCCAAAGCUAUAGACACUUAACUAGACUAGUGCAUUUUCAUUACAAUAAUCAUUUCAUUAACCAAAUAAUCAUCAAAUUCUUCCAAAGACAAUUAGAUGACUAACAAGUAUUAAUAACAAGUUUAUCUAGCCACUAAACAUCCUAAUAAACAUUUUCCAAUGGCAAAAGGCAGUUAGAUGACUAACUAGUAUUAAUAACAAGUCUAUCUAGCCACUAAACAUCCUAAUCAAUAUUUUCCAAUUGCAAGAAGUGUAAAACUCUUAAAUAUUUUGGUUCAGAAAUUUCAUGGAACACUUUUCAUUGUGUGAUAUUUAGAACUUUACAAAAGUAUUUAUCUAAAACUUUCAAUAUUUUCAAAUAUAUAUUUUAUUUUCAUUUAUCUUUUUCUUUUAACAAAAUAAAAAUACAAAAAACUAUAUAUUAUUUUAAAAGAGUUUACAUUCCUUUGAUAUAUAUUUUUAAAGUAUAUUAAUCAUAGUUAACUAUUGUAAUUUCAAAAAUGUUAAAUAAUUAGAUAUCUUAUCUCGAUUGGCUGUUUUCAAUCUUACAUGCACAAUCUCAUGAGCUACUCAUUUUCUUAACUUUUGUAAUUUUUAGCUAAUUUUGUAGUGUAUCUCUCAAUAAGAACCAAAAAAUUUAGUUUCUUAAAGUUGUGCCAUAGGUAAAAAUGGUUUAUGCAUCCGCUAAAAUAACAAAUUUAUAUGAACUCGAAUUCUGGUGAAAAAGACCAGAACUAUAUUUCACGCAUGAUCUGUUGGACUAUCACUUCACUUAUUUGGAUCUUGCUAUGAUGAUUCCAUUGUUUAUGAGAUUAUCACUUCACUUUGUGACUCAUUUAAGUUUAUGCAUUUGAUAAUUACGAAACUCAUAUCAAUUUGGACCAUAUAAUUAGUCUCUCUAUAUCAUAUAUCAGCUAUAUAAACUGUAGUGGCUAGUAGAACUCGAGUUAAAAUUAGAGUUACCAUUAAAGUCUAUAUCAUAUAGCAAUCAGCUGUUUCAUUUCUAAAUCAGUCGCCUGUCGUAAUCUCAAAUAGUAAAUAUAGAGUGAAAGAAAAUUCUAAGAAAUUCUCACAAAUGAACUAGCUACAUGACUACACUUAGUAACAUGGAAAAAAACUUAGGUACUGGCUAAAAUAUUCGUAUUCACGAUGGCCAAGCAAAACUUUCUACGUACGUAGUACUCCUUUAAGCAAUUUUGCUAAUUAAUAUUGUUCAGUGGAUAUAGAUUUGUCUUUAUCCCUCUGUCGGAAGAAGGAUCCGUAACAAGUAUCAGCCAUAGUGGACGACUAAUCUGUCCAAAAAGAUAAAUCAUUAUAACAUAUUUACAGAAUUACAAUCUAAAUAUUUUAACAGGAAAUUAUAUUUAAUUAAAUAUCAAACUUUUAAGAUUUGUUCAAAGAAUAUCUCUAAAAAAAUUGAUUAAGUUUUAGUUUCUUAAAAUGGCAUAAAGUAAAUAUUAAAUUUUCAACUUUCAAAACCUAAAUUUUAGAUUAUAAUUAAACACUAUACCCUAUUCCCUAAAAAUAUUCUAUAAUUCUAAAUAGUUUAUUCAUACUCAAAAAAAAAGUCUAAAUUUUUUUAAAAUUAGUAUUUAUGUUUGUGAUAAUACUAUAUUUUUGAUAAUAUUUUGAAAUAUUAAAUUAAUAGCAGAGUUUUGACAACAAAACUUAAAAAUAUAGUAUUAUGAGGCAUUUCUCAGAAAAAAAAAAACAUAACUAUUUGAUACGAUAAAUAGUUACAGAAAUACUAUAAUAUGGAAGUUUAUGAAUGCACUUUGUAUAUAAAAUUACUUUUUAAACUAGUGGAGUUGUCAUUUACAUUGUACAUUGUACCAUAAGGGUCUAUUACUUAUAUCUCCUAAAUCUAAUUACUACUUGUUAAUAUUGUAAAUAUACUUUAACUUUACUUUUGAUAAAACAAUUUCCUUCUUUUUAUCCAACUUCGUUGUAUUUUUUUGACUUUUCUCGUUCCCUAUCCUCCUCAUUUUUUCUAUAAAUAGAGGCCAUGCAUCGUAACAUUUUUAUUCAUCACUUGGUUUAACAUACUGAGAGAGAUAUAAGAAAGAAGUUGAGAACAAAAAAAUGGCUUCCAAGACUUUGAUACUGUUGGGUCUCUUUGCAAUUCUUCUCGUUGUCUCCGAAGUGUCUGCCGCAAGGGAGUCCGGUACGUUAAAGUUUUUAUACAUUCCAGUUCGUGAUCGAACUUGAACUAACGUACCAUUUAGUAAACUUGUCCGAUCCAUUAUGUGGACUUAGUUAAGGCAAGACAAACUUCACGUAAGUCAUAUGGAGUCAUGUACGUACUAUUUAUAAGUUUUGUGCAAAUUUUGUUAGAAAGUAUCUUAUACUUUGAAGUCUUUAAAAUGAAAAAAAAAGAAUUGAAACCGGGAAGAGGAAUGAGCAUGUGCACGUGCUUACCAAUAUGUUUGAAAUUAUGUUUUUUUGGGCAGGCAUGGUGAAGCCGGAGAGUGAGGAAACAGUGCAACCUGAAGGUUAUGGCGGCCACGGCGGCCAUGGCGGUCAUGGAGGCCAUGGUGGCCACGGAGGUCAUGGACAUGGAGGAGGAGGCCAUGGACUUGACGGAUACCACGGAGGACAUGGUGGUCACGGAGGAGGAAGUUACGGAGGAGGUGGUUACGGAGGCGGAGGUUACGGAGGAGGUGGUCACGGAGGAGGAUACAACGGAGGAGGACACCACGGAGGAGGAGGCCACGGGCUUAAUGAACCUGUUCAGACGAAGCCCGGUGUUUAAAACUAUAUAAUGUAUUCACCACCAUGCAUGGUUGCACUUAUAUGUACACUUAUGUGUGUGUAUGACUUUAAAUAAACCAUGGUGAGUUUGUAAUGCAGUCCCAUCCCUUCAGUGAUGUUUGGAAUAAAGUUUCAUAAUAUCAGUAUAAUUUCUCUCUGCUUGAGUUAUAUUUGCACUGUUUGCAUAAUAAUUUCGUUUCUAGGUCAUAUCUAUUACUCUCUAUAUAUCGGUUUAUUAUUGUUUCCUUAAUAUAUUCUUAGGGUUGAAUUACUUUAUAAAAAUAUUACCAAACACCUAGAGACUAUCAAGGUUUUGCAUAUAUACACCAACAUUUACAAAGUUUAGUAAACAUACAUAAGUUCCAUGAGGACUGAUCUUGUAGUUGACUAAAACCAAACUGCAAGUCUCACUUGUAUAAGAUUUAAUUUAAUGACUAAUAGAGAUGCUUGUAAAAUUUGAUUAUGUAAUAUAAGAGAAUGUUUUAUGACUAAGUGCUAACAGCUCAAUUGGUAAAGAUCUCUGACAAAAAGCUUAGAGGUUGUCGGUUCGAGUAGCGUUUGGGACGAAACCAUAUAACAUGCUCUGGUUUUUGGCCUGAUGGGAUGUAUGGGCUUCAGUUUAUAACUUAUUUGAUUAUUAAAAAAAAAAAGAAUGUUUUCUGAAUUACUAGUGAAAAAAUUUAAAUUUUACCUUAGUCAUAAUAUUGAAAACGAAUUGAUUCAUUUGGUUGCUUCGAAAAUGAAAAAAAAUAUAUAUAUUAUGAGAGUGAAACACACAACAUAUUUUUUCUGUAAUUUUGGAUUUUAUUCGAAAUGCGAGCUAUAGAAGGAAAAGCUAAGGAUAUAAGUAUUGAGAAAAUUUAUCCAUAGAAAAGACAAUAUGAUGAAUUUAUUGGUAAUUAAACGUUAUUAUCCAUAGAAGAAACAUUAUAAAAUUUAAUUUAUAUUCACAUGAUUACACAUUUUAAUUUAGUAUAUUCAAACAAAAAUUUCAAAUAUAUAUAUAUAUAUUGAUAUAUCAAGCUAUGAGUUUAUUUGAUAAAAGGUGUGAACUAGCACAGGGAAAAAUAGCCAAAAUCCAAAAUCCGAAUCAGAUCCGACCCAAAAAACCGAUUAAAACCGGAUUCGGUUACUACUGAAAACCCGAUCGGGUUACAAAUAACUUUUACCACGCACACAAAUUUAUUUAUUUAUUUUUUUGGUAAAAGACGCAUACACAUUUUUUAAAUACGUAUCGCUUUCGAGCAGUCCAUUCAAUUUACAGAAUUUUCACAUUGUAUCUAAAAUAUGAAAUCAUUUUUACUGAUAGGUCGAAGUGGUUAAAACAAUUACACAUUUGUAAGGUAUUGAUCUUUUAUAUAAAUUUAAUUACAUGAAAAUGCUUCUUCAAAAUACUAUUCUACUACUUGGUUCACAAAGAUGCUAUUUUACUACAAAAAGUGACCAAGUCAUAUUCUUAUAUAAUAUAUCACUAAUAAAAAGUUAAAUAUGAUAAUAUUUUUAAGUUAUGCACAACCUCGAACGACCGUAAUUAUUGUCAUUGAGCACAAAGGGUUUGGUUCGUAUAAGUUCCCAAUUUUCAUUAGCUUUCUUUUUAAUAGUGUCAGCAUCAUUCAGCCAUCGUUAUUGACUUAUUUGGUUAUUGCCUUUAAAGUUUUGGUUCGAGACUAACAAGUCAAUUCAUUGAGUGAGUGUGAGUGAGACUCUUCGUUAACACUUGCAUGGACUACAUUUCAUGAUAUCUUAAGUGACUAGGUGAUAACAUAUAGCCACGAGACACCUCACCAUUGACAUUAAUUAAAUGUUAAUGAACAUUUGCAUUUUUCUAAUUAAAUUAUCUCUAACCUUCACGUGUGUGGAUGAACACACUCGAGACUCCACGUACAUAUCUACCAUUGAAAAAAUAUGUCCUUUAUGACAAGGAAACAUAGAUAAAUUGCAAAACAAAAUCCCACAUAGUAAUAUAAUUAUAAACUAUGAUUGGAUCGCAUGUUGUCUAAAUAGAUAUCUAUAGAGCUAGAAUUUUUGAGAUAAUCACUUUUAAAAUACUAUAGUACAUAUUUUUUUUUUAUGGAUCACUCGUUCGUUUUCUUUUUUACUUUAUCGACAUAAAAUAAGAGAAAUUUUUAUAUACUUUUUUUUUUAAUUAUACAGGCCUACAGGGCCACUAGAUUUGUCUCUUUCGUCAUUAACCAAAAAACUCUCUACUCUUUUUUAAUUUAUUGUCAAUAGAAAUUCUCUAGAUGAGUUACUUUGGACGGUGGCAUAUUUAGUGAUUUUUUUUUUCUUCUUUUCUUGUUUGCAAAUACAAAAAGUUUUCGUUAUGUCAAACUUUAUUAGUUGUUUUGUUACUGAUUUACGCUAUAUAUUUGCACAUUAAAGAAUGAUAAAAGAGAAAUUGGGAAUGAAACAUUGUGCGAGACCAUAACUUCACCAGAUGUGGAUUAAUCUUGCGAACAUACACCAUUGAAACAGUUUAAUACGAAGAGCUGCCAAGAUACUUGCAAAAUCGUACAUCAACUAGCUAGUGAAAUGAUCGGAAAAAUAAAUAAUUGAGAAAUGUACGUGUAAAAGUACUAGUUGAUGUAUAUAAUUAUGGUGAGUGCCUGUCCAACAUUUAUAAAGAUCUUACUCAAAAAAAAAAAAGAAUUACCUUCCUUUAUUAUUUAAAUUCAUAAAUAAUAUCAAUUGUUUCUUUUUCCAGCUUCAAACUUAAAAAAUACCUAAUUUCAAAAAUACAAGGAACAUAAAACAUCAAAACCAAAAGAUAAUCAUAGAACCGAUGAUACAUAAGUUUCAUGAUAUAUAGACAAUACUAGAUUUGGACCCGCACGUACGUGCGAGAUUGAUUUUCAAAAACUAAGUUUGCUAUCAUGUUUGCAACAUAUUACGCACAUGUGGUGUUAUGUUUGUAAAUGUAAUUAUAUUAGCAAUAUUAUUCAAAUUCAAAAUCUGAGUUCGCACCAGUUUAAUAUUUAUUUGUUAUUAAUUCAGUUACAAAAAAAUUAGGAUUUGGUUUUGUUAUCAACUACAUUAAAAAAAAAGUAAAGAAAAGGUGGUUUGUUUAUUUUGAGACAGGAACCCGUCUCGUCUCGUUCUUUCUUAGAUGUGUCAUGUUUUUCUAUCUUAUAACCAUGGUUUUAAUAAUAAUUUAUCUAUUUGAGAUAGUGAAUUUUAGUCCAACAAAUGAAAAAUAGGUCAAUGAUUGAGACUUAUUCGUAGAUAUAUUUAUUUCGUAUAACAUUUGUAACAUAAACAUACAUUGGUAUGUUUUUAUUAAGUUUAUGAAUGCUUGAAAUAAUAAUCGCUUCACAAUAAACUUUGGAUCGAUAGGAUAGCGAAUCCAAAUUGAAUGUGAACCAGAUUAGUAAUCAUCUUAAUUUCCGUUAAACCCGUGAACUAUCAGACCGGAUGAAAAUUAGUUUCAAAAUUAAUGAAAAUUAAAUCUGCUGAGAAUUAAUGACAGCAAAAUAAAUAAUUUUAACAGAAAAUAAAGAUGAUUUCCAUAAUAUUAGUUUUGGAAAUGAUUGAGGUUUGAGAUUUUGAACUUUAUGAUUAGUAUCUAUGAUAUAAAUAAAAUUUUUUAUAUAUAAACAUAAAAUCAUGUUACCUAUUUUCAAGUGUGGUAAAUGGUAUGAAAUUUUAAUUGCUUUGUUAUAUUAGUUACGUAUAGUAGUAAUUUUGGGGAUUUAGAUUUUGUUUUCGAUUUCCUUUCCAAUUUUUUUUUUUAGUUUGAAACGACUUUUUAAAUAUUACAAAGUGUGUAAUUUAUUUAUUUUAUAUUAAUUAUGGUUAAUACUAAUUGUGAAGGAUCUAGAUCUUGUUUCUUUUAUAUAAUUUUAAUAAUUAAAUUCACUUCCUAAAUAAUUAAUAAGAAAUUGUAUGGAUUCCCAAAGUUGCGUUCUUUUUUUUGGUGGAACCCAAAGUUGCGUUCUUGUAAUAGGGUUUCCUAAAUUAUUAAACGCUAAUUGCCCCUAAAGAAUGUUUGAUUACAAAUUUAUUUUAUGUUAAAAUGACAUUAUAUUUCUUUUUGACAUUAUAUUUCUUUUUUUUUUAAAGAUCUUGAAAUGUAUUACGAUUUUCUAAAUUAUUUAAUUCUAAUUGCAUCAUAAAGAAUGUUUGGUACAAAUAUAUUUUCUGUUAAAAUGACAUAAUAUUGGUUCUUUUUUUAAGGGAUUCUUUCAUAUAUUUAUUUUCUGUUAAAAUUAUUUAUUUUGCUGUCAUUAAUUCUGUUUGGUUAUAGGUUUAGGAUUACAUAAAAUGUAAUUUUUUUUUUUAAUUCUGUUUGGUUAUACUUAUAAAAAAUCUUCCCUUUUAAUAGUAUAGAUUAAUACUACUUAAUAAAUAUGUCUAUGUUAGAUUUUUUUUUUAAUUUGAUAAACUAUAAUAUUUUGGAUCUUAAGUUUUUUUUUUUUGUUGGUUUAAUUUGGAUCUUAAGUUAUUGUUUAGGUACGGUUGCUUAUAUUACGGGUGGCUCUUCCUAUGGUUCUUCCUAUAAACUUAUAGAUCCCUGAACUAAUAAUAUCUAUGGUGGCGAGCUAAUAUCAUUAAUUUUUUUUAAUGUAUUGUUGGUUUAAAUCGGAUUAAUCAAAAUGUGUUUGAUAACUCUCCUAUAACACAUAAAGUGAUUAUGUAUAAAAGAAGAAAAUGAAUAAUCAGUUAAAAUAUAGAAAACUAAUGAAUUUAACAAUGAAAUAGUCAAAAGUGAGAUCAAUAGCUCAAUAGCCUAACUGGUCAAAAUCUCUAACAAAAAUCUAGAAAUCGUCGAUUUGAAUAGUAUUUAAGAUAAGAUUAUACUACCUAUUUUAAUUUCAGGCCUGAAAACAUGAAUAGAUUUCGUUUCAGAGAAAAUUACUCUAGUCGAAAUACUAAUAUAUAUGUUUUAUAUUCGUAAAUAAAAUCUUAUAAUAAGUUAUACAUUAAAUAUAUAAAGAAAAUUAUUGAUCAUUUUGGAGAAAAAUACAUCGUUGCUCAGGUCAAAAAACGCGGAAAGCCCUUUCGAGUCAGUGCAUUGAGAUCUUGUCGGAUAACAAAAUUGCUUGUCUUCUGUAAUAAUACUUUAUUAGCACUAGUUUUUUUUCUUGCUCCGGUUUCUAAACUCUUCCUUAUGAUUCCUAUGAUUAUAAUGAGACCAUAGUAUUAUAUCAGUCUCUAACUUUAAAUUAUGCCUCUUUGAUUACGAAGUUCUUUACGUUACCAUUGGACCCUAGCUAGAUCUCUCUAUAUUAUGCAAAAUCCACUUUGUUCUCCGGAAAUAUGUAUUAUAUUGUUUUGCACAUUAGAUGACUAAUGACUAAUUAAGCUACCAUUACUAGUUUCUUGUGCUUUAUAUAUAUAUUAAUAUAUAUGUAUAUUAAUUCCUGGGGGAUAUGCAAAAAUAUGUUUUUACAUACCUUUUUACAAAAAUAUCAUUAGAUCGUUUUUAUUGUUUAUUUUCAAUAAUACCCUUUUUAUUUUUAUAUUCUCGAAUAAUUUUAAAUGGAUACAAUUGAUAGUAACCGGUUUAUAGAGUUAUAGUGUUAUAAUAGAUAUAAAAGAAGAGUGGUAAAAUAUAUCAAGGAUAAUAAAUUAAGUAACAAUUAUAUAUACAAGGCUACAAAAUAGAGACUACGCUACCAUCCAAAUAAUAUUUCUAUGAAUAUUGAAAAUGGUUUCAGCAGAAAAUAUAAAAUAUAAAAUAUAAAUAUAAAGGGACCCUCUAAAACAUUUUCAGAAAUAUUAAAUAGUUAUGGAUGGAUAGCAUAUAAUGCAUGUGAUGAUAAAAAAAAUUUAUACUCUUUAAAGUAUUUUCUAUGACUGUUAACGUUUAUUAAUAAGCUAUUCAAAAUGUAUAGAUAAAUAAACCGCACUGUUUAAUAAGCUAGCUAUUCACAAUUCAUAAGAACGUUUAUAAGUAAGAAUAUAUUACAAAAAAUGAUAAAGAAAUGCGAUUACACUAAACAUUUUCUAGGUUUUUAACCUUUUAUAUAUUACAGUUAUAAGUAAAGAGUGUAGAUGGAACUAUGCGACCUUCCAAUAUUUUUCUUCUUUUCUUUAAACUUCAAACUUGAUCAUAUUUUAUUAGAGAGAAAAAGAAAAUCCAUGAGAAACAAAACCAGGAAAUUAAAAUUGAGAAUUAUAAAGAUUAUGAUAAAUUAUUAAAAAUGCUUACAAAAAAUAUAGAACAAAGUGUAUGAGAUACCAUAGUAACAAACAUAGUUAUCAAAUUCACGUCUAUGUAAAAUGUACCUAGCAAGGAUGGAUAACAACAAAAUGUCUACUACACUCAAUAACUUCAGACAAGACUCGUCUCCUCUACGAAUGCAUCAAGCCAACUUUACGCUUAGGUACCUUGGCUUAGUUAGAUAGAUAGUUUGAUUGCAAUCAACUAUACCCAAGCAAAUUCCCAAUAAAAUCUUCAUUAUUGAGACCUUCAAGGUAAGUCCUUAGUAAGUUACUACAUAUUACUCCUCUAUCAUCUACUUCACUCAUUUUAGCUACUCAUAUUCACUGAAUACAGCUUUAUCUGUCGGCAGAGAUUGGAAAGAAUAUACUUAUAACAAAUAUCAAUAUAGUGACAAUCAAUACUAUACGACUUUUCUACCCAAAUUCUAAAUAUCUACAUGUGUACGACUCCAAAAAGACUAGUGGACUAGCCUAGCCGUUUACGGAGUACUUCCAAAUUUAUUACAAUGAGUCCAACAACGGACCAUAAAGGGUCCCCGACGCAUGCAACACGUAUACACUAAUUUGAAUUCUUAUCUUCUUACCACUUUGGUUUUAUUGUAAUAUCUAAUUUUAUUUCAUUACUGAUUUAGUUAUAUAUUUGACUUUUCUCCUUCCCUAUUCUCCUCAUGUUUCUAUAAAUAGAGGCCAUGCAUCGUAACAUUUUAUUCAUCACUUGGUUUAACAUACUAAGAGAGUUAUAAGAAAGAAAGAAAAAAAAAAAUGGCUUCCAAGGCUUUGAUAUUGUUGGGUCUCUUUGCAAUUCUUUUCGUCGUCUCCGAAGUGGCUGCCGCAAGUACGUAAACUUGUUUGAUAUUAAGUUCAUUUCAUCAGUUUUAAUAUUAUGUUUAUGUUUAGGCUAAUUGAAUAUAUCAUAUUAAAGAAAUGAUAUUUAUAUGCAAAUUUUAUGUAGAACGUUAACGUUGUAAAGUUUUUUUUAUUAAAGAAGGAGGACUUGUGAGUUUAUAUGCAAAUGUUAAGUUAAUACACAAGUUUGAAAUUAGGUAGAGGCAUGCACAUUUACAAGUGCUAACCAUGUUUUUGUUUUGGACAGGCACAGGGAAGCCAGAGACUGAGGAAACUGUUCACCCUGAUGGUUAUGGUGGUGGAUACAACAGAGGAGGAGGCGGUGGCCACGGUGGAUACAGCGGAGGAGGACGCAAAGGAGGAGGAGGAGGACACGGGCUUAACGCAGAAGGACAAAACUAAUGUAAUGACCAUCAUGCAAGAUUUGUAUCUAUAUAAACGCUUAUGUGUGACAAUAAGUAAACCAUGGUUGAAUGUGUAUUGAAGUUAAGUACCUGAAGAAGAGAAACCAUGGAAAAAAAAAGUUUCAUAUAUAAUGUAAUGUCGUCUUUGUGUUUGAGUUGUAACCUUCUCCAUUUGCAUAAAUAAAUCAUUUCUAGUUUUAUGUUACUAUCUUUUGUUUUUUUGGUAAGAGUUUUGUUUACUUAUUCGUACUCUUAGGGUUGGAGAACAAAACGUAUAUGUAAACCAAGGCUGGCCAAUGGUUGUUAACACAAAACUUUACCAAUUCUAAUAUAAGGUUAGUUUGAUGUGUGUGAACAAAUAUGCAAAAGCAGUUUAGUGACUUUAUGCAUGAGAUGUUAUUAUGCAUUUAAUUUUAAGCAGUAUAGGGAUAGGAAAAGUUUGCAAACAGUCAUAAUUAUGAAUAUGUAUCUUUGUUUCAUGAUUAUAAUAAUAAAAUGAUAGAUGCAUAUAUCAAAUUAACGAUAGUAACAGUUCAUUAUAUUAAUUAACAACAGAAUAUUUUUGAAUUUGAAUAUGUAGAGAUAAAUCAUGUUAAUUAUAUUAAUUAUACAUUUAUAGAAAAUAUAAAUAUAUGUAUAAUAAAUAUUGUUAUUUUUAAACCACACAAUUGUGUUGUAUAGUUCAAAAUCAAGAUUAUAUAAAUUAUUUAUUAUCCAUUCAUUAUGUAUAAAUUUGACUAUAAAUAAAUUUAUAAACGUAUGGCAAUGUUAUAUUUUAACUUAUAGCACAAAAAAAAUUUUUGUUUCCAAAUUUAUCACACAAUUUAUUAAGUUUUAAUCAUCGCACCAUAUUUCAAGAUUAAAUCAUAAACUCUAAACACUGAACCAUACCUCCUAAAAUCUACAUCAUAAAUCUAAAAUAAUAUUUUCAAAUCUUAAAAAAGAAAUAGAUUCUAAAACUAAUGUCAAUUAGUGUUAUUUUUGGAAAUUUAUGUAGUAUGUGCUAUAAUUUAUCUACAAAACUUACUAUUUUAAGCUAUUUCUCGAAGUAUAUUGACUCCAAUUAAAAUUAGUUUGCAACCCCCAUGCAAAACUAAUCAAAACACAUGCAAAAGAAAUAAACCGACGCUAAUUUAUUGGGAUUUAUGUAGAAACUUAAAAACCCACUAGUAAUGAUCUACGGUUAAGUUCAAAAUCUAUAAAAAACUAGUUUUCUAGCUAUAAGAUAUAUGAUUUUUCUAGAAUUUAUAUAUAGUUCAAAUUUUGCAAUAGUUGUUUUUUUUUUGCCUCAGGUAACUAAAUUAUAUGCUUGCCUGAGUUUUAAGUUGUGAGGAGGAUAUCAUCAAGCGGACAGAUCCCAUGAAGUUGACAUGAACCAUCUCUUCACGGUUUGUAGAACUCACCUCUCUCUCAGAAAUUGAUCUUUCACACAACAUCUUACUGGCACCAUUUCUUUUGAGCUCACCAAGUUAAAUAUGACUAGUGACUCAAUGUAUCAUUUUAUAAACUUUAUGGGAAAGUGCUGUAGGAGAAUAGUUGUAGUCUUGUAUAAGCAUUAUCCGAACACCGAGACCUAAACAUUUUUAUAAUACCAAUAUUAAGAAAAGCAUUGUUAGAUAUAAAAAAAAUAUAAAUACUAAAUUACUAUUGGAAUUAUUGGGCUGCGUAUAGAGAGAAAUUUUUUAAGUAAAGGUAAUUUUUGGUAAUGUGUUAACUCAACUUGUAAAAAAUUAAUUCUGUUGUUUGCAUAAAUUUAUAAUGACGAUAUAUUAUUAUUAUUAAAAUAAUUUAAAUAAAUAAAAAAGAAAAAUCUAGAGAAAAAGUAAGUAAAACAUAAGAAAAAAAGAGCAAAACAUAAGUAAAACUUUUAUAAUAUUAACAAGAGAAAUACAUUAAGAUAGCACUAUUCUAGAUUUUUUUUCCAAAGUUAGCAUACACGCUCAAGUAUUCUAUAUCUAGCAUUUUUUAAGAAUAAGUAUAUAAUUUAAAUGAAAAUAUUAUUAUUUAAAAGAAAAAAAAUUCAAACUCAUGAUCUAUACCUAGAAAAUUACCUGAAGCGAUGCCCCAAGUGUGUCUCGUACGAACGGCGUAAACAGAGACACACUCACACAAUGACAUCUUCUAACCAAAGCCUCGUCGAAUCGAUCCGACAUCGAGGUGAAACCCCAAAGCUGACGUGCAUGCUUCCGACGGAGAUGAAGCGUUUAGAAGGAUGAAGAGAAAAAGAAGCGAUUUUCUGAAAAGUAAUAUUUGAUGGAGAUUUGCGUAUAUAAUUUUGUGCUAAUUUUAAAUUAUUUAAUAGUGUGUGCUAAUUUUGGACUAAAAACUUAAAUCUGUGCUAUUUGUGAGAAUUUCCCUAUUAACAAUCUGUAAAUGCUUUCUAUUGUUGCAUAUUUCUAUGGGAAAAAUGCCAUUAAAAUCCUGGAGAGUAAGAUUUCGUUGAUUUAAAUCAUGUACUCUCCAACUGUUAAUUUAAAUCACAAAAUUUUGGUUGACUCUCUCUUUAUUAUGAAACUUUGGUUGACUUUACCAAUUUAAGUACAUCGUUAAAUGGCCGGACAGAACAAUUAAAUGGGGUUAAUUCUCGUUAUCGAUAUCUGUCAAAUACAAAACGAAACCGUUUUAAACAUAAUCCAAAACGAAACCGUUUUAAACAUAAUCCAAAACAUUGAUAAUCUUUCGUAACCUUUCGUUAAAUAACAAUGAUAAUCCAAUAAUCUAAUUUAUCAAAAUAUCAAAAGACUUGUGGGGUUUCCAUUUAUGAAGUUUCAAAAUCAUUACAACGAUAUAAAUUAAAGGGGACCCGACACAAUUAUAAUGUGAUAAACUCUCUUAUCUUUUAUUGGCUUAUGGACUAGUUCUUUGAUUUUCUCAUCUCCUCCUACAUUAUCCUUUAAAUAGACAAGCAUGCAAGAUAACAUCUUAUCCAUCACUUGUCAGUAAGAGAGUUUUAAGCAAUUGAGCUAAUGGCUUCCAAGGCUUUGGUUCUGUUGAGUCUCUUUGCAAUUCUUCUCGUCGUAUCCGAAGUGGCCGCGGCAGCCGAAACACAGUCCGGUACUUAAAAUGAUUAUACAUAUUUCAAUCUAUUUAAUUUCGUUCUUUAAAAUGAGAAAUAUAUAACAAGAACUAACGUAACAUUUGAUGAUUCAUGCAUCCUACGAGGCUACGACUGUUUUUGGCUUGAGAAACUGUUAAUUUUAAAGCCACUAUAGUUAGAAAAAACUUAAGUACGAUUUAUAAUUUUUCUAUUUACCAGACCAGCUCGAGCUAUAUUUUGAACGUAUGUUUAGUGAAAAUCAUAUCGUGAAUACAUACUGAAUCAUAUAAAAAUCGUUUUUUUUUUUUUUGGAUUUUACUGAUGUCAAAAAAAUAAAUUUACAUAUUUGAAAUAAUGUGUUGUUACACAAUGAAGAUUGAUGAAACUGUGCAGCCUGAUCAAUAUCGAAGAGGAGGUUACUGCUAUCACGGCUGUUGCUUCAGAGGUUAUAAUGGCUUCUGCACAAGAUGUUGCUCGUACGCUGGAGAAGCUGUUCAGACUCAGCCUGAUCAGUGAAACAAUAUACUCUCUUCACCACCAUGUAUGAUUAAUGCAUUAUAUAUGUGUGAAAUCACUUUAAGUAAUCCAUGAUGUGUUUGUAAUUGUAUUGAAUGUGCCUCAAGUAUUUGAGGUAAGAUAGAUUAAGAAAAGUACUCUAGAAUAAAGUUUGAUGAUGUAAUUUUUUAUGUUUAUGUGUUUUGAGUUGUAAAAUAUAUAUUACAAAUAUAAUUGGUCUAAACUCGAUCGAUCUAACUAGAAAAAUGUUCUUUUUCAUUCAAUUUUAUAUUGGUUAAAAAAAAAUAUCGAACAACCAAAAUUAGCUACUAAUUCAUUUCUUAAAUAAAUGAACCAAAACACAUAAGAAAAAAAAUAUAAAAUUUAAUCACUUAAUAAAGGUCAAUUCUAAACAAUUUGUUUUCAUCUGAUUAUUUUGAUGUUGGAAGGCACGACGGUUGAGGUGGUGAUUGGAGCUCAAAGAUGGCUCCGUGUAAAAGAAGGUAUUGAACUGACUUGGUUUUAUUGAUUUCUCAACUUGAGUAUUUAUACAAGAGAAUGUUUUACUUUUACGGAUUGAUCCGUCAUAAUAUACAACAUGAGUGUCAAAAAAUUUAAAACAUUUUUUUUUACAAAAUUUUAUGUAUUUUAAUAUAAAUUAUAUUACAUUGAUAAAUAUUGCCCGCGCGCGGUUCCUAUCCUAGUACUAUUACUGUAAACAGUGAAUGAUGGCUUUAAGAAGUUUAUUAUCGAAAUAGCCAAAAUACUUGUGGGGUGUUGCCAUUUAUGGAGAUUCAAAAUUAUUUUACAAUGAAUCCAACAUCUAACAGUUAGGGGACCCGAUGUGAUUUACAAAUGAAUCCAUACUUAGACUUUUCUAGUGUAAUAAACUCAUUUGUUUCCUAAAAAUAGAAGCCAUGCAGGGUUACAUUUUAUAUCCAUCACUCUCUUUAAAAUACUAAGAGAGUUACAAGAAGAAGUUUGAAAACAAAAAUGGCUUCCAAGGCUUUGGUUCUGUUAGGUUUCUUUGCAGAUCAUAUAUAGAUUUCAGUCAAUUCAAUAUCUUCCUUUGGAGGUUAUUUAAGUUAAGAAAGAUGUGUUCAUAAUUUAAAUAUUCAAAUCGUUACAAGAACUAUAGUAUGAAAUUUAGAUACAUAAUUUUCAAAGUUUUCAAACGAAAAGCUAGAUUAAUCGUGUGGAGGAGGUCGAGGUUACUGCUAUCACGGAUGCUGCUACAGAGGAUACAAUGGCUGCAGAAGGUGUUGCUCGUACGCUGGAGAAGCUGUUCAGACUCAGCCUGGUCACUAAAACAAUACAACCUAUUCACCAAACGAUGCAUGAUUACAUUAUGUGUGUCUCACUUUAAGUAAAGCCAUGGUGCCUUUGUAAUGAAGUGCCUCAAGUCUUUGAGGCAUGAUGGAAUAAAAAGUAUAACCUGUGGGAAUAAAGUUUGAUAAUGUAAUGCUUAUGUGUUUUGAGUUGUAAUAUGUGCACGUUUUGUCACAAAAAGAAGAAGAUUGUGUGUACUGUAUGUUAAUCUCUUUCAGGUUUUUUUGUGUGGGUAAUAGUGUGAUAUGUACUUUGUUCCAGCAUUAUUCAUACACAUGAUACAUGCUGAAUUAAAGCAUAUAUAACCGGGUCAGAAUUAGGCAUGACCGCGUUACGAUUAUCUACGGUUUAUUAACCACCGGUUACGGUUAUAAAUUUUCUUUAACCAUAACCUUAACCUUUAUAUAUAGGGUCACAACGAUUACGGUUAUACACAAUUACCGUUAAAUCCGGUUACGGUUAAAUAUGGGUACGGUUAAUUGAUAAUUAUGAUAUAUAUAAUAUUAUAAGCAAAAUUUUAUAUUUUUUUACCAUAUCAAAUAAUUUUUAUUUACAAUAUGAAAUAUAUGUAAUUAUAUGAUUCAAAUAUUUAUAGUAUAUCAGUUAAAGAAAUUAUUUUUGUUUAAUCAAACACAACUACAAAUAUAUAAAUUAAUGGUUAUGAACCUACAACUAUUUAAAAUUAAAUUAUUUUUGAUUUGAUUAAUGGAAAUGAGAAGUGGAGUGGGUAAGAGUUACUAGUUUACACAUUUACUCAUUUAAAUUUUUUUUUUGAUGAAAUAAUUUUAUUAAAGGUUUAACCGUACGGUUAAUUAUAUGGUUAACCAAUGGUUUUCUACGGUUACGGUUGAUAACGGUUACGGUUAAUAUUUUUUUUAUAACCGUGAAUGAUUUAGUUUUUACGGUUAACGGUUAUAUUUUUUAACCGUUUUAUACGGUUACGGUUGAAAGUUAGAAAUACGGUUAAAGUUAGAUUUUGGUUAUACCUAGUAAGAAUACCUCUAAUAAAGCCUAUUAUUCAAAAUAGAAGUUUUACUCAUGUUAGUUUUAAUAGCCAAAAUUUCCGCUCAACAACCUUGUUCGUUUGCGAGUAAUGAAAUAAAACUAUUGGUGUAAGUUCCACCAUUCGUAGGAGUUUUUCCAUCUUGGAGUUAAUCAAAUAUUUGUUUCAUCCAUAUCUCUAUUAAUUUUUUCAGCCCAAAAGUUUGCUAUAAAUAAAACUACAAAAAUAAAUCAUUUCUCAAAGAAUGCUAAAACUUUUAUGGACUGCCUGUACUACUCUCCCUGAAAUAUAUCGUUUCAACUAGGUUCUUCCUAUACUUUCAGCCUCUGCCCAAUUUCACCUAUACGAUAUAUAUCUAUCAAAUUUCAUCCAAACUAUAUAAUUCUAUCCAAUUAACCAAAAUCAAUUAAAUUUUUCAAUAACGUUUUAUAAUUGAUAAUUAGAGUACACUAUACUGCGAUUUGAUUAAGUCUUACAUGAAUAUGAGAUCCCGUCUCUCUUUUUAACCGCAAAUGAACCCCCAUUUUAAGGUUUCAUCAAAAUCAAAUCAAUGGAAAAAAUAGAAAACAAAAUUAACGACUUUAAAAAGCGAAUUUUUGAUUUUAAAACGCAAUUGAGAAGCUAAAUGAUUUGGGUUAACCUUUUUUUAACCCCAAAUGAACCCCCACUUUUAGCUUUCAUGAAAAUCAAAUCAAUUUGAGAGAAAAUAGAAAACGCAAUUAUCAAUCUUAAAACACUAUUGAGAUUUUAAAAUGAUUUUGGUUGAUUGGAUAAAAUUAUAUAGUUUGGAUGUAAUUUGAUCGAAUAUAUAUCGUAUAGGUGGAAUUGGGCAGAGGCUGAAAAUAUAAAGGAAACCUAGUUGAAACGAUAUAUUACAGGAGGACUAGUACAUGCAUAUAUAAAAGUUUUGUUUUCUUUCUAAAUGCAUCUAUAUAUAUAAAAUUAACUUUUUCUCUAUUCUCCUUAUGCCACAUCAUCUUCCACAUCAGCUGCCACAUCAUCAUUUAUCUUAAUUUUUUUACAUUGAUUUAGAAUUACAACACUUUAGUUUUUAAUUUAUAGUCUACCUCAUAACUUAGCUUUUAUUUAAUUUUUAUAUUCAAUAGUGGUUUUAAGAAAAUAAAUAAUAUAGUAAAAACAUUUAUGUCCAAAAUAAAUAAAACAAGUAUCUAUUUAUAAAGUAAUGAUCAAUUUUUUAUUAAUGGGGCUAAAUACAAAACAAGGAUAUUUAUACUAUACAGAUAGAUAUACCACUAAAUUGAUGUCAUCCGAAGCCACAUCAAACGAGAACGCAAUCAAUUUUAGGCAUAAGAAGUAGAAAAAAAACUAAAAAGUAAAAUGAAAACACUUGGAUAAAUAAAUAAGUGGAUUCACCAGAAUAAUUUGGUUUACAAGAACUGAAGGCUUUUGAAAUGUAAGGUUCUAACAUCUAUUAUUUGACCUAAAUCAAAGUUAAACAAAUAACAAUAAAAAUUUCAUAUACUAAAUUAAUACAAAAACAAGAGUAAAAACAAAAAAUAAACAAAAAACAAAAAAAAAUUCAAAAUAUAAAAAAACAAUUAUAAAACUCCUGCGUGCAGCGCGGAUCAGCAACUAGUUGCAAAUAAAGCUUAAUUUUAUGAUACCUGAUUUGGUAACCUCUUUGGUUGAUUCUCUAUUAAUAUUUUCCGAUCUCUUGUACUGCAUAUUUUAAAAAGUAAUCUGAAAAUCAGUUAUUAUUCAUCCAUUACUGCUUGUGAGUCCUCCACUCCUCCGAAGAGUCAUCGGUAUAUAUAAACAUAGAAUUCUAUUUCUCACCCUUUUUCUGUAGAAGCAUGAAAACUUUUAACCAAAAAUUUCUAAUUUUUUUUUUCAGAUAUAACUCAAACAUCUUCUCUCUCUCUCUUCACAAAGAGAGUCAUUUUAGAGAAAAAAAAUUGUUUCACAAAAAAUGUCAUUCUACAUUUCCAAUGUAGAUUGUACAUUAAAUUUCCAAAUUUACCUAUAAACCAAAAGUUCAUUUUAUUAAUGUAAAAUUAUUAAUCAUUUAUUAAGUAAGGAUAAAUAUGUAUAGUUCAAAGUUUUCUAAAUUUGUGUGAAAAGCGUCAAAACAGAUGAAAUAUUAUUUUUUUCUAGAUUCUUGUGUGAUUACUCCUGCAAAACAUGAAGUCACCAUAUAAUUAGAUUCAUCCAAAGCCAACUUAAGAGAGAUGAUAUUCGUCUGGCCCUAGAGAGCAUCAUUUUUUCUUCACACAUUUUUAAUGGAAUAAUUGGAGAAAUAGACAGUUUUUGAAACAUAAUUGUAGAAAUAGUACAAUUACUAUUUACAAUUAGCAAAAUCCACAUUUUUACUAUGCUAUUUUAUUUCUUUGCCUUGUCAAUACUCAUCAAAACGUCUUAUUUACAACAAUGCCAUUAAUAUAUAAUUAAAUUAUAUUUUUCUUUCCUCUCAGAUUUUUAAUUAAUAUUUAUUUUUUUUUUCUUUUUUCUUUUUUAUUACAUUCUCCUUUCAAUCUAAAAACUAAAAUACUAGUCAAUGAAAAUUUUUAUUUUUACAAGUUUCAAAUAUAUAAAAAUCUAUGUUUUUUUCUCUAUUAUAUGAUAUGCAUUUUGUUUGAAGAUUUUAUUUGAUAAUAACAAAUAAUUUUUAUUAAUUUUAGAUAUGUACAAUUUACUAAGUGUACAGAUCUAAUCCGUACAACUUAAAACGUGUACAUAUGUACAUAUGUACAACUUAAUAAGUGUACAAAUAUUAGUAUACAAGUCGUAAACGAUUGUACACGUAUUUGUACAAUAGGAUAUAUGUACAAAUACAAUUGUACAGAUCAAACUGUAUAUUUAUUAUAUGUACAGAAAAAUGUAUGUAUAAAAACUAUAUACAAUGAUAUAUGUACAUAUAUAAUUGUAUGUAUAUUGACUAUUAUAUUGUAUUGUACACGUAUUUGUACAAUAUAAUAUAUAUGUACAAAUACAAUUGUACAGAUCAAACUGUACACAUAUUAUAUGUACAAAUGAAUUGUACAUUGUACAGAUGUCUUUUGUACAUCUACCCUUUUGUAAUUUACCACCACUACACUAUACCCCACUUUCUCAUCUAUCUCACACAUUCUGUAUCUCACAUAGUGGACCCAUUAUCUAUUUAUCCAAUUUUGAAUAGUAAAUGUACUAUAUCACAAAUUAAGUUUUGAAAAUGUACUAUAAUGCUAAUUUUCCCCAUUUUUAAUUUGCUUGUUUGAUUCAAAACUGAUUCAAUUGCCUUUUAAAGACCAUCUUUUCCGGUUAUCUCUUGUCAAAUAAGAUUAAUGUUUUCUUUUAUAUAUUUUCCUCACAUACAUUGAACAACUCUCUAAAAUCAGUCUAUAUGAUCAUGCCCAAUCUUUUGGAGGUAAAUCCAUUUUAGAAAAUGCUAACCGGCUUUUUCAUGUUUUCCUAAAAGGCAAUAAGCUCAUUGAAGUCUCCAAUCAUUAUUAUGUGAAACUUUACUACAUGAUUACUCGUUAUGUUUGGGUUUAUUCGGUUGUUUUUAGGGUUUAGUAUUUACUAUAAUGUAUGUCUUUUAGCAAAUUGUUUUUUGAAAAAUAGACAUUUUUAAAAGUUCAAAAAUAGGAAAUCUAUAAAAAUUUAACAAAUAUGGCAUAUUCGUAAAAUUUGUCAUAAAAAUGGUAUUUUCAGUAAGAACCCCCUUUAAAAAUCGCCACUAAACAAUAGCUCUUUGCGUCUGGAGCUUAUAAUAAAUAAAAAUUAAUCAAAAGAUUUCAACAUAUACGUGACUUUUAGACGAUUAACUCUUGAAUUUGAGAGGAUUUUGUUACCGUUUAAACUUUAAAGUCUGUCUCUGUCCAAACUUGCUGCAAAAAUAUUUUGUUACCCUUGUCCCUUCUAUAUGCUCCACUUAUUGAGUAUCAGUGUAUAUUUUCUGCCCAAGUAAAAAUAACAAUGCUAAUCCAAUAAUGAAGUUCUUGUGUUUAUCUCUACAUGUGUGAACACUGGCUUUAUAAGUUUAUCGAAAUAUCCAAAAGACUAGUGGGGUGUUACCAUUUAUGGUGUUUCAAAAUUAUUUUACAAUGAAUCCAACAUCCAACCAUAAGGGGUCCCGACUUAAUUAACUAAGAAGGCAUACAUACUUAGACUUUUCUACUGUGAUAAACUCCUUUGUUUUUUUUUAUUGGCUUAUGGAUUAGUUUAUUUGACUUUUCUCAUUCCCUCCUUUUCGCUUCCUAUAAAUAGAAGCCAUGCAGGGUAACAUUUUAUAUCCAUCACACGUUUUAACAUACUAAGAGAGUUACAAGAAGAACUUGAAACAAAAAUGGCUUCCAAGGCUUUGAUUCUGUUAGGUUUCUUCGCAGUUCUUUUCGUCGUCUCGGAAGUGGCUGCGGCAGCUGAGGCACAGUCCGGUACGUAAUAUGAUUAUAUAUAGAUUUCAUUCUAUUUAAUACCUUCCUUUGGAGGUUAUUCAUGAAGCUAACGUAACAUGUGAUGGUUCAUCCUAUAAUCUUGUCCUUUCGAAGUUUAUUUGGAGUCUCUCUAUAGCCAAAACACUUAAUACGAUUUUUACUCACUAAAUUUAUCAUACUAUCUCAAACUGUAUAUUAAAUUAUCUAAAUCGUAACAAAAACUUGUUAAGGAAUGCACAAUAUGCACGAGCUAAAUUGAAAUGAUAUGUUGUUUUGGACAGGCAAGGUUAAGAGCGAGGAAGCAGCUGUGAAACCUGAUCAAUAUAAUGGUGGAGGUUACAACAAUGGAGGAGGCUACAACAACGGAGGAGGCUACAACAAUGGAGGAGGAGGCUACAACAACGGAGGAGGAGGUUACAACAACGGAGGAGGAGGAUACAAUAACGGAGGAGGAGGCUACAACAGAGGAGGAGGCUACAACAGAGGAGGAGGAUACAACCGCGGAGGAGGUGGAGGUUAUUGCGGCCAUGGAUGCUGCUUCAGAGGAUACAAUGGCUGCAGAAGGUGUUGCUCGUACGCUGGAGAAGCUGUUCAGACUCAGCCUGGUCACUAAAACAAUACAACGAUGCAUGAUUAAUGCAUUAUGUGUGUAUCACGUUAAGUAAAAACCAUGGUGCCUUUGUAAUGAAGUGUCUCAAGUGUUUGAGGCAACAUAGAUAAAAAAAAAACUAUGGGAAUAAAGUUUGAUAAUGUAAAAUGCUUAUGUGUUUUGAGUUGUAUUAUGUGAUGUUUCUUAAUAAAAAUGGUUUUGUAUACUUUUAUGUUAAUCUCUUUCAGUAUUGUGUGACAGAGUUUUAUGAAACUUUCACCAAUACUAAUUUCCUACGAGAUAUUUCCUACCAAAAUUUUCUGAAAACGGUGAGAAACAGGUGUUUACUACCAUUUUUCUAUAAUAUAAUAUGUUCCGUUGGAAAUCAGACAUUUUCUUAUAGUAAUUACUAGUUAUCAAGUUGGAGGGUACUACGAUUAUGAAUCAAUAAUAAAUAGUACAUGUAAAUUUUAUUUGGCCAAACAAUUAGUUUUCAUAAAUGAUAAGACUAUACUAUGAGUAUGAGGUUUCAUGUAACUAGUCGUCCACUUGGCACUCGGCUCGCCGCAAACCCUACCAACGACGAGUAAUUACAUAUUUGUACUAUCGAUUGGAUAUUUCGAUAUGGACUUUUCAAAGAUAAAAAUAUCUAUGGAUGCACAAAACAUCUUAGUUAUUCAAAAAAUUAAAAAAAAAACAAAAAAGAUAAAAAUAUGUAUAUUUGGUAUUCUUAUUAUAAAAUAAUUUAGUAAUUUGAUUACCUAGUAAUGCUACGUAGAAAGAAUCUUGUGAUUUCAUAAGAAAAAUUAGUGAUUAACUCAAAAUAGAUUUAGCAUAGUUAUAUAAGGUUUAGCGAUAUCUAUGAGAAAAGGUGAAAACCAAUCCGACUCCAUAAUUGAGCUGCAUAAUGGUGCACUAGUAUAAUCAAAUUAGAAUUAUAUAACUAAAAUGCUUAGUCGAAUUGAUAUUAAACAUAUAUAGUUUGAUAAUAAUCAUUAGUUACAUGAUCACAUGGAUGCAAACAUGAAUGUAUGUACGUAAGAGAUCCUUAAAAAGUUAUAGCUAGAGUUAUGUCAUUUUCUAAGACCACGUUUGCGUUUACGAUCAAGAUCACGUCAAUGUCAAAUGACUACGUUCAGGCAAUCACACUUAUCAAAUUAACGUCAUAUUCAUUCCAGAAAACGUUGUUGAGCAUCUUAGAAGUGAUGAAUUAUUAUCUUUAUCAAUGGAUUUUUUAGUGUUUUUGACCUUGAAAAAGAAGAAUUGUUUUGGUUUAAAAAUCUUUAGGUGUUUAACACAUAUUUGGAUAAAUUUCAACAUUUUAGUGGUAUUUUUGAUAAAGUUUGAUGGAGUAUUUUUGAAAUUAUUCCUUCUAUUAAUUCAAGUAAUUAUUAUUUUCGAUUUGGAAAUUACAUAUAAUCGAAUAAUCAUAUCAUACAAAAAAUGCUUAGUAAAACGGUAAGUGAAAAUUUGUCUAAGUGUUUGGCUCGGAUGUGUAUAGCCGAUAGUUAAUCUUGUAAAAAACUUGGGUUAAGUAUCAAAUAUCGUUGGAUGACAAAAAAAAAAAUCAAAUAUAGUCUUGAGCCUUAUAUAUACUGCCACUAGAUAAGACUCAUCAUAACCAAAUCUGCACAAAUUAUAUUUUUCCUCUGAAAUUCUUUAUAAAAUUUGAUUAUUUCUUUUACUCUAUCCAAUUUAGUCAAAUGUGAAAAUACACUUUAAAUAUAGAAUAUUAUUAAAUAAAAUCAAAAAUUAAUUUCUUCAAACUAAUAAUAUUUUUAAAAACAUAUAUUUUAUUUUAUCGGUGAUUUUUCAGAGUUGCAUGCAGUAUAGUCCAAUAAUAGAGUUCUAGAUAUUACUAUUAUUUUUGUGCGAACGGAUCUGAUAGACAUCUAUAUGUGUGUGUGAAUACGCUUUGUUUAAGAAGUUGAUAGAGGUACAAUAUACUAAAAGAGUAAAAAGACUAGUGGUGUUGUCAUUUAUGAAGUUGCAAUUUUAUUUACUGUGAAUCCAACAACCAACCAUACUAGACGUGUACACACACUUUGAUACUUAUCUCCUUACCACUUUGUAUUUAUUUAUUGGACUACUGAUUUGUUUAUUUGACUCUCUUCCUAUAAAUAGAGAGCAUAGUGAGUAACAUUUUAUCCAUCAUCAUCACUUCAUUCACUUGUGCUUUGCAUCAUAUAUAAAAAGAGUGUUAUAAAGAGUUAACGAAGAUGGUUUCUAAGGCUUUAGUUGUGUUUGGUCUAUUCGCAGUUCUUCUUGUUGUCUCAGAAGUUGCUGCCGCUGCCUCCGGUACGUAAAGUUUAAUAUGAUGUUGUAUCCUUAAUUAUUACAUGUAACACAAACUAUGUUUUACGUUUUACAUGUUACAAAUAUUUUACUAGAAGCUUGAUCGAGAUCACAUAUUUGUAUAUUCAUUUUUUAAACUACUAAUAUCUUUGAAACAAUGUAUUAUUUUGGACAUGGUGGUGCAGUGAAGUCAGAGACUGAGGAAACCGUGCAGCCUGAUCAGUAUCAUGGUGGAGGAGGACACAACGGAGGUGGAUAUAAUGGAGGAGGAGGAUACAAUGGAGGAGGUCACAACGGAGGAGGAUACAAUGGAGGAGGUCACAAUGGAGGAGGAUACAAUGGAGGAGGUCAUGGGGGACGAGGAGGUGGUUACUGCCGUCACGGUUGCUGCUACAGAGGUUAUAAUAGCUGCAGAAGGUGUUGUUCAUAUGCCGGAGAAGCUGUUCAGACUCAGCCUGGUCACUAAAGCAAUAUAAUAAGCUGACCACCAUGCAUGAUUGCAUCUAGAUAUAUACACACUUGUGUGUGUAUGACUAUAGUGUAUAAACCAUGGUGCGUUUGUAAUGAAGUGCUUAAAGAAUAGUAAUGGGAAUAAAAGUUUCAUAAUGUAAUGUCUUUGUUUUUGAGUUGUAAUAUCUAAUCUUUGAUGUUUGCAUAAUAAAAUAUCGUUUCUAGUUUCUACUAUUAUCUUUCGGUUUUGUGUAAUAGUGUUAUUUCUUUAUUCAUACUCUUAAUUAGGAUUUAGGGUCGAAGAAAAACAUAAAGCUGAGACUAUAUCGAGGUUUUAUUUGCACACAUAAGCAUUUCGAAAAAGAUAAAAAGUUAUAUUUUAAUAUGAUUGUUUUGUAUUUUUUUUAUACAACAUAUAAAAUUGCAAAAUUUGACGAAAUUACCAUAAUUGCAAAAUUUAAAGGUUUAUUUGCUCAAAACCCAUAACUAAACAUAUCAAAUAACCAUAAAUAUUAGUUAAUGUAGUAUAUUCAAAUUAUAAGUUAGUACAUCUAUACACAUGUUUCAUUGUUAUGUGUAAAAUACCCUUAAAAACUUGGUUCAUGGCGGAAUUGUCUGUUUUUCCACUUUAUUGACGAUCAAAUAGAGAAAUAUCUUGUGGUGCGAAAUAUUCACAACUAUCGUUGGAAAUUCGUUGGAAAAUUAUGAAAAUUUUGUUUGUAGAAAUAUUGGAAUUUUAAUAUUAGUAUAGCACUUAAAAGAGUUUCAUAAAGAUAUGUGUAAGGACACCAAACAGAGAUUAUUAAUUUUAUUUUACUAAAAUGAAAUAUGUACACGAACGUUUAAAACUUUUUAACAACAUGAGAUUUCAAUAUAGUUACUCUUAUUAUGUCACAAUACAAAACUGCAUGGUAACCUGAUGAGAUCUCCAAAUUCAUUAAAACUGUCUAGCUAGUACAUGCCAUGUACUUGUAUUUGAAUUGAUUUCACGAGAGAUCCAUACCAAAACCUUUUAUCUACACAUGUUCCUGUUCCCUUCUGCUAACCUUGUCGUUUCGAUCAUCGUAUAAUUGCAAUAGCCCAUCACUAUUGGUAGGUCUCAGACAAUAUUUUUCCAAACAUUCAAUGCACAUGAAAAAAAUAUAAAAACAAAGACCAUAGUUUCACUACAUGAAAACAAAAGUCAAUAUUGUACUGAGUCACGAGAGACAUUUUUAAGUUACGAUAACAGCUGUAGCUAUAGUUUUACUAUAAAUUGUCUAUUCGAUCCCAACUGUUUUAAUGUUUUGAUCAAUAAAGAAAUUAAAAGUAUAUUAAAGAAAAGUAAAAUACAAUUUUGUUUUUUACUUUGUGUGAAAAAACUUUAAACGACAAGUAAUUUGAAACGAAGAUAGUAUAAUUUUUUAGCGAAUAAUUUNNNNNNNNNNNNNNNNNNNNNNNNNNNNNNNNNNNNNNNNNNNNNNNNNNNNNNNNNNNNNNNNNNNNNNNNNNNNNNNNNNNNNNNNNNNNNNNNNNNNNNNNNNNNNNNNNNNNNNNNNNNNNNNNNNNNNNNNNNNNNNNNNNNNNNNNNNNNNNNNNNNNNNNNNNNNNNNNNNNNNNNNNNNNNNNNNNNNNNNNNNNNNNNNNNNNNNNNNNNNNNNNNNNNNNNNNNNNNNNNNNNNNNNNNNNNNNNNNNNNNNNNNNNNNNNNNNNNNNNNNNNNNNNNNNNNNNNNNNNNNNNNNNNNNNNNNNNNNNNNNNNNNNNNNNNNNNNNNNNNNNNNNNNNNNNNNNNNNNNNNNNNNNNNNNNNNNNNNNNNNNNNNNNNNNNNNNNNNNNNNNNNNNNNNNNNNNNNNNNNNNNNNNNNNNNNNNNNNNNNNNNNNNNNNNNNNNNNNNNNNNNNNNNNNNNNNNNNNNNNNNNNNNNNNNNNNNNNNNNNNNNNNNNNNNNNNNNNNNNNNNNNNNNNNNNNNNNNNNNNNNNNNNNNNNNNNNNNNNNNNNNNNNNNNNNNNNNNNNNNNNNNNNNNNNNNNNNNNNNNNNNNNNNNNNNNNNNNNNNNNNNNNNNNNNNNNNNNNNNNNNNNNNNNNNNNNNNNNNNNNNNNNNNNNNNNNNNNNNNNNNNNNNNNNNNNNNNNNNNNNNNNNNNNNNNNNNNNNNNNNNNNNNNNNNNNNNNNNNNNNNNNNNNNNNNNNNNNNNNNNNNNNNNNNNNNNNNNNNNNNNNNNNNNNNNNNNNNNNNNNNNNNNNNNNNNNNNNNNNNNNNNNNNNNNNNNNNNNNNNNNNNNNNNNNNNNNNNNNNNNNNNNNNNNNNNNNNNNNNNNNNNNNNNNNNNNNNNNNNNNNNNNNNNNNNNNNNNNNNNNNNNNNNNNNNNNNNNNNNNNNNNNNNNNNNNNNNNNNNNNNNNNNNNNNNNNNNNNNNNNNNNNNNNNNNNNNNNNNNNNNNNNNNNNNNNNNNNNNNNNNNNNNNNNNNNNNNNNNNNNNNNNNNNNNNNNNNNNNNNNNNNNNNNNNNNNNNNNNNNNNNNNNNNNNNNNNNNNNNNNNNNNNNNNNNNNNNNNNNNNNNNNNNNNNNNNNNNNNNNNNNNNNNNNNNNNNNNNNNNNNNNNNNNNNNNNNNNNNNNNNNNNNNNNNNNNNNNNNNNNNNNNNNNNNNNNNNNNNNNNNNNNNNNNNNNNNNNNNNNNNNNNNNNNNNNNNNNNNNNNNNNNNNNNNNNNNNNNNNNNNNNNNNNNNNNNNNNNNNNNNNNNNNNNNNNNNNNNNNNNNNNNNNNNNNNNNNNNNNNNNNNNNNNNNNNNNNNNNNNNNNNNNNNNNNNNNNNNNNNNNNNNNNNNNNNNNNNNNNNNNNNNNNNNNNNNNNNNNNNNNNNNNNNNNNNNNNNNNNNNNNNNNNNNNNNNNNNNNNNNNNNNNNNNNNNNNNNNNNNNNNNNNNNNNNNNNNNNNNNNNNNNNNNNNNNNNNNNNNNNNNNNNNNNNNNNNNNNNNNNNNNNNNNNNNNNNNNNNNNNNNNNNNNNNNNNNNNNNNNNNNNNNNNNNNNNNNNNNNNNNNNNNNNNNNNNNNNNNNNNNNNNNNNNNNNNNNNNNNNNNNNNNNNNNNNNNNNNNNNNNNNNNNNNNNNNNNNNNNNNNNNNNNNNNNNNNNNNNNNNNNNNNNNNNNNNNNNNNNNNNNNNNNNNNNNNNNNNNNNNNNNNNNNNNNNNNNNNNNNNNNNNNNNNNNNNNNNNNNNNNNNNNNNNNNNNNNNNNNNNNNNNNNNNNNNNNNNNNNNNNNNNNNNNNNNNNNNNNNNNNNNNNNNNNNNNNNNNNNNNNNNNNNNNNNNNNNNNNNNNNNNNNNNNNNNNNNNNNNNNNNNNNNNNNNNNNNNNNNNNNNNNNNNNNNNNNNNNNNNNNNNNNNNNNNNNNNNNNNNNNNNNNNNNNNNNNNNNNNNNNNNNNNNNNNNNNNNNNNNNNNNNNNNNNNNNNNNNNNNNNNNNNNNNNNNNNNNNNNNNNNNNNNNNNNNNNNNNNNNNNNNNNNNNNNNNNNNNNNNNNNNNNNNNNNNNNNNNNNNNNNNNNNNNNNNNNNNNNNNNNNNNNNNNNNNNNNNNNNNNNNNNNNNNNNNNNNNNNNNNNNNNNNNNNNNNNNNNNNNNNNNNNNNNNNNNNNNNNNNNNNNNNNNNNNNNNNNNNNNNNNNNNNNNNNNNNNNNNNNNNNNNNNNNNNNNNNNNNNNNNNNNNNNNNNNNNNNNNNNNNNNNNNNNNNNNNNNNNNNNNNNNNNNNNNNNNNNNNNNNNNNNNNNNNNNNNNNNNNNNNNNNNNNNNNNNNNNNNNNNNNNNNNNNNNNNNNNNNNNNNNNNNNNNNNNNNNNNNNNNNNNNNNNNNNNNNNNNNNNNNNNNNNNNNNNNNNNNNNNNNNNNNNNNNNNNNNNNNNNNNNNNNNNNNNNNNNNNNNNNNNNNNNNNNNNNNNNNNNNNNNNNNNNNNNNNNNNNNNNNNNNNNNNNNNNNNNNNNNNNNNNNNNNNNNNNNNNNNNNNNNNNNNNNNNNNNNNNNNNNNNNNNNNNNNNNNNNNNNNNNNNNNNNNNNNNNNNNNNNNNNNNNNNNNNNNNNNNNNNNNNNNNNNNNNNNNNNNNNNNNNNNNNNNNNNNNNNNNNNNNNNNNNNNNNNNNNNNNNNNNNNNNNNNNNNNNNNNNNNNNNNNNNNNNNNNNNNNNNNNNNNNNNNNNNNNNNNNNNNNNNNNNNNNNNNNNNNNNNNNNNNNNNNNNNNNNNNNNNNNNNNNNNNNNNNNNNNNNNNNNNNNNNNNNNNNNNNNNNNNNNNNNNNNNNNNNNNNNNNNNNNNNNNNNNNNNNNNNNNNNNNNNNNNNNNNNNNNNNNNNNNNNNNNNNNNNNNNNNNNNNNNNNNNNNNNNNNNNNNNNNNNNNNNNNNNNNNNNNNNNNNNNNNNNNNNNNNNNNNNNNNNNNNNNNNNNNNNNNNNNNNNNNNNNNNNNNNNNNNNNNNNNNNNNNNNNNNNNNNNNNNNNNNNNNNNNNNNNNNNNNNNNNNNNNNNNNNNNNNNNNNNNNNNNNNNNNNNNNNNNNNNNNNNNNNNNNNNNNNNNNNNNNNNNNNNNNNNNNNNNNNNNNNNNNNNNNNNNNNNNNNNNNNNNNNNNNNNNNNNNNNNNNNNNNNNNNNNNNNNNNNNNNNNNNNNNNNNNNNNNNNNNNNNNNNNNNNNNNNNNNNNNNNNNNNNNNNNNNNNNNNNNNNNNNNNNNNNNNNNNNNNNNNNNNNNNNNNNNNNNNNNNNNNNNNNNNNNNNNNNNNNNNNNNNNNNNNNNNNNNNNNNNNNNNNNNNNNNNNNNNNNNNNNNNNNNNNNNNNNNNNNNNNNNNNNNNNNNNNNNNNNNNNNNNNNNNNNNNNNNNNNNNNNNNNNNNNNNNNNNNNNNNNNNNNNNNNNNNNNNNNNNNNNNNNNNNNNNNNNNNNNNNNNNNNNNNNNNNNNNNNNNNNNNNNNNNNNNNNNNNNNNNNNNNNNNNNNNNNNNNNNNNNNNNNNNNNNNNNNNNNNNNNNNNNNNNNNNNNNNNNNNNNNNNNNNNNNNNNNNNNNNNNNNNNNNNNNNNNNNNNNNNNNNNNNNNNNNNNNNNNNNNNNNNNNNNNNNNNNNNNNNNNNNNNNNNNNNNNNNNNNNNNNNNNNNNNNNNNNNNNNNNNNNNNNNNNNNNNNNNNNNNNNNNNNNNNNNNNNNNNNNNNNNNNNNNNNNNNNNNNNNNNNNNNNNNNNNNNNNNNNNNNNNNNNNNNNNNNNNNNNNNNNNNNNNNNNNNNNNNNNNNNNNNNNNNNNNNNNNNNNNNNNNNNNNNNNNNNNNNNNNNNNNNNNNNNNNNNNNNNNNNNNNNNNNNNNNNNNNNNNNNNNNNNNNNNNNNNNNNNNNNNNNNNNNNNNNNNNNNNNNNNNNNNNNNNNNNNNNNNNNNNNNNNNNNNNNNNNNNNNNNNNNNNNNNNNNNNNNNNNNNNNNNNNNNNNNNNNNNNNNNNNNNNNNNNNNNNNNNNNNNNNNNNNNNNNNNNNNNNNNNNNNNNNNNNNNNNNNNNNNNNNNNNNNNNNNNNNNNNNNNNNNNNNNNNNNNNNNNNNNNNNNNNNNNNNNNNNNNNNNNNNNNNNNNNNNNNNNNNNNNNNNNNNNNNNNNNNNNNNNNNNNNNNNNNNNNNNNNNNNNNNNNNNNNNNNNNNNNNNNNNNNNNNNNNNNNNNNNNNNNNNNNNNNNNNNNNNNNNNNNNNNNNNNNNNNNNNNNNNNNNNNNNNNNNNNNNNNNNNNNNNNNNNNNNNNNNNNNNNNNNNNNNNNNNNNNNNNNNNNNNNNNNNNNNNNNNNNNNNNNNNNNNNNNNNNNNNNNNNNNNNNNNNNNNNNNNNNNNNNNNNNNNNNNNNNNNNNNNNNNNNNNNNNNNNNNNNNNNNNNNNNNNNNNNNNNNNNNNNNNNNNNNNNNNNNNNNNNNNNNNNNNNNNNNNNNNNNNNNNNNNNNNNNNNNNNNNNNNNNNNNNNNNNNNNNNNNNNNNNNNNNNNNNNNNNNNNNNNNNNNNNNNNNNNNNNNNNNNNNNNNNNNNNNNNNNNNNNNNNNNNNNNNNNNNNNNNNNNNNNNNNNNNNNNNNNNNNNNNNNNNNNNNNNNNNNNNNNNNNNNNNNNNNNNNNNNNNNNNNNNNNNNNNNNNNNNNNNNNNNNNNNNNNNNNNNNNNNNNNNNNNNNNNNNNNNNNNNNNNNNNNNNNNNNNNNNNNNNNNNNNNNNNNNNNNNNNNNNNNNNNNNNNNNNNNNNNNNNNNNNNNNNNNNNNNNNNNNNNNNNNNNNNNNNNNNNNNNNNNNNNNNNNNNNNNNNNNNNNNNNNNNNNNNNNNNNNNNNNNNNNNNNNNNNNNNNNNNNNNNNNNNNNNNNNNNNNNNNNNNNNNNNNNNNNNNNNNNNNNNNNNNNNNNNNNNNNNNNNNNNNNNNNNNNNNNNNNNNNNNNNNNNNNNNNNNNNNNNNNNNNNNNNNNNNNNNNNNNNNNNNNNNNNNNNNNNNNNNNNNNNNNNNNNNNNNNNNNNNNNNNNNNNNNNNNNNNNNNNNNNNNNNNNNNNNNNNNNNNNNNNNNNNNNNNNNNNNNNNNNNNNNNNNNNNNNNNNNNNNNNNNNNNNNNNNNNNNNNNNNNNNNNNNNNNNNNNNNNNNNNNNNNNNNNNNNNNNNNNNNNNNNNNNNNNNNNNNNNNNNNNNNNNNNNNNNNNNNNNNNNNNNNNNNNNNNNNNNNNNNNNNNNNNNNNNNNNNNNNNNNNNNNNNNNNNNNNNNNNNNNNNNNNNNNNNNNNNNNNNNNNNNNNNNNNNNNNNNNNNNNNNNNNNNNNNNNNNNNNNNNNNNNNNNNNNNNNNNNNNNNNNNNNNNNNNNNNNNNNNNNNNNNNNNNNNNNNNNNNNNNNNNNNNNNNNNNNNNNNNNNNNNNNNNNNNNNNNNNNNNNNNNNNNNNNNNNNNNNNNNNNNNNNNNNNNNNNNNNNNNNNNNNNNNNNNNNNNNNNNNNNNNNNNNNNNNNNNNNNNNNNNNNNNNNNNNNNNNNNNNNNNNNNNNNNNNNNNNNNNNNNNNNNNNNNNNNNNNNNNNNNNNNNNNNNNNNNNNNNNNNNNNNNNNNNNNNNNNNNNNNNNNNNNNNNNNNNNNNNNNNNNNNNNNNNNNNNNNNNNNNNNNNNNNNNNNNNNNNNNNNNNNNNNNNNNNNNNNNNNNNNNNNNNNNNNNNNNNNNNNNNNNNNNNNNNNNNNNNNNNNNNNNNNNNNNNNNNNNNNNNNNNNNNNNNNNNNNNNNNNNNNNNNNNNNNNNNNNNNNNNNNNNNNNNNNNNNNNNNNNNNNNNNNNNNNNNNNNNNNNNNNNNNNNNNNNNNNNNNNNNNNNNNNNNNNNNNNNNNNNNNNNNNNNNNNNNNNNNNNNNNNNNNNNNNNNNNNNNNNNNNNNNNNNNNNNNNNNNNNNNNNNNNNNNNNNNNNNNNNNNNNNNNNNNNNNNNNNNNNNNNNNNNNNNNNNNNNNNNNNNNNNNNNNNNNNNNNNNNNNNNNNNNNNNNNNNNNNNNNNNNNNNNNNNNNNNNNNNNNNNNNNNNNNNNNNNNNNNNNNNNNNNNNNNNNNNNNNNNNNNNNNNNNNNNNNNNNNNNNNNNNNNNNNNNNNNNNNNNNNNNNNNNNNNNNNNNNNNNNNNNNNNNNNNNNNNNNNNNNNNNNNNNNNNNNNNNNNNNNNNNNNNNNNNNNNNNNNNNNNNNNNNNNNNNNNNNNNNNNNNNNNNNNNNNNNNNNNNNNNNNNNNNNNNNNNNNNNNNNNNNNNNNNNNNNNNNNNNNNNNNNNNNNNNNNNNNNNNNNNNNNNNNNNNNNNNNNNNNNNNNNNNNNNNNNNNNNNNNNNNNNNNNNNNNNNNNNNNNNNNNNNNNNNNNNNNNNNNNNNNNNNNNNNNNNNNNNNNNNNNNNNNNNNNNNNNNNNNNNNNNNNNNNNNNNNNNNNNNNNNNNNNNNNNNNNNNNNNNNNNNNNNNNNNNNNNNNNNNNNNNNNNNNNNNNNNNNNNNNNNNNNNNNNNNNNNNNNNNNNNNNNNNNNNNNNNNNNNNNNNNNNNNNNNNNNNNNNNNNNNNNNNNNNNNNNNNNNNNNNNNNNNNNNNNNNNNNNNNNNNNNNNNNNNNNNNNNNNNNNNNNNNNNNNNNNNNNNNNNNNNNNNNNNNNNNNNNNNNNNNNNNNNNNNNNNNNNNNNNNNNNNNNNNNNNNNNNNNNNNNNNNNNNNNNNNNNNNNNNNNNNNNNNNNNNNNNNNNNNNNNNNNNNNNNNNNNNNNNNNNNNNNNNNNNNNNNNNNNNNNNNNNNNNNNNNNNNNNNNNNNNNNNNNNNNNNNNNNNNNNNNNNNNNNNNNNNNNNNNNNNNNNNNNNNNNNNNNNNNNNNNNNNNNNNNNNNNNNNNNNNNNNNNNNNNNNNNNNNNNNNNNNNNNNNNNNNNNNNNNNNNNNNNNNNNNNNNNNNNNNNNNNNNNNNNNNNNNNNNNNNNNNNNNNNNNNNNNNNNNNNNNNNNNNNNNNNNNNNNNNNNNNNNNNNNNNNNNNNNNNNNNNNNNNNNNNNNNNNNNNNNNNNNNNNNNNNNNNNNNNNNNNNNNNNNNNNNNNNNNNNNNNNNNNNNNNNNNNNNNNNNNNNNNNNNNNNNNNNNNNNNNNNNNNNNNNNNNNNNNNNNNNNNNNNNNNNNNNNNNNNNNNNNNNNNNNNNNNNNNNNNNNNNNNNNNNNNNNNNNNNNNNNNNNNNNNNNNNNNNNNNNNNNNNNNNNNNNNNNNNNNNNNNNNNNNNNNNNNNNNNNNNNNNNNNNNNNNNNNNNNNNNNNNNNNNNNNNNNNNNNNNNNNNNNNNNNNNNNNNNNNNNNNNNNNNNNNNNNNNNNNNNNNNNNNNNNNNNNNNNNNNNNNNNNNNNNNNNNNNNNNNNNNNNNNNNNNNNNNNNNNNNNNNNNNNNNNNNNNNNNNNNNNNNNNNNNNNNNNNNNNNNNNNNNNNNNNNNNNNNNNNNNNNNNNNNNNNNNNNNNNNNNNNNNNNNNNNNNNNNNNNNNNNNNNNNNNNNNNNNNNNNNNNNNNNNNNNNNNNNNNNNNNNNNNNNNNNNNNNNNNNNNNNNNNNNNNNNNNNNNNNNNNNNNNNNNNNNNNNNNNNNNNNNNNNNNNNNNNNNNNNNNNNNNNNNNNNNNNNNNNNNNNNNNNNNNNNNNNNNNNNNNNNNNNNNNNNNNNNNNNNNNNNNNNNNNNNNNNNNNNNNNNNNNNNNNNNNNNNNNNNNNNNNNNNNNNNNNNNNNNNNNNNNNNNNNNNNNNNNNNNNNNNNNNNNNNNNNNNNNNNNNNNNNNNNNNNNNNNNNNNNNNNNNNNNNNNNNNNNNNNNNNNNNNNNNNNNNNNNNNNNNNNNNNNNNNNNNNNNNNNNNNNNNNNNNNNNNNNNNNNNNNNNNNNNNNNNNNNNNNNNNNNNNNNNNNNNNNNNNNNNNNNNNNNNNNNNNNNNNNNNNNNNNNNNNNNNNNNNNNNNNNNNNNNNNNNNNNNNNNNNNNNNNNNNNNNNNNNNNNNNNNNNNNNNNNNNNNNNNNNNNNNNNNNNNNNNNNNNNNNNNNNNNNNNNNNNNNNNNNNNNNNNNNNNNNNNNNNNNNNNNNNNNNNNNNNNNNNNNNNNNNNNNNNNNNNNNNNNNNNNNNNNNNNNNNNNNNNNNNNNNNNNNNNNNNNNNNNNNNNNNNNNNNNNNNNNNNNNNNNNNNNNNNNNNNNNNNNNNNNNNNNNNNNNNNNNNNNNNNNNNNNNNNNNNNNNNNNNNNNNNNNNNNNNNNNNNNNNNNNNNNNNNNNNNNNNNNNNNNNNNNNNNNNNNNNNNNNNNNNNNNNNNNNNNNNNNNNNNNNNNNNNNNNNNNNNNNNNNNNNNNNNNNNNNNNNNNNNNNNNNNNNNNNNNNNNNNNNNNNNNNNNNNNNNNNNNNNNNNNNNNNNNNNNNNNNNNNNNNNNNNNNNNNNNNNNNNNNNNNNNNNNNNNNNNNNNNNNNNNNNNNNNNNNNNNNNNNNNNNNNNNNNNNNNNNNNNNNNNNNNNNNNNNNNNNNNNNNNNNNNNNNNNNNNNNNNNNNNNNNNNNNNNNNNNNNNNNNNNNNNNNNNNNNNNNNNNNNNNNNNNNNNNNNNNNNNNNNNNNNNNNNNNNNNNNNNNNNNNNNNNNNNNNNNNNNNNNNNNNNNNNNNNNNNNNNNNNNNNNNNNNNNNNNNNNNNNNNNNNNNNNNNNNNNNNNNNNNNNNNNNNNNNNNNNNNNNNNNNNNNNNNNNNNNNNNNNNNNNNNNNNNNNNNNNNNNNNNNNNNNNNNNNNNNNNNNNNNNNNNNNNNNNNNNNNNNNNNNNNNNNNNNNNNNNNNNNNNNNNNNNNNNNNNNNNNNNNNNNNNNNNNNNNNNNNNNNNNNNNNNNNNNNNNNNNNNNNNNNNNNNNNNNNNNNNNNNNNNNNNNNNNNNNNNNNNNNNNNNNNNNNNNNNNNNNNNNNNNNNNNNNNNNNNNNNNNNNNNNNNNNNNNNNNNNNNNNNNNNNNNNNNNNNNNNNNNNNNNNNNNNNNNNNNNNNNNNNNNNNNNNNNNNNNNNNNNNNNNNNNNNNNNNNNNNNNNNNNNNNNNNNNNNNNNNNNNNNNNNNNNNNNNNNNNNNNNNNNNNNNNNNNNNNNNNNNNNNNNNNNNNNNNNNNNNNNNNNNNNNNNNNNNNNNNNNNNNNNNNNNNNNNNNNNNNNNNNNNNNNNNNNNNNNNNNNNNNNNNNNNNNNNNNNNNNNNNNNNNNNNNNNNNNNNNNNNNNNNNNNNNNNNNNNNNNNNNNNNNNNNNNNNNNNNNNNNNNNNNNNNNNNNNNNNNNNNNNNNNNNNNNNNNNNNNNNNNNNNNNNNNNNNNAGGUGGCGGUGGGGGUGGCCAAGGAGGACACAAAGGUGGUGGUGGUGGAGGUAGCCAAGGAGGACACAAAGGAGGUGGAGGCGGCAGAGGAGGUGGUAGCGGACGAGGAGGAGGUGGAGGUGGCGGGGGAAUGUAGAGUAUCUCCGCCGAUAUCUAGCAAGUUUUUAUUUUUAAUGCCAAGUGUUAACGUAUACUAAACUACAAUAAAGUUACAUGUAAGCGUCCGAGUCACACCACUUCACCGAAUGUUUAUAGGCUUCGGUGUCGCAAAAGUUCUAUGCUUCUCUCAACAUAUUAUCA
RNAcentral lists this long non-coding RNA (454435 nucleotides) under Capsella rubella. Its description in RNAcentral is "long non-coding RNA (CRUB_LNC003764)". Lineage: Eukaryota; Viridiplantae; Streptophyta; Magnoliopsida; Brassicales; Brassicaceae. The record is from RNAcentral.